This 379927-nucleotide long non-coding RNA is filed under the name Vitis vinifera (wine grape). RNAcentral describes it as "long non-coding RNA (VVIN_LNC002192)". Lineage: Eukaryota; Viridiplantae; Streptophyta; Magnoliopsida; Vitales; Vitaceae. The record is from RNAcentral.
UAAAUCUUAAAUCAUGUACUCAUCCUUUGGUGGUUUCUCCUCUUACUUGCGAAUGGGUCAGGGGUUGGGUUUUUUCUUCUUUAUCUUGUCAUGUGUCUGUUUGGGAGGGCCUUGCUUUUGUAGUGCACACACAGACAGCAUCAAACCUGGGGAAGGGCUUCAAUUCUCGAAGCUACUGGUUUCGGCACAAGGGACUUUCACACUGGGGUUCUUUAUCUUGGACACCCGCAGUUAUUUAGGAAUCUGGUACACAAGUGAUGUUAACAACAAGAAAGUUUGGGUUGCUAACAGAGACAACCCUAUAUCUGGCACCAAUGCAAAUCUCAUGCUGGAUGGCAAUGGAACAUUGAUGAUCAUUCACAGUGGGGGUGAUCCAAUUGUCUUGAAUUCCAAUCAAGCAUCCAGAAACUCCAUAGCUACCUUGCUUGAUUCUGGAAAUUUUGUUGUGUCAGCGUUAAAUUCAGAUGGAUCUGUGAAGCAGACACUAUGGGAAAGUUUCGAUGAUCCUACAGACACGCUCCUGCCUGGGAUGAAACUAGGCAUCAACUUGAAAACCGGGCAAAACUGGUCACUUGCUUCGUGGAUAAACGAACAAGUGCCUGAUCCUGGGACUUUCACUCUAGAAUGGAAUGGCACACAAUUGGUAAUAAAACGCCGAGGGGACAUCUACUGGAGCAGUGGAAUUCUGAAAGAUCGGAGUUUUGAGUUCAUUCAAACUCACCAUAACAUCUACUAUUUCAUCAGUGUUUGUAAUGACAACGAGAUCUACUUCAGCUAUUCAGUUCAAGACGGAGCUAUUUCAAAGUGGGUAUUGAACUGGAGAGGGGGAUUUUUUGACACUUACGGAACUCUAUUCGUGAAGGAAGAUAUGUGUGAUCCUUAUGACAAAUAUCCAGGGUGUGCAGUGCAAGAGCCACCCACUUGCAGGACUACAGACUUCCAAUUCAUGAAGCAAUCGGUUCUCAAUUCAGGAUAUCCAUCAUUAAUGAACAUAGAUACGAGCUUGGGCCUUAGUGAUUGUCAGGCUAUAUGCAGGAACAAUUGUUCUUGUACUGCUUGUAAUACUGUAUUCACCAAUGAAACUGGAUGUCAGUUUUGGAGGGAUAAAUUGCCACGAGCCCGAGUGGGGGAUGCAAAUCAGGAGGAGCUCUAUGUUUUGUCCUCAUCAAAAGACAUAGGUAAGAGGCUCUAUGUAUUGCAUUCCGAGAAGUAGCCAAAACAAAGUACUUGGUAAAUCUCACAUCUUCAUCAAAUUUACAAACCUACAAAAAAAGUCCUACUGUAUAAUCGUCUACCAUUAGAGGACCUAUAGCAAAACCAUUAAAGACCCUCUCUCUCUCUCUCUCUCGUUCUGCUCUAACAAUAAAAUUUAUUAACUUCUACCUAUGCAGGGAAGCCUUGGUGGAUAUGGAUUAUCAUUCUCGUUGUAGUAGUAUUUCUGUUCAUGUUAGCUGUCUUUUGUUGUUCACAGAGAAACUCCAGAGGUAGUAUUUUAACUUUUGUAGAUAAUAGCAAUGCCAUUUGUUAAUGGGUUGGAUAAUUGGACUUGUGGCUUCUGGUAUAACAGGGGAUGGAAAAAAGAGGGAAACUGCAAAAGAUAUUGACAAUGUCAAAGAGUUCAGUUUAGUUUCUGUUAUGGCUGCCACGAAUAACUUUUCAGAUGAAAAUAAAAUUGGAAAGGGUGGUUUUGGUUCUGUCUAUAAGGUAAUUAUAAUUUGUUGAAGUACCUCAUUUAAAGCUUCGUUAUGGAUUGUGGAUUAUUUUUGCAGGGGAUACUACCCGGGGGCCAAGAAAUAGCAGUAAAGAGACUUUCAGGGGUUUCCACAUGGGGAUUGGAUCAGUUCGUAAACGAAAGACUGAUUGUCAAUCAACAACACAGAAAUCUUAUCAGACUUUUGGGUUACUGCAGCGAGGGAGAAGAAAGGAUGUUAAUCUAUGAGCUGCUGCCCAACGGAAACUUGGAAGACUUGAUCUUUGGUUUUAAUACCUCCUUUUUUCCUUCCUGUUGUUUGCAUAACUUUUUCCUAUGUUUUUAUGUUUUUUUGCAUAAAACAAUUUACUAGUUGUGUUCACCCAAAAUUUCAGAUCCUGAUAGGAGAAAGGGGUUGGACUGGAAUACAUGGUGCAAUAUAAUUAAGGGGAUUGCGCAAGGACUUGAUUACUUGCACAACCAUUCAAGAUUAAACAUGGUUCAUGGAGAUCUAAAAGCAAGUAACAUCCUACUCGAUCAUGACAUGAACCCCAAAAUUUCUGAUUUUGGCACUGCCAGAAUUUUUGAGCGAAAUGAAUCAGAGCCACAAACCAGUAAACUUGUUGGAACAUUGUAAGUGCCUCGAAUCUUGUUUAUUUAUCUGCUUUCUUCUUCAGUCUAAUGGAUUGAACUUUCUAUUAUGGAUGCAGUGGUUACAUGCCACCUGAGUAUUUCAGUGAGGGAUGGUGUUCACCGAAAACAGAUGUUUAUAGCUUUGGGGUCCUGAUGUUGGAGAUUGUGAGCGGCCAGAGGAUUAUUCCCCCUGAUUGUAAGGAUGACAACUUAAGUCUUAUACGAAAUGUAAGUCCGUCAGAUCUCAUAUUAGUCUCGACAUACAUUAUUAUCAAUACCCAAUGCAUGCUUCCAAAAUUUUCAUACUAGCCUCAUAAGUAAAUGGUCCGUAAAAUGAACUGGGUUCAGGCUUGGAAGUUAUGGGGAGAAGGCAAUAGCUUGAAGCUAGUGGAUCCAGCGAUGGUGGGUCCCCACUCAACAACCCAAAUAGUGAGAUGGAUUCGUGUUGCUCUCUUGUGUAUACAGAAGCAUGAAGAGAGGCCUACAAUGUCAGAUGUUUGCUCCAUGCUUAACAGAAGGGACCCACCCGAGCCAAAUCCACCCGCAAUUUUUGCGCUCAGAUGAGCCAAGGAGUUGUUCUGAUCUGCAAGUGUAACUACUUGAGAGAUGGAAGGUGGAUCAAGAUGAGAUGAGAUGAGAAUUUGAUUCCCUCAUGGUAAGCUUUUCUUUAUUUACGUUUUGUUGAUUUAUAUAAGAUGACAACUGAACUGAAGCUGGUUUUAUGAUCAUUUGGAACAUAUUUGUACGCAUGUAUUCUGGAGCUCUAUUUGCCCUUUUUCUCUCCAAAACAUAUUAUGAUAUAUGUCUAUCUAUAUCUUCGUGUCUAUAUAUUUAUCUUAGCCAAAGUAGGCCAUGUAUAUGUUCUAUAAUUCAUUAUUUGCCAUUGAAUAAUGAUCAAAACACAAGGUGGCAACAGUGUGCAUGUUUAUGUCUUAGAGUCGAGAGGAAAUCUAUUCACAGUAAAAUUAUUCAAACAUGACUUAACAUCAACUAAGCAGACUAAAACAUAGAAUUUUGAUUUAUAACAUUUGUCACCCGUCACAGAAAGAUAAAUGUCUUCAUGAGGAUGCAUAAUAUAGAUAGCUUGAAGGUUGCUUUCCAAACUUCUAAUACCAAAUAGGGCAAAUCCAAGGUCUGUUACGCAGAACAUCCACAACAAUGAAUUUUUUUUUUCUUUUUUUUUUUCAAAGUGCAGAAUGGGCAAAUGAACAGUCAAAGCAUGCAUCUAAGCAACAAGCAGAAAAAUGAAAUCUGAAAAUGAGAACCUCGUAGGUAACAUCCUUCAACCAGUCAUACUAGGACCAUAGAACCAUAUCUUGAAGGUUUCUUUCCAAAGUUCUAAUCCCUUUCCCCUCCCUACCCAAGCUUUUGUUAUUUUGCUCCUUCCAAAAGCAACAUGCCAACUGAAAGAUGUUGUCGUCUUUACUCCUUUUCCGCUCAUUAACUUAAGACGCUAGCUAGCAUGCUCGCCUGCCUCAUUGCUCCUAGAAGCGCCCAAGUGAUGUUGGUUUAAGGGUAUGGAAACAAAUGACUAACCCAAAAGACACAAACAAAUAACAGAAUUAAUAAGAAGAAAAACUUAUUGAUUGAGGAGUGACAAACACUGUCCUUGAAAUAGAUCCACCCUCCUCGAAGACGAACUCGAUGCACUAGGGUACCAAUGGUCUACCUCCAGGAUUCAACACCCAGAUCUUACCUUGGGUGCACUUUGUAAGUGAGAUGUGUACAACUCGGGUUUUGAAGAAAUUCCUCCAGAUAGAUAUAUGAAAAUACUCUCUGAAAAAUUGGUAUUCAUAUAUAGAGAGUGAGGGGUGACCUGCUUUUAUAGGCCACUAACACAGUUCCAAUAGGACUCUACUUAUAAGCAUAAUAAGACUGAAAGUGGAGGAGGAUUCUACUUAUAAGUGGAAUGGGGCUCCACUAACACAAUCCCGAUAGGACUCUUCCCAAAAAUAUAAGACUAAUAGAAUAAAAUAAAAUAAAAUAAAAAUAAUUCUCAAUAGGAAUCUUCCCAAAAAUAUAGGACUAAUAGAAUAAAAUAAAAUAAAAUAAAAAUGAAAAUUAUUUACACUCUUCCUACAAUCCCCCACAGAGUGUAAACAUGAUUUUUUUAUUUUUAUUUUUUUGAGGAAAAAAAAAUCUAAUGCAUCAUUACUGGUGCCUAAAGGUUAUGAACCAGUCUUAGGACAAAUAAGUAUUGAAUCACAAAACACGGUGAAAAUAAAUUUCUAUAAACCAAUGUUUCUUGAUGUAACUCAAGGGACUUUUAUCCACAUUGGUUUCCUCAACUUCACUAUGAGCUGUACAAAACAGGUUGGCACAAAUAGGCCAUGCACCCUGCUUGGAUAUUCAUGAGAGCUUCAGAGAAUCUGCCUAAGUUCUCAUAGGAAGCAACCCCACCUCCACCUUCAUAUAGGUGAAUCCAUCGAGUAUGUUUUGCAUAAAACAUACCAUCCAUAAGGAAUAUGGUAUUCAUUAAGAGUAAACACUCAACCUUAGUCAAUGCAGAAUGCGCUCUAUCUGCAACAUAGGAAUACACUCUAAUACAAUUAGAGUUUAUAAAACACCUCGAGUCAACAAGUGAUUUGUUAUUACCCAUAUGAACCUACUUCAUGGAAUUUCCAUUCUAAUAGGUUGGGUUACCACCACUUUUGACUUCUGUAAUAGGCAUAAGUCGCAUCCCCCUCGAUGUUUCUUCCACUAGUUUCUUAGUUAGUGGUUUGGUCAAAGGAUCGGCCAAAUUCAACUCUGACCUCACAAAUUAUAGGGAUAUAACCCUUAUUUCAAGCAGUUGUCGCACAAUAUUGUGCCUUAGGCGUAUAUGUCUGUUCUUCCCAUUAAAUAUUUUACUCUUAGCCUUAGCAAUUGCAGCUUGGCUAUCACAACGCAUAGACAGAGACAGGGCUGGUCUCGUCCAUAAAGGGACAUUUGCUAAGAAGUUUCUAAGCCACUCAACCUCAAAACUUGCCUUUUCUAAGGCAAUAAACUCAACUUCCAUAGUAGAUCGAGUAAUGCAAGUUUUCUUGGUAGACUUCCAAGAAACUACACUUCCACCAAGGAUGAAAACAUAUCCACUAGUGGAUUUCAUCUUAUCUGAAUCUAAGAUCCAAUUUGCAUCACUAAAUCCUUCAAGGACACUUGGAAAUCCACUAAAGCACAAACCAUAGUCAAUGGUGCCUGUCAAGUACUUAAGGACUCUACGAACAACAGUCCAAUGGUCUUGAUUAGGACUUUGGGUGUACCAACUCAAUCUACCUACUGCAUAAGCAAUGUCAAGUCUGGUACAGUUCAUUAAGUACAUUAGUGAUACGUUCCCAAUUGGUGUCUCAGCUGAUUCAUGUCCUCUCAAUGGUCCCUGACAGUGGUACCAUUUGAUUCGUGUCCAACUGGUGUCCCUUGAUUGUGGUCCUCAAGGAGUAAUCAACAAAAUUUAUAACCUAUUACACCAUGUACUAGGAUAGCCUUAGCUAGCAUAGCAUAGUGGCACUAGGGUCGUUCACUGGGAUGGGUUUUCACUCCACAAUUGAUAUUAAUUCAAAGAUGAAUUGGUGCCUUUUCAUUUCAAGGUUAGCUUUAAAAGAAAACAUAAUCUUUGGUGGAAAAGGUUUGGUUUUAAGUUAACCAAAAAUAAUAACUGAUUUUAAUUACAAAGAAAAGUGUUUCUUGGAGUUUAGAUCACUAGGCUCAGGUUCUUUGUACAAAAAGGGAGUUUCGGUCACUUGUUUCUUUUCCUUGCAUUAGAGAAUUAACAUAUAGUUAAUUCUCUAACCGGUGUGGUAUAGAUGCUUCCCAUUAAUGGGUUCAAACACUAAAUCCCUCUCACUGAUGCACCUUGCAAUGGCUCAUGCCUCUCACCUAGCAUUUUCCAUUCAAGGUGAUCUUUAACCUUGGAUUACCCGUCAAAAGCUCGCAAGAGAUAACUAAUGGAUGUCUCCUUGGAGUCCAAAAGCUUACCAAGUGUUGGCUAUUCUAGAAAAUCCUACCUUCAAACCACCUUCCAAAGGCUCACAAGAGAUAAACUAGUGUAUCUCAAUGGACAGAGACCACUUGCCUUAUCAAGUGUUGGCCCAAGUGAUUUAAAGGCGUUUUAAGUUAACUAAAAAGAUAAAAACCAUUAAUGAGUCACACUUUCUCUUCAUUAAAAAUUGAAACAACAAAACUUUCAAUUUAUGCAUGAGGAAACUUACCCGGAUUUCUUCACUCCAAGAGACGAAGAGCCUAGCCUCUCAUCCUCUGAGGAAAAAUCCUUAGAGUUUGAUUGGCUAGAAAGAAAAAUAAUGAGAAAACAAAAAAUAUAUAUAUGAAAAGUAGAGCAAGUGCUUUGUAGAUAUAUUUCUUACUUAUACAAAAGGUUGUCUCUAAGAACAAGCUCCCGAGUCGAUUGAUGCCUGUGUAAAGGAAAUUACAAACUAUAUAUAAGAGGUUAUUCACCCUUUGUUCUUUUAAAGACUAAGGAAUCCUAUGAUAGGUGGGUUACAAAGAGAGUUUGGGGAUUUAGACAUCAAAUAUCUAAAGCAAAAAAUCUCAAAAUGUCGGUUGCAAAUAUCGGGAAGCUUUAGGAGAAAUUCCACAGCAAGAGGGCUGUGAAAUUUCGCAGCAAAAGGACAACAUUUUCGCAGCCCAAGGCUGAUUUCGCAGUCGUGCAAAAAUCUUCCUUCAACUUGGAGUGAUCGGCGUCCAAUGGAUGUAACUCCUUCAUUUCAACUCCGAAUCGUGCACCAUUUGAAGUAUUGGAUUAUUGACUUCCUAAGCUUCGAAACGACAUAUAGCAUGCAUAAAUUGAACUCUAAGAAGUGCUCCAAAAGUGGCUGACAUGACUGUCAUCAAGAAUGCUUCAUGUUAGAUUUCUCUUUGCUUCCCCUCCUUGCAUUCCGGAUUUGCUUAUGACAAAGGACUUUAAAGCUUCGGUUCUUCAUGUUUCUGAGAUUUCCAUUGCUUUGCCAUGGAUUCCAAAGAACUCUCCUCAAUCUUGGAUUGCUUUGGUGAUAAAAAAAAUAUCAAAACACCAAAACUUAACACAAUUUGAUUAGAAUUGAUUGCAAAGGUCCUUAAUAUGUUAAUUGGGUUAAAAGGUAAUAACUACUACUCAAAAGUGUUUAAAAGAGUUAAUUACAAGCUAUAAAAUAGCAAUUUUUGAGUAGUAAUCAAUUAGGCGCCCUAUGAUUUGAGCAUACUCUAUUUGGGCAACAAUAUGUUCUCUAUUUUUCUUCAGUUGUGAGAUGGGAUCAUAAGGAGUUGACACUGGUUUACAAUCAAAGUGUUCAAACUUCCUUAGGAUCUUUUCAACAUAGUGCUCUUGAGAAAGUUUAAGCUUAUUAGGUGUUCUAGUUAUUUUAAUUCCUAGAAUCACCUCUGCCUCUCCUAGGUCUUUCAUAUCAAACUUAGAACCUAGGAAUUUCUUGGUCUCACACACAACCUCUAAGCUAGUUACAAAGAUCAACAUGUCAUCAACAUAAAGAUAGAUGACUACACAUGUGUUAUCCUCAUACUUGUUGUAGAUACACUUAUCAACAUCAUUAAUGGAAUAUCCAUUAGUUACUAACACAUGAUCAAACUUGUUGUGCCACUGUUUGGGAGCUUGUUUUAACCCAUAUAGUGAUUUAACCAACUUACACACCUUUUUCUCCCUCUCUGGAACUACACAACCCUUAGGUUGUUCCAUAUAAAUUUCCUCUUCCAAAUCCCCAUUCAAGAAUGCAGUCUUGACAUCCAUUUGGUGUAUCACCAAAUUAUGAAUGGAAGCUAGAGCAAUCAAUACUCUAAUUGAUGCUAUUCUAGUCACAGGGGCAAAGGUGUCAAAGUAAUCUAUAUCCUUUCUUUGUUGAAAGCCUUUGGCAACUAACACUAUAAGAAAAAAGGGUAAUAAUGACGCUUUUUAGGCGUUAAUAAAUGUAUACGAUGACACUUCUCGAAAGCGUCCUUUUUGCCUCUGUCAAGGAAUGGGUGCAGGCAACCAUGUCGCUUCUAGACAGUGUCAUUGUUGAUUGGUUUAUAUUAACACAUUAAAAAAUGUCAUUAUUGAUCUACCUAUGUUAACACUUACACUAGCGCCAAGGAAUGGCCAAACUAUCAUUUGUCUAUUUCGACACUAAAAAAAGUGUCAUCUUAUGUGGAUAAUAAUAUUGAAAAUCCCCCUGUUGAAGUGAUAUAUUUUUGUAUGUCCUGUUAUAUAUAAUUUUGGCUACAUGAUUAUUUAUAAAGUACCAAACAAUAACUUCAAUAUUAAUAACUACAUCUUCCAAAAGAAAUUGAAUAAAUUUGGGAAUGAUAUAAUGAUAAAGAACUAAUGUCUACAUAGUUAAUUAAUACGCAAAUUUGUAAAUGUAUCAAAAUAUUUACAAGCAUAUUUUCCAACUUCAACAUAUAUAAAACAAGUAUACAUGUACCAAAAAACAAGGUCUCCAAAUUCCUUAUCAAAAAUAAUAUUACAAAAAGAAGAAGAAGAUGCCAAAAGUAUUUUUGUUGGUUGCAUAUCCACUCCUGAACUUGAAAUCUCUUACCUGUAUGCAUUUAAAAAAAAAAUUAAUAGAAGAAACAAAUUAUGUUUAGUUAAUAUACAUGCAAUAUUGAAAGUUAAAUCUAAAUCUAUAAAUGGUCCAUGAAAGAAGUGCAAAUGAGAAUAACUUGGUAUUUAAUGAGAUGUUAUGCUUCAAUGAAGAUGAAAAUUUUUUUAAUUUGAUACUUGUUUAUAAAAUAUUAAAAUACUUUUUUAGUUCAUUAUUAAGUUAGAGGAAACAAGUUAGGCUUUCAAUGGUAUAAAUUCUACAAUAUGGAAUGUAAUAUAAUAUUUUCUUAUCUAUGUCUAACAUAUCAAACUCAUUUCUCAUAAAUAAAUAUAUGAAUAUACCAAUAGGUAUGGUUUAUAAUUAGUUUCAAUCAUAAAUCAUCAUAUCUAGUAAUAUAAGACAUUUAAUAUUAACCAUUUGCAAAUGCCUUAAUUUCUUCUUACAACUUUCCUAUAUUACCAAAUUUAGUUAACUAAUAACAUUCCAUAAGGAAAAAAAGAGUAUUAAACUAAAAAUUAAAAGAGCAUAACCAAGGCAAUAGAAACCUACAAAUCAUUGGUUAAAUGUCAUGAUAACAACCAUUCUAAAACUUGCCUUUAUUUUCAAUUCCAAAAUUAUAACCCAAAUAUAAUAAUUAACCUUACACAAAAAAAAAGCUCUCUACCAUCCCUCCAUCCAACAACAACCUUUACAACAACAAUAACUUCUCCAUACAACAAUAACAAUUUCUCCAUACAACAAUAACAAUUUCUCCAUGUAACAACAACAACAACAAUAACAAUAACAAUAACAUUGAUGAUCGAUGGUGAUAAUUAUAUUAGUAAUAAUUUGAUUUGUUUAGUCCAAACAUAUAACAAUAACAACUUCUCUAUGCAACAACAACAAUAAUAAUGACAACAUUGAUGAUCAUGAUAUAAUAAUUUGAUUUAUUGAGUUCACAAAUUAUAUGCUUCUUCUCCAUACAACAAUAACAAAAAUAACUUCUCCAUGUAACAACAUUGGCGAUGAUGUAAUAAUUUGAUUUGUUAUAUUGAAAUAGAUUAUGUAUAAAACUAUUAUAUUCUAUCACUAUGGAGGAAAAAAUUACUUAUCAUGAGAUGAGAACUUAUGAGAAUCGUCAAAAUGUGAUCUACAACUCUUACUGGACUGAAAUGAGGGCAUCUGCAUACAUAAGAUGGUAAAUUAAAAAAAUUAGUCCAUUCAAGACUUCAUUAAUAAUGAAAAUCAAGCAUUAUAGAUGUUAAUUUAUACCUUCAGGCAUGGGUAAGAAUCAAUUGAGUUGCCAACAUAACCCACUCAGAUCGUACUUCAUUAAGCUCAACUUCACUAUACUAUUUUUUCCCUUUAAAGUAAUAAUUAAUUGUACAUACAUGAUGAUUAGUUAAGUUAACAAAAAAUUACUAAAGUAUAGAAACUAAUAAAAUUUAUUAAUGAGUAUAUACCUUUGUGGAUAGGAGGCUUGGAUCAACAAUUAUAUCUUUCAUGUAUCUCAUCACAUAAUAACCACACUCCACACUUCCUAGUUGUCUUGGGCACUAUAGGCACACAUAUGAAUUAUGGUACCAUAAAAACAUUAAUAUCAUGAUGUUUUAUGUCAUUAUUAUCUAAGUGACAAAACAUAAAACCAUAUUCAAAUUUUAGGGUUGAUAUAAGUGGUCAUAUGAUAUAUCUUACUCUAACCAAGUAACUUACCACUACUUUUACCCAUGUUGGCUCCCUCUUUGAUGAUCUUUGUUUCUUUGGUGGAUGAAUUCGUAGUGCCCUACAUGGAAAUGAAAAUUAACAUUUUAGAUACUAUGCACUAUAUUCAAGUAUGGAAAUGAAGACACUUACAUGUUAACAAUUUCCUUAAGAUCAUCACAUGGUUGCUUUUGCAUCGGAUCAAGGUAGUACGCAAUCAUUGUCCUCAUAUCCAAUGCCACCAAGACCCAGUGGAAACUACAAUAGUACAUUAGAUAUUAUUUAGUAAUUAGCAUUGAUUAAGCUAUUUAACAUUAAAAAAAAACUUAAUAUUUUUCAUAACUUACUCAGGGUUAUAUGGAAUAAAAAUGUAGUCAGCACGCUUUGCAUGCAUUAAAUGAUUUGCAAUCAACCUUGACCUAUUUUCCUUUGUUGUCUCACCCAUUCCAGCUUUAGAGACUAAAGCUGGAUUGAUAAAAGCAAAUCGUUCGGUGAGCCUUGCAUCACUUAGCUUUUUCUGUAGGUGCCUGUUUAAAUUCCACAUACCUUGAUAAGAAAUGACCAUUUUACUUUUAUAUAUAUAAAUUAACACACAUUAGCAAGUUAUAAAAUUAUUUACCAUAUAUAAUAUAUGACACAAUUAGCCGACACUUCCUUAAAUGAAAUUAUCAUAUCCAUGUCUUCUUUCAUAAGGAAGGUCUUAAAACUCUCGCCAAAUACAUCAUUUGGGACCUCCACACCUUGUGCUUUCCCCUCAUUUAGCAUGAGACCUACUAAUGCAUCAAAAUUGUUGAUAUCUUGAGGGUUUUCACCAAUUUUCAAGUCAUUUUCUGUUGUUUUUUGUCUUUUCCCUUUGUGAGAUCCCUAUAAAAGAAAGCACCAUGUUUUCAAAUGAUAUACAUAUCUUUAUAAACUAUUGUAAAUGAAAAUAACACACCUUAAUGAAUUUAGUACUCAAGUUGACUAAAUGGGUUGGCCAUAAAACUUGGUAGCCCACUGCCGCUCCAACUGUUGUAGCUUGUCCAGGAAUGGGAAUAGGAAGUGGUGUAUUUGACUCAUAGGGAGCAUCCAAAACAACUAGGUAGUUAGGACCACAAUCCAUUACAAUUGUUCCACCAGCCACUGUAUUUUCUCUGGUCCCUACUGCCAACUCACAUUUUCUUGCCUUCAAAAGUAAAUUAAAUUGUUAAUUUCAAUAUAAAAAAAUAAUCAAUAAAUGAAGUUUAAAGUGCAUUGACUAUGUUAGGGCUAUAUUUAAGACAUAAAGUUACAUAUUUUAUAAGUAAUAGUGGUAGUGGAAUAGAAUAUUACUAGUAGUAAUUAUACUGUAAUAGAAUCUACCUAAAAUGUAAGUAUUAAUCUAACAAAAAUAAAAGCAAUUGGAAGAAAUUAUUUAUGAAAAUUAUCUAGGAAUUUGUGACAAUUACGUCAUUGAACUAGGAAAUGUAAACUAAAAAUAACACACCUUCAUGUGUGGUUCUAUUUUCACAGGUAAGGUCUCCUCCUCAACUUUACGAAUUGGUUUCUCCACUACUUCGGGUAGAAGCAACAGUUUUGAUUUCAUGUUGGAACUACUCACAUCGGAUUGUGGUGUAGCAACUCCUAUCUGAGAUAGUCUCGCUAACACAUCAGCCUCAAACUUAACUUGACGUUCUUGAGGUUCUUUUAAAAUAUCCCUCACAACACGUUCUGACAUACUAUUGAAAUAUCGUCCAGGCGUGUAGUGCUUCCCUUUAGCUCGAACCCGACCAGUAUACUCAGGAGUACCUAGUGCUUGAGAAAGUAUGUCAUUGCUCCCACUAUAGCUUAUGCCACUAUCUUGAGACUCUUUCAUCAAUUCAUCCUAAAACAAAAGGAAGUUAUGAAGUUAACUUUCAAAUAAGUAAAACCAAAUAAGGUGCUUAAAGAUGUGAUUUUUGGGUACAAAAUGUCUACUUACUAUUUUUUCCACUACCGGUAGGACCACAUCAUCAUAGUUGCCAUCUUUUUUUUGCAUUGGCCUCUUCCAAAGUAAACUUCUAUCAAUGCUUUCUGUGGAGCCAACUUCAAUGAUCUAAUAGAAAUAGAAAAUUAAAGAUAGUUAUUAGAUGACACAUGUGGUUUUAUUUCUAUUUUUUUGUCAGAAAAGAAACAAUUAAGAAACCCAUAUAAAAUAUUCAUUCAUUACUUAUACAAUCAUAUAAAAUUAAACCACAAUAAGAAUUAACAAAAACUUACCAUCUCUUCUUCAAGUCCAACAUACCCUUUUCUACUUAGAUGAUGAUUAUAUAUAUGCUUCUUUCUUCUCUGUUUUUGUACUUCCCUAUAUUCCUACAAAUUAAAAUGGAUGCUUAGUAUAUAUAUGUGGAUGCAUGUAGUAUGUUUAAUGUUAAUUGUAUUUGUACCUGGAAUUUUUCAAACAACCUAUUUUUCACAAAAAUAUUCCAAUCUUCAUCAUCGAUAAAAUGAUAUUCAGCUGGUGGUUUCUUAAGAAGCUCUGGCUCAUCUUUGAAAGGAAGAAUAUGUUUCACAGUCAACGUGUUCUUAAAAGAUCGAAAACAUUUUCCCAAUGUAAGCAUACAAUUCCUUCUGCUUUUCUUGUCUAAUGUAAAAGCAAUCUACAAAUUAUAAAGUCAUUAGUUUCUCAAAAUUUGAAAGAAAUAUAGAGAUUGUAGAAAACUUAUUUAUGUUAAAAAAAAAAGUAACCUCAAUAGAGUCCCACAACUUAUCCUUCAAUUGUUCAGGGACAUCUCGCUAUGUGUUAUAUCUGAUUGGUACCAUCGUAUGUGCCAAUACACCUAAGUAGCUUGUUAGGUGCACAGAAGAUUCUCCUACAUAGAUACCAUCAGCAUUGUACUUUAUGACCAACUUUAUCCCUCUAUUCCUAUUCCUUAUAAUCAUGGAUUUCCUUGUUGUCCCUCUAUAUUUUUUUUGUGAAGGGGUUUUCUCUUCCUUUGAAUCCAUGCCUAUAACACAUCAAUGAGAAAUGAUAAGUAUACCCAUUAAUUGCAAGUAAAAUUGAAUUUUUUCUAACAUGAACUCAUAUUAGUAACAUGAACAUACUAGGGACAUUUUACAUGCUAGAUAACAAUAUUCACAUGUUGUCAUGAAAUAUUUAAAAAUAAUAAUAAUAAAAACUUACUAGAAGAUCCUCACCAAACUUUUUUCUUAUGGAACUAGAAAUCAUAAGCUUUGAACUGAGACAAAUUGAUAUCCUUGUAUUACCCUUUAGAUCACUUUGAGAUAUGUGUAUAAUAAUAAUCAUGAAAUAGGGAAUCAAUAAAUUUAGAGACAUGAUGAAUUUAAUCCACUUAGAAAAUAAAUAAACUAUUUACUGAAAUGCAGAAUUUCAAUAUUAACAAGUUAAUGGGAUAGUUACAACCUUCACAACAAAACAAUAAGGUCAUAAAUUUAGUUACAUAGAAGAUUUGUUAUCAAUCCAGAAUCCCUCACAGUCUCCUCGAAUGCAAAUGACAUCAGAGUCAUCCAUUGUAUCAAAUGAUUCAACUUGUGCCAAGGUGGUAAUGAGAGGAUGGUGUUCAAUAGAAUUAUCCAUGAAGUCAUCAGAAUCCUUUGCUGAAAAUGAGAAGUCCCUUUCAGGAGUUGACAAAACAACUGACCAUCUUGGAUCAAGCUGGUCUUGUACAUAGAAUACUUGCUUAGCUUGGGAGGCUAAAAUAAAUGGAUCUGAUUUAUGAGCCAUCUUAGUGAAGUCAACUAAUGUCAGCCCAAACUCAUCAACUUUGAUGCCGCUCUUAUUAUCAACCCAAUUGCAUUUGAAAACUGGAAUCCUAAACAUGGUAUAAUCAAGAUCCCAUAUCUCAGUAAUAAUACCAUAGAAACAUAGCUCACCAAAAACUGGAUUCUUAUCCUUGGCACUAGAAAUUUGCAUUGUUGUUGCUACAAUGCUAACUCCACUAUUCUGGGUAACUCGUAACUCAUCACGGUCUUUUGUAUUGUACUGACACCCAUUUAUAACAUAGCCAUGAUACUUGGCCACGUAGUGGGUAGGACCAUGUGCCAUCCAUCUUAAGGUUUCAGAUAUAGGUUCUUUGUCAGCAAUGGCAACUUCUACCUGUUUGAAUGGACAAUAGUUAUUAAUAUUUUUUAUGAUUAGUGCUAAGAAUGGUGCAAUUUUUAGAAUAAAUUCAAUACCUUUUUUCGUAACCAAUGAGUGAAUGUUCGCAUGUGUUAUUCUUGUAGCCACUUUUAUCUCUUAGAUUGACGAGGAUUGUUCAAUUUCAACCAUUUCAUGUGUUCUCUAUAAGAUAUGUAUAAGAAAGUAACAAUAAGUUUCCAAAAUUAGUUUAAGUAAUCUACACAUAAAAUCAAAAUAGUUGACCCUUACUCGAUAUAAGGUUGGAUGAUAGUUGUAUUUUCCAACACAUAAUGAUGUGCUUGCAACAACAAAUUACAAUCAACUUCGGUGAUAUGACCUCCACGAAUAGGUGCCCCAACUUUAUGGUCAACAUUAGUGCUACUAGGAACUCCAAUUGCAUCCACAUUUGAUAAGUACUCUGUACAAAAUUCAAUAGCUUCCUCUGCAAUGUAGCAUUCAACAAUGCAACCUUCAGGGUGGUUACGGUUUCGCACAUAACCCUUUAAUACUUUCAUGAACCUUUCAAAUGGGUACAUCCAUCUAAAAUAAACCGGUCCACAAAGUCUCACCUCUCUAACAAGAUGAACCGUUAAAUGAAUCAUGAUAUCAAAGAAGGAUGGCAGAAAGUACUUUUCAAGCAAGCACAAUGUCACAACAAGUUCAUUUUGUAACUGAUCCAAUGUAGACACAUCAACCACCUUCUUACAUAAAGCAUUGAAAAAAAGGCUCAAUCUAGCAAUAGCAUGUCGUACAUGCUUUGGCAAAAGUGAUCGCAAUGCCACUGGUAACAAUUGUUGCAUCAGUGUAUGAUAAUCAUGGGACUUCAGGCCAUAAAGCUUCAAAUCUUCCAUUGACACAAGAUUUCUAAAGUUUGAGCAAUACCCUUUAGGAACCUUUAACUCAGCCAAAGUUUGACAAAAUACUUUCUUCUCCUUUCUAGACAAUGUAUAACAUGCAGGUGGAAGGUAAGUUCGAUUCGAUUCAAACCUUGGUGCCAGUUCACACCUUAAGCCCAUGUCCAUAAGGUCUAGACGAGAAUUGAGUCCAUCUUUUGUCUUCCCUGGGAUGUUAAGUAAUGUACCAAUGAUGCUUUCACAAACAUUUUUCUCAAUGUGCAUUACAUCCAAAUUAUGACGAACAUGCAAAUAUCUCCAAUACUCAAGUUCAAAGAAUAUAGACUUUUUCUUCCAACAAUUGGUAUAAGUCACAUUGGAUUUUUCAUGUCUUCCCCUUUUUUUCCCCCAUGAAUUACAAAUGACAUUCAUUUUCAAUAGUAUUUCCUCUCCACUUAAUGGUUGUGGAGGUGAUCGAAACUUUUGCUCACCAUUGAAUGCCUUUCUAUGUUUUCUAAAAGGAUGAUUGCAUGGAAGAAAACGUCUGUGACCUGUAAAUGAGUUCUUUCUCCCAUGCUUCAACCUAUGUGAAUAGGUUUCCGGUCCACAUAUUGGACACGCAAAAUAUCCUUUGACUGUGCAACCAGAUAAGUUUCCAUAUGCAGGAAAGUCAUUUAUUGUCCAUAAUAGAACAACCCUUAAUGUAAAGACCUCUCUUUGAUAUGCAUCAUAAGCUUCUACCCCUAUCUCCCACAAGGUUUUAAGGUCCUCAAUCAAUGGUGCUAAAUAGAUAUCUAUGUCAUUUCCAGGUUGUUGUGGACCCGAUAUUAACAAAGAUAACAUCACAAAAUUUCUCUUCAUGCACAACCACGGUGGAAGGUUAUAAGUGAUCAUGACAACUGGCCAACAACUAUACCUGCUGCUCAAAGAACUAUGGGGAUUUAUGCCAUCUGCUGAAAUGGCAAGUUUAAGGUUUCUAGGUUUUGCAGCAAAAUCAGGUCAUCUAUGGUCAAUUACCUUCCAUGAUGGCGAGUCGGAUGGAUGACGCAUUUUUCCAUCAAAUUCUCCACCAUCUGCAUGCCAUAUGAGGUCUUUUGCAAUUUUUGAGGACUGAAACAUUCUUUUAAAUCGUGGGAUAGGUGGAAAAUACCACAUCACUUUAGCAGGAACUCCUUUACUCUUUUUGCUUCCUCUUCUAUUCACCUUCCACCUUGAAGCUCCACAUGUAGGACAUGAAGAUGCAUCUUUUAACUCAUUCCUAAAAAGUAUGCAAUCAUUGGGACAUGCAUGUAUUUUUUCAUAUUCCAUUCCCAAUGCAUUCAAUGUUUUUUUUGCUUCAUACAUAGACAAUGGCAACUCAUUGUUUACAGGCAACAUAUCACCAAGUAAGCUUAAUAGCUCGGAGAAGCUUUUAUCAGACCACCCAUAUCUUCCUUUCAGAUUGUAUAAUUUAACUAAAGCAGAUAAUUUGGUGAAGUUUUUGCAACCAGGAUACAAAGGUUUUUCAGCAUCUUCAAGCAACCUUUCAAAUAAUUUUGGAUUAGCCUUACAAUCAUCUUGUGCAGCUUCAACCAUUUCUACUGUAUGAUCCACAUUACCAAUAUGAAUUCUAUCAAAACAUUCAACCCUUGUAGUUGGGGGUCCACUACUUAGAGCUGCCUCCCCAUGCCAAAACCAAGUAUGGUAACUUUGGUCAAUUCCAUAAAAGAAUAGGUGUUCUCUAAUCUUUUGAGGAGUAUUGAAGAUCAAAUUUCCACACUGUAGAAAUGGGCAUUUGAUGGAGUUUUGAUUUGCAAAAUUUUGAACUGCAAAUGAAAUAAAAUUUUCAACCCCAUCCUCAUAGUCUUUUGAUCUUCUAUCUUUUGACAUCCAGGAACGAUUCAUUUGCCUAUAAUAGUUGAACUCAAUUCCUAUAUAGCAAACAUAAGCAAACAAUGGAAAUGGAAAAGACUUAGAAAAGUUACCUUUAGAAAACACUCAAAACUUUCAGUUUCUCAUUUGUGACAUCCAAAAUUUCUUUUAAACUUUCUAUGGACAAACAAUUAGGAUUCAAGUGUAAUAAAAAAUUUGAACCUCAUCCUCAAUAAAAAAAAAGGAUUAACAAUAUGACAAUAGAACCUUUUGAUGCAUGUUUUUAUGCCUUUUAACAUGUCUAUCAUCCAAAAUCAGGUAGUUGUUCCUAUCCCAUGUAGGAAUACAUAAUCCCUAUGUGUUAAUUGCCAAUAUACUCAAUUUCAUUUUAAAGAAAUUUUGGUAGCAUUUCCCCAUAGUUCUCCAAGUACACAAAAUGAACAAGGUAUAAUAUGUGACCUUGUUCAAAUAUGCACCCAGAGAACAAGAGGAAAUACUACCAAAAUUUCUAAAAAUUGAAUUAAGCACAAGCAAUUAACUUCAUAGAUAUUAUGUUUUCCUACACUGUCCAAUCGGACAAUUCAAACAUCAUUGCAAAAAAAAUAUCUUUAUCACAUUCUAGACAACUUGAAAGUGGCUUAGAUAAAACCUUUUUCACCUUUGAAAACUUAAAUGUCUUUAGUAUGUAAUAAGAGAAACUUUUAUCUUACAAUGAUAGUUGAAUGGGAACUCUAAGGUUUCAUGCAUGCAUGUUUGAUUAAAAUUAAAACACAAUUACUUAUUGAAUAAUCUAAUAAUUAUAAAACACCUAAAGUUGUUCCAUAAUUAUUGCUAUAUUUCAUCAUUAAACAAGAUUAUUAUAAGAAAGCAUACGUAUGGCCCAUGAUUUGCGAAUCAAGUCACACCAGUCUAUGUCAUAGCCUUGGGUCAAAAUUUGGGCCUUGGUAUCAAACUAAGCUGGGGAAUAACUCGUACAAUUCAGGUACUCAAUAAGAUUUAAACAAAAUUUAAAAUAACGCUUCCAUUAUAUUCUUCUAACCACCCAAAGUAAAAAUGGUAUUAUAAUUAAAAUAUGUUGGUUUGUAUAAGGAAAAAUAGUGUACCUUCCUCACUCUGUCUUUGUCUCGAGUCUUGCAUCACACACCUCUCGUAGUCCAAUGUAGGUCACUGUCUCUUAAAAUAUGUAUAUGCAAAACAAAUAAUAAAUAAAGAUAUAAAAUAAAUCCAUUAGUAGAUAUUAACAAAUAAAUACAAAAUAAAUUAAAAUAAGAAAUAAACUAAGAAGAAAAAACAUAUAAGUAAGAAAAAAAAGAUUUUCACAUGUGCAACAAUGGUUAGAUAUUUUUAAAAAUUUAUAAAAUUAUUAAAAUCAAACUAUUUUAGUUAUUAUUAUUUUUAAAUGGUAAUUAAUACUCAUAUAAAAUAAAAAUGAUACAAGUUUUGAAAUAUUCCAUUACCAUAUUUUGAGUAAUAUUUUUAAAGGGUUAAUUUAAUUCAUUUCCCCUCAAGAUUUGACUAAAUAUAAUGGCACCCGAUAAUAUGAAAUUUGAAGAAGUCCAUAAACUCUUCAAGUCUAUAAUUAGAAGUUCCUAGUAAGUUGUCACCCAUACUAAUGAAAUUUCUUGAGUCAACAUUAAUCUCGAACCUUUUUGCUACCUUCAUUACCUAUUUUGCCCCUUGACCACCUACUUAGUCCUCUUUACUUUGACCAUGUGUGUUUCUCUUACUUGCCCCUCUACUUUUAUGAAAAAAGCAUAUAGAAGAAGCCCAUUCAAGUUUUUAAUUUUCCUUUGUUUGGAUCAUUCCUUGAAACCUUCUAAAAUUUCCCUUGUACUUAGCCUCAACAUUAUAGGGUCCAAUAAAACUCUUAUAAAUAAAAUAAAAAGUGUAAUAAAUAUUAUAAAAUUAUUUUAUUAAAAAAAUUAAUAUAUAUAUAUAUAUAUAUUAUAAUUAUUAAAUUAUAUAAAAUCUUAUUCAAUAAUAAUAUUGUGAUAUUUAAUUAUAAUAUGUUUAAUUUUAAAAUAUAUUUAAUAUUAAAAUUAUGAUAUAUUUAAUUAAUAUAAUAAUGAUAUUAAAAACUUUUUACAAUUUAAUUAAAUAAAAAAAUUAUUUACAUAUAAAAUAAUUAUAAUUAAUUUAUUGUUUAAAGGAUUAUUUUAAUAUUUUGUGUAUAUAAAAACUUUUAAUAUAUAUAUAUAUAUAUAUAUAUAUAUAUAUAUAUAUAUAUAUAUAUAUAUAUAUAUAUAUAUAUAUAUAUAUAUAUAUAUAUAUAUAAUCAUAAGGGUUUUGAUUUCAACAAUGUAUAUUUUAUUAAGUAAAGAAAGAAGGGCAGCUUCCUUGAACUUUCAAUCCCAACUUGCAGAUUUUACACUUUCGGCAUCACAGGUAUAUUGAGGAGGACAAGGAAAAGUGCCAUCAAUGUAUCCUAAGAGGUCAUUGCUAAUUAAAACAGGGAGGAAUUUAUCUUUCCAGAGAAGAUAGUUGGUGGAAUCAAGUUUGAUUGGUAAUAUUCGGUGUAGCAAGUAGAGUGGAAGAAGGCAGUGAAUUCGAAAUAGAAAACUGAUAAGAAUGUGACAAAGAAGAAGGAAGAACAAAAGGAUAUGAUGGUGUAGAUAAAUAAGAAGAAGAAAAGAAUAGGGUGAAGGAAUUUAUUUGAGGAGAAUAGGAGAUGACAAAGUUGAUACCUGAGUCAAGAAGGGAGGAAGAACAGUGGUGGAGAUGACAGAUGGAGGUCCGGCAAGAGUGCUAGGAGGCAAGGACUUAAAAACCUGGGUCAACGACGAUGCCACUAAGGAUCCAGUGAGAAAUAGUUCUUUCCCCUUAGAAAUUUGACUCUCUCAAUACAAUCGCAUGUUUCCAUGAGAGAGGAGGAGCUGGUGUUUGGAACACCAUCAUCAAUAACCAGGUCUUUUAGUGCAUUCAUAUGUGCAGUGCUCCUUUCAAAUGGUGAGAAAACAGAAGAGAGUUCACCAUAGCUGUAGGGACAGCAGUGGAAGAUGGUGUCGCAGCCAUGGCAGAGGAGAUUGAGAGAGGAUGCAGCAGCUAGAACAAUGAUAGCGGCAGGUUUAGAAUCCUUUCAACGCACCAAAUUUAGAGUCAGACUUGACAGCCUUUCAAAGACGCGGAGGCAUAGAAUAUUCCUGAUUAAAAUAUGUGAGAUCAUAAGCACCAAGGAAAUCAACGACCCCACCACAGCUACUGCCACUCUCUGCCACCACAGCUACUGGCAUACUCCGCCACCACAGCUACUGCCACUCUCCGCCUCUUCUUCCACGACUGCAUGGUCAAAGGCUACGAUGCCUCAAUCCUCAUCUCCUCCAACUCCUUCAACACCGCCCAGCAUGACGCCGACAUCAACCUCUCCCUCCCAGGCACGAGUUUUGCCUCUCCAAUCAUCAGUCAUCAGUCAUGACUUUGUAGGAGGGAUGAGGUGGACCAAACAAGGCCUUCGGAAUGGCCCAAAUCCAGCCACAUCCAAGGUCCAAAUUCCUAUCCCCUAAAUUAAAAUUAAAAUUAUUAUUAUUAUUUACAUUCUGUAGAAGUUUCUUCUUUAAACCAAGCCCAUAUAUUUUGGACCUGGUGCCUCCCCCAAUCCUUGGUUGCCCAACAACUAAAACUCAAACCCAAGCCCACCAAAGAAAAUUUUAAAACACGUCAUGCCUUUGCCAGCUGUUCCCCUCUCAAUACCAUUUAAAAAUCCUCCAUUCUGUAGCUUUCUCAACUGCUGCAGCCGAACCUGUCUUCUCCUUGGUGUACGAACACGGCACGUCCAUACCUACAGGCGGUAGAGACUACACCUCAUUUCCCACGCCCUUGUGCUGGUGCGUGAGCCACCCACCACAUUACCCUCAACCUCCAUCCCGAUCACCAUGCUGGUUGCUACAUCUCCAUGGCAUUACAUUAGGCAAAAACAAGGCAGAACUUUCCACCACAACUAAAAGGAGAAGCUGGAACCAUACCUAUUACAACUUGCAGCGUACCAUACAACAAGAAGAAUAAAAAAUGCACUGUAUUUAUUUGGGAUACCAUUACUCUGAUUUUCUCCUCCCAAAAUAAUUUUCCCAUCUAUGAAACAAUAAUAUUAGAUUUUUGGAACAACGAAAACCCUUCCAUUUGUCUUCAUUUGUACUAAUCUAUUCAAGUUUGAGGAAAACAACAUUACUUGAGAAAGAGAUUUACCUGUAACUAUGAUGCUCUGUAGUAGAUUUUGACAAUGGUAACCUCCAAUGCAAGGAAGUUAGACAUGGCCAUUCCAACAGAUUAGGCCAUUUUAGUGGUGGACUUUGCAAGAGGAAUGGAUUUUGGCAAUUGAUGUGGAGUCAAAUGACUUUGCAAGGGGAAUGGAUUAGGGCAUUUUAGUUUCUUCAGUUCUGAAAUUGUGGAGGGAAUGUCUGGCGGGUGAGUGUAGAAAGGGAAAAACAUUUAAUUAAUAUAUAUUUAGAACAUAUAUAUCUAUAUAUAUAUAUACUAUUAUUUAAUGUCACCUAAUAUAAGCGCCAUCAAAUAUCACAACUAUGACACUGCUGAUUCCGUGCCCAAUUGGUGUCUCAGCUGAUUCGUGUCCAGCUGGUGCUCCUUGAUUGAGGGAGUAAUCAACAAAAUUUAUAACCUAUAACACCAUAUAAUAGGCUAGCAAAGACAAAGCUACUAUAGUAUAGCGGCUCUAGGAUCGUUCACUGGGAAGGAUUAACAAGCUAUCAAUGAUACCAAUUCCAAGUGAAUUGGUUUUGUUUCAUUUCAUGGUUAGCUUAAGAAGUAAAACACAAACUUUGAUUGGUAAAGGUUUAGACUUAAACUAACUAACAUAACAGAAGUUUGGAAUAAUUUAGAAAGAAAAGCAUUCCCUGGAGAGUUAGGUUCACUGGGGUGGUUCCUCAUGCAAAAGACACGGCUCUGGUCAGAUGGUUCAUUUCCUCGCGUUAGAGAUUCAACAUAUAGUCAAUUCUCUAACCGGUGUUGUACAGAGACUCCUUCAAUUAGAUUUCACUUUAAUUCUCUCACUGAUGCAACUUGCAAUGGUUUAAGCCUCUCACUAAGCCUCAACCAUUCAAGGUAAUCUUUAACAUUGGAUUACCCGUCAAAAGCUCGCAAGAGAUAACUAAUAGAUGUCUCCUUAGAGUCCAAAAGCUUACCAAGUGUUGGCUAUUCUAGAAAAUCCUACCCUAAAGUCACCUCCCAGAGGCUCGCAAGGGGUAAACUAGUGCAUUUCCAUGGUUGGAAAUCACUUGCCUUACCAAGUGUUGGCCCAGGUAACUCUAAGGUGUUUUAAGUUAACUAAAAAUAUAGAAAUCACUAAAGGAUUUCACUUCCUCUUCAUUACUAGUUAAAACCACAAAGCUUUACAUUCUUGCACUUGGAACCUUCCCCGGCAACCUUAGCUCCAAGGAACUAGAGGUUUAGUUACUCAUUCUCUAGGGAAAACUCCUCAGAGAAUUCAUAACUUAGAAAUAAAAUAAAAAUACAAAGUGAGAAGGUAAGGCAGUAGAAAGAACUGAACUUUACUUGCUUACCCAAACUUUUACAGAAGGAACUCCCUUCUUAGAACAGGCUCUCGAGAGGUAUAUAUAUGAACAUAAUAAAAAAACUAAUUAUUACAUAGAUAUUUACUCUUUUUACUAACUUAAAAGCUAAGGAAUCAUGUAAUUGGUGGCUUACAAGGAGUAUUUUGGGAUUUAGACAACAAAAAUCUGAUGUAAAAUAUCUUCCAAUGUCGGUAGCAAAUAUCGGGGUGCUUCAGGAACCAUUUCGCAAGAGAAAAUGGUGUCUGCGAGAUUUCGCAAACACUCAAGAGGGGCUGCGAAAUAUUUCGCAACAACAUGCUAUCUUCGCAGGGCUGCGAAGUUGGCUUCCACCUUGAGGUUCCAAGCUUCCCUCUCGCGGUAUAUGUCGGGCAUCUUCAGGAGGAAAUACACCCUACUGUACAAAAAGGAUGCGAAAUCAUUUCGCAACAAAAGGGUGAUUUCGCAGCACUUUGCAAAAUGCUUCCUUCAGCUCGGAGUGAUUGGCUUGCAAUGGCUGCAACUUCUUCGUUUCAACUUUGAAUUGCACACCGUUUGAAGCAGUGGAUUGUUGACUUCCUGAGAUUUGAAAUGGUAUAUAGCAUGCAUCAUUUGGACUUCAGAAAGUGCUCCAAAAGUGGCUGCUACGAUUGUCAUCAAGAAUAUGCUUCAUGGCAAAUUCUCUUUACUUUUUCUCCUUGCAAUCCGGAUUUACUCUUGGCAAAUGACUUCUAAGCUUUGCCCAAGAUUCCUCAUAGCUCUCCUCAGUCUUGACUUGCUUUGAUGAUUAAAUUACUAACAAAAACAUUAAAACUUACACAAAGUAAUCAAAAUUGCUUUCAAGGGUCCUUAACAUGUCAAUUGAGUUAAAAAGCCAAAACUACUACUCAAAAGUGUUUAAAAGGAUUAAUUAUAAGCUAUCAAAUAGCACUUUUUGAGUAGUAAUCACUCCCCCCAACCGACAUAUUGCUAGUCCCUUAGCAAAAUAGGAGAGAAAAAAUGAAAAUAAAAAGCAACCUAUACUAAAAUUUACAACAUCAUGCUGAUCAAAAUCAAUUCUCAAGUGGCAUGAUGAUAUAAUUCUCACAUGAAAAAUUAAAGAAAUACAAAUCCAAAUUUCAACAAGAGUCAUAAAAAACUAUGCUAAACACUGUCAAUCAAGGGAGUGCAUUAUGCAAACUGAAGUUUUAAAAUCAUUUCCACUUUCAAAGAACCAAACUUUAAUCUUCCACAAAAAUCUAUGUGUAUUGGUUCCUUAGCUUCCGAGAAUAAUAUGCUAAACUAAUCUCUCCCCCCAACCUAUCUCUUUUCAACACUUAGCAAACUGACCAAAAUCAAUAAGAAAAGAACACACUUUCAUUUUUUUUUUUUUUUUAAGGUAGCUUUAUGGGGUACUCUUUCUGACUUGUCCAUGUAAUGGGGGUCCAUCGAUGACUCCCAACCAAUUAAGGUUUAGGGCACCAAGCUUUAAGGAUCUUUCAACCACUAAUUCCUCGGAUUUUUCCCCAGACUUUUAAGAAUGAAUUUCUAAUACCCAAGCAUCUACCAUAUGUUAACUCUACCUAUUCACCCUUUUAACGAGCAUUAAGGUCGGUGACUCCCAACCAAUUAAGGCUUAGGGCACCAGGCUUUAAAGAUUUUCACCAUAUACCCCUCAGACCUUGCUCAGGUUUCAAGGCAAGCAAACAAUUUUCUUUAUUUCAAAGGCUCAUUGGCCUUUUGCAGGGUGUUUCAAUUUUUAUCAAAUGAGGUCAAAUGUACCAAGUCCCAAAAUUAUCCUAAGUCAAGAGGGAAAUAGUUUUUCAUCUUAUAAUCGGAAUCUAAUGUGCACAGUGUGUGAAUAGCUUAAAGUGGAAGAACUAAAUUCAAUUUCAAUAGAAGUUUAAACAAUUGAACCACUUUAGUGAGCAUAAUCCAUACUCUAAGUCAAGUGAAAAACAACAGUUCAAUUUCUCCUGUUUCAAUUUGAAAAUUUUUCCUCAAAAUUCAUGGAGAUUAGAGUAAAAAGAGUAAAAAGUAAAAAUUACAACUAAUUUACCAAAAUAAUUGCAUUACCAAAAAGACUUAUCAUACUUCCUUCCUCAUUCCCCCCAACCGAACUGAGCAUUGUCCUCAAUGUGAUAUGAGUGACUGUAAUUAAAGGGAGGAAGUGGUACCUCCUAAGUGAUAUCAAAUUCGAAUAUUGAUUGGAGAAACCACAUGUUUCAAAAAGAAUAAAAUAUGUGAGAAAAUGAAAUAAGAAUAAGUUAAUGCUAACUGUUAACAAGAAAUAUUAAACUUGUAUUACUUUAAAUUCAUUCGAGUACAAUGCAAAAGAAAAGUAAAACAAGCAAUCCCAAAUAUAGUACGAAAAUAAUGGGAUUUCUUUCCAACUAAAAAAUGAAAUACAUAAAACUAUUAGAUAUAUAUAAUAGUCUGAUGAGUGGGGUGGUGGGGCUAAGCAGAUGGGUCUGCCUCUUCAAUAGGUGCAUCAGCUGGGGCUUCAGGCUCUGGAGGAUGAGACUUUGAGGGAUGAGAGUGUGGCUCUGCUGGUGUAUCAGUGGAGGGCUCUACAGCUGGUGGCAGAUCGAAAUGAAGCUGGAGCUGCCUUAAGAUGGCAGCUUGUUGAGCCUGAGUGGCCAACAUCUGCUCUUGGCAUGCUCUAAUGGCUACCAUAUCUUGAGCAAGACUGCUUUGAGAAGCUGUGAGAGUCUCCAAUGCACGGCAUAACUCUCUAUAUUCAGAUAUAGGAAUAGCCAUCCUCGGUUCAGCUGAUGUGGAUGGCUGAGAUGAAGCUGGAGCAGCUGGUGGAGCUCUGGGAAUGGCAGGAGUAGCAACUGUUAUACCCUCAGGUAUAUGUCGUGGGGAUGCUCUCCUUGCAGCUGGCUGAGGCUGCUCAGGCUGAUCAACUUUGUAGGCUGUCAUGUUGUUCCAUUUAUCAAGAGUGAAUGGCUCACGGCAAAUGCGCUUUCUCUCCAGCUGAGGCUCAGAAGGAUAUCCCAAGUGCUCUAGAAUUUGGCAUAGCAGUCUUGGGAAGAGGAGGGGAAUGCAAUCAGCUCUCUGAAGCUUCUUUCUGUGAACCUUCUCUUCGAAAUAGAGAAGAACUGCUAGGAUCAGAUGAUGAGGCCCAAAGAAAAAUCCUUCUGACAUCUUGUAAAGAGCUUCUAAGAGGACUCCCCUUCUUUGGGUCCAAUGCUGCAAUGGGUAGAUAUUAUGACGCAAAAAUGCUUCAAUAAAAAACAUAAUUGGAGGAAGCUCCCCCCUCAACAGAUGUGAUCGAUUUGCAGCUCCUCUAGAAAGAGUGCGCACCAUCUCCAACUCAGUAGGAUUUGUCCAAGCUCUAAAAUUAUCGAAUUGGGUUGGCUCAUAGGGAAUUUGCAAGGCUUCAGCAAUAUGGUGUGCUCCUAAUAUGCCAUGUCUCCCAUCGAUAGUGAAAUGAAUCAAAGUUGGAUCCCUGACCUGGUUGGUUGUCAUCGAUUGAUAGAAAUCCGUGGCUACCCGGGGGUAGAAAAAGUCUCUCGAAGCUAGCAGUUGCUCCAUAUGGUACCUCCUCAGCAGCUGGAAUGAUUGGGCAAGCUCCGGCCUCACUCUGAAUGCCGGUAAGUCGAAGCAUAGCUCGGAAUGGAAUGGUCGAGCUCUACAAUCCAAGUUUCCCUCAAUUGGAGGCUGAGGUAGCAUUGGCUGCCUGAUUACUUCUUCCAGAGCUGUUUUGGAUGAAAUUUGGGGCUCGGGAAGUGGCGCUUGAGGCUCCUGAGAUUUUUCUUGCAGCGUCGGAGAUGGCACCGACGACGGAACUAGCACGGGACUCGGCGAGGGAACUGGAGUUGGAACCGGUGAUGGAAUUGGUGAAGGCUCUGGAGAUUGCUCAGUCAAAUCGAUGGGUUAUGAGCUCUGCACCCUGGGUCUCUUUUGCAGUGUACGACCUCUUGACCUGGUAAGGUAACGUUUCGCCGGAGGCUUUGGCGGCACUGGCUUCACCGGAGGAGGAAUUGCUUUCGGCUACGAAGGCUCUGGAGCAGAAUCUGGAACUGGCUCCUUUCGCAGACUCUUCUUGCGAUUCGAAGGAGAUGAAGAUUUAGCCCCUUGUGUUCGCGCCAUUUCGGGAUACCGAACUUUGGCCGACGUUGCUGAUCGGAGAAGAUGACCGGAUGCUUGGACGGUGUGGCUCACUAAAGAAGACGAACAACUUGCGAGAAUGGCGCUUUGAUUUUUGAAACCCUUUUCGCAACUCAAAUGACCGGUAUAAAUAGGAAAAACGGAAGCCUAAGGGUCAGUUUAAGUUUCGCAACAAAACGCCAAUUUCGCAGCAAAAUGCCAUUUUCGCAGCAAAAUGCUAUUUUCGCAGCAACUUCGCAAUGCGUUUCGCAGCUGCGAAAUGAGAGUUCCUGUGCUGCGAAGUGGCACUCGUGUGCCAAAAAUGCCUUCGCAGCUGCGAAAUACCCUCCGGAAUGGGACUUUUGGUGCGAAAUCUGGGCUUUACCACUUUGCAAUGCGUUUCGCAGCUGCCAAAUGAGAGCUCCUGUGCUGCGAAGUGGCACUCGUGUGCCAAAAACGCCUUCGCAGCUGCGAAAUACCCUCGCAGAGACUUCUACAGUGUUGCGGAAUGGUUUUGCAGCAUAGUGCUGAUUUCGCAGAGGCUGCGAAAUCUCGCAGAGCUCUGUUUUUUUGCUCUGGUUUUGCUCCGAUUUCGAUCCGAUUCUUUUCCUUUCAAUUUCCUUGCAAUUUCUUCCACCUGGGAUCAUUCAAAAAGAUUAAAAUACACAUAAAAAACAUGAUUUAAGAUCAAAAACUAAGAUCAAAAGUAUGGAAACAACUUGAAAAUUUACAAAAUUUACAAAAAUUUUGGACUGUGGUAAAACCACGUCCAGCAAACCCUUCUUUGCUUAGGCUUUUUGAGGCUCAAGGAGGUUGAUCUCCUAUUUUUCUAGUUUGAAUGGCUUCAUGAAUGGCUUGAGAUGAUAUCCAUUAACUUUGAAGGUGUCCUUGCCAUUGAAAUUCAAUAAUUCCACCACUCCAUUGGAAUAUACUCGGUGAAUUAUGAACGGGCCUAUCCAUCUUGACUUGAGCUUCCCAGGAAAGAUAUGGAGUCUUGUGUCAUACAGUAAAACUCUUUGCCCUUCUUGAAAUUCCUUGUUGGAAAUGAGUUGGUCAUGCCACUUCUUCAUCCUCUGUUUUGCAACUUUGGAAUUGAUAUAAGCAUUAUUUCUUAAUUCCUCCAUCUCAUUAAGGUUUAGAUAUCUCUUUUCGCCUGCCUUGAUCAAGUCCAUAUUCAGCUUCUUUAUUGCCCACCAAGCCUUGUAUUCAACUUCCACAAGGAGAUGGCAUGCUUUGCCAUAGACAAGACGAUAGGGAGACAUGCCAAGAAUAGUCUUAUAAGCUGUUCUAUAUGCCCACAAUGAAUCAUGAAGCCUAAUAGACCAAUCCUUUCUGUUGGAAUUCACCACUUUCAUCAAUAUGUUCUUUAUUUCCCUGUUAGCUAGCUCAACUUGCCCGGAAGUCUGAGGAUGAUAAGGUGUAGCCACCUUAUGCUUCACUCCAUACUUGGAUAACAAAGCUUCAAAAGGUUUGUUGCAAAAAUGAGCACCUCCAUCACUGAUUAUGGCUUUGGGCACCCCAAAUCUUGAGAAAAUGUUCUCUUUAAGAAACUUGAGAACCACCCUGUGAUCAUUUUGUUUACAGGGGAUUGCCUCAACCCAUUUAGAAACAUAAUCCACCCCCACCAAGAUGUAAGAAUUACCAAAAGACAUUGGGAAAGGUCCCAUGAAGUCAAUGCCCCAUACAUCAAAUAGCUCAACUAUUAGAAUGGGGUUCAUAGGCAUUUGAUUUCUUUUUGUUAGCUUUCCAAGCCUUUGGCAUCUAUCACAACUUCUACACAUGAUGUGGGCAUCUUUGAAAAGAGAUGGCCAAGUAAACCCUGAUUGCAAUACCUUCAUGGCUAUUUUCUGAGAGGCAAAGUGGCCUCCACAUGCAUUCUCAUGACAAUGAGAUAGAAUCCCUUGCUGCUCAUCUUCAGGGACACACUUCCUUAUUAUCUAAUCUGCACAAUACUUAAAAAGAAAGGGCUCUUCCCAAUAAUAAGCAUGAAUUUUGGCAAAGAAGUGCUUCAUGUCCUGUGCAUUCCACUCACUUGGAAUUUCUCCAGUUACUAAAUAAUUAGCAAUAUGAGCAUACCAAGGAGUUUUCACUAGGAACAUGAGUGAUUCUCCAGGAAAAUCAUCAUUAAUAGGCACGGGAUGGGAAUUAUGUGCUAUAAUUAACCUUUAAAGGUGGUCAGCUACUACAUUCUCCACUCCUUUCUUAUCUUUGAUUUGGAGAUCGAAUUCUAGUAACAAAAGAAUCCAUCUAAUCAACCUUGCUUUUGCAUCUUGCUUUGUCAAUAAAUACUUCAAGGCUGAAUGGUCAGUGAAGACAAUGAUGAAAGACCCCACUAAGUAAGCACGAAAUUUGUCCAAAGCAAAUACCACAGCUAACAAUUUUUUCUCUAUAGUUGUGUAGUUCCUUUAAGCUUCAUUUAGUGUUUUACUUGCAUAGUAAAUUACAUAGGGCUUCCCAUCUUCUCUUUGGCCAAGCACAGCUCCUAUAGCAAAGUCACUGGCAUCACACAUCAGUUCAAAAGGUAAUUGCCAGUUAGGGGCUCUCACUAUUGGAGUUGUUGUUAAAAAUUUUUUCAGUUGAUCAACGCUAUUUUGACACCUUUCAUCCCAUAUAAACUUAGCAUCCUUAGCUAACAGCUCACAAAGAGGUUUUGAAAGACUUGAAAAACCUUUUAUAAACCGCCUAUAGAACCCUGCAUGGCCAAGGAACUGUCUUACUCCUUUCACAGUUGUUGGGGAUGGUAAUUUGACAAUAAGCUCCACCUUUGCUUUAUCAACUUCAAUGCCUUUUUCAGAGAUGAUAUGGCCAAGGACAAUUCCUUGAUGUACCAUAAAAUGGCAUUUCUCCCAGUUGAGCACCAGGUCUUUUUCAAUGCAUCUGUGAAGAACUGCUUCCAAAUUAAACAAGCAUUCCUCAAAUGUACCUCCAUAUACGGUGAUGUCAUCCAUGAAAACCUCCAUAAUUCUCUCCACCAUAUCACUGAAAAUACUCAACAUACAUCUUUGAAAUGUAGCAGGUGCAUUGCAUAAACCAAAAGGCAUUCUCCUAUAAGCAUAUGUUCCAAAUGGACAUGUAAAAGUGGUCUUUUCCUGAUCUGCCAAAUUAAUUUCAAUCUGAAAAUACCCUGAAUACCCAUCCAAGAAACAAUAAAAUGGAUGUCUAGAGACUCUCUCCAGCACUUGAUCAAUAAAUGGCAAUGGAAAAUGAUCUUUCCUGGUUACAACAUUCAGCUUUCUAUAAUCAAUACACACCCUCCAGCCUGAAGUGAGGCGUGUAGUAAUUUCUUCCCCUUUUUCAUUUUGAACCACUGUGAUCCCUGACUUCUUUGGUACCACUUGAGUAGCAAGCCCAAUAGGAGAUUCAGACAAACCUUCUUCAAAAUUCACAAGACUUUCAUUCAACUUGUCUUGCAUAUUUUGAUUACAGUGCUCCUCCACCAAAGUAUCAAUAAUGCACAGCUCUUCUGGACCUUCUUCUUCUUCCAGAGUGAUUUGCUUUUUAGACAUAUAGAAAAUAUUGAGAUCCAGUGUCAUAUUACCAAAAGUGAGUUGCAUCAGCCCAUUCCUGUAGUUGAUGAUUGCAUUUGAAGUAGCAAGAAAUGGCCUUCCAAGGAUGAUAGGAACUAAAUUAGCUUCCUUUACAGUAGGAUCUGUAUCAAGAACAAUAAAAUCUAUUGGAUAGUAGAAAUUAUCCACUUGAACCAAUACGUCAUCAAUUACCCCUCUUGGAAUUUUCACUGAUCUAUUUGCCAGAGAUAGAGUGAUUGCUGUUGGCUUCAACUCUCCAAGUCCCAAUUGCUUGUAGACGGAAUAUGGAAGCAAAUUCACACUUGCUCCCAAAUCUAGCAAGGCUUUCUCCACUACCUUUCCUCCAAUCAUGACUGAAAUGGUAGGACUUCCCGGGUUUUUGUACUUCAAAGGAGACUUACAUUGUAAGAUUGCACUUACUUGCUCAGUCAAGAAGGCUUUCUUGUUUACAGUCAACCCUCUUUUGAUAGUACAUAAGUCCUUUAGGAAUUUUGCAUACGUUGGAACUUGUUUAAUCAUAUCCAACAGUGGAAUAUUGACUUUCACUUGUCUCAAUACUUCAAGGAUUUCAGCUGCAUUUCUAACCCCCUUUUUCCCAUGUAAUGCUUGAGGAAAAGGUGGAGAAAUUGAUUUCUUCAGCAUUUCUUCCUUCAUAAGUUCCUUAUCUAGAAUUGCAUUCAUUGUUGAAUCAGAGUCCUUCUUUUCUUCACUGAUCUCACUGUUUUUAUCUUUCAUUUCCUUCCCUUUCUUUAUCUCUUCUUCUUUCUCAACAUAUGGCUUGGGUGUUGGCUGCUCAAUUUUUUUACCACUCCUUAGAGUGAUCAAGGCUUUGACAUCUUUCAUCUGUGAUGAUUCUCCCUCUUGGCUUUCCACUUCAUGGACACCAUUGGGAUUUUGGUGAGGUUGAGAAGGAAAUCUUCCAUUUUCUUGCAGUGUAUUCAAAUUUGUAAGCCUUGAAAGUGAAUAUUGGAUGUUAUCAAACUUUUGGUUCAUAUCAUUUUGCAUUCCAUCCAUCCUUUUAUUCAACAUACUCUCCACUCUGUCAAUUCUUUGAUAGAUUUGAGCAUUGGUGGCUUCUUGCUUUCUAACAAAAUCUCCCAUUACCUUGCUGAGAUUAGCCAUUGCUUGUUCAAGACUUGAAGAUUGUUGAGAUGGUGGAUCGGGCUGUUGGUACUGAGUUGCUCUGGCUUUCCAUGAGAAAUUUGGAUGAUUCCUCCAACUUGAGUUGUAGGUAUUUCCAUAAGGCGCAUUGUUAUUGGACCUGAAUUGUCCAACAACAUUUGCUUGAUCUCUAAACAUCUCCCUUUCAACUGAAAUUGCAGGGCAUUCCUCCACCAAAUUUUCAUAUGAUUUACAAUUGGGACACAACUUCACUUGCACUGGUGCUUCAGCAACAGCUUGCACUUCAUGUAUUCUUUUCAGCUCCAGCUCCUCCAAUCUUCUUGUCAUAGCUGCCAACUUUUCUUUCAUAUCAUCAUCUUCUUUUAAGGUAUACAUCCCAGCCUUUGCAUUGUAAGCAUUCAACUGAGACUUCAUCUUUCCCACUUCUCCAUUGGUUGGUUCAUCCCAUCCCCUUGAAACAUCAGCUACAUAGCUCAAGAAAUCCAUAGCUUCCUCUGGAUUUUUGCUCAUGAAAUCUCCUCCACACAUUGUCUCGAGGAGUUGCUUCAUUGAGGAGGACAUACCAUCAUAAAAAUAGCUCACCAAUAGCCAAGUAUCAAAGCCAUGGUGAGGACAAGCAUUUAUAGCUUCCAUGUAUCUUUCCCAACACUCAUAGAAUUUCUCAUUCUCUUUAGCUGAGAAGUUUGAAAUUUGCCUUUUCAAGCCAUUUGUUCUAUGAGUGGGAAAAAAUUUCUUGAGGAAUUCAGCUUGUAAAUCAGUCCAAGAACGGAUACUCCUUGGCCUUAAAGAAUUAAGCCAAAUUUUGGCCUUAUCCUUUAAAGUAAAAGGAAAUAACUUAAGCCUCAUCAAAUCAAUUGAAGCUCCUCCCUCUUGGAAUGUAUUACAAACAUCUUCAAAUUCCUUGAUAUGUGCAUACGGAUUCUCACUUUCCAUUCCAUGGAAAGUUGGUAGAAGUGGAACAAGAUACAGUCUGAUCACUAGCUGCUCUGUAGGGGGCACUAUACAUGAUGGUGCACUCAUACGAGGCGGAUGCAUGCGGUCCCUCAUUGAUCUAAAUUCAUUGAGAUUGUCUUGACGACCUUGGUGACUAUGCUGAUCUUCAGGUAUAGAUUCCAUGAUAUUCAAGAUCACUUCGAAUUCUUUUCUCUGAGGUGUAUCACACUUAACAAGCCUUCCUCCACUGUCUCGUAUCCACUUUGGCAUACACAACUAGUAUCGAUCUGCAACUUAAAUAAAAACAGAGGACAACAAGAGAAACAGGGCUACAACAACAAAAUUAAACUAGGCUAAAUUUUAAAAGAUAAACUUAGAUUAUGAAUAAAUAAAGAAAGAAUGAGAAUUAGUAAAGUGAAAGAAACUUUACCAACUUGUGAUGAAAAUCACAAGUGCUAAAAAAAUGGUAUCAAUAUAAACUUGACAUCUUCCCCGCAGCGGCGCCAUUUGAUUCGUGCCCAAUUGGUGUCUCAGCUAAUUCGUGUCCAGCUGGUGCUCCUUGAUUGAGGGAGUAAUCAACAAAAUUUAUAACCUAUAACACCAUAUACUAGGGUAACAAAGACAAAGCUACUAUAGUAUAGCGGCUCUAGGAUCGUUCACUGGGAAGGAUUAACAAGCUAUCAAUGAUACCAAUUCCAAGUGAAUUGGUUUUGUUUCAUUUCAUGGUUAGCUUAAGAAGUAAAACACAAACUUUGAUUGGUAAAGGUUUAGACUUAAACUAACUAACAUAACAGAAGUUUGGACUAAUUUAGGAAGAAAAGCAUUCCCUGGAGAGUUAGGUUCACUGGGGUGGUUCCUCAUGCAAAAGACACGGCUCUGGUCAGAUGGUUCAUUUCCUCGCGUUAGAGAUUCAACAUAUAGUCAAUUCUCUAACCGGUGUUGUACAGAGACUCCUUCAAUUAGAUUUCACUUUAAUUCUCUCACUGAUGCAACUUGCAAUGGUUUAAGCCUCUCACUAAGCCUCAACCAUUCAAGGUGAUCUUUAACAUUGGAUUACCCGUCAAAAGCUCGCAAGAGAUAACUAAUGGAUGUCUCCUUGGAGUCCAAAAGCUUACCAAGUGUUGGCUAUUCUAGAAAAUCCUACCCUAAAGUCACCUUCCAGAGGCUCGCAAGGGGUAAACUAGUGCAUUUCCAUGGUUGGAAAUCACUUGCCUUACCAAGUGUUGGCCCAGGUGACUCUAAGGUGUUUUAAGUUAACUAAAAACAUAGAAAUCACUAAAGGAUUUCAUUUUCUCUUCAUUACUAGUUAAAACCACAAAGCUUUGCAUUCUUGCACUUGGAACCUUCCCCGACAACCUUAGCUCCAAGGAACUAGAGGUUUAGUUACUCAUUCUCUGGGGAAAACUCCUCAGAGAAUUCAUAACUUAGAAAUAAAAUAAAAAUACAAAGUGAGAAGGUAAGGCAGUAGAAAGAAUUGAACUUUACUUGCUUACCCAAACUUUUACAGAAGGAACUCUCUUCUUAGAAUAGGCUCUCGAGAGGUAUAUAUAUGAACAUAAUAAAAAAACUAAUUAUUACAUAGAUAUUUACUCUUUUUACUAACUUAAAAGCUAAGGAAUCAUGUAAUUGGUGGCUUACAAGGAGUAUUUUGGGAUUUAGACAACAAAAAUCUGAUGUAAAAUAUCUCCCAAUGUCGGUAGCAAAUAUCGGGGUGCUUCAGGAACCAUUUCGCAAGAGAAAAUGUUGUCUGCUAGAUUUCGCAGACACUCAAGAGGGGCUGCGAAAUAUUUCGCAACAACAUGCUAUCUUCGCAGGGCUGCGAAGUUGGCUUCCACCUUGAGGUUCCAAGCUUCCCUCUCGCGGUAUAUGUCAGGCAUCUUCAGGAGGAAAUACACCCUACUGUACAAAAAGGCUGCGGAAUCACUUCGCAACAAAAGGGUGAUUUCGCAGCACUUUGCAAAAUGCUUUCUUCAGCUCGGAGUGAUUGGCUUGCAAUGGCUGCAACUUCUUCGUUUCAACUCUGAAUUGCACACCGUUUGAAGCAGUGGAUUGUUGACUUCCUGAGAUUUGAAAUGGUAUAUAGCAUGCAUCAUUUAGACUUCAGAAAGUGCUCCAAAAGUGUCUGCUACGACUGUCAUCAAGAAUAUGCUUCAUGGCAGAUUCUCUUUACUUUUUCUCCUUGCAAUCCGGAUUUACUCUUGGCAAAUGACUUCUAAGCUUUGCCCAAGAUUCCUCAUAGCUCUCCUCAGUCUUGAAUUGCUUUGAUGAUCAAAUUAGUAACAAAAACACCAAAACUUACACAAAGUAAUCAAAAUUGCUUUCAAGGGUCCUUAACAUGCCAAUUGAGUUAAAAGGCCAAAACUACUACUCAAAAGUGUUUAAAAGGAUUAAUUAUAAGCUAUCAAAUAGCACUUUUUGAGUAGUAAUCAACUGCUAUAAAGUGUCAUGGAAUAACCAAUUAUUCUUAUAAGUGCCACAGCAAGCAAUGAUACUUUAAAUAAGCGCCAUGAAAUAAAAAAAAUAAUAUAAAAAAUGACCCUUUUGAAAAAACGCCAUUGUAUAUCCAAAUAUAAUGAUACUUUAUGAAAGCGCCAAGGAUUAAAGCGUCAUAAUUUUCUAUUUUUGUAGUAGUGUAUAACAAGCUUUAUAAUUCUCUAUGAACCCAUCUUGUUUUAACUUUCUUUUAAAGAUCCACUUAUAACCAAUAGUCUUUGCACCAGGAGGUAAAUCUACUAACUCCUAUGUAUGGUUAUACAUGAUUGAUUCGAUUUCACUGUUAAUGACCUCCUUCAAGAAUGGUGCAUCAGGAGAAGUUAUAGCUUCUUUUUAGGAUCUAGGGUCCUCAUCUAUUAGGAAGGUGUAGAAACUAUCUCUAAGGUUUGUUUCUUUCCUAUCUCUUUUACUCUUUUUAGGUUCAAAUUUAGAAGGUUCAAUAGACUUGUCUCUACUUGUUUUCUGAACUUGUUGUUCACCAUUUAGUUUCAUAGGAAAUAUGUUUUCAAAGAAAUCUGCAUUCUUUGUUUCUAUUAUAGUAUUGACAUCUACAAGACUAUUUUCUGAUUUAGUAACAAGAAACCUAUAUGUUGCACUAUUCUCAACAUAGCCAAUGAACAUUGCAUCAAAGGUUUUAGGACCUAGUUUUCGUUUUUUAGGUUCAGGGAGAAGAACUUUAGCUAAACACCCCCACACUUUCAGGUAUGCUAUAUUAGGUGCAUAACCCUUCCACAACUCAUAAGGAGUUUUACUAGUUUUCUUGUAAGAUAUUCUAUUUUGAAUAUGACAAGCGGAUAGGAUAGCUUCCCCUCACAAGUUCAAGGGUGCUCCUGAACUUACCAACAUUGCAUUCAUAAUUUCUUUUAAGGUCCUAUUUUUCAUUUCUGCUACUCCAUUAGACUCAAGGGAAUAAGGAAGAGUAGUUUCGUGAAUGAUCCCAUGAUCUUCACAAAAAGAAUUAAAUGGGUUGGACUCAUACUCUUCUCCCCUAUCGGUUCUAAGCCUUUUAAUUUUCUUACUUAGUUGAUUUUCCAUUUCAUUUUUAUACUUGAUGAAAGCAUCUCUUGCUUCAUCUUUUUUUCUCAAAAGAUAUACCCUUGUAUACCUUGAGUAGUCAUCUAUGAAAGUUAUGUAGAAUCGUUUACCACUUCUAGUCAUUGUAUUUUUUAGGUCUCCUAAGUCAUUGUGUAUUAAACUUAGUAGAUCUGAUUCUCUUUCAACUAAUUUGCAAGAUUUCUUUGUGAUUUUAGAUUCUACACAAGAUUCACAAUUUCCAUGGUUUUCUAAGGAUAGUUUAGGGAUUAAACUCAAUUCAACCAUUUUCUUCAUAUAUGAAAAGUUCACAUGUCCUAGUCUACCAUGCCAAAUAUCACAAGAAUCAACUAUGUAAGCAGAAGAAAAAGAUACAUUAUUAUUGAUAAUAUCAUAAACAUUCAACAUAAAUAAACCCUGAUUACAAUAGCCAUUCCCCACAAAUGCAUCAUUUGUAGUUAAAACUAUUUUAUCAUAGUCAAAUAAGAUCUUCACUCCUGUUUUUUUUUUUUUUUAAAUAGUUAGGUUUUGGACUUAUUGUUUUUAGGUUUGGGUUUUUCUUCUACUACAUUAGCUUUAGAAGACAAUUCCUUAGUUUUCUCAACAUUGUCCCUAUUUCGAUUUUGUUCCUCAAUCCUAAUAUGGAUUAUGACAUCCUCUAGGGACAUCUGUUUCCUUUUAUGUUUCAUGUUAUUUUUGUAGUCUUUCCAAGACUCUAGAAGAGUCUCUACUAAAUAACGAACCACAAAAGGUUCGGGUAAUUUAAUGUCUUCAAUAGCUAAGUCAUUAAUCAACAAGUGGUAGUCAUGGAUUUGAGAUGAUACAUCUUUAUUCUCAGUCAUUUGGAAAUUUCUAAAAUUCCCUAUGGCAUAUUUUUGAGUUUCUGCAUCUUCCGAAAUAUAUUUUUAUUCAUUGCAUCCCAAAUUUCUUUUGCAACUUUAAAUUGACAAUAAAUAUCAAAAAGUUCAUUAGAAAGGGUACUCAGAAUAGCAUGCCUAACUUGUUUAUUUCCAGUUUCCCAGGUUGGUAACAGAUGAGUACUAUCUUAUGGUUUUAGAUUAGUCAAAAUGUGUCCCAAGUUCACUACAUCAAUUGCAGAGAAAACCCUUUCCUACCAUCUCUUAAAGAAUGUACCCUUGAAGGGAUCAAUUUUAGAGGUGUCAAGACAGGUGUGAACUAGAGAAGCUUCCAUUUGGAUAUAUUUCAAAAUUAUUGGAUUAAGGGUAUGGAAACAAAUGACUAGCCCAAAAGACACAAACAAAGAACAUAAUUAAUAAGAAGAAAAACUUAUCGGCUAAGGCAUGACAAACACUGUCCUUGAAAUAGAUCCACCAUCCUCAAAGACGAACUCGGUGCACUAGGGUAUCAGUGAUCUACUUCUAGGAUUCAACAGCUAGAUCUCGCCUUGGGUGCACUCUGUAAGCGAGAUGUCUACAACUCGGGUUUUGAAAAAAUUCCUCCAGAUAGAUGUUUGAAAAUACUCUCUGAAAAAUUGGUAUCCAUAUAUAGAGAGUGAAGGGUGACCUGCUUUUAUAGGCCACUAACAUAGUCUUAACAGGACUCUACUUGUAAGCGGAAUAGGAUUGAAAGUGGAAGGGGAUUAUGCUUAUAAGUGGAAUGGGACUCCACUAGCACAAUCCCAAUAGUACUCUUCCUAAAAAUAUAAGACUAAUAGAAUAAAAUAAAAUAAAAUAGAAUAAAAAUAAUUCCCAAUAGGACUCUUCCCAAAAAUAUAUGACUAAUAGAAUAUAAUAAAAUAAAAUAAAAAUAAAAAUUAUUUACACUCUUCCUACAAGUGAUACCUAAUCAGGCAAGUAAAAGAACCCAAUUAAUCCUUUGACGACACAAAGAGGAGUGCUCAUAUAGAGAAAGUAGACAAUGAAAGCAAAGAUAAUUUAUGACUUGUUCAACUUGCACAUAUACAAACCAGUUAACCAAACUUCAUCCUCCAUGCUUCAAGUAAUCAUUUUUCUUUUUUUCUCUUAUGAGAAGCUUCAACUAAUCCACAACUAAGUUCUUCUCCCACACAUUUUAGGAGAUAUAGGUCUUCAAAUUUGUUGAUAGGAAAUUUCCAACAUAUGACUCAUGAAGCUCAAUAAAACAGAACCAAGAAACAUAAAUUGAUGGAUAAAUUCCAAUUUAAGAAAUAAAAUAAAUAAAUAAAUAAAUAAAUAAAACACUUAAAUAAGAUUUGGAGAUAAAUAUUACAUUAUAUUUGGUUCUCAGAAAGUACUAAGGAAAGAAAAAAAAUGUAAAUGAAAAUGAUUUUCUCAUAUUUGGUUUUACUAUAAAAAAAAAUGAAAAAAAUAUAAUUAAAAUUAGUAAGAAACUUGUAUAUUUUUAAAUUAUUUAAUCUUUGUAUAAAAAUGUUACAUAAGUUAAAUGAGUUUAAAGUAGGAUAUGAAAAUAAUUUAUUGACUUUAAAUUUAGUUUUUGUUUUUCUUCACUUUUUUUUUCUACUUUUUCUUUCUAUUUUCUUUCCGUUGCAUUUUCCCUCAAACUUUCUAAGAAUCAAACAUAGUCAUAAUGAAGAGUACAAAAACAAUAAACACAAAGCCCAAUACGACCCAAUCUCAGGAGAAUAAAACCCAUAAAAUUAAAUUAAUAGAUGAAUUAAAAUAAUUUUGAUUUAGGACCCAAAAAAAAGCCAAAAACCUAAAAUAAGAUAGCAAACUAUAAUUCUUACAUACACACCUUACUUGGAAAAAAAUCCCUUAAAGUAAAACUAAUAUAUCAAUUCAAUUUAAAUAAACAAAAUACAAAUUUAAAACAAUUGAAAAAAACUAGAGUAUCACUUUAUACCUUUGAUGAAAUGCAAAAUUUGUGUCCGUCUUAGUUUAUCAUAAAUUAGGCAUGCCAUUAAAGCAACUGAAUUGAACAUAAUUUGGUGAGACUAGUUCAGUGCAAAUAAAUGUUCAGGUCUGUAGAACGGAUGCCACUCAUGAUUCUGAUCAAUCCUCUUUACCUUGUUGUGCAAAGAAACUAGUUCCUUCACUCUGGUUCUCCAACAAAGAAGUCAUAACUAAGACACCACAAAGUCUCAACAAUAAAGUUGUCUCUCUCCCUAAAACUGCUAUAUCUUGUUCAAGGAUUCUUCAAAAAAACAAAACCAACAAGAACCCUAACAAAUAUCCAGGUGUCAAACCAAAAACAAAUUUUGGCAAUGAAUCCAAGUAGAGGUUGGGAUUUUUGAGCAUUAGCAACUACCAUAAACCAUUAAUCGCAACCCAAAAAAUAUUUAAAUUCUAAACAUUAGAAUUGAGAAUCAUAUAGGUCUACUUAAGGGAGACUAAAGAGGGGGGAAAAUUACCAUAGGUUAAACGAUGGGAGAAGUGGAAUAGAUUGGGAAAGAAGACACUUCUUUUCUUGGUCCAAAAUCAAGAACUGGUUAUUCCAAGUUUUGGUUUGGUUCAUCAAAGAUUUUGAAUGACUGGGAUUGGUUACAAAAAAGAUAGGUUCUUUCCACAGGACACCUAUGAACCACAGUAAUUGUUUAAACAACCUUAAUUGGAAAAUGGCUGAAAAUAAUGGCAAAAUGUUUUAAAAACACUUUUUAGGCUAAAUCUAACACCCUGGAUUUUAGACUUAUUAAUACUUAAUACAAAAUUAGUGCUCCCAAAACUAGGGGAGACAAAAAUUUAAAUGCUGAGUUUUUGGUUGAUUUUGUGCAAAUGAGGAUGUGGAAACCUGUUAUAGAGAAGUAUACACCCUGUGAUAAUCUUUAAAACUAUUAAUUAACAAAAUAUGAUCUGUUUCACAAAUGAAAACUUGUACCAUAUUACUUUGUACAUACUAAAGCCCCAUGGUUUAAUAAGGGUAUCCCACACUACAAGUGUAGAAAAACAAAUAUAAGUUACAUCACUUUUUCAAGAAAAUAAAAAAUGAUUUAGUCUUUCUAUGAUAUAAAGGCAAAAGCCUCGAAACACUUUCAACAUGAGCAAAACAACAUCCAAUCAACAAGAAAGUAAUGCUCAAGCACUAACCUCAGUAGAUGUCUUCUGACCUUCAUCUAAAAGUGGAAGGAAUAAGGUGAGUUCAUGACUCAGUAAGAAAGUUUAUAACCAUCUUAUGCAUAUCCUUGAAAACCUUGAAUUAAACAUAUAGCAGUAUGCAUGAUAAACACUUUACAUAACCAUUAACAAAUAUGCAAUAAUAUCAAACAUGUACACAUGUUGUUGAUGAUUUCAUCUCUGCUUUGUCUCAUUCAUCCUUUCACACCUGAUAAGCUACUAACCCCCACCAAUGUACAUAUCAACCAUCAAUGCUCACAAAGAUGCUCGACCAUAAAUAAUGACUAUUCUAGGACUAUCACCAAAGAAUAAGUCAUAUCUCGUGUCUUUUGGGACUACAACACAAAGGCAAGACCAACCUCGCAUCUUUAGGACUAAAACUCAGGGGCAGGACCAAUCCCAUACACCCACAUCAAAGUGUCUUUCUUAAGGGCUUUAGGGACUUUCACCCAAGGACCCACGGUCCCACAUAAAUAAUAUAUCGAAAGAUAGUGCCUAUAGCUUCUCAUAACCACUUCCCACAUAUCAAGUUAUUCUCUAGAUAUUAUCUGUCAUUGUUUCAUAUCAUUCUUGCAAUGUAACCAUACCAUGAACCAUUUUCUCAAUACUGAACUUGUGAAUCCUCAUACCAAUACAUAUCCAAAUAUCAUUGCAAGAUUUUAAAACAAUAAACUAAGAACACCAUUGCACAUUAAAGCACUUCAUGAAAUCAUAGUAAAGGUAUGAAAAUUUCCAUAAAUGCUUCAACAAAUGAAACAAAGAUACACAGUGGAAUGGUAUAAAAUUUCCUACUUUACACCAACUUCUCUUUUACAAUCCUUCUAUGUGGACACCAUCAACCAUUACAAGGAACUAAAAUGAAACAACAUAAUUUAGGUUUCCCAACCAUAAAAGUUAAACGAUUAAGACUUAUGACAUUUUCCUUAUUGCUAAUUUUAAUAAUUUAAUACUAAUAACUUUAAUUUCCAUAUUCUCUAAUCAUCAUGCCCACAGGUUUUCAAAUCAAAUUUAAGGUGAAUUAAACAAUCUGUGUUAUGCAUACUGAUAUUCCCCAAUUAAUUAGGAUACAUUAAUUAUUUUGAUUUUCCUUAAACCUAUUCCAUUAGCAAGCUCCAAGUGUUCAAAUAAACCUAAUUAGUCACAUGAUUCAUUAAUCUAUUUUUCAAUUAAAGCAAACUAAACAAACAAGCAUUUUGAUUAUUUCGUCAAAAGAUACUUAAAUUAAAAUACUUAAAACCCUAAUUAACUUUAAUUUAUAAUAAAAACAUGCUUAUAACUAAUUAAACUCAAUUUUUAAACAAACUAUACAGUUAGUUUGUUUUAAAAGAUCAUUUGGAACCCAAAUUUACUAAAAUCACUAACUUUAUCUUCUUCCUUACCUUGAUUUCUUCACUUUCUCUCUCUAGCUUCUCUCUCUAGACCUGCCAAAUUGCUGCAAAGAUAGGGUUGGAAAUGAGGGCUAGUAGCCCUUAUAAAGUGAUUCCUAAGCUAGCAUGCAUGAGGUGGCAAGCUCUAAGGUUUCCACUAACUACCAAUUCUCCAAAUUGCAACUUAGUCCCUUUACUUGUGAUAUUUUAUGUUUUGUUGUUGCCCAUUAGUCCCUUAAAUUUUCUUAAUUCUGAUUAACCCCCAAAAAGUUAAUACACAUGCUUAAAUUGUUAACUAAUCAUACUUAACCUUAAUCAAAGUUUAAUUCAUAAUUAUAUAAGAUUAGCGUUAAACUAGUUUUAGCCUCUAAUUAAACACGUUUAAGGUUAAGUACUAAGAUAAUCAUUAUUGCCUAUUUAAUUCAUUACUACUAAAUAUUGUAAUAAAAGUGUUUUUUAAAAACAAUGUUAAAAGUUAGAUAUGAAAAUAAUUAUGCACAAUUCAAGGGAUAUGAUACCUAUACUUAUGGGACUAAAACAAAAAAACCUUACCCAAUAAAAUGGUGCAUGUUUAAUAAUUUAUUUCAAUUUGGACCAUAAUUCUCAUUCGUACAAUAUAUUUAUGUAUAUUUGGAAUCAUGAAUUGUAGCAAUCUUGUUUCAUCUACAACAUAAAUAGACAAUGCCUAAACAUGGUGAUUGUGUUACAAUGCAAAAUUCACGAAUCCCAUAUGCAAGUAUCUUUAUUAGACAGUAUCACGAGAUGAAUGCUUAGAUGACUAAUGGCAUGAUAGGCAAAAAAAACAUACUUGAUUCGUUUAAUCCAGUCGGGUCAUUUAAUAAAAAAACAUUUAUAAAUCCUAUGACCUCAUACUAGCGUAGCAAAGCUACUAUCGUAUAGCGGCUUAGGGUCGAACUCUGGGAUGGGUUUUCAUUCUACCAGUGAUAGACUCAAGAUUAGAAAUUGAAUCUGAUGAUUUCCUUUGUCAAAAACUUAAAGUUUAAAAGAAAAUAAAAUUUGUUUUGAAAGGUGUUUGAAACUAAACUAACAUAAAACUAAGUAGAAAUGGAAGAAAGAAAGUCUCCUGGAGCUAAGGGUUGCUAGGGUCAAAUUCAGAAUGCAAAGUGGGAAAUUCCAGAUUUUUCUUCUCGCAUUGGGGACAAUAACAUAAAGGAUGGUUGUUUCCCGAACCAGUAUAGGUUUGACAAUGAAGAUUUAAUCCAUAAAAAGUCAAUAGAAAUGGUAGUCAGGUUCCAUUAAUGGCUUUAGACACUAUGGGUCUUCACCUUGAGCCACUUUCCAAUGGCUCGUACAUGAUAACUAAUGGUCUGAUGUGGAUCUAGCAAUAAGUAUCCACAAAGACCUGAAACUUACCAUGUAUUGGCCAUUCAAAGUGAUUCUAAGGGAUUGAAAGCAAAACUUUAGAUUUAAAAGCCAUUUAUGAACUCCAACUACCUGUAUUUAAUGCACGAGAGUUUUCCACUUUAGCAUCUGGACUUUUCACCUAGCUUCCUUCACUCCAAGAAACCAAAAGUUUAGCCUCUCAUCCUCUGAGAAAACAUCUUCAGAGGUUGUUUGGCUUCCAAGAAAAAUAAAAUAGUAGAGAGAAAAGGAAAGCAAAAAGAGCCCUGUAUUUUACUAAGUGUUAAAAUAUACAAUAUGUCCGUUGUUCGAGAGGUGAUUUCCACCCCUCUUAUAGUCUUUACAAAAGCAAAGCCUGUGAUUGGCUAAUUACAGGGAUAAGAAAGGAAUUUACAUCAAAAAUACAAAAGAAAAUAUCUCAUGUGGAGUCGGCAAAACAGAGGAGAUUUCGCACCAAAGACGCAUGGGUUGGUGCGAAUUUCGCACAAGGAGAAGGUGUUGUGCGAAUUUCGCAUAAGCUUGGAGCAGUUGUCUUCUGAAGGUCAUAUCUUCCUCAUUUCAGCUCCAAAUCGUACACGGUUUGAAGCGUUGGAUUCUUGACUUCCUGAGCUUUGAAAUGGUAUAUAUCAUGUAGAAAAUGGACUUCAGGAAGUGCUCCAAAAGUGCGAAGGAAUACUGCAGCUGCUGUCCUCUAUUUUCUUCAUUCUGUUUGUUUUUCCUCUUUGCUUCUCUCCUUUACUUGGCUUGUCUUAAUGAUCCAAAAAGCUGUCAAAACACUAAAACUAGCCACAAAUAUGAUUAGAAGUCAUUGCUAGGUCCUUAACAUGCCAAUUGGAAUAAAGAUGGAGAAAUACUACACAAAAGUGCUUAAAACAUAAUGAAUUAAAGGCGCAAAAUAGCACUUUUUGGGUAGUAAUCAAUACUAUCCGGAUGACUUCCUGUGGGGAUCCCACCCUGAUAAAAUGAGUAUGAAAUGAUAAUCAAAGUCAAAGUGGAGAUUGGAGAAAAUUUUAGUAAACCUAAAGUGGGGACGAGGUCCUACUCCCUUCCCCAACCAACUUGCCUUGAUUGUUUAUAUAAUAUACAUAAUUUUAUAUUUCAAAAACUUAUGAAAAUAAUUGAAUAUGAAUUCCAAGAUUCGGGAAUAAGCAUAGACCCAGGAUUCCCCUAGCGGGAAUUCCAUGCCCUCAAAUGGAAUAAGGAUGGGGAGCCCUACCCAACCCUAUAUUUCUUACAUCUCUAAUUAGAAAAAUUAACAAAUUAAAUCCAUAUAGAGAAAUAAAUAAAUAAAUAAUAAGAAGAGGGAGCAAUUCUUCAAACUUUUUUGAGUUUUUCCUUGACAAAGUUGUGAUGAAAAGUCCAAGAAAGCCCCCCUAAAAAAAAAAAGGAACAGAAAUGCUCACCCUUCUCUCAAGUCUCAUCAACUGGUCCCCACCCAAAAUCUAACACCAGCCUGCUUUCCAAAGAAGGCUGAAAAUUCUCCCUUACCUACUUGAAAUCAAUCUCAAGAGAUUCAUUUAUAAAAAAAUAAAAAAUAAAAAAUAAAUAAAAAAGUGGACAAAGGAGAAGUAUGUCCAUACUCUCCAAGCAAUAUCCAUAAUUAGACUAGUAAGCGUAAAAGACUAGGCUCCAAAAGGAUGUUGUGAGAUAUCUAGAAGUUCACCCAUGACGUCUUCAACGUACUGUGAAGUUGAAGGCUAAAAGAUAAACACAAAACAUGAAAGCAUAUACAUGCGAAACUUGGAAUAGCGGAAAUGGAAAGUAGCAUGUGCCUUAGCAAUGCAAUUUUGUCUCUGUGUUUGUCAUGUAUGUGGUUGGGAGUGCUACCUUACAUUUCUAGUGCACAAAUAGACACCAUCAAACCUAGGGAAGAGCUUCAAUUCUUAGAAAAAUUACUGGUUUAUACAAAAGAGAAUUUACUUUAGGAUUCUUCAGCCUAGAAUCUAGCGAUAAUUUAGGAAUAUGGUUCACUAUUGAUGCUCAAAAGGAGAAAGUUUGGGUUGCUUACAGAGACAAGCCUAUAUCCCGUACCGAUGCAAACCUUACACUGGAUGCAAAUGGAAAAUUGAUGAUCAUGCAUAGUGGGGGUGAUCAAAUUGUCCUAAAUUCCAAUCAAGCAACUAGAAACUCAACAACUACUCUACUUGGGGAAAGUUUCGAUAAUCCUACAAACACCCUCUUGUAUGGGAUGAAACUAGGCAUCAACUUGAAACCUGGGCGAAACUGGUCACUUUAUGGAUAAACGAACAAGUGCUUGCUCCUGGGACUUUUACUCUAGAAUGGAAUGGCACAUAAUUGGUGAUGAAACGCCGAGAGGGCACCUACUGAAGCAGUCGAACCUUGAAAGAUAGGAGCUUUUGAGUUCAUUCUUUGGUUGGGAUUUGACCCUCACAAUAACAUUUACAAUUUUAAUAGUGUUUUUGAAUGCAAACAUGUUGUAGUAUGUUGCUCAUAUUGAGUGAAAGACAUAUGGAGAAAAAGAGGCAAAUUCCAUCAUUCAACUCCGACAUUUGCCAUUCAAGCUUAUAUUUUUUAUUGUUAAGAGUGAACGAUAGUUGGGGGGUAUAGGGGGCAACUCCCCCCACGGUAUGGUUUAGGGGUAUUUUUGGAAUUUCAAUAUCUGAGGGUUAGUAUAAAUACCCUUUUAUGUAACCUUAAUUUUUGAUAUAGUGAAAGUCUUCCUUCCUAUUCGCAUGAACGUAGGCAAUCUACUGAACCACGUUAAAUCUAUGUGUUUUCUUUUGUUUUUCUCUAAUUUCUUCAUUAGGAAUCAUUACAAGAAAAUCAACAAUUGGCAUUAGAGGACCAGGUUAUGAUGUUUAGGAUUUCUUUUGUGAAGUUCGACAUAGUCAAGUUCGAUGGAUCUGGGAAUUUCGGUCUAUGGUAGAAGAGGGUUAAGGAUCUGUUAGUGCAACAAGGUAUGGUGAAGGCCUUAUACAGAAAACAACCAAAAUGAAUGAACAACAUAGAUUGGAAGGAUUUGAAAGCAAAGAUUGUGGCAACUAUCAGGCUUUGUUUGGAUGAUGAUGUGAUAUACCAUAUCAUGGAUGAGGAAUCAGUGACAACAAUUUGGUUGAAAUUGGAAAGUCGGUAUAUGUCUAAGUCAUUGACAAAAAAGUUGUUUCUUAAGUAGAAACUGUAUGGUCUUAAGAUGGCAGAAGGCUCAUAUCUAAGCCAGUAUAUCAACGUGUUCAAUUAAAUCAUCAGUGAUUUGAAGUGAGUUGAUGUGAAGUUUGAAGACGAAGACAAGACGUUGAUGUUACUGAAUUCCUUACCUAUUUUUUCUAUCUAUGAAAAUUUGGUUACAACUCUGAUGUGGGGGAAAAAACACUUGAUUUGAAGGAAAUCACAAGUGCUCUUUUAGGUUUUAAUCAGAGGAAAAAAACCAAUGAUGAGAGUUCCUAUGGUGAAGAGCUUAUGGCAAAGAGUAAUUAGGAACGUGGGAGAAACAAUUUUUGGAGCGAAUCAAGUAACAAUAAAUCUCAAUCUAAACCCAGGAAAAGAAAGAACAUACAAUGUUAUACGUGUGGAAAAAUGGGGCACAUGAAAUGAGAUUGCCUAGAGAAAAAGAAAGGGGGCUUGGUAUCGGAAAAUAAAUAGGGUUCAUCAAAGUCUGCAAAUGUAGUGGUAGAAAAAGACUUAGAGAGUGGUGAUGGUGAUAUGUUGUCAGUUUCAUCCAGUUCAAAUCAUCUGACAGAUUCUUGGAUUUUGGAUUCAACAUGCUCUUAUCAUAUGACACCCAAUCAAGAUUGGUUUAACACAUACAAGUUAGUAAAUUGUGCUUCUAUUCUAAUGGGUAAUGAUGCUUCAUGUAAAGUUGUUGGAAUAUGGAAUAUCAUAAUUAAAAUGUUUGAUGGUGUUGUUAGAAUGUUGUGUGAUGUUAGACAUGUACCUAAUUUAAGGAAGAAUCUAAUUUCUUUGGGGACUUUAGAUUGUAACGGGUUUAGUUACAAGUCUACAAAUAGAGUAAUGAAUGUGAGUAAAGGUGUUAUGAUAGUGAUGAAAGGAUAGAAGCUAGUAGGAAAUAUUUAUAAAUUGUUAGGUACCACAGUUGUGGAUGGAGUUGCAACCGCAAAGUCUAAGUUAGACAGUACAGUCUUGUAGCAUAUGCGGUUCAGGCAUAUGGUUGAGUGUGGGAUGAGAGAGCUUCAUAAAAGAAAUCUGUUAAAAGGCAUCAAAACACGUAAACUUGAUUUUUGCAAGUAUUGUGUUUUUGGGAAAUAGAAUAAAGUGUAGUUCAAGACAGCCACACACAAGACAGAGGGAUUUCUUGACUAUGUCUAUACAGAUGUUUGGGGACCAGUAAGGAUAGCAUCAUUAGGAGGAAAUAUGUAUUUUGUGAGUUUUAUUGAUGAUUACUCACGAAAGGUUUGGGUGUACUUCAUGCAGCACAAGUCAGAUAUGUUUGCCAAGUUUAAGCUGUGGAAAGUUGAAGUAGAAAACCAGACAGAGAGGAAGAUAAAAUGCCUUAGGUCAGAUAAUAGUACUGAGUAUACAGAUUCAAAGUUCACAGAAUUGUGUGAGUAACAUGGGAUUAAGAGACACUUCACAGUACGUAAGACACCAUAGCAAAAUGGUGUAGCAAAAAGGAUGAACAGAACAAUAGCUGAAAGAGCUUGGUGUCUCAUAUUGAAUGCAGGGCUUGAAAAGAAAUUAUGGGUAGAAGUAGUGAACAUGGCAUGUUACUUGAUCAAUAGGUCACCUAGGGCAACAUUAGGUGGGAAAGUAGUAAAUGAGGUAUGGACGGGCAGUGCAGUAGACUACUCUGAUUUGAGAGUGUUUUGGUGUCCAGCUUAUGUACACAUUCCUAAUGAGGAGAGAUCGAAGCUUGAUGUGAAGUCUGGACAAUGUAUUUUUCUAGGGUAUCAGAAAGGAGUGAAAGGCUUCAAGCUUUGGGAUCCAAGGCAAACAAGGUGGUGAUCAACAGAGAUGUGGUUUUUUAUGAGAAAGUCAUGUUACAGUGUACUCGGAAAGAAAAGAAACAGGAGCUAGAAAAUUGCAUCAAAAAUGAGCAAUUGAUACAAGUGGGGUUAGAGACCCAUGAUAUAGAGAAUUGUGCUUGGAAUGCAAGGAGGUCUAGUUUAGAAGAUCAGAAGCUCCACAAUAUAGCCAUAGACAGACACAGAUGCACUUUCAGGCCACCUACUAGGUAUGGUUUUGAGGAUUUGGUUUCUUAUGCACUAACUACUAGUAGUAGGGAUCCUACUAACUUCCAAGAGGCAAUACAUAGUCAAGAGAAAAGUAGAUGGAUGGGUGCUAUGAUGGAGGAGAUGCAGUCUUUGCAUAAGAACCAAACAUGGGAGUUGGUGGAGCUUCUAAAGGGGAAGAGAGAAAUGGAAUGUAAAUGGGUGUAUAAGAAUAAAGAAGUAGUUUUAGAAAAAUAUGGUGAAAAGCUCAAAGCUUGUAUAGUAGCAAAGGGUUACUCACAGAGGAAAAGGGUUGACUAUGAUGAUAUUUUCUUCCCUCGUGGUUAGACACACUUCCAUUAGGACAGUAUUGGGUUUGGUAGCACGUUUUGACAUGUAGUUGGAGCAAAUGGUUGUAAAGACAACUUUUCUUCAAGGUGAUUUGGAGGAGUUGGUCUAUAUGGUACAACCAUAAGGGUUUAUUCAACCUAAAUAGGAACACUUGGUUUGUAAAUUGAGGAAAUCACUUUAUGGGUUGAAGUAGUCCCCAAGGCAGUGUGGUAUAAGCAAUUUGACUCCUACAUGAUCAGGAUUGGCAAUAAGAGAUGUGAGUAUGAUUUUUAUGUUUAUGUAAAGAGCCUAGAUGAUGAUUCAUUUAUUUCUUCAUUACUCUAUGUGGAUGAUAUGCUAAUUGCUAUAAAGAAUAUGAUUUAGUUCAAUAAGUUGAAGUCUUUGUUGAGCAAGGAGUUUGACAUGAAGGAUUUAGGUGUGGCUAAGAAGAUUCUUAGGAUGGAGAUUAAUAGAGAUAGAGUUUUAGGGAGAUUAUGGUUAUCUCAACAUAGUUAUGUCAAGAGAGUGUUGGAGAAGUUCAACAUGGAUAAUGCAAAACCAAUAAGUACACCUUUGGCGAAUCAUUUUAAAUUGUCUACUAAUUAGUACCUAAAGACAGAUGAAGUGAAAGACAUGUCAAAGGUUCCAUAUGCAAGUCCAGUGGGAUGCUUGAUGAAUGCUAUGGUUUGUACAAGACCAGAUUUUGCACAUGUUGUUAGUGUGGUGAGUAAGUUUUUAUCAAAUCCGAGAAGAUUACAUUGGGUUGUAGUCAAAUGGAUUUUUAGAUACUUAAGGGGUACUGAUUACUACUCAAAAAAUACUAUUUCAUAGCUUGUAAUUAACUCUUUUAAACGCUUUUGAGUAGUAGUUAUCACCUUUUAACCCAAUUAACAUAUUAAGGACCCUUGCAAUCAAUUCUAAUCAAAUUAUGUUAAGUUUUGGUGUUUUGAUAGCUUUUUGAUCACCAAAGCAAUCUGGGCUUGAGGAGAGUUCUUUGGAAUCCAUAAGCAAAUCCAGAAUGCAAGGAGUAUAUCCGGACAGGGCGUUCGGAUACGCCAUCGAAGGGCAUCUGGAAAACAUAUCCGGAUAAGAUGCUAUCGUUUCAUCCGGACACUGAUUACUACUCAAAAAGUGCUAUUUGAUAGCCUAUAAUUAAUCCUUUUAAACACUUUUGAGUAGUAGUUUUGGCCUUUUAACUCAAUUGGCAUGUUAAGGACCCUUGAAAGCAAUUUUAAUCACUUUGUGUAAGUUUUGGUGUUUUUGUUAGUAAUUUGAUCACCAAACCAAUUCAAGAUUGAGGAGAAUUAUGAGGAAUCUUGGGCAAAGCUUGGAAGUCAUUUGCCAAGAGUGAAUCCGGAUUGCAAGGAGAAAAAUUAAAGAGAAUCUGUCAUGAAGCAUAUUCUUGAUGACAGUCGUGGAAGCCACUUUUGGAGCACUUUCUGAAGUCCAAUUGAUGCAUGAUAUAUACCAUUUCAAAGCUUAGGAAGUAAACAAUCCAAUGCUUCAAACAGUACACAAUUCGGAGUUGAAACGAAGAAGUUACAGCCACUGCAAGUCAAUCACUCUAAGUUGAAGGAAGCAUUUUGCAAAGUGUUGCGAAAUCACCCUUUUGUUGCGAAGUGAUUCCGCAACCUUUUUGUACAGUGUGGUGUAUUUCCUUCUAAAGUUGCCCGAUAUAUGCCGGAAGCUGGGAGCUGAGAACCUCAAGGUGGAAGCUAACUUCGCAGCCUUGCAAGAAUAGCAUGUUGUUGCGAAAUGAUUUCGCAGCCCUUCUUGAGUGCCUGCGAAAUCUCGCAGACACCAUUUUCUCUUGCGAAAUGGUUCCUGGAGCAUCCCGAUAUUUGCUACCGACAUUUGGAGAUAUUUUCUAUUAGAUUUUUGUUGUCUAAAUCCCAAAAUACUCCUUAUAAGCCACCAAUUACAAGAUUCCUUAGCUUUUAAGUUAGUAAAAAGAGAAAAUAUCUAUGUAAUAAUUAGUUUUAUAUUAUGUUCAUAUAAGUACCUCUCAGGAGCCUGUUCUCAGAGGGGAGAUCCUUUUGAAAAUUUUUGGGUAAGCAAGUAAAGUUUAGACCCUUUGUUUUGCCUUACCUUCUCACUUUGUAUUUUUAUUUUCUUACUAAGUUAUGAACUCUCUGAGGAGUUUUUCCCAGAGAAUGAGUAACUAAACCUCUAAUUCCUUGGAGCUAAGGUUGUCGGGGAAGGUUCCAAGUGCAAGAAUGCAAAGCUUUGUGGUUUCAGCCAGCAAUGAAGAGGAAGUGAAAUCCUUUAGUGAUUUCUAUGUUUUUAGUUAACUUAAAACACCUUAGAGUCACUUGGGCCAACACUUGGUAAGGCAAGUGAUUUCCAACCAUGGAGAUGCACUAGUUUACCCCUUGCGAGCCUCUGGGAGGUGACUUUAAGGUAGGAUUUUCUAGAAUUGCCAACACUUGGUAAGCUUUUGGACUCCAAGGAGACAUCCAUUAGUUAUCUCUUGCGAGCUUGAGAAGGGAAGUCCAAGGUUAAAGAUCACCUUGAAUGGUUAAGGCUUAGUAAGAGGCUUAAACCAUUGCAGUUGCAUCAGUGAGAGAAUUAAAGUUGAAAUCUAAUUAAAGGAUGUAUCUGUACAACGCCGGUUAGAGAAUUGACUAUAUGUUGAAUCUCUAACGUGAGGAAAUGAACCAUCUGACCGAAGCUAUGUCUUUUGCAUGAGGAACCACCCCAGUGAACCUGACUCUCCAAGGAAUGUUUUUCUUCCUAAGUUAUUCCCAUUACUUGUUUUGUUAGUUAGUUUAAAUCUAAAUUUUUACAAAUCAAAGUUUGUGUUUUAGUUCUUAAGCUAACCUUGAAAUGAAACAAAACCAAUUCACUUUGAAUUGGUAUCAUUGAUAGCUUGUUAAUCCUUCCCAGUGAACGAUCCUAGAGCCACUAUACUAUAGUAGCUUUGUCUUUGCUACCCUAGUAAAUGGUGUAAUAGGUUAUAAAUUUUGUUGAUUACUCCCUCAAUCAAGGAGUACCAGCUGGACACGAAUCAGCUGAGACACCAAUUGGGCACGAAUCAAAUGGCGCCAUUGCCGAGGAAGGUGUAAAUUUUGUAGUGAUACCAUUUUUGAGCACUUGUGAUUUUCAUCACAAGUUUGGUAACGUUUCUUUCACUUUAUUAAUUCUCAUUCUUUCUUUAUUUAUUCAUAAUCCAAGUUUAUCUUUUAAAAUUUAGCCUAGUUUAAUUUUGUUGUUGUAGCCCUGUUUUUGUUGUUGUCCUUUAUUUUCAUUUAAGUUGCAGAUAGAUACUAGUUGUGUAUGCCAAAGUGGAUACGAGAUAGUGGAGGAAGGCUUGUUAAGUGUGAUACACCUCAGAGAAAAGAAUUCGAAUUAAGCUUGAAUAUCAUGGAAACUACACCUGAAGAUCAGCAUAGUCACCAAGGUCGUCAAGACAAUCUCAAUGAAUUCAGAUCAAUGAGGGACCGUAUGCAUCCACCUCGUAUGAGUGCACCAUCAUGUAUAGUGCCCCGUAGCUAGUGAUCAGACCAUAUCUUGUUCCACUUCUACCAACUUUCCAUGGGAUGGAAAGUGAGAAUCCGUAUGCACACAUAAAGGAAUUUGAAGAUGUUUGUAAUACAUUCCAAGAGGGAGGAGCUUCAAUUGAUUUGAUGAGGCUUAAAUUAUUUCCUUUUAAUUUAAAGGAUAAGGCCAAAAUUUGGCUUAAUUCUUUAAGGCCAAGGAGUAUCCGUUCUUGGACUGACUUACAAGCUGAAUUCCUCAAGAAAUUUUUUCCCACUCAUAGAACAAAUGGCUUGAAAAGGCAAAUUUCAAAUUUCUCAGCUAAAGAGAAUGAGAAAUUCUAUGAGUGUUGGGAAAGAUACAUGGAAACUAUAAAUGCUUGCCCUCACCAUGGCUUUGAUACUUGGCUAUUGGUGAGCUAUUUUUAUGAUGGUAUGUCCUCUUCAAUGAAGCAACUCCUCGAGACAAUGUGUGGAGGAGAUUUCAUGAGCAAAAAUCCAGAGGAAGCUAUGGAUUUUUUGAGCUAUGUAGCUGAUGUUUCAAGGGGAUGGGAUGAACCAACCAAAGGAGAAGUGGGUAAGAUGAAGUCUCAACUGAAUGCUUUCAAUGCAAAGGCUGGGAUGUAUACCUUGAAAGAAGAUGAUGAUAUGAAAGCAAAUUUGGCAACUAUGACAAGAAGAUUGGAGGAGCUGGAGCUGAAAAGAAUUCAUGAAGUGCAAGCUGUGAAAGUGAAAGCUGUGCAAGUGAAGUUGUGUCCUAAUUGUCAAUCAUAUGAACAUUUGGGGGAGGAAUGCCCUGCAAUUUCAGCUGAAAGGGAAAUGUUUAGAGAUCAAGCAAAUGUUGUUGGACAAUUUAAGCCUAAUAACAAUGCGCCUUAUGGAAAUACCUACAACUCAAGUUGGAGGAAUCAUCCAAAUUUCUCAUGGAAGGCCAAAGCAACUCAAUACCAACAGCCGGAUCCACCAUCUCAACAAUCUUCAAGUCUUGAACAAGCAAUGGCUAAUCUCAGCAAGGUAGUGGGAGAUUUUGUUGGAAACCAAGAAGCCACCAAUGCUCAAAUCUAUCAAAGAAUUGACAGAGUGGAGAGUAUGUUGAAUAAAAGGAUGGAUGAAAUGCAAAAUGAUAUGAACCAAAAGUUUGAUAACAUCCAAUAUUCAAUUUCAAGGCUUACAAAUUUGAAUACUGCAAGAAAAGGGAAGAUUUCCUUCUCAAUCCCACCAGAACCCCAAAGGUGUCCAUGAAGUGGAAAGCCAAGAGGGAGAAUCAUUGCAGACGAAAGAUGUCAAAGCCUUGAUCACUCUAAGGAGUGGUAAAAAAAUUGAGAAGCCAACACCCGAGCCAUAUGUGGAGAAAGAAGAAGAGAUAAAGAAAGGGAAGGAAAUGGAAGAUAAAGAGAAUGAGAUCAGUGAAGAAACGAAGGACCCUGAUUCAACAAUGAAUGCAAUUCCAGGGAAGGAACUUAUGAAGGAAGAAAUGCUGAAGAAAUCAACUUCUCCACCUUUUCCUCAAGCAUUACAUGGGAAAAAAGGGAUUAGAAAUGCAGCUGAAAUCCUUGAAGUAUUGAGACAAGUGAAAGUCAAUAUUCCACUGCUGGAUAUGAUUAAACAAGUUACAACGUAUGCAAAAUUCCUAAAGGAUUUAUGUACUAUCAAAAGAGGGUUGACUGUAAACAACAAAGCCUUCUUGACUGAGCAAGUAAGUGCAAUCUUACAAUGUAAGUCUCCUUUGAAGUACAAAGACUUGGGAAGUCCUACCAUUUCAGUCAUGAUUGCAGGAAAGGUAGUGGAGAAAGCCUUGUUAGACUUGGGAGCAAGUGUGAAUUUGCUUCCAUAUUCCGUCUACAAGCAAUUGGGACUUGGGGAAUUGAAGCCAACAACAAUCACUCUAUCUCUAGCAGAUAGAUCAGUAAAAAUCCCAAGGGGGGUAAUUGAGGAUGUCUUAGUUCAAGUGGAUAAUUUCUACUAUCCAAUAGAUUUUAUUGUUCUUGAUACAGAUCCUACUGUAAAGGAAGCUAAUUUAGUUCCUAUCAUCCUUGGAAGGCCAUUUCUUGCUACCUCAAAUGCAAUCAUCAAUUGCAGGAAUGGGCUGAUGCAACUCACUUUUGGCAACAUGACACUGGAUCUCAAUAUUUUCUAUAUGUCUAAAAAGCAAAUCACUCCGAAAGAAGAAGAGGGUCCAGAAGAGCUGUGCAUUAUUGACACUCUAGUAGAGGAGCACUGUAAUCAAAAUAUGCAAGACAAGUUGAAUGAAAGUCUUGUGGAUUUUGAGGAAGGUUUGUCUAAAUCUCCUACUGUGCUUGCUACUCUACAAAGUUGGAGAAAGAUAGAAGAAAUUCUACCUUUGUUCAAUAAAGAAGAAGAGGCAACUGCUGAAAAAGAACCUCCAAAUCUCAAUCUGAAGCUUUUACCUGUGGAGGUGAAAUAUACAUAUCUUGAAGAAAAUAAUCAAUGUCCUGUUGUGAUAUCUUCAUCUCUGACCAAUCAUCAAGAGAAUUGUUUAAUGGAAGUUCUUAAGAGGUGUAAGAAGGCAAUAGGAUGGCAAAUAUCCGACUUGAAAGGCAUUAGUCCUUUAGUUUGUACUCAUCAUAUAUAUAUGGAGGAGGAGGCAAAGCCAAUUCGUCAACUUCAAAGAAGAUUGAAUCCUCAUCUACAAGAGGUGGUACGAGCUGAGGUGUUGAAGCUACUUCAAGCAGGAAUCAUUUACCCUAUAUCUGAUAGCCCUUGGGUGAGUCCUACUCAAGUGGUACCAAAGAAGUCAGGGAUCACAGUGGUUCAGAAUGAAAAAGGAGAAGAAAUUACUACACGCCUCACUUCAGGUUGGAGGGUGUGUAUUGAUUAUAGAAAGUUGAAUGCUGUAACCAAGAAAGAUCAUUUUCUAUUGCCAUUUAUUGACCAAGUGCUGGAGAGAGUCUCUGGACAUCCAUUCUAUUGCUUCUUGGAUGGGUAUUCAGGGUAUUUUCAGAUUGAAAUUGAUGUGGCAGAUCAGGAAAAGACCAGUUUUACAUGUCCAUUUGGAACAUAUGCUUACAGGAGAAUGUCUUUUGGUUUAUGCAAUGCACCUGCUACAUUUCAAAGAUAUAUGUUGAGUAUUUUCAGUGAUAUGGUGGAGCGAAUUAUGGAGGUUUUCAUGGAUGACAUCACCGUAUAUGGAGGUACAUAUGAGGAAUGCUUAGUCAAUUUGGAAGCGGUUCUUCACAGAUGCAUUGAAAAAGACCUAGUGCUCAACUGGGAGAAAUGCCAUUUUAUGGUACGUCAAGGAAUUGUCCUUGGCCAUAUCAUCUUUGAAAAAGGCAUUGAAGUUGUUAGCAACAAUUGUCAAAUUGCAAAGGUGGAUUGUAAAAGGAGUAAGGCAGUUCCUUGGCCAUGCAGGGUUCUAUAGGAGGUUUAUAAAAGGUUUUUCAAGUCUUUCAAAACCUCUUUGUGAGCUGUUAGCUAAGGAUGCUAAAUUUAUAUGGGAUGAAAGGUGUCAAAAUAGCUUUGAUCAACUGAAAAAUUUUUUAAUAACAAAUCCAAUAGUGAGAGCUCCUAACUGGCAAUUACCUUUUGAACUGAUGUGUGAUGCCAGUGACUUUGCUAUAGGAGCUGUGCUUGGCCAAAGGGAAGAUGGGAAGCCCUAUGUGAUUUACUAUGCAAGUAAAACACUGAAUGAAGCUCAAAGAAACUACACAACUAUAGAGAAAGAAGUGUUAGUUGUGGUAUUUGCUUUGGACAAAUUUCGUGCUUAUUUAGUGGGGUCUUUCAUCAUUGUCUUCACUGACCAAAGCAAGAUGCAAAAGCAAGGUUGAUUAGAUGGAUUCUUUUGUUACAAGAAUUCGAUCUCCAAAUCAAAGAUAAGAAAGGAGUGGAGAAUGUAGUAGCUGACCACCUUUCAAGGUUAGUUAUAGCACAUAAUUCCCAUCUCUUGCCUAUUAAUGAUGAUUUUCCUGAAGAAUCACUCAUGUUCCUAGUGAAAACUCCUUGGUAUGCUCAUAUUGCUAAUUAUUUAGUAACUGGUGAAAUUCCAAGUGAGUGGAAUGCACAGGACAGGAAGCACUUCUUUGCCAAAAUUCAUGCUUAUUAUUGGGAAGAGCCCUUUCUUUUUAAGUAUUGUGCAGAUCAGAUCAUAAGGAAAUGUGUCCCUGAAGAUGAGCAGCAAGGGAUUCUAUCUCAUUGUCAUGAGAAUGCAUGUGGAGACCACUUUGCCUCUCAAAAAACAGCUAUGAAGGUGUUGCAAUCAGGGUUUACCUGGCCAUCUCUUUUUAAAGAUGCCCACAUCAUGUGUAGGAGUUGUGAUAGAUGCCAACGGCUUGGAAAGUUAACAAAAAGAAAUCAAAUGCCUAUGAACCCUAUUCUAAUAGUUGAGUUAUUUGAUGUAUGGGGCAUUGACUUCAUGGGACCUUUCCCAAUGUCUUUUGGUAAUUCUUACGUCUUUGUGGGGGUGGAUUAUGUUUCUAAAUAGGUUGAGGCAACCCCCUGUAAACAAAAUGAUCAUAGGGUGGUUCUCAAGUUUCUUAAAGAGAACAUUUUCUCAAGAUUUGGGGUGCCCAAAGCUAUAAUCAGUGAUGGAGGUGCUCAUUUUUGCAACAAACCUUUUGAAGCUCUGUUAUCCAAGUAUGGAGUGAAGCAUAAGGUGGCUACACCUUAUCAUCCUCAGACUUCCGGGCAAGUUGAGCUAGCUAACAGGGAAAUAAAGAAUAUAUUGAUGAAAGUAGUGAACUCCAGCAGAAAGGAUUGGUCUAUUAAGCUUCAUGAUUCAUUGUGGGCAUAUAGAACAGCUUAUAAAGACUAUUCUUGGCAUGUCUCCCUAUCGUCUUGUCUAUGGAAAAGCAUGCCAUCUCCCUGUGGAAGUUGAAUACAAAGCUUGGCGGGCAAUAAAGAAGCUGAACAUGGACUUGAUCAGAGCCGGAGAAAAGAGAUAUCUAGACCUUAAUGAGAUGGAGGAAUUAAGAAAUAAUGCUUAUAUCAAUUCCAAAGUUGCAAAACAGAGGAUGAAGAAGUGGCAUGAUCAACUCAUCUCCAACAAGGAAUUUCAGGAAGGGCAAAGAGUUUUACUGUAUGACACAAGACUCCAUAUCUUUCUUGGGAAGCUCAAGUCAAGGUGGAUAGGCCCGUUCAUUAUUCACCGAGUAUAUUCCAAUGGAGUGGUGGAAUUAUUGAAUUCAAAUGGCAAGGACAACUUUAGAGUCAAUGGAUAUCGUCUCAAGCCAUUCAUGGAGCCAUUCAAACCAGAAAAGGAGGAAAUUAACCUCCUUGAGCCUCAAAAAGCCUAAGCAAAGAAGGGUUUGAUGGAUGUGGUUUUACCACAGUCCAAAAUUUUUGUAGAUUUUGUAAAUUUUCAAGUUUUUUCCAUACUUUUGAUCUUAGUUUUUGAUCGUAAAUCAUGUUUUUAUGUGUGUUUCAAUCUUUUUGAAUGAUCCCAGGUGGAAGAAAUUGCAAAGAAAUUGAAAAAAAAAAAAAUCGGAGCAAAAAUAGAGUGAAAACAAAGCAAAAACAGAGCUCUGCGAGAUUUCGCAGCCUAAAGAAAACUUCUGCGAAAUGAGCAUUUUGUUGUCAAACCAUUCAGCAACACUUUGGGAUUCUCUGCGAGAAUUUUCGCAGCUGCGAAGGCGAGUUUGGCACACGAGUGCCACUUCGCAGCAUAGGAGCCCCCAUUUCGCAGCUGCGAAACUGUUGCGAAGCGGUAAAACCUAGAUUUCGCAACAAAAGUCCCAUUCCGCAAGGUAUUUCGCAAUUGCGAAAGUGAUUUUGGCACACGUGUGCCAUUUCGCAGCAUAGUUACAUUCAUUUCGCAGCUGCGAAACGCAUUGCGAAGUGGCUGCGAAAAUGACAUUUUGCUGCGAAAUUGGCAUUUUUUCUGCGAAACUCAAUUUGACCCUUAGUCUUUCGUUAUUACUAUAUAUACCAGUCAUUUGAGCUGUGAAAAGGGUUUCAAAAUAUAGCACGCCAUUCUCGCAGACUGUUCAUCUCCUUCCUUGAGCCUCACCGCGCAAGCCUCCGGUCAUCUUCUCCGACCAUCCAUUCCGACCAAAUUUCGGCAACUCGAAAUGGCGUGAACCAGAGGGGCUAAGUCUUCCUCUCCUUCAAGCCGCAAGAAAAGCUUGCGAAAGGAGCCAGUUCCAGAUCCCGUUUCUAUGCCUCCGCGGCCAAGAGCAAUUUCUCCUCCGGUGAAGCCCGCGCCGCCAAAGCCUCCGGCGAGGCGUUACCUUACCAGGUCAGGGGGUCGGCCGCUGCAGAAGAGACCAAGGGUUGAAAGCUCAGAACCCAUUGACUUGACUGAGCAAUCUCCAGAGCCCUCGCCGGUUCCAACUCUAGUUUCCUCGCCAGUUCCAUCUCCGGUGCCAUCUCCGGCACCGCAAGCAAAACCACAGGAGCCUCAGCCGCCACUUCCCGAGCCCCAAAUUUCAACUGAAAUAGCUCCGGAAGAAGUAAUCAGGCGGCCAAUGCUAACUCAACCCCCAAUUGAGGGAAAUUUGGAUUGUAGAGCUCGGCCAUUCCACUCCAAGCUAUGCUUUGACAUAGCCACAUUUCGAUUGCAGCCGGAGCUUGCACAGUCAUUCAACCUGCUGAGGAGAUACCACAUGGAGCACCUACUGACUCCGAGAGACUUUUUCUACCCUAGGAUAGACAUGGAUUUCUAUCAAUCCAUGAUAACCAAACAGGUCAGGGAUCCAACUUUAAUUCAUUUCACUAUUGAUGGGAGGCAUGGCAUAUUGGGAGCACGCCAUAUAGCUGAAGCCUUGCAAAUUCCCUACGAGCCAAGCCAAUUCGAUAAUUUUAAAGCUUGGACCAGUCAUACUGAACUGGAGAUGGUGCACACCCUGUCCAGAGGAGCUUCCACACGAUCACAUCUAUUGAGGGGGGAGCUUCCUCCAAUCAUCUUUCUGAUUGAUGCAUUUUUGCGUCAUAACCUCUACCCAUUGCAGCAUUGGACUCAAAGAAGAGGAGUCCUCUUAGAAGCCCUGUACAAGAUGUCUGAGGGAUUUUUCUUUGGGCCUCAUCAUCUAAUUCUGGCAGCCCUUCUCUAUUUCGAAGAGAAGGUACACAAAAAGAAGCUUCAGAGGGCUGAUACCAUUCCCUUCCUCUUUCCAAGGCUGCUAUGCCAAAUUCUGGAGCACUUGGGGUAUCCUUCUGAGCCUCAGCUGGAGCGCUAACGCAUUUGCCGUGAGCUAUUUACUCUCGACAAAUGGAACAACAUGACAGCUUAUAGAGUUGACCAGCCUGAGCGCCCACAGCCAGCUGCUAGGAGAGCAUCCCCACGACACAUACCUGAGGGUAUAACAGUUGCUGCUCCUGCCAUUCCCAGAGCUCCACCAGCUGUUCCAGCUUCAUCUCAGCCAUCCACUUCAGCUGAACCGAGGAUGACCAUUCCCAUUUCUGAAUACAGAGAGUUGUGUCGUUCAUUGGAGACCCUCACAGCAUCUCAGAGCAGUCUUGCUCAAGAGAUGGUAGCCAUUAGAGCAUGCCAAGAGCAGAUGUUGGCCACUCAGGCUCAACACACUACCAUCUUAAGGCAGCUCCAGCUUCAUUUCGACCUACCACCAGCUGUUGAGCCCUCCACAUCUACCACAACAGUGCCACACUCUCCUCCAGUAGAGCCUCAGGCCCCAGCUGAAGCACCAACUGAAGAGGCAGACCCAUCUGCCUAGCCCCAGCACCACCCACUCAUUAGAAUAUAUAUAUAUAUAUAUAUAUAUAUAUAUAUAUAUAUAUAUAUAUAUAUAUAUAUAUAUAUAUAUUGCUUUUCUUUUAUGUAUUUCGUUUUUAGUUGGAAAGAAAUCCCAUUAUUUUGGUACUAUAUUUGGGAUUGCUUGUAUUCCUUUUCUUUUGCAUUGUACUCAAAUGGAUUCAAAGUAAUACAAGUCUAAUAUUUCUUGUUAACAGUUUGCAUUAAUUUAUCCUUAUUUCCUUUUCUCACAUAUUCUAUUCUUUUUUAAACAUGUGGUUUCUCCAAUCAAUAUGCGAAAUUGAUAUCACUCAGGAGGUACCACUUCCUCCCUUUAAUUACAAUCACUCAUAUCACAUUGAGGACAAUGCUCAGUUCAGUUGGGGGGGAAUGAGGAAGGAAGUUAUGCUAAAUUAAAGGAACUAUGCUAAGUCUUUUUGGUAAUGCAAUUAUUUUGGUAAAUUAGUUGUAGUUUUUGCUUUUUACUCUUUUUACUCUAUUCUACAUGAAGUUUGAGGAAAAAUUUUCAAAUUAAAACAGGAGAAAUUGAACUGUUGUUUUUCACUUGACUUAGAGUAUGGAUUAUGCUCACUAAAGUGGUUCAAUUGUUGAAGCUUCUAUUGAAAUUGAAUUUAGUUCUUCCACUUUAAGCUAUUCACACACUGUGCACAUUAGAUUCCGAUUAUAACAUGAAAAGCUAUUUCCCUCUUGACUUAGGAUAAUUUUAGGACUUGGUAUAUUUGACCUCAUUUGAUAAAAUUGAAACACCUUGCAAAAGGCCAAUGAGCCUUUGAAAUAAAGAAAGUUGUUUGCUUGCCUUAAAACCCGAGCAAGGUCUGAGAGGCAUAUGGUGAAAAUCUUUGAAGCCUGGUGCCCUAAGCCUUAAUUGGUUGGGAGUCACCGACCUCAAUGCUCGUUACAAGGGUGGAUAGGAGGAGUUAGCAUGUGGUAGGUGCUUGGGUAUUAGAAAUUCAUUCUCAAAAGUCCGGGGAAAAAUCUGAGGAGUUAGUGGUUGAAAGAUCCUUAAAGCUUGGUGCCCUAAACCUUAAUUGGUUGGGAGUCAUCAAUGGACCCCCAUUACAUGGAAAAUUCAGAAAGAGUACCCCAUUAAGCCUCUUCUAAAAAAAAAAAAAAAAAAGUGUGUUCUUUCUUUAUUGAUUUUGGUCAGUUUGCUAAGUUUUGAAAAGAGAUAGGUUGGGGGGAGAGAUUAGUUUAGCAUAUUAUUCUCGGAAGCUAAGGAACCAAUACACAUAGAUUUUUGAGGAAGAAUAAAGUUUGGUUCUUUGAAAGUGGAAAUGAUUUUAAAACUUAAGUUUGCAUAAUGCAUUCCCUUGAUUGACAGUGUUUAGCAUAGUUUGUUAUAACUCUUGUUGAAAUUUGGGUUUGUAUUUCUUUAAUGUUUCAUGAGAGAAUUAGAUCAUCAUGCCACUUGAGAAUUGUUUUUGAUCAGCAUGAUGUUGUAAAUUUUAGUAUAAGUUGCUUUUUAUUUUCAAUUUUUCUCUCCUAUAUUGCUAAGGGACUAGCAAUAUGUCGGUUGGGGGGAGUGAUUACUACUCAAAAAGUGCUAUUUGAUAGCCUAUAAUUAAUCCUUUUAAACACUUUUGAGUAGUAGUUUUGGCCUUUUAACUCAAUUGGCAUGUUAAGGACCCUUGAAAGCAAUUUUAAUCACUUUGUGUAAGUUUUGGUGUUUUUGUUAGUAAUUUGAUCACCAAACCAAUUCAAGAUUGAGGAGAAUUAUGAGGAAUCUUGGGCAAAGCUUGGAAGUCAUUUGCCAAGAGUGAAUCCGGAUUGCAAAGAGAAAAAGUAAAGAGAAUCUGCCAUGAAGCAUAUUCUUGAUGACAGUCGUGGCAGCCACUUUUGGAGCACUUUCUGAAGUCCAAUUGAUGCAUGAUAUAUACCAUUUCAAAGCUCAGGAAGUCAACAAUCCAAUUCUUCAAACGUUACGCAAUUCGAAGUUGAAACGAAGAAGUUACAGCCACUGCAAGUCAAUCACUCUAAGCUGAAGGAAGCAUUUUGCAAAGUGUUGCGAAAUCACCCUUUUGUUGCGAAGUGAUUCCGCAGCCUUUUUGUACAGUGUGGUGUAUUUCCUUCUGAAGUUGCCCGAUAUAUGCCGGAAGCUGGGAGCUGAGAACCUCAAGCUGGAAGCUAACUUCGCAGCCCUGCAAGAAUAGCAUGUUGUUGCGAAAUGAUUUCGCAACCCUUCUUGAGUGCCUGCGAAAUCUCGCAGACACCAUUUUCUCUUGCGAAAUGGUUCCUGGAGCAUCCCGAUAUUUGCUACCGACAUUUGGAGAUAUUUUCUAUUAGAUUUUUGUUGUCUAAAUCCCAAAAUACUCCUUAUAAGCCACCAAUUACAAGAUUCCUUAGCUUUUAAGUUAGUAAAAAGAGAAAAUAUCUAUGUAAUAAUUAGUUUUAUAUCAUGUUCAUAUAAGUACCUCUCGGGAGCCUGUUCUCAGAGGGGAGAUCCUUUUGAAAAGUUUUGGGUAAGUGAUUACUACCAAAAAGUGCUAUUUUGUAGACUUAAUUAUAAUGGUUUUAAGCACAUUUGAGUAGUAAUCAUAUUCAUUUAACCCAAUUAAUUCAUUAAGGUCCUUAGUAAUUGGUUUUAACCAUUUUGUGGCAAGUUUACAUGUUUUUAUCAGCUUAUGAAUCAAUUCAAGCAUGCCAAAUGAUGGAGGAGCUACUUGGACAAGUUUUGGCAAAGCUUUUGGAAGCUCAAAUUCAUGAAGAACCAAGCUUUGGAGCUCCAUAGCCCUUUGCCAAAGUCGUUCAAAGUAUGCAAGGAAAGAACAAUGGAGAAGAGGAAAACAGAGGACAACAGUUUCUUUUAUUUUUGUUUUAAUUUCAAUUUGUGCAUUCCUUGUUGGAUUCGAGACCAAGAGGGAACCCUGGUACAAGUUGAAGAAAAGAGCCUUAGUUGAAUAUCAUUUUUUUUAGAAAUGGAAAUUCCACAUGAAGAUCAAAGCUCUCAUUAUGAUCAUGAGAAGGACAAAUUUGCAUACCUAUCCAUGAGGGAUCGGAUUGAAUUGGGGAAAAGGCAAGUUCAACAAAGCCAAUGGGGUAGUAAGUAUGCUUUGAAUGGAGAUGAUUCAUAUGAGCAUACGAUAGGGGAGUGCUCUACCAUUCCAACUGUGAGAGACAUGUAUGGUUACCAAAGCUCCUACACCUCAAGUUGGAAUAACCAUCCCAACCUUACAACCCAACCUCAACCUCAACCUCAACCAUCAAUGAGUACAUCUUCAUUGGAGCAAGCCAUUUUGAAGAUAAGCAAAGUCAUGGAGGACUUUGUAGGUGAGCAACAAAAGAUCAACUCUCAUCUUAAUGAAAAGAUUGAUAAUAUGGAGAGUUCAAUGAAUGUAAGAAUGGAGGGGGUUUAUAAUGAUCUAUCACUAAGGAUAGAAAAAAUUCAAGACUCCAUUGAGAAGCUCACCAAUCUCGACAUAGCAAGGGGGAAAAGGAAGCUUCCUCCUCAACCCCACCAUAACCUUCAAGGAACCAAUGCAAAAAGAUCAAGGAAAGUGUUGAAGAUCGACACUUUGGUGGGGGAUUGCUAUGACAACUCUAUGGACCAACCUUCCAUUGAAAAUCAUAAGGUUCAAGAUGACAAAGGGUUACCUGAACCCUUUAAAGCAUCCACUUCUCCAGGGAAGAGAAGAGAAACGAAUUCCCUUGGACCAAAUGGGAAGGAUGCCAAUUUUGUUUGGGAUCCAGGGGGAAUUCAACAUGAAGUGGGUGUGUGAGUGAGGAUGAGCUAAAUAGUUCAUCUUCUUUUUGGGGUACAUGCUAUCAGCUUCAUUUAAAUUCUAUGCUUUCUUUAAAUUUAUGCAUGUUUUAGUUUGAAUUCUUAGCUUUAAUUUAGUUUUAAUAUGUUUUUAAGAUGAGUUUUGAAGUGUUCAUGCAGGUAUGAUGCUUGCAAAAAUCGAAGUUAAGGCAAGUGAUGAAGAGGAAGUGAAAUCAUUUAGUGAUUUCUAUGUUUUUAGUUAACUUAAAACACCUUAGAGUCACCUGGGCCAACACUUGGUAAGGCAAGUGAUUUCCAACCAUGGAGAUGCACUAGUUUACCCCUUGCGAGCCUCUGGGAGGUGACUUUAAGGUAGGAUUUUCUGGAAUUGCCAACACUUGGUAAGCUUUUGGACUCCAAGGAGACAUCCAUUAGUUAUCUCUUGUGAGCUUGAGAAGGGAAGUCCAAGGUUAAAGAUCACCUUGAAUGGUUAAGGCUUAGUGAGAGGCUUAAACCAUUGCAAGUUGCAUCAGUGAGAGAAUUAAAGUUGAAAUCUAAUUAAAGGAUGUAUCUGUACAACGCCGAUUAGAGAAUUGACUAUAUGUUGAAUCUCUAACGCGAGGAAAUGAACCAUCUGACCGAAGCUAUGUCUUUUGCAUGAGGAACCACCCCAGUGAACCUGACUCUCCAAGGAAUGUUUUUCUUCCUAAGUUAUUCCCAUUACUUGUUUUGUUAGUUAGUUUAAAUCUAAAUUUUUACAAAUCAAAGUUUGUGUUUUAGUUCUUAAGCUAACCUUGAAAUGAAACAAGACCAAUUCACCUUGAAUUGGUAUCAUUGAUAGCUUGUUAAUCCUUCCCAGUGAACGAUCCUAGAGCCACUAUACUAUAGUAGCUUUGUCUUUGCUACCCUAGUAAAUGGUGUAAUAGGUUAUAAAUUUUGUUAAUUACUCCCUCAAUCAAGGAGCACCAGCUGGACACGAAUCAGCUGAGACACCAAUUGGGCACGAAUCAAAUGGCGCCGUUGCCGAGGAAGGUGUAAAUUUUGUAGUGAUACCAUUUUUGAGCACUUGUGAUUUUCAUCACAAGUUUGGUAACGUUUCUUUCACUUUAUUAAUUCUCAUUCCACCCGGAUGGUUCACACCCGGAUAGUGGGAGCGCGCCGCCAUUAUACCCGGCUGCCGCCACUUUACGCCCGAAUGUGAUAUUCUGCUCCGCCGCCAUUACAUCCAAAAUUCUGCUGCCGCCCACAUUCCACCCCGGAUGUUCACAUCCGGAAUUUUGACGCCAGAUGGGAGAGGAGGCGUUUCAAAUUCCUCGGAUGGACAUAUCCGGAUUCUCUGAUAGCCCCCUACCCGGAUGGGAGAGCAGCCAUUUUGCACAAGUGCUGUGGUGUUCUCCUGAAGCUUCUUGAUAUUUGCCAUCAACAUUUUGGGAUAUUUUGAGAUAUUUUGCUUUAGAUAUUUGUUGUCUAAAUCCCUAAAAUCUCAUUGUAACCCACCAAUUAUAGGAUUCCUUAGUUAUUAAGUUAGGAAAAAGGAUGAAUAACCUUUUAUAUAUUAUUAUUGUAAUUUUCAUAUAAAUAUCUCUCGGGAGCUUGUUUUCGGGACGAUCGAUCCUUUGUACAGUUUUACAAGGAAGAAAAAUACAGAGCCUUUGCUCUACUUUACCUUCUCAUUUUUAAUUAUAUUUUCUUAUUAGCCAAACAAGCUCUGAGGAUGUUUUCCCAGAGGAUGAGAGGCUAAACCUUUGGUUUCUUGGAGUGAAGGAAGCUAGGUGAAAAAUCCAGAUGCAAAAGUGGAAAACUCUCGUGCUUUAAAUACAGGUAGUUGGAGUUCAUAAAUGGCUUUUAAAUCUAAAGUUUUGUUUUAAAUCCCUUAGAAUCACUUUGAAUGGCCAAUACAUGAUAAGAUUUUAGGUCUCUAUGGAUACUUAUUGCUAGAUCCACAUAAGACCAUUAGUUAUCAUGUACGAGCCAUUGGAAAGUGGCUCAAGGUGAAGAUCCAUAGUGUCUAAAGCCAUUAAUGGAACUUGACUACCAUUUCUAUUGACUUUUUAUGGAUUAAAUCUUCAUUGUUAAACCUAUACCAGUUCGGGAAACAACCAUCCUUUAUGUUGUUGUCCCCAGUGUGAGGAGAAGAAUUCGGAAUUUCCCACUUUGCAUUCUGAACUUGAUCCUAGCAACCUUUAGCUCCGGGAGACUUUCUUUCUUCCAUUUUUACAUAGUUCUAUGUUAGUUUAGUUUCAAACACCACUUUCAAAACAAUUUUUUUUUAAAAAAAAAAAACUUUAAAGUUUUUGACAAAAGAAAUCAUCAGAUUCAAUUUCUAAUCUUGAGUCUAUCACUGGUAGAGUGAAAACUCAUCCCAGAGUUCGACCUUAGAGCUGCUAUACUAUAGUAGCUUUGCUACACUAGUAUGAGGUCAUAGGAUUUAUAAAUAUUUUUUGAUUAAAAUACCCAACUGGGCACGAAUCAGGUACUAUAGACUAAGGCAUUAUGUUUUGCAGACAACAGAGUGAUAUUUCAGUUAAGGGAUAUGUUGAUGCAGACUAUGUAAGUGACUUGGAUGAUAGGAGGUCUACCACAGGUUAUGUAUUCACCCUUGGUGGGGGACUUAUUAGUUGAAAGUCAUGAUAUAGUCUUUAGUUGCACUAUCUACUAUUGAGUUAGAAUAUAUGGCAAUAGCUAAGGCUGCAAAGAAAUCAUUGUGGCUUAUAGGUUUGGCCAAGGAGUUGGGUAUUCAACAAGGUGGAGUUAAAUUAUAUUGUGACAAUCAGAGUGCCAUUUAUUUGGCAAAGAACCAUGUGUAUCAUGCAAGGACCAAACACAUAGGUGUGAGAUUUCACAAGAUCAGGGAAUUAGUUUCUUCUAGUGAAUUGUUACUUGAGAAGGUUCACACCUUUGAGAAUGCAGCAGACAUGUUGACAAAGCCUCUUACCACAAAAAGUUCAAGCAUUGCUUGAACUUGAUUAAUCUCUCCAGAUGUUAGAUAGAAGAUGCCCCAACCUAUUGUUCUAGGUGAAGUUAUAAGCUAUGUUUCUUGUUUUUUUAAGGGGAUGAAUAUUCACCAAGGUGGAGAUUGUUGUAGUAUGUGGCUCAAAUUGAGUGAAAGACAUAUAUGGAGAAAAAAGGGCAAAUGCAUGAGGUGAUUCAUGCCCAAUUGGUGUCUCAGCUGAUUCGUGUCCAGCUGGUGCUCCUUGAUUGAGGGAGCAAUCAACAAAAUUUAUAACCUAUUACACCAUAUACUAGGGUAGCAAAGAAAAAGCUACUAUAGUAUAGCGGCUCUAGGAUUGUUCACUGGGAACGGUUUCCAAAUUACAAAUGAUACCAAUUCAAAGUGAAUUGGUACUUUUUCAUUUCAAGGUUAGCUCAAGAAAUAAAACAAAAACUUUGAUUGGUAAAGAUUUAGAUUUAAAAUGACUACAAAGCAAGUGAUGGAAAUUACAUAAGAAGAAAAACAUUCCUUGGAGGGUCAGGUUCACUGGGGAGGUUCCUCAUGCAACAGACAUAGCUCCGGUCAGUUGGUUCAUUUCCUCGCGUUAGAGAAUCAACAUAUAGUCAAUUCUCUAACCGGUGUUGUACAGAUACAUCCUUUAAUUAGAUUUCAGCUUUAAUUUUCUUACUGAUGCAACUUGCAACGGUUCGAGCCUCUCACUAAGCCUUAACCAUUCAAGGGGAUCUUUAACCUUGGACUUCCCUUCUCAAGCUCGCAAGAGAUAACUAAUGGAUGUCUCCUUGGAGUCCAAAAGCUUACCAAGUGUUGGCAAUUCCAGAAAAUCCUACCUACAAGUCACCUCCCAGAGGCUCGCAAGGGGUAAACUAGUGCAUCUCCAUGGUUGGAGAUCACUUUCCUUACCAAGUGUUGGCCCAGGUGACUCUAAGGUGUUUUAAGUUAACUAAAAACAUAGAAAUCACUAAAGGAUUUCACUUCCUCUUCAUUCAUGGCUGAAACCACAAAGCUUUGCAUUCUUGCACUUGGAACCUUUCCCGGCAACCUUAGCUCCAAGGAAUUAAAGGUUUAGUUACUCAUUCUUUGGGGAAACUUCCUCAGAGAGUGCAUAACUUAGAAAAAAUGAAAAAUACAAAGUGAGAAGAUAAGGCAAAACAAAGGUCUUGAAUUUUACUUGCUUUCAAACUUUUACAAAAGGGUUCCUCCCCUUGAGAACAGGCUCUCGAGAGCUAUUUAUAUCAACAAAAAUAAAUACUAAUUAUUACAUGGUUAUCUACUCUUUUUACUAACUUAAAAGCUAAGGAAUCUUAUAAUUGGUGGCUUUCAAGGAGAAUUUUGGGAUUUAGACAACAAAAUUCUGAUGAAAAAUAUCUCCCAAUGUCGGUAGCAAAUAUCGGGAAGCACUAGGAAUCAAUUCGCAAGUGCAAACGAGGUCUGCGAGAUUUCGCAGAGGCACAAAAAGGGCUGCGAAAUCACUUCGCAGCAAACGGCUGAUUUCGCAACGCUACGAAGUGGUCUUUCAACUUGUGGUAUUCGGCUUCCAUCGUGACGGGAAACUUCAAGGGGGGGAACACAGCACUAUACAAAAAAGCUGCGAAAUCAUCUCGCAACAAAAGGGUGAUUUCGCAGCGCUGUGCAAAAUUCUUCCUUCAGCUUGGAGUGAUCGGCUUGCAAUGGCUGUAACUCCUUCAUUUCAACUCCAAAUUGUGCACCAUUUGAAGAAUUGGAUUUUUGACUUCCUGAGCUUCGAAACGACAUAUAGCAUGCAUAAAUUGGACUUCAGGAAGUGCUCCAUAAGUGGUUGACAUGACUGUCAUCAAGAAUAUGCUUCAUGACAGAUUUCUCUUUGCUUCUUCUCCUUACAUUCCGGAUUUACUCAUGGCAGCAAAGGACUUCACAGCUUUAGUUCUUCAUGUUUCUGAGCUUCAAAUUGCUUUGCCAAAGAUUCCACAUAACUCUCCUCAAUCUCGGAUUGCUUUGGUGAUCAAAAAGCUAUCAAAACACCAAAAGUUAACACAUAUUGAUUAGAAGUGCUUGCAAAGGUCCUUAAUAUGUUAAUUGGGUUAAAAGACAAUAACUACUACUCAAAAGUGUUUAAAAGAGUUAAUUACAAGCUAUGAAAUAGCACAUUUUGAGUAGUAAUCACUCCCCCCAACCAACAUAUUGCUAGUCCCUUAGCAAUGAAGGAGAGAAAAAAAAAUUAAAAAUUACUAUAAUUUACAACAUCAUGCUAAUUACUUCAAAAAAAUUUAAGUGGCAUGAUGAUCUAACUCUCACAUGAGACAUUAAAGAGAUAUAAACCCUAAUUUCAACAAGAGUUAUCAAAAACUUUGCUAAACACUAUUGAUCAAGGGAAUGCAUUAUGCAAAUUGAAGUUUUAAAAUCAUUUUCACUUCCAAAGAACCAAACUUUAUUCUUCUACAAAAAAUCUAAGUGUAUGAUUCCUUAGCUUUCGAAUAUAAUGUGCUAAACUAAUCUCUCCCCCCAACCUAUCUCUUUUCAACACUUAGCAAACUGACCAAAUUCAAUAGGCAGAGAACACACUUAUUUUUUUUUGUUUUUAGAAGGCACAAGGCUUAAGGGGUAUUCUUUCUGAAUUGUCCAUGUAACGGGGGUCCAUCGAUGACUCCCAACCAAUUAAGGUUUAGGGCAUCAAGCUUUGAGGAUCUUUCAACCACUAACUCCUCGGAUUUUACCCCGGACUUUUGAGAAUGAUUGUUUUAAUACCCAAGCACCUACCAUAUGCUAACUCCACCUAUCCACCCUUGUAACGAGCAUUGAGGUCGGUGACUCCCAACCAAUUAAGGCUUAGGGCACCAGGUUUUAAAGAUUUUCACCAUAUACCCCUCAGACCUUGCUCGGGUUUCAAGGCAAGCAAACAUUUUUCUUUCUUUAUUUCAAAGGCUCAUUGGCCUUUCAUAAGGUGUCUCAACUUUAUCAACUGAGGUCAAAGGUACCAAGUCCUAAAAUUUUCCUAAGUCAAGAGGGAAAUAGUUUUUCAUCUUAUACUCGAAACCUAUUGUGCACGGUGUGUGAAUAGCUUAAAGUGGAAGAACUAAACUCGAUUUCAAUAGAAGCUUCAACAAUUGAACCACUUUAGUAAGCAUAAUCCAUACUCUAAGUCAAGUGAAAAGCAACAGUUCAGCUUCUCCUGUUUUAAUUUGAAAAUUUUUCCUCAAAAUCCAUGGAGAUUAGAGUGGAUAGUAAAAGAUUACAACUAAUUUACUAACAUAAGUGCAUUACCAAAAUAACUUAGCAUACUUCCUUCCUCAUUUCUCCCCCCCCCCCCCCUAAUCGAAUUGAGCAUUGUCCUCAAUGUGAUAUGGGUGAUUGCAAUUAAAGGGAGGAAGUGGUACCUCCUGAGUGAUAUCAAUUUUCGAAUACUGAUUGGAAAAACCACAUGUUUCAAAAAGAAUAAAAGAUGUAAAAACAAACUCUCUUUGCUAGACCAUCCCAUUGGAGCUACGCAUUGCUAGCCAAUCUAGUUGCAACACAUUAAGGGGAAUGCCCUCAAAAACCAUGGAGCAAAAAGCCCAAAAAGAAGCUAGGAAGUGAAUGGUAUUCCAUAGAUUCUCUAAAUUCCUAGCUUUAUCCUUAAAUAUCCUAGCAUUUCUUUCUCGCCACACAACCCAAAUUAAAGCAAUACAUGUAGUUUGCCACAAAACUAUGCUUCUCUUGGAUUUUCCAAAACCCUUAUAAUUGAUGGUUAUCAAGUCAGAAAUGCUCCUUGGGGGGACCCAAUCCAUCUUAGCUAUCUGAAAUAAUCUGUGCCACAAUCCCAUCGUCAAAUAACAACGUAAGAAAAGAUGAUCUGCUGAUUCUCCGUGCUUCAUACACAACUUACAGAUGUNNNNNNNNNNNNNNNNNNNNNNNNNNNNNNNNNNNNNNNNNNNNNNNNNNNNNNNNNNNNNNNNNNNNNNNNNNNNNNNNNNNNNNNNNNNNNNNNNNNNAUUUCGUUUUCCCUUUUUUAAUUUAAAAAUUUUUCCCCAAAACCCAGGGGGUUUAGGGGGGUUGGUAAAAGUUUACAAUUAUUUUAUUAACAAAGGGCCUUUCCCAAAAAAAUUUGCCUUCUUCCUUUCCUCAUUUCCCCCCCCCCCCCCCCUAAUCGAAUUGAGCAUUGUCCUCAAUGUGAUAUGGGUGAUUGCAAUUAAAGGGAGGAAGUGGUACCUCCUGAGUGAUAUCAAUUUUCGAAUACUGAUUGGAAAAACCACAUGUUUCAAAAAGAAUAAAAGAUGUGAGAAAAAGAAAUAAGAAUAAAUUAAUGCUAAGAGUUAACAAAAAUGCUAGAUUUGUAUUACUUUAAAUUCAUUUGAGUACAAUGAAAAAGAAGGCAAUACAAGCAAUCCCAUAUAUGAUACCAAAUUAAUGGGAUUUCAUAAAAGACUAAGAAAAAGAAAAAAAAAAUGAAAUACAUAAAGGAAAUAUGUAGUAGAUAUAUAUGAUGAGAUGGGUAGAUGGUGCUUGAACUAAUGGCUUAGGCAAAUGGCUCUGCCUCUUCAGUAGUUUUUUCAGGAGGGGCCUGAGGCUCUGUGGCCUGCGAGUGUGGCACUGCAGUGGUGGGGGUGGAGUGCUCAGCAGCUGAUGGAAGAUCAAAAUGAUGCUGUAGCUGCCUCAGGAUGGCAGUGUGCUGAGCCUGGGUGGUCAACAUCUGCUCCUGGCAUGCUCGAAUAGCUGCCAUCUCCUGAGCAAGGCAGCUCUAAGAUGCAGUGAGAGUCUGCAGUGAGCGACAUAACUCCCUAUACUCAGAAAUGGGAAUGGUCAUCCUUGGCUCAACUAAAGAAGAUGGCUGUGAUGAGGCUGGAGUGACUGGAGGGGAUCUAGAUAUGGCAGGAGAGGCAAUGGGUAUACCCUCAGGUAUAUGACGUGGAGAUACUCUCCUGACAGCUGGUAUUGCAGUUGGUGUGGCUGCCCUGGCUGCUCAACUCUAUAUGCUAUCAUAUUGUUCCAUUUUUCGAGAGUAAAGACCUCUCGGAAAAUACGUUUGCGCUCCAACUGAGGAUCUGUUGGAUACCCCAGAUGCUUCAGAAUCUGGCAUAGCAGCCGUGGAAAGAGAAGUGGAAUGGCAUCAGCUCUCUGCAGCUUCUUCUUAUGCACCUUCUCUUCAAAAUUGAGAAGGGCAGCCAUAAUUAGGUGGUGAGGGCCAAAGAAGUAUCCCUCAGAAAUCUUGAACAGGGCCUCCAAAAGAACUCCUCUCCUCUAAAUCCAGUGCUGGAGUGGGUAGAUGUUAUGACGCAGAAAUGCAUCAAUAAGAAACAUGCUUGGAUGAAGUUCCCCCCUCAAUAGAUGUGGACGUGUGGAAGCUCCUCUGGACAAGAUAUGCACCAUCUCCAGCUCAGUGGGACUAGUCCAUACUCUGAAAUUCUCAAAAUGAGUUGGCUCGUAUGGUAUAUGCAGGGCCUCUGCUAUAUGGCGAGCUCCCAAAAUGCCAUGCCGACCAUCUAUAGUAAAAUGGAUUAAAGUAAGAUCUCCGACUUGCUUGGUAGUCAUGGACUGAUAAAAAUCCAUGGCUACCCUGGGGUAGAAGAAGUCUCUCAGGGCCAACAGAUGCUCCAUAUGAUAUCUACGCAAUAGGCGGAAAGAAUCCGCAAGCUCCAGCCUCAAUUGGAAGGUGGUUGUGUCAAAGCACAGCUCAGAGUGGAAUGGCCGAGCUCUGCAGUCCAAAUUCCCUUCUAUUGGCAGCUGAGUAAGCAUCGGACGCCUAAUUAUCACUUCAGGAGCUACCCCAGAUGGAAUUUGGGGUUCAGAAAGUGGUGGCUGGAGCUCCUGAGGCUGUGUUGGCGGCGCCGGAGACGGCACCGGAGAUGGCACUGGAAAGGGCUCUGGUGAGGGAACUGGGGACUGCUCUGUUAAGUCUAUGGGCUCUGAGCUUUCAACUCUAGCCCUCUUUUGCAGGGGACGACCCCCUGACCUAGUGAGAUAACGCCUCGUCGGAGGGUUUUUAGGCGCGGGCUUCGCCGGAGGGGAAACAGCUUCUGGCCGUGGAGGUUCAAAGGUGGGUCUUUGAACAGGUACCUCUUGCGAAACUCGUUUGCGGCUGGAAGGAGAGGAAGAUGUGGCUCCUCUUGUUCGCGCCAUAUCAGAAUGUCGAGAUUUGGCUGGAAGCGAGGACCGGAGAAGAUGACCGGAGGUUCGCGCGUCGUCGGGCUCGGGGAAGGAGAUGAACACACGGCUGCUAUGGCGUUCCCUCCUUUUGAAAUCCUUUUGAAACUCAACUAACCAGUAUAUAUAAAAAUAACGGAAUAUUAAAAGUCAUUUUGAGUUUCGCAGAAGAACGUCGAUUUCGCAACAAAAAGUCAUUCUCGCAGCCCACUUCGCAGCUUCGAAAUGGAUGUCACUGUGCUGCGAAAUGGCACUCGUGUGCCAAACUUGGUUUCGCAGCUACGAAAUACCCUGCGGAAUGGAGCUUUGACUGCGAAAACGGGUAUUUUCACGCUUUGUAGCUUCGCAGCCAAUUCGCAGCUUCGAAAUGGGGGCUCUUGUUCUGCGAAGUGGCACUCGUGUGCCAAACUUGGUUUUGCAGCUGCGAAAAUUUUCGCAAAGGAGUCAAAUGAGUUGUGAAAUGAUUUCGCAAGGGAUGGCCGCUUUCACAGAGACAUGUUGAUUUCGCAGUGGCUUCGUUUAAGUUGCGAAAUGGUUUCGCAUCGAAGUGCUAAUUUCGUAGAGGCUGCGAAAUCUCGUAGACCCCUGUUUUUUCUGUUUUCACUCUGUUUUUUGUCUGAUUUCGCUCCGAUUUCUUCCUUUCAAUCUCUUUGCAUUUUAUCUCACCUGAGAUCAUCCAAAAAGAUUAAAUUACAUAUAAAAACAUACUUUAAGAUCAAAAAUUGAAAUGAAAAGUAUGGAAAAAAAACUUUGAAAUUUACAAAAAUUUUGGACUAUGGUAAAACCAAGUCCAUCAAACCCUUAUUUGCUCAGACUUUUUGUGGCUCAAGGAGGUUGAUUUCCUCAUUUUCUGGUUUGAAUGGCUCCAUGAAUGGCUUGAGACGAUAUCCAUUGACUCUAAAGGUAUCUUUGCCAUUGGAAUUUAAUAAUUCCACCAUUCCAUUGACAUAUACUUGGUGAAUAAUGAACGACCCUAUCCACCUUGACUUGAGCUUUCCAGGAAAGAUAUGGAGUCUUGUGUCAUAAAGUUAAACUCUUUGUCCUUUCUAAAAUUCUUUGUUGGAGAUUAGUUGAUCAUGCCACUUCUUCAUUCUCUGUUUUGCAACUUUGGAAUUGAUAUAAACAUCAUUUCUUAAUUCCUCCAUCUCAUUAAGGUCUAGACACCUCUUUGCUCCGGCUCUGAUCAAGUCCAUAUUCAGCUUCUUUAUUGCCCACCAAGCUUUGUAUUCAACUUCCACAGGGAGAUGGCAUGCUUUGCCAUAGACAAGACGAUAGGGAAACAUGCCAAGAAUAGUCUUAUAAGCUGUUCUAUAUGCCCAUAAUGAAUCAUGAAGCCUAAUAGACCAAUCUUUUCUACUUGAAUUCACCACUUUCAUCAAUAUGUUCUUUAUUUCUCUGUUAGCUAGCUCAACUUGCCCGGAAGUCUGAGGAUGAUAAGGCGUAGCUACCUUAUGCUUCACUCCAUACUUGGAUAAUAGAGCUUCAAAAGGUUUGUUGCAAAAAUGAGCACCUCCAUCACUGAUUAUGGCUUUGGGCACCCCAAAUCUCGAGAAAAUGUUCUCUUUAAGAAACUUGAGAACCACCCUGUGAUCAUUUUGUUUACAGGGGAUGACCUCAACCCAUUUGGAAACAUAAUCCACCCCCACCAAAAUGUAAGAAUUACCAAAAGACAUUGGGAAAGGCCCCAUGAAGUCAAUGCCCCAUACAUCAAAAUAGCUCAACUAUUAGAAUGGGGUUCAUAGGCAUUUGAUUUCUUUUUGUUAACUUUCCAAGCCUUUGGCAUCUAUCACAACUUCUACACAUGAUGUGGGUGUAUUUGAAAAGAGAUGGCCAAGUAAACCCUGAUUGCAACACCUUCAUGGAUGUUUUCUGAGAGGCAAAGUGACCUCCACAUGCAUUCUCAUGACAAUGGUUUAGAAUCCCUUGCUACUCAUCUUCAGGGACACUUCCUUAUGAUCUGAUCUACACAAUACUUAAAAAGAAAGGGCUCUUCCCAAUAAUAAGCAUGAAUUUUUGAAAAGAAGUGCUUCCUGUCCUAUGCAUUCCACUCACUUGGAAUUUCACUCGUAACUAGAUAAUUAGCAAUAUGAGCAUACCAAGGAGUUUUUACUAGGAACAUGAGUGAUUCCUCAGGAAAGUCAUCAUUAAUAGGCAAUGAAUAGGAAUUAUGUGCUAUAACUAACUUUGAAAGAUGGUCGGCUACCACAUUCUCCACUCCUUUCUUAUAUUUGAUUUGGAGAUCGAAUUCUUGUAACAAAAGAAUCCAUCUAAUCAACCUUUUUUUUGCAUCUUUCUUUGUCAAUAAAUACUUCAAGACUGAAUGGUCAGUGAAAACAAUGAUGAAAGACCCUACUAAAUAAGCACGAAAUUUGUCCAAAGCGAAUACCACAGCUAACAAUUCUUUCUCUGUAGUUGUGUAGUUCCUUUGAGCUUCAUUCCGUGUUUUGCUUGCAUAGUAGAUCACAUAGGGCUUCCCAUCUUCUCUUUGGCCAAGCACAGCUCCUAUAGCAAAGUCAUUGGCAUCACACAUCAGUUCAAAGGGUAGUUGCCAGUUAGGGGCUCUCACUAUUGGAGUUGUUAAAAAUUUCUUUAGUUGAUCAAAGCUAUUUUGACAUCUUUCAUCCCAUAUAAACUUAGCAUCCUUAGCUAACAGCUCACAAAGAGGUUUUGAAAGACUUGAAAAACCUUUUAUAAACCUCCUAUAGAACCCUGCAUGGCCAAGGAACUGUCUUACUCCUUUCACAAUUGUUAGGGAUGGUAAUUUGACAAUAAGCUCCACCUUUGCUUUAUCAACUUCAAUGCCUUUUUCGGAGAUAAUAUGGCCAAGGACAAUUCCUUAACGUACCAUAAAAUGGCAUUUCUCCCAGUUGAGCACCAGGUCUUUUUCAAUGCAUCUGUGAAGAACUGCUUCCAAAUUGAUUAAGCAUUCCUCAAAUGUACCUCCAUAUACGGUGAUGUCAUCCAUGAAAACCUCCAUAAUUCGCUCCACCAUAUCACUAAAAAUACUCAACAUACAUUUUUGAAAUGUUGCAGGUGCAUUGCAUAAACCAAAAGGCAUUAUUUUGUAAGCAUAUGUUCCAAAUGGACAUGUAAAGGUGGUUUUUUCCUGAUCUUCCACAUCAAUUUCAAUCUGAAAAUACCCUGAAUACCCGUCCAAGAAGCAAUAGAACGGAUGACUAGAGACUCUCUCCAGUACUUGGUCAAUAAAUGGCAAUGGAAAAUGAUAUUUCCUGGUUACAGCAUUCAACUUUCUAUAGUCAAUACACACCCUCCAACCUGAAGUGAGGCGUGUAGUAAUUUAUUCCCCUUUUUCGUUCUAGACCACAGUAAUCCCUGACUUCUUUGGUACCACUUGAGUAGGACUCACCCAAGGGCUGUCAGAUAUAGGGUAAAUAAUGCUUGCUUGAAGUAGCUUCAGCACCUCAACUCGCACCACCUCUUGUAAAUGAGGAUUCAAUCUUCUUUGAAGUUGAUGAAUUGGCUUUGCUUCCUCCUCAAUAUAUAUAUGAUGCGUGUAAACUAAAGGACUAAUGCCUUUCAAGUCGGAUAUUUGCCAUCCUAUUGCCUUCUUAGACCUCUUGAGAACUUCCAUUAGUGACUUCUCUUGAUGACUGGUCAGAGAUGAAGAUAUUACGAUAGGACAUUGAUUAUUUUCUUCAAGGUAUGUAUAUUUCAGCUCCACGGGUAGAGGCUUCAGAUUGAGUUUUGGAGUCUCUUUUUCAGCAAUUGCCUCUUCUUCUUUAUUGAACAAAGGUAGAAUCUCUUCUAUCAUUCUCCAACUUUGUAGAGUAGCAAGCACAUUAGGGGGUUCAGACAAACCUUCCUCAAAAUCCACAAGACUUUCAUUCAGCUUGUCCUGCAUAUUCUGAUUACAGUGCUCCCAUACCAAAGUGUCAAUAAUGCACACCUCUUCUGGACCCUCUUCUCAUUCCGGAGUGGUUUGCUUUUUAGACAUAUAGAAGAUAUUGAGAUCAAGUGUCAUGUUGCCAAAAGUGAGUUGCAUAAGCCCAUUCCUACAGUUGAUGAUUGCAUUUGAGGUAGCAAGGAAUGGCCUUCCAAGGAUGAUAGGAACUAAAUUAGCUUCCUUUAUAGUAAGGUUUGUAUCAAGAACAAGAAAAUCUACCGGAUAGUAGAAAUUAUCAACUUGAACCAAGACAUCCUCAAUUACCCCCCUUGGAAUUUUUACUGAUCUAUCUACUAGAGAUAGAGUGAUUGUCGUUGGCUUCAACUCACCAAGUCCCAAUUGCUUGCAGACAGAGUAUGGAAGCAAAUUCACACUUGCUCCCAAGUCUAACAAAGCUUUCUCCACUACCUUUCCUCCAAUCAUGACUGAAAUGGUAGGACUUCCCGGAUCUUUGUACUUCAAUGGAGACUUACAUUGUAAGAUUGCACUUACUUGCUCAGUCAAGAAGGCUUUCUUAUUUACAGUCAACCCUCUUUUAAUAGUACAUAAGUCCUUUAGGAACUUUGCAUAUGUUGGAACUUGUUUAAUCAUAUCCAGCAAUGGGAUAUUGACUUUCACUUGUCUCAAUACUUCAAGAAUUUCAGAUGCAUUUCUAAUCCCCUUUUUCCCAUGCAAUGCUUGAGGAAAAUGAGGAGAAGUUGAUUUCUUCAGCAUUUCUUCUUUUUGAAGCUCCUUCUCUGGAAUUGCAUUCAUUGUUGAAUCAUAGUCCUUCUUCUUUUCACUGAUCUCACUCUCUUUGUCUUCCAUUUCCUCCCCUUUCUUUAUCUUUUCUUCUUUCUCAACAUGUGGCUUGGGUGUUGGCUUCUCAAUUUUUUUACCACUCCUUAGAGUGACCAAGGCUUUGACAUCUUUCAUCUGUGAUGAUUCUCCCUCAAGGCUUUCCACUUCAUGGACACCCUUGGGGUUUUGGUGGGGUUGAGAAGGAAAUCUUCCCUUUUCUUGCACUGUGUUCAAAUUUGUGAGCCUUGAAAUUGAGUAUUGGAGAUUAUCAAACUUUUGGGAUAUAUCAUUUUGCAUUCCAUCCAUCAUUUUAUUCAAAGUACUCUCCACUCUGUCAAUUCUUUGAUUGAUUUGAGCAUUGAUGGCUUCUUGGUUUCCAACAAAAUCUCCCACUACCUUGCUGAGAUUUGCUAUUGCUUGUUUAAGACUUGAAGAUUGUUGAGAUGGUUGAUCUGGCUGUUGGUACUGAGUUGCUCUGGCCUUCCAUGAGAAAUUUGGAUGAUUCCUCCAACUUGAGUUGUAAGUAUUUCCAUAAGGCACAUUGUUAUUGGACUUCAAUUGUCCAACAACAUUUGCUUGAUCUCUAAACAUUUCCCUUUCAACUGAAAUUGCAGGGCAUUCCUCCACCAAAUGUUCAUAUGAUUGACAAUUAGGACAAAGCUUUACUUGCACUGGUGCUUCAGCAACAGCUUGCACUUCAUGCACUUUUUUCAGUUCCAGCUCCUCCAAUCUUCUUGUCACAGCUGCCAAUUUUGCUUUCAUAUCAUCAUCUUCUUUCAAGGUAUACAUCUCAGCCUUAGUAUUAAAAGCACUCAGUUGAGACUUUAUCUUCCCCACUUCUCCUUUGGUUGGUUCAUCCCAUCCCCUUGAAACUUCAGCUACAUAGCUCAAGAAAUCCAUAGCUUCCUCUGAAUUUUUGCUCAUGAAAUCUCCUCCACACAUUGUCUUGAGGAGUUGCUUCAUUGAGGAAGACAUCCCAUCAUAAAAAUAGCUCACCAAUAGUCAAGUAUCAAAGCCAUGGUGAGGGCAAGCAUUUAUAGCUUGCAUGUAUCUUUCCCAACACUCAUAGAAUUUCUCAUUCUCUUUAGCUGAGAAAUUUGAAAUUUGCCUUUUCAAGCCAUUUGUUCUAUGAGUGGGAAAAAAAUUUCUUGAGGAAUUCAGCUUGUAAGUCAGUCCAAGUGCGGAUACUCCUUGGCCUUAAAGAAUUAAGCCAAAUUUUGGCCUUAUCCUUUAAAGUAAAAGGAAAUGCCAAAUUUUGGCCUUAUCCUUUAAAGUAAAAGGAAAUAACUUAAGCCUCAUCAAAUCAAUUGAAGUUCCUCCCUCUUGGAAUGUAUUACAAACAUCUUCAAAUUCCUUGAUGUGUGCAUACGGAUUCUCACUUUCCAUCCCAUGGAAAGUUGGUAGAAGUGGAACAAGAUACGGUCUGAUCGCUAGCUGCUCUGUAGGGGGCACUAUACAUGAUGGUGCACUCAUACGAGGUGGAUGCAUACGGUCCCUCAUUGAUCUGAAUUCAUUGAGAUUGUCUUGACGACCUUGGUGACUAUGCUGAUCUUCAGGUGGAGCUUCCAUGAUAUUCAAGCUCAAUUCCAAUUCCUUGUUAUGAGGUGUAUCACGUUUAACAAGCCUUCCUCCACUGUCUCGUAUCCAAUUUGGCAUGCACAACUAGUAUCUAUCUGUAACUAGAAUGAAAAUAAAGGACAACAAAAGGAAAUAGGGCUACGAAAAACAAAAUUAAACUAAGCUGAAUUUAAAAGAUAAAUUUGGAUUAUGAAUUAGUAAAGAAAGAAUGAGAAUUAGUAAAAUGAAAGAAACGUUACCAAACUUGUGAUGAAACUCACAAGUGCUCUGAAAUAGUAUCACUAUAAACUUGACACCUUCCCCGGCAACGACGCCAUCUGAUUCAUGCCCAAUUGGUGUCUCAGCUGAUUCGUGUCCAGCUGGUGCUCCUUGAUCGAGGGAGUAAUCAACAAAAUUUAUAACCUAUUACACCAUAUACUAGGGUAGCAAAGAAAAAGCUACUAUAGUAUAGCGGCUCUAGGAUUGUUCACUGGGAAGGGUUUCCAAAUUACAAAUGAUACCAAUUCGAAGUGAAUUGGUACUUUUUCAUUUCAAGGUUAGCUUAAGAAAUAAAACAAAAACUUUGAUUGGUAAAGAUUUAGAUUUAAAAUGACUACAAAGCAAGUGAUGGAAAUUACUUAGGAAGAAAAACAUUCCUUGGAGGGUCAGGUUCACUGGGGAGGUUCCUCAUGCAACAGACAUAGCUCCGGUCAGUUGGUUCAUUUCCUCGCGUUAGAGAAUCAACAUAUAGUCAAUUCUCUAACCGUUGUUGUACAGAUACAUCCUUUAAUUAGAUUUCAGCUUUAAUUCUCUCACUGAUGCAACUUGCAACGGUUCGAGCCUCUCACUAAGCCUUAACCAUUCAAGGGGAUCUUUAAUCUUGGACUUCCCUUCUCAAGCUCGCAAGAGAUAACUAAUGGAUGUCUCCUUGGAGUCCAAAAGCUUACCAAGUGUUGGAAAUUCCAGAAAAUCCUACCUACAAGUCACCUCCUAGAGGCUCGCAAGGGGUAAACUAGUGCAUCUCCAUGGUUGGAGAUCACUUGUCUUACCAAGUGUUGGCCCAUAUGACUCUAAGGUGUUUUAAGUUAACUAAAAACAUAGAAAUCACUAAAGGAUUUCACUUCCUCUUCAUUCAUGGCUGAAACCACAAAGCUUUGCAUUCUUGCACUUGGAACCUUUCCCGGCAACCUUAGCUCCAAGGAACUAAAGGUUUAGUUACUCAUUCUCUAGGGAAACUUCCUCAGAGAGUGCAUAACUUAGAAGAAAUGAAAAAUACAAAGUGAGAAGAUAAGAAAAAACAAAGGUCCUGAAUUUUACUUGCUUUCAAACUUUUCCAAAAGGGUUCCUCCCCUUGAGAACAGGCUCUCGAGAGCUAUUUAUAUCAACAAAAACAAAUACUAAUUAUUACAUGGCUAUUUACUCUUUUUACUAACUUAAAAGCUAAGGAAUCUUAUAAUUGGUGGCUUUCAAGGAGAAUUUUGGGAUGUAGACAACAAAAAUCUGAUGAAAAAUAUCUCCCAAUGUCGGUAGCAAAUAUCGGGAAGCAUUGGGGAUCAUUUCGCAAGUGCAAACGAGAUCUGCGAGAUUUCGUAGAGCCACAAAAAGGGCUGCGAAAUUACUUCGCAGCAAACGGCUGAUUUCGCAAUGCUGCGAAGUGGUCUUUCAACUUGUGGUAUUCGGCUUCCAUCAUGACGGGAAACUUCAGGGGGGGAAACACAAGACUGUACAAAAAGGCUGUGAAAUCAUCUCGCAACAAAAGGGUGAUUUCGUAGCGCUGUGCAAAAUUCUUCCUUCAGCUUGGAGUGAUCGGCUUGCAAUGGAUGUAACUCCUUCAUUUCAACUCCAAAUUGUGCACUGUUUGAAGCAUUGGAUUUUUGACUUCCUGAGCUUCGAAACGAAAUAUAGCAUGCAUAAAUUUGACUUCAAGAAGUACUCCAAAAGUGGUUGACAUGACUGUCAUCUUAUGCUUCAUGACAGAUUUCUCUUUGCUUCUUCUCCUUACAUUCUGGAUUUACUCAUGGCAGCAAAAGACUUCACAGCUUUAGUUCUUCACGUUUCUGAGCUUCAAAUUGCUUUGCCAAAUAUUCCACAUAACUCUCCUCAAUCUCGGAUUGCUUUGGUGAUCAAAAAGCUAUCAAAACACCAAAACUUAACACAUAUUGAUUAGAAGUGCUUGCAAAGGUCCUUAAUAUGUUAAUGGGUUAAAAGGAAAUAACUACUACUCAAAAGUGUUUAAAAGAGUUAAUUACAAGCUAUGAAAUAACACAUUUUGAGUAGUAAUCAUGAGGAGCGACAAAAUUUGCCAUUUAAGAUUGUAUUUUUAUUAUUAAGAGUGAACAAUAGGUUGGGCGGGUGUGAGGGGCAACAACCCCCCUCCCUCCACCCGCAGUAUGGUUUAGGGGUAUUUUUAUAAUUUCAAUACCUGAGGAUUAGUAUAAAUACCCUUUUAUGUAAUCGUAAUUUUUGACAUAGUGAAAGUCUUUCUCCCUAUUCCAGUGGACAUGGGCAAUUUGAUGAGCCACGUUAAAUCUGUGUAUUUUUUUUUGUUUUUCUCUAAUUUCUUCACUAGGAAUUGUUGCAAGAAAAUCAACAAAAUAAGAUUUACUUUAAGUGUUCAGUUCCAAAUGGAGUUGUUUCAGAGUUGGUAUUGAACUCAAGAGAAGGAUUUUCUAACACUAACAGACCUGUAUUUGUGAAGGAUGAUGUGUACGAUGGGUAUGAGAAAUAUCUAGGGUGUGCAAUGCAAAACCCACCCACUUGUAGGAAUAGAAAAGACCAAUUCAUGAAGCAAUCAGUUCACAUAUCAGGAUCACCAUCAUCAAUAAAAGAAAAUUCGAGCUUAGGCUUUAGUGAUUGUCAGGCUAUAUGCAGGUAUGACUAUUCUUGUACUACUUGCAAUACUAUAUACACCAACAGAAAUGGAUGUUGGUUUGGAGUACAAAAUUUACACAAGCUCACGUAAGUGAUGCAAAUCAGUAGGAACUCUAUGUUUAUCCUCAUCACAAGUUAUGGGUACAAGUCUCUCUUUAUUUCGUAUUCCUGAAAGUAACCAAAGCAAAGUAGUUGAUGAAUCCAACAUUUUUACCGAAUUUACAACCCUAAUAGGUGAUAAAAAAAAAAGUUCAAAAUACCAUUCGAGGAGCUAUAUCAAGACCAUAAAAGACCCUUGAUCUUUCUAUUUCUCUUUCACUAUGUUCUGCUCUAAGCCUCUAACCAAAAAAUUUAUCAACUUCUAUUUAUAUAGGGAACAAUUGGUGGAUAUGGGUCAUUAUUGCAGGAGUGGUCCUUAUGGUCUUUUUACUUAUGGGCUCCUUAUACUAUUUAAGGAGAAAAUAUAGAGGUACUAUUUUUUUUAAAACUUUUUUUAUGAUAGUAAUGCCAUUUGUUAGUGGGUUGGAUAAUUGAACUCGUGAUUUGUGGUAUAGCGAGGGAGAGAGAAAUGGAGGAAGCUAUGCUGCAUGAAUUGACAACUUCAAACAACUUUAGUGAUUCAAAAUAUGUUGAACAUGAUGGAAAGAGGAGGGCUCAUGAUCUCAAACCGUUCAAUUUUGAUUCUAUUGUGGCUACCACAAAUAACUUUUCGUCUUAAAAUAAACUUGGAAAUAGUGGUUUUGGUCCAGUUUAUAUGGUAAUUAUAAUUUCAUUAAGCCAUGGCAUGUAAUAGGAAUAGGGCAUUCUUUUUUUUAAGUGCCUCAAUUAAAGCUUCCUUGUGGAUUAUGGCUUAGUUUUUGCAUGGGAAAUUACCCGAGGAGCAAGAAAUAGCAGUGAAGAGAAUUUCAAGGGGCUCAAGACAAGGAUUGGUGGAGUUAAAAAAUGAGAUUAGACUGAUUGCCAAACUCCAACACAUGAAUCUUGUUAGACUUUUGGGUAGCUACAUCAAGGGAGAAGAAAGAUGUUAAUCUAUUGAUUCGUUAAAUCCAGUCGAGUGUUUUAAUAAAAAAAUAUUUGUAAAUCCUAUGACCUCAUACUAGCGUAGCAAAGCUACUAUAAUAUAGCAGCUCUAGAGUCGAACUCUGGGAUGGGUUUUCAUUCUACCAGUGAUAUACUCAAGAUUAGAAAUUAAGUUUGAUGAUUUCCUUUGUCAAAAACUUAAAGUUUAAAAGAAAAUAAAAUUUGUUUUGAAAGUGGUGUUUGAAACUAAAAUAAUAUAGAAAUAGAUAAAAAUGGAAGAAAAAAAGUUUCCCAGAGCUAAAAGUUGCUAGGAUCAAGUUCAAAAUGCAAAGUGGGAAAUUCCAGAUUUUUCUUCUCGUAUUGGGGACAACAACAUAAAGGAUGGUUGUUUCCUGAACCGGUAUAGGUUUAGCAAUGAAGAUUUAAUCCAUAAAAAGUCAAUAGAAAUGGUAGUCAAGUUCCAUUAAUGGCUUUAGACACUAUGAGUCUUCACCUUGAGCCACUUUCCAAUGGCUCAUACAUGAUAACUAAUGGACUGAUGUGGAUAUAGUAAUAAGUAUCCACAAAGACCUAAAGCUUAUCAUGUAUUGGCCAUUCAAAGUGAUUCUAAGGGAUUUAAAGCAAAACUUUAGAUUUAAAAGCCAUUUAUGAACUCCAACUACCUGUAUUUAAUGCACGAGAGUUUUCCACUUUUGCAUCUGGACUUUUCACCUAGCUUCCUUCACUCCAAGAAACCAAAAGUUUAGCCUCUCAUCCUCUGGGAAAACAUCCUCAGAGGUUGUUUGGCUUCCAAGAAAAAAUAAAAUAGUAGAGAGAAAAGGAAAGCAACAAGAGCCCUGUAUUUUACUAAGUGUAAAAUAUACAAUAUGUUAGUUUUCUCGAGAGAUAAUUUCCAUCCCUCUUAUAGUCUUUACAAAAGCAAAGCCUGUGAUUAGCUAAUUACAGGGAUAAGAAAGGAAUUUACAUCAAAAAAAUACAAAAGAAAAGAUCUCAUGUGGAGUCGGCAAAACAGAGGAGAUUUUGCACCAAAGACACAUGGGCUGGUGCGAAUUUCGCACAAGGAGAAGGUGUUGUGCGAAUUUCGCACAAGCUUGGAGCAGUUGUCUUCCGAAGGUCAUAUCUUCCUCAUUUCAGCUCCAAAUCAUACACGGUUUAAAGCGUUGGAUUCUUGACUUCCUGAUAUUUGAAAUGGUAUAUAGAAUGUAGAAAAUGGACUUCGGGAAGUGCUCCAAAAGUGCAAAGGAAGACUGCAGCUGCUGUCAUCUAUUCUCUUCACUCUGUUUUCCUCUUUGCUUCUCUCCUUUACUUGGCUUGUCUUAAUGAUCCAAAAAUCUGUCAAUACACUCAAACUAGCCACAAAUAUGAUUAGAAGUCAUUGCUAGGUCCUUAACAUUCCAAUUGGAAUAAAGAUGGAUAACUACUACACAAAAGUGCUUAAAACAUAAUGAAUUAAAGGCGCAAAAAAGCACUUUUUGGGUAGUAAUCAUCUAUGAGCUCAUGCCCAACAAAAUCUUGGACUUCUUCCUCUUUGGUUUGAAUAAUUACCUUUUUUUCUUCCUUUCAUGUGCAUAACUUUUUCUCAUGUUCUUAUCCUUUUCUGCUUGAAACAAUAUUCUAGUUGAGUUGUGUUCACCCAAAUUUUCAGAUAUUGUUAGAAGAACGAUAUUGGACUAGAAAAGACAUCACAAUAUCAUUGAGGGGAUUGCGCAAGGACUUUUUUACUUGCAUAAAUAUUAAAGACUAAGAAUUAUCCAUAGAGAUCUAAAAGUAAGUAACAUCCUACUUGAUCAUGACUUGAACCCUAAAAUUUAUGAUUUUGGCAUGGCUAGAAUUUUUGGGAAAAAUGCAUCAAAAGCAAAUACAAAUAAGAUUGUUGGAACAUAGUAAGCAUGACUCUUCUUUAUCUAUCUACUUUCUUUUUCAAUCUAAUGUUCUGAACCUUCUAUUGUGGAUGCAGUGGUUACAUGCCACUCGAGUAUACCAUGGAAGGAAUUUUCUCAGUGAGACCAUAUGUUUAUAGCUUUAGGGUCCUACUAUUGGUGUAACACCCCAAAAUUAACUUUAAGGGCAAAACAAUAAUUUACAAAUUAAUUAAUUAAACUCAUAAAGGGUAAAAGAGUCAUUUUACAAUCAAUAAUCUUAAGUAUAAAUUAAAUUUUCCUCUAGUCUUUUUUUAUUCAGAAAACCCUAUUAACCAAAAAUCAAAUAAUUGAAGAAUGUUGGGCUAAAGGUUUGAAGGUCUAGGGUUUGAAGUUCAAAAUUUUCUAGGUAAGAUUAUAACCCUAGAUUAAUAUAUUGAAUUCAUUACUUAGUUUUGAACACAUUAGAUAUUCUUUGAAAAAUUUUAAUUUAGAUUAGGGCUUGUUUAUUUUAAUUUUUUUUUAAGAUCAAAAUAUUGGAAACUUAAGAUUAUAGGUUGAUUUAUUGUUGGAAAUUGGGAAAUUUUAAGUUUUUAGAUGAAAAAGAGAGAGAGAGAAUCGUGACUUCUAAAGGAUGGAGGUGUGUUAUAAUUUAUACACAUAUAAAGGUUUUGAUGCACUGUAUGUUGGGGCGUCGAUUUGUAAGGGAAAAAAAAGAAUAAAUAAAUGAAAUGAAACUAUUUUGCAAGAAACUGGUUAAAGUGGAAUUGUUUGGCUGGAGUAAUAGUGUUGAAUUUUUGUAGUUGGUGGGUUACAGGGUAUUGAAAAGAAUAUAUAUGUAUGUUGAUAAUAAUAAUAAUAAUACGUUUGUAGUUCUUAUACUCAAUAAUGGCUAGAAAAUGUAGGGUUUACAGAUUUAUGGAAGUGUAAAAGAAAGUAACAGUAAAAAAUGAAUGCAUAGAAAAAAAAAAUUGAAAGUGCAAAUUGUGCAUGUACGUGUAGGUGUGUUAGGCUAAAGAAAUAAUAAUAAUAAUAAUAAUAAUAAUAAUAAAGUAGGACGCGUGUCCACUGGAUGGAUGGAAAAAAGGCAUUGGAAAUCAAGAUAAUAUAUAUAUCAAUGUAGAAAUUUUACUUAGGAUUGUCAAACCUAUAAUUACAAAUAUAUAGUAAUAGUUAUUUCUUUAUGUUAUGUUAGGUGAAGAGUAGAUUUUCCAGAAUUAUUUUUCCUCCAAGGUUUUUGAGGAAUUCUUUUGAGGUAAGAGAAAUUCAUGCAAAUUUUGUAAAAGAAAAUAAUUUUCUUUUUAUAUUGUAUUUUGAAAUGCGUAAAAAUAUUAUUUUUAUUUUUUUUCAUGCAUGGAUCAAAUAUAGGUUUUGCAUAAAAAAAAAUAUAUUUGAGCAAUUUCUUUGUUUAUGAAAAAUGAAAAUUGUGGAGAUAUGAUAUUUUGCUUUUGUAAGUUGAAUAAAUAAAACAAAGAAUUUGACUCUAGUUUCCUUGGCCCUUGUCAAUGGGAUAUAAUAGUUGACUUUUCAGGCUUUGUCAAUAGGAUAUAAUAGUUGACCUUUACAUCUUCGUGGUGGGGAAUGUGAUUGAUUUGGACCCCAACCUCUAGGGGUUUAGUUAGAGAUUACUAAUACUAGCAGUGUUUGGUUCUGUCCAUCUUAAAAGGAACAAUUGAGGUUAGCCACCCAUUUGUAAAGUCCCACUUAAUUGGGCACUAUUUGUUAUUUAAUAACCAAAGUUAAAAAAAUUGAAACAUAUUUGAUUUGAAAUGGAUAUGAAAUGAUUUUGAUAUAUAUGAAAAUGUUUGGUUGAACAGUUUAAAUGUAUUAGCAUGUUUAACUCAAAAGUUUUAUAAAAAUUAUAUAUGUUAUAUUUCCUGUUUGUAAGUAUAAUUGAAAAUAUUUGAUCCAUGAAACUGUGUUAAUGUUCCUUAUUAGGUUUUGACCUUACCCCCCUUUGUUGAUAAUUUUCUGCGUACCCUCAAUUCAGGCGAGAAGUGAUGGUUAGGAAGGAAAAUUGGCUUGUUAGAACAUUUGUUAAAACUCUCUUUAUUUUGGACACUGUUUAGAUGUUAAAAUUUAUUUCCUUUUUAAAUUAUUUGAGGUUGGAGUUAUUUGGACAAUAACACUUGGGUUGAUGUGUUAGUUUUUAUAAAUUGAUAUCUGGAGAUUUUACAAUUUAUUUAUCUUACUACUCUGAACAGCAAUUUGGUAAUUGAAAAUUUCUAGUUAUAAGAUGAAAGUUUGUGUCAAUUCCACUUUGAGCCUUCGAGUUUGAGGUGUGAAAUGAUCGUCAUGCCCUUUGAGUGGGUUUUGGGGUAUGACAAUUGGAGAUGGUGAUUGGCCGGAAGAACAAAAGCUUUUAUCAUAAUCACGGUGCCUUUACCAUAAAACCUGGUAGGAUAUGUAAGUCUGCUAUAUCUCAUAUUUGUCUCUACAUUAUUAUCAACAACACACGGUGUAACCUUCCAAAAUUUUCACACCAACCUUGUAAGUAAAUCAACCCUAAAAUGAACUGGAAACAGGCUUGGGGGUUAUGGAAAAAAGGUACUAGUUUGGAGCUAGUGAAUCAAAUGCUAGAAGAUUCCUACUCAACGAUCUAAAUGUUGAGAUGCAUUCAUAUUGUUGUCUUGUGUGUAUAGGAGAGUGCAACAAAUAGGCCUACAAUGUCAGUUGUUAUCUCCAUGCUCACCAACGAAACUGUGCCCCUACCAAACCCAAAUUUGAUCGUAUUUUCCACUCAUCAUAAAGUGUUAGAGCUAGAUUGACACAAAGACAGGCCAGAGAGUUGUUCUAGAAGUGUAACUAUUUCAAAUAUGGAAUUGGUCAAUAAAGAAGAGAAUUUUAGAGGGGAAAGGGAACCUAGAGAACAACAGUUUUUGUCUUAACCUAUCUACAAUUUGUCUAGAUUGAUUUGUUUUGACAUCAUAUAUUUUUUAGAUACAUAAUCAGCUAGGUUUCCUUUAAUCUAUUUUAAAAAGGUUUUUGGAAUUUAUCAGAGUACAACAGAAGCCGAUUUGGUAUAAUUUGAAACAUAGUUUGAACCUAUAGUCUGCAACUCUAUUUGCCUUUUUUUCCUCUAUAACAUAUUGCAAUAGAUUGUAUAUGUUUAUCUUAGCCAUGGUAGGUCAUUUAUGUUCAAUUAUUCAUUUUCAUUAUUUGGAAGGGCAUAGGAUGGACUAUGUCAUAUGUUGGCAUCAAACUGAUGAUCAAAGCUAUGUUCUAUGCCAUAAGCAAAGAAAAACACUUUAGACGACCAAAGUAGAAAGUAGGGGUUUUUUUAGCUUCUACUGCAACUUCAAAGAAUAAUUCUUAAAAAAUGGUAGUUGGAAAAAUAUUGAUAGAUUUACAACACUUUUUGCCACGUGGAAGGUGUCUUUUGAAAAGACACCUUUCACAAAUUUCAAAUUCUUGAUAUGCAUUUAAAAGAAUUGAAUUUAAACUAAAAGUGUCGCUUCAAGAGAAAUCUUCUACAAUUCCUGAAAAUUAGAUUUAUACUAAAGGUAUCUCUUGAAAAGACACUUUCCAUAAUUCCACAAAAUCUAAUAUAUAUUAAAGGUGUCUUUUCAAGAGACACCUUCCACAAUUUGACAAAUUUGAAUUUAUAGUACAAGUGUCUCUUAAAUUUGAUUUUACAUUGAAGGUGUCUCUUGAAGAGACACCUUCCACAAUUUGACAAAUUUGAAUUUAUACUACAAGUGUCUCUUGAAGAGACAUCUUCUAUAAUUCCAAAAAAAUUGGAUUUAUAGUAAAGGUGUGUUUUGAAGAAACACUUUCCACAAUUCCAAAAAUUCUAAUAUAUACUAAAUAUGUCUUUUCAAGAGACGCCUUCUACAAUUUAAAAAAUUUUAAUUUAUAUUACGUGUCUCUUAAAUUUGAUUUUAUAUUGAUGGUGUCUCUUCAAAACACACCUUCUACAAUUCCAAAAAAUUUGGAUUUUUACUAAAGGUUUGAAGAGACACAUUCCCCAAUUCCACAAAAUCCAAUAUAUGCUAACAUCUUCCAAAAUUUCACAAAUUUUAAUUUAUAUUGGUCUUUUGAAUUUGAUUUUAUAUUGAAGGUGUCUUUUCAAAGACACCUUCUACAAUUCCAAAAAAAUUGGAUUUAUACUAAAGGUUUGAAGAAAUACCUUCCCCAGUUCUACAAAAUCCAAUAUAUAUUAAAGGUGUCUUUUCAAGAGAUACUUUCCAAAAUUUCACAAAUUUUAAUUUAUACUUGUCUCUUGAAUAUUUUAUAUUGAAGGUUUAUCUUGAAGAGAUACCUUCUACAAUUCCCAAAAAUCUAUAUUUAUACUAAAUGUGUCUUUUCAAGAGAUACUUUCCAGAAUUUCACAAAUUUUAAUUUAUACUACAUGACUCUUAAAUUUGAUUUUAUAUUGAAGAUGUCUCUUGAAGAGACACCUUCUAAAAUUCCAAAUUUUUUUUAUUUAUACUGAAGGUAUCUCUUGAAGAGACACCUUCCACAAUUCCACAAAAUCCAAUAUAUACUAAAGGUGUCUCUUGAAGAGAUACCUUCCACAAUUUCACAAAAUUUAAUUGAUAUUGAUUUUAUAUUGAAGGUGUCUCUUGUCUUCCUUUAUAAUUCCAAAGAAAAUGGAUUUAUACCGAAGGUGAAUGUGUCUCUUCAAGAGACACCUUCCACAAUUUUCAUACAUAGUGAAAAUUUUUUAAUUUAUACUAAAGGUAUCUCUUGAAGAGACACCUUCGAAAAAAUAAAUUUUAUCUCUUAAUUAGUAUAACCCUAUAUAAAACCAUAUGUUUAAAUUUUGUCACUUGUAUACAUUAUAAUCAAUAUUUUGACAUUUCAAUCCAAAACCAAUCAAAACAAGUAAACCAAAUGUCAAUUAAAUCAACACAUUUCCUAAAUAGUAACAAAACUAUUUUGUGUAAAAUAAGUCCAAAAUAGGUAGAAUACUAUAGAACUUAUGUUUAUAAAAAGUUAGUCAAUCCAAAAUAUAACAAGUAUAAAUAUACAUCUUGAGUAUUUGUCCAAAAUAAUGAUAUGCAAACUACUAAUAGUAUAUACAAGUCAUGUUGUAGCAUCCUCAAUGUGUACCACACGAAGGAGCCUUCCUCUUCCGUUGUGGAUGUCCAUGAUAUGCAUGUUCCACUAUGGCUCAAUGGGGCUGACAUGUACCCCCUCCUCCAAUGAGCUUGACGACCAUGUCUCCUACCACGUCCUCAACCACGAUCAUUCUUUUGUCCUCGCUAAUCAUCAUUUGUUAUAUGAACUAACUCCUCAUCAACCAAUGUAGCCUCUAUCGGUUGUGGUGAUGAUGCAAAAAGUGGUACUAUAGUUAGGGUAGAUGGCAACUCCAUAGGUGUAAUAAGAGUCUUCUCAAUAGGCGGUAGGCUGAUGUUAGUCAAUGGUGCAUCUCUAAGAAUAGAUGUAUACCUAGUCCCUCUCCUAUGAGCCCCUCCCCCUUUAGUCUGUACUCAUCCCAAUCGAGCAAUGGAUGAUAUGAACUGCUGAUGAGGUGGUAUACUAGUGUCAGUUGAUGGUCGCGCUCGAACAACAACUGGUGUAUGCCUAAUCUCUCUCUUACGAGGCCCUUGUCCAAUGGGUCGUACAUCUCCUAAUUAAGGCUGGAGUUGUGUAGUAGCAUCAACACUAAAUAGAGCAUUUAAGUGAUCCAUCUCAUGUAUGGCCUCUAAUGUAGUAGAACACAGUUUGUGAAUGCACAAAUCAUCUGGGGAUGCAAUAUCAUAUAUCUGAUGGAUGCUGGUAGUCUGUAAGUCAAUUAGGAGAUAAAUUAAAUUCUUAUAAAAAUAAAAUAAAUUUUAAUAAAAAGAUAAGACAUGAGAAUUACCAGUAGCUCAUGGAAGGACCUGGUCCAAGUAAGAAACCAAAUAGUAAUGGAGAGAUACCACAUGAUGUCUGGAUCAUGAUACCCCAAUAAACCUAUAGUCAUCUCGCCUUUAGCAAUAUGCUUAUGCCUAGAGCUUCAACGUCGAAUGUAGUCUCCAUGUUGAGUAGUCCAAUCAACAUCAUGUUUAUCUCUCAAAUCACAUUUAUGUAAGAUUGACUCAUUAUCACAUGGUUAAGGAAUCCCUUGAUGAAAUCCAAAUUGCUGCAAUACUCGAUUAGGUCUAUGCCAUUCAACUAUGUGGAAACAUAUCAAAGGUGAGAUAGUGCACCAUAUAUCUUUCCUAACAAUACAAUAAUGAGGAAGACCAACAUUCAUGUCAACAAUAUAAGGUUGCAAUAUAAUUUGCACUAAAAAAAGGUUAGGUAUAAUCAAUGUCUGGAAUUUGUUUAAAGAAACAAGUAUAAGAAAUGAAUCCCACUUCUAUCACCUGAUAUGCUAUAAGUCAAUCAAGAUUGUGCCUAUAUUGAGCUAAGACGUGCAUGCUAAUCGACGUAGUACGAAACUCAUCUCCCCAACUAUAAAAAUAAAAUAACAAAGCAUAAAUAAAUAAAUAAUAUAAUAUAAUUUAAGUUUAUGCAUGUAUCCUCAUAAUAGUAAAAUUUGUGGUAAUAUUAUAAUAUAUACCGAAUGGCUAAUGGAGGUGGAGACAACUGGUCAUCAUACCCAUAACUAGAGCAAAAUCAGUGGGCUAAAUAUAUCAUGUGUAUAAAUCUAAGAGGCUUGACACAACUGUUGAUAAAACCAGGCUAAACAUGCAUUAACCCUUCCUACCAACAAUCUCAAAAUCCUCUAGAAGCUAGUCUUGUAUGACUCCAUAGAGGAAAAGCUAGUCUAGAAAUUGAGAAUGGAUAUGGGGAUCAAGUUAUUUACUAGUCAUGUAUAGGAGCGCUCCUCUAAGCUAUGGUGUUACUUGGUCUUUAUUAGUGAGCUAAGAUGUGAUCUAAAAUUUGAUUUAGUUUACAUAAUCUUGCAAAAUUAGUUAUAAAUUUGAUUACCAUUAAUACAAAGAAUCUAACACAAGUUACAAAAAUUUGACUCAAUUAAUUAAAAAAAAAAUCAUUUUCUGAUUUUAGUAAUUAAUAUAAAAAAUUAGCAUAUAAACCAAAAAAUAUAAUUUAAUUUAUUUCUUUAAAAAAUUAAUAAAUAAAGUAUUUUUUUGAUUUUAUUAAUGUCAAUUUACAAAGAAUUAAUAUAUAAAAAAAUUUGUGCCAUAUAACCUGAAAAAAUUAAUUUAUAAAAUAAUUUUCUCGUUUUAUUAAUAUACAAAAAGAAAUAAAAAAAAAUCUAAUUUAUUUCACAUAAUCUCACCAAAUUAAUUUUCAAAGUGAUUUUCUGAUUUAUUUUAUUUUAUUUUACUAACAUUAAUAUAGAAGGAAAAGUUCUAAUUUUAGAUCCAUUCAAUCUUACCUAAUAAAUUUAUAAAGUAAUUUUUUUUUCAAAUUUACUAACAUUAAUAUAUGGAAAAGAAUUGAUUUAGUAUUUAUCAACUUUACAAUUAAUUGGUAAAACAAAUUAUGUCAUUAUCAAUAUGAAUUUAUAAAAGAUUAAUAUAUCAAAUACAAAUAAAAUAAAUAAAUAAAUAUUUGAUUUAAUAUUUAAUAGUUUACAAUUAAAAUUCAAAGUGAAAUAUUUAAAAUUCAAAUUCCACUCUCAUUUUUAAAAUUGAACCGUCACAAUGGUCAAACGAGUUUUGAGUUCAUUUAAACUCACCAUAACAUCUACUAUUUCAACAGUGUCUGUAAUGAGAACGAGAUCUACUUCAGCCAUUCAGUUCAAGAUGGAGCUAUUUCAAAGUGGGUAUUGAACUCAAGAGGGGGAUUUUUUGACACUUACAACGAAACUCUAUUCGUGAAGGAAGGUAUGUGUGAUCGUUAUGACAAAUAUCCAGGGUGCGCAGUGCAAGAGCAACCUGCUUGCAGGACUAGAGACUACUAAUUCAUGAAGCAAUUGGUUCGCAAUUCAGGAUAUCAGUUGUGGUUUAGUGAUUGUCAGGCCAUAUGCCGGAACAAUUGUUCUUGUACUGCUUGUAAUACUGUAUUCACCAAUGGAAUUGGAUGUUAGUUGUGGAGGGAAAAAUUUCCACGAGCCCAAGUGGGUGAUGCAAAUCAGGAGGAGCUCUAUGUUUUGUCCUCAUCAAAAGAUAAAGGUAAGAGUCUCUAUGUAUUGUAUUCCUAAAAGUAGCCAAACCAAGUACUGAAUAAAUCUUCGAUCUUCAUUUACAAUCCAAACACGUGAUCGAAAAUUCGAAAAAAGUACAACUGUAUAGUUGAUAUUUCAACUCAUCCUCUACCAUUAGAGGAGCUAUAGCAAAAACCAUAAAAGCCCUCUCUCUCUCUCUCUUUCUCUCUCACUUUCACUUGAGUUCUGCUCUAACAACAAAAUUUAUUAACUUCUAUCUAUGCAGGGAACCAUUUGCGGAACGUGAGCAUUAUCUGUGGAGUGGUAGGUCUGGUCAUAUUACUUUUCUUAUGUUGUUUAUCGACAAACUUCAGAGUUGGCUUUUGUAUAACAGGGGAUAGAGAAAUGAGGGAAGUUCAGCGACAUGAAGGGGCUUCUGAUAUAACAAGGGAUAGAGAAGUUCAGCCAUGUGAUGUUGAGGUUUCUGGUGGUAAAAUAGGGGAUAAGGAAGUUCGGCCACGUCAUGGUUCUGGUGAAACAGGGGAUAGGAAGAAAGCUAAGGUGGUGUUUGUUUUUUUACUUAAUUCUAAAUAGAACCCUAAUACUUAAUAGUAUUAAAUAUUAGGUUGUUUGUUUUUGUAGUAUUUUAUUUCUAUUAAGUAUUAAAAAGUAAAAAAAACCAUUGUGUUAUUUUUUCUAUUUAGAAAAAGCCACAUAUUUUGGGUUUUUCUAUUUAGUAAAAAGUUUAUAAUAAGUCAUGAAAAAGUAAAAAAACAAACAACCUAAAUUCUAAAACUAAAUGGUUUUCAGCAAAAAGCCAAAAAAACAAACACCACCUAAGUCACUUGAACCUCAGGCUUCUGGUAUAACAGGGGAUAGAGAAAUGGAGGAACUUGAGCAGCUUGUACUUCCUGUCAAACAGGGGAUAGGAAGAAAGCUAUUUGCAUGUCCAAGAUAUCUAUAAGCAAACACCAUGCUUAAACAGAGAUGUGGAGCUUGAAAAGCCCAAAAUUUGAAGAAGGUUGAACUGAACUAGAUCCAAACAAACACCAUGUUGAAACAGAGAUGUGGACCUUAAUUCAAAUUCAACCAAGCUAAGCUUGAAAACUAACUUUUUGUAAUCGGGGGCUUUCUUUUAUGUUUCUCCAAUGUUUUCAGUCAGGAUUGCUAAAUUGACUGAUUGAAAUGAUAUGGUUAUGAGGCCUGGACCUAGGGUCAGUAUGAAUCCGCAUGAACUUGAUAAUGAGGCCCUAGCAUUUAAACCUUUAUUAGGUUCCAUGCUUGCAAGGAUUUACCACAACCCUCAAAACAAGGAGGCAAAUCAAACAAGAUUGAAGAAAAAAUUCUACGGUUCUGGGCUUCCAAGGAAGUUUAUGAUCAUGAUACAAUUUAUGGGCUUGAGGGUGAGAUGAUUGGUGGACCCCCAAGCAAUUCUUUCUCAGGCCCUGUUAAGGAGUUAUCUGCUGUUCCUGUGGAUUCUCUCAACUGUUCCAGGCGGUGCCAUCCUCUCCCCUAUAAAACCAACCUCACAUCUCUCUCAUUCACAUUUCAUUCACAACAUAUAGAAUAGUGGGUUGAGACUUGAUUAUCUGAUUGUUGGGUAUUUCAAAAGACACAUUUCCACAAAUUUUUUAUCAUACACAUUAAAAAAAUUGAAUUUUUACUCAAAGUGUCUCUUGAAAAGAGACUUUCCAUAAUUCUAUAAAAUUAAAUUCAUAUUAAAGGUGUUUCUUUGAAGAGACAACUUCAAAAAAAUAAAAUAAAAUCUAUCUAUUAAUUAGUUUUAUCCUGAAUACAAUUAAAUAUUUAAAUUUUAUCACAUGUAUACAUCAUAAUCAAUAUUUUGACCUUUCAAUAUGUGGACUUGUAUUUUUCACGAGGCAUCCUACUCAACUGGCGAGACUUGUUUUCUUUUAAUGAAAAAUUGUAUUUUAUAAAAUAUUGGAGUUGCCACUUACUUUUAUUUAUUUUUAAAGGGGAAAUUAAGUAAAAACAAAACCCCUAAAAUGACUCAAGAUUUUUGGAAAAGCUAUAUGUGAAAAACUCGAGUCUAGGUCUGUAGAUCAGGUUACCUAACGGAAAGGUACCUCCAAAGAGGUAGCACCCCUUUAAGCCCUAACAAGGUUUCUACUACCUAAGUUGAGGGAAAUAUGACAAUUAGUCAAUUUAUUAUGGAUACCUAGAUGGGCUAAGGUGAUUUCGAAUGUUUGUUAAUUCUAACAUGCCAAACAAGGGUUCUAAACACAUUUAUAAAGAAAGGAUAGUAUGCAUACCUGAACUGCAACUUAAGCGCUAUCACAAAACAUCAAUGGUUAGUUAAAAAAAACUCAGAACCUAUAUUUUACCCUAGUCUCUUAAUCAUACAUGGCAAGUCAACAAGCAAUCAAAAAGAUAUGAAAUAAAGAUGUGAAGGUAAGAAGCGUAGCUAAAUAACGUAGAUAACUUAUAAUGCGCUUCCACAAUACAUGGGAGGUUGAAUCAAAGUUAUAAUAAUAGAAAAUUAAAAAAAAGUAAUCCUAGUGGGCAUGGUGUCCGAAUAGCAUAACAAAAAUAACCAGAGUAUAAGGAAACACCAAUUAUCACACAAGUCAUGUAUACAACUCCAAAAAUCAAGGGUUAUGAUUAAAACAUGUAGCAAAAGGGGUAACACACAAUUAUCAAAAGGAAAAUUAUAAAUUAAUAUUUAGGAACAUCAUUUGAUCAUGAAAAAUUAAGACAACCUUUCUAUUAUGUCUAUAUCACAAUACAACAACCAACAACAAGUUAUGAGAUGUUAAAUGGUCUUGAAUUAAACAACAAUGCAAGCACGAUGCAAAACUUCUAGUCCAUAAUAAGAAUAAGGCAUCUUUAAGAAUAAAUCCUAAGAAAAUAAUAAAAAAUGGAAUUUGAUCACACCAAAUCACAAAAUACUUAUCGUUGAUGUCUAUAACAACAUGCCAAAUCUCAAGCAUUCAAUUAAACAACAUAUUUAAUUCAAAAUAUCCAAAAGUUCCAAAAGGUCUAGAAUUUGGCAGAAAACAUUAACCAGUGUAAACUAAAUUUAAAAACAAAAAUACCUAGAGGUCUUCUAAAUUCUUAAAAAACACUCACACAAGUAUUUAAGAUGUCUAGAUCAUCCAAAAAUUUAAUCCAAGGUCAGAAAGCAUUCAUAAGAAUUUUUAGAACACUAUAAUUUAUCAGUUGUCAAGAUUCAGUCAUGUACAGUAAGUGUGAAUUUUAAAAAUCAUAUCUCUUUCAAGAAGACAUAUUUUUUAAUAUUUUAUGUGUCAAAAUUUAAUUUUAGAAGUCAAGAAUUUGGGAAAAAUAUUAAUUUAAAUUUAAAAGAUCAAAAGGUAAUUUAAUUUUUCAAAAAAAAUACUGAGUGUCAAAAACAAGGUGAAAAUUGAACCUUUUAAAAUAUUGAUUUAUAUCUUAUAAUUAGAAAACUAUAUUUGAUCCAAGCAAGAUUCUAUAAUCAAGUUCAAGGAAUCUAGAAUGUCAUGGAAUAGUUAGAAAUUUUUUAAAGGGUCUUUAAGUUGUCAUAUUCCAAUUUACAAAUGCAGAAGUAUAGUGAACUAUCUACAAUUUCAAUGAAAAACUAUGUUUUGAAAAAAAAAACUUUGUAUGUGGGGAUCUAUUAAAUCCCAUUUUAAUUUUCAUGAAUUUAUCCAUAAAGACUCCAUUUAUUGCACUAUGAAAUUUAAUUCAUGUAUAUUCAAAACCAAAAUUCAUUUUAAAACUUUUUUUUAUAAUAUGCAUACCGAAUAAAAUUGGUUGCAUGAAUUUUGGAAAAUUGAAUUUUUAUAACCUAACAAUGUCUAAGAUGAAUUUGAAAAUUUGAGAAUUAACCUUUUUUAGAGAGCUAUAUUGAUAAGCAUUUUGAAAUCACUAAAAAAAAUACAAAUAAUCAUAUAAAAUCACACAGCCAAAAGAAGAAAAUUCCUAAGGAAACAAAGUAGUGUGUGCUGAAAAUGAGUGAAUCAUGCUGAGUUGUGUGUGAUGAGAGUGAAAGUGUAGCUGAUGUGUGUGUGUUCAUAGUGGCAACCUAGUGGUCUCCUUCUCUAUGCAGCUGUGUGUGCCUUCUUCAUCAGUUCGAUUAGUGUGUGUUCUUUGAAAUUCAGCUGGUGGUGUUGUUUUUCACAAGCUUAUGCAAAUUCUCGAAAUUCAACAAUCUGAUGCAUGCUUGUGCUAGAAAUCUAGUGGUUUCAAAAUAUGAUGGUGUGAUCAUGUGCUUAUUGUUUUUCUCCUCACCACCAUGCACUGUCAACUUACCUCUCCAUCAUUAACAGUCGUACACAAUCAACUUGCCUCCCCAAAGUUCUAAAGACUUCCCUCUAAAAAUUAUGAUAAUUCUUUUAUUCCCACCAAAAUUCAAAUUUGUACACUAAUAGCCACUUCUCUUAUACCUUCUCAUCCUCUUCAUUCAAGCCAAAACCAUGCACUAAAUCCAUGUGACUCUCUAGAAAAUCUUGCCACCUUCUUUUUUCCACAAUUUGUACACCAAACAACCUCUAUUCUAGAAAAAUCUAGUGCUCACACCAAUCCCCACCAUGUCCAUAAUCAGCUUAGGUGUUCCCCAUAUUCUGAUGCUCUUCACUUUACAAAUUCUGAUUUUUAUAUUUCAUUCAUCCACCAUGUCGAAUUUGGUAUCAUCCCAACCAAAAAAUUAUCUCACCAAAUACCCACACCUUUUCAUCCUAUCAUCAACUUCAUAUAUUUCCUUCAAAACGAUGCACUCAAUUUUUACCAUUAAAAAAAUGAAUUCACACAUUCAUUCUUCCACUAGAAAAAAUCACACGCCUCCUUCUUUCCAAUCCAUCAUUCCGGUGUUAUUUCUCAUACCCAUAUGCAUGCGUGCAUGGCUGGUUGUGGGUACAACCCAUGAAAAAAAAAAAAAAAACUAUGCAUGGAGCCCUUUGGUGUGCACAACUUUAAAAAUUUUUUGGGGGUCUCUCAAUAAAGUGGACCAUGUGUGUGUUGAAACAAUUUUUGAUGGAUGUAGUUGUGUUCCAGAUGACCUUCCAUACCACUCUCACGCUGAAGGGCAUGUGUUGUGUCUUUCUUUUUUUCAAAACCUUGUCCCUCCCUCAACAUUAAUAAGAAACCGAACAAUAGGCAGAAAAGAACAAAAACACAUAAAUGAUGUAGGUUAAAUAAAAAAAACAUAGAACCUAGCUCCAUUUCAGUGAUUCUCAAUGGGCUUUGAAUGGGUGAAACCAUUAGGAAGCUGAAGGUGCUCUCAAGGAACAAUUUUAAAAUAAUCCAUGCAUCAAAUAUUUACAGGAGAGGUUAAUGAAAAAAAGAAACACAGUAAAACCCAAAAUAGAGCAUGUGCAUACAUAAUCAUAUUCCACAAGAUAAACUUCAAGUAAUGCUAAUUACUACUCAAAAAGUGCUAUUUAAUAGCUUAUAAUUAAUCCUUUUAAACACUUUUGAGUAGUAGUUUUGGCCUUUUAACUCAAUUGGCAUGUUAAGGACCCUUGAAAGCAAUUUUAAUCACUUUGUGUAAGUUUUGGUGUUUUUGUUAGUAAUUUGAUCAGCAAAGCAAUUCAAGUUUGAGGAGAGUUUUGAGGAAUCUUGGUUAAAACUUAGAAGUCAUUUGCCAAGAGUAAAUCCGGAUUGCAAAGAGAAAAAGUAAAGAGAAUCUGCCAAGAAGCAUAUUCUUGAUGACAAUCAUAGCAGCCACUUUUGGAGCACUUUCUGAGGUCCAAUUGAUGCAUGCUAUAUACCAUUUCAAAGCUCAGGAAGUAAAAAAUCCAAUGCUUCAAACGGUACGCAAUUCGGAGUUGAAACGAAAAAUUUGCAUCCUUUGCAAGCCAAUCACUCCCAGCUGAAGGAAGCAUUUUUCAAAGUGUUGCGAAAUCACCCUUUUGCUGCGAAGUGAUUCCGCAGCCUUUUUGUACAGUAGGGUGUAUUUCCUUCUGAAGGUGCCCGAUAUAUGCCACAAGCUAGAAGCUGAGAACCUCAAGGUGGAAGCCAACUUCGCAGCCCUACGAGAAUAGCUUGUUGUUGCGAAGUGAUUUCGCAGCCCUUCUUGAGUGCCUACGAAAUCUCGCAGACACCAUUUUCUCUUGCGAAAUGGUUCCUGAAGCACCCCGAUAUUUGCUACUGACAUUGGGAGAUAUUUUACAUCAGAUUUUUGUUGUCUAAAUCCCAAAAUACUCCUUGUAAACCACCAAUUACAAAAUUCCUUAGCUUUUAAGUUAGUAAAAAGAGAAAAUAUCUAUGUAAUAAUUAGUUUUAUAUUAUGUUCAUAUAUAUACCUCUCGGGAGCCUGUUCUAAGAGAGGAGAUCCUUUUGUAAAGUUUUGGGUAAGCAAGUAAAGUUCAGUUCUUUGUAUUGCCUUACCUUCUCACUUUGUAUUUUUAUUUUCUUACUAAGUUAUGAACUCUCUGAGGAAUUUUCCCCAGAGAAUGAGUAACUAAACAUCUAGUUCCUUGGAGCUAAGGUUGUCGGGGAAGGUUCCAAGUGCAAGAAUGCAAAGCUUUGUGGUUUUAGCUAGUAAUGAAGAGGAAGUGAAAUCCUUUAGUGAUUUCUAUGUUUUUAGUUAACUUAAAACACCUUAGAGUCACCUGGGCCAACACUUGGUAAGGCAAGUGAUUUCCAAUCAUGGAAAUGCACUAGUUUACCCCUUGCGAGCCUCUGGAAGGUGACUUUAGGGUAGGAUUUUCUAGAAUAGCCAACACUUGGUAAGCUUUUGGACUCCAAGGAGACAUCCAUUAGUUAUCUCUUGCGAGCUUGAGACGGGUAAUCCAAGGUUAAAGAUCACCUUGAACGGUUAAGGCUUAGUGAGAGAAUUAAAGUGAAAUGUAAUUGAAGGAUGUAUCUGUACAACACCGGUUAGAGAAUUGACUAUAUGUUGAAUCUCUAAUGCAAGGAAAUGAACGAUCUGACCGGAGCCGUGUCUUUUGCAUGAGGAACCACCCUAGUGAACCUAACUCUCCAAGGAAUGUUUUUCUUCCUAAGUUAUUCCCAUUACUUAUUGUGUUAGUUAGUUUAAGUCUAAAUCUUCACUAAUCAAAGUUUGUGUUUUAUUUCUUAAGCUAACCUUGAAAUGAAACAAAACCAAUUCACUUUGAAUUGAUAUCAUUGAUAGGUUGUUAAUCCUUCCCAGUGAACGAUCCUAGAGCCGCUAUACUAUAGUAGCUUUGUCUUUGCUGCCCUAGUAUAUGGUGUUAUAGGUUAUAAAUUUUGUUGAUUACUCCCUCAUUCAAGGAGCACCAGCUGGACACGAAUCAGCUGGCACACCAAUUGGGCAUGAAUCAAAUGGCGCCGUUGCCGGGGAAGGUGUCAAAUUUAUAGUGAUACCAUUUUUGAGCACUUGUGAUUUUCAUCACAAGUUGGUAACGUUUCUUUCACUUUACUAAUUCUCAUUCUUUCUUUAUUUAUUCAUAAUCUAAGUUUAUAUUUUAAAAUUUAGCUUAGUUUAAUUUUGUUGUUGUAGCCCUGUUUCUGUUGUUGUUCUUUAUUUUCAUUUAAGUUGUAGAGAGAUACUAGUUGUGUAUGCCAAAGUGGAUAUGAGACUGUGGAGGAAGGCUUGUUAAGUGUGAUACACCUCAGAGAAGAGAAUUCGAAUUGAGCUUGAAUAUCAUGGAAACUACACCUGAAGAUUAGCAUAGUCACCAAGGUCGUCAAGACAAUAUCAAUGAAUUCAGAUCAAUGAGGGACCGCAUGCAUCCACCUCGUAUGAGUGCACCAUCAUGUAUAGUGCCCCCUACAGAGCAACUAGUGAUCAGACCGUAUCUUGUUCCACUUCUACCAACUUUCCAUGGGAUGGAAAGUGAGAAUCCGUAUGCAUACAUCAAGGAAUUUGAAGAUGUUUGCAAUACAUUCCAAGAGGGAGGAGCUUCAAUUGAUAUGAUGAGGCUUAAAUUAUUUCCUUUUACUUUAAAGGAUAAGGCCAAAAUUUGGCUUAAUUCUUUAAGGCCAAGGAGUAUCCGUUCUUGGACUGACUUACAAGCUGAAUUCCUUAAGAAAUUUUUUCCCACUCAUAGAACAAAUGGCUUGAAAAGGCAAAUUUCAAACUUCUCAGCUAAAGAGAAUGAAAAAUUCUAUGAGUGUUGGGAAAGAUAUAUGGAAGCUAUCAAUGCUUGCCCUCACCAUGGCUUUGAUACUUGGUUACUGGUGAGCUAUUUUUAUGAUGGUAUGUCCUUCUCAAUGAAGCAACUCCUCGAGACAAUGUGUGAAGGAGAUUUCAUGAGCAAAAAUCCGAAGGAAGCUAUGGAUUUCUUGAGCUAUGUAGCUGAUGUUUCAAGGGGAUGGGAUGAACCAACCAAAGGAGAAGUGGGUAAGAUGAAGUCUUAACUGAGUGCUUUCAAUGCAAAGGCUGGGAUGUAUACCUUGAAAGAAGAUGAUCAUAUGAAAGCAAAGUUGGCAGCUAUGACAAGAAGAUUGGAGGAGCUGGAGCUGAAAAGAAUUCAUGAAGUGCAAGCUGUUGCUGAAGCACCAGUGAUUACUACCAAAAAGUGCUAUUUUGUAGACCUAAUUAUAAUGGUUUUAAGCACCUUUGAGUAGUAAUCAUAUUCAUUUAACCCAAUUAAUUCAUUAAGGUCCUUAGUAAUUGGUUUUAACCAUUUUGUGGCAAGUUUACAUGUUUUUAUCAGCUUAUGAAUCAAUUCAAGCAUGCCAAAUGAUGGAGGAGCUACUUGGACAAGUUAUGGCAAAGCUUUUGGAAGCUCAAAUUCAUGAAGAACCAAGCUUUGGAGCUCCAUAGCCCUUUGCCAAAGUCGUUCAAAGUAUGCAAGGAAAGAACAAUGGAGAAGAGGGAAACAGAGUCNNNNNNNNNNNNNNNNNNNNNNNNNNNNNNNNNNNNNNNNNNNNNNNNNNNNNNNNNNNNNNNNNNNNNNNNNNNNNNNNNNNNNNNNNNNNNNNNNNNNAACUGAGUGCUUUCAAUGCAAAGGCUGGGAUGUAUACCUUGAAAGAAGAUGAUCAUAUGAAAGCAAAGUUGGCAGCUAUGACAAGAAGAUUGGAGGAGCUGGAGCUGAAAAGAAUUCAUGAAGUGCAAGCUGUUGCUGAAGCACCAGUGAUUACUACCAAAAAGUGCUAUUUUGUAGACCUAAUUAUAAUGGUUUUAAGCACCUUUGAGUAGUAAUCAUAUUCAUUUAACCCAAUUAAUUCAUUAAGGUCCUUAGUAAUUGGUUUUAACCAUUUUGUGGCAAGUUUACAUGUUUUUAUCAGCUUAUGAAUCAAUUCAAGCAUGCCAAAUGAUGGAGGAGCUACUUGGACAAGUUAUGGCAAAGCUUUUGGAAGCUCAAAUUCAUGAAGAACCAAGCUUUGGAGCUCCAUAGCCCUUUGCCAAAGUCGUUCAAAGUAUGCAAGGAAAGAACAAUGGAGAAGAGGAAAACAGAGUCCACCAAUCAUAAGAUUUCUUAGCUAGGAAGGUUGGAAAAACUUCUCUAUUUAUAUCCCCUUGCAUCCGUUGUAACAGAUAUUGAUAUAUAGAUAUAGAAAUAUAUAAAGUUCUUUUUUUUUCUCUUCUCCGGUUCUUCCCCAAUUCUAUUUUCUUAGUAGCCAAACAUCCUUGGUGGAUGAAAUCCCCAAGGAUGAGAGGCUAAAACCUUUUAAGUUUCUCAAAGUAUGGAUGUUAUGUGAUGGCUUGGAUGCAAUCCCAUGAAAAUUUCUCGCACCCGGAAGGUAAGGUAGUCAUUUUUCAUUAAUAGUUCAUUAAUGCAAAGUUUGGUUUUUAUUUCCUUUGGACAACUUCCAACGGCCAAUACUUGAUAAGCUUUUGGAUUUCUAUCCAUUAGUUAUCUCCUACGAGCUAUUGGAAGGUGAGGUUUUCAAUUCCAAGUUUUGCAUUAAUCCGUUAAAACCAAUUUCAAUGGCCAUUGAAAGGUGAGUUUAUCACCUGGAAUGACUUUGAGUUGCCAAUAUUUGGUAAGCUUUUGACUUUAGACCAUUAGUUAUCCCUUACGAGCCAUUCAAAGGAAGUCUAAGGUGAAUAACCAUUGAUGAAAUUCACUACCAUCUGUUUUGCCAUUUUAAAGGAUUAAAACUUGAUUUGCUAAAUCCAUACCGGUUCGGGAAGCAAGCAUCACCAUAGUUGCAACCCCAACGCGAGGAGCCUAUCUUGAGAUUUCCAAUUUGCAUAAGAGCCAGAGCAUAGCUAUCCUAUCUUUGAGAAACUUGUUUUUACACCCUUUCAUUUUAGUCUUUAAUGUUAGCUUAGAUUAGUUUAAAUCUUUCUAAAACAUUUACAUCUUCUUUUAAAGCUAACAUCCAUAAGAAAAUCACCUAUUUUCCUAAUUUGAAUAUCACUUGUGUUUGCGAAAACCCUUCCCAGUGAACGAUCCUAGAACCACUAUGCUAUAGUAGCUUGGCUACUUUAGUAAUAGUAUUCAAGGUAUAAAUUUUGUUGAUACGCCUUUAAAGCUAAGCUACCAUGAGUCGGAUCAACCAGUGCAAGUGAAGUUGUGUCCUAAUUGUCAAUCAUAUGAAAAUUUGGUGGAGGAAUGCCCUGCAAUUUCAGCUGAAAGGGAAAUGUUUAGAGAUCAAGCAAAUGUUGUUGGACAAUUCAGGCCUAAUAACAAUGCGCCUUAUGGAAAUACCUACAACUCAAGUUGGAGGAAUCAUCCAAAUUUCUCAUGGAAGGCCAGAGAAACUCAAUACCAACAGCUGGAUCCACCAUCUCAACAAUCUUCAAGUCUUGAACAAGCAAUGGCUAAUCUCAGCAAGGUAAUGGGAGAUUUUGUUGGAAAGCAAGAAGCAACCAAUGCUUAAAUCUAUCAAAGAAUUGAUAGAGUGGAGAGUAUGUUGAAUAAAAUGAUGGAUGGAAUGCAAAAUGAUAUGAACCAAAAGUUUGAUAACAUCCAAUAUUCAAUUUCAAGGCUUACAAAUUUGAAUACACUGUAAGAAAAGGGAAAAUUUCCUUCUCAACCCUACCAAAACCCCAAAGGUGUCCAUGAAGUGGAAAGCCAGGAGGGAGAAUCAUCACAGACGAAAGAUGUCAAAGCCUUGAUCACUCUAAGGAGUGGUAAAAAAAUUGAGCAGCCAACACCCAAGCCACAUGUUGAGAAAAAAGAAGAGAUAAAGAAAGGGAAGGAAAUGGAAGAUAAAGAGAGUGAGAUCAGUGAAGAAAAGGACUCUGAUUCAACAAUGAAUGCAAUUCUAGAGAAGAAACUUAUGAAGGAAGAAAUGCUGAAGAAAUCAACUUCUCCUCUUUUUCCUUAAGCAUUACAUGGGAAAAAGGGAAUUAGAAAUGAAGCUGAAAUCCUUGAAGUAUUGAGACAAGUGAAAGUCAAUAUUCCACUGCUGGAUAUGAUUAAACAAGUUCCAACGUAUGCAAAAUUCCUAAAGGACUUAUGUACUAUCAAAAGAGGGUUGACUGUAAACAAGAAAGCCUUCUUGACUGAGCAAGUAAGUGCAAUCUUACAAUGUAAGUCUCCUUUGAAGUACAAAGACCCGGGAAGUCCUACCAUUUCAGUCAUGAUUGGAGGAAAGGUAGUGGAGAAAGCCUUGUUAGACUUGGGAGCAAGUGUGAAUUUGCUUCCAUAUUCCGUCUACAAGCAAUUGGGACUUGGAGAGUUGAAGCCAACAAUAAUCACUUUAUCUCUAGCAGAUAGAUCAGUGAAAAUUCCAAGGGGGGUAAUUGAGGAUGUAUUGGUUCAAGUGGAUAAUUUCUACUAUCCAAUAGAUUUUAUUGUUCUUGAUACAGAUCCUACUGUAAAGGAAGCUAAUUUAGUUCCUAUCAUCCUUGGAAGGCCAUUUCUUGCUACCUCAAAUGCAAUCAUCAAUUGCAGGAAUGGGCUGAUGCAACUCACUUUUGGCAACAUGACACUGGAUCUCAAUAUUUUCUAUAUGUCUAAAAAGUAAAUCACUCCGAAAGAAGAAGAGGGUCCAGAAGAGCUGUGCAUUAUUGAUACUUUGGUGGAGGAGCACUGUAAUCAAAAUAUGCAAGACAAGUUGAAUGAAAGUCUUCUGGAUUUUGAGGAAGGUUUGUCUGAAUCCCCUACUGUGCUUGCUACUCUACAAAGUUGGAGAAAGAUAGAAGAAAUUCUACCUUUAUUCAAUAAAGAAGAAGAGGCAACUGCUGAAAAAGAACCUCCAAAACUCAAUUUGAAGCCUUUACUUGUGGAGCUGAAAUAUACAUAUCUUGAAGAAAAUAAUCAAUGUCCUGUUGUGAUAUCUUCAUCUCUGACCAGUCAUCAAGAGAAUUGUUUAAUGGAAGUUCUCAAGAGGUGUAAGAAGGCAAUAGGAUGGCAAAUAUCCGACUUGAAAGGCAUUAGUCCUUUAGUUUGUACUCAUCAUAUAUAUAUGGAGGAGGAAGCAAAGCCAAUUCGUCAACUUCAAAGAAGUUUGAAUCCUCAUUUACAAGAGGUGGUGCGAGCUGAGGUGCUGAAGCUACUUCAAGCAGGAAUCAUUUACCCUAUAUCUGAUAGCCCUUGGGUGAGUCCUACUCAAGUGGUACCAAAGAAGUCAGGGAUCACAAUGGUUCAGAAUGAAAAAGGAGAAGAAGUUACUACACGCCUCACUUCAAGUUGGAGGGUGUGUAUUGAUUAUAGAAAGUUGAAUGUUGUAACUAGGAAGGAUCAUUUUCCAUUGCCAUUUAUUGACCAAGUGCUGGAGAGAGUCUCUGGACAUCCAUUCUAUUGCUUCUUGGAUGGGUAUUCAGGGUAUUUUCAGAUUGAAAUUGAUGUGGCAGAUCAGGAAAAGACCACUUUUACAUGUCCAUUUGGAACAUAUGCUUACAGGAGAAUGCCUUUUGGUUUAUGCAAUGCACCUGCUACAUUUCAAAGAUGUAUGUUGAGUAUUUUCAGUGAUAUGGUGGAGCGAAUUAUGGAGGUUUUCAUGGAUGACAUUAUCGUAUAUGGAGGUACAUUUGAGGAAUGCUUAGUUAAUUUGGAAGCAGUUCUUCACAGAUGCAUUGAAAAAGACCUGGUGCUCAAUUGGGAGAAAUGUCAUUUUAUGGUAUGUCAAGGAAUUGUCCUUGGCCAUAUCAUCUCUGAAAACGGCAUUGAAGUUGAUAAAGCAAAGGUGGAGCUUAUUGUCAAAUUACCAUCCCCAACAACUGUAAAAGGAGUAAGGCAGCUCCUUGGCCAUGCAGGGUUCUACAGGAGAUUUAUAAAAGGUUUUUCAAGUCUUUCAAAACCUCUUUGUGAGCUAUUAGCUAAGGAUGCUAAAUUUAUAUGGGAUGAAAGGUGUCAAAAUAGCUUUGAUCAACUGAAGAAAUUUUUAACAACAACUCCAAUAGUGAGAGCCCCUAACUGGCAACUACCUUUUGAACUGAUGUGUGAUGCCAGUGACUUUGCUAUAGGAGCUGUGCUUGGCCAAAGGGAAGAUGGGAAGCCCUAUGUGAUUUACUAUGCAAGAAAAAACACUGAAUGAAGCUCAAAGGAACUACACAACUACAAAGAAAGAAUUGUUAGCUGUGGUAUUUGCUUUGGACAAAUUUCGUGCUUAUUAAGUGGGGUCUUUCAUCAUUGUUUUCACUGACCAUUCAGCCUUGAAGUAUUUAUUGACAAAGCAAGAUGCAAAAUCAAGGUUGAUUAGAUGGGUUCUUUUGUUACAAGAAUUCGAUCUCCAAAUCAAAGAUAAGAAAGGAGUGAAGAAUGUAGUAGCUGACCACCUUUCGAGGUUAGUUAUAGCACAUAAUUCCCAUCCCUUGCCUAUUAAUGAUGAUUUUCUUGAAGAAUCACUCAUGUUCCUAGUGAAAACUCCUUGGUAUGCUCAUAUUGCUAAUUAUUUAGUAACUAGAGAAAUUCCAAGUGAGUGGAAUGCACAGGAUAGGAAGCACUUCUUUGCCCAAAUUCAUGCUUAUUAUUGGGAAGAGCCCUUUCUUUUUAAGUAUUGUGCAGAUCAGAUCAUAAGGAAGUGUGUCCCUGAAGAUGAGCAGCAAGGGAUUCUAUGUCAUUGUCAUGAGAAUGCAUGUGGAGGCCACUUUGCCUUUUAGAAAACAGCCAUGAAGGUGUUGCAAUCAGGGUUUACUUGGCCAUCUCUUUUCAAAGAUGCCCACAUCAUGUGUAGAAGUUGUGACUGAUGCCAAAGGCUUGGAAAGUUGACAAAAAGAAAUCAAAUGCCUAUGAACCCCAUUCUAAUAGUUGAGCUAUUUGAUGUAUGGGGCAUUGACUUCAUGGGACCUUUCCCAAUGUCUUUUGGUAAUUCUUACAUCUUAGUGGGGGUGGAUUAUGUUUCUAAAUGGGUUGAGGCAAUCCCCUGUAAACAAAAUGAUCACAGGGUGGUUCUCAAGUUUCUUAAAGAGAACAUUUUCUCAAGAUUUGGGGUGCCCAAAGCAAUAAUUAGUGAUGGAGGUGCUCAUUUUUGCAACAAACCUUUUGAAGCUCUGUUAUCCAAGUAUGGAGUGAAGCAUAAGGUGGCUACACCUUAUCAUCCUCAAACUUCCGGGCAAGUUGAGCUAGCUAACAGGGAAAUAAAGAACAUAUUGAUGAAAGUGGUGAAUUCCAGCAGAAAAGAUUGGUCUAUUAAGCUUCAUGAUUCAUUGUGGGCAUAUAGAACAACUUAUAAGACUAUUCUUGGCAUGUCUCCCUAUCGUCUUGUCUAUGGCAAAGCAUGUCAUCUCCCUGUGGAAGUUGAAUACAAAGCUUGGUGGGCAAUAAAGAAGCUGAACAUAGACUUGAUCAGAGCCGGAGAAAAGAGAUAUCUAGACCUUAAUGAGAUGGAGGAAUUAAGAAAUAAUGCUUAUAUCAAUUCCAAAGCUGCAAAACAGAGGAUGAAGAAGUGGCAUGAUCAACUCAUCUCCAACAAGGAAUUUCAGGAAGGGCAAAGAGUUUUACUGUAUGGCACAAGACUCCAUAUCUUUCCUGGGAAGCUCAAGUCAAGGUGGAUAGGGUCGUUCAUUAUUCACCGAGUAUAUUCCAAUGGAGUGGUGGAAUUAUUGAAUUCAAAUGGCAAGGAUAGCUUCAAAGUCAAUGGAUAUCGUCUCAAGCCAUUCAUGGAGCCAUUCAAACCAGAAAAGAAGGAGAUCAACCUCCUUGAGCCUCAAAAAGCCUAAGCAAAGAAGGGUUUGCUGGACGUGGUUUACCACAGUCCAAAUUUUUUGUAAAUUUUGUAAAUUUUCAAGUUUUUUCCAUACAUUUGAUCUUAGUUUUUGAUCUUAAAUCAUGUUUUUAGGUGUGUUUUAAUCUUUUUGAAUGAUCUCAGGUGGAAGAAAUUUCAAGGAAAUUGAAAGGAAAAAAAUUGGAUCGAAAUCGGAGCAAAAACAGAGUGAAAACAGAGCAAAAACAGAGCUCUGUGAGAUUUCGCAGCCUAAAGAAAACUUCUGCGAAAUGAGCAUUUUGUUGCCAAAUCAUUCCGCAACACUUUGGGAUUCUCUACGAGAAUUUUCGCAACUGCGAAAGCGAGUUUGGCACAUGAGUGUCACUUCGCAGCACAAGAGCCCCCAUUUCGUAGCUGCGAAACGACUUGCGAAGUGGUAAAGCCCAGAUUUCGCAACAAAGUCCCAUUUCGCAGGGUAUUUCGCAAUUGCGAAAGCAAUUUUGGCACACGUGUGCCACUUCGCAGCAUAGUAACAUUAAUUUCGCAGCUGCGAAACGCAUUGCGAAGUGGUUGCAAAAAUGGCAUUUUGCUGCGAAACUCAAGCUGACCCUUAGUCUUCCGUUAUUCCUAUUUAUAGCGGUUAUUUGAGCUGCGAAAAGGGUUUCAAAAUCAAAGCGCAUCAUUCUCGCAGAUCGUCCAUCUCCUUCCUUGAGCCUCACCGCGCAAGCCUCCGGUCAUCUUCUCCGACCAUCCGUUCCGGCCAACUUUCGGCAACCCGAAAUGGUGCGAACCAGAGGGGCCAAGUCUUCCUCCCCUUCAAACCGCAAGAGAAGCUUGCGAAAAGAGCCAGUUCCGGAUCCCGUUUCUGAGCCUUCGCAGCCGAAAGCAAUUUCUCCUCCGGUGAAGCCAGCGCCGCCAAAGCCUCCGGCGAGGCGUUACCUUACCAGGUCAGGGGGUCGGCCGCUGCAAAAGAGGCCAAGGGUUGAAAUCUCAUAACCCAUUGACCUGACUGAGCAAUCUCCAGAGCCAUCGCCGGUUCCAACUCCAGUUCCCUCGCUGAUAUCCUCGCCAGUUCCAUCUCCGGCGCCGCAAGCAAAGCCAAAGGAGCCUCAGCCGCCACUUCCCGAGCCCCAAAUUCCGUCUGAAACAGCUCCGGAAGAAGUAAUCAGGCAACCAAUGCUAACUCAGCCCCAAAUUGAGGGAAAUUUGGAUUGCAGAGCUCGGCCAUUCCACUCCGAGCUAUGCUUUGACAUAGCCGCAUUCCGAUUGCAGCCGGAGCUUGCACAGACAUUCAACCUGCUGAAGAGAUACCACAUGGAGCACCUGCUGACUCCAAGAGACUUUUUCUACCCCAGGGUAGCCAUGGAUUUCUAUCAAUCCAUGACAACCAAACAGGUCAGGAAUCCAACUUUAAUUCAUUUCACUAUUGAUGGGAGGCAUGGCAUAUUGGGAGCACGCCAUAUAGCUGAAGCCUUGCAAAUUCCUUAUGAGCCAACCCAAUUCGAUAAUUUUAGAGCUUGGACCAAUCCUGCUGAGCUGGAGAUGGUGCACACCCUAUCCAGAGGAGCUUCCAUACAUUCGCAUCUGUUGAGAGGGGAGCUUCCUCCAAUCAUGUUUUUGAUUGAUGCAUUUUUGCGUCAUAACCUCUACCCAUUGCAGCAUUGGACUCAAAGGAAAGGAGUCCUGUUAGAAGCCCUGUACAAGAUGUUUGAGGGAUUUUUCUUCGGCCCUCAUCAUCUGAUUCUGGCAGCCCUUCUCUAUUUCGAAGAGAAGGUACACAAAAAGAAGCUUUAGAGAGCUGAUUGCAUUCCCCUCCUCUUUCCAAGGCUGCUAUGCCAAAUUCUGGAGCACUUGGGAUAUCCUUCUGAGCCUUAGUUGGAGCGAAAGCACAUUUUCCGCGAGCUAUUCACUCUUGACAAAUGGAACAACAUGACAGCUUAUCGAGUUGACCAGCCUGAGCGCCCACAGCCAGCUGCUAGGAGAACAUCCCCACGACACAUACCUGAGGGUAUAACAGUUGCUGCUCCUGCCAUUCCUAGAGCUCCACCAGCUGCUCCAGCUUCAUCUCAGCCAUCCACUUCAGUUGAGCCGAGGAUGGCCAUUCCUAUUUCUGAAUAUCGAGAGUUGUGUCGUUCAUUGGAGACCCUCACAGCAUAUCAGAGCAGUCUUGCUCAAGAGAUGACAGCCAUUAGAGCAUGCCAAGAGCAGAUGUUGGCCACUCAGGCUCAACACACUGCCAUCUUAAGGCAGCUCCAGCUUCAUUUCGACCUGCCACUAGCUGUUGAGCCCUCCACUUCUACUCCAGUAGAGCCACACCCUCAUCCCUCAGAGCCUCAAGCCCCAGCUGAAGCACCAACUGAAGAGGCAGACCCAUCUGCCUAGCCCCAGCACCACCCACUCAUCAGAUCAUUAUAUAUAUAUAUAUAUAUAUAUAUAUAUAUAUAUCUACUAUCUUUGUUUUAUGUAUUUCAUUUUUUAGUUUGAAAGAAAUCCCAUUAUUUUGGUAUUAUAUUUGAGAUUGCUUGUAUUGCUUUUCUUUUGCAUUGUACUCAAAUGGAUUCAAAGUAAUACAAGUCUAAUAUUUCUUGUUAACAGUUAGCAUUAACUUAUUCUUAUUUCCUUUUCUCACAUAUUCUAUUCUUUUUGAAACAUGUGGUUUCUCCAAUCAGUAUGCGAAAUUGAUAUCACUCAGGAGGUACCACUUCCUCCCUUUAAUUACAGUCACUCAUAUCACAUUGAGGACAAUGCUCAAUUCGGUUGGGGGGGAAUGAGGAAGGAAGUAUGAUAAGUCUUUUUGGUAAUGCAAUUAUUUUGGUAAAUUAGUUCUAGUUUUUGUUUUUUACUCUUUUUACUCUAUUCUCCAUGAAUUUUGAGGAAAAAACAGGAGAAAUUGAACUGUUGUUUUUCACUUGACUUAGAGUAUGGAUUAUGCUCACUAAAGUGGUUCAAUUGUUGAAGCUUCUAUUGAAAUUGAAUUGAGUUCUUCCACUUUAAGCUAUUCACACACUGUGCACAUUAGAUUCCGAUUAUAACAUGAAAAACUAUUUCCCUCUUGACUUAGGAUAAUUUUGGGACUUGGUAUAUUUGACCUCAUUUGAUAAAAAUUGAAACACCCUACAAAAGGCCAAUGAGCCUUUGAAAUAAAGAAAGUUGUUUGCUUGCCUUAAAACCCGAGCAAGGUCUGAGGGGUAUAUGGUGAAAAUCUUUGAAGCCUGGUGCCCUAAGCCUUAAUUGGUUGGGAGUCACCGACCUCAAUGCUCGUUACAAGGGUGGAUAGAUGGAGUUAGCAUGUGGUAGGUGCUUGGGUAUUAGAAAUUCAUUCUCAAAAGUCUGGGGAAAAAUUUGAGGAGUUAGUGGUUGAAAGAUCCUUAAAGCUUGGUGCCCUAAACCUUAAUUGGUUGGGAGUCAUCGAUGGACCCCCAUUACAUGGACAAUUCAGAAAGAGUACCCCAUAAAGCCUCUUUAAAAAAAAAUUUAAAAAAAAAAAAAAAAAAAAAGAGAAAGUGUGUUAUUUCUUUAUUGAUUUUGGUCAGUUUGCUAAGUGUUGAAAAGAGAUAGGUUGGGGGGAGAGAUUAGUUUAGCAUGUUAUUCUCGGAAGCUAAGGAACCAAUACACAUAGAUUUUUGAGGAAGAAUAAAGUUUGGUUCUUUGAAAGUGGAAAUGAUUUUAAAACUUCAGUUUGCAUAAUGCAUUCCCUUGUUUGACAGUGUUUAGAAUAGUUUGUUAUAACUCUUGUUGAAAUUUGCUUUUAUAUUUCUUUAAGGUUUCAUGAGAGAAUUAGAUCAUCAUGCCACUUGAGAAUUGUUUUUGAUCAGCAUGAUGUUGUAUAUUAUAGGUUAGUUUGCUUUUUAUUUUCAUUUUUCUCUCCUUUAUUGCUAAGGGACUAGCAAUAUGUCGGUUGGGGGGAGUGAUUACUACUCAAAAAGUGCUAUUUGAUAGCUUAUAAUUAAUCCUUUUAAACACUUUUGAGUAGUAGUUUUGACCUUUUAACUCAAUUGGCAUGUUAAGGACCCUUGAAAGCAAUUUUAAUCACUUUGUGUAAGUUUUGGUGUUUUUGUUAGUAAUUUGAUCACCAAAGCAAUUCAAGUUUGAGGAGAGUUUUGAGGAAUCUUGGGUAAAGCUUAGAAGUCAUUUGCCAAGAGUAAAUCCGGAUUGCAAGGAGAAAAAGUAAAGAGAAUCUGCCAAGAAGCAUAUUCUUGAUGACAUUCGUAGCAGCCACUUUUGGAGCACUUUCUGAGGUUCAAUUGAUGCAUGAUAUAUACCAUUUCAAAUCUCAGGAAGUCAACAAUCCAAUGAUUUAAACGGUGUGCAAUUCGGAGUUGAAACGAAGAAGUUGCAAUCUUUGCAAGCCAAUCACUCCCAACUGAAGGAAGCAUUUUCCAAAGUGUUGCGAAAUCACCCUUUUGCUGCGAAGUGAUUCCGCAGCCUUUUUGUACAGUAGGGUGUAUUUCCUUCUGAAGGUGCCCGAUAUAUGCCGCAAGCUGGAAGCUAAGAACCUCAAGUUGGAAGCCAACUUCGCAGCCCUACGAGAAUAGCUUGUUGUUGCGAAGUGAUUUCGUAGCCCUUCUUGAGUGCCUGCGAAAUCUCGCAGACACCAUUUUCUCUUGCGAAAUGGUUCCUGAAGCACCCCGAUAUUUGCUACCGACAUUGGGAGAUAUUUUACAUCAGAUUUUUGUUGUUUAAAUCCUAAAAUACUCCUUGUAAGCCACCAAUUACAAGAUUCCUUAGCUUUUAAGUUAGUAAAAAGAGAAAAUAUCUAUGUAAUAAUUAGUUUUAUAUUAUGUUCAUAUAUAUACCUCUCGGGAGCCUGUUAUAAGAGAGGAGAUCCUUUUGUAAAGUUUUGGGUAAGCAAGUAAAGUUCAGUUCUUUGUAUUGCCUUACCUUCUCACUUUGUAUUUUUAUUUUCUUACUAAGUUAUGAACUCUCUGAGGAAUUUUCCCCAGAGAAUGAGUAACUAAACAUCUAGUUCCUUGGAGCUAAGGUUGCCGGGGAAGGUUCCAAGUGCAAGAAUGCAAAGCUUUGUGGUUUUAGCUAGUAAUGAAGAGGAAGUGAAAUCCUUUAGUGAUUUCUAUGUUUUUAGUUAACUUAAAACACCUUAGAGUCACCUGGGCCAACACUUGGUAAGGCAAGUGAUUUCUAAUCAUGGAAAUGCACUAGUUUACCCCUUGCGAGCCUCUGGAAGGUGACUUUAGGGUAGGAUUUUCUAGAAUAGCCAACACUUGGUAAGCUUUUGGACUCCAAGGAGACAUCCAUUAGUUAUCUCUUGCGAGCUUGAGACGGGUAAUCUAAGGUUAAAGAUCACCUUGAACGGUUAAGGCUUAGUGAGAGGCUUAAACCAUUGCAAGUUGCAUCAGUGAGAGAAUUAAAGUGAAAUCUAAUUGAAGAAUGUAUCUGUACAACACCGGUUAGAGAAUUGACUAUAUGUUGAAUCUCUAACGCGAGGAAAUGAACCAUCUGACCGGAGCCGUGUCUUUUGCAUGAGGAACCACCCCAGUGAACCAAACUCUCCAAGGAAUGUUUUUCUUCCUAAGUUAUUCCCAUUACUUAUUGUGUUAGUUUAAGUCUAAAUCUUCACCAAUCAAAGUUUGUGUUUUAUUUCUUAAGCUAACCUUGAAAUGAAACAAAACCAAUUCACUUUGAAUUGAUAUCAUUGAUAGCUUGUUAAUCCUUCCCAGUGAACGAUCCUAGAGUCGCUAUACUAUAGUAGCUUUGUCUUUGCUACCCUAGUAUAUGGUGUUAUAGGUUAUAAAUUUUGUUGAUUACUCCCUCAUUCAAGGAGCACCAGCUGGACACGAAUCAACUGGCACACCAACUGGGAAUGAAUCAAAUGCCUAACAAAGCAAUGAACGUGUCAAUAGCAACACUCAUGCAAAUACACCAAAGAUCUGCAAAGCUCAACAUGCAUCCUCUACCCACAAACAAAUAGACAAAUAAUGUCUAAGUAACUAACAAAACAAUAGUAAUGAGGAAUAAUUAAUAAAAAAUAAAAUAAAAUUGCAAAGAAACCAUACUUGAAGGUGCUAUUCUAAUCUUCCCUCGGAUUGGUCAGUUUUCCUUGUUCAUCUCUUCUCUUUUAGAGAAUCUUUUCUGUUUCUCUCCACUCUUCCUAAAAAAUCAAAACCUCCAUUUUCCUUUCUUUCCUUCCUUAAUCUCAAGGAUUUUCCAUCUCCUUUUCCUUAUCAGAAUCCUUCUUCCUGAAGGUUUCUCUUUGUCCCCUCGAAAAUCACAACUUCUCUUCCCUAUGCAGAAACCCUUUGGAAAUCCUCUCUUUCCUUCCUCCCCAUCCUCUCUUGCUUCCAUCGUAAGUUUUCUCACCUUCAAAUUUUUAUUUUUUAUUUUGUUUUGUUUUAAAAUAAAUAAAUGAUAACAAUAAUAAUAUUAAUAAUAAAAUAGAUAAAUAACAUAUAUUAAGAGGUGAUAAUAAUAAUAAUAAUAAUAAUAGAAACAAUAAUAACAAAAACAAUUCUUAUGGUGAUGGUAACAAAAAUAAUAAAAAAAAAAUGAAUAAAUAAUUAAUUAUAAGUAUGUGGCACACAUUCACAAAGAAGAUCAUGCAAGCCAUGUAAGCCAUGCCAGCUACAUUAGCCAUGCAAAUAACUUAUGGGUGUUGGGGUAAGCCUAAGCAGACUAGGUGCACCUAGACGGACCGGGUGUGCCUAAUGGGCCUAAAUAUGUCUAACCAAGCUAUUAUAAAAGUAUACCUAGUAUCCAAAGUGGCUCAAAGAGGUAAGUUAUAUGAAUAUCGAUGGGCCACCAGGAACUACUUUGGAGUGUUGAAAGAACAUUUAAUCAAGGCAUGUGACAAGGGGAAAAAAUGGAGGGUCUACACAAUCCAAUAUCAAUCAAAAUGAGUAAACCAAAUGUCAACUAAGUUGACACUUUCUAAAAUAGUAGCAAUACUUUUGUGUCUAAAAUAAUUCUGAAAUAGGUACAAUACUAUAGAACUUAUGUUGUUAAUCAACAAUUACUAAAUCUAAAACAUAAUAAAUAUUAAAUAUACAUUAUUACUAUUUGUCCAGAAUAAUAACAUGCAAAGUAUUAACAAUAUCCAAAAUAGAAAUCAUAUAUAGUAACAUCCUUAAUGUGUACAACACGAAGGAGCUUUCCUUUUUCGUUGUGGACGUUAAUGAUAUGCAUGCUUCACUAUUGGUUGUAGGGGGUUGACAUGUGCUCUCCCAUGUCCUUGAUGACCACGUCCCUCACCAUGUCCUUGACCACGAUAAUCCUCUUGUCCUUGUUGAUCAUCAUUUGCUGUAUGAACUAACUCCUCAUCAACCAAUGUAGUCUCUAAUGGUUAUGGUGAUGAUGUAACAAGUGGUACUACAAGUGAGGUGGAUGACACCUCCAUAGGUGGUGGGCUGAUGACAAUCAAUGCUGCAUCUCUAAGAAUAGGUAUAUGCCUAGUCUCCCUCCCAUGAACCCAUUUUCCUCUAGUUUGUACACCUCUUGAUCGAUGCUAGAGUUGUGUAGCAACAACAACACUAAAUAAAGUCUAAUCUUACAAAGGUGGAGGAGUGGAUGAUAUCAACUGCUGGUGAGGUGGUAGACUGAUGUCAGUUGAUGGUGCACAUAUAACAACUAGUGUAUGUCUAGUCUUCCUUUUAAUAGGCCAUUGUCCUAGUUUGUACACCUCCUGAUCGAGGCUGGAGUUGUGUAGUAGCAUCAACACUAAAUAGAGCAUAUAAGCGAUCCAUCUCAUGUAUGCCCUUUAAUACAAUAGUACACAAUCUGUGAAUAUGCAUAUCAUUUAGAGGUACAAUAUCAUAUAUAUGAUGUAUGAUGGAAUUUGUAAGUCAAAUAUGAGAUAAGUUAAAUUCUUAUAAAAAUAAAAUAAAUUUCAAUAAAAAGUUAAGACAUGCAAAUUACUAGUAGCUCAUGGAAGGACUUAGUUCAAGUAAGAAACAAAAGAGUAAUGGAGAGGUACCACACCAUCUAUGGAUCAUAAUAUCCCAAUGGACCUAUAGCCAUCUUGCCCUUAGCAAUAUGUUUGCUCUUAAAGCCCCAACAUAGAAUAUUGUCUCGAUGUUGAACAAUUUAAUCAACAUCAUGUCUACCUCUCAAGUCACAUUUAUGUAAGAUUGACUCAUUAUGACAUGGCUGAGGAAUCCCUUGACAAAAUGCAAACUGUUGUAAUACUCAAUCAAGUCUAUGUUAUUCAACUAUGUGGAAACAUAUUAAAGGUGAGAUAAGGCAUCAUAUAUCUUUCUCAACUGUACAAUAAUCAAGAACUCCAACAUUCAUGUCAUCAACAUAAGGUUGUCAUAUAAUUUAUAGUCAAGAAAGGUUAGAUAUAAUCAAUGGUUUGAAAUUUGUUUAGAGAAAAAAGUUUAAGAAAUGAAUCAAACUUCUAUCACUUGAUCUACCGUAAGUCGAUCAAGCUAGUGCCUAUACUAAACUAAGACAUGCAUGGAUGUCGAAGAUACUUAUAUCUCCAACUAUAAAAAUAAAAAACAAAUAAAAGAAUAAAUGAAUAAACGUUAGAAUUUAAGUUGAUAUAUCCUCAUAAUAUUAAAUUGAUGGUAAUGAUGCAUAUGUAUUGUAUGGCUAAUGGAGAUAGAGGCAGUUGGUCAUCAUAUGGAGCUAUAUGUAAACAAUGAGGUGCAAUAAAAAGGAACCUAUCGCAUACCCACAACUGGAGUAAAAAUAGUAGACUAGAUAUAUCAUGUGUAUCAAUCUAAGAGGCUGGACACAAUUGUUGAUAAAGUCAAGCUAAAUAGACAUUACCCUAACUAUAACUACCAACAACCUCAAAAUCAUUUAGAAGAGGUUGAAACAUAAGAUACACCUUAUCUCUAGACUUUUCUGAAAAAGAAAACCUCUAAGGAGUUGUAAGAUAUAUGCCUCAGUAUAAUGCCAAAUAGACUACUCAUCAACAUCUAGUGUCAAAAUAAGGAAGCUUUGACCUAACCAUGUAACAUGAAGGCAUUGCCCAUCUAUGUAUGUGUCCUCAGUAAUAAGACUUAAUAAAGACGAUGCAUGUCUCCAAUCUAGACAUGUGCUACCAAUAACUACUAUUCCAUCUAAUAGUAGUUUAAGAACAAUGGUAAUGUCUUGUAGUGUAAUUGUGCACUCCCUCUUAGGUAAGUGGAAAUUAUGAGUCUCUAGUCGCCAUCUUUCAAUAUAUACAAUAAUAAGGUGCCAAUAUGAGGAAAUGAAUCCUAAGCGUGCAACUCUAUAAAAGCCUAGUAAUGGAAUAAUACGUCUAUAUGGUGCACUAGUGUGAUGGAAAAUUGCCUCGCAAUGUCGACAAUAGAGUUCCUUUAAGUCAACACUUGUCCAUGCUAGAGAAGACUAGUGUAUGUCCUAUCCAUUUAGAAUUGUAGGAUCCAACGGUCUUAAAUCUAUUAUGUGAUAAUGUUGGAAACCCUGGAUUGCUCCGUUCCCAUGCCCUAAAUCGCAUAGGGUGCAUGCAAAUCUAUCGCUAUGGAUAAACAGGUAUUAAAAAAAUGAUAAAUAAUGCAAUAGAAAACAUAGAUCUAAAGAGUAAAUUCACAUACCUUUGAUCCGAAUGUUAUCUGAUCGAUUCCAAUCGAUAUAAAUAACUUCAAAGUCAUAGUAGAUCUCAUAAACACCAUGAUCUUCCGCCCGAUGACUCUUCCUUAUGUUUAAGCACUGAAAUAUUGGAAAUCUCAAGGGUAGAGGUUAGGGUUUUCUCUCUAGACUGGAGGAGAGAAUGGUAAAAGAUUGAAACCCUAACCCCUAAAGGGGUAUUUAUAAACUUCUUAUUGGGCUUAAGUGACUUAAGCCCACCAUGGGCUUAGGUCACUUAAUCUAGCCCAAAAAGGUUGCUAAUUGAUUGAUUGACCAUAUAAUCAAUUGGCCUAGUCCAAAGAUGCCACUCACUUAUCCUCGUGCAACCUUGUGUAAUUACCAAAAUGUCUUUGUGCACAAAAGUGAACUAAAAACCCAUCCAACCCUCAUAAACCAUGCCAUCAAGGAAUAUGAGCUUAGAGCGGGGACCACUAAGACUCAUAGGAGUAUUGACUCCCUCAAAAUCAAAAUUUGAAAUUGACUCAACAUCCCACUACAGAGAGUUAAUAACACUCCAGUACCCUAUAUAAAUUAGAACGAGACACUAAGUGCUCAGGUUAGUGACCUACUAUCCAUUGUAUGUAGACUCCCCAUGAACUAGUGUCCGCAAUCUAAUGAGGUAGUGUUAUCACCUAUCAAGAUUACCUCUCAAAUCCUUGAGUUACAAAUCCCACUUAUUAUGUGAUCAACUGACAUACUCUAACUCCAAGGAGCAUAUGUCAAAUUCCACUGAAGGAAUUACUGUGGCCACAAAUUUCAUGAUUUGGAUCACUGAUUCGUUCCCAAUUGGUGUAUCAUGAGUUUGGUCCUCAAACGGGAGUAAUCAACAAAAUUUAUAACCUAUAUCACCAUACACUAGGAUAGCCUUAUGUCACAGACUUAGUCGUUCACUAAGCUCGUGCGGCACUUAGACAAGCCAAGACGCUUGAUCUUGCUAAGUCAGCCUUGCUCCCCAAUGCUUAGCUUGCUAGGCUAAGACACUUGCAACUCAAAAGCUUAAGAAGCUUGGUAGGCAACUCCUUAAAGAAUGGAAGCUUUAUUAUCUCAAGAAGCCUUUACAAGUGCUUGGAUGCUCACUUGCUUGGUGCCUUGGCCAAAUGAGGCCCUCACCUAUUUAUAGGCACCAAUGGAACUCUCUAGAACCUUGGAGGGUUCCUUACAAUUCAUGAAUAUUCUAGAAUGUCCUACACUAUUCUAGAAUAUUCAAGAGACUUCUAGAAUGUCCUACACUAUUCUAGAAUAUUCAAGAGACUUCUAGAAUGUCCUACACUAUUCUAGAAUAUUCAAGAGACUUCUAGAUUUCUCUAGAAAGCUUUGGACCCUUCUCAUGCCUUCUACCAUAGUGUAGAGUUGUGUGGACUUCUCUAGGCAUUUCUAGAACCUUCCACACUCUUCCCACUAGUGGCUAAGUGUGGAUGUCUCCAAGGGUCUCUAGAAGCUUCUCACCUCCUAUAUAAGCCAUGGGGAGGGUCAUUUGAAGCAUCUUGUGACACUUAGCUAAUAUAGCAUAAUGGCUCUAGGAUCGUUCACUAGGAAGGGUUUUCAACUUACAACUGAUACCAAUUCAAAGUUGAAUUGGUGCUUUUUCAUUUCAAGGUUAGCUUAAGAGGAAAACGUAAACUUUGGUUGAAAAAGGAUUUGUUUUAAGCUAACUAAAAAGAAAGUAAUGGGAAUUACUUAUGACGAAAAGCGUUCCUUAGAGUUUUAGGUUCACUGGGGUUAGGCUCCUUAUGCAAAAACAAAGCUCCGGUCACUUGAAUCUUUUCCUCGCAUUAGAGAAUUAACAUAUAGUUAAUUCUCUAACCAGUGUUGUACAAAUGUUUCCCUUUCAUGGAUUUCAGUACUAAUUUCCUCUCACUGAUGCAACUUGCAAUGGCUCGUGCCUCUCACCUAGUAUUUGCCAUUCAAGGUGAUCAUUAACCUUGGACUUCCCUUCUCAAGCUCGCAAGAGAUAACUAAUGGAUGUCUCCUUAGAGUCCAAAAUCUUACCAAGUGUUGACAAUUCUAGAAAAUCUUACCUUCAAGUCACCUCCCAAAGGCUCGCAAGAGAUAAACUAGUGCAUCUCCAUGGACGAAGAUCACUUGCCUUACCAAGUGUUGGCCUAGGUGAAUUGAAGGCAUUUUAAGUUAACUAAAAACAUAGAAAUCAUUAACGAGUCACACUUUCUCUUCAUUAACAGCUGAAACAACAAAACUACCAAUUCUUGCAUUCAGGGCCUUACCCGGCUACCUUAGCUCCAAGGAACUAAAAGCCUAGCCACUCAUUCUCUGAAGAAACAUCCUCAGAGCUUGUUUGGCUAGUAAUAAAAAAUAAAUACAAUACAAUCAAAUUUAGUAGGUAAGGCAGAGCAAAGCUCUGUACUUUACUUCUUUCCAAAACUAUACAAAAAGUUGUCUUUGAGAACAAGCUCCCCGAGAUAUCUCUGUGAUGAAAAUUACAAAACAAUAUAUAUGAGGUUAUUUACCCUUUUUUCUUACUUAAAGACUAAGGAAUCCUAUGAUAGGUGGAUUACAAGGAGAGAAAGGGGAUUUAGACAUCAAAUAUCUGAAGAAAAAAAUAAAAAAAUGUCGGUCGCAAAUAUCUGGAAGCACUUGGGAGAAUUUCGCAGGCGUGCAAGAUGGAUGUGAAAUUUCGCAACCUGAAGGACACCAUUUCGCAGCCAUCCUCUUGUGAUUUCGCAACCUGCGAAAUUGGCCUUCAGCUUGGUGUGAUUGGCCUCUAAUGGCUCUAACUUCUUCAUUUCAACUUCGAAUCACGCACCGUUUGAAGCGUUGGAUUUCUAACUUCCCAAGCUUUGAAACGACAUAUAGUAUGAAUAAAUUGAGCUCCAGAAAGUGCUCCAAAAGUGUCCAACAGUGGCUGUCCUCUUGAAUUCUUCAUGUUAGAUUUCUCUCUUUGCUUUCCCUCCUUGCAUUCAUGAUUUGCUUAUGACAAAGGACUAUAAAGCUUCAUAGCUUUGGUUCUUCAUGUUACUAAGCUUCCCAUUGCUUUGCCAUGGAUUCCAAAGAACUCUCCUCAAUCUUGGAUUGCUUUGGUGAUCAAAUUACUAUCAAAAGCACCAAAACUUACACAAUUUGAUUAGAAAUGAUUGCAAAGGUCCUUAAUAUGCUAAUUGAGUUAAAAGGUAUUAAAUGCUCCUCAAAAGUGUUUAAAAGAGUUAAUUAAAAGGUACAAAAUAGCACUUUUAGAGUAGUAAUCACUCCCCCUAACCGACAUAUUGCUAGUCCCUUAGCAAUAAAGAAGAGAAAAAGUAAACUAAAAAGUAAUAUACUUUACAAGAUCAUGCUGAUCACUUCAAAAAAUUUUAAGCGGCAUGAUGAUCAAACUCUCACAUGGACCAUUAAAGAAAUAUAAACUCAAAUUUCAACAAGAGUUAUCAAAUACCUUGCUAAUCACAAUUCAUAAAGAAAAGGCAUUAUGCAAAUUGAAGCUUUAAAAUCAUUUCCACUUCCAAAGGACCAAACCUUACUCUUCCACAAAAAUCUAAGUGUUAGUUGAUAGUUUCCGAAUAUAGUAUGUUGAACUAAUCUCUCCCCCAACCUAGUUCUUUUUCAACACUUAGCAAACUGACCAAAUUUAAUAGGCUAAGAAUGCACCCUUUUGUUUCACAAUUUUUUUUCAUUGUAGGAGUCAAGGCUUAAAGGUAUUCUUUUCUAAAUUGUUCAUGUUACGGGGGUCCAUCGAUGACUCCCAACCAAUUAAGGUUUAGGGCAUCAAGCUUUAAGGAUCUUGCAACCACUAACUCCUUGGAUUUUACCCUGGACUUUUGAGAAUGAAUUUUAAUACCCAAGCACCUACAGUAUGUUAAACUCCACCUAUUCACCCUUGUAACGAGCAUUGAGGUCGGUGACUCCCAACCAAUGAAGGCUUAGGGCACCAGGCUUUAAAGAUUUUCACCAUAUACCCCUCAGACCUUGCUCGGGUUUCAAGGUAAGAAAAACAUUUUUUCUUUCUUUUUUUUUUUUUUCAAAGGCUCAUUGGCCUUUUAUAAGGUGUCCCAACACUAUUAAAAUGAGGUCAAAGGUACCAAGUCUAAAUUUUCCUAAGUCAAGAGGGAAAUAGUUUUUCAUCUUAUAAUCGGAACCUAUUGUGUACAAUGUGUGAAUAGCUUAAAGUGGAAGAACUAAGCUUGAAUUCAAUAGAAGUUUCAACAAUUCACCAACUUUAGUAAGCAUAAUACAAACUCUAAGUCACGUGAAAACNNNNNNNNNNNNNNNNNNNNNNNNNNNNNNNNNNNNNNNNNNNNNNNNNNNNNNNNNNNNNNNNNNNNNNNNNNNNNNNNNNNNNNNNNNNNNNNNNNNNUCUAGUGCCAGAUGAGGAGAGCUUGCCAGCUGAGCAGCCUAUACCAGAGGAGGAGAUCAGAGCAGAGCCAUCACAUGACCCCACUCAUAUCUGAUCUUUUUAUGUUUUACUUGUUUUUAUUUUAGACUUGUAAAUCCCAUCUUUUGCAUGUGUUAUAAAUUGGGAUUGGAAGUAUUACUUGAAAUCAUACAUUGUAUAUUUCUUUUACAAGUAAUAUAUAUAUAUAUAUAUAUAUAUAUAUAUAUAUAUAUAUAUAUAUAUAUAUAUAUAUAUAUCCUUUUUGAUUAUAUUCCCUUUUCUCAUUACUCUUUUGUCCUUGGAACAUGUGGUUUAAGGUACUCCAUACCUCCUUUACACUCAGACUUUGUCUCACUCAGGAGGUACCACUUCCUCCCUUUAUUUUUAAUCACUUUUGAAACAUUGGGGACAAUGUUCAACUUGGUUGGGGGGGGGGGGGGGGGGGAAAAAAAAAAAAAAAAUUUUUUUGGCAAAAAAAAAAUUUUUUUGGGUUUUUUAUAAAUUUUUUUUUAAUUUUUAAUUUUUUUAAAAAUUUUUUUAAACCAUCCCCCCGGGUGUUGAAAAAAAUUUUCCCCAAAAAAAAAAANNNNNNNNNNNNNNNNNNNNNNNNNNNNNNNNNNNNNNNNNNNNNNNNNNNNNNNNNNNNNNNNNNNNNNNNNNNNNNNNNNNNNNNNNNNNNNNNNNNNUUCAAGGUAAGAAAAACAUUUUUUCUUUCUUUUUUUUUUUUUUCAAAGGCUCAUUGGCCUUUUAUAAGGUGUCCCAACACUAUUAAAAUGAGGUCAAAGGUACCAAGUCUAAAUUUUCCUAAGUCAAGAGGGAAAUAGUUUUUCAUCUUAUAAUCGGAACCUAUUGUGUACAAUGUGUGAAUAGCUUAAAGUGGAAGAACUAAGCUUGAAUUCAAUAGAAGUUUCAACAAUUCACCAACUUUAGUAAGCAUAAUACAAACUCUAAGUCACGUGAAAAGACAAAAAUUCAAUUUCUCCCAUUUCAAUUUGAAAAUUUUUCCUUAAAAACCAUGGAGAGUAGAAUAAAAAACUUUAAAUUUUUUUUAAAAUUAAACAAAAAUCAACUAAAUUACCAAAAUAACUUAGCAUUAAUAACAAAACUUCCUUCCUCAACUCUCCCCCCAACCAAGCUAAACAUUGUCCUCAAUGUGGCAUGAGCGAUUGAGAUUAUAAGGAGGAAGUGGUACCUCCUGAGUGAUAUGAAGUUCGAGUAGAAUAGGAGAAACCACAUGUUUCAAAAACAAUAAAAGAUAUGAAUAGAGGAAAUAAAAUAAAAUAAUGCUAAGAGUGCUAAAAAAUUGAUAGAUUUGUAUUACUUCAUUUCAUGAAAGUACAAAAAGAGAACAAGUAAUACAACUAAUCCCAAUAUAUAAUAUAUCAAAAGCAUGGGAUUACAAGUGCUAUUAUAGUAGGGAAAUACAUAAAGGAAAUAUAUAACGGAAACAUAUAAAGGAAACUAUGCAAAUGAUCAGAUAGUGGCUGGAGGAUGAUGUGAAGAUGAUGGCUCAGUUGCAAAGGCCUGAAUGCUCGGGGCGGAUGCCUUUGCCUCUCCUAUAGUGGGCUCCUUAGGAGGCAUAGUCUGAUGUACGAAAGAAGGGGCUUGUGAUGGCUCUGGUGGGAUAGGAAUGGGGUGCUCAGGAGUUGAUAGAAUACCCAGAUAGUGUUGAAUCUGCCUUAGGAUGGUAGUAUGCUGGGUUUGAGUGGCAAUAAUCUGCUCCUGAUGAGCACUAAGAGUUGUGAUCUGCUGAGUGAGGAUGCUUUGAGAAAUGGCCGAUGCCUGGAAAGUGUGGCAUAAGCCUCUAUACUCGAUAAUGGAUAUAGCAAUCCUAGGCUCAGAUGAAGGAGAUGACUCUAAUAUGGGUGGAAUAACAGGGGGAGUCCGUGGUGUGGCUUGAGGAGCAGAGGGUGCAACCUCUGGUAUAGGCUCUAUAGAGCCUACUGCAGGGGUAGGUGGUGUAAUGUCAGCUGGUAUCUCAACCAGUUGUGGCUCCUCUGGCUGCUUUGGAUGGUAUGGUCCAGUUGGGGCUCCCUGGUCUACACCAUAGGUUGUCAUACUCGUCCAUUUGUCGAGAGUGAAUAUCUCUCGACAAAUGUGUCUGCGCUCAAGCUGAGGCUCUGCUAGGUAUCCCAAAUGCUCCAAAUCUGGCAUAACAAUCUGGGGAAGAGAAGUGGAAUAGCAUCCACUCGGAGUAGCUUUUUCCUAUGGAUUUUCUCUUCUAAGUACAGAAGAGCAACCAUAAUGAGAUGAUGAGGGCCAAAGAAGAAUUCCUCAGAUAUCCUGAACAAUGCCUCCAACAAAACUCCUCUCCUCUACACCCAAUGCUAAAGUGGAAAGAUGUUAUGGUGCAGGAGUGCAUCAAUGAAGAACAUGUUGGGAGGGAACUCAUUCCUCAAAUGAUAUUGGCGUGAGGAUGUCCCUCUGGAUAAAACGUGGACUAUGUCGCUCUGUGCAGGAUGAGUCUAGACUCGAUAAUCCUCUGGACGUGCUAGCUCAUAGGGAAUACGGAGUGCCUCUGCUAUGUGUCUGGCUCCCAGAAUACCAUGGCGUCCGUCUAUGGUGAAGUGGAUGACUGUAGGAUCCCGGACCUGAUGUGUAGUCAUGGACUGAUAAAAGUCCAAUGCUAUACGGGGAUAGAAAAAAUCCCUAGGAGUCAGCAAGUGCUCCAUAUGAUACCUCUGUAGCAAAUGGAAAGAAUCCCUGAGCUUAGGCUGAAGUUUGAAAGUAGUUGUGUCAAAAUAGAGCUCGGAGUGGAAUGGCUUUGCCCUGCAAUCCAAAUUACCCUCAAUGGGUGGUUGAGUAACCAUAGGACGUCUGAUAACCACCUCAGGAGUCAUGCCUGAGGGAAUCUGAGACUCUUUGGCUGGUGGCUGAAACGAGUGAGGCUUUUUUACAGGUGGUUGAGAUGGACGAGGCUCUGAAGAGGGCUCUGUUAAAUCAAUUGGCUCUAAUACCUUGGCCUUCUUCUUUGGGGGACCACUACCUGACUUUUUAGCUCGGGAAGAGCUCGACUCGGCCAUAGUGAGUGACCUUUUUGUCUGAUAGCGCCUCGAAGGAGGACUCAUAGGUGCAUCCUCAACCGGAGGUGGGACGACCAGUGGCCGCGGAGACUCAGAUAUGGCAGCUUGGACAAAGGUCUCUCUUGGGACUCUUAGGCGAGUUGAUGGGGACGAGGACUUAGUUCCUCGGGUUUUGGACAUGUUCGUCUCAGAGACGGUGGCCGGAGGUGCGUGCGGCUUGGCUCAGGCGGAGGGGUUAGACGGAGAGUUGCUCUGGUUUGGCUCCUCUUUGGCACCUAUUUAAAGUUCAAAUGACCAGUUAAAAACAAAAUAUGGAAUUUAUAACGUUUAAAAAGGAUGCCAAGGGACGAUUUUUAUUUUCGCAGCAGAUGGUUGAUUUCGCAGCAAGGGGCGGAUUUCGCAGCGGAUGGGUAUUUUCGCAGCCCAUUUCGCAGUUGCAAAAUGAGGGUGGAAAGCUGCAAAAUGGCACUCAUGUGCCAAGGGGUGGUUUCGCAGCUAUGAAACCACUUAUGAAAUGAGGGUGCGGCUGCGAAAAUUGGAAUUUUUAGGCGUGGAGGAUUUCGCAAAGCAUUUCGCAGCUGUGAAAUGAGAGGGGGGGUCUGCAAAAUGGCACUCGUGUGCCAAAGGGGUGUUUCGUAGCUGCGAAAAUUUUCGUAGAGGGAGGUAUGAGGCUGCGAAAUCAUUUCGCAGACAAGGGGCAUUUUCGCAGCGGGGCCUUGGGGCUGCAAAAUCAUUUCGCAACCAAGGGCCAUUUUCGCAGGGGCCCUUUUUAGGCUGCGAAAUUUUGCAGACCAUGGAUUUUCCUUGCUUUUGAGCUUCUCUUGAUUCCCAUAGACCUUCUUUCAAUUUCUUUGCAAUUCCUCCUGAUUUUGAUCAUUCAAAAAGAUUAAGUUACAUAUAAAUAACACAAUUUAAGACCAAAAUUAAAAUCAAAACAAUUUAUAAAGCUUAUAAAUUAACACAAUUAAACAAAAAAUAUGGACUUUGGUGAAACCAAGUCCAUCUAACCCUUUUCUGAUUAGGCUUUCUAUGGCUCAAGGAGGUUGAUUUUCUCAUUUUCUUGUUUGAAUGGCUCAAUGAAUGGCUUGAGACGAUGACCAUUGACUUUAAAAGUGUCAAUGCUAUUGGAAUUCAGUAAUUCCACCACUCCAUUGAGAUGCACUUGGUGAAUAAUGAAAGGGCCUAUCCACCUUGACUUGAGCUUCCCAUGAAAGAUAUGGAGCCUUGAAUCAUAGAAUAAGACUCUUUGUCCUUUCUGGAAUUCUUUGUUGGAGAUUAAUUGGUCAUGCCACCUCUUCAUCCUCUGUUUUGCAACUUUGGAAUUGAUGUAAGCAUCAUUUCUUAAUUCCUCCAUCUCAUUAAGGUCUAAGCACCUCUUUGCCUCGCCUCUGAUCAAGUCCAUGUUUAACCUCUUGAUUGCCCAUCAAGCCUUAUAUUCAACUUCCAUAGGGAGAUGACAUGCUUAGCCAUAGACUAGACGAUAGGGAGACAUGCCAAGAAUAGUCUUGUAAGUUGUUCUAUAUGCCCAUAGUGAAUCAUGAAGCUUAAUAGACCAAUCACUUCUGCUUGUGAUCACCACCUUCAUCAAUAUGUUCUUGAUUUCCCUGUUUGCUAGCUCAACUUGCCCCGAAGUCUGAGGGUGAUAAGUGUAGCUACCUUAUGCUUCACUCCAUACUUCGCUAAUAGGGUUUCAAAAGGUCUGUUGCAAAAAUGAGUACCUCCAUCAUUGAUUAUGGCCUUGGGUACCCCAAAUCUUGAGAAGAUGUUCUCUUUAAGAAACUUGAGAACCACCUUGUGAUCAUUGUGUUUACAGGGGAUUGCCUCAACCCAUUUAGAAACAUAGUCCACCCCUACCAAGAUAUAAGAGUUACCAAAAGACAUUGGGAAAGGUCCCAUGAAGUCAAUGCCCCAAACAUCAAAGAGAUCAACUAUUAGAAUGGGGUUCAUAGGCAUUUGAUUUCUUCUUGUAAGCUUCCCAAGCCUUUGGCAUCUAUCACAGCUCCUACACAUGGUGUGGGCAUCUUUGAAAAGUGAUGGCCAAUAAAACCCUGAUUACAACACUUUCAUGGCUGUUUUUUGAGAGGCAAAGUGGCCUCCACAUGCAUUCUCAUGGCAAUGACUGAGGAUUCCUUGUUGCUUUUCUUCAGGGACACACUUCCUUAUUAUUUGAUCUGCAUAAUACUUGAAAAGAAAAGGCUCUUCCCAAUAAUAAGCAUGAAUCUUUGCAAAGAAGUGCUUCCUGUCUUGUGCUUUCCACUCACUUGGAACUUCACUAGUAACUAGAUAAUUAGCAAUAUGAGCAUACCAAGGAGUUUUCUCUAGCAACAUGAAUGAUUCCUCAGGAAAGUCAUCAUUAAUAGGUAAGACAUGGGAAUUGUGUGUUAUAUCCAACCUUGAAAUGUGGUCAGCUACCACAUUCUCCACUCCUUUCUUGUCUUUGAUUUGGAGAUCGAACUCUUGUAAUAAAAGAAUCCAUCUAAUCAACCUUGCUUUUGCAUCUUGCUUUGUCAAUAAAUACUUCAAGGCUGAAUGGUUAGUGAAAACAAUGAUGAAAGACCCUACUAGAUAAGCACGAAACUUGUCUAAGGCAAACACCAUAGCUAACAAUUCUUUCUCUGUAGUUGUGUAGUUCCUUUGAGCUUCGUUCAAUGUCUUGCUUGCAUAGUAGAUCACAUAGGGCUUCCCAUCUUCUCUUUAGCCAAGCACAGCUCCUAUAGCAAAGUCACUGGCAUCACACAUUACUUCAAAGGGUAGUUGCCAGUUGGGGGCCCUCACUCUUGGAGCAAUUGUCAAAAAUUGCUUCAAUUGAUCAAAAAUAUUUUGACAUCUUUCAUCCCAUAUAAACUUAGCAUCCUUAGCUAAGAGUUCACAAAGAGGCUUUGAAAGCUUAGAGAAGUCUUUUAUGGAUCUCCUGUAGAACCCUGCAUGGCCAAGGAAUUGCCUCACUCUUUUUACAGCUGUUGGGGAUGGCAAUUUGACAAUAAGUUCCACCUUUACUUUAUCAACUUCAAUGCCUUUCUCGGAGAUGAUAUGGCCAAGGACAAUUCCUUGAUGUACCAUAAAAUGGCAUUUCUCCCAGUUGAGCACCAAGUCCUUUUCAAUGCAUCUGUUAAGAACCGCUUCCAAGUUGACUAAGCAUUCUUCAAAUGUACCUCCAUAUAUGGUGAUAUCAUCCAUGAAAACCUCAAUAAUUCGCUCCACCAUAUCACUGAAAAUACUAAGCAUACAUCUUUGGAAUGUUGCAGGUGCAUUGCAUAAACCAAAAGGCAUUCUUCUAUAGGCGUAUGUUCCAAAUGGACAUGUGAAAGUGGUCUUCUCCUGAUCUUCAACAUCAAUUUCAAUUUGAAAAUACCUUGAGUACCCGUCCAAGAAACAAUAGAAAGGAUGGCCAGAGACUCUCUCCAACACUUGAUCAAUAAAUGGCAAUGGAAAAUGAUCUUUCCUUGUCACAACAUUCAAUUUCCUAUAAUCAAUACACACCCUCCAACCCGAAGUAAGGCGUGUAGCAAUUUCUUCUCCAUUUCGUUUUGAACCACAGUAAUCCCUGACUUCUUUGGUACCACUUGAGUAGGACUCACCCAAGGGCUGUCAGAUAUGGGGUAAAUAAUACUUGCUUGAAGUAGCUUCAGCACCUCAGCUCGCACCACCUCUUGUCAAUGAGGAUUCAAUCUUCUUUGAGGUUGACGAAUUGGUUUAGCUUCUUUCUCCAUGUAUAUAUGAUGUGUACAAACCAAAGGACUGAUGCCUUUCAAGUCAGAUAUUUGCCAUCCUAUUACUUUCUUACACCUCUUAAGAACUUCAAGUAGAGAAAUCUCCUUAUGAGUAGUAAGAGAUGAAGAUAUAACAACAGGGCAUUGUUUAUUUUCUUCCAGGUACGUGUAUUUCAACUCCACGGGCAGAGGCUUCAAAUUGAGCUUUGGGAUCUCUUCCUUAGCAGCUUCUUGUGCCUCCUCUUUAUUGAACAAAGGUAGAAUCUCUUCUCUCCUCCUCCAAUCUUGUAGAGUAGCAAGCACAUCAGCAAGUUCAGACAACCCUUCUUCAAGAUCCCUAAGACUUUCAUUCAACUUGUCUUGCAUAUUCUGAUUACAGUGCUCCUCUACUAGAGUGUUAAUAAUGCAUACCUCUUCUGGACCUUUUUCUUCUUCUGGAGCGAUUAGUUUUUUUAGACAUAUAAAAGAUAUUGAGCUCAAGUGUCAUGUUACCAAAAGUGAGUUGCAUGAGUCCAUUCCUACAAUUGAUGAUUGCAUUUGAGGUAGCAAGAAAUGGCCUUCCAAGGAUGAUAGGAACAUAAUUAGCUUCCUUUACAACGGGGUCCGUAUCAAGAACAACAAAAUCUACUAGAUAGUAGAAAUUAUCAACUUGAACUAAGACAUCUUCAAUUAUCCCCCUUGGAAUUUUCACUGAUCUAUCAGCUAGAGAUAGAGUGAUUGAUAUUGGCUUCAAUUCACCAAGUCCCAAUUGCUUGUAGACAGAGUAUGGUAGCAAAUUCACACUUGCUCCCAAGUCUAACAAAGCUUUUUCCACUACCUUUCCCCCAAUCAUGACUGAAAUGGUAGGACAUCUCGGAUCUUUGUACUUCAAAGGAGACUUGCAUUGUAUGAUGGCACUUACUUGCUUAGUCAAGAAGGCUUUCUUAUUCACAUUCAACCCUCUUUUGAUAGUACACAAGUCCUUUAGGAAUUGUGCAUAUGUUGGAACUUGUUUAAUUAUAUCCAACAAUGGAAUAUUGACUUUCACUUGUCUCAAUACUUCAAGGAUUUCUGAUGCAUUUCUAAUCCCCUUUUUCCCAUGUAAAGCUUGAGGAAAAGGUGGAUAGAUGUGUUUCUUCAUCAUUUCUUCUUUAAUAAGCUCUUUCUCCGGAUUUGCAUUCACUAUUGAAUCAUGGUCCUCUUUCCCUUCACUGAUAUCUUUCUUCUUUCCUUUGAUUUCCUCACUCUUCUUUGUCUCUUCUUCUUCUUCCUCUUCAACAUGUGGCUUGGGUGUUGGUGACUCAACCUUUUUUACCACUCCUUGAAAGUGAUCAAGGCUUUGACAUCUCUCACCUGUGAAGAUUCUCCCUCAUAAGUUUCCACUUCAUGGAUACCCUUGGGGUUUUGGUGAGGUUGAGAAGGAAAUCUACCCUUCUCUUGCACUGUGUUCAAGUUAAUGAGCCUUGAGAUUGAGUAUUGGAGAUUAUCUAUCUUCUGAGAUAAGUCAUUUUGCAUCCCAUCCAUCCUUUUAUUCAAUGUAUUCUCUACACUGUCAAUUCUUUGACUGAGUUGAGCAUUGAUAGAUUUUUGGUCUCCAACAAAAUCUCCCACAACCUUGUUGAAAUUCACUAUUGCUUGUUGAAGACUUGAAGCUUGUUGAGAUGGUUGAGGCUGUUGGUAUUGAGGUGCUCUUGGCUUCCAUGAAAAAUUUGGAUAGUUCCUCCAACUUGAGUUGUAAGUGUUUCCAUACGAAGCAUUGCUAUUGGGCUUGAAUUAUCCAAUGACAUUUGCUUGAUCUCCAAACAUUUCUCUAACAACUGGAAUUGUAGGGCACUCCUCCACCAAGUGUUCAUAAGAUUGACAAAUAGAACAUGACUUUACUUGCACUGGUGUUUUAGCAGCAACUUGCACUUCAUGCAUCUUUUUCAGUUCUAGCUCCUCCAAUCUUCUUGUCAUAGCUGCAAAUUUUGCUUUCAUAUUAACAUCUUCAUUCAAGGUGUACAUCCCAGCCUUAGCAUUGAAAGCAUUUGGUUGAGACUUCAUCUUCCCCACUUCUCCUUUGUUCGGUUCAUCCCAUCCCCUUGAAACUUCAGCUACAUAACUCAAGAAAUCCAUAUCUUCCUCCGGAUUCUUACUCAUGAAAUCUCCUCCACACAUUGUCUCAAGGAGUUGCUUCAUUGAGGAAGACAUCCCAUCAUAGAAAUAACUCACCAACAUCCAUGUAUCAAAACCAUGGUGAGGACAAGCAUUGAUGGCUUCCAUGUAUCUUUCCCAACACUCGUAGAAUUUCUUAUUCUCUUUAGCUAAGAAGUUUGAAAUUUGUCUUUUCAAGCCAUUUAUUCUGUGAGUAGGAAAAAACUUUUUGAGGAAUUCAGCUUGUAAAUCAGUCCAAGUAUGGAUACUCCUUGGCCUUAAAGAAUUAAGCCAAAUCUUGGCCUUAUCCUUUAAAGUAAAAGGAAAUAGCUUAAGCCUCAUCAAGUCGAUUGAAGCUCCCCCCUCUUGGAAUGUAUUACAAACAUCUUCAAAUUCCUUGAUAUGUGCAUAGGGAUUCUCACUUUCCAUCCCAUGGAAAGUUGGUAGAAGUGGAACAAUAUAUGGUCUGAUCACUAGCUGCUCUGUAGGGGGCACUAUACAUGAUGGUGCACUCAUACGAGGUGGAUGCAUACGAUCCCUCAUUAAUCUGAAUUCAUUGGGAUUGUCCUGGUGACCAUGGUGACUAUGUUGAUUUUCAGGUGUAACUUCCAUGGUAUUCAAGCCUAAUUCCAAUUCCUUGUUAUCAGGUGUUUCACGUUUAACAAGCCUUCCUCCACUAUCUUGUAUCCAAUUUGGCAUACACAACUAGUAUCAACUGCAACAAAAACAAAAACAAAAGAAAACAAAAGAAAAUAAAAAUAUAAAAAGACUUAGAUUAACUAAAACUAAAUUAAAAGAUAUGUUAGAAUAUGAACAAGUAAAAAAAAAAAUUAAAAGAGUUAGUAAAAUGAAAGAAAAAUCACCAAACUUGUAAUGAAAAUCACAAGUAAUAUGAAAUAAUAUCACUGUGAAGUUGGCACCUUCCCUUGCAGCGGCGCCAUUUGAUUCAUUCCCAAUUGGUGUAUCAUGAGUUUAAUCCUCAAACGGGAGUAAUCAACAAAAUUUAUAACCUAUAUCACCAUGCACUAGGAUAGCCUUAGCUAAUAUAGCAUAAUGGCUCUAAGAUCGUUCACUGGGAAGGGUUUUCAACUUACAACUGAUACCAAUUCAAAGUUGAAUUGGUACUUUUUCAUUUCAAGGUUAGCUUAAGAAGAAAACAUAAACUUUGGUUGAAAAAUGAUUUGUUUUAAGCUAACUAAAAAGAAAGUAAUGGGAAUUACUUAUGAAGAAGCGUUCCUUGGAGUUUUAGGUUCAUUGGGGUCAAGCUCCUUAUGCAAAAACAAAGCUCUGGUCACUUGAAUCUUUUCCUCACAUUAGAGAAUUAACAUAUAGUUAAUUCUCUAACCGGUGUUGUACAAAUGUUUCCCUUUAAUGGAUUUCAGCACUAAUUUCCUCUCACUGAUGCAACUUGCAAUGGCUCGUGCCUCUCACCUAGCAUUUGCCAUUCAAGGUGAUCAUUAACCUUGGACUUCCCUUCUCAAGCUCGCAAGAGAUAACUAAUGGAUGUCUCCUUAGAGUCCAAAAGCUUACCAAGUGUUGGCAAUUCUAAAAAAUCCUACCUUCAAGUCACCUCCCAAAGGCUCGCAAGAGAUAAACUAGUGCAUUUCCAUGGACGGAGAUCACUUGCCUUACCAAGUGUUAGCCCAGGUGAAUUGAAUGCGUUUUAAGUUAACUAAAAACAUAGAAAUCAUUAACGGGUCACACUUUCUCUUCAUUAACAGCUGAAACAACAAAACUACCAAUUCUUGCAUUCGGGGCCUUACCCGGCUACCUUAGCUCCAAGGAACUAAAAGCCUAGCCACUCAUUCUCUGAGGAAAUAUCCUCAAAGCUUGUUUAGCUAGUAAGAAAAAAUAAAUACAAUACAAUCAAAUUUAAUAGGUAAGGCAGAGCAAAGCUCUGUAUUUUACUUCCUUCCAAAACUAUACAAAAAGUUGUCUCUAAGAACAAGCUUCCCGAGAUAUCUCUGUGAUGAAAAUUAAAAAACAAUAUAUAUGAGGUUAUUUACCCUUUGUUCUUACUUAAAGACUAAGGAAUCCUAUGAUAGGUGGAUUACAAGAAGAGAAAUGGGAUUUAGACAUCAAAUAUCUGAAGCAAAAAAUAAAAAAAUGUCGGUCGCAAAUAUCUGGAAGCACUUGGGAGAAUUUCACAGGCGUGCAAGAUGGCUGUGAAAUUUCGCAACCUGAAGGACACCAUUUCGCAGCCAUCCUCUUGUGAUUUCGCAACCAAAGGCUGAUUUCGCAGCCUGCGAAAUUGGCCUUCAGCUUGGUGUGAUCGGCUUCCAAUGGCUCUAACUUCUUCAUUUCAACUCCGAAUCAUACACCGUUUGAAGCGUUGGAUUAAUGACUUCCCAAGCUUCAAAACGAAAUAUAGUAUGCAUAAAUUGAGCUCCAGGAAGUGCUCUAAAAGUGUGUAACAGCUGCUGUCCUCUUGAAUUCUUCAUGUUAGAUUUCUCUCUUUGCUUUCCCUCCUUGCAUUCAUGAUUUGCUUAUGGCAAAGGACUAUAAAGCUUCAAAGCUUUGGUUCUUCAUGUUACUGAGAUUCCCAUUGCUUUUCCAUGGAUUCCAAAGAACUCUCCUCAAUCUUGGAUUGCUUUGGUGAUCAAAUUACUAUCAAAAGCACCAAAACUUACACAAUUUGAUUAGAAAUGAUUGCAAAGGUCCUUAGUAUGCUAAUUGAGUUAAAAGGUAAUAACUACUACUCAAAAGUGUUUAAAAUAGUUAAUUACAAGGUACAAAAUAGCACUUUUUGAGUAGUAAUCAAUCACCCAAGGGGACAUAUUGUCUCAAUCCUAUGAGAUAUCAUGGUGCCUCUAUUGAGAACACCUAUUGCCACCAGCCUUCAUCAACAGUGACCCAAUCUAUAGGGAUAUAUGACCACUUUAGGGUCUUACCCAUAAGUUAAAUUCUCCUAUUGAUUUUGGCAUAUGCUCAAUAUCCUCUCAAGGUUGGGAAUCCAUGCAGUAUAGUAGCUUGGUGAAUCAUGACAAUUGAUAGCCUUGCGUCAUGAUACAUCGUUGGUCUUGUCCAGUGUGCCUCACAUACAUUAGUGCACUCAUCAUGGGAAAUCAAUCCCAACUACCAAGAUAAGUCAUCCCUCCAAUUAGGAGGUGGUGCAUUACAGUCUCUACUAGAUUGCCCAAAUCUAUGAUUCGACUAUGGAUAACUUAUCUACUUACAAGGAACUCAUGACUUGUAUUUUCUGUGCAACUCCUAAUGCACCCAAGCCAUGUACAAUGUAAGAGACAUAGGUUGAAUGCUCAAAUCAAUGUCAAUACAUCAAAAGGAUAGCAAGGGGAUAGUUAAGCCUAACUUUGUUACAUCAUGUCUUGCUUUUAGAGGCUCAAUCUCAACAAACUCUCACUAGCCCCAAAAGUAGAUUGGGUGCUGCAAAAAGAUUCUACUCCACAAUCAUAUCACCUCUUUAUACUAUCUUACGCUAAGGUAAUACUUCAUUUUUAUACAUUUCAUCUUUAUAUAUUUCAUUUUCUAAUGGUACUUUAGUUUUUUAGCCUAUGCCACAGUCCCACUAUUAUCACUUAAUAGUAUCUUAGAUGAUAUAACCAAAGGAACUACCCAUAAGACAAAAAGCUUCCUUUGUUGCUAUAAAAGCAACAAAAAACCACUUAGAGUGUACACAUACCUAGAGGUAGACUUGUGAGAGUCCUUAUCAGACUAAAAAUCUAAUUUCCUGGUACGAAAAGAGUACCAACUCAUCACAAAGACUCACAAACAUAUAAUUCAUCAUUCUCUAAAGAUACUCGAGUAUAUGUUUGACAUCUGUCCAAAGCUCUAAUCAAGAAAUGGAAUAAUAUCGAUUCAUUAUUCCUACACCAAAGCAAAUAUUUGGUCUAGCACAUAGCAUCGCAUACUUAAGGCUAUCCAUUACAGAGGCAUUGGAUACCGCCUUAAUGCGAUCUCUCUCCUUAGAUGUCCAAAGACAUUGUUCUUAAGAAAGACAACUCCUAAUCCAAAGAGUAACAAACCCUUCUUAGAGUUUUACAUCAUGUGCUUGACCAAAUGCUUAUUUAUGUAGGUGACAUGGUGCAAUUUUCCUAUUCUUGCAAUCUUAAAAAACCAUAACCCCAAGAAUAUAUUGCGCCUCUCUCUAGAUUUUCAUCUAGAACUAAGUAAACUACUAGAUCUUGAUUGAUGACAAUAUCUUUACAUGCUAUCCAAUUAGUAGAUUAUCAUCUACUUGCAAGAUCUUAGAGCAUCACCAUGCUUCCCUAUGCCUUCUUGUACACACAAGGCCCUUUGCUAUACUAAAGUUUGCAAAUGACACCAUUUUCUCCUCUAAAGUUUCUCCGAAACUUCUAUAAAACCUCAAGCUAAUCCUAUUGGUUUUUAGGCAAGUAUCGGGAUUGAAAAUCAAUCUAAAAAAAAGAACCCUAUUCGAUAUUAAUACAAGCCAGGAGUUGUUAUAUAGUUUGGCUUCAAUUCAUAAUUGUAAAGUGUCAGGGUGACCUUUGUCUUAUCUAGGUCUUCCCUUAAAAGGGAACCCAAAGACAAGAGGUUUAGGGAUUCAAUGGUUAAGAGAAUCUUGAGGAGGUUAGAUGGGUGGAAAAAUGCAUUUUUAUCAUUAGAGUGAAAGGUUUACCUUAAUUUAGUCAAGUGUGUUUCACAUUCCUAGCUAUUUCAUUUCCUUCUUCAAGAUCCCAGUAUCAAUAGCCUCAAAAAUUGAAAAAAUGCAAAGGGAUUUCCUCUAGUCAGCGGCGGGGGCAAGGGAGAAAGAUCAUCUUAUUAGGUGGGAUGUUGUUUGUAGGCCCAAAGAGUUGGGAGUUUUGGGAUUUGGGAAAACUUCCUUGAGAAAUCGUGCUCUUUUAGGGAAGUGGAUGUGGAGGUUCCCUAGGAAAAGGACUGGUUGAUUCGUGCCCACUUGGUGUAUUAGCUGAUUCAUGUCCAGCUGGUGCUCCUUGAUUGAGGGAGUAAUCAACAAAAUUUAUAACCUAUUAUACCAUGAACUAGGGUAGCAAAGACAAAGCUACUAUAGCAUAGUGGCUCUAGGAUCGUUCAUUAGGAAGGGUUUUCAAUUCAUAAAUGAUACCAAUUCAAAGCUGAAUUGGUGUCUUUUCAUUUCAAGGUUAGCUUUAAAAGAAAACAUAAUUUUUGGAAGAAAAAUUUUUAGUUUAAACUAACGGUAAAGAAAGUAAUAGAAAUUACUUAUGAAGAAAAACAUUCCUUAGAGGUUUAGGUUCACAGGGGAGGUUCCUUGUGCAAAAACAGAGCUCCGGUCACUUGGUUCAUUUCCUCGCAUUAGGGAAUUAACAUAUAGUCAAUUCUCUAAUCGAUGUUGUACAGAUGCUUCCCUUUAAUGGGUUCAAACAUUAAAUCCCUCUCACUGAUGCACCUUGCAAUGGCUCAUACCUCUCACCUAGAACUUGCCAUUCAAGGUGAUCUUUAACCUUGGAUUACCCAUCAAAAGCCCGUAAGAGAUAACUAAUGGAUGUCUCCUUAGAGUCCAAAAGCUUACCAAGUGUUGGCUAUUCUAGAAAAUCCUACCUUCAAACCACCUUCCAAAGGCUCGCAAGAGAUAAACUAGUGCAUCUCUAUGGAUGGAGAUCACUUGCCUUAUCAAGUGUUGGCCCAGGUGAUUUAAAGGCGUUUUAAGUUAACUAAAAACAUAGAAAUCAUUAACGGGUCACACUUUCUCUUCAUUAAUGGCUGAAACCACAAAGCUACUAAUUAUUGCACUUGGAACCUUUCCCGGCAACCUUAACUCCAAGGAACUAAAAGUCUAGUCACCCAUUCUCUGAGGAAACAUCCUCAGAGCUUGUUUGGCUAGUAAGAAAAUACAAUUAAAAUGAAAAGGUAAAUCAGAGCAAAGCUCUGUAUUUUACUUCUUUACAAAAUUGUACAAAUGAUCAAUCGACUUCUCUUUUCUCCUCUCUCUUCCUUGAGAACAGGCUCCCAAGAGAUAAAUAUAUGGAAAAUUACAAAAUAUCUAAAAAAGAUUAUUCACCCUUUUUCCAAACUUAAUAACUAAGGAAUCCUAUAAUUGGUGGAUUACAAGGAGAUUUUGGGAAUUUAGAUAACAAAUAUCUAAAGCAAAAUAUCUCAAAAUAUCCCAAAAUAUCGGUGGCAAAUAUCAGGAAGCUUUAAGAUAACACAGUAACAUUGUGCAGAAUGGCUGCUCUCCCAUCCGGCGUCAGAAUUCCGGACGUGAACUUUCGGGUGGAAAGUGCGCGGCAGCCGAGUACAAAAUGGCAGCGCGCAUCCGGGUACAAAUUGGCAGCAGCCAGGUACAAUUUGGCGGUAGCCGGGUACAAUUCCUACCGGGAUAUGUUUGUUCGGAUGCCCUCCGAUGGUGUAUCCGGACGCCCUAUCCGGGUAUACUCCUUGCAUGGAUUCCAAAGAACUCUCCUUAAUCUUGGAUUGCUUUGGUGAUCAAAAAGGCUAUCAAAACACCAAAACUUAACACAUGUUUUAUUAGAAUUGAUUGCAAGGGUCCUUAACAUGCCAAUUGAGUUAAAAGGUGAUAACUACUACUCAAAAGUGUUUAGAAGAGUUAAUUACAAGCUAUGAAAUAGCACUUUUUGAGUAGUAAUCACUCCCCCCCAACCGACAUAUUGCUAGUCCCUUAGCAAUGAAGGAGAGAAAAAUAAAAAGGAACAAUACUAUAAUUUACAAAAUCAUGUUGAUCAAAAAAACAAUUUUCAAGUGGCAUGAAGAUCUAACUCUCACAUGGAACAUUAAAGAAAUAGAACUCAAAAUUCAACAAGAGUUAUCAAAUAACUUAUCUAAUCACAAUUCUUAAAGAGAAGGCAUUAUGCAAAUUUAAGCAUUAAAAUCAUUUCCACUUCCAAAGGACCAAACCUUACUCGUCCACAAAAAUUUAAGUGUUAUUUAUUAGUUUCCGAAUAUAGUAUGUUGAAUUAAUCUCUCCCCUCAACCUAGUUCUUUUUCAAAGCUUAGCAAACUAGUCAACCUCCAAUAGGCUAACAACGCACCUCUUUUCACAUAAUUUUUUUUUUUCAUUGUAGGAGUACAAAGCUUAAGGGUAUUGUGGACCCCGUAUUUCGGCUCAAUGCGUUUCCCACUCGAUGGCGAGCUCGAUUUUUAUUUGAAAAAUUGAUUUUUAUUGAUUAUUUGAAAAUGACUUGGAGUCGCCACUUAUUUUUGUUUAUUUUUUAAAGGGUAAACAAAAUAAGAAAGAAAAACCCUAAGUGUGACUCCUUAUUUUGGAAAAGGUGGUCUGUGAAAAACCGGAUCGGGUUCGGGGGUCAGGUUACUUAUCGGGAAGGUACGGUAAAGACCGUAGCACCCCUCUAAGUCCCUAAAGUCGGGUCUCUACUAAUAGAAUGAAGCUGACAUGGCGAUGAUGAGGAAAUCAAUAAAUACUCAAAUCAAUCAUGCACAUAUGAGUAUCAAAACAUGCGUAUAGCAAGACCAGAAUAAGGACAGAUGCGUACCUAGGUAACGAUCUUCAAUGCGCUAUCAAGAAGUGAGAUUAGUGCACAAUUAAGGGAUAGUCACAUGCAUAUCAUAGAGCAGAAUAAAUCAUGUAUGGCAGUCAAAUCAAUCAAUCAGUCAAUCAAUCAUGAAGUCACAUAUGUCGGGCCCCCACCAAAGCCCGUUUAUUUUUGCAUGAAUCAAUUCCAUAAAUUCCAUCACUUGGAAUUACGGAAUUUAAUUCUUACUUAUUUUUGAAACAUUUUAAAAACAAAGAAAAUGAAAAAGUGGCUUGCCGGAAGGAAAAUGACAACCAAAUUUUAUUGAAAAUGGGAUUUCGGUAUCCAAAAAUUCUAAAGAUGGAAAAUGGGAAAAUUUGGAUUAUUUGAAAAUUAGAAUUUGGGAAAAAUAUUUACAAAAGGGGAUUUGAGAAAUCAUUUUCAAAAAAAAAAAAAGAAGAAAACCAAGAACGCCACAUGGCCCAAAGGUGGCCCAUACUAAAGAUGGCCAAUGCAUGGCCUGGUAGGGAUAGGGCCCAGUUGACUUGUGCAUGCUAGGGCUGCUGAUAGACACUGCCUAUAGGUCCCACUAUAUCAACAAUACUGACCAUUGUCUGGGAUGGUUGCAGAAGUGGAUGAAUAGUUGCUGUCACUGGCUGUGCAGGAUGAUAGAUACCGACAAUUGGGCCAUGCUCACCCUAUGCUGGGGUCAAAGCUACAUGUUGGCUCUGAGGGGGAGGGGGGGAGGUUGUAGAAAGAACUUGCUGGAAAGUCAGAAAUGUCCCGAUCUGGUGCAGCAAUCCAGACUGCUGAACCCUCACUCUGCUGACCAAUGAUGCAAACACUAUUUUCCAUGAACUGGGAUGCAACAAUUUCCUCAUUAGCAGUUGAGUUCCCAACUGCUGCAGCCGAACUAGGAUUAUAGCCAGUUGGAGAGGAACCAUAUGGUCCAUAGCCACCUGGCAUUCCCAUGUGUGCUGAGUUUCCAGUAUUAGUCCAUGGCUUGUAUUAUGGAAGUGAAUAUUUGACUCCUGCAGCAGUUGUAGUGGGUGAAGUUGGAUAUACACCACCAGGAGUCUCCGAACCAAGGGAGAGAGGGGUGACGUCCAACAACAGUAGGUCUUGGACCUUCUCAUUGCCCUCACCGCUUAAGAUUGUAGCCUGUAUAGUAGCUCCAUAGGCCACAACUUUUGACACUUGGAAAUUGGCAUGCUGGACCUUGAUUCCCGGUUCGCGAGUAAAAGAAUCCUUGAGAACCAGGACAGGCACUUGCAAGCUUGGAGAUUUUGGAGAACCAGCACUGGCACUUGCAAGCCUGGAGAUGGUGGAAAACCUUAAUGGUGUUAAGAAGAUGCUUCACAGCUUCUGCAUGAAAGGGUCCUCGGAAUAAUCUGGGAGGGAAAAUGGAGAGAAGUAUGAAGCCUCUGUUAUACUGAAGCGCGUCUGAACUCUAGGAUUCUGGGUCAUGGUGCACUAGUGGUUCUGGUUCAGUUUGGUGGAGGAACAACAGUCCAGUAUGCCAGCAGAAACAUGGUCGACACGAACUGUAGGUAAAGAAGAUGGGCGAAAUAUAGUUACUGGAUCAUGUAAUGAAUUGCUGAAGAGAUCAAUUGGGACACUUUCGCUCUCAGGAGCAGAGUCAGCCAUUCGUUGCUACUUAACUUUCCAGUUUUGUUGCAAUCUGAUGAGAGCAUCGUAGAAUCUUGCUUCCCGAGCAAUCUACUAUUCCAAAGCUUUGUCGGACUGCUUGAAAUAGUUACUAAGAUGCCUUCAUAAGAUGCAUGGAUGGAAGAGCUUUUACAUCAGGUAGCAACAAAGAAAGAAAUUUGGGUAUGGUUGGACUGGUGCUUUGAUGAUGGCGGAGGCGUUUCGCCGGCGGCGGCGGACAGCUUUGCUUGCUGUUUGAUGAUUAAGAAAAUAGGUAGGUGGUGACGAGCAUGUUAAUGGGUCAGCUUGUGUAGGGUCCAGAAUGCACAACCUGAAGCGUGUAAAAUUGGGCAGUUCUUGGCUACAGUUAUGAGUGCCGCAUUGGUCAUCUGCUGGUUGAAGUAUAGCAAGGAGGACAUAAGAACCAAUUCUGCCAGAAUAUGUCUUACUCCAUUCUCACUGCUAUAGAAGAAUUUCAAGGUCAAACACCAUGGCCGAAGUGGGGACCACUUUGAUAUAGCAUUAUGAAUAUACUCAACAGCUUUUGGUCCAUUUUCCACAUCAAAACUUAUAUCAAAAGCAAUACUGCCCCUGGUCUUUCCUUGAUGUUGCUUCUGGUAGGAAAUCUGCCACGGAUUUCUAGUUCCAGAAUCUUUAGUGUAUAAUCAUUGAUCACAUUCUCAUCUAAAACAAGGAUGCUAUGCUCUUCAAACAUGCCAUACAUUGAUGGGAACUUGUCAACAUCUGGAAGCUGCUAAAUAUCAUCAUACAGAAUGGAUAGAGACACCAUGUCAGCAGAUGAAAGGCUAAUUAGUUGCUGUCAUUGAGGGAAGUCCCAUAUGCCCCGGCAAUUCAGGCAGCAUGCCAGGGCAUUGCUAAUAUCCCAGUUCGAUAAGUUCAAGCAAUGUCAGUCACAGCUGGAUCCUCAUGCAGGCACUUUCAGGUUCAGACCCCAUAGCUAUCAAUCUCCUUUUCAUAUCAUCUUCAUUCUCCAUCAACCAACCUCCCCAGAUUCACAGCCUUAAAGCUUGAAAGUCACUUUCAAAGGAAAACAGAGGAACAGAGGAGUAGAAAUAGGAAUAGAACAGGGAACCUUUUAAUGAAUAUGCUAAACCCAUUUCAUUAUUUUAUCCAUGAGUCUAGCAAUCAGUAGGUAAAGGUGGAAGAUGUUUAUUAGGGUAAAACAUUAAAAUCCAGCAAGUUCUUCAAAUGUUAAACUAAUAAAUCAUCAAAAUGCAGCAAGUUCUUCAAAUGUUAAACUAAUAAAUCAUCAAAAUGCAGCAACCCAACAAGCAGAAAUGAAAUCAUAGAGAAUAAGACAGGACAAAUAUGAAAGAUGAGAGAAUAUACGGGAAAAACCACAAAUGGCCAUACCUGAAAAUACCUGUCCUGCUCUCUGUGACCUCCUUGCUUCUUCUCUCAAGCUCAAGAAAUCUCCCUGAAGCCCUCCAGAAAUCUCCUCUGUUUCUCUCUGCUCCCUUUGUCAAACUGCAAUAGUCUCAUUGUCAAAGCAUUCACUUGAUCAUAGAGUACAAAGAAUGGAUAUUAUGCAAGUUUAAGCAUCAAAAGAAUUUCCACUCUCAAAAGAUCCAAAUCAAAUUCUUCCACUAAAAUCUAAGUGUUAUUUAUUAGUUUCCGAAUAUAGUAUGUCAAACUAAUCUCUCCCCUCAACCUAGUUCUUUUCAAAGCUUAGCAAACUAAUCAACCUCCAAUAGGCUAAGAAAGCACCUCUUUUCUUUCACAAUUUUUUUCUUGUAGGAGUGCAAAGCUUAAAGGCAUUCUUUUCUAAAUUGUCCAUGUAACGGGGGUCCAUCGAUGACUCCCAACCAAUCAAGGUUUAGGGCAUCAAGCUUUAAGGAUUUUUCAACCACUAACUCCUCGGAUUUCACCCCGGAAUUUUGAGAAUGAUUUUUAAUACCCAAGCACCUACAACAUGUUAAAAUCCACCUAUCCACCCUUGUAACGAGCAUUGAGGUCGGUGACUCCCAACCAAUUAAGGCUUAGGGCAACAGGUUUUAAAGAUUUUCACCAUAUACCCCUCAGACCUUGCUCGGGUUUCAAGGCAAGCAAACAUUUUUUUUUCUUUCUUUAUUUUCUUCAAAGACUCAUUGGCCUUUUAUAAGGUGUCCCAACACUAUUAAAUGAGGUCAAAGGUCCAAGUCUAAAAUUUUCCUAAGUCAAGAGGGAAAUAGUUUUUCAUCUUAUAAUCAGAACCUAUUGUAUGUGUGUGUGAAUAGCUUAAGGUGGAAGAGAUAAGUUUGCAUGCAAUGGGAGUUUCAAAUAUUCAUCAACUUUUAGAAGAGCAUAAUACAAACUCUAAGACUCAUGUAAUCAAGUUGAAACUCGACUUCUCUCAUUUAAUUUUGAGAGUUAAUCCUUAAUAUCCAUGGAGUUUAAAGCAAAAAUUUUAAAAUUUAAACAAAAAGUAGCUAAUUUAACUAAGUAUGAUAAAAAUUUAAACUAAUACUUACUUCCUCAUCUCUCCCCCCAACCGAGAUGAACAUUGUCCUCAAUGUUUGAAUCGAAAAUAAGGAGGAAGGAAGUGGUACCUCAUGUGAUGUGGACUUGGAGUUGAGAAGGUUGAACCACCUGUUUCAAAAUUCAAAAAUUGAAUGAGAGAGGAAUUUAUACUAAAUAUUUACAAAAAUGAUGAGUGGGCCCCACUUUGAGCAGUUGAGAACAAGGCUCAAAGGGUCCAUGCCAUGAUGGUAUACUGAUAUAAGUUGCAAUGACAUUUGAAUGUAACUUGCAGGGGUGUUAAAAUUGGAGAUUUUUGGCUAAAACAGGGGAAGCUUAAAAAUUCGCACAAGGGGGUGUUGUGUGAAAAUUUCGCACAAGGGGGGGUGUUAUGCGAAUUUCGCAUAAGCACUAUUCACCCGCCCUUUUGCAAUUUUGGAUUCUUUCAAAUGGUCAUAACUUUUUCGUUUCAAAUCCAAAUCGCACACUGUUUGAAGCACUGGACUCCUGACUUCCUAAGCUUCAAAAAUAGAUAUGGUAUGAAUAAUUUGAGCUCCAGAAAGUACUCCAAAAACGUGUCCAACAGUAGCAAAAUGGGGUGCGGCUGCAACAUUCCCGUUCAGCUUUACACAGUCGUCUUCAAAUGGCCAUAACUUCUUCGUUUCAACUCCAAAUCGAGCACCGUUUGAAACUAUGGACUCCUGACUUCCUAAGCUUUGAAACAAGAUAUAGUAAACAUGAAAUUAACUUCGGGAAGUGAUCGAAAUGUUCCCAACAGUUGCCGAAAUGGGGUGGUGCGAAUUGCUCUGUUUUGGCUUUUCUCCCCUGUUUUCCCUUGUUUUCACCAUAACUUUGAUUUUUGCAAGCAUCAUACCUGUAUGAACACUUCAAAACUCAUCUUAAAAACAUAUUAAAACUAAAUUAAAGCUAAGAAUUCAAACUAAAACAUGCAUAAAUUUAAAGAAAGCAUAGAAUUUAAAUGAAGCUGAUAGCAUGUACCCCAAAAAGAAGAUGAACUAUUUAGCUCAUCCUCACUCACACACCCACUUCAUGCUGAACUCCCCCUGGAUCCCAAACAAAAUUGGCAUCCUUCCCAUUUGGUCCAAGGAAAUUCGUUUCUCUUCCCUUCCCCGGAGAAGUGGAUGCUUUAAAGGGUUCAAGUAACCCUUUAUCAUCUUGAACCUUAUGAUUUUCAAUGGAAGGUUGGUCCAUAAAGUUGUCAUAGCAAUCCCCCACCAAAGUGUCGAUCAUCAACACUUUCCUUGAUCUUUUUGCAUUGGUUCCUUGAAGGUUAUGGUGGGGUUGAGGAGGAAGCUUCCUUUUCCCCCUUGCUAUGUCGAGAUUGGUGAGCUUCUCAAUGGAUUCUUGAACUUUUUCUAUCCUUAGUGAUAGAUCAUUAUAAACCCCCUCCAUUCUUACAUUCAUUGAACUCUCCAAAUUAUCAAUCUUUUCAUUAAGAUGAGAGUUGAUCUUUUGUUGCUCACCUACAAAGUCCCCAUGACUUUGCUUAUCUUCAAAAUGGCUUGCUCCAAUGAAGAUGUACUCAUUGAUGGUUGAGGUUGAGGUUGGGUUGCAAGGUUGGGAUGGUUUAUAUACUCAAAUGAAGUUGGCAUGGCUUGUGGUUGUGCUUCAGUAUGCAUAUUCCUCAAUUCAAACUCCUCUAUCCUUCUAGCCAUAGAUGCUAGCUUUGCCUUCAUGCUUAUGUCUUCAUUCAAGGCAUACUUACUACCCCAUUGUCUUUGUUGAACUUGCCUUUUCCCUAACUCAAUCCGAUCCCUCAUGGAUAGGUAUGCAAAUUUGUCCUUCUCAUGAUCAUAAUGAGAGCUUUGAUCUUCAUGUGGAAUUUCCAUUUCUAAAAAAAAUGAUAUUCAACUAAGGCUCUUUUCUUCAACUUGUACCAAGGUUCCCUCUUGGUCUCGAAUCCAACAAGGAAUGCACAAAUUGAAAUUAAGACAAAAAUAAAAGAAAAGAGAAUAAAAAUUUAACUAAAUAAAAACUAAACUAAAAAAAAUUAUAAGAAAACUCACCAAACUUGUGAUGAAGAUCACAAGUUACCCUUAAUGGUUGCUUCACUGUGCUUGUGGCACCUUCCUCGGCAACGACGCCAUUUGAUUCGACUCAUCCCCGACAACGGCGCCAUUUGAUUCGACUCAUGGUAGCUUAGCUUUAAAGGCGUAUCAACAAAAUUUAUACCUUGAAUACUAUUACUAAAGUAGCCAAGCUACUAUAGUAUAGUGGUUCUAGGAUCGUUCACUGGGAAGGGUUUUCGCAAACACAAGUGAUAUUCAAAUUAGGAAAAUAGGUGAUUUUCUUAUGGAUGUUAGCUUUAAAAUAAGAUGUAAAUGUUUUAGAAAGAUUUAAACUAAUCUAAGCUAACAUUAAAGACUAAAAUGAAAGGAUGUAAAAACAAGUUUCUCAAAGAUAGGAUAGCUAUGCUCUGGCUCUUAUGCAAAUUGGAAAUCUUAGGAUAGGCUCCUCGCAUUGGGGUUGCAACUAUGGUGAUGCUUGCUUCCCGAACCGGUAUGGAUUUAGCAAAUUCAGUUUUAAUCCUUUAAAAUGGCAAAACAGAUGGUAGUGAAUUUCAUCAAUGGUUAUUCACCUUAGACUUCCUUUGAAUGGCUCGUAAGAGAUAACUAAUGGUCUAAAGCCAAAAUCUUACCAAAUAUUGGCAACUCAAAGUCAUUCCAAGUGAUAAACUCACCUUUCAAUGGCCAUUGAAAUUGGUUCUAACGGAUUAAUGCAAAACUUGGAAUUGAAAACCUCACCUUCCAAUAGCUCGUAGGAGAUAACUAAUGGAUAGAAAUCCAAAAGCUUAUCAAGUAUUGGCCGUUGGAAGUUGUCCAAAGGAAAUAAAAACCAAACUUUGCAUUAAUGAACCUUUAAUGAAAAACGACUACCUUACCUUCCGGGUGCGAGAAAUUUCCAUGGGAUUGCAUCCAAGCCAUCACAUAACAUCCAUACUUUGAGAAACUAAAAGUUUUAGCCAAUCAUCCUCUGAGGAAAAGCCCUUAGAGGCUGUUUGGCUACUAAGAAAAUAGAAACGGGAGAACUCUGUAAAAUAUUCUAAGUGUCAAACGUAAUAUAUAUUAUAUAUAUUCCAAGAGGUGAUUUCCACCCCUUAUAUAGUCUUUACAAAAGCAAAAGCUUGUGAUUGGUUAGUUACAAGGAUAAGAAAGGAAAUUACAUCACAAAAUACAAAGGAAAAUAUCUAAAGUGGAGUCGGCAAAAGCAGAGGAAAAUUCGCAACACGCAUGGGUUAUGCGAAUUUUGAAGGUGUUAUGCGAAAUUUUCGCAUAACCUGGAGCAGUUGGCUUCCGAAGGCCAUAUCUUCCUCAUUUCAGCUCCAAAUCGUACACGGUUUGCAGCGUUGGAUUCUUGACUUCCAGAGCUUUGAAAUGGUAUAUAGCAUGUAAAAAAUGGACUUCGGAAAGUGCUCCAAAAGUGCGAAAGAAGACUGCAGCUGCUGUCCUCUUUGCUUCUCUUCACUUUGCUUGCUUUUCCUCUUUGCUUCUCUUUGCUUCUUUCCUUGCAUACUUUGAACGACUUUGGCAAAGGGAUAUGGAGCUCCAAAGCUUGGUUCUUCAUGAAUUUGAGCUUCCAAAAGCUUUGCCAUUACUUGUCCAAGUAGCUCCUCCAUCAUUUGGCUUGCUUGAAUUGAUUCAUAAGCUGAUAAAAACAUGUAAACUUGCCACAAAAUGGUUAAAACCAAUUACUAAGGACCUUAAUGAAUUAAUUGGGUUAAAUGAAUAUUAUUACUACUCAAAGGUGCUUAAAACCAUUAUAAUUAGGUCUACAAAAUAGCACUUUUUGGUAGUAAUCACUCAUCAACCCUGCGGACCAUGAACUGAAAGUUUCCUCUUCUUGCUAUGUUCUUCCCUUCUCAAAAAAUAUCUUCAGCUCUCACCUCCAAGUAGCCAAAAUCUCUCCCUCUCAAAUUAUCUCUCCGACAGCCUAAGCUCAAGGAAUCCCCUCCAGAAAUCUCCUACUCUCCCUCUAGCUCUCUACCCCCUCUCCUCUGAUUUUUCUCUUCCUCCUCCUCUCACCCGGCUUCCUUUCACUAGCUCCAAGGAUCUCCCUCAAAUAUCUCUCUCUCACAGCUCCAAAAACAUCUCCUCCGCUCCCCUGGCAGCCAAAAGCCUCUCUCCCUCUCAAAAACUCAGUCUCAGACCAACAUCCCAAGCUCUCUCUCUCUCUCUCACCCAAAAAUAUCUCUAACCGUCCCCCCUGCCAAAAAUCACCUGCAGCUGCCUAAAAUCCCCCCUCCACUACCAUGCAAUUGGCAGCAAAAAAGCAUCCUCUCCUCAUACGCUCCUCCCAGCUUGCACUAACGGCCAGCAGAUUUUCUCAGAAUCACCUUUACAGGUGUCAACCCCUGAUUGCUCCUCCAACUCCACUAUUGUGAUUCUCUAGUAGCUAGUCAAAAUGUGACACGUGGCUUCCCCCAGAUGGUGACACUUGGCUAAAAGCAAGUUGCAGAAAAUGAGCCCCAAAUAGGGGUCUACAAGUAUUCUUUUCUAAAUUGUCCAUGUAACGAGGGUCUAUCGAUGACUCCCAACCAAUUAAGGUUUAGGGCAUCAAGUUUUAAGGAUUUUUCAACCACUAACUCCUCGGAUUUUACCCCGAACUUUUGAGAAUGAAUUUUAAUACCCAAACACCUACAGUAUGUUAAACUCCACCUAUUUACCCUUGUAACGAGCAUUGAGGUCGAUGACUCCCAACCAAUUAAGGCUUAGGGCACCAGGUUUUAAAGAUUUUCAUCAUAUACCCCUCAGACCUUGCUCAGGUUUCAAGGCAAGCAAACAUUUUUCUUCUUUUUUUCUUUUUUUUCAAAGACUCAUUGGCCUUUUACAAGGUGUCCCAACACUAUUAAAUGAGGUCAAAGGUACCAAGUCUAAAAUUUUCCUAAGUCAAGAGGGAAAUAGUUUUUCAUCAUAUAUUCGGAACCUAUUGUGCACAGUGUGUGAGUAGCUUAAAGUGGAAGAACUAAAGUUGAAUUCAAUAGAAAUUUCAACAAUUCAUCAACUUUAAUAAGCAUAAUACAAACUCUAAGUCAAGUAAAAAGGUAAAAAUUCAAUUUUUCCCAUUUCAUUUUGAAAAUGUUUCCUUAAUAACCAUGGAGAGUAGAAUAAAAACUUAAAAAUUUUAAAAUUAAGCAAAAAGCAACUAAAUUACCAAAAUAACUUAGCAUUAAUAACAAAAACUUCAUUUCUCAACUCUCCCCCCAACCAAGCUGAACAUUGUCCUCAAUGUGACAAAAACGAUUGUAAAAUAGGAAGGAAGUGGUACCUCCUGAGUGACAUGGAGUCUGAGUCGUAUAGGAGAAUCCACAUGUUUCAAAAAAACAAUAAAAGUUAGUGAGUAGAGGAAUUAAAAUAAUAUAAUGAUAAGUGUGCUCACACAUGAUAGAGAUUUGUAUUACUUGAUGGGAUUUCAAAAACAAGUGUGCUCACACAUGAUAGAGAAUCCACAGUAGAAUUUUAUAUCAAAAACAAGCAAUACAACUAAUCCCAGUAUAUAAUACUAAAAAGAUGGGAUUUCAAAAAGGAAAUAUAUAAAGUAUAGUAUGUAAAUGAUCAGAGAUGGGGAGGAUGAUGCGGGUAAGCUGAUGGCUCAAGAAGAUGUCUUUGCAUCUUCAGUGGUCGGCUCAGGAGGGGCAUGGGGCUCUGUAGUGGUAGGGGUGAGAUGCUCAAUAGCUGAUGGAAGACCCAGAUGGUGCUGAAGCUGCCUCAAGAUGGCAGUGUGCUGAGUCUGGGUGGCCAAAAUCUGCUCCUGGUGAGCACGAAUAGCUGACAUCUCCUGAGCAAGGCUGCUCUGAGUCGCGGUCAGUGUCUGCAAUGUGUGGCAUAGAUCUUUAUACUCUGAAAUGGGUAUGGCUAUUCUAAGCUUGGCUGAAGUAGAAGGCUCUGAUGCAGCUAGAAUAACUGGAGGGGUGCUGUGGGUGGCAGGAAAAGCAGAGGAUAUACCCUCUUGUAUGGGCUCUGUAGAUGCUCUCCUGGCAACUGGUAUCUCAACUGGCUAUGGGUCCUCUGACUGCUGUGGCUAUGGAAGCUCUGGAUGCUUUGCUCUAUAUGCUGUCAUAUUGGUCCACUUGUCGAGAGUGAAUACCUCUCGAUAUAUACGUUUGUGCUCCAGCUGAGGGUCUGAUGGAUACCCCAGAUGCUCCAAAAUUUGGCAUAGCAAUAUUGGGAAAAGAAGUGGAAUAGCAUCCGCUCGUAGUAGCUUCUUCCUAUGCACCUUCUCUUUAAAGUAGAAAAGGGCAACCAUAAUCAGAUGGUGAGGGCCAAAGAAAUAUCCCUCUGAUAUCCUGAACAGGGCCUCUAGCAGAACUCUUCUCCUCUACACCCAAUGCUGAAGUGGAUAAAUGUUGUGGCGCAGGAGUGCAUCAAUGAAGAACAUGCUCGGAGGAAGUUCCUUCCUCAAUAGAUAUGGAUUUUUGGAUGUUCCUCUGGAUGAUAUAUGAACCAUUUCAAGUUGGGGAGGAUUAAUCCAUACUCGGUAAUCCUCUAGACGGGCUGGCUCAUAUGGAAUAUGCAGGGCCUCUGCUAUGUGGCGAGCUCCUAAAAUACCAUGACAUCCGUCGAUGGUGAAGUGAAUAAGAGUAGGAUCUCUGACCUAAUUAGUAGCCAUGGACUGAUAGAAGUCUGUUGCUACUCGGGGAUAGAAAAAAUCCCUGGGGGUUAGUAAAUGCUCCAUGUGAUAUCUGUGCAGUAGAUGGAAUGAGUCUGCGAGCUCUGGCUGAAGCCUGAAGGUGGCUGUGUCAAAGCACAACUCAGAGUGAAAUGGUCGAGCUCGACAAUCCAAAUUUCCCUCAAUGGGCGGCUGAGGUUCUGCCGGAAGUUCUGAAGAUGGCUUCGGAGACGGCUCUGGAGACUGCUCUCUUAAGUCAAUGGGCUCUGUAUCUAUUACCCUGGCUUUCUUUUGCGGGGGACGGCCACCUGACUUGGUCUAAUAACGCCUCGCUGGAGGACUCAACGGCGCGGGUUCAAGCGGAGGCGGGACGGCUACUUGUCGCGGAGGCUCUAGUGCGGAGCCUUGAACAGGCGCCUCUCACGCGACUCUCUUGCGGCCGAACGGAAAUGAUGACUUUGCUCCUCUAGUUCGUGCCAUGGUGGACUGAAGAAAAUGGCCAGAGGUGAUGGCCGGUGGCUCGCACGGCUUCGCGUGAGAGAGCGAACAAAUGGUUGCUGAUUACUACUCAAAACAUGCUAUUUUGUAGCUUGUAAUUAGCUCUUUUAAACACCAUUGAGUAGUAAUUAUUACCUUUUAACCCAAUUAGUAUGUUAGGAGCCCUUGCAAUCGUUUCUAACAAUUGUGUUAAGUUUUGGUGCUUUUUGAUAGCUUUAUGCUCACCAAAGCAAUUUAAGAAUGAGGGAGAGCUAUUUAUAGUUCAGGGCAAAGCUUUUGAAAGCUUAAAUUUAUGAAGAAAUCAAGCUAUGGAGCCUCAUAAUCCUUUGCCUUAAUCGUUCAAAGUUUACAAGGGAGAAACAAUGGAGAAGAAGAAAACAGGGGAUGAAAACAGGGGACACAACUGCAGUCUUUUAGUGCACUUACCAAAGUCCAUUCUUUACAUUCUAUAUACCAUUUCGAAGCUCAGAAAGUCAAGAAUCUAAUGGUCCAAACCACGUAUGAUUUGGAGCUGAAAUGAGGAAGAUAUGGACUUCGGAAGACAACUGCAUCAAGCUGAGCGAAAAUUUCGCACACCUCAAAACCAAGGUGCGAAAUCCUCAGUCCACUGUGCGAGAAUUUCGCACACCUCAAACCAAUGUGCGAAAUUGGAACUCAGCGUGCGAAAAUUGGAUAUUUUUGCCGACUCUUUUUCUUCUGAUAUUUUUGUGUCUAAAUUUCCAUUUUCUCCUUGUAUUCAACCAACCAUGUAAUUCCUUAGCUAGGAAGUAGCCAAGGAAGGGUAAAACUACCUUCCUAUAUAAAUUCUCUUGUAAUCACUGAAAAGAAAUGAUCUUCGGAGCUUUUCUCCAGGAGACCAACUAAUGUAACCUUGAUACUUAGUGAAAUACAAGGAUCUCUUUUGCUUUCUUUUUCUCUCUUCUAUUUUCUAUUUUCUUGCAAGCCAAACACCCUCUGAGGAUGUUUUCCCAGAGGAUGAGAGGCUAAACAACAGUUUCUUGGAUUAAAGGAAGCUAGGUGAAAAGUCCAGAUUAAAAGGUGGAAAGUUUCCGUGCAUUAAAUUCAGGUAGUUGGAGUCCAUAAAUGGUUUUUAAAGCCAAGGUUUUGCCUUAAAUCCCUUUGAAUCACUUUGACUGGCCAAUACAUGGUAAGCUUAAGGUCUCUGUGGAUGCUUAUUGCUAGAUCCAUAUCAGUCCAUUAGUUAUCAUGUACGAGCCAUUGGAAAGUGAUUCAAGGUGAUAGCCCAUAGUGUCUUAAGCCAUUAAUGGAUCUUGACUACCAUCUCUAGUGACUUUUUAUGGAUUAAAACUUCAUUGUCAAACCUAUACCGGUUCGGGAAAUAACUAUAGGUUAAAUCCCCAAUGCGAGGAGAAAAAUCCGGAAUUUUCCACUUUGCAUCUGGAACUUGAACCUAGCAACCUUUAGCUCCGGGAGACUUUCUUUCUUACACUUUUUACUUAGUUCUAUGUGAGUUUAGUUUAAAUCACCACUUUCAAAACAAUUUUAUUUUCUUUUAAACUUCAAGUUUGUGCUAAAGGAAAUCAUCAGAAUCAAUUUCUAAUUUAGAGUCUGUCAUUGGUAGAGUGAAAACCCAUCCCUGAGUUCGACCCUAGAACUGCUAUACUAUAGUAGCUUUGCUACUCCAGUAUAAGGUCAUAGGUUUUAUAAAUAUUUUUGAUUAAAAGAUCCGGCUGGGAAGUCAAGCGAAGAAUCAAAUGGCGCCGUUGCCGGGGAUGGUGCCACAAUACAGUGAUACAACCUUUUAGAGGCUACUUGUGAUUUUUAUCACAAGUUAGGUGAAUUCCUUUUUCACUAAUUUCAUUUUCUUUCAUUUCCCUGUUGUUAAUUUUAUUUUCAUUUUCUUCCUAACUUUAACCUUUUUUCUAGAUUCCUUUUGUUUUUGUUGUUUUUGUCUUAUUUCAGGUAUUGUAACUUGUGUAUGCCCUAUUGGAUUAGGGACCAAGAGGGAAGAUUAGUAAGGAUUGAGAAUCCUCAAGACACAGAGUUGGAUAUCUGUGUAAAUAUCAUGGACCCUCCACCAGAGGAUCAGAAUUCUCAACAAGGUCAAGGGGGUAAUCCUAAUGCAUACCUAUCCAUGAGGGAUAGAAUGCAUCCCCCAAGGAUGAGUGCACCCUCAUGCAUCCUGCCCCCUCUUGAGCAGUUAGUUAUAAGACCCCAUAUUGUACCCCUCCUACCAACUUUCCAUGGAAUGGAGAGUGAGAAUCCAUAUGCUCACAUUAAGGAGUUUGAGGAGGUAUGUAAUACUUUUAGAGAGGGAGGAGCUUCAAUAGACUUGAUGAGACNNNNNNNNNNNNNNNNNNNNNNNNNNNNNNNNNNNNNNNNNNNNNNNNNNNNNNNNNNNNNNNNNNNNNNNNNNNNNNNNNNNNNNNNNNNNNNNNNNNNNNNNNNNNNNNNNNNNNNNNNNNNNNNNNNNNNNNNNNNNNNNNNNNNNNNNNNNNNNNNNNNNNNNNNNNNNNNNNNNNNNNNNNNNNNNNNNNNNNNNNNNNNNNNNNNNNNNNNNNNNNNNNNNNNNNNNNNNNNNNNNNNNNNNNNNNNNNNNNNNNNNNNNNNNNNNNNNNNNNNNNNNNNNNNNNNNNNNNNNNNNNNNNNNNNNNNNNNNNNNNNNNNNNNNNNNNNNNNNNNNNNNNNNNNNNNNNNNNNNNNNNNNNNNNNNNNNNNNNNNNNNNNNNNNNNNNNNNNNNNNNNNNNNNNNNNNNNNNNNNNNNNNNNNNNNNNNNNNNNNNNNNNNNNNNNNNNNNNNNNNNNNNNNNNNNNNNNNNNNNNNNNNNNNNNNNNNNNNNNNNNNNNNNNNNNNNNNNNNNNNNNNNNNNNNNNNNNNNNNNNNNNNNNNNNNNNNNNNNNNNNNNNNNNNNNNNNNNNNNNAAGAAGAGAAGAGUGGGAAGAAAAGUGCAUCCAAAUCAAGCAUUGAGGAAGAACCAAGGAUAGUGAUUAAGGAGGAUAUGAUGAAGAAACAUAUGCCUCCCCCUUUUCCUCAAACUUUACAUGGAAAGAAAGAAGUCAAGAAUUCAUCAGAAAUUCUUGAAGUGCUGAGACAAGUGAAGGUGAAUAUACCUUUACUUGAUAUGAUCAAGCAAGUCCCCACAUAUGCAAAGUUUCUAAAGGACUUGUGCACAGUCAAGAGAGGUUUACAGGUGACAAAGAAUGCAUUCCUCACUGAGCAAGUAAGUGCUAUCAUCCAGAGUAAGUCCCCAGUUAAGUAUAAAGAUCCGGGAUGUCCCACCAUAUCAGUCAACAUUGGAGGGACACAUGUGGAAAAAGCUUUAUUAGAUUUGGGAGCAAGUGUGAAUUUGCUCCCAUACUCUGUUUAUAAACAACUGGGACUGGGAGGAUUAAAGCCUACAACCAUGACUCUCUCUUUAGCUGAUAGGUCAGUCAAAAUCCCAAGGGGUGUGAUAGAGGAUGUUCUAGUUCAAGUGGACAAAUUCUACUAUCCUGUGGAUUUUGUGGUGCUUGAUACUGAUUCCUCUGUCAAAGAAGAAAAUUAUGUGCCAAUCAUCCUAGGGAGACCUUUUCUAGCUACCUCAAAUGCCAUCGUUAACUAUAGGAAUGGGGUGAUGCAGCUCACAUUUGGAAACAUGACUUUGGAAGUAAACAUAUUCCACUUAUGUAAGAGGCAUCUUUACCCUGAAGAGGAAGAAGGAUUUGAGGAAGUAUGCUUGAUCAACACUUUGGUUGAAGAGCACUGUGACAAGAGUUUAGAGGAGAGCUUGAAUGAAAACCUGGAAGUCCUUGAAGAUGGGUUCCCUGAACCCUCUGAUGUGCUAGCCAUUAUGUCUCCUUGGAGGAGACGGGAAGAGAUCUUACCACUGUUCAACCAUGAAGACUCUGAAGGAGUUGCUGUGGAGGACCCUCCAAAGCUUAUUUUAAAGCCACUUCCUGUGGAGUUGAAGUAUGCAUACUUGGAGGAUGAUGAAAAAUGUCCAGUAGUGGUUGCCUCAACCCUCACUAGUGAUCAAGAGGAUAGUCUUUUAGGAGUCCUCAGAAAAUGUAAGAAAGCCAUUGGAUGGCAAAUUUCUGAUCUGAAAGGGAUUAGCCCUUUGGUGUGCACCCAUCAUAUUUAUAUGGAGGAUGAUGCAAAACCAGUGAGGCAACCCCAAAGGAGACUGAAUCCUCACAUGCAAGAGGUGGUGAGGAGUGAAGUUUUGAAGCUACUUCAAGCUGGGAUCAUCUAUCCCAUUUCAGACAGCUUGUGGGUGAGUCCCACCCAAGUAGUCCCAAAGAAAUCUGGAAUCACUGUGAUCCAGAAUGAGAAAGGGGAAGAAGUCUCUACACGUCCUACUUCAGGAUGGAGGGUGUGUAUAGACUAUAGGAGGUUGAAUUCAGUAACUAGGAAGGACCAUUUUCCACUGCCUUUCAUGGACCAAGUCCUUGAGAGAGUCUCAGGACAUCCUUUCUAUUGUUUUCUAGAUGGUUAUUCAGGGUACUUCCAAAUAGAAAUUGAUUUGGAAGAUCAAGAGAAAACAACCUUCACUUGUCCCUUUGGUACUUUUGCAUAUAGGAGAAUGCCCUUUGGUCUAUGUAAUGCUCCUGCAACUUUCCAAAGAUGCAUGCUAAGCAUCUUCAGUGAUAUGGUAGAACGCAUCAUGGAAGUUUUCAUGGAUGACAUCACUGUAUAUGGAAGUUCUUAUGGGGAGUGUUUGAUGCAUUUAGAAGCUGUUCUCCAUAGAUGUAUUGAGAAAGACCUAGUGCUAAAUUGGGAGAAGUGCCAUUUUAUGGUACAAAAAGGAAUUGUCUUAGGACAUAUCAUCUCCAAAAAUGGCAUUGAGGUAGAUAAGGCAAAGGUGGAACUUAUUGUUAAGUUGCCACCUCCCACAAAUGUUAAAGGAAUUAGGCAAUUCCUUGGACAUGCAGGAUUCUACAGGAGGUUUAUUAAGGAUUUCUCAAAAAUCUCAAAACCUCUGUGUGAGCUUUUGGUAAAGGAUGCCAAGUUUGUGUGGGAUGAGAAGUGUCAGAGAAGUUUUGAGGAAUUGAAGCAAUUCCUCACAACUGCACCAAUAGUGAGAGCCCUAAAUUGGAAAUUACCUUUUGAGGUAAUGUGUGAUUCAAGUGAUCUUGCUAUGGGGGCUGUUUUAGGGCAAAGAGAAGAUGGAAAGCCCUAUGUGAUUUAUUAUGCAAGCAGAACUUUGAAUGAGGCUCAAAAGAACUACACAACUACUGAGAAGGAGUUGUUGGCUGUAGUUUUUGCCUUGGAUAAGUUUCGUGCUUAUUUGGUAGGGUCCUCUAUAGUAGUGUUCACUGACCAUUCUGCUUUGAAGUACUUGCUAACCAAGCAGGAUGCCAAGGCAAGAUUGAUAAGAUGGAUUCUUUUGCUCCAAGAAUUCAAUCUCCAAAUCAGGGAUAAAAAGGGGGUAGAAAAUGUGGUAGCUGACCACUUGUCCAGACUAGUGAUAUCACAUGACUCACAUGGUCUACCUAUCAAUGAUGACUUCCCUGAGGAGUCUCUCAUGUCAGUAGAUUUAGCUCCAUGGUAUUCUCACAUUGCAAACUUUUUGGUUACUGGAGAAGUACCAAGUGAGUGGAGUGCUCAAGACAAGAGGCAUUUCUUGGCUAAGAUCCAUGCCUAUUAUUGGGAGGAACCUUUUCUUUUCAAAUAUUGUGCAGAUCAAAUUAUAAGGAAAUGUGUUCCUGAGCAAGAGCAAUCGGGAAUUCUUUCCCAUUGCCAUGAUAAUGCAUGUGGAGGUCAUUUUGCCUCCCAGAAAACAGCUAUGAAAGUGAUCCAAUCAGGCUUCUGGUGGCCCUCUCUUUUCAAGGAUGCCCAUUCUAUGUGUAAGGCAUGUGAUCGGUGUCAAAGGCUUGGUAAGCUAACACGCCGAAAUAUGAUGCCCUUGAACCCCAUUUUAAUAGUGGAUAUCUUUGAUGUCUGGGGUAUAGACUUCAUGGGACCAUUUCCAAUGUCGUUUGGACAUUCCUACAUCUUGGUAGGAGUGGAUUAUGUCUCUAAGUGGGUAGAGGCAAUCCCAUGUAGGAGCAAUGAUCAUAAAGUGGUACUUAAAUUCCUCAAGGACAACAUCUUUGCAAGAUUUGGAGUGCCAAAGGCCAUUAUAAGUGACGGGGGAACCCACUUUUGCAAUAAAACUUUUGAGACUCUUCUAGCCAAGUAUGGGGUUAAGCAUAAGGUAGCUACACCUUAUCACCCUCAAACUAGUGGCCAAGUUGAGUUAGCCAACCGUGAGAUCAAGAAUAUAUUGAUGAAGGUGGUCAAUGUGAAUAGGAAGGAUUGGUCUAUCAAGCUCCUGGAUUCCUUAUGGGCUUAUAGGACCGCUUACAAGACCAUUCUAGGAAUGUCUCCCUAUCGCCUUGUUUAUGGCAAAGCGUGUCACCUUCCAGUGGAAAUUGAGUAUAAAGCAUGGUGGGCAAUCAAAAAUCUCAACAUGGAUUUGUCAAGAGCCGGGUUAAAGAGAUGUUUAGAUUUGAAUGAAUUAGAGGAAUUGAGGAAUGAUGCAUACCUCAAUUCAAAAAUUGCAAAAGCAAGAUUGAAAAAAUGGCAUGAUCAGUUGGUAAAUCAGAAGAAUUUUACCAAAGGACAAAAAGUUUUGCUUUAUGACUCUAAACUUCAUCUCUUUCCAGGAAAGUUGAAAUCCAGGUGGACGGGUCCUUUCAUAAUUCAUGAAGUGCAUCCCAACGGAGUGGUGGAAAUACUCAAUCCCACAGGCAAUCAAACCUUCAAAGUCAAUGGCCAUCGUCUCAAGCCAUUCUUAGAGCCUUACAGUACAGACAAGGAGGAGAUCCACCUCCUUGAACCACCACAACUUUGAGGAAAAACAGGGUAUCAUGGGCUAAAGAAGUCCAUGAAUUUUUUGUUAUAGUUUUAUAGUUAUAUUAGUAUUUUUAUUUCUUUAUAUUUUAAUUUUCUCCUAAUCUUAGUUUAUAUUGUCUUAAUUCAAGUUAAUUUUGAUGAUAAAUUUUAGAAAAAAAUCAUGAAAGAUGGGGAGAGCUCGUCAAAAGCAGCCAAGGGGAGAAAAACCAAGGAAACAGAGCACCUAAUUUCAAGGUGCCAAAUUUUCGCACACCUGAUUUCAAGGUGCGAAAAUUUCGCACACCCAAAACCAAGGUGCGAAAUCCUUGGGCCAAAAGAAGCCAUUUUCGCACACCCCUACCUCAAGGUGCGAAAUCCCUUUUCAAGGUGCGAAUUUCCUAAAAUCCAAUUUCGCACACCACUGUGGAAGGUGCGAAAAUUUUCGCACUGUGCGAAAUCCUCUCCUGGCACACGUGUGCCAAUUUCGCACACCUCAAGCUGAUUUUCGCACUGUGCGAAAUAGUGUGCGAAAAUUUCGCACACCACUAUUCAAGGUGCGAAAAUUUAGCACACCUCUUUUUAACGUGCGAAAUCAUCAGCCAAAGGGGUGCCAUUUUCGCACACUCAAUUCCAAGGUGCGAAAUUUACAGGCCAAGGUGCGAAAAUUUCGCACGGUAAAAUUUUAACUUCUAAAAAUUUAAAACCGACUUUUAAAUUAAAAUUUUACCCCCGAAAUUGUGCCUAACGUCCAAAAACGACUUUUCGGUUGCCUUGGAAAAUUUUAAAAGAUCAGAAACCCCUUAAACCUCAUUCCUAUAUAAACCCCUGAAGUCCAGAAGCUCAAAGGACUCUCCUAAGCACCAGUUGAAAAACCUCUGGAAUCCCGAAAACCCAUCUCCCUUCAUUUCGGCCAUGGCAAAGACCAGAGGAGGCCAUUCCGCCUCCCAGUCCUCACCGACACCUCGACCACAGCGAGCCACCAUGGGAGCCGUGCCUUCACCUCCUGUUCAGGCCCCGGCCAUUCCCCCAUCUGAGGGGGAAGUUCCUUCUCAGCGCCGGUACCCCACUCGGAGGCCACCCACGGAACCUGUGCCUCCACCCGAACAGGCCACGAGCCCUGUUUCUCGGCCCCCUGUGAAAAGGUCCAGGUUCUCUGGUCCUGGAGAGCCAUCCCACGCACCUCAGCCAGAGCCAGCUACAGAGGAACCUCGGAUUCCAGUGGACAUGCCUCCCGAGGCCAUUAUUAGGCGUCCCAUGAUAGCCGGACCACCGAUUGAGGGUAACUUGGAUUGCAGAGAUCAACCCUUCCAUUCCGAGACCUACUUUGAUAUAGAGGCCCUCAGACAGCAGCCAGAGCUCAGAGAUUCAUUCCGACUGCUGCAGAGGUAUCACAUGGAGUCCUUUCUCACUCCUAGGCAAUUCUACUAUCCCAGAGUAGUUAUUGAUUUUUAUCAAUCUAUGACUACUCGAGGUCUCCGCAAUCCUACCCUCAUCCAGUUUACUAUAGACGGACGUCAGGGUGCCAUUGGAGCUCGUCACAUUGCUGAGGCCCUCCAUAUACCUUAUGAGCCCGUAUUUCAGGCAGAUUUCAGGGAGUGGUCCUCAUUUUCUCAGAGCGACAUGGUCCGCAUUUUGUCCAGGGGGACUUCUACAGCCUCGGUAUUGACUAGGAGAGAGCUUCCAUCUGGGAUGCUCCUCAUUGAUGUGCUCCUGCGUGCCAACCUAUUCCCCCUUCAGCAUAAAGUUCAGAGGAGAUGAGCUAUACUUGAGGCAUUAUUCAGGAUUUCUGAGGGCUAUUUCUUCGGCCCUCAUCAUUUGAUUAUGACUUCUCUUCUUCAUUUUGAAGAAAAAGUCCAUCAGAAGAAGCUGCAGAGGGCAGAUGGCAUCCCAUUACUUUUUCCGAGGCUCCUCUGCCAGAUUUUAGAGCACUUGGGCUAUCCUGAAGAGCCCCGUCUUGAGAGGCGCCGCCAUUGCCGAGAGGACUUCUCUCUCGACAAAUGGCAUCACUUGGUAGCCUACUUUGCACCUCAGGGAGCCCCAGCUGUACAUGCACCUCCAGAGCUACCCCGAGAUGAGCAGAUACCUCAAGCCCCGCAGGAUGAGAUUCUCACAGAGACACCACCUCCUGCCCCUGCAGCACAUCCCUCAGAGCAUAUUCCUGAGCCUGUACAUCCUAUUUCUCCUAUCACUCAGGGUGCUCCACCAGUCGCGCCAGCUACCCCAGCACCUCCUCCUCCAUCUGAGCCCACUGUCACCAUUUCUCUUACGGAAUUCAGAGGCUUAGAGCGUUCAUUGCGGACACUGAGCACUGCUCAGGAUUCUAUUAUCCACCAGAUGGCCACUAUUCGGGCACACCAGGAUCAGAUCAUUGCUACUCAGGCCCAGCAUACCACGAUCCUUCAUCAGAUUCAGCAGCAUCUGAGUAUGCAGACCCCUCAUGGGUAUGAUAGGUCUGCACCAUCCGAGCCUCUAGUGCCAGAUGAGGAGAGCUUGCCAGCUGAGCAGCCUAUACCAGAGGAGGAGAUCAGAGCAGAGCCAUCACAUGACCCCACUCAUAUCUGAUCUUUUUAUGUUUUACUUGUUUUUAUUUUAGACUUGUAAAUCCCAUCUUUUGCAUGUGUUAUAAAUUGGGAUUGGAAGUAUUACUUGAAAUCAUACAUUGUAUAUUUCUUUUACAAGUAAUAUAUAUAUAUAUAUAUAUAUAUAUAUAUAUAUAUAUAUAUAUAUAUAUAUAUAUAUAUAUCCUUUUUGAUUAUAUUCCCUUUUCUCAUUACUCUUUUGUCCUUGGAACAUGUGGUUUAAGGUACUCCAUACCUCCUUUACACUCAGACUUUGUCUCACUCAGGAGGUACCACUUCCUCCCUUUAUUUUUAAUCACUUUUGAAACAUUGGGGACAAUGUUCAACUUGGUUGGGGGGGGGGGGGGGGGGAGAAUUAAGAAAGGAAGUUUUGUUGUCAAUAUUAAGUUAUUUUGGUAUUUUAGUUAAUUUUUGCUUAAAUUUUAAAUUUUUUAAAAGUUUUUUGAAUCAUUCUCUCUGGUUGUUAAAGAUAAUUUCUCAAAAAUAAAAUAGGAUAAGUCGAGUUUUAACUUAAUUAUUUAAGUCUUAGAGUUUGUUUUAUGCUUUCAAAGUUGAUAAUCUAUUGAAGCCUCUUUGAUUUUGAACUUUCUUCUUCCAUUUCGAGCUUUUACACACACUGUGCACAUUAGAUCCCGGAUAUAAGAUGUAAAACUUUCUCACUUUCUAAGCUUAGGAAAAUUUUGACUUGGUUUAUUACUUAACCUCUUUUUAAUAGUGUUGGGACACCUCAUAAAGACCAAUGAGUCUUAGAAAAAGACCAAUGAGUCUUAGAAAAAGACCAAUGAGUCUUAGAAGAAGAAAAAGAGAAUAAGCUUCUAUUCUUUCCUUGAAACCUAAGUAUGAUCCGAAGGGGUGGCGAAAGCCUUUAAAACCCGAUGCCCUAAACCUUGAUUGGUUGGGAGUCAUCGAUCCUCUGCUUGCUACAUAGGUGAAUUGGUUAAGUUUAGUAAGUAAAAAGAAUUGUGAAUAAGAAGGUGUGUUCUGAACCUAUUAAGAGUUGGUUAAUGUUGCCAAUAUCCGAGAAAAGCUUAGGUUGGAGGGUGAGGAUAGUUGUAUAUACUAUAUCCGGAAGCUAAUUUCAUUAACACUUAGCUUAUUAUGGAAGAGUUUGAUUUGAAACCUUGAGAGUAGAGAUUCUUUUGAUACUUAAUUGCAUAAUCUCCACUCUUUGUACUUUUUGUUUAAGUUUAAGCUUUGAUAACUCCUAUUGCAUUUUUAAUCUUCAUAUCUUUAGUUCACCAGGUGAGAUGUGUUUGGAUAUCAGUCAUGCCACUCAAUUAUUUUUUGGAAUGAAUUGCAUGACCUCUUUUAUAUAUUUUAUUACGUUUGCUUAGUUUUUCUCUCCUUAAUUGCUAAGGGACUAGCAAUAUGUCGGUUGGGGGGAGUGAUUACUACUCAAAACAUGCUAUUUUGUAGCUUGUAAUUAGCUCUUUUAAACACCAUUGAGUAGUAAUUAUUACCUUUUAACCCAAUUAGUAUGUUAGGAGCCCUUGCAAUCGUUUCUAACAAUUGUGUUAAGUUUUGGUGCUUUUUGAUAGCUUUAUGCUCACCAAAGCAAUUUAAGAAUGAGGGAGAGCUAUUUAUAGUUCAGGGCAAAGCUUUUGAAAGCUUAAAUUUAUGAAGAAAUCAAGCUAUGGAGCCUCAUAAUCCUUUGCCUUAAUCGUUCAAAGUUUACAAGGGAGAAACAAUGGAGAAGAAGAAAACAGGGGAUGAAAAUAGGGGACACAGCUGCAGUCUUUUAGUGCACUUUUGGAGCACUUACCAAAGUCCAUUCUUUACAUUCUAUAUACCAUUUCGAAGCUCAGAAAGUCAAGAAUCCAAUGGUCCAAACCACGUAUGAUUUGGAGCUGAAAUGAGGAAGAUAUGGACUUCGGAAGACAACUGCAUCAAGCUGAGCGAAAAUUUCGCACACCUCAAAACCAAGGUGCGAAAUCCUCAGUCCACUGUGCGAGAAUUUCGCACACCUCAAACCAAUGUGCAAAAUUGGAACUCAGCGUGCGAAAAUUGGAUAUUUUUGCCGACUCUUUUUCUUCUGAUAUUUUUGUGUCUAAAUUUCCAUUUUCUCCUUGUAUUCAACCAAUCAUGUAAUUCCUUAGCUAGGAAGUAGCCAAGGAAGGGUAAAACUACCUUCCUAUAUAAAUUCUCUUGUAAUCACUGAAAAGAAAUGAUCUUCGGAGCUUUUCUCCAGGAGACCAACUAAUGUAACCUUGAUACUUAGUGAAAUACAAGGAUCUCUUUUGCUUUCUUUUUCUCUCUUCUAUUUUCUAUUUUCUUGCAAGCCAAACACCCUCUGAGGAUGUUUUCCCAGAGGAUGAGAGGCUAAACAACAGUUUCUUGGAUUAAAGGAAGCUAGGUGAAAAGUCCAGAUUAAAAGGUGGAAAGUUUCCGUGCAUUAAAUUCAGGUAGUUAGAGUCCAUAAAUGGUUUUUAAAGCCAAGGUUUUGCCUUAAAUCCCUUUGAAUCACUUUGACUGGCCAAUACAUGGUAAGCUUAAGGUCUCUGUGGAUGCUUAUUGCUAGAUCCAUAUCAGUCCAUUAGUUAUCAUGUACGAGCCAUUGGAAAGUGAUUCAAGGUGAUAGCCCAUAGUGUCUUAAGCCAUUAAUGGAUCUUGACUACCAUCUCUAGUGACUUUUUAUGGAUUAGAACUUCAUUGUCAAACCUAUACCGGUUUGGGAAAUAACUAUAGGUUAAAUCCCCAAUGCGAGGAGAAAAAUCCGGAAUUUUCCACUUUGCAUCUGGAACUUGAACCUAGCAACCUUUAGCUCCGGGAGACUUUCUUUCUUACACUUUUUACUUAGUUCUAUGUGAGUUUAGUUUAAAUCACCACUUUCAAAACAAUUUUAUUUUCUUUUAAACUUCAAGUUUGUGCUAAAGGAAAUCAUCAGAAUCAAUUUCUAAUUUAGAGUCUGUCAUUGGUAGAGUGAAAACCCAUCCCUGAGUUCGACCCUAGAACUGCUAUACUAUAGUAGCUUUGCUACUCCAGUAUAAGGUCAUAGGUUUUAUAAAUAUUUUUGAUUAAAAGAUCCGGCUGGGAAGUCAAGCGAAGAAUCAGUUGCUCUAGUGUUCUUCCUUUCUGAACCCUUUUGGCAGCUUAAAUGACCAAUUUUUAUAUAAAAAAUAAAGUAAUAUCAAGGGUCGUUUUCGUAGCCCAUUUCGCAGCUGCAAAAUGGGGAGAACUGUGUUGCGAAAUGGCACUCGUGUGCCAAGAGGGUGCUUCACAGCUGUGAAAUUUUUCGUAGAGAGGGGUCUGAGGUUGCGAAAUGAUUUCGCAACAAAGUGGCGAUUUCGCAGAGGCUUCUUUUAGGUUGCGAAAUCUUGCAGACCUCUGCUUUUCCCCUGUUUUACACUCUUUAUUGCGCCAUACGACUUUCCUUUAAUUUUUUUUGCAAUUCCUCCUACAUAACAUCAUUCAAAAAGACUAAGUUACAUAUAAAUACACAACUUAAAAUCAAAAAUUAAAAUCAAAAGAAUUGAUAAAGCUUUGAAAUUAACAAAAUUAACAAAAACAAAACAAAAAAAAUUAUGGACUUUGGUGAAACCAAGCCCAUCUAACCCUUUUAUGAUUAGGCUUUCUAUGGCUCAAGGAGGUUGAUUUCCUCCUUUUCUGGUUUGAAUGGCUCAAUGAAUGGCUUGAGACGAUGACCAUUGACCUUGAAAAUGUCAGUGCUUUUGGAAUUCAGUAAUUCCACCACUCCAUUGGGUUGCACUUGGUGAAUAAUGAAAGGGUCUAUCCACCUUGACUUGAGCUUCCCUGGAAAGACAUGGAGUCUUGAAUCAUAAAGCAAGACUCUUUGUCCUUUAUGGAAUUCUUUGUUGGAGAUUAAUUGAUCAUGCCAUCUCUUCAUCCUCUGUUUUGCAACUUCGGAAUUGAUGUAAGCAUCAUUUCUUAAUUCCUCCAUCUCAUUAAGGUCUAAGCACCUUUUUGCCCCAGCUCUGAUCAAGUCCAUGUUCAACUUUUUGAUUGCCCACCAAGCUUUAUAUUCAACUUCCACAGGGAGAUGGCAUGCUUUGCCAUAGACUAGGCAAUAAGGAGACAUACCAAGAAUAGUCUUGUAAGCUGUUCUGUAUGCCCAUAGCGAAUCAUGAAGCUUAAUAGACCAAUCUUUUCUGCUCAUGAUCACCACCUUCAUCAAUAUAUUCUUGAUUUCCCUAUUUGCUAGCUCCACUUGCCCGGAAGUUUGAGGAUGAUAAGGCGUAGCUACCUUAUGCUUCACUCCAUACUUGGCUAAUAGGGUUUCAAAAGGUUUGUUGCAAAAAUGAGUACCUCCAUCACUGAUUAUGGCCUUGGGCACCCCAAAUAUUGAGAAGAUGUUCUCCUUAAGAAAUUUGAGAACCACCCUGUGAUCAUUAUGUUUACAAGGAAUUGCCUCGACCCAUUUAGAAACAUAGUCCACCCCCACCAAGAUAUAAAAGUUACCAAAAGACAUUGGGAAAGGUCCCAUGAAGUCAAUACCCCAAACAUCAAAUAGAUCAACUAUUAGAAUGGGGUUCAUAGGCAUUUGAUUACUUUUUGUAAACUUCCCAAGCCUUUGGCAUCUAUCACAACUCCUACACAUGAUGUGGGCAUCUUUGAAAAGCGAUGGCCAAGUAAACCCUGAUUGCAACACCUUCAUGGCUAUUUUCUGAGAGGCAAAGUGGCCUCCACCUGCAUUUUCAUGGCAAUGGCUGAGGAUCCCUUGUUGCUCUUCUUUAGGGACACACUUUCUUAUGAUCUGAUCUGCACAAUACUUGAAAAGGAAAGGCUUUUCCCAAUAAUAAGCAUGAAUUUUUGCAAAGAAGUGCUUCCUGUCUUGUGCAUUCCACUCACUUGGAACUUCACCAGUAACUAAAUAGUUAGCGAUAUGAGCAUACCAAGGAGCUUUCUCUAGCAACAUAAGUGAUUCCUCAGGAAAGUCAUCAUUAAUAGGUAAGACAUGAGAAUUAUGUGCUAUAACUAACCUUGACAGGUGGUCAGCUACCACAUUCUCCACCCCUUUCUUGUCUCUGAUUUGGAGAUCGAACUCUUGUAACAAAAGAAUCCAUCUAAUCAACCUUAAUUUUGCAUCUUGCUUUGUCAAUAAAUACUUCAAGGCUGAAUGGUCAGUGAAAACAAUGAUGAAAGACCCUACCAAAUAAGCACGAAAUUUGUCUAAGGCAAACACCACAGCUAACAAUUCUUUCUCUGUAGUUGUGUAGUUUCUUUGAGCCUCAUUCAAUGUUUUGCUUGCAUAGUAGAUCACAUAGGGCUUCCCAUCUUCUCUUUGGCCAAGUACAGCUCCUAUAGCAAAGUCACUGGCAUCACACAUUACUUCAAAGGGUAAUUGCCAGUUAGGAGCCCUCACUAUUGGAGCGGUUGUUAAGAAUUGCUUUAGUUGAUCAAAGCUCUUUUGACAUCUUUCAUCCCAUAUAAACUUAGCAUCCUUAGCCAAAAGCUCACAAAGAGGUUUUGAAAGAUUAGAGAAAUCUUUUAUAAAUCUCCUAUAGAACCCUGCAUGGCCAAGAAAUUGUCUUACUUUGUUCAUAGUUGUUGGGGAUGGCAAUUUGACAAUAAGCUUCACCUUUGCUUUAUCAACUUCAAUGCCUUUCUUGGAGAUGAUAUGGCCAAGGACAAUUCCUUGACGUACCAUAAAAUGGCAUUUCUUCCAGUUGAGCACCAAGUAUUUUUCAAUGCAUCUAUUAAGAACUGCUUCCAAAUUGACUAAGCAUUCCUCAUAUGUACCUCCAUAUAUGGUAAUGUCAUCCAUGAAAACCUCCAUAAUUCGCUCCACCAUAUCACUGAAAAUACUAAGCAUACAUCUUUGGAAUGUUGCAGGUGCAUUGCAUAAACCAAAAGACAUUCUUCUGUAAGCAAAUGUUCCAAAUGGACAUGUGAAAGUGGUCUUCUCCUGAUCUUCCACAACAAUUUCAAUUUGAAAAUAUCCGAAGUACCCGUCCAAGAAACAAUAAAAAGGAUGGCCAGAGACUCUCUCCAGCACCUAAUCAAUAAACGGCAAUGGAAAAUGAUAUUUCCUUGUCACAGCAUUCAACUUCCGAUAAUCAAUACACACCCUCCAACCUGAAGUGAGGCGUGUAGCAAUUUCUUCUCCUUUUUCAUUCUGAACCAUAGUAAUCCCUGACUUCUUUGGUACCACUUGAGUAGGGCUCACCCAAGGGCUGUCAGAUAUGGGAUAAAUAAUACCUGCUUGAAGUAGCUUCAGCACUUUAGCUCGCACCACCUCUUGCAAAUGAGGAUUCAAUCUUCUUUGAGGUUGACGAAUUGGUUUAGCUUCUUCCUCCAUAUAAAUGUGAUGUGUACAAACCAAAGGACUGAUUCCUUUCAAGUCAGAGAUUUGCCAUCCUAUUGCUUUCUUACACCUCUUGAGAACUUCAAGUAAACAGUUCUCCUGAUGAUUAGUAAGAGAUGAAGAUAUAACAAUAGGACAUUGAUUAUUUUCUUCAAGGUAUGUAUAUUUCAGCUCCAUGGGCAGAGACUUCAGAUUGAGCUUUGGGGUCUCUUCUUGAGCAGCUUCUCCUUCCUCUUUAUUGAACAAAGGUAGAAUCUCUUCUCUUCUCCUCCAACCUUGUAGAGUAGCAAGCACUUCAGGGGGUUCAGACAACCCUUCUUCAAGAUCCCCAAGACUUUCAUUCAGCUCGUCUUAUAUAUUCUGAUUACAAUGCUCCUCCACUAGAGCGUCAAUAAUGCAUACCUCUUCUGGACCUUCUUCUUCUUCCGAAGUGAUUUGCUUUUUAGACAUAUGAAAAAUGUUGAGUUCAAGUGUCAUGUUGCCAAAAGUGAGUUGCAUGAGUCCAUUCCUACAAUUGAUGAUUGCAUUCGAGGUAGCAAGAAAUGGUCUUCCAAGGAUGAUAGGAACUGAAUUAGCUUCCUUUACAGUAGGAUCCGUAUCAAGAACAACAAAAUCUAAUGGAUAGUAGAAAUUAUCAACUUGAACUAAGACAUCCUCAAUUACCCCCCUUAGAAUUUUUACUGAUCUAUCUACUAGAGAUAGAAUGAUUGAUGUUGGCUUCAAUUCACCAAGUCCCAAUUGCUUGUAGACAGAGUAUGGUAGCAAAUUCACACUUGCUCCCAAGUCUAACAAAGCUUUCUCCACUACCUUUCCUCCAAUCAUGAUUGAAAUGGUAGGACAUCCCGGAUCUUUGUACUUCAAAGGAGACUUGCAUUGUAUGAUUGCACUUACUUGCUCAGUCAAGAAGGCUUUCUUAUUCACAUUCAACCCUUUUUUGAUAGUACACAAGUCUUUUAGGAAUUUCGCAUAUGUUGGAACUUGCUUAAUCAUAUCUAGUAGUGGGAUAUUGACUUUCACUUGCCUCAAUACUUCAAGGAUUUCAGAUGCAUUUUUUAUCCCCUUUUUCCCAUGCAAAGCUUGAGGAAAAGGUGGAGAUGUGUGUUUCUUCAUCAAUUCUUCCUUAAUAAGGUCUUUCUCCGGAUUUAUAUUUAUUGUUGAAUCACGAUCCUCCUUCUCUUCACUGACAUUUUUCUUCUUUCCUUUCAUUUCCUCCCCCUUCUUUGUUUCUUCUUCAACAUCAACAUGUGGCUUGGGUGUUGGUGGCUCAACCUUCUUACCACUCCUUAGAGUGAUCAAGGCUUUAACAUCUUUCACCUAUGACGAUUCUCCAUCAUGGAUUUCCACUUCAUGGAUACCCUUGGGGUUUUGGUGAGGUUGAGAAGGAAAUCUACCCUUCUCUUGCACUGUGUUCAAGUUAGUGAGCCUUGAGAUUGAGUAUUGGAGAUUAUCUAUCUUCUGAGAUAAGUCAUUUUGCAUCCCAUCCAUCCUUUUAUUCAAUGUAUUCUCUACACUGUCAAUUCUUUGACUGAGUUGAGCAUUGAUAGAUUUUUGGUCUCCAACAAAAUCUCCCACAACCUUGUUGAAAUUCACUAUUGCUUGUUGAAGACUUGAAGCUUGUUGAGAUGGUUGAGGCUGUUGGUAUUGAGGUGCUCUUGGCUUCCAUGAAAAAUUUGGAUGGUUCCUCCAACUUNNNNNNNNNNNNNNNNNNNNNNNNNNNNNNNNNNNNNNNNNNNNNNNNNNNNNNNNNNNNNNNNNNNNNNNNNNNNNNNNNNNNNNNNNNNNNNNNNNNNNNNNNNNNNNNNNNNNNNNNNNNNNNNNNNNNNNNNNNNNNNNNNNNNNNNNNNNNNNNNNNNNNNNNNNNNNNNNNNNNNNNNNNNNNNNNNNNNNNNNNNNNNNNNNNNNNNNNNNNNNNNNNNNNNNNNNNNNNNNNNNNNNNNNNNNNNNNNNNNNNNNNNNNNNNNNNNNNNNNNNNNNNNNNNNNNNNNNNNNNNNNNAAUUCCAAUUCCUUGUUAUCAGGUGUUUCACGUUUAACAAGCCUUCCUCCACUAUCUUGUAUCCAAUUUGGCAUACACAACUAGUAUCAACUGCAACAAAAACAAAAACAAAAGAAAACAAAAGAAAAUAAAAAUAUAAAAAGACUUAGAUUAACUAAAACUAAAUUAAAAGAUAUGUUAGAAUAUGAACAAGUAAAAAAAAAAAUUAAAAGAGUUAGUAAAAUGAAAGAAAAAUCACCAAACUUGUAAUGAAAAUCACAAGUAAUAUGAAAUAAUAUCACUGUGAAGUUGGCACCUUCCCUUGCAGCGGCGCCAUUUGAUUCAUUCCCAAUUGGUGUAUCAUGAGUUUAAUCCUCAAACGGGAGUAAUCAACAAAAUUUAUAACCUAUAUCACCAUGCACUAGGAUAGCCUUAGCUAAUAUAGCAUAAUGGCUCUAAGAUCGUUCACUGGGAAGGGUUUUCAACUUACAACUGAUACCAAUUUAAAGUUGAAUUGGUACUUUUUCAUUUCAAGGUUAGCUUAAGAAGAAAACAUAAACUUUGGUUGAAAAAUGAUUUGUUUUAAGCUAACUAAAAAGAAAGUAAUGGGAAUUACUUAUGAAGAAGCGUUCCUUGGAGUUUUAGGUUCAUUGGGGUCAAGCUCCUUAUGCAAAAACAAAGCUCUGGUCACUUGAAUCUUUUCCUCACAUUAGAGAAUUAACAUAUAGUUAAUUCUCUAACCGGUGUUGUACAAAUGUUUCCCUUUAAUGGAUUUCAGCACUAAUUUCCUCUCACUGAUGCAACUUGCAAUGGCUCGUGCCUCUCACCUAGCAUUUGCCAUUCAAGGUGAUCAUUAACCUUGGACUUCCCUUCUCAAGCUCGCAAGAGAUAACUAAUGGAUGUCUCCUUAGAGUCCAAAAGCUUACCAAGUGUUGGCAAUUCUAAAAAAUCCUACCUUCAAGUCACCUCCCAAAGGCUCGCAAGAGAUAAACUAGUGCAUUUCCAUGGACGGAGAUCACUUGCCUUACCAAGUGUUAGCCCAGGUGAAUUGAAUGCGUUUUAAGUUAACUAAAAACAUAGAAAUCAUUAACGGGUCACACUUUCUCUUCAUUAACAGCUGAAACAACAAAACUACCAAUUCUUGCAUUCGGGUCGAUAGAAGCUCCUCCCUCUCGGAAUGUAUUACAAACAUCUUCAAAUUCCUUGAUAUGGGCAUAGGGAUUCUCACUUUCCAUUCCAUAAAAAGUUGGUAGAAGUGGCACAAUAUGGGGUCUGAUCACUAGUUGCUCUGUAGGGGGCACUAUACAUGAUGGUGCACUCAUACGAGGUGGAUGCAUGCGGUCCCUCAUUGAUCUGAAUUCAUUGGGAUUGUCCUGAUGACCAUGGUGACUAUGCUGAUCUUCAGGUGUAGCUUCCAUGAUAUUCAAGGUUAAUUCCAAUUCCUUGUUAUGAGGUGUAUCAAGUUUGACAAGCCUUCUUCCACUAUCUCGUAUCCACUUUGGCAUACACAACUAGUAUCAACUGUAACUAAAAUGAAAAUAAAAGAAAACAAAAGAAAACAGGGCUACCAAAAAAAAAACUAAAAUAGACUAAACUGAAUUUAAAAGAUAUAUUAGAUUAUGAACAAGUAAAGAUACAAUAAAAUAAAAUAAAAAAAUUAGUAAAAUGAAAGAAAAGUUACCAAACUUGGGAUGAAAAUCACAAGUACUCUGAAAUAAUAUCACUAUGAAGUUGACACCUUCCCCAGCAACGGCGCCAUUUGAUUCGUGCCCACUUGGUGUAUCAGCUCAUUCAUGUCCAGCUGGUGCUCCUUGAUUGAGGGAGUAAUCAACAAAAUUUAUAACCUAUUACACCAUGAACUAGGGUAGCAAAGACAAAGCUACUAUAGCAUAGUGGCUCUAGGAUCGUUCACUGGGAAGGGUUUUCAAUUCAUAAAUGAUACCAAUUCAAAGCUGAAUUGGUGCAUUUUCAUUUCAAGGUUAGCUUUAAAAGAAAACAUAAUUUUUGGAUGAAAAAGGUUUAGUUUAAACUAACGGUAAAGAAAGUAAUAGAAAUUACUUAUGAAGAAAAACAUUCCUUGGAGGUUUAGGUUCAUAGGAGAGGUUUCUCGUGCAAAAACAGACCUCCGGUCACUUGGUUCAUUUCCUCGCAUUAGGGAAUUAACAUAUAGUCAAUUCUCUAAUCGAUGUUGUACAGAUGCUUCCCUUUAAUGGGUUCAAACACUAAAUCCCUCUCACUGAUGCACCUUGCAAUGGCUCAUACCUCUCACCUAGCACUUGCCAUUCAAGGUGAUCUUUAACCUUGGAUUACCCAUCAAAAGCUCGCAAGAGAUAACUAAUGGAUGUCUCCUUAGAGUCCAAAAGCUUACCAAGUGUUGGCUAUUCUAGAAAAUCCUACCUUCAAACCACCUUCCAAAGGCUCACAAGAGAUAAAUUAGUGCAUCUCUAUGGAUGGAGACCACUUGCCUUAUCAAGUGUUGGCCCAAGUGAUUUAAAGGCGUUUUAAGUUAACUAAAAACAUAGAAAUCAUUAACGGGUCACACUUUCUCUUCAUUAAUGGCUGAAACCACAAAGCUACUAAUUAUUGCACUUGGAACCUUUCCCGACAACCUUAACUCUAAGGAACUAAAAGUCUAGCCACUCAUUCUCUGAGGAAACAUCCUCAAAGCUUCUUUGGCUAGUAAGAAAAUACAGUUAAAAUGAGAAGGUAAAGCAGAGCAAAGCUCUGUAUUUUACUUCUUUACAAAACUGUACAAAGGAUCGAUCAUCUUCUCUUUUCUUCUCUCUCCUCCUCGAGAACAGGCUCCCAAGAGAUAAAUAUAUGAAAAAUUACAGAAUAUCUAAAAAAGAUUAUUCACCCUUUUUCCAAACUUAAUAACUAAGGAAUCCUAUAAUUGGUGGAUUACAAGGAGAUUUUGGGAAUUUAGAUAACAAAUAUCUAAAGCAAAAUAUCUCAAAAUAUUGGUGGCAAAUAUCAAGAAGUUUCAGGAGAACACAACAGCACUGUGCAGAAUGGCUGCUCUCCCAUCCGGCGUCAGAAUUCCGGAAGUGAACUUUCGGGUGGAAAGUGCACGGCAGCCAGUGCAAAAUGGUGGCGCCUAUCCGAGUACAAAUUGGUGGCAGCUGGGUACAAAAUGGCGGCGCGCAUCCGGGUACAAUUUGGCGGCAUCCGGGUACAAUUCCUACCCGAAAAUGUUUGUCCAGAUGCCCUCCGAUGGUAUAUCCGGAUACCCUGUCCGGGUAUACUCCUUGCAUGGAUUCCAAAGAACUCUCCUUAAUCUUGGAUUGCUUUGGUGAUCAAAAAGGCUAUCAAAACACCAAAACUUAACACAUUUUUUAUUAGAAUUGAUUGCAAGGGUCCUUAACAUGCCAAUUGAGUUAAAAGGUGAUAACUACUACUCAAAAGUGUUUAGAAGAUUUAAUUACAAGCUAUGAAAUAGCACUUUUUGAGUAGUAAUCAGUGGUUGUUGGCAUCAAGUGAUUGUGAGUAUCUAUGGGACACAUCCUAAUGGAUGAGACGCUAACAUAGUGGUUAAAUAGUCACACAGAUGUCUUUGGAAGACUAUUGCACAAGUUUUUCAGGGUUCCUCCCCAUAUAUUCGUCUUGUGGUGGGGAAUGAGGAGAGAAUCCGUUUUUGGGAAGAUAUUUGGUGGGGUGACCAACCUUUGUGCUCACAUUUACCUAGUCUUUAUAAAAUUAUUUCUAUGGUAAACCCCACCAUUUCAAUUGUCUUUAGCAAUUCCUAUCCACUCUCUUAGAAUUUUAAACUUUUGUCGCAAUCUCAAUUAUGUAGAAAUUGAACUCCUUAAGAGACCGAUGUCCUCCCUUAGUUCAAUGCAUUUAUCCAUUUCUGUGGCAAAUUCAAAAGCUUGGUCUUUGUCCUCUCCAAGCUUGUUUACUGUUAAAUCUUUUUUCUUGGCUUUGUCCAAUUUCUCAAAUCUCGCCUUAUUCCUUCUAGUUGGAGAUCAAAAGCCCUUUCAAAGGUUAAGGCCCUUGCUUGCUUAGUAGCACAUAGGAAGGUAAACACCAAUGACAUGCUACAGUUGAGAAGACCCUACAAAUCCCUUUGUCCUCAAUGGUGCAUUUUAUGCAAAGGAAAUGGAAAAUUGAUUGACCACAUUUUUCUACAUUACCCAUUAAUUAUUGGGCUAUGGCACAAGCUCCUCAACCUAACAAGGUUGGAUUGGGUUCCACCAAGGAGUAUUGGAGACAUAAUGAUUAUUUCUUUUAAAGGUUUAGGGAAUUCAAUCAGAGAUAAGACAUUUUGGAAAAUUUCUUGCUUCACCUUAUUGUGGAUUAUGUGGUAAGAGAGAAAUGCUAGGAUUUUUUAGGAUAAGGGGAGACUAGAAGAAAUGUUAUAGGAUUUACUUCACUUCUAUUCCUCUCAAUGGGCCUCUUGUACUGUUACUUUUAGAGGAGUUCCUCCUAGUGUUAUACAAUUGAAUUGGCUCGCAAUUUGUGAUUCAAAAGUUUGAGAUAGUUAGGGGUUUUCUUUAUAUAUAGUUUUGUAUAAAGGGGUGUCUUCUUACUUUGAUCAGAUUUUUUAUUUUGAGAGUAGGAUCUUUCAUCCUUUUCUUAUACCUUUACUAUUAUUAAUAUAAUUUUAUUUCAUUUCUAAUAAAAAAAAUGAUACUUAUAUUGGUUAAGAAUCAAAUAGGUAAAUAUAUUUAUAUUCUUCAUUGUCUUACUAUUACCUUGUUUUUUGCCUUUUGACUUAUGCUAAAAGGAGUCCUAUUGUCGUGACAUUGCCUUUUGCUUUGAACAACACUAUCUUAGAUACAUCUUUUUGAGGUUAUCACAAAUGAUGGCAUUGAUAUACAAUGGAUUCAAGUAGUAGUUUGUCAACCUUCUCCCUCUACAGCAAAUAAUAAAUAACUAAAAUUAUUAUUUGCCUACACAACUGAGCCACAUUCAUAAAACAUUAAGGAUAAAUGAAGGUACGCAAUAGGUAAGAUCUAUUAAGAUAAUAGAAAUGAAUCGAUCAUACACAGGUGAAAUUUAACUUCCAAGUCUUAUAUGGUAAACUCUACAUUUCAUAAACAAAUGUCUUUUAUUUUUUUCCUGAUAGGUAGUUCAGUAAAUGAAGUUAUUAUAAGUAUGUCACGAGAAUGGUAAAGAGAGAUAAGAAAUCCAACAAAGAAAUAUAAGCAAACAAUAAGUAAAAUAUAAUCAUGAGAAUGGUAGAAAGAACUGAUAAUUCGACCAUCAACAUUACCACCUUUACAAAUGCAAGAGAUAGAACAAUGUUUACCAUCUUUUAAGUUUAAUUAAUGAAUGCUAAUAAAUCCUCCUUAAAACCUUUCCUAGAAAAUGGAGAAAAAAAACCAUAUAAAAAGUUACCUCUUGAGAAACAUCAGCUUUCUCCAUUUGAACAAAAACUUUAGAUCUCUACCUUUUCAAACUAAGCUUCUAGAAAGAUGACAUAGACUUCUUUUUUUCUAAAAGUUUUGUAAGAAAAAUAUAAGACUUCUUUCCUUUGGUUUCUUUUCAAUAAAAUCUUUCUUUAUGUUCUAAUCCAAAUCCUCAAAUCCAAUCCAUUUCUUUCCAUCUAAUUUUGUUUGGAACUCAAAAGCCCCUUUAAAGGUCAAGACCUUUGCUUGGUUGGUGGUACACAAGGUAAAAUAUGUGAGAAAAUCCUACAAAUCCCUUAAUCUGCAUUAGUGCAUUUUAUGCAAAGGAAGUGGAGAAUCGUUUGACCAUCUUUUUCUAUAUUGUCCAUUAACUUUGGGUCUUUGGCAUAAACUCUUCAAUUUAGCCAAUUUGACUUGGGUGUAACCGAGGAGUAUUGGAAAUAUGAUGUUUAUCUCUUUUAAAGAAUUGGGGUUUUCAUUGAGAGGUAUGACCCUUUGACAAAUUGCUUGCCUCACUAUUAUUUGCAUCGUGUGGCAAGAGAGAAACACUAGAAUUUUUUAACAUAAAUGGAGAAUGGAAGAGACGUUGUGGGAUAUACUUUAUUACUACUCCUCUCUUUGGGCCUCAUGUUCCAUCUCUUUUAGGGGAGUUCCACUUAAUUUUCAACCAAGUUGACUUUCAAUUUGUAAUUCAUAGUGGAACAGUAUACUCUUACUUUGAUUAGGUUUUGUAUUUUGAGAGAAUAACCCUUUUUCCUUCUCUCUUUCUUUUAAUCAAUAAAAAUUCAUCUUUAUUUCUGAUAAAAAAAAGGAAAAAAGAAAAAAAAAAUAGAGGACUUCUUUUAACACCAUUCCCUGAUCAUACAACUUGGUCUAAUAUAAUGUGUAACAAAAAGCACUACUAACCAUUAUAUAAACAUGAUGAUCAGGACGUCUCUCAUCCCAUUUGCACUAUCACUCAAAUCUCGCCAUUGCAUCCCAUCAGUCCCCAUAUGAUUCACUUUAAAAGAGUAUUGCACAAACUCAUAUAAACCCCAGUAUAGAGAAAAACCACGAUACAACUCCAUAACUAUUAUCCAACCAUUUGCAAUAAGAAAAAAAUAAUGUUUCAAAAUAAUUAUUGCAAAACAUCACAAAGCAAUGCCACCAAAAUAACCUAACAAAAUUGACAUCUUUAAAUAAUCGGUAAAAACAUUCAACUAAUGUUUUUUAGAUAACAUAAGAUGUUGGAAUAAUGGAAAACAACAAGAACAUAACAUACCAUGUUAUAUUAUCAAAUGAUUCAAGACACAGAAAGAGAUUUUGAAUUGUAUAAUAUAAAUACUAACAAGAGCAACAAAAAAUAACUUGCAUUGCAAUAGCUCAAAUCUAAGGUAAUAGUGGAAUGACCCUUAAAAAACAUUGAUCCUUAUGGACGGAAUAGAGUUGACACCCAGAGUCCACCAUAAUUUCUAUUUUCCUAAUUGUGUUGCAUAUUUAGUAAGGGUAUUUUGAAAAGUCAAAUAAAAGUUUUGGCACCUUUAUCAAAAGCAUCAAUGAGGAGAGAUCCCAUGAGAAGCUAAAAAUGGGUACUUUUUAUUAUUACUAUUUAUUUCCUUUUGAGGGGUGAGGUUGUUAACCCUUGUAGGUUUGUAGAGUUUUGAUGAAGAGCAAGAGAUUUUAGGCUUUGGCAAGUAUAAAGAGUUCAUAUUGUUGACAUGAGAGGUUUCAGACUUGGAAAUUCAAGCAUGACCACAUUGUCUCAAACAAAAUGGUGUCAUUUUUGUAGCUGUAAAGUCUAAAUGAACUCUCCCUGCAUCUCACAUCAGAGGUUCACUAUUGUGAUGAAACUUUUGUUCAUUGUAAGAAAGAUCCUACCCCCUGCAUUUCAAUGUAGGACAUGUCCCCACACCUAACUCUAAUUGCCACAUGCAUUUGCAUGCAGCCACAUGAAAGAAAUUCCAAAAGUAAUUUAUUGUUGACUCAGACAAGGACCUACCCUACCCAUACAUCUUUGUGUAGUCCCUACCACAUCCCACCAUAACUAGGAUUUGUUGAGGCAGAAUUAGGUGCAUGUUCUGAACCAGUUCUACAAACAAUUUGAAGUCAUUAAAAUCCUUUUCCUCAAGACUAAACCUGAUAUCAACAUAAUUCAUAGUAAUUUGACUAAGAUUAACAAUGAAAUUGAAAUCAAAUUAAAAAAUUUACCAAUAUUAAAACUAAAAUUGACAUAACUUGGAACCAAAAAAAUAAGUUUUAACCACAUAGAAGUAGAAUUGGCCCUUUAGAAGAAGUCAAUUAGAACACAAAUUUCUAUCAAGAAAUGAUAUGCUAAAAGAAACAUGAUCAAAGUACAUUCAGAAAGCCAUGAGAACUUAUUGUCAGACCUUAUUUUCAAAAUGUCUUCCACUUACUUGGGAAUGAUGUAUCUUGAACAAAGAACUAAAAAAGAAAGCUUCCUAAGAGCCCUAUUCCAAAGACGUAAAUAUAUCCAACUACUACAAUCAUCAAAUUUCCAUGAGAACAUUUGUUAGUUAAGCAAGUGUUUAGGGGAUAAAAAACAAGAUCUUGCCCACAACUAUAAAUGACAUCAAUUAGUCGUGGCCCAACCUGUGGUAGCCUUAAUGUUUGUAAAUGUUGGAACUACUAGAAAGGCCAGCGAAAUUUGCCAAUUUAUAAUAUAUAAAGUAAAACACAAGUUAGAUGUUGUAGUCAUUCAAAGUGAAGAAUUUAAAACCUGCAAAGAAGUCAAAUGCUUUGUAAACAAAAAAAACAAACAGGAAAAAAAGAGAGAGACUUUUAUCCAACCAUUUUAUUUUUCUUAUUGAAAGUGGUUUAUUCAUGUAAAAUGAAAAUUAUAUACAAAACAUUGAGAUCUACCACACAAUUUCUCCAGGAAACAUGGGAACAUGAAGUGGAGUUAAAUUCAUGUGCCUUAAAUUUCUUGAUAAUCUAUCAUACACAUAGUUCACUUUCAUUUACUAGAACUCUUUGUUUUCUUUGCGGGCCAAUGAAGUAACACUAGUCAAAAGGCUCAAAUUUGUUUGGGAAAUCACCAUACUUGUGUGGUAGUUGCACUGAACCAUGUUAUAAAUGUGGUUGUCAAUCUGGAUUAGAGAUAAACAACUCAAAUUAGGGAAAUUGUAUAAAUGUUUUCCAAGGAAAAACAGUUGAAAUCCAAAAGCAAAAAAGGCAAUGCACCAUCAUUAUGAGUUAAAGGCUACACUCAAUCCUGCCUUUCCAUUUUCCAUAGACCAUCAGCAAUUUUUGCAGCCACAUCUAAUAGUAUAGUCAUUCUAUUUGCCCCCAUAUCCUACAAACACUACCCAAAAAUCAAAUUAGGAAAGUUAUAUUGACAAAAAAUUCUUGAAAUUUUUGAAGACAUGCUUAGGACUAGUAAUGUGGUGUCAUAAAUUUUUUAGUUGUUUUGAAUGUUUCAAAGUUGUUGUUGCUAGCUUUUAGGUGUUGGUUGUUUUUCUAUUUUGCAUGUUUUGUUCAUGGCUUAAUCCUUUGUCCAUGUUUAUAGUGGGUAGUUGUCGAUUAAGUUUUUAUUAUAAUUUCUGAUUAUUAAUAAAUUAUUGUUGUUCUAGUUUCUUUUACUUCUACAAUAUCUUUGUAUUUUUCUUCAUCCUUGUUUUUUCUAUAAAAAAAAAAAAAAGUACAAUUGGUAUCAGUGUUUCUACUCUUAAGGGACCAGUGGUGUUUAGGUUGAGUUCUCAAAGAUGCCAUGGAAGCUAAAUCAAGCUUUUCUUCAAUCGCUUCUCCAGUCUUCGAUGGUGACAAUUAUCAAUUCUAGGUCAUUACGAUGGAGACAUACCUUGAUGCUAUGGACCUCUAUGAAGCUAUGGAAAAGGAUUAUGAAAUCAUUUCUCUUCCAAACAAAUCUGAUGAUGGCUCAGAUUAAGCAUCACAAGGAAAGCAAAACAAAGAAGUCUAAGGCAAAAGCCUACUUGUUUGUUGUCGUUUCUUCCACAAUCUUCACUCGCAUCAUGUCAUUAAGAUCAACAAAGGUGAUAUGGGAUUAUCUCAAGAUGGAAUACGAGGAAGAUGAAAGAAUAAGAGGAAUGCAAGUUUUGAAUCUAAUUCGGGACUUUGAGUUGCAGAAGAUGAAGGAGACUGGAUCCAUCAAAGAGUAUUCUGAUAGGUAGCUUAACAUUGCAAACUAAGUUAGAUUACUUGGUUCUUCCUUACCAGACUCAAGGACAGUUGAAAAAAAUCCUUGUGACAGUGCCUGAAAGAUUUGAGGCAUCCAUUACAACCUUAGAAAACACUAAGGACUUCUCAAUGAUCACACUCGCAGAGCUUUUAAAUGCACUACAAGCACAGGAGCAAAGAAGAGUUAUGAGUCAGGACGGUGCUAUCGAGGGAGCUUUACCAAUCAAGCAUCACGUGAAUGCAAGAAAUAACAAGAACAAAAAGGGGAAAACAUCAAGGCUCAAAUGGAGAAUAAACAACCAACAACAAUAAGAGCAAAGCUGGAAACAAAAAAGAACAGCAUCCUCUGUGUCAACAUUGUGGUGGAAAAUCUCAUCUGCAUUUCAAAUGCUGGAGAAGACCUAACACCAAGUGCACCAAAUGCAACCAGAUGGGGCAUGAAACUGUCAUCUGCAAAAACAAAAAUCAACAACAUGGUAAAGAGGCACAUGUUGCUGAUCAAGUGGAGGAUCAACUGUUCGUGGUUGCAUGUUUCUCUAGCAUGGAAUCAAAUGAGAGUUGGCUCAUUGACAGUGGUUAUACUAGGCUCUAAAUGGAAAAAGAAUGACUUUGGGUCAUAAAUGAAAAAUGACUCUUGGUCAUGAGUGAUUCGUGCCCAAUUGGUGUCUCAGCUGAUUCGUGUCCAGCUGGUGCUCCUUGAUUGAGGGAGUAAUCAACAAAAUUUAUAACCUAUUACACCAUGAACUAGGGUAGCAAAGACAAAGCUACUAUAGCAUAGUGGCUCUAGGAUCGUUCACUGGGAUGUGUUUUCACUUCACAAAUGAUAUUAAUUCAAAGCUGAAUUGGUGCCUUUUCAUUUCAAGGUUAUCUUUAAAAGAAAACAUAAAGAUGUUUGAAUGAAAAAGUUUGGUUUUAAACUAACCACAAAAAGUAACUGAUUUUACUUACAAAGAAAAAUGUUUCUUGGAGUUUCAGAUCACUAGGCUCAGAUUCCUCAUACAAAAAGGGAGUUCUGGUCACUUGUUUCUUUUCCUCGCAUUAGAGAAUUAACAUAUAGUUAAUUCUCUAAUCGGUAUUGUACAGAUGCUUCCCAUUAAUGGGUUCAAACACUAAAUCCCUCUCACUGAUGCAACUUGCAAUGGCUCAUGCCUCUUACCUAGCACUUGCCAUUCAAGAUGAUCUUUAACCUUGGAUUACCCGUCAAAAGCUCUCAAGAGAUAACUAAUGGAUGUCUCCUUGGAGUCCAAAAGCUUACCAAGUGUUGGCUAUUCUAGAAAAUCCUACCUUCAAGUCACCUCCCAAAAGCUCGCAAGAGAUAAACUAGUGCAUCUCCAUGGACGGAGAUCACUUGCCUUACCAAGUGUUGGCUCAGGUGAAUUAAAGGCGUUUUAAGUUAACUAAAAAGAUAAAAACCAUUAACGGGUCACACUUUCUCUUCAUUAAAAACUAAAACAACAAAACUUCCAAUUUAUGCAUGCGGAAACUUACCCGGAUUUCCUCACUCCAAGAGACGAAAAGCCUAGCCUCUCAUCCUCUGAGGAAAAAUCCUCAGAGUUUGGUUAACAAGAAAAUGAAAAUGAAAGAGAAGGAAAAACAGAGCAAGGCUUUGUAUAUUCUAUAUAUUUAUAUAUCUAUCUCCCGUCGGAUUACAUGAUGAUUUUGAGAAAAAGCUCCCGAGAGCUAUAUAUAAAGAAAAUUACAAAACAAAAUAUCUGAAGUUAUUCACCCCUUUUCCAAACUUAAUAACUAAGGAAUCCUAUAAUUGGUGGGUUACAAGGAGAAGAAUGGAAAUUUAUACAAAAAUAUCUGAAGAAAAAUAUCCAAAAGUGUCUGUCGCAACUAUCGGGAAGCUUCAGGUGAACACCCGUGCACUGUGCAAACUGGCUGCGAAAUUCUCGCAACAAAAGGCUGAUUUCGCAGCCGUGCAAAAAUCUUCCUUCAGCUUGGAGUGAUCUUCUUGCAAUGGCUGUAACUCCUUCUUUUCAACUCUGAAUCGCGCACCGUUUGAAGCAUUAGAUUUUUAACUUCCUGAGCUUUGAAAUGGUAUAUAGCAUGUAGAAAAUGGACUUCGGUAAGUGCUCCAAAAGUGGCUGACAUUACUGUCAUCAAGAAUACUUCAUGGCAGAUUUCUCUUUGCUUCCCCUCCUUGCAUUCCGGAUUUGCUUAUGGAAAAGGACUUCAAAGCUUUGGUUCUUCAUGUUUCUGAGCUUUCCAUUGCUUUGCCAUGGAUUCCAAAGAACUCUCCUCAAUCUUGGAUUGCUUUGGUGAUAAAAAAACUAUAAAAACACCAAAACUUAACACAAUUUGAUUAGAAUUGAUUGCAAGGGUCCUUAACAUGCCAAUUGAGUUAAAAGGUAAUAACUACUACUCAAAAGUGUUUAAAAGAGUUAAUUACAAGCUAUGAAAUAGCACUUUUUGAGUUGUAAUCAAUGAGCUCUAGGCUCUAAAUGGAAAAAAAUGACUCUAUGUCAUAAAUGAAAAAUGACUCUCGAUCUUGAGCUUUGUGCUCUAAAUGGAAAAAAAAAAUGAAUCUGGGUCGUAGAUGAAAAAUGAAUCUGGGUCAUGAGCUCUGGGCUCUAAAUGGAAAAAAAAACACAUGACAAGGAUCUAUUCAAGGAACUAAGAAACACAAACACAUCGAAGGUUCGAAUUGGAAAUGACUAGUACAUAACCGUGGAAGGAAAUGGAACUGUUGCAAUUUCAAGUUGUUCAAGUACAAAGCUCAUUUCUGAUGUGUUGUAUGUCCCUGAAAUAGAUCAAAAUUUGUUAGGCGAUGGACAACUAAUUGAAAAGGAUUAUAAAGUUGUGUUUGAAGACAAAAGUUGCUUGAUUAAAGAUGUGGUUGGCCAAGAUAUUUUCAAGGUAAAAAUGAGAGGGAAAAGUUUUACUCUAAAUCCAUUAGAGGAGGAGCAAACUGCUUUCCCAAUCAAAGAAAAUAUCAUAGAUGUGUGGCACAAAAGGCUUGGGCAUUAUCAUCAUUAGGGGCUAUUACAAAUGAAAUCUAAGAUGAUGGUGAAUGACCUUCCAGACCUUGAUGAUCACAUUCUAAAUUGCAAAGCAUGUCUGUUUGGAAAGCAAAAUAGAAAACCAUUCCCCAAGGCGGCAUAGAGAGCAUUAAAGAAGCUGCAAUUGAUUCAUUCAAACAUUGCAGACCCUUAAAGAACACCUUCUCUAAAAGACAGUCUUCAUUAUGUUGUAUUUAUUGAUGAUUUUACUCAAAUGUGUUGGAUUUUUUUUUAAAGCAUAAAUUGGAGGUAGCACAAGUCUUCUAGAAAUUUAAAGUCAAAGUUCAAAAUGAGAGUGGUUGUAGAAUUCAAACACUCAUAUCAAAUAAUGGCAAGGAAUACACAUCUGAAUCAUUCAAUCGAUUUUGCAAGCAGGCAAACAUUCAACAUCAAUUUACCACUCCAUAUACUCUACAACAAAAUUGAGUAAGUGAAAGACGGAACAGAUACAUUUUGGAGAUGACAAGAUGUAUGUUACAUAAGAAGAAUCUACUUAAGCAGUUUUGGGCAGAAGUAGCAUACACAAUUGUCUUCUUGCAAAACAGGCUUCCCACAAGAGCAGUGAAGGAUCAAACACCCUUUGAGGCGUGGUAUGGCUAUAAACCAUCCUUACACUUUUUUAAAAUAUUUGGUUGUUUGUGCUUCACUCACAUUCCACAAAUCAAGAGAGAUAAGUUGAAUAAAAGAGCACUUCUAGGCAUCUUCAUUAGUCACAGCUUAGUUAUAAAAGCUUAUAAUGUUUUUCAACCAUAAACUGGAAAUAUUGUUAUAAGCAAGGAUGUGCACUUUGUGGAAAAUGAAAAAUGGAACUGGGAAGAUGCAAAAUAGAAUAAUGGAGAUUAGCAGAAUGACAUGGUAUAUGAUGUUUCGGUUAGAGGCACGAGGUUGCUUUCUGAUGUAUAUCAAAGAUGCAAUAUUGUUGUAUGUGAACCUGUAGACUAUGAAAAAGCAAUGAAGAAUCAGAAUUGGAUGAUUGCAAUGAAGGAGGAGCUAUCAAUGAUGAAAAAAAAAAACAAAACAUGGAUUCUUGUUGAAAGGCCUAGAGAUAGGAAGGUGAUUGGAGUUAAAUGGGUGUAUAGAACUAAGCUUAAUGUUGAUGGUUCUAUUAAAAAAAAAAAAAAAAAAAAACAAGACUUGUUGUGAAAGGUUAUAAUCAAAUUUUUUGUGCGGACUACUUGGAUACCUUUGCUCCAGUUGCUUGAUUAGAUACCAUCAGGUUGCUGCUUGUUGUAGCUGCUUAAAAGGAUUGGAGAGUGUAUCAACUCAAUGUCAUGUACCUUCUUAAAUGAUUACUUGAGGAAAAAAUCUAUGUUGAGCAACUUGAGGGCUUUGUGAAGAAAGGAGAAGAAUACAAGGUUUAUCUUCUCAAGAAGGCUCUUUAUGGCCUGAAACAAGCUCCAAGAACUUGGUAUAGCAGAAUCGAUGAACAUUUGUUGAAUUUAGGAUUUGCUAAAAGCUUAUCUGAAUCAACAUUGUAUGUCAAGCACAACGGAGCUGGCAUUCUUAUCAUCUCACUGUACGUGGAUGAUCUGCUUGUGACUGGGAACCAAACUAGUCUUGUGGAGAAGUUUAAGCUAGAGAUGAUGGAAUUUUUUUAGAUGGUGGAUCUAGGUUUGAUGAAUUUUUUCCUUGGAAUGGAAAUCAAAUAGAGUGAACAUGAAGUUUUUAUUUGUCAAAAAAAAUACGCCAAAGAGAUACUUAAGAAGUUCAAAUUAGAUGAAUGCAAGGAGAUAAGAACUCCUAUAAAUCAAAAGGAGAAGCUCAGUAAAGAUGAUGGAACUGACAAGAUUGAUCAUGCAUAUUUUAGAAGCAUGAUUGGUUGCUUGAUGUAUUUCAUAGCAACAAGGCUUAACAUCUUGAAUGUUGUAAGCAUUUUGUCUCAUUUUAUACAUUGUGCAAGUGAAAUUCAUCUCAAGGUAGCAAAGAGGGUGAUUAGAUAUGUUAAAGGCACCUUUGACUUUGGCAUCAAAUUUACGAGAAGCAAAGAGUUCGAGUUGGUUGGUUUUUCAGAUAGUGAUUGAGGAGGCUCCAUUGAUGAUAUGAGGAGUACUUCAGGUUACUGUUUCACUUUUGGUUAUGGUUUUUUCUCUUGGUGCUUGAAAAAAACAAGAAAUUAUAGCCUAAUCUACAAUUGAAGCAGAGUUUAUUGUUGCCACAACUACAACAAAUCAAGCUAUUUGGCUAAGGAAGAUCUUAAAUGAUCUUAACAUGGAGCAAAAGGAAAGCACGAAGAUACUUAUUGAUAACCAAGCUAUCAUUGUUAUCUCUCAUAAUCCUGUGUUUCAUGGGAAAACUAAGCAUUUUAAUAUUAAGUUAUUCUUCUUAAGAGAAGUGCAGAAAGAUGGAGAUGUGAUUCUUCUCUAUUGCAAAACAAAAGAUCAGGUUGUGGAUGUUUUCACCAAGCCACUGCAAGUUAGCAAAUUUGAAUUUCUAAGGACAAAACUUGGUGUUUGCAAUUCUUGAAGCAAGGAGGAGGGUUGAAGAUGUGCUUAUGACAACUAAUGUGGUUUCAUAAAUUUUUUAGUUGUUUUGAAAGUUUAAAGUUAUUGUUGUUAGCUUUUAGGUGUUGAUUAUUUUCUGUUUUGCAUGUUUUGUUCAUGGUUUAAUCCUUUGUCCACGUUUAUAGUGGGUAGUUGUUGAUUAAGUUUUUAUUAUAAUUUCUGAUGAUUAAUGAAUUAUUGUUGUUAUGGUUUGUUUUACUUUUUCAAUAUCUUUCUAUUUUUCUUCAUCCCUAUUUAAAAAAAAAAAAAAAACUAUAGAAAUCAACAUAAAUCAUGUGGUUUGUUCAUCAUGCUAAUUAAAGAUUUUUUUAACAACAUAGAGCAACAAUCAACUUCACUAAAGCUACCUGCAUCAAGUGCUUUAUUCAACUAUAAAUAGGUUUCAAUAUGAAGAGAAUUUCCCUUAUCCAAUUUAUGUUGCAUGUUUAUUAUAUCGAGACAUCUUUGCAACAAAAUAGAUUAACAUUCAACUUACUUGAUAUGUGAUCAAAUCCAAAUUAACUGCCUACACAACCUGUCUUCAGAUUUUGCAAUUAAUAACAUAGGCUAGGAACCCAGCCAUGGGAUCUAACACUACAAACUACAACCAAUAAAAUAGAUAUAGGAAACAAUUAUUGUCAGAAUCAAAGGAUAAAUGAAUAAGGCUACAUUGUGGUGAGAAAGAAUAUGAACACAUGUUCCAUUGAGUCCAUUUCAUAUAAUGUUAGACAUGUCCUAAUGGAUUAAAUGUCAUUAGCAAAGACAUCAAAAGUAUGAUGAAAAAGAGGAAGUCCAGUAGUAAUCAUUAAUAUAAACUAGUCUAUGAUGCAAGUUAAUGUGGAAUAUUGUCUUGACCUUACAAAUUCUUCUAAAUUGGAUUUUUUUUUUAAAAGCACAAAUAAUGACAUUCAUUAUGGGAUCAUACUUAGCUACCACACAUGCUAGCUAGAGUUCAUGCAUGGACGAGUGGGAGUUAAUAGUAGGCAUCAAAUGGAACUUGUCCCUUAGAUGUCAUCUAGGAUCCUAAACUUGAAGUCUAAGAGUUCCCUUUUAGGUUUAACACCAUUGGUCAUAUAGCCUAAAGAAUUGGAAGACUAACAAAUUCAGAAAUGUAAUGAGAUAUAGUUGGCAUAUGAAAGUGAUAACCUUGAAGUCAAGAUCAUUCAAUCAACCAAACAAUGAUCUAAAGGCAUUUUAAGUAGGAGCCAAGGAGCACAGUGGCUCAGGAAGAGCCACGAAGAUGUCUUCUUUCGAUAAGGAAUAGUUAGAUCAACUUUACAAACUUUUCAAUCUAUACAAUUCUCAAACAACAUGUCUUCCUUUUAUUCUUUGACCUAAAAAGGUUACUACUAUCAAGUUAUUGAAUUUAAUGUAUUUGCUACUUCUAGUUGUCCAAGGAUCACAAAUUCUAAUGCAACUAAUCAUAAGACUAGGUGUGCUAAAUUAAUUUUCUCUCAUAGUUCGUGCAUAGGAAACCAGAAAAUCAAGACAAUUGAUGGUUCUCUUUUAGCAAUUGCUAGGAAAUGAUCAAUAGCUAUUUCAAAAUCUCUUAUUCUUCAUAAAUGUGAAAUAUUUGUUUCCAAAUUUUUCAAAAAUAAAAACCCAUCAGAAUAUGAAGUUGAAGUGUGAAUUUGGAGAUAAACAUGUAUCCCACACAAACAAUGAAACAUGUAAUCAUUCAAAAAGAGGGUAGUUAUGCAACACAUAGUCAUGCAAAAUAGAUAUAUACCAAUAGAAGCGAAUACAAACAAGAGCAGAUAUAUAUAUAUAUAUAUAUAUAUAUGAACAGAUAUAGACAAGCAUAAGCAGAUAUAAACAAACAUGAACAUAUAUAAACAUGAACAGAUACAUGCAAACACAAACAUAUAUAUAUAUAAGCAAAUACACACAAAUAUGAGCAGAUGUAUACAAGCAUUAGAAGAUAUAUAUAAAUAAGCACAAGCAGAUAUAUACGAGUAUGAGUAGAUAUAAGCAUGAAUAGAUGUAAAUACAAAUAGAAAUAAAUAUGAGUAGAUAGAUACAAGCAUAAACAAAUGUAAAAAGAUAUACACAUGUGUGAGUAAACAUAUAUAAGAUAAACAGAUAUAAACAAGCAUGAGUAGAUAUGCACCUAAACAAAUAUAUAAAAAUAAGAAUGAAGAAAUAAAUAAAUAAAUGGUGAGAUACAAUAAUACACAUAUACUAUAUAGAUACAAAAUAAUCAUGUCAGACUCUCACAUGCCCUAAAACACACAAGCAUACAACAAAGGCACAAUGAGAGGGUAUCCACUGAUCGACUAAUCAAAUAUCAUAUUUCCUUCAACUCAAGUUCAAGAUUGAUUUUCUAUGAAGCCAAAGAUUUUGGGUUCGAUCCCUAGUAGAUUCGCUAAUUUGUGGACUCACAUUUUUCAUGUGCACUCCCACUCAAUGGCGAGACUUGCUUUUUAUUGUGAGAAACUGAUUUUUAAGGGAAAAAAAUUAAAGUCGCCACUUAUUUUUAUUAUCUUUUUAAAGGAAAAUAAAAUAAAAAAAUAAAACCCUAAGAAAAAUGACUCUUCAAGUUUUGAAAAAGACUGUCUUUGAAAAACUUAUAUCUAAGUCUGGGGAUCAGGUUACCUAUUAGGAAGAUACAUUGAUUAAGCAAUAGCACUCCACUAAGCUCGUAUAUCUACGAUCUUUAUUAAGCGAAUGGAGGGAAUCAUGUCAAUUGAUUGAUUAAUUAAGGUUACCAAUAAUAGGACAACAAGAUACAUAUAAGUCAUGAGGUGGAAAAAGAGUACACAAGAAUGUACACAAUUAAUGAAUGUGAAAAGCACAAAAUAAAUUUUAAUUAUUGGUUAAAGUUGCAACAUUUCAAAGGAAUUUCAGAAGAAAUUUAUUUUUAUUGGUAAUAAUUCUCAAUUAAAGAUUUCAAACUUAUUUACUCACAAAGUUUCAAUUUAUUUACAAAAUAUUCGAUUUUUAUUCACAUCUAAAAUUAAUUAAAAAAAAUUCUUGAUUUUGAUUGAAUUCGAACUUAUUAAAGAGAAGAGUUUCAAUUUGAUUUUCUAUUUAUAAAGAAAUGAUUUUGGCUUACACUUUAUUAGAAAAGCAAGAUUUUGCAAUUAUAAAGAAACAUCAAUUCUAUUUUUGGAAAAAUGAUUUUUACAAGGAAAAGAGUUUAAUUAUUUGAAUUCUAAGAACAAAAUUUCAAUUUACUAAGAAAACAAAUUUUUACAACUUUUAUUAACGAAAAAUAUUUCCAAAUCAAAUUUAUCUGGAAAGAGAAAUUUUUACAACUUUUAUUUUCGUUAGAUUUUUAUUAAAACAAUUUUCAAGAUUUUUUUUUAUUAAAAAAAUUUUUGGAACUUGAUUCAAACCAUUUUGAAAUUCUUCAUUAAAAUAAAAUUUAGAAUUUUUAUUAAGCAAACUUUUGGAACAUUUUAUCAAACAUAAACUUAGAGAACUUUAAUUUAAGACAAUUUUUUUAAGAAACUUUAAUUUAAAACAAAUUUUAGAGACUUUGAUUAAAACACCAACUUUGAGAAAAUUUACUAAAACACUUUGUUAAUUUUUUAGACUAACUUUAAGGGUUUUUAUUAAACAAAUUUUAGAAUUUAUUUAAGACAAACUUUGAGAAUUUAUUAAGACAGUCAUUAAAACUUCUAAUACUUUUAUGGAAACAAACUUUAAGUAAAUUUAAAAGGCAUAACUUUGAGAACAAUUAUUAAAACAUUUAUUUUGAAAAUUUUAAUUAAACCAAAUUUGAGAACUUUCAUGAUUACGACUUUUAUGAAAACAAACUUUGAGGAUAUGUAUUUAAACACUUAUUUUGAGAAUUUGCAUUAAACAAACCUUAUUUUUUUUAAAAACAAUUUUUUAAAGAACAUUUAUUAAAACACAAUUUUCAAUUAACAAAGUUAUUAUAAAAUGACUUUCUAAAGAACAUUUAUUAAAACACAAUUUUAUGCAAACAAACUUAAUAAAAAAACGAUUUUCUAAGGGACAUUUAUUAAAACACAAUUUUUAGCUAACAAAUUUAUUUAAAACCAAUUUCUAAAGAACAUAUAUUAAAACACAAUUUUCAACUAACAAAUUUAUUAAAAACUGUUUUUUUAAAAGAAUAUUUAUUAAAACACAAUUCUCAAACUUAUUAUAGAAAAUGAUUUUCUAAAGAACAUUUAUUAAAACACUUUUUUCAUAAUUUUCAUUAAAUGGACUAUACAAAUUUUGAUGAUUUGUAUUAAAAAAACAAAUUUCUAGAUUUAUUAAAACACAAAUUUUUGGAUUAUUAAAUUUAAAUCCAUUUUCUAAAUAUAUUUUAAAAAAUCAAUUUCUUGAAUUAUUUUAUUAAAAAAGGAAUUUUAUGAAUUUAUUUAAAAAAUGAUUUUUUUAAUUAUUUAUAUUAAACUAAAUUACUGAAUUUAGUAUAAAAAAAAAACAGUUCUUCCAAAUUAUUUUAUUAAAACAAAUUUUCUACAAUUUAUUGAAUAAAAUAAAGAAAAACUCAAGCAAUAAAGAUAAGUUAAAACCCAAACAUGGCAAGAAAUGAAAUAUGAGACAAAAAAGACUAACAUAAAUAGAAUUAUAGAAAAUUUAAGAUAAAGUGAAAUAUGAGGUAACAAGAUUAACAUAAAUAAAAUUACAAAAAUUUAAAAUAGAAUGAAUUAUGAGACAACAAGACUAACAUAAACAGAAUUAUAAAAAAAUUAGGACAAAAUUUACACAAAUAUAGAAAACUUGAAACAAAAUACAAUACGUAUAAUAACACAUGUCAACACAUUUCAAUAGAAUAAUAAAUAAAAAUGACAAACAUAUAGAUGAGCUGAAAAGUUUAGGUAAAUGUGCAUACAUUCAAAAUGUAGAGUAUAAUGAACAGAUAACCCAACCAAGUAGAGAACUGAAUAAAAGAGAUGGACAAAAUAUUCAACUACCAAAAUGCUCACAAAUAUAAUAAAUAUAAAACAAUAUUAAUCUAAGAAAUCCUAAAAAGAACAUAAACAAAAUACAAAUAAAGAGAUGAGGAAGAAAUAACUUACCUAAAUGGAACCCUAAAUCAAUCAGGCCUCUCCAAACCUCCAAAAGCAACUCCAAGAUACAAUUACAGUAUAAAAAAAUAAAAAAUAAAUAAAAAUGGACAACCCCAAAGUAAAUACACAAUAAGGAAAAACUCUUUCUUAUUAACGAUAUACAAUAAAGAAAUAAAGAAUCUCCAAAAAAAAAAAAAAAAAAAGAACCAAAAAAAACAAAGUAAUGACACUUCUUCUCUCUUUAGCCGUCCUAUUUGCUUAGGGUUUGUUUGCCCUUUAAAUACAAUUUUUAAGACUUCCUCUCUAAGAAAUCCCAUGGGCCCACAACCUAAAAUUUAAAUACCUACAACCCAAUUAAAAUAAAAUAACCCAAACCCAUAACUUAAAAUCUAAAUAUUCACAAUCCAAUUAAAAUAAAAUAACUCGAACCCACAACUUAAAAUCUAAAUACCCACAACCCAAUUAAAAUAAAAUAAGCCAAGCCCAAUUAAAAUAAAGUAACCGAGGCCCACAACAUAAAAUCUAAAUACCCACAACCUAAAUAAAAUAAAAUAACCCAAGCCCAAUUAUAAGGAAAUUUGAAUAUCAAUUAUGCAAUUUUUGGAAAAAAUAAAUAAAUUCAACCUCAUGAAAUUUCUAACAAGUAAAUGAAUAGAUAAGUAAAUAUAAAAAAAAAAAUAGACAAAAUAAAUAAAUAAUAUAAAACAACAACAACAAUAAUAAUAUAGACACUAAACACUGCAAUCGAAAUUCAAAUGUUAACUUAGUGUAAUUAAUGAUAAAAAAGAAAUGUCGAAAUCCCACGAGUAAAUAUUAAAAAUUCAAUCCAAGCAAUCAUAAAAUGAAAACAAAAACAAAAAAAAAUCAAGCCCAAUACUCACUUAAACUCAUAAUCAUGUAAUCAAAACUCAAGAAACAAACCUAAGUGCACUAAGCCUAAAGAAUCUAAGUGAACCUAAGAGGGUUGGGUUGACUUACCUAAAAUGUACCCAAGUGAUCUAAAUGGAAAAAUCUAUAUGUGAACUAAGUGGAAUUUAACCUAAAAAGGUGUCUAAAUGGGUGUAGGUGAGCCUAGAUGAGCCUAAGUGGGCAUGGUGUCCUAGGAAAUGCCUAAUUAUGUUGUCUUAAAAAGGAAAGUGCACCUAAAAGGUCUAACUUAAAAGAAAAAGGAAAAAAAAAAACAACCUAGAUCUAAUUUGAGGUUGCCAAUGGUCACAAUGAGGGGCCACAUAAAUCCCUCAACUAAAGUCUAGAAGGUGGCUCAAAAAAGUAAGUUGUAUGAGUAGCAAUGGGCCACCAAGGAACUACUAUGGGCCAUUGGAAAAGCACUUAACAGAGCACAAGAGAAGCACAAGAAUAUACCUAGUAUCUUAUGUACUUGAAUGACAAAAUUGAGGGUUUACAAACAUGAACUCUAUUAGGCGUAGACACGAUCUACACUUGGGUAAACACUACUGGUUGAGAAACAUAUUUGAGCUAUUAGAGAGAUACUGGGCAUUAGGCGAUGAUUCAUGUACUCGCUAAAGUCAUCAAAUAAGUAUUCUGACAUGACCAUGUGUACCAUAGAAGGUUAGUGGAGACAUUGGGUUGAUGAAUCUAAGAAUCCUAUCAAAGAACUAAAUUCAUUAGGUGUACAAGUACUUUAUAGAAAAUCAUUGUCCAUUCGUCGAUACAAUCACAUCAGUUUAGCCAAAGUACUAAGCAAGAUUAACGAGAAAAAUGAUAGGAUGACUUACAAGAAAAAUAGGGUAAUUAUGCUACAAGUAGCACACAACAAGGCCAUUGCAAAUGUUGAGGAACUAAGUGCAGAAGACAAAAAUGAAAUUCUCUCUUUAUCGCAAUGCAAAUCGGACUUUGAAUAACCAAAUGGCUUCAAAAUAAUUGUCUAAUUUAUUUUCCUCCUCACAUUACAACAAGAUCUUAAUAGUGUAUGUGGAUGUCACAAUUUGUCAAUCUUACCACCAACGUUGAUAAGAUUCACAUAUUGCAUGUGUUAGGGAAUCAAAUAUAGUCGUUUUGAAAACCUUGCAGGAUAGUACAAUAGGAAGACAUAGAUUAGGUGAAGUAGACUUUGUUGUGAAAAAAAAUUGAAAUAAAUUUUACAAUUGACUGAAAGUGAUGGUUCGCUACAACACCAUUAUUCAUAUCAAAUCUAACUUCACAAUUACGAUUUUAUCAGUCCCACCUAUCUUAAUUCAAACCUAUAUAUGAUUUUGCUUUUUGUUGUAUUGCAAGUAGACCCUCAAGCCAAUCUUACAAGUAAGCCUUCCAACCAAUCUUCAAAGUCUAUAAAUGAUUUUAUCUUUAAACACCAUUGCUUGGUUCUAUGCACCAUAUAAACACCUUGAUUUACAACGUAGAUUAAGCAUAUUGUUGAGGAAUAUGUAUGUGAAUGAAAUGGCACUUGAUAUUUUUCAUUUAAAUAUGUCUAUCAAUGUUUUAAACAAAUAUGGAUCAAAUCCUACAUGCAUAGAUCUCCUUUGUUUUCAUCAUUAUUAACAAAUACAUGUAUAGUUGUGCUUACAAGAAGGCGUAAAUGGGAAACGAAGACAAGUUCUAUGUUGUUUUUGUUGGGAGGAGACAAAGCGUGUGCACAAUCUUGGCAUGAAUGCUAAGAGCAAGUUGUUCGUUACAAGGGUAUGCUUACAAAUCAUGCAAAACCCAUCAUGAGAUUGUAUUAGCUUGGGUUAUGUACAAACCUUGAUGGAAAAGACCUAAAACAUCAACUCAAUCAUCCUCAAUGAAGAUGUUAAGCAACUAAUUGGGUCACCAAAGGAUGACGAAGUAAUCAAGAGGACCAAAGAUCACAAAACAAAUUUCCUUGGUGCUUUUCUACUCGAAUGUUGUGUAACAUUCACAAUCAUGUUUAUCAUUCAAAAAUUGUUUUAGUUAUGUUCAAUAGUGAUAUGACUAUGCUAUGCUUUGCGUAUGUUGUUAUUUUUUAUAAAGAUUAGGAGCCAAAUAUUGUCAUUCAAAAGUUGUAUUACAUUUCUUCCAAUGAAUGGUACUAGUUUGUUAUGGAUUUCCAUCAUUUUGAUUUCACAAAAAAAAAAGUUGGAAGACUUAAAUAGCAUGGUUAAUUCUCCUUCAUAAGGUAUUGGAAUGAGCAAAGAAAGAAUAUUACUAAAACUAAAAAAAGAAGAUAUGCAGUUACAAAUUUUAGAUGAUGAAAUUUAAAAAUAAGAGUCAAAAGUGUUUUUCAAAAUCUCUUGAAAUCUUUCAAGAAAGGUAGCCUUAUACACCCCUUGUAUAAUUAGUAUAUCUGCAUUGUACACUUAGUGUAAAUACCUUACACAUUGGCACACUUCCAUAAAAUUAGUAGUGAAUGUGUGCAUAUGGGUGGGUUAACCAUGUUUCCAUUCUGAUGGCUCAAAGAAAAGAGAAAAAUUGAACCCAAAUUUUGUUUCCUAUUCAUCAUUUGUGGAGUAAGUAAUCAAAUGAACAAAUAUGAGGUCGAUAAAGUGCAUAGGAUGAGUGUCAAAUCAAGCAAUGCACAUGAGGAAUGUCCCUCAUCCUUGGCCAAGGGAAAUAAGUGAGCAAGUUUUUCAAAAGCCCUUGAAAUCCUUUAAGAAAUGUAGCCUUGUACACCCCUUAUACAAUUAGUACAUCUACCUUGUACACUUAGUGUGAAUAUCUUGUAUAGUGAUACAAAUUCUAUAGACCUAGUAGUGAAUGUGUGGAUGCGUUAACCAUGUUUCCAUUUUCAUGGCUUAAAAAAAAGGAAAAAAUUGAACCGAAAUUUUCUUUCUCAUUCAUCAUAGUUAGGUACAUAAUUGAAUGAACUUGUAUGAGUUCAAUAACAUGCAUGGAAUGAGUGUGUGAUCAACCAAUGCAUAUGAGGAAUAUCCUCUAUCCUUAACCACAGGAAAUGAGCAAGCAAGUUUUUCAAAAUCCCUUGAAAUCCUUCAACAAAGGUAGCUUUGUACACCCCUUAUACAGUAGUACAUUUGCCUUGUACAUUUAGUGUAAAUAUCUUUUAAAGUGGCACAAAUUCCAUACACUUAGUAGUGAAUGUGUGCAUAUCGGUGUGUUAACCAUGUUUCCAUUCUCAUGGCUCAAAAAAAUAGGAAAAUUGGACCUAAAUUUUGGUUCCCAUUCAUCAUUAGUUAGGUGUGUAAUCGAAUGAAUAUACAUGAGGUAGAUAAAGUGCAUGAGAUGAGUGUGUGAUCAAGCAAUGUGUGUGAAGAAUGUCCCCCAUCCUUGGCCAAGGAAAAUGAGCAAAUGAGUUUUUCAAAAUCCCUUGAAAUCUUUCAAGAAAUGUAGCAUUGUACACCUCUUGUAUAGAUAGUACAUUUGCCUUGUACUCUUAAUGUGAAUACCUUGUACAAUGUGGCACAAAUUCCAUAGACCUUGUACAGUGUGUACAAUGUGAAUACCUCAUACAACUUCUAGUAAAUGUCUACCCGUAAGUGGGUUAACCAUGUUUUCAAUGUUUUGGUUCAAAAUAAAGGAAGGAAAUUUUAAUCCAAAUUUUGUUUGAAAAUGAUCAUUGGUCAGAUCAGUAUUCAAAUAACAAUGUGAAAAUGUAACAAAGUGCAUGAGAUGAGUGUGUAAUCUAGGAGUGUGUGGCAUGAGAUUGUUAAGUCCUUAGGUUACAAGAAAAAAAGGGUGUCAUUCAUAAUCGAUUAAAAUACUACAAAAAAGGUAGCAUUGUAUACCCCUUGUAUAGUUAGUAGAUUGACCUUUCUUGGGAUAAGGGGCUUUUCAUGGAAUAAAUUUCGCUAAUUAUUUCUAAGCAUUUUUUAAAAAAAAAAAAUAAUCACUACACCACAUCUAAAAAAAAAAAUCCUAAGAUACUAGGAAUGCAUUUGAGUUUGUUUCUACUCGAAGUGCUUUCUUAGAAAAUAUUUUUAGGAGAAUCACCUAAAAUGUGUCUCCAAAAAACACAAAAAGUGACUUUUAACACUACAAGUGACUUUUCCUAGGAUUCUUUUGGUUGCCUUUAAGGAAAUAUCUAAGUUUACAUUCACAUCAUUUAACCACUUUGAUAGGCAAGCAAGAAGUAAAGUUCUGUAGAGUUGUGAUAAUUUAGUCAGAGUCUGAGUAAUCUAGAUAAAAUGGAAUACUCCAAUUAUUUUAGAACAUGUAUAAUACUGUUGAACUCAAGAGUGGCCAGUUUGGGAAGUCAAAAGGUGUGAUCCUAUUUUUAGACACAAUGGAUCCUUCUUCCUAAUGGAAGCUUAAAGCUUUAUUUUGAUAGAUGGACAGUUUGUACCCUAAGAUAAAUGGGUAUUGGAGAAUUAUUUGAGAUCACAGGAAGAACACUGGUGGGCCUUUUCUAGAUUAGAUAGGAUAAAGACAAAAAUUUAAGCCAAGAUCCUAACCUUACUUGAGCACAUUAGAAAGGCCCUUUCUUUGGGAAUUGGGAACCUGUAGGUGAAAGGAGACUCAGAAAUAGUCAUUGUACAGGCCAUAAGGGGGAAUAGAGGUACCUAGUGUUGUAAACAUUAGAUGAGAUGGUCCAAUCACAUUUUCUAGUCAGAAUUUAUUCAAAAGUAGUCGGGUUUCUUCAAGCCAAAAUUAUGUAGUAUUGGCAAUUCAGUGAACAUAAUGCUAGAGUUGUACUUGUGGUCAAACAUAAAGAAACUCUCACCCAAUCCUUGAACGCUAAAGAAUUUGAAGAGAGUAAGCUACACCAUGAGGUUUGAGAGGAGAACAUUUUUGAGAUAAAUUCCUCUUCAUUUGUUCCCAAAUCACAAUAUUCACUUUCAGAUGAAAACUUUGAUUUUGAACCAUUUUUUUAAAACCUUUAUUAGUUUAUAAACUUUUCUAGAGAUUAUACCAGUGCUUCUGACAAGCAGAACUAAUGAGGGCAAUGGCUCUCAUAGAUCCAUAUCAUGAAGGACUGCAGUUCAUGGAUUUAAAUUUUGAAGAACAGUAGUUUCAAGAACUCAUAUUUUGAAGAACAGUAGUUGGAUCAGGGAGUCAGAAAUCUGCUAGAAGGUGGUUUGGGGAGGUUUUUAUUUCUCAUGGAUUCUUAGAUUAGAUAUGAGAUUCAAGAAAAUAAAGUUGAUGUAUUGAAUAGAGGUUCAAUUAGGUAUCCUGAAUUUCAAUGUUUCUAUGUUAAUUACUGUCUCCUUAUUUUCCUUACUUUCAUGAUCAUUAUAUUUAUUUGAUUAGGUUAAUUAAAUUAUAGAUAUGAGAUUUGGUACAUCUUAGAUUAAAUUUACACCUUAAAACUAAGAAUUGAAGGAAGGCACACAUUUAUUUCACAAAUGAGAAUGUCUAUUUAUAGGCUUACAACCAAACGGAAAUUGUAAAAAAAUAUCAGCUAACUAUCAGAUUUUAUUGGCACUACUUCUACUAAGUGAAAACAGAAAAUUAUGGAGCAAGAAUAUGAUAUGAAACAAUAACAAAUACUAAAUCUAACUAAGACUUUUUCAAACUUCAGAAGCAAACUCUUAUGAGUUCUAACAUUCCUCCUUGAGAUUUGCCUUGGACAUGCCAAGCUUCAACCUUAGGAACUCCAGCCUUGAUUUAGGAAGUGCCUUAGUCAUUAUGUUAGCAAGUUGCACAUCAAUUGAGAAUAAUGCAACUUGACAAGUGAAUUCUUUUCAGCUUCCCUUAUAGAGUGAAAUUUUACAUUUAUGUGCUUGGUCCUGCCAUGUUGGAUAAGAUUUUGAGCAAUGGCAAUGGCUGACUUGUUGUCACAGUAAAGCUUUGUUGGUAAGCUUUGUUCCUGGCCUCGAUCAGCAAGCAAUUUCCUUAACCAUGUUCCUUGAUUUGUAGCAGCUGCUAAGGAGAUAUACUCAGCUUCUGCAAUUGAUUGUGCCACUACUUCUUACUUUCUUGAAUUCCAGCAAAUGACACAUGAACCGAUUGUAAAUACAUAACCUAAAGUGCUCUUCAUGUCAUCAACACUUCCUGCCUAAUCACUAUCAGCAUAGCCAUCUAGCUUAACUCCUCCUAUCUUUAAAUACCAGAUGCCAAGAUUUAUUGUACCUCUAACAUACUUCAACACCCUUUUUACAACUCCCAUGUGAACAUUGCUUGGUGAACUCAUGAAUCUUGAAAGCAAACCAACUAGAAACAUCAAGUCAGGUUUGGUUGCUGUCAAGUAUAGUAGGUUGCCUACCAACCUUCUAUAUGCAGAGGGUUCCUCAAGUUUCUCACCAUCAUUCUUCAAAAUUUUCUCAUUUUGUGCUAGCAGAGUUGCUACUUCUUUGCAUGAUUCUAGCUUGAAUUUCUUGAGAAUAUCAUCAACAUAUUUUCUCUAUGAAAUGAAGAUACCUGAGCUGCAUUGGUAUAUUUCCAUUCCAAGGAAGUAGUUCAUGAUGCCAAGGUCAGACAUCUCAAAUACAUCUUGCAUUUCCAUUUUGAACUCUAUCAGCAAUCAUACAUUGCUUCCAGUCACUAGCAUGUCAUCAACAUAAAGUGACACUACCAAUUGCAAACCAUCCUCAUUUUCUUUCAAAUACAAAGUAGCUUCAUUUUCACUCCUCCUAAACCCAAAUUGGAUUAGGUGAGAGUCAAUUAUGCUAUACCAGGCCCUUGGUGCUUGCUUCAAACCAUAGAGAGCCUUGUGCGGCUUGUACACUUUGUGUUCAUGCCUAGUAACCUCAAAGUCUUCUGGUUGUUGAACAUAAAUUUCUUCAAGAAGUAUACCAUUUAGAAAAGCUGACUUGACAUCUAAAUGGUACACUUUCCAUCCCAUUUGACCAACAAGUGCAAAUAGUAGCCUUAUAGUGUCAUGUUUGGCUACUAGUGCAAAUAUAUCACCAUAGUCCACUCCAGCAACUUGAGCAAAACCCUUCACAACCAAUCUAGCCUUGUGCUUGAAUAUUAAACCAUCUGAAUUGAAUUUGGUUCUGAAAACCCAUUUUACACCAAUUGCCUUCUUAGCUUCAGGUAAUUCUGUUAACUUCCAAGUUCCAUUUCUUUCAAUAACAUCAAUUUCAACUUUCAUAGCCUCAAUUCAUUCUGGAAAUCUUGCAACUUAUGUGUAACAUGUAGGCUCAACAUGUACAAGAUUGCACCUCUCAUACACAUAGAUCAUGGCCUUACCUUAAGCACUGGUGUGUCUGAAGUUGCUUCAAUAUCAAGUGGAUCUUCAAUACUUGUACUUUCUACUGUUGGUUCAAGAAUAGAUGGAGUGGUUUGAUCACAUUUAUGGGCUUUCUUCAAGUCCCAAUUCUAGUAGGAAUUUUCAUCAAAGUGCACAUCUUUACUUAUCAAUUUUCAUUAUACUCAAGCUAUAAAUUAUGUAACCUUUUGAUUCUACUGCAUACCCAACAAAAACACCUUUCUCAGCUCUUUCAUCAAGCUUGCCUCUCUUGAUAGAUGGCACAUGAAGGUAACAUAAUGAGCCAAACACUUUCAGGUGCUUGACAAAUGGUUUUACACUAGACCAUGCCUCUAUUGGUGUUUUGCUCUGAAUAGACUUAGUCGGUAGUAUGUUAAGAAAAUAUACUAAGGUGCUAAUUGUUUCAGCCCACAAAAGCUUUGGUAGCUUCUUCCCGAAUAGCAUGCACUUUGCCAUCUCCAUUACCGUUUUGUUCUUCCUCACAAAGACUCCAUUAUGCUACGGUGAGUAUCGAGCUGUCAGCCGGUGUACAAUUCUAGUUUCUUAACAAAAAACAUUGAACUCUUUUGAGGUGUAAUCAUCAAUAAAUAGUGCAAAAUAAACAUUGUUGCUCAAUGAGGUUGUGCACAUUGGUCCACAAAUAUCUUAAUGAACUAAUUCCAACUUGUGAGUAGCUUUCUUGGACAUAUUUUGAGGGAAUGAUUUGCGAUGUUGCUUCCCUAGAUCACAACUUUCACAAGUUUGAGCAUUAAUUGUGAUUUCAAGCAUGUCUUCAACCAUACCAGCUUCUUGCAUGAACUUCAAUGACUUCAAGUUGAAAUGACCAUAUCUUUUGUGCCAAACAACACUCUCAUCAAUCUUGGCACUAAAGACAUGAUCUUCAACUAAAUCAAGCUUCAAAUAAAAGUUAUUUCCAUUCAUUUGAAUUUUUGCUAUCUCUGUUCCAUGUACAUCAGUGAUAAAACAAACAUUUUCUUUAAAAGAUACUGCAUAUCCAUUUCUUAACAUUUGUGUAACACUAAGAAGAUUUUGAUCUAGUUCUGGAAUGUAAAAAACAUUAGUGACAAUUUUUGUACCUCUCUUGGUGCUAAUAGCAAUUGUCCAUUUUCCUUUGGCCUGCACAAUUUCACAAUUUCCUAACUUAACCUUUGGUUGAACUAAUCUAUCAAUGGAGGUAAAAAUUGAUAAAUGUUUGGUCAUGUGAUUGGUGCAGCCACUGUCAAUGAGUCAAGUAUUAAGUUUAUGAGAACUGAGUACUUGUGAUGCCAUAAAUAAAUGCUCAUCAUCAUCUUUGUCUUCUUAAAUCAUAUUUUCAUGUUGUUUGUGUUUGCUGUUGAGAUUGUUUUUUCUUGGCUCUGCAAUACUUCUCACUGUGGCCAAUUUUAUUAUAUAAAUUACAAUUAAAAUGAGGUUUACCUUUGUACCAACAAUCUUUCUCAACAUGGUUGGUUCUGCUGCAAUGAAAGCAACGCAAAAAGUUUUCUUUUUUGAAGAUCCUUCAAUUUUCCCUUUGUUGUUCUUAAAGAACUUAUUUCCUUAUAGGUUUCCAGAACUCUUUCCCUUAUGAUUUGCUUGAAAGCACCUUCAGUAGCUUCAUCACCUCUCAUUAAGACCCUUUGCUCCUAUGCAUGAUGAUUCAUGCCCAAUUGGUGUCUCAGCUGAUUCAUGUCCAGCUGGUGCUCCUUGUUUGAGGGAGUAAUCAACAAAAUUUAUAACCUAUUACACCAUUAACUAGGGUAGCAAAGAAAAAGCUACUAUAGUAUAGUGGCUCUAGGAUCGUUCACUCGGAAGGGUUUCCAAAUUACAAAUGAUACCAAUUCAAAGUGAAUUGGUACUUUUUCAUUUCAAGGUUAGCUCAAGAAAUAAAACAAAAACUUUGAUUGGUAAAGAUUUAGAUUUAAAAUGACUACAAAGCAAGUGAUGGAAAUUACUUAGGAAGAAAAACAUUCCUUGGAGGGUCAGGUUCACUGGGGAGGUUCCUCAUGCAAAAGACAUAGCUCAGGUUAGUUGGUUCAUUUCCUCGCGUGAGAGAAUCAACAUAUAGUCAAUUCUCUAACCGGUGUUGUACAUAUACAUCCUUUAAUUAGAUUUCAGCUUUAAUUCUCUCACUGAUGCAACUUGCAACAGUUCGAGCCUCUCACUAAGCCUUAACCAUUUAAGGUGAUCUUUAACCUUGGACUUCCUUUCUCAAGCUCGCAAGAGAUAACUAAUGGAUGUCUCCUUGGAGUCCAAAAGCUUACCAAGUGUUGGCAAUUCCAAAAAAUCCUACCUUCAAGUCACCUCUCAGAGGCUCGCAAGGGGUAAACUAGUGCAUCUCCAUGGUUGGAGAUCACUUGCCUUACCAAGUGUUGGCUCAGGUGACUCUAAGGUGUUUUAAGUUAACUAAAAACAUAGAAAUCACUAAAGGAUUUCACUUCCUCUUCAUUCAUGGCUGAAACCAUAAAGCUCUGCAUUCUUGCACUUGGAACCUUUCCCGGCAACCUUAGCUCCAAGGAACUAAAGGUUUAGUUACUCAUUCUCUGGAGAAACUUCCUCAGAGAGUGCAUAACUUAGAAAAAAAUGAAAAAUACAAAGUGAGAAGGUAAGGCAAAAAAAAGGUCCUCACUUUCCUCCUCGAGAACAGGCUCUCGAGAGAUAUUUAUAUCAACAAAAACAAAUACUAAUUAUUACAUGGAUAUUUACUCUUUUUACUAACUUAAAAGCUAAGGAAUCUUAUAAUUGGUGGCUUUCAAGGAGAAUUUUGGGAUUUAGAGAACAAAAAUCUGAUGAAAAAUAUCUCCCAAUGUCAGAAGCAAAUAUCAGGACGCACUAAGGAUCAUUUCACAAGUGAAAAUGAUGUCUGCGAGAUUUCAUAGAGGCACAAAAAGGGCUGCGAAAUCAUUUUGCAACAAACGGCUAAUCUCGCAGCGCUGCGAAGUUGGCUUUCAGCUUGCGGUGUUCGGCUUCCAACGUGUCACAUAUAUCGGGAAACUUCAGGAGGAAUUCCACAACACUGUGCAAAAAGGCUACGAAAUCAUUUCGCAACAAAAGGGUGAUUUCGCAACACUUUGCAAAAUUCUUCCUUCAACUUAGAGUGAUUAACUUGAAAUGGCUGUAACUUCUUCAUUUUAACUCCAAAUUGCGUACCGUUUGAAGCAUUGGAUUGUUAACUUCCUGAGCUUCGAAACAACAUAUAGUAUACAUGAAUUAGACUUCAGAAAGUUCUCCCAAAGUGGCUGACAUGACUGUCAUCAAGAAUAUGCUUCAUGACAUAUUUCUCUUUGCUUCUUCUCCUUACAUUCUGGAUUUACUCAUGGCAUCAAAGGACUUCAAAGCUUUAGUUCUUCACGUUUCUGAGCUUCAAAUUGCUUUUCCAAAGAUUCCACAUAACUCUCCUCAAUCUCGGAUUGCUUUGGUGAUCAAAAAGGCUAUCAAAACACCAAAACUUAACACAUAUUGAUUAGAAGUGCUUGCAAAGGUCCUUAAUAUGUUAAUUGGGUUAAAAGGCAAUAACUACUACUCAAAAGUGUUUAAAAGAGUUAAUUACAAGUUAUGAAAUAGCACAUUUUGAGUAGUAAUCACUCCCCCCAACCGACAUAUUGCUAGUCCCUUAGCAAUGAAGGAGAGAAAAAUAAAAAUAAAAAUUACUAUAAUUUACAACAUCAUGCUAAUUACUUCAAAAAAUUUUAAGUGGCAUGAUGAUCUAACUCCCACAUGGAACAUUGAAGAAAUAUAAACUCAAAUUCAACAAGAGUUAUCAAAAACUUUGCUAAACACUAUUAAUCAAGGGAAUGCAUUAUGCAAACUGAAGUUUUAAAAUCAUUUUCACUUUCAAAGAACCAAACUUUAUUCUUCCACAAAAAUCUAAGUGUAUGAUUCCUUAGCUUCCGAAUAUAGUAUGCUAAACUAAUCUCUCCCCCCAACCUAUCUCUUUUUAACACUUAGCAAACUGACCAAAUUCAAUAGGCAGAGAACACACUUUUAUUUUUUUUUUUUAAAGAGGCUUAAAGGGGAGUUCUUUCUGAAUUGUCCAUAUAACGGGGGUCCAUCUAUGACUCCCAACCAAUUAAGGUUUAGGGCAUCAAGUUUUAAGGAUCUUUCAACCACUAACUCCUCGAAUUUUACCCUGGACUUUUGAGAAUGAUUGAUUUUUUAAUACCCAAGCACCUAACAUAUGCUAACUCCACCUAUCCACCCUUGUAACGAGCAUUGAGUUCGGUGACUCCCAACCAAUUAAGGCUUAGGGCACCAGGUUUUAAAGAUUUUCACCAUAUACCCCUCAAACCUUGCUCGGGUUUCAAGACAAGCAAACAUUUUUCUUUCUUUAUUUCAAAGGCUCAUUGGCCUUUCAUAAGGUGUCUCAACUUUAUCAAAUGAGGUCAAAUGUACCAAGUCCCAAAAUUUUCCUAAGUCAAGAGGGAAAUAGUUUUUCAUCUUAUACUCGGAACCUAUUGUGCACAGUGUGUGAAUAGCUUAAAGUGGAAGAACUAAACUUGAUUUCAAGAGAAGCUUCAACAAUUGAACCACUUUAGUAAGCAUAAUCCAUACUCUAAGUCAAGUGAAAAGCAACAAUUCAAUUUCUUCUGAUUUAAUUUGAAAAUUUUUCCUCAAAAUCCAUGGAGAUUAGAGUGGACUGUAAAAGAUUACAACUAAUUUAUCAACAUAAUUGCAUUACCAAAAUAACUUAGCAUACUUCCUUCUUCAUUUCUCCCCCCCCCCCCCCCAACCGAACUGAGCAUUGUCCUCAAUGUGAUAUGGGUGAUUGCAAUUAAAGGGAGGAAGUGAUACCUCCUGAGUGAUGUCAAUUUCGAAUACUGAUUGGAGAAACCACAUGUUUCAAAAACAAUAAAAGAUAUGAGUAGAGGAAUUAGGAUAAAAUAAUGCUAAGAAUACUAAAAAAUUGAUAGAUUUGUAUUACUUCAUUUGAUGAAAAUACAAAAAGAGAACAAGUAAUACAAUUAAUCCCAGUAUAUAAUAUCAAAAGCAUGGGAUUUCUAAAGCUACUCCAGUAAGGAAAAUAUAAGGGAAAUACAUAAAGGACAUAUAUAAAGGAAACUAUGAAAAUGAUCAGAUGGUAGUUGGAGGAUGAUGUGAAGAUGAUGGCUCAGCUGCCUCUGCCUCUCCUAUAGUCGGCUCCUCAGGAGGCAUAGUCUGAUGUACAAAAGGAGGGGCCUGUGAUGGCUCUGGUGGGAUAGGAAUGGAGUGCUCAGCAGGUGAUAUAAUACCCAGAUGAUGCUGAAUCUGCCUCAAGAUGGCGGUGUGCUGGGUCUAAGUGACGAACAUCUGCUCUUGGCAUGCUCUAAUGGCUGCCAUCUCCUGAGCAAGGCUGCUGUGAGAUGCAGUGAGAGUCUGCAGUGAGCGACAUAACUCCCUAUACUCAGAAAUGGGAAUGGCCAUCCUGGGCUCAGCUGAAGAAGAUGGUUGUGAUGAGGCUGGAGUGACUGGAGGGGCUCUGGAUAUGACAGGAGAGGCAAUGGGUAUACCCUCAAGUAUCUCAGCUGGCUGUGGCCGCCCUGGCUGCUCAACUCUAUAUGCUGUCAUAUUGUUCCAUUUGUCGAGAGUGAAGACCUCUCGGCAAAUACAUUUGUGCUCCAAAUGAGGAUAUGAUGGAUACCCCAGAUGCUCUAGAAUCUGGCAUAGCAGCCGUGGAAAGAGAAGUGGAAUGGCAUCAGCUCUAUGCAGCUUCUUCUUAUGCAACUUCUCUUCCAAAUAGAGAAGGGCAACCAUAAUUAGGUGGUGAGGGCCAAAGAAAUAUCCCUCAGAAAUCUUGAAUAGGGCCUCCAAAAGUACUCCUCUCCUCUGAGUCCAAUGCUGGAGUGGGUAGAUGUUAUGACGUAGAAAUGCAUCAAUAAGAAACAUGUUUGGAGGAAGUUCCCCCCUCAACAAAUGUGGACGUGUGGAAGCUCCUCUGGACAAGGUAUGUACCAUCUCCAGCUCAGUGGGACUAGUCCACACUCUAAAAUCUUCAAAAUGAGUUGGCUCAUAUGGUAUAUGCAAGGCCUCUACUAUAUGGCGAGCUCCCAAAAUGCCAUGCCGACCAUCUAUAGUAAAAUAAAUUAAAGUAGGAUCUCUGACCUGCUUGGUAGUCAUGAACUGAUAAAAAUCCAUGGCUACCCUGGGGUAGAAGAAGUCUCUAGGGGCCAGCAGCUGCACCAUAUGAUAUCUACGCAAUAGGCGGAAAGAAUCCGCUAGCUCCGACCUCAAUUGGAAGGUUGCUGUGUUAAAGCACAGCUCAAAGUGGAAUGGCCACGCUCUGCAGUCCAAAUUCCCUUCUAUUAGCGGUUGAGUGAGCAUUGGACGCCUAAUUAUCACUUCAGGAGCUACCCCAGAUGGAAUUUGGGGUUCAGAAAGUGGCGGCUAGAGCUCCUGAGGCUGUGCUGGCGGCGCCGGAGAUGGCACCAGAGAUGGCGCUGGAGAGGGCUCUGGUGAGGGAACCGGGGACUGCUCUGUUAAGUCUAUAGGCUCUGAGCUUUCAACCCUGGCCCUCCUUUGCAGGGGUCGACCCCCUGACCUAGUAAGAUAACGCCUCGCCGAAGGCUUCUGCGGCACGGGCUUCGCCGGAGGGAAAACAACUUUUGGCCAUGGAGGUUCAGAGGUAGGAUCUGGAAUGGGCUCCUCUCGCGGAACUCAUUUGCGGCUGGAAGGAGAGGAGGACUUGGCUCCUCUGGUUCACACCAUUUCGGAUUACCGAAAUUUAGCUGGAAGUGAUGACCGGAGAAGAUGAUCGAAGGUUUGCACGACGUCGGGCUCGGGCAAGGAGAUGAACAGUCAGCAACUAUGGCGCGCUCUCUUUUUGAAAUCCUUUCGCAGCUCAAAUGACCGGUAUAUAUAAAAAUAACGGAAUAUUAAGGGUCAUUUUGAGUUUCGCAAAAAAAAAACCAAUUUCGCAGCAAAAAGCUAUUUUCGCAGCCUACUUCGUAGUCCGUUUCUCAGUUGCGAAAUGAGUGUCACUGUGCUGCGAAAUGGCACUCGUGUGCCAAAAUCAAUUUCGCAACUGCGAAAUACCCUGCGGAAUGGAACUUUGGAUGCGAAAUCAGGGAUUUUCAUGCUUUAUAGCUUCGCAGCCAUUUUGCAGCUGCGAAUUGGGGGCUCCUGUGCUACAAAGUGGCACUCGUGUGCCAAAAUCGGUUUCGCAGAAGAGUCAAAUGAGUUGCGAAAUGAUUUCGCAAAGGAUGGCCGCUUUCGCAGAGACAUGCUGAUUUCGCAGCAGCUUCGUUUAAGUUGCGAAAUGGUUUCGCAACGAAGUGCUAAUUUCGCAGAGGAUUUCCUUAGGCUGCGAAGUCUCGCAGAGCCUUGUUUUUGCUCUGUUUACACUCUGUUUUUGCUCUAUUUUUGGUCCGAUUUUGCUCCGGUUUCUUUCUUUCAAUUUCUUUGCAUUUUAUCCCACCUGAGAUCAUUCAAAAACAUUAAAUUACAUUAAAAAAAACAUACUUUAAGAUAAAAAAUUAAAAUGAAAAGUAUGGAAAAAAACUUUGAAAUUUACAAAAUUUACAAAAAUUUUGGACUUUGGUAAAACCAAGUCCAUCAAACCCUUAUUUGCUUAGGCUUUUUGUGGCUCAAGGAGGUUGAUUUCCUCAUUUUCUGGUUUGAAUGGCUCCAUGAACGACUUGAGACGAUAUCCAUUGACUCUAAAGGUAUCUUUGCCAUUGGAAUUCAAUAAUUCCACCACUCCAUUGACAUAUACUUGGUGAAUAAUGAACGGCCCUAUCCACCUUGACUUGAGCUUUCCAGGAAAGAUAUGGAGUCUUGUGUCAUAAAGUAAAAAUCUUUGUCCUUUCUGAAAUUCUUUGUUGGAGAUUAGUUGAUCAUGUCAUUUCUUCAUCCUCUGUUUUGCAACUUUGGAAUUGAUAUAAGCAUCAUUUCUUAAUUCCUCCAUCUCAUUAAGGUCUAGACACCUCUUUGCUCCGGCUCUGAUCAAGUCCAUGUUCAGCUUCUUUAUUGCCCACCAAGCUUUGUAUUCAACUUCCACAAGGAGAUGGCAUGCUUUGCCAUAGAAAAUACGAUAGGGAGACAUGUCGAGAAUAGUCUUAUAAGUUGUUCUAUACGCCCAUAAUGAAUCAUGAAGCCUAAUAGACCAAUCUUUUCUACUUGCAUUCACCACUUUCAUCAAUAUGUUCUUUAUUUCCCUGUUAGCUAGCUCAACUUGCCCCGAAGUCUGAGGAUGAUAAGGCGUAGCUACCUUAUGCUUCACUCCAUACUUGGAUAAUAGAGCUUCAAAAGGUUUGUUGCAAAAAUGAGCACCUUCAUCACUGAUUAUGGCUUUGGGCACCCCAAAUCUUGAGAAAAUGUUCUCUUUAAGGAAUUUGAGAACCACCCUAUGAUCAUUUUGUCUACAAGGGAUUGCCUCAACCCAUUUAGAAACAUAAUCCACCCCCACCAACAUGUAAGAAUUACCAAAAGACAUUGGGAAAGGCCCCAUGAAGUCAAUACCUCAUACAUCAAAUAGCUCAACUAUUAGAAUGGGGUUCAUAGGCAUUUGAUUCCUUUUUGUUAGCUUUCCAAGCCUUUGGCAUCUAUCACAACUUCUAUACAUGAUGUGGGCAUCUUUGAAAAGAGAUGGCCAAGUAAACCCUGAUUGCAACACCUUCAUGGUUGUUUUCUGAGAGGCAAAGUGACCUCCACAUGCAUUCUCAUGACAAUGGUUUAGAAUCCCUUGCUGCUCAUCUUCAGGGACACACUUCCUUAUGAUCUGAUCUGCACAAUACUUAAAAAGGAAAGGCUCUUCCCAAUAAUAAGCAUGAAUUUUUGAAAAGAAGUGCUUCCUGUCCUGUGCAUUCCACUCACUUGGAAUUUCACCAGUAACUAGAUAAUUAGCAAUAUGAGCAUACCAAGGAGUUUUUACUAGGAACAUAAGUGAUUCCUCAGGAAAGUCAUCAUUAAUAGGCAAGGAAUAGGAAUUAUGUGUUAUAACUAACCUUGAAAGAUGGUCAGCUACCACAUUCUCCACUCAUUUCUUAUCUUUGAUUUGGAGAUCGAAUUCUUGUAGCAAAAGAAUCCAUCUAAUCAACCUUGCUUUUGCAUCUUGCUUUGUCAAUAAAUACUUCAAGGCUGAAUGGUCAAUGAAAACAAUGAUGAAAGACCCCACUAAAUAAGCAUGAAAUUUGUCCAAGGCAAAUACCACAGCUAUCAAUUCUUUCUUUGUAGUUAUGUAGUUCCUUUGAGCUUCAUUCAGUGUUUUGCUUGCAUAGUAGAUCACAUAGGGCUUCCCAUCUUCUCUUUGGCCAAGCACAGCUCCUAUAGCAAAGUCACUGGUAUCACACAUCAGUUCAAAGGGUAGUUGCCAGUUAGGGGCUCUCACUAUUGGAGUUGUUGUUAAAAAUUUCUUCAGUUGAUCAAAGCUAUUUUGACAUCUUUCAUGCCAUAUAAACUUAGCAUCCUUAGCUAACAGCUCACAAAGAGGUUUUGAAAGACUUGAAAAACCUUUUAUAAACCUCCUAUAGAACCCUGCAUGGCCAAGGAACUGUCUUACUCCUUUCACAGUUGUUGGGGAUGGUAAUUUGACAAUAAGCUCCACCUUUGCUUUAUCAACUUCAAUGCCUUUUUCGGAGAUAAUAUGGCCAAGGACAAUUCCUUGACGUACCAUAAAAUGGCAUUUCUCCCAGUUGAGCACCAAGUCUUUUUCAAUUCAUCUGUGAAGAACCGCUUCCAAAUUGAUUAAGCAUUCCUCAAAUGUACCUCCAUAUACGGUGAUGUCAUCCAUGAAAACCUCCAUAAUUCGCUCCACCAUAUCACUGAAAAUACUCAACAUACAUCUUUGAAAUGUUGCAGGUGCAUUGCAUAAACCAAAUGGCAUCCUUCUGUAAGCAUAUGUUCCAAAUGGACAUGUAAAGGUGGUUUUUUCCUAAUCUUCCACAUCAAUUUCAAUCUGAAAAUACCCUGAAUACCUGUCCAAGAAACAAUAAAACGGAUGGCCAGAGACUUUCUCCAGCACUUGGUCAAUAAAUGGCAAUGGAAAAUGAUCUUUCCUGGUUACAGCAUUCAACUUUCUAUAAUCAAUACACACCCUCCAACCUGAAGUGAGGCGUGUAGUAAUUUCUUCCCCUUUUUCGUUCUGAACCACAGCAAUCCCUGCCUUCUUUGGUACCACUUGAGUAGGACUCACCCAAGGGCUAUCAGAUAUAGGGUAAAUAAUGCCUGCUUGAAGUAGCUUCAGCACCUCAGCUCGCACCACCUCUUGUAAAUGAGGAUUCAAUCUUCUUUGAAGUUGACGAAUUGGCUUUGCUUCCUCCUCCAUAUAUAUAUGAUGCGUGCAAACUAAAGGACUAAUGCCUUUCAAGUCGGAUAUUUGCCAUCCUAUUGCCUUCUUACACCUCUUGAGAACUUGCAGUAAAGACUUCUCUUGAUGACUGGUCAGAGAUGAAGAUAUUACAACAGGACAUUGAUUAUUUUCCUCAAGGUAUGUAUAUUUCAGCUCCACGGGUAGAGGCUUCAGAUUGAGUUUUGGAGUUUCUUUUUCAGCAACUGCCUCUUCUUCUUUAUUGAACAAAGGUAGAAUCUCUUCUAUCCUUCUCCAACAUUGUAGAGUAGCAAGCACAUUAGGAGGUUCAGACAAACCUUUCUCAAAAUCCACAAGACUUUCAUUCAGCUUGUCCUGCAUAUUCUGAUUACAGUGCUCCUCUACCAAAGUGUCAAUGAUGCACACCUCUUCUGGACCCUCUUCUUCUUCCGGAGUGGUUUGCUUUUUAGACAUAUAGAAGAUAUUGAGAUCAAGUGUCAUGUUGCCAAAAGUGAGUUGCAUAAGCCCAUUCCUACAGUUGAUGAUUGCAUUUGAGGUAGCAAGGAAUGACCUUCCAAGGAUGAUAGGAACUAAAUUAGCUUCCUUUACAGUAGGGUCUGUAUCAAGAACAAUAAAAUCUACCGGAUAGUAGAAAUUAUCAACUUGAACCAAGACAUCCUCAAUUACCCCCCUUGGAAUUUUUACUGAUCUAUCUGCUAGAGAUAGAGUGAUUGUCAUUGGCUUCAACUCACCAAGUCCCAAUUGCUUGUAGACAGAGUAUGGAAGCAAAUUCACACUUGCUCCCAAGUCUAACAAAGCUUUCUCCACUACCUUUUCUCCAAUCAUGACUGAAAUGGUAGGACUUCCCGGAUCUUUGUACUUCAAUGGAGACUUACAUUGUAAGAUUGCACUUACUUGCUCAGUCAAGAAGGCUUUCUUAUUUACAGUCAACCCAUUUUUAAUAGUACAUAAAUCCUUUAGGAACUUUGCAUAUGUUGGAACUUGUUUAAUCAUAUCCAGCAAUGGGAUAUUGACUUUCACUUGUCUCAAUACUUCAAGAAUUUCAAAUGCAUUUCUAAUCCCAUUUUUCCCAUGCAAUGCUUGAGGAAAAGGAGGAGAAGUUGAUUUUUUAAGCAUUUCUUCUUUUUGAAGCUCCUUCUCUGGAAUUGCAUUCAUUGUUGAAUCAUAGUCCUUCUUCUUUUCACUGAUCUCACUCUCUUUGUCUUCCAUUUCCUCCCCUUUCUUUAUCUCUUCUUCUUUCUCAACAUGUGGCUUGGGUGUUGGCUUCUCAAUUUUUUUACCACUCCUUAAAGUGAUCAAGGCUUUGACAUCUUUCAUCUGUGAUGAUUCUCCCUCAAGGCUUUCCACUUCAUGGACACCCUUGGGGUUUUGGUGGGGUUGAGAAGGAAAUCUUCUCUUUUCUUGUACUGUGUUCAAAUUUGUGAGCCUUGAAAUUGAGUAUUGGAGAUUAUCAAACUUUUGGGAUAUAUCAUUUUGCAUUUCAUCCAUCAUUUUAUUCAAAGUACUCUCCACUCUGUCAAUUCUUUGAUUGAGUUGAGCAUUGAUGGCUUCUUGGUUUCCAACAAAAUCUCCCACUACCUUGCUGAGAUUUGCUAUUGCUUGUUCAAGACUUGAAGAUUGUUGAGAUGGUUGAUCCAGCUGUUGGUACUGAGCUGCUCUAGCCUUCCAUGAGAAAUUUGGAUGAUUCCUCCAACUUGAGUUGUAAGUAUUUCCAUAAGGCGCAUUGUUAUUAAGCUUGAAUUGUCCAACAAGAUUUGCUUGAUCUCUAAACAUUUCCCUUUCAGCUGAAAUUGCAGGGCAUUCCUCCACCAAAUGUUCAUAUGAUUGACAAUUAGGACAAAGCUUCACUUGCACUAGUGCUUCAGCAACAGCUUGCACUUCAUGCACUUUCUUCAGUUCCAGCUCCUCCAAUCUUCUUGUCACAGCUGCCAAUUUUGCUUUCAUAUCAUCAUCUUCUUUCAAGGUAUACAUCCCAGCCUUAGCAUUAAAAGCACUCAGUUGAGACUUCAUCUUCCCCACUUCUCUUUUGAUUGGUUCAUCCCAUCCCCUUGAAACUUCAGCUACAUAGUUCAAGAAAUCCAUAGCUUCCUCCGGAUUUUUGCUCAUGAAAUCUCCUCCACACAUUGUCUUGAGGAGUUGCUUCAUUAAGGAAGACAUCCCAUCAUAAAAAUAGCUCACCAAUAGCCAAGUAUCAAAUCCAUGGUGAGGGCAAGCAUUUAUAGCUUCCAUGUAUCUUUCCCAACACUCAUAGAAUUUCUCAUUCUCUUUAGCUGAGAAAUUUGAAAUUUGCCUUUUCAAGCCAUUUGUUCUAUGAGUGGGAACAAAUUUCUUGAGGAAUUCAGCUUGUAAGUCAGUCCAAGUGCGGAUACUCCUUGGCCUUAAAGAAUUAAGCCAAAUUUUGGCCUUAUCCUUUAAAGUAAAAGGAAAUAACUUAAGCCUCAUCAAAUCAAUUGAAGCUCCUCCCUCUUGGAAUGUAUUACAAACAUUUUCAAAUUCCUUGAUGUGUGCAUAGGGAUUCUCACUUUCCAUCCCAUGGAAAGUUGGUAGAAGUGGAACAAGAUACGGUCUGAUCACUAGCUGCUCUGUAGGGGGCACUAUACAUGAUGGUGCACUCAUACGAGGUGGAUGCAUACGAUCCCUCAUUGAUCUGAAUUCAUUAAGAUUGUCUUGACGACCUUGGUGACUAUGUUGAUCUUCAGGUGUAGCUUCCAUGAUAUUCAAGCUCAAUUCCAAUUCCUUGUUAUGAGGUGUAUCACGUUUAACAAGCCUUCCUCCAUUGUCUCGUAUCCAAUUUGGCAUACACAACUAGUAUCUAUCUGUAACUAAAAUGAAAAUAAAGGACAACAAAAGGAAACAGGGCUACAACAACAAAAUUAAACUAAGCUGAAUUUAAAAGAUAAAUUUGGAUUAUGAAUUAGUAAAGAAAGAAUGAGAAUUAGUAAAAUGAAAGAAACGUUACCAAACUUGUGAUGAAAAUCACAAGUGCUCUGAAAUAGUAUCACUAUAAACUUGACACCUUCCCCGGCAACGGCGCUAUUUGAUUCAUGCCCAAUUGGUGUCUCAGUUGAUUCAUGUCCAGCUGGUGCUCCUUGUUUGAGGGAGUAAUCAACAAAAUUUAUAACCUAUUACACCAUAUACUAGGGUAGCAAAGAAAAAGCUACUAUAGUAUAGUGGCUCUAGGAUCGUUCACUCGGAAGGGUUUCCAAAUUACAAAUGAUACCAAUUCAAAGUGAAUUAGUACAUUUUCAUUUCAAGGUUAGCUCAAGAAAUAAAACAAAAACUUUGAUUGGUAAAGAUUUAGAUUUAAAAUGACUACAAAGCAAGUGAUGGAAAUUACUUAGGAAGAAAAACAUUCCUUGGAGGGUCAGGUUCACUGGGGAGGUUCCUCAUGCAAAAGACAUAGCUCAGGUCAGUUGGUUCAUUUCCUCGCAUGAGAGAAUCAACAUAUAGUCAAUUCUCUAACCGGUGUUGUACAGAUACAUCCUUUAAUUAGAUUUCAGCUUUAAUUCUCUCACUGAUGCAACUUGCAACGGUUCGAGCCUCUCACUAAGCCUUAACCAUUCAAGGUGAUCUUUAACCUUGGACUUCCCUUCUCAAGCUCGCAAGAGAUAACUAAUGGAUGUCUCCUUGGAGUCCAAAAGCUUACCAAGUGUUGGCAAUUCCAGAAAAUCCUACCUUCAAGUCACCUCCCAGAGGCUCGCAAGGGGUAAACUAGUGCAUCUCCAUGGUUGGAGAUCACUUGCCUUACCAAGUGUUGGCCCAGGUGACUCUAAGGUGUUUUAAGUUAACUAAAAACAUAGAAAUCACUAAAGGAUUUCACUUCCUCUUCAUUCAUGGUUGAAACCAUAAAGCUCUGCAUUCUUGCACUUGGAACCUUUCCCGGCAACCUUAGCUCCAAGGAACUAAAGGUUUAGUUACUCAUUCUCUGGAGAAACUUCAUCAGAGACUGCAUAACUUAGAAAAAAAAUGAAAAAUACAAAGUGAGAAGGUAAGGCAAAACAAAGGUCCUCACUUUUACUUGCUUUCAAACUUUUACAUAAGGGUUCCUCCCUGAGAACAGGCUCUCGAGAGCUAUUUAUAUAAACAAAAACAAAUACUAAUUAUGACAUGGAUAUUUACUCUUUUUACUAACUUAAAAGCUAAGGAAUCUUAUAAUUGGUGGCUUUCAAGGAGAAUUUUGGAAUUUAGACAACAAAAAUCUGAUGAAAAAUAUCUCCCAAUGUCGAUAGCAAAUAUCGGGAUGCACUAAGGAUCAUUUCGCAAGUGAAAAUGAUGUCUGCGAGAUUUCAUAGAGGCACAAAAAGGGUUGCGAAAUCAUUUCGCAACAAAAGACUAAUCUCGUAGCGCUGCGAAGUUGGCUUUCAGCUUGCAGUGUUCGACUUCCAACGUGUCACAUAUAUCGGGAAACUUCAGGAGGAAUUCCACAGCACUGUGGAAAAAGGCUGCAAAAUCAUUUCGCAACAAAAGGGUGAUUUCGCAACACUUUGCAAAAUUCUUCCUUCAGCUUACAGUGAUUAACUUGCAAUGGCUGUAACUUCUUCAUUUCAACUCCAAAUUGCACACUGUUUAAAGAAUUGGAUUGUUAACUUCCUGAGCUUCGAAACAACAUAUAGCAUGCAUAAAUUAGACUUCAGGAAGUGCUCCAAAAGUGGCUAACAUGACUGUCAUCAAGAAUAUGCUUCAUGACAUAUUUCUCUUUGCUUCUUCUCCUUACAUUCCGGAUUUACUAAUGGUAGCAAAGGACUUCAAAGCUUUAGUUCUUCACGUUUCUGAGCUUAAAAUUGCUUUGCCAAAGAUUCCACAUAACUCUCCUCAAUCUCGGAUUGCUUUGGUGAUCAAAAAGGCUAUCAAAACACCAAAACUUAACACAUAUUGAUUAGAAGUGCUUGCAAAGGUCCUUAAUAUGUUAAUUGGGUUAAAAGGCAAUAACUACUACUCAAAAGUGUUUAAAAGAGUUAAUUAUAAGCUAUGAAAUAGCACAUUUUGAGUAGUAAUCACAUGAAGCUUGCUGGUUAACUCUACAAUUGUGAGACUUUGAAAGUCACAAGGCUCUUCAAUUGCAAAGAUCUUAGCUUCAAACUUUUAAGGGACUGAAACCAUGAUCUUUUCUACCACCUUUUGAUCUAUAAAUUCCUCACCAAGAAGCCUAUUUGGUUUACAACAUCCAUUAACCUGCUAGAAUAAUCUUUCAUAGAUUCGUUGUCUUUCAUCUUCAUCAACUCAAACUCUCUCUUCAAUGUGAGGAGCCUGACAGUUUUAACUCUGUGACUGCCCUCAAAUUCAUCUUGAAGCUUGUCCCAUACCUAUUUAGUUGUUUCCAAGUCCAUGAUUUUGGUGAAGAUGUGGUCUGCAAGUCCUGAAUGUAGGCAGAUGAUGGCUUUGUCUUUUUUUAGUUUUUCCUCAUCAUGUGCUUUCAUCUGAGCAACUAUAAGAUUUGCUCCCAAUGGUGGUGGAUCAGCUUCAGACAUCACAACAUUCCACAAACCUUGAGACCUUAAGUAAAACAUCAUUUUGACAAUCCAAAUGUGAUAGUGUUCACCAUUAAACAUUGGAACUACAGAGGAAGUACUGUUGGAAGUAGACAUGUUUGCACCAUAGCUGCUUGAAAAAAAAAAUCACUCAACCUCACUGUGUUUAGCACUCAAAACACUGAAAGAAACUUUGUCUCACAGCCCAUAGGAACAGAGCUCUGAUACCACUAUCAGAAUCUGUAGAAAAAAUAAAGAAAUCAGGAACUAGAACUUGCAGAGAAAAAUAAAUAAUUUGAGAGUUAAGAAUUGAAGGAAGGCACACAUCUAUUUCACAAAUGAGAAUGCCUAUUUAUAGGCUUACAACCAAACGAAAAUUGCAAAAAAAUCUCAACUACUGGCACUACUUCUACUAACUGAAAAUAGAACAUUAUGGAGCAAGAAUCUGAUAUGAAACAAUAACAAAGACUAAGUCUAACUAAGACUUUUUCAAACUUCAAAGGCAAACUCUCAUGAGUUCUAACAGUUCUUUAUGAAUACAUUGCAAUACUUGCUAUUCACAACAAGGGAAUAAACAUAGCAGAAAGAAAUGAAGUAAAAGAUCAGGGGAAGUUCUGUAGAAACAAAAAACAGUUUGCAAAACAAACAUGAAUUUCAACAGAUAAUAAUUGCACAUACUGUAUAUAAGCAUCUAGGAACGUCAACAAAAUGCUCAAUGGUUCCAGAAACUGAAAAAUGAAAGCGAUGGUAAUCCUGCAACAAUUUGGAAUUCAAUAAUUGAACCAUAUGAUAUGAAAAGUCUUUAUCCUACAAAGCAAUAAAGACAAGUUCCAUGGUGCGAAACGGAAUAUCACCAAGGUUCCAUUAAUAAAAAAACUAAAUCAAAUUUCUUUUCCUAAAAGACCUUGAAUCGAAAACUUCUAACUCUAUAGAGAAAUAAAUAAUGAUCCUAGAAAAUAAGAGAUCACCCAAAAUAAAAAAUUUUAAAUAAAACUGUGAGAAGGAAAAAAAAUAAAAAAAUAAAAAUAAAAACACACCUAUGGAAGCAUCCCAAUACUAUAUAAUUAGAUAAUUACAUAAUAUUCAGAUUGUAUACUGCUUAACAAGAAGGAAUUAUCUAGAGUGGUUACAACUAGUGAGGAUGGUUUUAAAAGGCAAGGGAAAAAUAAGUCAUCUCAUUGGAACAUGCCUAAAACAUGAAGAUUUGCUAUUCAUUGUUUGGGACAAAGAAGAUUCUAUGAUUAUGUCAUAGUUAUGGAAUUCAAUGUUACUUGAAAUCAACAGAAGAUGCAAUUUGGGAAACCAUUUGGCAAAGGUACUAAAAAAUACAAGAUACUGCCUGAAUUUGUGAAUUGAAUAUUAAAAUCUCCAUUACAAAACAGGGUAGCUGAUCGAUUAUUGAGUAUUACAAUGUGAUGAAGAGUCUAUGGCAAGAGGUAGACUAUAAUCAAACAUUCAAAUGAAGUGUUUUCUAUCAUUCAUACUGAAGAAAGUUGAAAAGGGGUGAUGCUUGAUCCACCACCAGUGGAUGGAUCAACCAUGAUUGUAAAAAAACCAAGUGGAGGAGCCAAACUAAAUGGUACAAAUCAGAAUGCUAGCAUGGAGCAAGGAAGACAGGAGUCAAUGAAAAACUUAAUAAAGAAGAAACUAUGGUGCUCGUACAACAAGAAAGCAUGUCACACCAAAGAAAAAUGUGGGAAACUUCAUGGAAAACUACAAGGUCUCAAUCGGAGUGAUGGUAUGAGGAUCUCAUACUUCUUACAUCAUAACUAUUUUUUUCUCUUCAAUAGAAGUACAUCUUCUAACCAUUAGUUUCAUUUUACCUUGUCAAAAUUGAAAAAGUUGAGACUAAAACAACCUCUAAAAGAUGUGUAGCUCUUAGAUCGCAAAUAGUCAAAGCGAUAGAAAAUACCUUAAUUCAAAAUCUUAGAGAAUCUUUAACAGAUUUAAAUGGUGGUAGACGACUAUCUACAGCACAUACAGCAAUAUCAUCACGUUCCGUGAAGGCAAUUGUUCUAGCACCGGGUUUCAACUCUCUUAUAAGAAAUUCAUUGAAUGUCUGCAUAUAUAAGUUAAAAUUCAACUAUAGUAACUGUUCCAUUAUAGAAAUGAUACCAAGAUCCAAAAAUGGUAAUAACAAUAACCUCACCAUCAACUAAGAAGGUUAAAAACCAACAAAACCACAGGGGAAGUGAUAUUGCUCCAUCUCUGUGCAAAAAUCUACUUUCGUCUUUCAAUUCCAAGCUAAGCAAUAAAAAUUUAUAUGUUCCAUCUUGAGAGGGGAAUGUCCUUGUUAAUGAGGGUAUUAUUGAGUAUUAAAUUUAUUAUAAGUGUACAGUAUAUAUAGUUUAUUACUGCAGUUUAUUAUUUUUCUAAUCAAUAAAAACAAGAAGAACAAACACGUUCUCUUUUCCGAUUCUUGUUGUCUAACAAGAUACACAUAAGAUUUAACACAAACAUUAUAAAUUGAUUCGUCCCUCAUGCAGUCAUGCCAUUUGAUUCUGGCUUAAACGAGUGUUAUCAACAAAAUUUAUAAAACCUAAAUCACCGUACACUAGGGUUGCAUAGCUAACAUAGUAUAGUGGCUCUAGGAUCGUCCAUAGGGAUGGGUUUUCAUCGUACAACUGACUUUAGUGAAGGAAAUAAAAUGGUGUUUUUCCUUAUGAAAAUUAACUUUUGAAGAAAAUGGAAUUGUGGUUGCAAAUAUUGAUUUUAAGUUAAGCAAAAAUAAGAAGUGAAGUUAACUACAAAGAAAAGGUCUCUUGGAGCUUUAGGUCACUAGGAUCGGGUUCCUUAGGCAAAGGGGGAGAUUCCGGAUCUUCUCCUUACAUUGGGGACAAUAACAUAAAGGAUGGUUAUCUCCCAAACCAAUUUUGUAUUUAGCAGUUAAGACUUGAUCCAAAGGGUUCAUGAAAAAUGGUAAUUGCUUCCCAUUAAUGGCUUCAAACGCUAAAGACCCUCACCUUGAACCACCUUACAAUGGCUCGUAAAUGAUAAAUAAUAGACAUCCAUGGAUCUAGCAAUAAGCAUCCAUAGAAUCCGAAAAGCUUACCAAGUAUUGGCCAUUCAAGGUGAUUUUAAGGGAUUUAAAGCUAAACCUUGAAAUAAAAACAAUUAAUGGUUAACAACUACAUUCAUUUAAAGCAAGGACAACUCCCACCUUUGCAUUCAAGUCCUUCACCUAGUUUCUAUCACUCCAAGAAACGUAAAACCUAGCCACUCAUCCCCUGAGAAAUCAUCCUCAAAGGUUGUUUGGCUAGAAAGAAAAGUGAAAAACAAAAUGAGAAGGAAAGGCAGAGCAAAAACUCUGUAUAUUUCUUACUACGGGGAUUUUUUAAGUGUCAUCCUCUUCUUUUUUCGAGGUUAUACAAAGAGAGAUAUAUAGAGAGGGGUCUUUCUAACCAAGAAAUCCUAUCAUUGGUUGAUUACAAGGAUAAAAUAGGAAAUUACACAAAAUAUCUGGAGAUAAAAAUCUAACGGAGUCGGUGCACAGGAAGAUUUCACAUACCAUGCGAAAUUUCGCAUGGUGUGCAAAAUUGUCUUUCACUCAGUCCCGCUCUUAGUCCUGUAACUACUCCUCUUGAUUUCGCAUGUUGUGCGAAAUUUUCGCAUAGCCAUGCGAAACUGCUGGUUGUUGGAUUUCUUCCUCUGGUUUUCUUUCUUGCAUCUCUAAUUGGCUUGGCAAAAGGCUAUGAAGUGCUCCAAGAUUCUGAUUCUUCAUGUAUUUGAGCUUCAACUUGCAUUGCCAUGGAUUUCACAAAAUUCUCCCUCAUUCUUGGCUUGUUUCAAUGAUCAAAUAGCUACCAAAAACACUAAAACUUGCCAAAAACUUAUUAAUAACCCUUGCUAUGUUCCUUAAUGUGCCAAUUGAGUUAAAAGGUAUUAACUACUACUCAAAAGUGUUCAAAACAGUUAGUUUCAAGCUAUAAAAUAGUAAUUUUUGAGUAGUAAUCAUAAAUCCUUCAGUAAACAUAUCAAUCAGAAAAUUAUUAGCAUGAAGUUGAAAUGAAGGCAGUCUAAUGUGCCAUAGAAAAAUAGAGAUAAUAUAGUCAACAAUCAUUAAACAAGAUAGAAAUGAGAAUUCAUGUGUGCAUCAGGGAGGAAAAAGUAUCACCAAUCUAUUUCAGAGUCCCACACUACCUUAAAAUGUUCCAAAGGGUACUUGACUUCAUCCAACUUGAUUUGAUCCUACAAACCAUGCUGAAUUAAAUUAGAACUGAAGUAUGCUCUUCAAUACCUGUGAUCUCAGCAUUUAAAUGUUCAAAGGAAUGUAGUUUAAUAUACAUAUCUAUAAUUAGGCCACCAUGAAUAAUGAACCACAUAUAGGUAUACAUCUCUACUAGAGAAAAGGAAGGCAAACAUUCUCAAACAACAAACAGGAAGCAUACCACAUAUAUGCAGCACGGCUUCUACUUUAACAAAUAUUAUUUAUGAGAGAGAGAGUACUUUGCACAUAUUCUAUUGAUCAAUAUUUUGGCAAAUUGUAUUUAUUGAAAUAUCAAAUAGAUAAAAAGGGUCAUCAAAAAUGUAUUUGGUUAAUAAUUAAUGAUAGAGCUGAUUACGAAUUUAUGUGCUUCUAUAUAGAACUAAGUCUUACAACAUAAAUGACGUGGGCAUUUAAUACAAGUAAUAGAAUGCAAUCAAAAUAUAUGUUUUUGUGAGGAUUCCAUCAAUCUUUUUGAGUAAUUAUGUUGUAAGGAUCCAGUUGUGCUAAAGAAUUAUUUCAAACUCAGUUAUCAACCAUUUCAUAAGUAAUUGAAAUCAUUUCAUGGAAGUUAGAAAUCAUGGUAACAAGAUUAUAGUUCAUUCAUUAAGAGAGAUUGUCAUGUCUCAAAGAACUUAAUGAAUUUGGGUAUAUUUUUAGCAGAUUCAACUGAAUUCAUUCACUUUCCCUGCUUUUCAGAAAUGCUUUGCAAAUAGAGAAACAAUUUAAGUUGUGCAAGAAAUUAAAUAUUGAUUAUUCAUUGCAUAUAUUUUGUUUCCGAAUAGACAUUUAAAGUGCAUUCAAGGAAAUCUAUUUACAGUCAGAAGAAGAAAAAAACAGCAAAAAUGUGUAAAAGCAGUGAAGCCUCUACAUAACAAUGAACAGUUCCAUUAUGGUAUAUAAUAGUGUGAAUGACAAUUUUAAAACUUUAGUCAGAGUACAUGUUAUUGUUAACAAAAAGUCACUAAAAGGUUAGAAUGAAAUGUAUCUCUUUAAACAAAAUGGCACAAGAUCACCAGAAAGGCAGUUGAAACCAAUAAGGAAUGUAUGAUUGAUUACUACUCAAAACAUGCUAUUUUGUAGCUUGUAAUUAGCUCUUUUAAACACCCUUGAGUAGUAAUUAUUACCUUUUAACUCAAUUAGCAUGUUAGGGACCCUUGCAAUCUUUUCUAAUCAAAUUGUGUUAAGUUUUGGUGCUUUUUGAUAGCUUUAUGCUCACCAAAGCAAUUAAAGAAUGAGGGAGAGCUAUAUAUAGUUCAUGGAAAAGCUUUUGGAAGCUCAAAUUUAUAAAGAAACCAAGCUUUGGAGCCUCAUAGUGCUUUGCCUUAGUCGUUCAAAGUAUGCAAGGAAAGAACAAUGGAGAAGAGGAAAACAGGGUAAGGAAAACAGGGGACACAACUGCAGUCUUCCUUCGCACUUUUGGAGCACUUUCUGAAGUCCAUUUUCUACAUUCUAUAUACCCUUUCAAAUCUCAGGAAGUCAAGAAUCCAGCGCUUCAAACCGUGUACGAUUUGGAGCUAAAAUGAGGAAGAUAUGGCCUUCGGAAGACAACUGCAUCAAGCUGAGGGACAAUUUCGCACCUUGCGAAAUUGGAACUCCAACGUGCGAAAUUUAAAGUGGAUGGCAGCUGUGUAGUCGCGGUGAAGCCCAACAUGCGGAGUUGAUUUUGCAAAUUGUGGACUUGGAUCUCAACAUGCGAAAGUGAAUUCUAAGUUGUGAAAUCAACUUGCGAAAUUUUCGCAAGUCACCAUGCAACAUGCGAAACUGGGAUAUUUAUGCCGACUCUUUUUCUUCUGAUAUUUUUGUGUCUAAAUUUCCAUUUUCUCCUUGUAUUCAGACACUCAUGUAAUUCCUUAGCUAGGAAGUAUCCAAGGAAGGGUAAAAUUACCUUCCUAUAUAAACUCUCUUGUAAACACUGAAAAAGGAAUCUCGAGGAGCUUUCUCCAAGAGACCAACUUAUGUAAAUUUUACGCUUAGUGAAAUACAGAGAUCUCUUUUGCUUUCUUUUUCUCUCUACUAUUUUAUUUUUCUUGGAAGCCAAACAGCCUCUGAGGAUGUUUUCCCAGAGGAUGAGAGGCUAAACUUAUAGUUUCUUGGAGUUAAGGAAACUAGGUGAAAAGUCCAGAUGAAAAGGUGGAAAGCUUCCGUGAAUUAAAUUCAGGUAGUUGGAGUUCAUAAAUGGCUUCUAAAUCCAAAGUAUUACUUUAAAUCCCUUAGAAUCACUUUGAAUGGCCAAUACAUGGUAAGCUUCAGGUCUCUGUGGAUGCUUAUUGCUAGAUCCAUACCAGUCCAUUAGUUAUCAUGUACGAGCCAUUGGAAAGUGGUUCAAGGUGAAGACCCAUAGUGUCUAAAGCCAUUAAUGAACCUUGACUAUCAUUUCUAUUGACUUUUUAUGGAUUAAAUCUUCAUUGUUAAACAUAUACCGGUUCGGGAAAUAACUAUAGGUUAAAUCCCCAAUGUGAGGAGAAAAAUCCGGAAUUUUCCACUUUGCAUUCUGAACUUGAUCCUUGCAACACUUAGCUCCGGGAGACUUUCUUUCUUCCAUUUUUACUUAGUUAUAUGUUAGUUUAGUUUCAAUCACCACUUUCAAAACAAAUUUUAUUUUCUUUUAAACUUCAAUUUUAUGAUAAAGGAAAUCAUCAGACUCAAUUUCUAAUCUAGAGUCUGUCACUGAUAGAGUAAAAACCCAUCCCUGAGUUCGACCCUAGAGCUGCUAUACUAUAGUAGCUUUGCUACGCCAGUAUAAGGUCAUAGAAUUUAUAAAUAUUUUUUAUUAAAAGACCCGAUUGGGCUCGAAUCAAAUGGCGCCGUUGCCGGGGAUGGUGCCACUUUGCAAUGAUAUGAUCUUAUGAGAAGACUUGUGAUUUUCAUCACAAGUUUGGUGAAUUCCUUUUUCACUAACUUCAUUUCCUCUCUUUUAAUUGUAGAAUUUCUUUUGUUAAGUUUACUUUCAUUUUUUUUCUAACCUUAACUUUCAUCUAGCUUUCUUUUCUUUUUGUUAUCUUUGUUUUGUUUUUCAGAGAAGUUACAACUUGUGCAUGCCCUAUUGGAUUCGGGACCAAGAGGGAAGGCUAGUAAGGAUAGAGAAUCCUCAGGACACAGAGUUGGAUAUUUGUGUAAACAUCAUGGACCCUCCACAAGAGGAUCAGAAUUCUCAACAUGGUCAAAGGGGUAAUCCAAAUGCAUAUCUAUCCAUGAGGGAUAGAAUGCACCCACCAAGAAUGAGUGCACCCUCAUGCAUCGUACCUCCUCUUGAGCAGCUGAUUAUAAGGCCCCAUAUUGUGCCCCUCUUACCAAAUUUCCAUAGAAUGGGGAGUGAGAAUCCAUAUGCCCACAUCAAGGAGUUUGAGGAGGUGUGCAAUACCUUUAGAGAUGAAGGAGCUUCAAUAGACUUGAUGAGACUCAAGCUAUUCCCUUUUACUUUGAAGGACAAGGAAAAAAUAUGGCUUAAUUCUUUAAGGCCAAGGAGCAUAAGGAAUUGGGUUGAUCUUCAGGCCGAAUUUUGAAGAAAUUUUUCCCCACCCAUAGGACCAAUGGGUUGAAGAGACAAAUCUCAAACUUUUCUGCAAAAGAAAAUGAGAAGUUCCAUGAAUGUUGGGAGAGGUAUAUGGAAUCCAUAAAUGCUUGUCCUCAUCAUGGUUUUGAUACAUGGCUCUUGGUGAGCUAUUUUUAUGAUGGGAUGUCUUCCUCCAUGAAGCAAAUUCUUGAAACCAUGUGUGGGGGAGAUUUUAUGAGUAAGAAUCGGGAAGAAGCCAUGGACUUUUUAAAUUAUGUGUCUGAGGUGUCAAGAGGAUGGGAUGAGCCCAACUCAAGAGAGAAAGGAAAGUUUCCCUCUCAACAAACCCAAAAUCCAAAGGCUGGAAUGUACAUGUUAAGUGAAGACAUGGACAUGAAAGCUAAAGUGGCAACAAUAGCAAGGAGGUUGGAAGAACUUGAGUUGAAAAAGAUGCAUGAAGUCCAAGCCAUUUCCGAGACCCAAACCCAUGUCAUGCCAUGCACCAUUUUCCAAUCAUGUGAUCAUGUGGUAGAUGAGUGCCCAACCAUGCCAGCCGUGAGGGAGAUGUUAGGUGAUCAAGUCAAUGUCGUGGGGCAAUUUAGGCCCAAUAACAGUGCAUCUUAUGGAAACACCUAUAAUUCAAGCUGGAGAAACCAUCCAAAUUUUUCUUGGAAACCAAGGCCACCUCCAUACCAACCACAAGGCCAAACCCAAGCACCUCAACAAACCUCUUCAGUGGAGCAAGCCAUUGUGAACCUGAGUAAAGUCAUGGGUGACUUUGUGGGUGAACAAAAGGCAAUCAACUCCCAAUUGCAUCAAAAGAUUGAAAAUGUUGAGAGUUCUUAAAUUAAGAGAAUGGAGGGGAUGCAAAAUGAUCUAUCUCAGAAGAUAGAUAAUAUUCAGUACUCCAUCUCUAGGCUUACCAACCUCAACACAGUGAAUGAGAAGGGAAAGUUUCCCUCUUAACCAAGCCAAAAUCCCAAGGGUGUUCAUGAAGUUGAAACCCAAGAUGGUGAGUCUUCAAAUUUGAGAGAGGUCAAAGUUGUAAUCACUUUGAGGAGUGGGAAGGAGGUUGAUCAACCCUUGCCUAACGUGGGGCAUGAUGAAGAACUCAUGUCAAAGAGACCCUUGAUUAAAGAGAGCAAUAACCAAGAAGAGAAGAGUGGGAAGAAAAGUGCAUCCAAAACAAGCAUUGAAGAAGAACCAAGGAUAGUGAUUAAAGAGGAUAUGAUGAAGAAACAUAUGCCUCCUCCUUUUCCUCAAGCUUUACAUGGAAAGAAUGAAAUCAAGAAUUCAUCAUAAAUUCUUGAAGUUUUGAGACAAGUGAAGGUUAAUAUACCCUUACUUGAUAUGAUCAAGCAAGUCCCCACAUAUGCAAAGUUUCUAAAGGACUUGUGCACAGUCAAGAGAGGGUUACAGGUGACAAAGAAUGCAUUCCUCACUGAGCAAGUAAGUGCUAUCAUUCAGAGUAAGUCCCCAGUUAAGUAUAAAGAUCCAGGAUGCCCCACCAUUUCAGUCAACAUUGGAGGGACACAUGUGGAGAAGGCUUUACUAGACUUGGGGGCAAGUGUGAAUUUGCUUCCAUACUCUGUGUAUAAGCAACUGGGACUUGGAGGAUUGAAGCCCACAACCAUGACCCUCUCCUUAGUUGAUAGGUCAGUCAAAAUCCCAAGGGGGGUGAUAGAGGAUGUUCUAGUUCAAGUGGACAAAUUCUACUAUCCUGUGGAUUUUGUAGUGCUUGAUACUGAUUCCACUGUCAAGGAAGAAAAUUAUGUGCCAAUCAUCCUCGGGAGGCCUUUCCUAGCUACCUCCAAUGCCAUCAUUAAUUGUAGGAAUGGGGUGAUGCAGCUCACAUUUGGAAACAUGACCUUGGAAUUAAACAUAUUCCACCUAUGCAAAAGGCAUCUUCACCCCGAAGAGGAGGAAGGAUUUGAGGAGGUGUGCUUGAUCAACACUUUGGUUGAAGAGCACUGUGACAAGAAUUUAGAGAAGAGCUUGAAGAUGGGUUACCUGAACCCUCUGAUGUGCUAGCCAUCAUGUCUCCUUGGAAGAGACGGAAAGAGAUCUUACCAUUGUUCAAUAAGGAGGACUCACAAAGAGUAGCUGUGAAGGACCCUCCAAAGUUUGUUUUAAAGCCGCUUCCUGUUGAUUUGAAGUAUGCAUACUUGGAGGAAGAUGAGAAAUGUCCAGUGGUGGUUUCCUCAACUCUAACUAGUGAUCAAGAGGAUAGUCUUUUGGGAGUCCUCAGAAAAUGCAAGAAAGCCAUUGGAUGGCAAAUUUCUGAUCUGAAAGGGAUUAGCCCUUUGGUGUGCACCCACCAUAUCUAUAUGGAGGACGAUGCAAAACCAGUGAGGCAGCCCCAAAGGAGGUUGAAUCCUCACAUGCAAGAGGUGGUGAGGGGUGAAGUUCUGAAGCUACUUCAAGCUGGAAUCAUAUAUCCCAUUUCAGACAGCUUGUGGGUGAGCCCCACCCAAGUAGUCCCAAAGAAAUCUGGAAUUACUGUGAUCCAGAAUGAGAAAGGGGAGGAAGUCUCUACACGUCCUACCUCAGGAUGGAGGGUGUGUAUAGACUAUAGGAGGUUGAAUUCAGUGACUAGGAAGGACCAUUUCCCAUUGCCUUUCAUGGACCAAGUCCUUGAGAGAGUCUCAGGACAUCCUUUCUAUUGUUUUCUGGAUGGUUACUCAGGGUACUUCCAAAUAGAGAUUGAUUUAGAAGAUCAAGAAAAGACAACCUUCACUUACCCCUUUGGUACUUUUGCAUAUAGGAGGAUGCCUUUUGGUCUAUGUAAUGCUCCUGCGACUUUCCAAAGAUGUAUGCUAAGCAUCUUUAGUGAUAUGGUGGAACGCAUCAUGGAAGUCUUCAUGGAUGACAUCACUGUAUAUGGAAGUUCUUAUGAGGAGUGUUUGUUGCAUUUAGAAGCUGUUCUCCACAGAUGUAUUGAGAAAGACCUAGUGCUAAAUUGGGAGAAGUGCCAUUUUAUGGUACAACAAGGAAUUGUCUUAGGACAUAUCAUCUCCAAGAAUGGCAUUGAGGUAGAUAAGGCAAAGGUGGAGCUAAUUGUUAAGUUGCCACCUCCCACAAAUGUUAAAGGAAUUAGACAAUUCCUAGGACAUGCCGGGUUCUAUAGGAGGUUCAUUAAGGAUUUCUCAAAAAUCUCAAAGCCUCUUUGUGAACUCUUGGUAAAGGAUGCCAAGUUUGUGUGGGAUGAGAAGUGUCAGAAGAGUUUUGAGGAAUUGAAGCAAUUCCUCACAACUGCACCAAUAGUGAGAGCCCCAAAUUGGAAAUUACCUUUUGAGGUAAUGUGUGAUUCAAGUGAUCUUGCUAUGGGGGCUUUCUUGGGGCAAAGAGAGGUUGGAAAGCCCUAUGUGAUUUAUUAUGUAAGCAAAACUUUGAAUGAGGCUCAAAGGAACUACACAACUACUAAGAAGGAGUUGUUGGCAGUAGUUUUUGCCUUGGAUAAGUUUUGUGCUUAUUUGGUAGGGUCCUCUAUAGUGGUGUUCACUGACCAUUCCGCUUUGAAGUACUUGCUAACCAAGCAAGAUGCCAAGGCAAGAUUGAUAAGAUGGAUCCUUUUGCUCCAAGAAUUCAAUCUCCAAAUCCGGGAUAAAAAGGGGGUAGAAAAUGUGGUAGCUGACCACUUGUCAAGACUUGUGAUAGCACAUGACUCACAUGGUCUGCCUAUCAAUGAUGACUUCCCUGAGGAGUCUCUCGUGUCAAUAGAGGUAGCUCCAUGGUAUUCUCACAUUGAAAAUUUCUUGGUUACUAGAGAAGUUCCAAGUGAGUGGAGUGCCCAAGACAAGAGGCAUUUCUUUGCUAAGAUCCAUGCCUAUUAUUGGGAGGAGCCUUUUCUCUUCAAAUAUUGUGCGGAUCAAACCAUAAGGAAAUGUGUUCCUAAACAAGAGCAAUCAGGAAUUCUUUUCCAUUGCCAUGAUAAUGCAUGUGGAGGUCAUUUUGCCUCCCAGAAAAUAGCUAUGAAAGUGAUCCAAUCAGGUUUUUGGUGGCCCUCUCUUUUCAAGGAUGCCCACUCUAUGUGCAAGGGAUGUGAUUGGUGUCAAAGGCUUGGUAAGCUAACACGCCGAAAUAUGAUGCCCUUGAACCCCAUCUUAAUAGUGGAUGUCUUUGAUGUUUGGGGAAUAGACUUCAUGGGACCAUUUCCAAUGUCGUUUGGACAUUCCUACAUUUUGGUGGGAGUGGAUUAUGUCUCUAAGUGGGUAGAAGCAAUCCUCAAGGACAUUCCUACAUGUAGGCACAAUGAUCAUAAGGUGGUUCUUAAAUUCCUCAAGGACAACAUCUUUGCAAGAUUUGGAGUACCAAAGGCCAUUAUAAGUGAUGGAGGAACCCACUUUUGUAAUAAACCUUUUGAGACUUUUCUAGCCAAAUAUGGGGUUAAGCACAAGGUAGCUACACCUUAUCACCCUCAAACAAGUGGCCAAGUUGAGUUAGCCAACCGGGAGAUCAAGAAUAUAUUGAUGAAGGUGGUGAAUGUGAAUAGGAAGGAUUGGUCUAUUAAGCUCUUGGAUUCCUUAUAGGCUUAUAGGACCGCUUACAAGACCAUUCUUGGAAUGUCUCCUUAUCGCCUUAUUUAUGGCAAAGCGUGUCAUCUUCCAGUGGAGAUUGAAUAUAAAGCAUGGUGGGCAAUCAAGAAGCUCAACAUGGAUUUGACAAGAGCCGGGUUAAAGAGAUGUUUAGAUUUGAAUGAAUUGGAGGAAAUGAGGAAUGAUGCUUACCUCAAUUCAAAAAUUGCAAAAGCAAGGUUGAAAAAAUGGCAUGAUCAGUUGGUAAAUCUGAAGAAUUUUACCAAGGGCCAAAGAGUCUUGCUUUAUGAUUCUAAACUUCAUCUUUUUCCAGGAAAAUUGAAAUCCAGGUGGACGGGUCCUUUCAUAGUUCAUGAAGUGCAACCCAAUGGAGUGGUGGAAGUAUUCAAUUCCAAAGGCAAUCAAACCUUCAAAGUCAAUGGCCAUCGUCUCAAGCCAUUCAUAGAGCCUUACAAUGCAGACAAGGAGGAAAUCAACCUCCUUGAACCACAACAACUUUGAGGGAAAGCAGGGUUUCAUGGACUAUAUAAGUCCAUGAAUUUUUAUAGUUUUAUAGUUGAAUUUUUAUUAUUUCUAUUUCUUUUUAUUUUAAUUCUUGCUCAAACUUGGUUUAUUUUGUCUUAAUUCAAGUCAAUUUUGAUGUUAAAUUUUAGAAAAAAAUCAAGAAAAGUGUGGAGAAGCCUUCAAAAGCAAGACAGGGGAGCAAAACAAGGGAACAGAGCACUACAAUUCAAGGUGCGAAAUUUUCGCACGAUGGAUUCCAACAUGCGAAAAUUCAUUUCAAGGUACGAAUUUCUAAAACUUAAAUUUCGCACACCCCUGUUCAAGGUGCGAAAAUUUUCGCACCGUGCGAAACUCCCUCCUGGCACACGAGUGCCAUUUCGCACACCUCAAGCUACUUUUCGCACCGUGCGAAUCAAGGUGCGAAAAUUUCGCAUGAUGCAAUCCAAGGUACGAAAUUCACUCCAGUGUGCGAAAUAAGGUGCGAAUUCCCUGAAUGAAAAAUUCGCACACCCCUGUUCAAGGUGCGAAAAUUUUCGUACCGUGCGAAACUCUCUCCUAGCACACGAGUGCCAUUUCGCACACCUCGAGCUACUUUUCGCACCGUGAGAAACAAGGUGCGAAAUGCAAUUCAAGGUGUGAAUUUCUCAGUUCAAAGUGCGAAAUUUUCGCACGAUGCAAUCCAAGGUGCAAAAUUUUCAAUGUAAGCUUCAGGUCUCUGUGGAUGCUUAUUGCUAGAUCCAUACCAGUCCAUUAGUUAUCAUGUACGAGCCAUUGGAAAGUGGUUCAAGGUGAAGACCCAUAGUGUCUAAAGCCAUUAAUGAACCUUGACUAUCAUUUCUAUUGACUUUUUGUGGAUUAAAUCUUCAUUGUUAAACAUAUACCGGUUCGGGAAAUAACUAUAGGUUAAAUCCCCAAUGCGAGGAGAAAAAUCCGGAAUUUUCCACUUUGCAUUCUGAACUUGAUCCUAGCAACCCUUAGCUCCGGGAGACUUUCUUUCUUCCAUUUUUACUUAGUUAUAUGUUAGUUUAGUUUCAAUCACCACUUUCAAAACAAAUUUUAUUUUCUUUUAAACUUCAAGUUUAUGAUAAAGGAAAUCAUCAGACUCAAUUUCUAAUCUAGAGUCUGUCACUGAUAGAGUGAAAACCCAUCCCUGAGUUCAACCCUAGAGCUGCUAUACUAUAGUAGCUUUGCUACGCCAAUAUAAGGUCAUAGGAUUUAUAAAUAUUUUUUAUUAAAAGACCCGACUGGGCUCGAAUCAAUGAUUGCUUUACAUGGCAUGACCAUAAACACUAACCAAUGUCUUACUAAUUUUUUAUCUUUGAGACAUUAAACCUGUCGUUCUGAGCAUAAUGUUUUUAGACAAAGAUGAUUAAAUUAGUCACCCUUUAAAUGUAUCUGUCUAUUACAGAGAAGUUAUGAUCCUUGCAGGCUCUAAUUGCAUUCCAAAGGAUUAUGAUCCAAGAGAAAAACAAGUAGUUAUAAUUAACAUAAGUUUUUAGAACAACUAGUCAAUAAAUCAGAGUUACAGGGAACACCCCAAGGCAACAAGAUGUUAAUAUGAGAAUAUGGGAGGCUCAAUUCAAAGCUCAGAACUAUUAUUAUGAAAAAAUUUUAAAAAGGAAACAAGAAUUUCAUUGUAGGAAAAUUAUGGUUGUUGAUGCACAUUCUCUUGAUAACAAUCUUGUUAGGUUGGAUGUAUCGUAUGCCAUGACGUACAACAUUAAAAAUCUUCACCACAAUGUACUUGCAACAAUGCUUUCCAUCCACAGGAAUCUUUCUAGUUUUGCUAGACAAGUCUCUUGACUUGUAGCAAUAUUCCAGCCACAACAUUUUUUCUUGAAUACAUGUCGAACACAUAUCCAUGGCAUGUUAACAUGUGUGUGUAUAUACCUAUCCUUCUAUUUGUCCAUCUAUAUAUAAGGGAAACAAGAAAAAUCAUUUAUUAAAAAAGUGAGAGUGACUACAUGAAACAGUGAGUAUCCUUCAAGAGAGCUGUCUGAAAAAGAAAAGAAAAAACAAAACAUUUAUACAUCCCCAAAAGACCUAACAGAAGAACCAAACAAAAGAACCCACAUUGUGAAUGCUUUAGAAUGAAGAGGAGGUCUCCAAUAGAAAACUUAACUACUAUAGCUCCUUCCAAAGCCCAGUGAUUCACUAACUGGUUAACCAACUGAGGAUUCCAACUAAAGAAAUAAUAUAAACGUCUAAAGAGCUCAACAAUUUUGCGACUUCAAGCAUGAAAAUUCCUUCUCAGUCCUUGGGUCACUUAAGAAAGGCAAUAGCCAAAGGCCCCUGGACCAAAAUAUUUUUAAAAAAAAACUCAAUAGUAAUUAAAGAUUCACUAAUCCUGCUAGGCAAGUAAGUAUUCCCUCCACAAUGGCAAAAUUGAACCUGCUAGCUUAGAGAAAGCUAUCAACACCUAUGCCUCUAUAAUCUAGGAGAACUCCCUCAAUUCCUAUUUGCACUAGGUUACCUAGAGAACAACAAUCAACAAUAAGUUUGAGGCAACCAAGGAAUGGAACUACCCCUAAUUCAUUUUGGCAAUGUCAUAGAAACAAACAUCUCUUUGAUCCCGCAAAAUCAAACUAAUAGGAUGCAAGAGAAUUCUUUAGUUAUAGAAGCUCAAAUAAAGGAGAGAUGGUAUACAUUGUUGACAAUUACAAUCAAAUUAACCAUUAUAAAAUGUUAGUGUAUUAGAUUAGAUUUGUUAGAGAAUUUAAAUUAGUCAAGUUAUUUGAAUUCACUUCUACUUUUGUCAUUUCAGAUUAUGUCGGAUUAGGAUUUUUAUGUUUUUUUAAAAUUCAAAUAAGGGCACAUUGUUAUCUAUAACAAUUCUGUCGUGAUCCUAGGAGUGUAAUUUCAAGGUUUGGUUGAUAACCCUAAUUUAAGGUGGUGUUUGUUUUUUUGGCUUUUUGCUGAAAAUAAUUUAUUUUCAGAAUUUAGAUUGUUUAUUUUUCUACUUUUUCAUAACUUAUUAUAAACUUUUUACUGAAUAUAAAAAGUCAAAAUAUAUAGCUUUUUCUAAAUAGAAAAAAUAAUAUAUUGAUUUUUCUUUACUUUUUAAUAUUUAAUAUAAAUAAAAUACUAUAAAAAAACAAACAACUUAAUAUUUAACACUAUUAAGCAUUAAGGUUCUAUUUAGAAUUAAGUAAAAAAACAAACACCACAAAUGUAUUGCCCUAAAAUAAUAAGAUGAUGAUGCAAAUUAGUUUUAGAUAUGCUUUUAUGGUAUCAGAGCCUUGAACUUUGAAAAAUACCUAUGGCAAAAACAACCAUGACAGGGUCCUCACGUCGAGAUGACUCCACAUCUACGACAUCUAAUCAAUCCCACGCCAAUUAGUCUGUCACGACAUUUUCUAGCGAGGACAACAACUGUAACAACCCGCACCCAACCAUAUAGAUAUUGUCCGCUUUAGGCCUAAGGGGCCCUCACGGCUUUAAAACGCGUCUACUUGGUUAAGAGGAGCCUCUACAUAUAUAGCGCCAGGAACUUGCUCCCCUAUCCCUGUCACGCCCCAAGACCCACUCCAAGGGCGUGACGAUCAUUUCACACUUCAAACCCGAAGGCUUAUAGUGUAACCUGAUCCAAACAAUUAUCUUGUAAACCGAAGUUACCAAUUACCAAAUACCUGUUCAGAGUAGCGGAACAAAAUCUAAAAUCCUCAAAAUUCAAUUUCAAAACUAAAACAUCCACUAUCCAAAAUUCAUUGUCCAAAAAUUUGCAAACUUAAACAAUUCAAGUACUAGAGCAAAUUUCAAAAUCUCCAAAACUCAACCUUGAUCUAACAUAAAAGUUGAAGGAUCAAUAUCCAAAUAACUUCCAAAUACUAAAAUGUCCAAAUGAACACAACUAACAGUUAAACAAAAUCCAACAUAAAAUCCUAAGUCAAAUCUUAAUGAUGACCAUUUCUCAGCCUAGCCAUCACUCCUCACCCGAACUAAGGGUACCUGAAAAGUAGUCAACAAAUGGGAAUGAGCUCACAACCCAAUAAGGAACAUUAAUGCAGUCCAUGGAUCAAACAUUUCAAACUCACUUGCAAAAUAGGAGAUAUUGUAAUCAAUCAUUUUCAUAAAGUUGUGAGUAAAUUUUUUUUUUUUUUUUUUUUUUUGCCAAUACAUUCAAAAUUUCUAACUGUAUGCAUUUAUUUAUGAUUCAAACAAUUUCAUAUCAAUUCAAUCAAAAUAUUCCAAUAAUUUAUUUUCUCUGGUCGUCAAACAUCAAAGGGUGUCCAGUUAGGUAGGACUUUUCAAAUGAGUGGCUAGCCUCAAAUUGUUCCUUUAAGGUGGACGGAACCAAACACUACUAGUACUAGUAACCUCUAACCAAAACCCCUAGAGGUUGGGGUUCAAAUCAAUUACAUUUCCCACCAAGAAAUGUAAAGGUCAACUAUUAUAUCCCAUUGACAAGGGCCAAAAGUCAACUAUUAUAUCCCGUUGACAAGGGCCAAACAAACGAGAGUCAAAUAUUUAUUUCAUUUAUUCAAAUUUACAACAUAUAAUAUCUCCACAUUUAUUUGUCAAAAACAUAAUAUAAAAUAAUAACAUACUUUUCAUGCAAAACAGAUUUGAUCCAUGCAUAAAACGGAAUAUAACUCAAACGUUUUCAAAUAAUGUAUAUAUAUAUAAUUGUUUCAAAAAAAGAAUUUAACAACUACAUUAAUUUCCCUUACCUCAAAAGAAGUCCUCAAAAACUUUGGAGAGAAAAUAAUCCUGAAAAUCUACUCUUCACCUAACAAAAUAUAAGGGGAAUAACUAUUACUAUUUAUCUAAAAUUAUAGGUUUGACAAUCCUAAAAUUUUAGGUAUUCAAAUUAAUAUAUAUAUAUAUAUAUAUAUAUAUAUAUAUAUAUAUAUAUAUAUAUAUAUAUAUUAUUUAUGAAAGAUAAUUUAAUCUAUUCAUAUUUUAAAAAUUAAUAAAUUUCUAAUUCAUAUAAAACUAAAUUUAUUUAUUUAUUUAUUUCUUGGGACGCAACUUAAUUAAACUAUAAUUUAUUUUAAUAAUUAAUUUCUAUGUUAUUUAUUAACUUACGCUCAUAAUUACAAUAUCAAAAAAAAAAAAAUUACUUCCUUUUUAUUUAAAACUUCUAUUCUCUCAUUUUAUUUUUUAAACAUAAACUUUAUUCCCAAUAAUACUCCAUUAUUGCCAACAAAAAUAAUAGACAUAUAUAUAUAUAUACUAACAACACUUUUCAUCCGUACACACACCCACACCCCAUAUAUAUAUAUAUUAUUUUUUUUUUUUCAUUCUCCAAUUCCAGUGUGCACACGCGUCCUCCAUUUUUAUUUUUAUUUUAUCCUUAAGCCAUUCUCCAAUUCCACAGUGUGCACACACGUCUUCCAGGUUUUUUUUUUCCCUAAAAACUUAAGAAUUUCCAAUUUCCAACAAUAAAUCAAAAUCUUAAAUUUUCAUUAUUUUGACAUUAAAACGAAUUAAAAAAAAAAAAAAACUAACCCUAAUCUAGAUUUGGGGUUUUCCAAAAAAAAAUAUAUCUAAUGUGCUUGAAAUUAACUAAUGAAUCUAAAAUAAUAAUCUAAGGGUUAGAAUUUUACCUAUAGAGGUUUGUUCUUCAAAUCUUGAAAUCUGACCUCAACUUCACGUUCUUUGGAAACUCUCUGCGAAUAGGAAUACGAUUCAGAAAAAAACAGGAAGAAGAGAAUUUUCUAUUUAUACCUAAGGCAUUAUUCGUAAAAUUACCUUUUCACCCCUCUUCCAUUUUAUUAAAUUAAUUAAUUAAUUAAUUUAAUAUAAUUAUUAUGAAUUUCCUAAAUUAACCUUUUAAGAAAAAACUUUGGGCGUUACAUCCUCCCCUCCUUAACAAAAGUUUAGUCCUCUAAACUUGACAUACCUGAGUCUUGAAAUAAUUGAGGAUGCUUUUCUCUCAUCUCUUCUUCUAACACCCAAGUGGCCUCUCGGAUACUAUGAUUGCUCCACUGGACCUUUACCAACUUGACAACAGCAUGUCGUAGUACCUUAUCCAUCACAUCCACAAUUCGAACGGGUACCUCUUCAUAGGUCAAGUCCUCAGAAAUUUGAAUAGGCUCCAACUCCACAACAUGAGAGGGAUCAUAAAUAUAUUUCCUCAAGGUUGAAACAUGGAAUACAUUAUGAAUCUUAGAUAGACUUAGGGGCAAGGCCACUUUAUAAGCCAAAGUGCCUACUUUUUCUAAUACCUCAAAUGGUCCCACAAAACGAGGACUGAGUUUUCCUUUUCUUCCAAAUCUCAUUAUAGACUUCAUAGGUGAAACUUUCAAGAAAACAUGAUCACCCACCUCAAACUCCAAAUCUCGUAUGUGAUUAUCAACAUAACUCUUCUGUCUACUUUGUGCUGCUUUCAAUCUUUCCUUAAUUAAAUAGACCUUUUCAACAAUCAACUGCACAAGUUCAGGCCCCAAAAGUUUCUUCUCUCCAACAUCAUCCCAACAAACAGGAGAUUGACAUCUUCUACCAUACAAUGCCUCAAAAGGUGCCAUCCCAAUGCUAGCUUGAAAGCUAUUAUCAUAGGUAAACUCCACUAGGGGCAAAUAAUCAUCCCAAUUACCUUUUAGGUCCAAAGCACAAGCUCUCAACAAAUCUUCCAAGACCUGAAUUACCCUCUCUGAUUGACCAUCAAUCUGCGGAUGAAAAGCAGUACUAAAACUCAACUUAGUACCUAAUGCUUUCUGUAAACUAUGCCAAAAUCUGGAAGUGAAACGAUGAUCUCUGUCAGAUACUAUAGAAACAGGUACACCAUGCAUUCUCACAAUCUCCUUAAUAUAAAGAGAAGCCAAACGAUCCGUAGAAAAAUUAACUUUCAUAGGUAGAAAAUGAGUAGACUUUGUCAAUCGAUCAACAAUCACCCAAAUUGCAUUAUUACCCCCUAAGGUCCUUGGUAACCCAGUCACAAAAUCCAUAGUAAUAUGUUCCCAUUUCCACUCGGGAAUAGAAAAUGGUUGCAAAAACCCUGCUGGUCGUUGAUGCUCAGCUUUCACUUGUUGACACACCAAACACUGAGCCACAAAUUGCGCAAUAUCUUGCUUCAUUCCUGACCACCAAUAAUUCUGUCUCAAAUCUUUGUACAUCUUUGUCCCUCCUGGGUGGAUCACAAGCCUAGAACAAUGAGCUUCCUCCAAAAGCUCUCUCCUUAAGUCUCCAUCAUUUGGGACACAAAGUCUAGUCCUAAACCUCAAAACCCCAUCAUCUGAUAAAACAAAGUCAGGCUUACUACCCUUUUUAACAUCUUCCAUAAGUUGCACUAAAUUCAAAUCAUUCUUUUGUAAGGCCUUAAUUCUCCCAACUAAGUCUGGCUGCACUCUAAAGUUCGCCAUAAGAGCUCCCGAGUCUAAAACUCUGAUAUGAACUUGUAAACUCCUCAAAUCUCCCAAUAAUUGCCUCUAACAACCUCUAAUAACUGCUAAGGAACUAAGAGAUUUCUUGCUUAAGGCGUCAGCCACAACAUUUGCUUUCCCUGUGUGAUAUUGAAUAAUGCAGUCAUAGUCUUUAAGUAGUUCAAUCCACCUCAUCUAUCUCAUGUUCAACUCCUUUUGGGAAAAUAAAUACUUCAAGCUCUUAUGAUCUGUGAAUAUCUCACAAGUUUCACUAAAAAGAAAAUGUCUCCAUGUCUUAAGUGCAAAAACCACUACAACUAACUCCAAAUCAUGAGUAGGAUAAUUUCGUUCAUAAGGCUUCAAUUGCCUAGAAGCAUAAGCUACAACUUUCCCAUGUUGCAUAAGAACACAACCCAAACCCUGAUGAGAUGCAUCACUAUACACCACAAACCCUCCUAAACCGAAAGGGAUAGUCAAAAUAGGAGUUGUCACCAAUUUGUUCUUUAACUCUUGGAAACUACAUUCACAAUCAUCAGACCACUCAAACUUAACCCCUUUCUGAGUCAAACUAGUUAGAGGUAGGGCAAUCUUAGAGAACCCCUCAAUAAACCGCCUAUAAUAACCAAUCAAUCCCAAGAAACUUCAAAUCUCAAUCACAGUAGUAGGUCUCCUCCAAUUUGACACAGUAUCUACCUUUCCAGGAUCAACUGAGAUGCCAUCCUUGGUCACCACAUGCCCAAGGAAAGAAACUCUGUCUAACCAAAACUCACACUUCUUGAGUUUAGAAUACAAUCGCUUAUCUCUGAGAGUCUGUAAUACAAUACUCAAAUGACGCUCAUGCUCUUCCCUACUCUUUGAGUACACCAAAAUAUCAUCUAUAAAAACUACCACAAAUUGAUCUAGAUAGGGCUUGAAUACCCUAUUCAUUAAGUUCAUAAAAGCAGCAGGUGCAUUAGUCAAACCAAAAGGCAUAACCAAAAACUCAUAAUGCCCAUAGCUAGUUCGAAAAGCAGUCUUAGGUAUAUCUUCCCCUCUAACCCUUAACUGAUGAUAACCAGACCGAAGAUCAAUCUUAGAGAAUACACAGCACCUUGAAGCUGAUCAAACAAAUCAUCAAUCCGAGGAAGGGGAUACCUNNNNNNNNNNNNNNNNNNNNNNNNNNNNNNNNNNNNNNNNNNNNNNNNNNNNNNNNNNNNNNNNNNNNNNNNNNNNNNNNNNNNNNNNNNNNNNNNNNNNUCACCGUCACUUUAUUCAAUUCUCUAUAAUCAAUGCAAAGUCUCAUAGAUCCAUCAUUUUUCUUUACAAAUAAAACAAGACCUCCCCAAGGUGAAACACUAGGCCUAAUGAAGCCCUUAUCUAACAACUCUUGGAGUUGAAUCUUCAACUCCUUAAGCUCCAUAGGUGCUGAUUACUACUCAAAACAUGCUAUUUUGUAGCUUGUAAUUAGCUCUUUUAAACACCCUUGAGUAGUAAUUAUUACCUUUUAACCCAAUUAACAUGUUAGGGACCCUUGCAAUCAUUUCUAACAAUUGUGUUAAGUUUUGGUGCUUUUUGAUAGCUUUAUGCUCACCAAAGCAAUUUAAGAAUGAGGGAGAGCUAUUUAUAGUUCAUGGAAAAGCUUUUGAAAGCUUAAAUUUAUGAAGAAAUCAAGCUAUGGAGCCUCAUAAUCCUUUGCCUUAGUCGUUCAAAGUAUACAAGGAAGAAACAAUGGAGAAGAGGAAAACAGGGGAUGAAAACAGGGGACACAGCUGCAGUCCUUCAUUGCACUUUUGGAGCACUUUCCGAAGUCCAUAUUUUACAUUCUACAUACCAUUUCAAAGCUCCGAAAGUCAAGAAUCCAACGGUUCAAACCAUGUACGAUUUGGAGCUGAAAUGAGAAAGAUAUGGCCUUUGGAAGACAACUGCAUCAAGCUGAGGGAUAAUUUCGCACGAUGGAAAUCAAGGUGCGAAUUCCUCAGUCCACUGUGCGAAAAUUUCGCACACCUCAAAUCAAAGUGCGAAAUUGGAACUCCAGCGUGCGAAAAUUGGAUAUUUUUGCCGACUCUUUUUCUUCUGAUAUUUUUGUGUCUAAAUUUCCAUUUUCUCCUUGUAUUCAACCACUCAUGUAAUUCCUUAGCUAGAAAGUAUCCAAGGAAGGGUAAAAUUACCUUCCUAUAUAAAUUCUCUUGUAAUCACUGAAAAUUGAUCUUUUCGGGGAGCUUUAUCCAGGAGAUCAACUGAUGUAAAUUUGAUACUUAGUGAAAUACAGAGAUCUCUUUUGCUUUCUUUUUCUCUCUUCUAUUUUCUAUUUUCUUGCAAGCCAAACACCCUCUGAAGAUGUUUUCCCAGAGGAUGAGAGGCUAAACAUUUAGUUUCUUGGAGUAAAGGAAGCUAGGUGAAAAGUCCAGAUUAAAACAUGGAAAGUUUCCGUGCAUUAAAUUCAGGUAGUUGGAGUCCAUAAAUGGUUUUUAAAGCCAAGGUUUUGCCUUAAAUCCCUUAGAAUCACUUUGACUGGCCAAUACAUGGUAAGCUUAAGGUCUCUGUGGAUGCUUAUUGCUAGAUCCAUAUCAGUCCAUUAGUUAUCAUGUACGAGCCAUAGGAAAGUGAUUCAAGGUGAUAGCCCAUAGUGUCUUAAGCCAUUAAUGGACCUUGACUACCAUCUUUAGUGACUUUUUAUGGAUUAAAACUUCAUUGUCAAACCUAUACCGGUUCGGGAAAUAACUAUAGGUUAAAUCCCCAAUGCGAGGAGAAAAAUCCGGAAUUUUCCACUUUGCAUCUGGAACUUGAACCUAGCAACCUUUAGCUCCGGGAGACUUUCUUUCUUCCACUUUUUACUUAGUUCUAUGUGAGUUUGGUUUAAAUCACCACUUUCAAAACAAUUUUAUUUUCUUUUAAAUUUCAAGUUUGUGCUAAAGGAAAUCAUCAGAAUCAAUUCCUAAUUUAGAGUCCGUCACUGAUAGAGUGAAAACCCAUCCCUGAGUUCGACCCUAGAACUGCUAUACUAUAGUAGCUUUGCUACGCCAGUAUAAGGUCAUAGGUUUUAUAAAUGUUUUUGAUUAAAAGACCCGGCUGGGCAUCGAAUCAGGUGCCAUCCUAUAAGGGGCCUUAGAGAUAGGAGUUGUCCCUGGUGCCAAAUCAAUGGUGAACUCUACCUCCCUCUCUGGUGGCAAGCCAGGUAGAUCCUCUGGAAAAACAUCAGGAUAGUCCCUUACAAUGGGUAUGUAUUCCAACUUUAAAUCAUUUUCCUCAUUCACAACAUAAGUUAAAAAGCCUUGACAGUCUUUCCUGAGCAAAGAACUAGCUUGUAAGGCUGAGAUCACACGUAGUGGUUUGUCCACAUGCUUCCCCUCAAAACUAAAAUUAGGCUAAUUAGGAAUGCUAAAAGUCACUAUUUUCCCAAAACAAUCAAUAGAAGCAUGAUAAGAAGCUAACCAAUCCAUCCCCAAAAUCACAUCAAAAUCUUGAAGGUCUAGAAGUACUAAGUCAACUGUCAUCUCUCUAUACCCAACCAUCACACAACAAUCUCUAAUUAUUUUAUUAAGCACAACAAAAUCUCCCAAAGGAGUAGCAACAAAUAAAUCAAAUUCCAUAUUAUCAAUCGGCAUACCCAACAAACCAACAAAAGAUACGGAAACAAAAGAGUGUGUUGAUCCAGGAUCAAUUAAGGCUCUAGCAAAUAAGGUGUGAAUUUGAAGAGUACCUGUCACUACAUCAGACGUAACCUGAGCAUCUCUAUGAGUCAUAGCAAAUACCCACCCUUGAUCCCUGGGCUUUUGUCUAUCAUCUUUAUUCUCCUCCUUAGGCUUCCCAAAUACAAACUUCCUACUCUUUGGACAAUCCCGAACCAUAUGUCCCUAUUUUCCACAACCAAAGCAAGCUCCUGUCUCUCUAUAGCAUGGCCUACCCCCAUGCUUCUUGCCACAAGUAGGACAAAUCCCAUCUAAAUUUUGUGUUGUUUUUCCUUUAUUCUGAUGUCUACUUGGAGCAGACCUUUUAUGUGCUUGGUUACCAUGAGCACCAUCAUUUUUAUUCCUCUUCCUUUGUUGUUCCCUAUACUGGUGAAGCUCUUCAUUAUCCUUCUCUGCAAUAAGGGCUCUGUCUACCACCUCUGAAUAAACACUAAGUUUCAUAAUUGAUAUCUUAUUCUUCAGAUAAGGCUUCAGUCCAUCCUGAAACUUUAAUGUUUUUUCCUCCUCUGUGAUUACUACUCAAAAUGUGUUAUUUCAUAGCUUGUAAUUAACUCUUUUAAACACUUUUGAGUAGUAGUUAUUGCCUUUUAACCCAAUUAACAUAUUAAGGACCUUUGCAAGCACUUCUAAUCAAUAUGUGUUAAGUUUUGGUAUUUUGAUAGCCUUUUUGAUCACCAAAGCAAUCCGAGAUUGAGGAGAGUUAUGAGGAAUCUUGGGCAAAGCAAUUGGAAGCUCAGAAACAUGAAGAACUAAAGCUUGGAAGUCCUUUUCCAUAAGUAAAUCCAGAAUGCAAGGAGAAGAAGCAAAGAGAAUCUGCCAUAAAGCAUAUUCUUGAUGAUAGUAAUAUCAGCCACUUUUGGAGCACUUUAUGAAGGCCAAUUGAUGCAUGCUAUAUACCAUUUUAAAUCUCAGGAAUUUAACAAUCCAAUGCUUCAAACGGUACACAAUUCGGAGUUAAAACGAAGAAGUUACAGCCAUUACAAGUCAAUCACUCUAAGCUGAAAUAAGCAUUUUUUCAAAGUGUUGCGAAAUCACCCUUUUGUUGCGAAAUCACCCUUUUGUUGCGAAAUGAUUUCGCAACCUUUUUGAACAGUGUUGUGGAUUUCCUCCUGAAGUUGCCCGAUAUAUGCCGCACGUUGGAAGCUGAGAGCCUCAAGGUGAAAGCCAACUUCGCAGAGCUGCGAGAUUAGCCUUUUGCUGCGAAGUGAUUUUGCAGCCCUUUUUGUGUGUCUGCGAAAUCUCGCAGACAUCAUUUUCUCUUGCGAAAUGGUCCUUAGUGCUUCCCGAUAUUUGCUACCAACAUUGGGAGAUAUUUUCCAUCAGAUUUUUGUUGUCUAAAUCCCAAAAUUCUCCUUGUAAGCCACCAAUUACAAGAUUCCUUAGCUUUUAAGUUAGGAAAAAGAGUAAAUAUCCAUGUAAUAAUUAGUUUUGUAUUAUGUUUAUAUAAGUACCUCUCGAGAGCCUGUUCUCAGAGAGGAGAAACCUUUUUGUAAAAGUUUGAAAGCAAGUAAAGUUCAGGCCCUUUGUUUUGCCUUACCUUCUCACUUUGUUUUUUUCAUCUUUUUCUAAGUUAUGAACUCUCUGAGGAAUUUUCCCCAGAGAAUGAGUAACUAAACCUUUAGUUCCUUGGAGCUAAGGUUGCCGGGGAAGGUUCCAAGUGCAAGAAUGCAAAGCUUUGUGGUUUCAACCAUUAAUGAAGAGGAAGUGAAAUCCUUUAGUGAUUUCUAUGUUUUUAGUUAACUUAAAACACCUUAGAGUCACCUAGGCCAACACUUGGUAAGGCAAGUGAUCUCCAACCAAGGAGAUGCACUAGUUUACCCCUUGCGAGCCUCUGGGAGGUGACUUUAAGGUAGGAUUUUUUGGAAUUACCAACACUUGGUAAGCUUUUGGACUCUAAGGAGACAUCCAUUAGUUAUCUCUUGCGAGCUUGAGAAGGGAAUUCCAAGGUUAAAGAUCACCUUGAAUGGUUAAGGCUUAGUGAGAGGCUUGAACCAUUGCAAGUUGUAUCAGUGAGAGAAUUAAAGUUGAAAUCUAAUUAAAGGAUGUAUCUGUACACCACCGGUUAGAGAAUUGACUAUAUGUUGAAUCUUUAACGCGAGGAAAUGAACCAUCUGACCAGAGCUAUGUCUUUUGCAUGAGGAACCACCCCAAUGAACCUGACCCUCCAAGGAAUGUUUUUCCUCCUAAGUUAUUCCCAUUACUUGUUUUAUAGUUAGUUUAAAUCUAAAUCUUUGCCAAUCAAAGUUUGUAUUUUAUUUCUUAAGCUAGCCUUGAAAUGAAACAAGACCAAUUCACUUUGAAUUGGUAUCAUUGAUAACUUGCUAAUCCUUCCCAGUGAACGAUCCUAGAGCCACUAUGCUAUAAUAGUUUUUUCUUUGCUACCCUAGUAUAUGGUGUAAUAGGUUAUAAAUUUUGUUGAUUACUCCCUCAAUCAAGGAGCACCAGCUGGACAUAAAUCAGCUGAGACACCAAUUGGGCACGAAUCAAAUGGCGUCGUUGCCAGGGAAGUGUGUCAAACCAGUGAUACCAUUUUAGAGCACUUGUGAUUUUUCAUCACAAGUUUGGUAACGUUUCUUUCACUUUACUAAUUCUCAUUCUUUCUUUAUUUAUUCAUAAUCCAAGUUUAUCUUUUAAAUUUAGCUUAGUUUAAUUUUGUUGUUGUAGCUCUGUUUCCUUUUGUUGUCCUUUAUUUUCAUUUAAGUUACAGAUAGAUGCUAGUUGUGUAUGCCAAAGUGGAUACGAGACAGUGGAGGAAGGCUUGUUAAGUGUGAUACACUUCAUAACAAAGAAUUCGAAUUGAGCUUGAAUAUCAUGGAAGCUACACCUGAAGAUCAGCAUAGUCACCAAGGUCGUCAAGAUAAUCUCAAUGAAUUCAGAUCAAUGAGGGACCGCAUGCAUCCACCUCGUAUGAGUGCACCAUCAUGUAUAGUGCUCCCUACAGACCAGCUAGUGAUCAGACCGUAUCUUGUUCCACUUCUACCAACUUUCCAUGGGAUGGAAAGUGAGAAUCCCUAUGCACACAUCAAGGAAUUUGAAGAUGUUUGUAAUACAUUCCAAGAGGGAGGAGCUUCAAUUGAUUUGAUGAGGCUUAAGUUAUUUCCUUUUACUUUAAAGGAUAAGGCCAAAAUUUGGCUUAAUUCUUUAAGGCCAAGGAGUAUCCGCACUUGGACUAACUUACAAGCUGAAUUCCUCAAGAAAUUUUUUCCCACUCAUAGAACAAAUGGCUUGAAAAGGCAAAUUUCAAAUUUCUCAGCUAAAAAGAAUGGGAAAUUCUAUGAGUGUUGGGAAAGAUAUAUGGAAGCUAUAAAUGCUUGCCCUCACCAUGGCUUUGAUACUUGGUUAUUGGUGAGCUAUUUUUAUGAUGGGAUGUCCUCCUCAAUGAAGCAACUCCUUGAGACAAUGUGUGGAGGAGAUUUCAUGAGCAAAAAUCUAGAGGAAGCUAUGGAUUUCUUGAGCUAUGUAGCUGAAGUUUCAAGGGGAUGGGAUGAACCAACCAAAGGAGAAGUGGGUAAGAUGAAGUCUCAACUGAGUGCUUUCAAUGCUAAAGCUGGAAUGUAUACCUUGAAAGAAGAUGAUGACAUGAAAGCAAAGUUGGCAGCUAUGACAAGAAGAUUGGAGGAGCUGGAGCUGAAAAGAAUACAUGAAGUGCAAGUUGUUGCUGAAGCACCAUUGCAAGUGAAGUUGUGUCCCAAUUUUCAAUCAUAUGAACAUUUGGUGGAGGAAUGUCUUGCAAUUUCAGCUGAAAGGGAAAUGUUCAGAGAUGAAGCAAAUUUUGUUGGACAAUUCAAGCCCAAUAACAAUGCGUCUUAUGGAAAUACUUACAACUCAAGUUGGAGGAAUCAUCCAAAUUUCUCAUGGAAGGCCAGAGCAACUCAGUACCAACAGCCGGAUCCACCAUAUCAACAAUCUUCGAGUCUUGAACAAGCAAUAACGAAUCUCAGCAAGGUAGUGGGAGAUUUUGUUGGAAACUAAGAAGCCACCAAUGCUCAAAUCAAUCAAAGAAUUGACAGAGUGGAGAGUACUUUGAAUAAAAGGAUGGAUGGAAUGCAAAAUGAUAUAUCUCAAAACUUUGAUAAUAUCCAAUACUCAAUUUCAAGGCUCACAAAUUUGAACACAGUGCAAGAAAAUGGAAGAUUUCCUUCUCAACCCCACCAAAACCCCAAGGGUGUCCAUGAAGUGGAAAGCCAAGAGGGAGAAUCAUCACAGAUGAAAGAUGUCAAAGCCUUAAUCACUCUAAGGAGUGGUAAAAAAAUUGAGAAGCCAACACUCAAUAUGUUGAGAAAGAAUAAGAAAACAUAAAGAAAGGGGAAGAAAUGGAAGAAAAAGAAAGUGAGAUCAGUGAAAAGAAAAAGGACUAUGAUUCAACAAUGAAUGUAAUUCAAGAGAAGGAACUUCUGAAUGAAGAAAUGCUGAAGAAGUCAACUUCUCCUCCUUUUCCUCAAGCAUUGCAUAGGAAAAAGGGGAUUAGAAAUGCAGCUGAAAUCCUUGAGGUAUUGAGACAAGUGAAAGUCAAUAUCCCACUGCUGGAUAUGAUUAAACAAGUUCCAACAUAUGCAAAAUUCCUAAAGGACUUAUGUACUAUCAAAAGAGGGUUGACUGUAAACAAGAAAGCCUUCUUAACUGAGCAAGUAAGUGCAAUCUUACAAUGUAAGUCUCCUUUGAAGUACAAAGAUCCGGGAAGUCCUACCAUUUCAGUCAUGAUUGGAGGGAAGGUAGUGGAGAAAGCUUUGUUAGACUUGGGAGCAAGUGUGAAUUUGCUUCCAUAUUCCGUCUACAAGCAAUUAGGACUUGGUGAGUUGAAGCCAACGACAAUCACUCUAUCUCUAGUAGAUAGAUCAGUAAAAAUUCCAAGGGGGGUAAUUGAGGAUGUCUUGGUUCAAGUUGAUAAUUUCUACUAUCCAGUAGAUUUUAUUGUUCUUGAUACAGAUCCUAUUGUAAAGGAAGCUAAUUUAGUUCCUAUCAUCCUUGGAAGGCCAUUUCUUGCUACCUCAAAUGCAAUCAUCAACUGCAGGAAUGGGCUGAUGCAACUCACUUUUGGCAACAUGACACUUGAUCUCAAUAUCUUCUAUAUGUCUAAAAAGUAAACCACUCUGGAAGAAGAAGAGGGUCCAGAAGAGGUGUGCAUUAUUGACACUCUGGUGGAGGAGCACUGUAAUCAGAAUAUGCAAGACAAGCUGAAUGAAAGUCUUAUGGAUUCUGAGGAAGGUUUGUCUGAACCCCCUAAUGUGCUUGCUACUCUACAAAGUUGGAGAAGGAUAGAAGAGAUUCUACAUUUGUUCAAUAAAGAAGAAGAGACAAUUGCUGAAAAAGAAACUCCAAAACUCAAUCUGAAGCCUCUACCUGUGGAGCUGAAAUAUACAUAUCUUGAGGAAGAUAAUCAAUGUCCUGUUGUAAUAUCUUCAUCUCUAACCAGUCAUCAAGAGAAUUGUUUAAUGGAAGUUCUCAAGAGGUGUAAGAAGACAAUAGGAUGGCAAAUAUCUGACUUGAAAGGCAUUAGUCCUUUAGUUUGCACUCAUCAUAUAUAUAUGGAGGAGGAAGCAAAGCCAAUUCGUCAACUUCAAAGAAGAUUGAAUCCUCAUUUACAAGAGGUGAUACGAGCUGAGGUGCUGAAGCUACUUCAAGCAGGUAUUAUCUAUCCUAUAUCCGAUAGCCCUUGGGUGAGUCCUAUUCAAGUGGUACCAAAGAAGUCAGGGAUUACUGUGGUUCAGAACGAGAAAGGGGAAGAAAUUACUACACGCCUCACUUCAGGUUGGAGGGUGUGUAUUGAUUAUAGAAAGUUGAAUGUUGUAACCAGGAAAGAUCAUUUUCCAUUGCCAUUUAUUGACCAAGUGCUACAGAAAGUCUCUGGACAUCCGUUCUAUUGCUUCUUGGACGGGUAUUCAGGGUAUUUUCAUAUUGAAAUUGAUGUGGAAGAUCAGGAAAAGACCACUUUUACAUGUCCAUUUGGAACAUAUGCUUACAGAAGAAUGCCUUUUGGUUUAUGCAAUGCACCUGCUACAUUUCAAAGAUGUAUGUUGAGUAUUUUCAGUGAUAUGGUGGAGCGAAUUAUGGAAGUUUUCAUGGAUGAAAUCACCGUAUAUGGAGGUACAUUUGAGGAAUGCUUAAUUAAUUUGGAAGCAGUUCUUCACAGAUGCAUUGAAAAAGACCUGGUGCUUAAUUGGGAGAAAUGUCAUUUUAUGGUACGUCAAGGAAUUGUCCUUGGCCAUAUCAUCUCCGAAAAAGGCAUUGAAGUUGAUAAAGCAAAGGUGGAGCUUAUUGUCAAAUUACCAUCACCAACAACUGUAAAAGGAGUAAGGCAGUUCCUUGGCCAUGCAGGGUUCUAUAGGAGGUUUAUAAAAGGUUUUUCAAGUCUUUUAAAACCUCUUUGUGAGCUGUUAGCUAAGGAUGCUAAGUUUAUAUGGGAUGAAAGAUGUCAAAAUAGUUUUGAUCAACUGAAGAAAUUUUUAACAACAACUCCAAUAGUGAGGUCCCUUAACUGGCAAUGACCCUUUGAACUGAUGUGUGAUGCCAGUGACUUUGCUAUAGGAGUUGUGCUUGGCCAAAGAGAAGAUGGGAAGCCCUAUGUGAUCUACUAUGCAAGCAAAACACUGAAUGAAGCUCAAAGGAACUACACAACUACAGAGAAAGAAUUGUUAGUUGUGGUAUUUGCUUUGGACAAAUUUCAUGCUUAUUUAGUGGGGUCUUUCAUCAUUGUCUUUACUGAUCAUUCAGCCUUGAAGUAUUUAUUGACAAAGCAAGAUACAAAAGCAAGGUUGAUUAGAUGGAUUCUUUUGCUACAAGAAUUCGAUCUCCAAAUCAAAUAUAAGAAAGGAGUGGAGAAUGUGGUAGCUGACCACCUUUCAAGGUUAGUUAUAGCACAUAAUUCCCAUCCCUUUCUUAUUAAUGAUGAUUUUCCUAAAGAAUCACUCAUGUUCCUAGUGAAAACUCCUUGGUAUGCUCAUAUUGCUAAUUAUUUAGUUACUGGUGAAAUUCCAAGUGAGUGGAAUGCAUAGGACAGGAAGCACUUCUUUGCAAAAAUUCAUGCUUAUUAUUGGGAAGAGCCCUUUAUUUUUAAGUAUUGUGCAGAUCAGAUCAUAAGGAAGUGUGUCCCUGAAGAUGAGCAACAAGGGAUUCUAAACCAUUGUCAUGAGAAUGCAUGUGGAGGCCACUUCGCCUCUCAGAAAACUGCCAUGAAGGUGUUGCAAUCAGGGUUUACUUGGCUAUCUCUUUUCAAAGAUGCCCACAUCAUGGGUAGAAGUUGUGAUAGAUGCCAAAGGCUUGGAAAGCUAACAAAAAGAAAUCAAAUGCCUAUGAACCCCAUUCUAAUAGUUGAGCUAUUUGAUGUAUGGGGUAUUGACUUCAUGGGGCCAUUCCCAAUGUCUUUUGGUAAUUCUUACAUCUUGGUGGGGGUGGAUUAUGUUUCUAAAUGGGUUGAGGCAAUCCCCUGUAAACAAAAUGACCACAGAGUGGUUCUCAAGUUUCUUAAAGAGAACAUUUUCUCGAGAUUUGGGGUACCCAAAGCCAUAAUCAGUGAUGAAGGUGCUCCUUUUUGCAACAAACCUUUUGAAGCUCUAUUAUCCAAGUAUGGAGUGAAGCAUAAGGUAGCUACACCUUAUCAUCCUCAGACUUCCGGGCAAGUUGAGCUAGCUAACAGGGAAAUAAAGAACAUAUUGAUGAAAGUGGUGAAUUCAAGCAGAAAAGAUUGGUCUAUUAGGCUUCAUGAUUCAUUGUGGGCAUAUAGAACAGCUUAUAAGACUAUUCUUGGCAUGUCUCCCUAUCGUCUUGUCUAUGGCAAAGCAUGCCAUCUCCCUGUGGAAGUUGAAUACAAAGCUUGGUGGGCAAUAAAGAAGCUAAACAUGGACUUGAUUAGAGCCGGAGCAAAGAGAUGUCUAGACCUUAAUGAGAUGGAGGAAUUAAGAAAUGAUACUUAUAUCAAUUCCAGAGUUGCAAAACAGAGGAUGAAGAAGUGGCAUGAUCAACUAAUCUCCAACAAGGAAUUUCAGAAAGGACAAAGAGUUUUACUGUAUGACACAAGACUUCAUAUCUUUCCUGGGAAGCUCAAGUCAAGGUGGAUAGGCCUGUUCAUUAUUCACCAAGUAUAUGUCAAUGGAGUGGUGGAAUUAUUGAAUUCCAAUGGCAAAGACACCUUUAGAGUCAAUGGAUAUCGUCUCAAGCCAUUCAUGGAGCCAUUCAAACCAGAAAAGGAGGAAAUCAACCUCCUUGAGCCAUAAAAAUCCUAAGUAAAAAAGGGUUUGGUGGACGUGGUUUUACCACAGUCCAAAAUUUUUGUAAAGUUUGUAAAUUUCAAAGUUUUUUCCAUACUUUUGAUCUUAGUUUUUUAUCUUAAAAUUAUGUUUUUAUAUGUGUUUUAAACUUUUUGAAUGAUCUUAGGUGGAAGAGAUUAUAAAGAAAUUGAAAGGAAGAAAUCGGAGCGAAAUCGGAGCAAAAACAGAGAAAAAAUAGAGCAAAAACAAGGCUCUGCGAGACUUCGCAGCCUAAGGAAAUCUUUUGCGAAAUAAGCACUUUGCUGCCAAACCAUUCCGCAACUCAUUGGAAUUCUCUGCGAAAAUUUUCGCAGCUGCGAAGUCGAGUUUGGCACAUGAGUGCCACUUUGCAGCACAGGAGCCCCCAUUUCGCAGCUGCGAAACGGUUGCAAAGCUCUAAAGCGUGAAAAUCCUUGAUUUCGCAACCAAAGUUCCAUUCCGCAGGGUAUUUCGCAAUUGUGAAAGAAAUUUUGGCACACGUGUGCCACUUCGCAGCACAGUGACACUCAAUUCGCAACUGCGAAACGCAUUGCGAAGUUGGCUGCGAAAAUGACUUUUUGCUGCGAAAUUAGCAUUUUUCUGCGAAACUCAAAAUGACCCUUAAUAUUCCGUUAUUUUUAUAUGUAUCGGUCAUUUGAGCUGCAAAAGUGUUUCAAAAAGAGAACGCGCCAUAGUUGCUGACUGUUCAUCUCCUUGCCUGAGCCCGACGUCGUGCGAACCUCUGAUCAUCUUCUCCGGUCAUCACUUCCGACCAAAUUUUUGGCAAUCCGAAAUGGCGCGAACCAGAGGAGCCAAAUCUUCCUCUCUUUCAAGCCGCAAGAGAGUCCCGCGAGGGAAGCCCGUUCCAGAACCCACCUCUGAACCUCCGCAGCAAAAAGUUGUUUCCCCUUCGACGAAGCCCGCACCGCAGAAGCCUCCGGCGAGGUGUUAUCUCACCAGGUCAGGGGGUCGGCCCCUGCAAAAGAGAGCCAGGGUUGAAAGCUCAGAGCCCAUUGACUUAACGGAGCAGUCCCCAAAACCUUCACUAGUUCCAUCUCCAGUGCCAUCUCCGGUUCCAUCUCCAGCGCCGCCAACAGAGCCUCAAGAGCCUCAGCCGCCACUUCCCGAACCCCAAAUUACAUCUGAAAUAGCUCCUGAAGCAAUAAUCAGGCGGUCGAUGCUGACGCAGCCGCCAAUUGAAGGGAACUUGGAUUGUAGAGCUCGACCAUUCCACUCUGAGUUGUGCUUUGAAACAGCCACCUUCCAAUUAAGGUCGGAGCUUGCGGAUUCUUUCCGCCUAUUGCGUAGAUAUCAUAUGGAGCAGCUGCUGGCCCCUAGAGACUUCUUCUACCCCAGGGUAGCCAUGGAUUUUUAUCAGUCCGUGAAUACCAAGCAGGUCAAAGAUCCUACUUUAAUCCAUUUUACUAUAGAUGGUCGGCAUGGCAUUUUGGGAGCUCGCCAUAUAGCAGAGGCCCUCCAUAUACCAUAUGAGCCAACUCAUUUUGAGGAUUUCAGAGUGUGGACUAGUCCCACUGAGCUGGAGAUGGUACAUACCUUGUUUAGAGGAGCUUCCACGCGUCCACAUCUGUUGAGGGGAGAACUUCCUCCAAGCAUGUUUCUUAUUAAUGCAUUUCUCUGUCAUAACAUCUACCCACUCCAGCAUUGGACUCAGAGGAGAGGAAUUCUUUUGGAGGCUCUAUUCAAAAUUUCUGAGGGAUAUUUCUUUGGCCCUCACCACCUGAUUAUGGCUGCCCUUCUCUAUUUCGAAGAGAAGAUCCAUAAGAAGAAGUUGCAGAGAGCUGAUGCCAUUCCUCUUCUCUUUCCAAGGCUGCUGUGCCAGAUUUUGGAGCACCUAGGGUAUCCAACAGAGCCUUAGUUGGAGCGCAAGCGCAUUUGCUAAGAGGUAUUUACUCUCGACAAAUGGAACAACAUGACAACCUAUAGAGUUGAGCAGCCAGAGCGCCCACAGCCAGCUGCUAGGAGAGCAUCCCCACGACACAUAAAUGAGGGUAUACCUAUUGCUUCUCCUACCAUCACCAGAGCCCCUCCAGUCACUCCAGCCUCAUCACAGCCAUCUUCUUUAGCUGAGCCGAGGAUGGCCAUUCCUAUUUCUGAGUAUAGGGAGUUAUGCCACUCACUGCAGAUCCUCACCGCUUCUCAGAGCAUCCUCACUCAGCAAAUCAUAGCUCUUAGUGCUCAUCAAGAGCAUAUUAUCGCCACUCAAACCCAACACAUUGCCAUCCUGAGGCAAAUUCAGCAUCAUCUGGGUAUUAUAUCACCUCCUGAGCACUCCAUUCCUAUCCCACCAGAGCCAUCAUAGGCCCCUCCUAUUGUACAUCAGACUAUGCCUUCUGAGGAGCCGACUACAGGAGAGGCAGAGGCAGCUGAGCCAUCAUCUCCACAUCAUCCUCCAGCCACCAUCUGAUCAUUUUCAUAGUUUCCUUUAUAUAUGUCCUUUAUGCAUUUCCUUUAUGUAUUUCCCUUAUAUUUUCCUUACUGGAGUAGCUCUAGAAAUCCCAUGCUUUUGAUAUUAUAUACUGGGAUUAAUUGUAUUACUUGUUCUCUUUAUGUAUUUUCAUCAAAUGAAGUAAUACAAAUCUAUCAAUUUUUUAGUACUCUUAGCAUUAUUUUAUCCUAAUUCCUCUACUCAUAUCUUUUAUUGUUUUUGAAACAUGUGUUUUCUCCAAUCAGUUUUCGAUAUCACUCAGGAGGUACCACUUCCUCCCUUUAAUUGCAAACACCUAUAUCACAUUGAGGACAAUGCUCAGUUCGGUUGGGGGGGGGGAGAGAGAGAGAGAGAGAAAUGAGGAAGGAAGUAUGCUAAAUCUUUUUGGUAAUGCAAUUAUAUUAAUAAAUCAGUUAUAGUUUUUGCUUUUUAUUCUAAUCUCCAUGGAUUUUGAGGAAAAAUUUUCAAAAUGAAACAGGAGAAAUUGAACUGUUGCUUUUUCACUUGACUUAGAGUAUGGAUUAUGCUUACUAAAGUGGUUCAAUUGUUGAAGCUUCUAUUGAAAUUGAGUUUAGUUCUUCCACUUUAAGCUAUCCACACACUGUGCACAAUAGAUUCCGAUUAUAAGAUGAAAAACUAUUUCCCUCUUGACUUAGAAAAAAUUUUGGAACUUGGUACCUUUGACCUCAUUUGAUAAAGUUGAGACACCUUAUGAAAGGCCAAUGAGCCUUUGAAAUAAAGAAAGAAAAAUGUUUGCUUGCCUUGAAACCCGAGCAAGGUUUGAGGGGUAUAUGAUGAAAAUCUUUAAAACCUAGUGCCCUAAGCCUUAAUUGGUUGGGAGUCACCGACCUCAAUGCUCGUUACAAGGGUGGAUAGGUGGAGUUAGCAUAUGGUAGGUGCUUAGGUAUUAAAAAUUCAUUCUCAAAAGUCCGGGGUAAAAUCCGAGGAGUUAGUGGUUGAAAGAUCCUUAAAGCUUGAUGCCCUAAACCUUAAUUGGUUGGGAGUCAUCAAUGGACCCCGGUUACAUGGACAAUUCAGAAAAGAAUACCCCUUAAGCCUUGUAAAAAAAAAAAGUGUGUUCUCUGCCUAUUGAAUUUGGUCAGUUUGCUAAGUGUUGAAAAGAGAUAGGUUGGGGGGAGAGAUUAGUUUAGCAUACUAUAUUCGGAAGCUAAGGAAUCACACACUUAGAUUUUUGUGGAAGAAUAAAGUUUGGUUCUUUGGAAGUGAAAAUGAUUUUAAAACUUCAGUUUGCAUAAUGCAUUCCCUUGAUUAAUAGUGUUUAGCAUAGUAUGUGAUAACUCUUGUUGAAAUUUGGGUUUAUAUUUCUUCAAUGUUCCAUGUGGGAGUUAGAUCAUCAUGCCACUUAAAUUUUUUUGAAGUAAUCAGCAUGAUGUUGUAAAUUAUAGUAAUUUUUAUUUUUAUUUUUAUCUCCUUCAUUGCUAAGGGACUAGCAAUAUGUCGAUUGGGGGGAGUGAUUACUACUCAAAAUGUGCUAUUUCAUAGCUUGUAAUUAACUCUUUUAAACACUUUUGAGUAGUAGUUAUUGCCUUUUAACCCAAUUAACAUAUUAAGGACCUUUGCAGGCACUUCUAAUCAAUAUGUGUUAAGUUUUGGUAUUUUGAUAGCCUUUUUUAUCACCAAAGCAAUCCGAGAUUGAGGAGAGUUAUGAGGAAUCUUGGGCAAAGCAAUUGGAAGCUCAGAAACAUGAAGAACCAAAGCUUGGAAGUCCUUUGCCAUAAGUAAAUCCAGAAUGCAAGGAGAAAAAGCAAAGAGAAUCUGCCAUAAAGCAUAUUCUUGAUGACAGUCAUAUCAGCCACUUUUGGAGCACUUUAUGAAGGCCAAUUGAUGCAUGCUAUAUACUAUUUUAAAGCUCAGGAAGUCAAAAAUCCAAUUCUUCAAACGGUGCAUAAUUCGGAGUUGAAACGAAGAAGUUACAACCACUACAACUCAAUCACUCUAAGCUGAAAGAAGCAUUUUUUCAAAGUGUUGCGAAAUCACCCUUUUGUUGCGAAAUGAUUUCGCAACCUUUUUGAACAGUGUUGUGGAUUUCCUCCUGAAGUUGCCCGAUAUAUGCCGCACGUUGGAAGCUGAGAGCCUCAAGGUGAAAGCCAACUUCGCAGAGCUGCGAGAUUAGCCUUUUGCUGCGAAGUGAUUUCGCAGCCCUUUUUGUGUGUCUGCGAAAUCUCGCAGACAUCAUUUUCUCUUGCGAAAUGGUCCUUAGUGCUUCCCGAUAUUUGCUACCAACAUUGGGAGAUAUUUUCCAUCAGAUUUUUGUUGUCUAAAUCCCAAAAUUCUCCUUGUAAGCCACCAAUUACAAGAUUCCUUAGCUUUUAAUUAGGAAAAAUAGUAAAUAUCCAUGUAAUAAUUAGUUUUGUAUUAUGUUUAUAUAAAUACCUCUCGAGAGCCUGUUCUCAGAGAGGAGAAACCUUUUUGUAAAAGUUUGAAAGCAAGUAAAGUUCAAGCCCUUUGUUUUGCCUUACCUUCUCACUUUGUUUUUUUUCAUAUUUUUCUAAGUUAUGAACUCUCUGAGGAAUUUUCCCCAGAGAAUGAGUAACUAAACCUUUAGUUCCUUGGAGCUAAGGUUGCCGGGGAAGGUUCCAAGUGCAAGAAUGCAAAGCUUUGUGGUUUCAGCCAUUAAUGAAGAGGAAGUGAAAUCCUUUAGUGAUUUCUAUGUUUUUAGUUAACUUAAAACACCUUAAAGUCACCUAGGCCAACACUUGGUAAGGCAAGUGAUCUUCAACCAAGGAGAUGCACUAGUUUACCCCUUGCGAGCCUCUGGGAGGUGACUUUAAGGUAGGAUUUUCUGGAAUUACCAACACUUGGUAAGCUUUUGGACUCCAAGGAGACAUCCAUUAGUUAUCUCUUGCGAGCUUGAGAAGGGAAGUCCAAGGUUAAAGAUCACCUUGAAUGGUUAAGGCUUAGUGAGAGGCUUGAACCAUUGCAAGUUGUAUCAGUGAGAGAAUUAAAGUUGAAAUCUAAUUAAAGGAUGUAUCUAUACAUCACCGGUUAGAGAAUUGACUAUACGUUGAAUCUCUAACGCGAGGAAAUGAACCAUCUGACCAGAGCUAUGUCUUUUUCAUGAGGGACCACCCCAAUGAACCUGACCCUCCAAGGAAUGUUUUUCCUCCUAAGUUAUUCCCAUUACUUGUUUUAUAGUUAGUUUAAAUCUAAAUCUUUUCCAAUCAAAGUUUGUAUUUUAUUUCUUAAGCUAGCCUUGAAAUGAAACAAGACCAAUUCACUUUGAAUUGGUAUCAUUGAUAACUUGCUAAUCCUUCCCAGUGAACGAUCCUAGAGCUGCUAUGCUAUAGUAGCUUUUUCUUUGCUACCCUAGUAUAUGGUGUAAUAGGUUAUAAAUUUUGUUGAUUACUCUCUCAAUCAAGGAGCACCAGCUGGACAUAAAUCAGUUGAAACACCAAUUGGGCAUGAAUCACUCUGUAGCAAUCAACUGUGGGGCAAAACGUGAUAGUUCAGUAAACUUAGCCUCAUAUUGGGCCACAUUCAAAUCCCCCUGUUCCAAACGGACAAACUCUCCCACCUUUUGUCGUCGAACAUUGUUAGGAAAGUACUUCUUAUAAAAAGCCUCCCUAAACUGACUCCAAAUAAUAGGCCCCUAACCCUCCAAAAGCCUCUUAGUCAUGUGCCACCAAUGGUCUGCCUUUUUGUCUAGCAUAAAUGCUGCAUAUGAGGCUUUUUGCUCCUCAAAACAAUCAAUGACAUCAAAGAAUUUCUCUAUCUUCAUAAUCCAAGCCUCUGCCUCUGUUGGAUCUAAAGUACCAGAAAAGUAAGGGGGACCCAACUUCUUAAAGUCGUUAAAGGAGCUAUCCCUAGUAGAUGAGGAUUGUCCUUGACCAUUAUUUCUAGUAGCUCUAGCCUAACGCUCAACCAAGCCAGCCAAAGUCCCUAAAUAUCUAUAAAGCCCUUCAAUACUCAUAGGGGGCAAAGCCUCAGGUGGAGGAGGUAUAUCAUCAUUAGCCUGAUUGUUUUGGGAAGAUAUAGGUCUCCUUGGUGGCAUGGUGUCCUAUAAAGCAACAGGUAUAACUAAAUUAGUCACUAAGAAGUCAAAUAAGCAAAUCAGAAUUGUAAGGAAUAAAAGGAAUCAGACUAGAUGAAGUUGAAACUUAAACUAAUGCGUCACUCAUCUAUUCUCAAAGGUAAACUAAACAAGUUCCCAUCAAGAUCACAACCUGGCUCUAAUACCACUCAUAACAACCCGCACCCAACCAUGUAGAUAUUGUCCGCUUUGGGUUCAAGGGACCCUCAUGGAUUUAAAACGCGUCUACUUGGUUAAGAGGAGCCUAUACAUAUAUAGCGCUAGGAACUUGCUCCUCUAUCCGAUGUGGGACAUCACAUCCUUGGCUUUCUUAAGAAAUAGAUAUUGGUGGCUAAUCUUAGGUUCCAUCGAGUUAAUUAACCAGACAUGCACUAUGGAAUUUUCGGCAAACCAAAUUUUAUAUGCUAGAUUAGUUGCUACUGGAGCUUUGACUUUACCAGUGAGGUACUCAAAUUUGCCUCUACCACAUAUAACAAUCUUCACGGAUUGGGACCAUUGAAGGUAAUUUUUGCCAUUCAGCUUAUACACUGUAAUCUCGAGUGAGUUGUUGUAACGACCCGCAUCCAACCAUGUAGAUAUUGUCCGCUUUGGGCCCAAGGGGCCCUCACGGCUUUAAAACGCGUCUACUUGGUUAAGAGGAGCCUCUACAUAUAUAGCACCAGGAACUUGCUCCCCUAUCCGAUGUGGGACAUCACAAAUACCCUCCUCAUGCAGACACAACGUCCUCGUUGUGUCCCAUGGGAUUGAGAGGCCAAAAUAGGCAAACACCCCUUAUGGGGACAAACAAACCCCCACACCGGGGUCGGGGAUCGACUCUGAUACCAUUUGUAACGACCCACAACCAACCAUGUAGAUAUUGUUUGCUUUGGGCCCAAGGGGCCCUCACGACUUUAAAACGCGUCUACUUGGUUAAGAGAAGCCUCUACAUAUAUAGCGCCAGGAACUUGCUCCCCUAUCCGAUGUGGGACAUCACAAAGGAUGUGUGGCAUAUUGCCCAACGAAUGUACUCCGAUCUUGGCAACGUGUCACAGGUGUUUGAAAUUUGGUCAAAAUUAAAGGAGAUGAAGCAAACCGCCUAGUCGGUUACUCAGUAUUUCACUGACUUGGAGGAUAAGUGGCAAGAAUUGGAUUUUCUUCUUGAUGAAAACUCAGUGUGUGCAACCUGUAGUGUGAAGCAAUAACAAAAUCUUGAGAAAGAAUGGGUGUAUGAUUUUCUUGUUGGAUUAAACCGAGAUCUUGAUGAAGUCCGAGGAUGUGUUUUGAGUCAAGUUCCUUUCCCAACAAUUGAUGAAGCCUUUGCUAAAGUACAUAGAGAAGAAAAUCUUCGAAAAGUUAUGCUGUCUGAAGGACUGCCGAGUGCAUCACCAAUAGAUCGAAAGCUCGGCCUUGAUGACCAAAAACAACUUGCAACCAAGAAAGAACAACAACAAUUCAAGAACAUCAUGCCGAGGAGAACGAAUGUGGUGUGAUCAAUGUAGUCGCCAUGGACACACCAAGGAUAUAUGCUGGAAGAUUCAUAGAAAACCUGCAAAUUGGGUUCUCAGGAGAUAGACUGAAAACCGAGACUUUCAAGCUCAAUCAAACCAAGACAAGCAAGGAAUAGAUUCUUCAACACAACAUCAAUCUACAAAUUCAUCAAUUCCGUUCAACAAGGAACAACUUGUGCAAUUCUACCGUCUUCUCAAUCCAUCACCAGCCCCAUCUUUGUCAACUCCUGAUCUAGGGCCAUGUUCUAUAGCAAAAUUUAGUAACCACUCAGCCCUAACAUAUUUGGUUCACUCUAAGGAACCUUGGAUCAUUGAUUUCGGUGCCUCAACCGUAUGACAGGUGGUUCUCAUUUUUUCCUCUCUUAUAAUUCAUGUCCUAGUUCUAUUAAAAUAAAAAUUGCAUAUGGAUCUUUAUCUUCAAUUGCUGGAAUAGGUUCAAUAAGAGUCUUCAAGCAUUUAAUUCUUCACUCAAUCCUUCAUGUUCCUACCUUAAAAUGCAAUUUUUUAUCCAUUAGUAAAAUCACUCGUGAUAAUAAUUGUGUUGCUAACUUUCAUUCUUCAAUGUGUCAAUUUCAGGACCUAUCAUCAAGGAGGAUGAUUGGCAAUUCUAGAAUUCAUGAAGGGCUUUAUCUUGAGAACACAAAGUAUGAGGGUCGACAAGAUUUUGCAUUAGGGGUUACAUCAGUUUCUGUUUUUAGUGAUAGGGAAAUAAUGUUGUGGCAUCAUCGACUUGAUCACCCUAAUUUGGUGUACUUAAAAACAUUUGUUACCUUCGUUGUUUAAACAUGAAGAUUCUAUUUCUUUCAUUUAUGAUAUAUGUCAAUUUGCAAAAAAUACUCGAGUACCAUUUUCUCCAAAACCCUAUACACCCUUAAUGCAUUUUACCUUAAUUCACAGCGAUAUCCGAGGUCCAUCCAAAGUUACCACAAUGCAUGGAAAAUGGUGAUUUGUGACAUUUAUUGAUGAUCAUACAAGAUUCACUUGGAUAUAUCUCCUUUGAGAUAAAUUAGAGACAAUGAUCAUACAAAAUUUCUACAAUAUGGUCCAAACCCAAUUUCAGAAAAAUAUUUGUCUUACGAAGUGACAAUGGGAGAGAAUAUUUUUAAUCUAUCUUGGGAGAUUAUUUAUUGCAUAAGUGAAUUGUUCACCAAAGCUCGUGUGUUGACACCCCGCAACAGAAUGGUGUCUUAGAAAGAAAUAAUAGACAUUUAUUAGGCGUGGCUCGUGCUCUUAUGUUUACAAUGAAUGUUCCCAAAUAUUUGUGGGGGGAUGUCAUUUUAACCAUUGCAUUUCUCAUUAACCAUCUACCUAGUCGCACCUUGACCUUUAAAUCCCCACUAUCCAUGGUUUCACACAUGUUCCCACAUCUCAAUAUGCUUACAAAUACCCUUCCACUCAAAACAUCUGGUUGCAUUGCAUUUGUCCACAUUCAUUCUCAACACCAAACCAAACUUGAUCCUCGAGCCAUCAAAACAAUCUUUCUUGGUUAUUCUCCAACCUAAAAAGGGUAUCAGUGUUACUAUCCCCAAACCAAGAAAAUGUUUGUCACCCAAGAUGUCUUAUUUUUUUUUAAGAAAUCUCGUAUUAUUCACAUACUUCGCUUUAAGGGGAGAAUCGAGACAGAGAAGCUCCUAUGUGGGAUUAGGAUACCAUUGUUUUACUCAUAUUUGAGAUCCCAUUGCAACUUGCAAUAUUACCCGAGACUGUGGCUACUCCAUCCAUCAUACCCGAGCUUACCUCAUCUAAAACCUCACCACCAACUAAAACAUUGUCAGAGUAUUCACCUGCAGUACCAAUCCCAGCAGCAAAGGUAAAUCCAACCAUACCAAAUUAGCAAAAGUUAUAGGUUUACUCUUGGAAAAAGAGUUCUCAAGGGAAUAAGCCACUCGCGAGCAUUGUGCACUGUUCGAAAUCUAAACCUAUGUUAGGAAGUGGGUCUUCAUCCUUAGGUAAUCUUGAAACCAUUUCUGAUAGACUAAAUGAACCUAUUGCACUUAGAAAAGGUGUUAGGUCAUGUACACAACAUCCUAAUUCUAAAUUUGUGUAAUAUGAUAAUCUAUCUCAUUCAUUUCAUGCCUUUACCGCAAAAUCUUUUUAGAAUUGAUGUUCUUAGGACAAUAGAAGAUGUUUUAGUUGUUCCCAAAUGGAAAAAUGUUGUUCUUAAGGAGAUGUGAGCCCUUGAAAAGAAUGAUACAUGGAGUUUGGUGGAAUUACCACAAGACAAGAGUGUGGUUGGAUGCAAAUGGGUGUUCCCUAUUAAGGUGAGACUAGAUGGCUCAAUUGAGAGAUACGAAGCACGAUUGGUUGCAAAAGGUUUCACACAAACAUAUAGUAUCUAUACUGAGACAUUUUCUCCCAUUACAAAGCUCAACACAAUUCGUGUCUUAUUAUCACUAACAGCAAAUUUGGACUCACCAUUGUAUUAACUCGAUGUGAAGAAUGCAUUAUUAAAUGGAUAAUUGGAGGAAGAAGUGUAUAUAAGCCUACCACCCGACUUUGAAGAAGAUAAAAAGGGCAAAAUGGUAUGCAAACCGAAGAAGUCUCUAUAUGGUCUCAAGCAAUCUUUGCGUGCAUGGUUUGAAAGAUUCUCAAAAGUGAUCAAGAGUCAUGAAUAUUAACAAGGGCAAACUGAUCAUACUUUGUUUGACAAACACUCAUCCAACAAAAGGGUUACAAUCCUGAUAGUAUAUGUUGAUGGCAUAAUACUUAUAGGAGAUGGCUUCAAUGAAAUGGAGGAGAUCAAAAUAUUAAUGGCAAUGGAGUUCGAGAUUAAAGAUAUUGGAACUAUGAAAUGAAAUGAAAUUAUUCAAGGAGGACAAUGGAAUGAAAUUACUCAAGGAGGACAAUGGGAAUUAAAAGAUUUAUCAAAUCCAAAACCAAUAAAACCUUUGACAAAUCCUUAAAAAAUUAUACAACAUACAAAUGGUACUAUUCAAAUAGAAUUUAGUCCAGCUUCAAAAUAUUCAUUUACUCAAGAAUUUUUUUUGUACAAGACUUUCUACUUCAAGUACAAAUUUGAAAAGCGUUAAUUUUGCUCCAAAUAUUCCUAUUCCUAUUUAUCAAUAACAAGAAUCUCCUCCUAUGUCUCCUACUCAUUGUGUUAUGCGUCAUUCUCAAGUCAAUAUUAUUCAUAAGAAAAAUUAUAAGAGAACUCUUUUUAAGCCAAACAUUGAAUGGAUAAAAUUAGAUUAUUUCUCUCCUUACAAUAACCCUAGAAGAACAUAUUUUCAAACACUUCUUCCUCAAGCUAGAAAUGCUUUAAGAAAACACAAUGAAAAUUAUAUGAAUAAAAAGAAAAUAACAAUUCCUUUUUUCCAUUGGUUUUUCAAACUUAGAAAGAAACAAAAGCAAAUUAUAACUUUAAGAUAUGAAGAAGGAUAUCAACUAGCAUUGAAACAUAGAGAAUAAUUCAAAAAAGAAUUUCAACAAUAACCUCAGAAUUAGGUUCUCAACCACCCCUAAAUAAUCAUUAAUUGAAUUCUGAUUAUAAUUCUAUUUCUGUUUCACCCUUUAAAAUCCCAAGAACAAAAUAUGAAUAAAGUUUCAUAAUUUACAAAGAUAUUAGACAAGCUCAAUAACAAUUAAAUUAUAUAAAUAAUUAUCUUCAACAUCUGAAUCAAUAAACUAAAAAAAAAAAAAAAUUCUCAAAUUUUGUUUUCUUCAACCCCAGGAGGGAGGAUAGGAGAAGCAUCAAAAUCGUCAAUUUUUCCUCAACUCUAUCAUUAUCAUCAUCAUCAUCAUCUUCUGUUAAGUUUUUAGACCAAGCUUUCAUUAUUCCUAUAAAUGCUACUAAGUAAAAAAUACAACUCUCUACUCCAACAAAAACAAUGUUAAAAGAAAUACAACUUAGAUUAGAUAAACUUAGUAUUAAUGGUAUCAAUCAAAAUAUGAAUCAAAUUCAAACCAUAACUAAAGAUAAAUCAAAAUGACUCCAAAUUCACACCUCCUUUAAUAGUUGAUACAAUAUCUAAUAAUUUGGUAAGUAGAAAAAAUUAUUAUUCAAAGCCUAUUUUUCCUUAUGUACAAUUAAAAGAAAGAAAUUAUUAAUUAGCUGCAAGUUAUAAUGGUAGUAGUUUUUAUUAAUGAAAUAUAGAUGGUAUGAGUGAACAUCAAAUAAUUAACCUACUUCAUGAAAUAAUGAUGGUUGUUAUGCUUAUAGAACCAAGACUAAUAAUUAUGAUUUUCAUGUUGUGGGUGGCUUAUUAAUAGGGUUCAUUAAUUUACUUAAAGGAUGAUGGGAUCAUUAUUUGAGUCAAAAUGAUAGAGAAUUGAUUACUACUCAAAAAGUGCUAUUUGAUAGCUUGUAAUUAACUCUUUUAAACACUUUUGAAUAGUAAUUAUUGCCUUUUAACCCAAUUGACAUAUUAAGGACCUUUGCAAUCACUUCUAAUCACUUUGUCUAAGUUUUGGUGUUUUUGUUAGUAAUUUGAUCACCAAAGCAAUGCAAGAUGGAGGAGAGUUAUUUGGAAUCCAUGGCAAAGCAAUGGAAAGCUCAGAAACAUGAAGAAUCAGAGCUUUGAAGCCUUAAAGUCCUUUGCCAUAACCAAUCCGGAAUGCAAGGAGGAGAAGUAAAGAGAGAAUCUACCUUGAAGCAUUCUUGAUGACAGUAAUUUCAGCCACUUUUGGAGUACUUCCUGAAGUCCAAUUUAUGCAUGCUUUAUGUCGUUUCGAAGAUCGGGAAGUCAACAAUCCAAUGCUUCAAACGGUUUGCAAAUCAGAGUUGAAAUGAAGAAGUUAGAGCCAAUGGAAGCAGAUCACUCCAAGCUGAAGGCCAAUUUCGCAGGGCUGCGAAAUCAGCCUUUGGCUGCGAAAUCAGCCUUGGCUGCGAAAUGAUUUCGCAGCCAUCUUGUUCGUCUGCGAAAUUUCGCAGCCAUUUUGUGCGCCUGCGAAAUUCUCCUAAGUGCUUCCAGAUAUUUGCGACUAACGUUUUUUGUUAUUUUGCCUCAGAUAUUUGUUGUCUAAAUCCCAAUUCUCUCCUUGUAAUCCACCAAUUAGAUGAUUCCUUAGUUGUUAAGCAAGGAUACAGGGGUAAACAACCUGAUAUGUAUUAUUUUGUAAUUUUCAUUUUAAGGACAUCGGGGAACUUUCCCCAGGAGACCAACUUAUGUAAAUUUUACACUUAGCUAAAUACGAAGUAUCUUUUGCUUUCUUUUUCUCUCUACUAUUUUCUAUUUUCUUAGUAGCCAAACAUCCUUGGAGGAUGAAAUCCCCAAGGAUGAGAGGCUAAAACCUUUUAGUUUCUUGAAGUAAUGGAUGCCAUGUGAAGCUCCCGUGUCAGGAUGGAGAUUUCCAAGCCAUGAAUGUAAGUAGCUGAGCGUCAUAAAUGUUUUCAUUCAAAGUAAAGCUUUUAAUCCCUCUGACUUGCUUUGAAUGACCAAUACUUGAUAACCUUUUGGUCUCAGUGGAUUCUUAUUGUUAGAUCCACUGACGUUCAUUAGUUAUCUCCUACGAGCCAUUGUAUUGCAAGUCGAGGAGAUGACCUAUUCAUUAAAAGAGCAUUUAUGAGGUUCAACUACCCUUUUUGUAAGUUUUCAAGGACUAAAACUUAGUUGUUAAACACAUACCGGUUCGGGAAGUAAGCAUCACCUGAGUUGCUUCCCCAACUCGAGGUGAAAAGUUCCAAAAUCUCCAUUUUUACACGGUGAGUUAAGCAUGGCUAUCCAAAGCUUUGAGAAACUUCUUUUUCCAUCUUUUAACCUAUUUGCAUGUUAGUUUAGUUUACAACACCUUCAUCUUUUUAUGUUUUCAUCUUAACCUAAUCUUUAUUAAGAAAAGUUCACUCCAUCCUCCGAACUUCACCAGUUAAAGUAAAAACCCUUCCCAGUGUUCGAUCCUAGAGCCACUAUGCUAUAGUAGCUUUGCUACUUUAGUGUAAGGACGUUAGGUAUAAAUUUUGUUGAUACCCUUACAUGCCAAGCUACCAAGAGUCGGGUUGUCAAGAAUAUAUAUUAAAUGUGAAAAAGAUAAUAAUUAAAGAAGAAGGAACAUUAGUCCAAACUUAUGAGGAAGAUGUUGUCAAUACUUUAAUAUUUGCAAUAACAAAAUAUUUUAUAGGGGAUUCAGUAUAUUUUCAAGAAAUAACAUUUGAAAUUCUCAAUAAUCUUAGAUGUCCAAAACUUCAAGAUUUCAAGUAGUAUAAAGAUAUGUUUUUAGUCAAAGUCGUGGCUAAAACUAAUUGUGGAAGCAUUAUUGGAAAGAAAAAUUUAUAUUAGGGUUACCCACUUUAUUUUCUGAAAAAGUUAGACAAAGAACUAGAAAUGUAUAUAAUGAAAGAAUUCCUUAUGAGUCAUUAACAUAUAUAUGGAGAAUUAAUUACCUUUAUCAAUAAUGAAGUUUUAUCUUUCUAUACUGAUCUCAAACUAAAGAGUCAAAUGAAAAAAGAGAAACAAGAUAGUAAGAAAGAGUUAGGAAAAUUUUGCUCAUAUUAUGGAUACGACACUAUAGUAGCCCAUUCAAAAAGGAAAAAUAAACAAAAUAACAUAGAAGGCAAUAAAUCAUCAACUAAGUCAAAAUUCCAAAAGAAAUUUCUAAAAAAUACUAAUAGAUCAAAAUCUUCUAAUAAAACAACUUUAAAAAAGAAGACACCAACAUGUUAUAAAUAUGGAAAAGUAGGUCAUUAUUCAAAAGAUUGUCAAUUAGAAAAUAAAAUUAAUUAAUUAGAAAUAAGUGAUAAACUAAAAAAAUUAAUUAUAGGAUUAAUGAUCAAUGAAGAAGAAGACUAUUCAAUUGAAUACUAUGAAGCAGAAGAAGAAAAUCAAAUGUUAAUAAUUCAAGAAAUGUCAAUUGAAGAGUCCAAUCAAGAUGAAUCAGAAAAUGAAAAGGAAUGUGAUGAUAUUUUUGUAUGCUCUUAUAAAUCAAUAAAUUUGAUUUCAAAAAAUUCAAAAACUUCCUUGAACAUUUUUAUUCAUAAUCAUGUCACUCAUAAAUUCGAUAUAUUUUCAAUUUUGGUAUAUUAAAGAUAGGCUGUUUAGAUAUCUUAAUUAUAUGUCAAAAAAUAUACUAACAUUUAAAUUUUUCUUAUAGAUGGAGCAAGAACGGAUAAGUGCUACAGUCAACAAGGAAUUGCAUUAUGUUUUAAACCUUUGUUUCACUUAGGUUUAGAUAUUCCUGUGUGUGUUUGCUUGAGAGACGCUAGGGCAAUAAAAUUUACUGAUUCUAUCUUUAGUAUGAUUGAUUUAAACCUUGCAAAUGGUCCUAUUUAUUUUAACUGUUAUCCAAAUUUUUCCAUGAACAUAAAUGAUUCAAGUAUUUUAUCAAGACAAACUUACAUUCUUGUCUUUCUAAUGGAAUUUCCCUAUACAAGGGAUCAAGUUUUGGAUACUUACUUUUUGUGUUGCCAUAAUGAGAAGUUAAUUUUACUACACAAUAAAAGGUAAGUCAUAACUUUUAAGUUAACAACUUAACAACAAUAUAAGUUAAGGUCCAGUUAAGUUAUUAAGUCAUAACUAUUAAGUUUUAUCAAACACCCAAUUCUAUGUUGUAAUUUAAAAAAAUGACAAGAUAAUAAAAACUUAGAUGGACAUUGAAUGCUUUUCUUCUUAUUUUUUUAAAUUAAUUUUAUUUUAAAAAAUGUAAAAUAUAAAGAUUCUUUAAUAAUGCUUUUAAUUUUUGUAAGCAAUAAAUAUGUUUAUAGUUUUAAUCCUAUAUUUGAGUUUUGAAAACAAAAUAUUAAAAUGUGUGUUGAUAAAGAUGUAAUAAUAUGUAGAAAAUCAAGGGAUAAUUUUCAAUUAUUUCUUCGUAAUUUUUAUUGAUGGUUUUAUCCAUAUAUAGUAACCUUUUAUAAAAUAACACUCUUAAGAGGAAAAUUAUUAUCCUAAUAGGGUGAUUGAUUUAUUAACAAAUAAAAAUUUAUUAAUUUAAAGAUCAUCUUUCUUAUGUAUGGUAUAAUUGUAGAAGAUAGAAAGAUUUCUAAACAAAGAAAUAUGGUGUAAAAACUUAAUAUCCUAAAAAAUAAAAAAGAUUUCAAGUAUGUUAUUUAUCAAAUCACUUCGGAUUCAAUCCUACUUCAAUUUUGUGGACAACUUGAGGAGGAAGUUGUUUAAAAUAAUUUCAUUUUGUUGUAUUAUAAGGAGAAAAAUAAUUAUUUAAAUAAUUAAUUAUAAACUCAAAUCUAUUUUUAAAAUAAGUUACUCUUAAAAGUGUUUGAUAAAACUUAAUACUUAUUACUUAAUGACUUAAAUUGAUUUUAGGUUAAAUUAUACUUAAUUUGUUAACUUAAAAUUUAUUACUUAAUUCUUAUUUAAUUAAAUUUAUUUGAUAAAAUUAACUUAAAACAUGUUUUAAACCAUCAAAUUGAUAUAUUUAUCAUCAUAAAUUAUAUCUAAAGUAAAAGAAUUUGAGUAACAGUGGAGGUUAUAAAGUAGCAAAAGAGAUCAUUAAGGUAAUUAGGGUAAAUGAGGGUAAAAUUGUUAAAAAAAAAAAUUUAUAAAUAAAUUAAUUAUUUUUACAUAUUACUUAAAGUUGUUUUUAAUUUUAAGUAAUAAAUAUACUUAAUAUAUUUAAAUUAGUAAGUCAUUUUAAGUUAUUAAAUUGGUUUACCAAACAUUCACUUAAUUCUGGUAAUUGAAUUGAAAAUUUCUUAGAAGCAUCCAAUAAUCUCAUGGGAUGGUGUAGACCCCCAUUUUGGGAGCACUUUCUUUUUGAAUUUGUUGUAGCUUAUUUGGCCAGAUGGAGCAUUUCUAGGAGGCCACGUGUCAAUCCCUGAUUGGCUAUCAUGGAAUCAAAACAGUGUUUUUGAAAGCCAAUCAGAGAUUGACACCUGGCAAGGAGGAAUCUGCAAAAGCUGUAGGUUGUUGAGGAGCAGGCCAGCUGGAGAGGAGCGUUUCUUUUGGCAGGGGGGAGGCUUUUGUUUAGGUUUUUAGGAGGGGAGGAAUGAUUCGAAGGGGAAGCCAGCUGCAUCUGAAGGGGGGCAGAAAGUAAAGCUUGGAAGGCAAGCUGUUCACAGGGACUAGUGAGAGGAGGAUACUUGGUGAGAGGAGGAUACUUGGUGAGAGAUAUUUUUGGAGAGGAUUCUGGGGACUCGAAGGAGUUCUGCAGAGGGAGGGGAGCUUCCAUUGCCAUUGUAGAGAUUUUCUUGGGGAAGGCGUCCAAGGAAAAGAAGCCAGAGCAAGGGAAGCAGCACGGGUAUGGUUUCUAUCAACUGGAUCCCUUUGUUUUCAUGCCGUUUUAUUACGUUUUCCAGGAUUACUGAAAUUUUUAUCUGGGUGAUUGGAUGAGAGCAUUGGGGCUCUGUUAUGCUUUUGCGAAGUCUGAGUUUGUUCACCCUCUUCUUUGAGCUUAAUUUCUAACUCAUUUUUUUUUAUCUCUGUUUUAAAAUCUCCCGUGAAGCAUUUGCAGUCACACUUUGGUUUCUCUUUGCAAACUAUUUGAAACCCAUUUUGACUCACCCCUGUAUCUAAGCACGUUGACAGAAACAUGAAACGUAGCUUUUACAAAAUCCAGUGUGUUCCUAUUCUUCAUGCUCUGUUUUUGUUACCUUCCUCUGUUCCUGGUACUUGGCCAUGGUGUGCAUCAGAUUUUUGAGGAGUAAGGAAAGGUAAGAGAUAUAUUUCCAGCCAGUAUGUAUGAGAAGCAACAGCAUGCUUGUCCAGUUGUGAAAACUCUAAAAACGGCUCAUGGAUGCUGAAGAUUCAGCCGUUCAGUGGUCCUCCAGUCAGUAUGUAGCGACAACAUGAUCUCAAGUUUCAUCACUAGCCAGGUUUUGAGGUUACUAGACUUUCUGAAACUGAGGGUGACCUGCACACCAAGGGUGGUGCUGAUAAUCACACCUGAAAUGGGAUGGAUAUGGGUAAUCGAGCGCACCUUUUCGGCAUGGAAGGUUGACGAAAGAAUUGAGAAAGGAAUAAAGCAAACAAAGCUGCCUGUUCCAUGCCCCUUCUGCCCAUUCAAUUAUUCUCCAUGUCUUUCAUGCCCAUAGACCCCUUUCUCUCUCUAACCAUUGUACCCACUUCUCGUGCACACCCUCACCUCUCAUGCACCCAUGUUUAUUACCUUUCAUCAUCCCCAUGCUCAUAUCCUCAUCCUUCAUGUUCCUCCAUACCCACAUUAUACCCAUGUCCCCGUCCAUCACCUCAUCAUACCUCUACCAUUCAUUUCCCUUCCACCCUACUCAUGCAUGCGGCUAUGGCUACUCUCCAUACUUCCCACACCCAUAAUACCCACGUUUCCUGCACUUCAUUCCCGCCACCCUUUGAGUCACCCCAGUUUCACAUUUGGUGCGCCAGACCUCCAUCACAGUUGUAGAGACCCUUCAAGCCAUUGAAAGUGACCAAGUGAGUAAAGAAGGUUGGCAUUGCUGGGAAAUAUGGCACUCAUUAUGGGGAUAGUUGGCAUAAUCAGAUUGAGAAGAUGAAAGUCAGUCGACGUAGCAAAUGCUUAUGUGAAUUUUGAGGAAAGUAUGCAGUGAAGAUAAAAACUGUAGGGAUUUGGGACUGUAAGGUUUGUGGCAAAGAUAAAGCAAGCCAAGCUAUUCUUGAAUGACCCACGCCAUGUCAUUCUCCGCCAUGCUCCUCCGCCACUGCAUCAUUUCACUCUCCGCUCAAUCAGCGGAGCAAGUCCAUGUCAGGUGUCGAAACUGUAAAGCUGCUGCUCCAAAAUCCCAAGAGUGGCUGUGAUAGCCAAAUGUGACCCACGCCAUGUCAGGUACGUGACCUGCUGCCUGAUGUACCGAGGUGAUGUGAUGCCCAAGGGCGUGAAUGUAGUUGUAGCCACCAUCAAGACAAGGCGCAUUACCCAGUUUGUUGAUUGGUGCCCCGCUGGAUUCAAGAGCAGCAUCAACUACCAGCCACCAACUGUUGUUCCAGGGGUGAACCUUCCCUUGCAUGCGAAAAAUGCAUUAAGUGGCCAAGAAUCCUUACAAAUGCAGUACCUUAGGUGCCCCAACAGCGUUCUGGGUUUACCAAACAGCAACUAUAUGUUCUUAAGGCUCAAAUACUCGCAUUUCAGCGCUUAAAGAAAAGAGAAGGUACUUUUCCUCAAGAGCGUCUUCGAUCUAUUGCUCUAUCACCGCUGGAAUCACAGUUAUGGCAGGCAUUUCUUCCUACCACAGCAAUUAAUCAAGAUAAAUCUGUUGUGAAGAAAAUUAUUGAAAUUAAUCCCUACAUGCUUGGCAUAGUGGCUGGAAGAGAUGCUGAUUUCCAGUUUUGGCAUAGAAAUUUGGGCAUUAAGUGCCGAUUGCAUGAACUUACCAAUGAGCGAGGGAUUUCAGCUACAGGGGUUUCAAAGCAAGCUGGAAGUGAAUAGUCUGGACGUUUAUAAGAAUGAUAAAUCCUUGAAGCACCGCUCUCCUCUCCUGUAUCUACAGCCACGAGAACCGCGUUGUUUGAGACGUCGGGAUCGACGUGGCUAGGCGGCUGCUGGUGUUUGAGGUUGUAUCUUCCAGUUCCUUCUUCUCCUCCUUGAUUGCUCAAGGCUUGAAGCUCGCCAUCAAUCUCCUCAAUAGUAAGGAUGUGGACGAGGCCUUUAGGGCUCAUAUCAAUCUCAAAGCCCUGAGGUUUGGGAUGUUGAGAUCCACCAUGGGAUAGGUGCUCGGGUGCUUUUCUUGGAGGUUUUCUUUGAUAACAAAGAUGAGGGACCGGGUGCGAAGACUAUAGAGUAUCCUGCAGAACACUCUAAGGCAUAUACGGGUUAUGCAUCAAACAUGGGGAUAAUUGGAAAAUCUGAUUAUGACCGAAUCCGCAGGGUGCUUCCGGUGCGUGAAGUAGCAAUGAGGCUUUGUGGCACCUUUGAGACCCUUUCUGUCUUUCCCGCUCGGCAUGCAUGGCCACCUUUGGUGGGCCACUGCUUAAGCCCACGUGCCACACCCCUGUAUUCCCAUGCAUUUGUUUUCAAAAAUUGAUUCUAAUCAUUUUCCACUAAUCAUGCAUCUUUUACUUUAUUUUUUUUACUUUUAUUCAUAUUUUCAUUUUUAUUUUUUUUAAAUACUUUCCUAAACUCUAGUUUGUAAAUUUUUUAUUUUUUAUUUUUUUUAUUUUUUAUUUUUUUCAAAUUCAUUUUCUUUUUCUUUUUUAAUAAUUUCAUCUCUUUUAAUUUCUCAUCCUUAGUUUUUUUUGUUUAGGUUCCAAGAAUCCGCUUUUCAAUAAAAUUUGGCCGCCACUUUCGAAUUUUUCAUGAUUUUAAAACGUUUUAAAAUAAACAUGAAUUUAUUCUCGUAAUUCCUAGCGAUGGAAUUUAUGAAAUCAAUUCAUGCAAAAAUAAACGGGCUUUGGUGGGGGCCCAACAUAUGUGAUUGAUUGAUUAAUUGAUUGAUUUGAUUGCCAUGCAUGAAUGAUUUAUUCUGCUCUAUGAUAUGCAUGUGACUAUUCCUUAAUUGUGCACUAAUCUCACUUCUUGAUAGCGCAUUGAAGAUCGUUGCCCAGGUACACAUCUAUUCUUAUUCCGAUCUUGCUAUAUGCAUGUUUUGAUACUCAUAUGUGCAUGAUUGAUUUGAGUAUUUAUUGAUUUCCUCAUCAUUGCCACACCAGCUUCAUUCUAUUAGUAGAGACCCGACAUUAGGGACUUAGAGGGGUGCUAUGGUCUUUACCGUACCUUCCCGAUAAGUAACCUGACCCCCGAAUCCGAUCCGGUUUUCACAGACCACCUUUUCCAAAAAUCAGGAGUCACACUUAGGGUUUUCUUUCUUAUUUUGUUUACCCUUUAAAAAUAAAAACAAAAAUAAGUGGCGACUCCAAGUCAUUUUCUUAAUCAAUAAAAAUCAAUUUUUCAAAUAAAAAUCGAGCUCGCCAUUCGAGUGGGAAACGCAUCGAGAACGAAAUGCGGGGUCCACAGAUGGUUAUUUCAUUUAUUUAUAGUUAUUUUUAAUUUAGAUUUUUUUUUAUACUAGCAUAAUUUAUUAAUCUUAAAUUUAUUUUUUUAUUUUUCCUUUAUUUUUUAUUCAUUUAUUUUUUCAUGUAAGGAUUUUCCCUCACAUUCUUAGGAGGCGAACAUAACCUUGGAGUGUGAUGACCUUCAUAAAUGUAUAAGAGGGCAAAAAGUAACAGGUAAAAAAGUAAAAAAGGGGAGAGAAAAAACAAGUAAAGAGAGGAAAGAGAGAAUGGGAACAGAAGCUGCAAAUUAACUCACCACCAAGACUCGUCUUCGUCUCGCGUUGCCUGAUUCUGGCGUAAAAUUCACCAUCGCAGUCACCGCCAUGCCUCCUCUUCUCAGAACAAAUCUGUGGCUGGGUCUGGGGAUCAUUUGAAUGCUACAGCAUCACAACCUGCUGGAAGCGGCCUAACUAGAGAAGAGUUUGCAAACUUACAACAACAACUUUAUCAAUUAUGUGCCAGAUUAGAGAAAGCUGGUAUUUUUUGGUGCUCUAAAUUCCACCAUUCGAGGCCAAACAAGGCAGAAUUUUUGAACUUACUAGUGGAGGAAUGUGAAAAAUUAGCCUACUAUGGUGGACUUCUAGCAAACUGUAGGGGACUUUUCAGAUGAAGAAGGUGGAGUUUUACCUUUGGAAGGGUAACCAACGUUUCAUUGUACUACAAAUCAGGAUCAAAAUCUAAACAUUAAGGUAGACAUUCCAUACUUUACUGGAGAGAUGCAACCAGAGGAGGUCUUAGGUUGGUUGAAUGAAGUUGAAAGGGUUUUUGAGUUUCUAAAUCUUCCAGAAAAUAAAAAAGUGAAGUUGGUGGCUAUAAAAUUGAAGGUGUAUGCUUCCUCUUGAUGGCAGCAAGUGUAGAUGAAAAGAGUCCAAUCUGGAAAGGAGAAAAUCUAGAGUUGGACUAAAAUGUAGUAGCAAAUCUGAAGUCAAUUCCUUCCAUUAAACUACAAAGGAAUUCUUUUUCAGCAAUACCAAGCACUGCAGCAAGGCCAACGUUCUGUGCGAGAAUAAACUAAUGAGUUUUACAAAAUACAGACUAGAGUACAACUAACUAAAAUGGAAGUGCAAGUCAUUCAUUGUUAUUUGAUGGGAUUGAGGCCAAAUGUUAGAAAUUUGGUGGAGCUAUAACCUUGUUGGACGCCAUCUGAUGCUGUUCGGUUGGCAAUGAAUGUUGAAAAUCAACAAAGAUGGUCCAACAACCACUCGAUUAAAAGUGCAUGGGGGCCUAAUCAAUUGGAGGAUAAUAGGUGGCAAGGAGAUGUCAAGCAGAAAUCAGUGGCAGUGAUCGAUGAUUUGCCGAAUUCUAGAUCAAACACUCACUUCCAAGCUCGCAACCAAGCCCAAGGGCAUGCAACAAUGAAAAAUCAUGUUCUUGGAAAUAGUAGUAACUCAUUGCAGUCUGCAGGACGCAGAAUAAUAUGUUAUAAAUAUGGAAAUGAGGGUCACAAAUCUUUUGAUUGCUGAAAACAAGCCAACAAUCUACUGAUCAAUGAAAAUGAAGGAGAGAAUAAUGAUAAUGAGGUAGGAAUGGAACCUUAAGGCGUUGGAGGGCUGCUGGAAUUCAUAGAAGAUGAAGUCAUAUAUGAAGACGAUGAUCUUCCAAAAGCAUCAAAAAGUGAUUGGCGGAGAAAUAAUAUUUUUAUAAGUAGAUGUUCUUCACAUGGGAGGCUUUGCAAUGUUAUUAUUGAUGCGGGAAGUUGUGAGAAUCUUGUUUCUAAAGAAAUGGUGAAGAAGCUCAACUUGGAAGUGCUACCACACCCAAAGCCGUAUUGAAUUGCUUGGUUCAAGAAAGGGGGUGAAGUAGAGUGUGGCAGUGUUUUCUUCCCUUCUCAAUUGGGAAAAACUAUUUAAAUCAAGUUUUAUGUGAUGUGGUGGAAAUGGAAGUCUGUCAUUUGUUACUUGGAAAUCCAUGGGAAUUUGACAAUAAAACUAUCCACCAUGGAGAGAAGAAUGUUUAUGCUUUCUACAAAAAUGGGCUUAAGGUAGUACUUGCCUUGAUGAAAGAAGAAGUGUUUGUUAAGUCUAAGGUCAAACAGAACAAUCUUGUGUAACUGUUCAAUGCUUUUUAAAUGAGUUUGAUGCUAAUGGAGUUUCCUUUUUGCUGUUGGCAAAAGAAGUCUUAGAAGACCAUCAAAAUGUUCCUAAUGAAACAAAGACAUUGCUAGAAAGUUUUGCAGAGGUAUUUUCUAUAGAGCUGCCAAGUGGAUUGCCUUCAAAAAUAAGCAUCCAGCACUACAUUGAUCUAGUACUAAGAGCCAGCCUACCAAACCUGCCACAUUAUAGAAUGCCUCUAAAAGAACAUGAAGAACUUCCAAGACAAGUGGAAGAGUUGCUGCAGAAGGGAUAUAUAAAGGAAUCAAAUAUAGCAAAUCUUUACUUAAGAGAGGUUGUGCGAUUGUGUGGAGUUCCAAAAUCAAUCACCUUAGAUCGAGACUCCAAGUUGCUCUCUCAUUUUUGGAGAACUUUAUGGAAAAAGUUUGGAACUAGGUUGCGGUAUAGUACUUUCUAUCAUCCUCAAAAUGGUGGACAAAGUGAGGUUGUCAAUAGAAGUUUGGGUGAUUUAUUGAGGUGGCUAUUUGGAGAAAAUCUUAAGUAAUGGGAAGUUGUGGUUGCACCAGUAGAAUUUGCCUAUAACUAUUCCAAGAAUCGAACUACAGGCAAAAUUCUUUUUGAAGUUGUUUAUGGGAAGCAACCAAUGCAUCCUUAUGAUUUAGCUCCUUUACUAGAAAUGGGAAGAAAUAGCUUAAAGCGUGAAAACAUGGUUGACUUAAUGAAAAAACUGCAUGAAGAAAUCAGAUUGAAGAUUGAGGAGUCGAAUGCGAAGUAUAAGAAAUAUGCAAAUCAAAAGAGGCAUAUAACCAAAGCUUUUCAGAAGGUGAUAUGGUGAUGGUGUACUUACAUAAGGAAGGAUUUCCAGCUAGCUCUUAUUUGAAGCUAAGUAAAAGAAAGAUGGGACCCUACAAAAUCAUCAAGAAGAUUGGGUAAAAUGCUUAUGUGGUUGAUUUUCCAAAACAUAUGGGAAUAGAUCCAAUAUUCAAUAAUUUAGAUUUAUAUUCUUACAUUGGUGAAAAUGUAAAAGGGGUUUCUAGCAGCACCAAACUCAAGGACGAGCUUCUUCUAAGGAGGGGAGAAUUAUGCAGUCAAUACUAGUCAAUUUAUGGUAGUUUGAAAACAUCAAAGGUUUGCAUGGGAAAAGUUUGUUAUUAAAUUAGAAGUCAAAAGGUUAGUUUUUUGUUAUUAAAAGCUAUUAAUGGUGUCUUGGAAACCUUCAGAAAGUAGUUGAGGGUUGUCAUUAUAAAAUGGAAGAACUUGCUUAUUGUAAGGACUCUUGAUGAUUAUCAAGAAAAAAUAUAUGAAGUGAUUAACCAGAUGUUCUUGGUUUGAGCUUUUUGCCAAGGGUUUUUCUUAAAUUUUUCCUUAAGAAAUCAUGGCUUCGAUGGUGGUUAGAGUAACUUGGUUGAAGUUUACUUGGAUAGCAGUUAUAAUAACUUUUUAGUUUUCAUCACAAACUCAUUGGCCAAUAAUUUCCUCAGCUUGUCCAUUUCAUUUGUAUGAUUUCUAGUCAAGAUAAUAUCAUCAAUAUAGACAAUAAAAAUAGUAAUCUUCCCAUUUAAAGAAUGUUUGUUGAAUAGAGUAUGAUCUGUUUGACCUUGUAUGUACCUAUGUUUCUUAACAACAUUAGUAAACCUAUCAAACCAUACUCUGGGAGAUUGUUUUAAGUCCAUUUGAGGAUUUCUAAAGUUUACAAACCUUACCAACAUUAGUUUUAUUCUCAAAUCUUGGAGGGAUUUUCAUAUAGACUUCAUUUUUUAGAUCUCUAUUGAGGAAAACAUUCUUGACAUCCAAUUGUUGAAGAAUCCAAUCUAGAUUGACUGUUAAUGUCAACAAUACUCUCGCGAUAUUAAUUUUGGCAACAAGGGUAAAUGUCUCUUGGUAGUCUAUGCUAUAGGUUUGAGUGAAUCCCUUGGCCACAAGUCUUGCCUUAUAUCGUUCUACACUUCCAUCUUACUUGUACUUAACGGUGAAGAUCCACUUAUAUCCAAUUGGUUGCUUCCUUUUUGGCAAGUCUGAUAAUUCCCAAGUCUCAUUCUUUUUCAAUGCCCUAAUUUCAUCAUCUAUAUCCUACCUCCAUUCAAGUUUUUCUAGAGUUUCAUGGAUACUCCUUGGAAUUUCUAUAUUUGACAUAUUAGUAACAAAUGCAUUAUAUUUUGAUGAUAAUUUUUCAUAGGAAAUAAAAUUAGAGAUUGAAUGUUGGGUGCGGAUCAGGUACGUAUCCCUCUUUUGCACUUUGGGGGGUUACAACAGGCCUGUCUGGAACUUCUUCUCCUUCUUCUACUAGGUCAGGGGAUUUUGUGUGGGAUUCCUAGAUGAGUGAGAUGGAAGGGGUGCUUAAUGACCCAAUGAAGUUUGAGACAAUGAAUGAGUUGUUGUGUAUGAUUCUUAAAGAUGAAGGUCUAUUGCUUUUCCUAAUCAUGAAGGGUUUUUCCUUUUGAAGAGAAGGGCAAAAUGAGGAGACCUUAAGAAAGUGAGGUGUAGAAAAUUUUCGCUUACAUGAUGAUAAGGAAAUCUUAGAAGAGGAAUUGCUUCCUCUUGAGUCACUGCAGUAGGAGAAGUGGGUGUGGAGAGAUCCCCUUAGGUGAAUAAAAAAUUCCUUUGGUUUUGUAAGUUUGUGGGGGUUUCAGUGGAAGGGUUUGAAGAGGGCAUUUAGAGAAUUCUUGUGGAAAUUGAGAGUAGGAGGUGCACUGCUAGUUCAUUGAAGGCUAGUAAAAGGGGUACUAUGUCCAUUUCAAGGAAGGAAAGAGAAUUAAAGGAUCUCAUUAGCACCAUUAAUUAUGACGGUGUUGCAAGAAGGAAAAUAGAGAUCGGGAAUGUGGGUAGGCAAAUUUUUGUAUUUCCUAAAUGAAGUUUAGGAUUUUGUCUUGGAAUGUUAGAGGCUUGCACUAUUCAGAUAAGAGGAAGGUAAUUGGGUCUAUGGUUAGGAAACUCAAACCGAAUUUGGUUUGUUUUUAGGAAACAAAGAUGAGGGAGAUGUCUAAUAGGUUUGUCAGAAGUUUGGGGGUUGGUAGGAACUUGGUUUGGGCAUCUUUAAAUGCAGGGGCACGACAGGAGGGGUUUUGUUAAUGUGGAAUAUGAGUAAGUUGGAAGGGUUGGAUGUUGAAGUGGGAUCUUUUUCUAUUUCUUAUCAGUUUAAAGACUAUGAGGAGGGCUUCAUUUGGGUGUUCUCUGGCUUAUAUGGACCUUUAAAAGGAAAUAAGAGAAGGGAGAAGUGGGAGGAGUUAGCCGCCGUAAGAGGGCUUUGGGAUCAGCUGUGAUACUUAGUAGGUGACUUUAAUGUGGUUUGAUUUCUAGUCAAAAGGAGUAAUUGUAGGUAGAUGACAUCCGCUAUGAGAGAAUUCUCCAACUUUAUUGAUGAGUUUAAACUUGUAGAUCUGCCUCAGGGGGGUGGGCGCGUGAGUGUUGGGGGUGUGGUUACACUUGGUAGUGGAGGGUAGAGUGGCUCACUCAAGGCUCAAUUGGACCGUUUCUUAUUCUUUGGUGGCUGGGAAGAUCUUGUAUUUUGGCUGAUGCGACAUUUGUAGCCAAGACCAAUCUCUGAUCAUUGCCCCAUGUUCUUAGAUUGUAGAGGUGAGAAAAGACAAAAACCCGUUUGGAUUUGAAAACAUGUGGCUAAGGUUGAAGGCUUUGUGAAUAAAAUUAAAGAGUGGUGGUAGACUUAAAUUUUAGGGGCAGUCACAGAUUUGUGCUUGCCAAGAAAUUACAAGCUUUGAAAAUCAACCCGAAGAAGUGGAAUAAAGAGGUACUUGGAAAUGUUUCAGCUAGGAAGGAUGAUGCUUUAGAGCAAAUAAACUAGUGGGAUAAUGUACAAAGGCUAAGACCCCUCGCUGAAGAGGAUAGGAGAAGUCAAAUGACAACUAAAGAUGAAUAUAAUCAUUUAGCCAUCCUAGAAGAGACCUUUUAGAGGUAGAAAUCAAGGGCCCUUUGGCUCAAGAAAGGAGAUAAUGACACCAGGUUUUUUCAUCACAUAGCUAAUGCAAUGAGAUGAGGAAAUUAUAGCAGCAGCCUUACUGUUAGGGGCAUUUGCCUAGAAAAAGAGCUUGAAGUGGGAAUUGGUUCCUACUUCAAAGCUAUGUUUGAAGAACCUCAAGUGCAAAGACCUGAUAUGGCUUCAGAGUUAUUUAUGAGAAUUGAUUCCAUGAAUAAUGGGGGAUGGGAGGGUCUGUUUUUAGAGGAGGAGGUAACCAAAUCAAUGUUAGAAUUAGGGGGUAAUAAGGCUCCUGGGUCGGAUGGGUUCUUGUUGGCCUUUGAGAAGUUUUGUUGACUUAUAGUAGAUGGAGAAGUUAUGCAGCUUUUUCUCUGGACAUUAAGGUGUACUCUAGGAGGAAGAAUAGAGGUCCAUAGGCGUUUGAAUCCAGGUGGAUUUGGUUUGGAGGGUUAGGGCUUGUGUGUUUUUCCAUGAAAAUCAUCAGUUGGAAUGUUAGGGGUUUGGGUUCAAGUAAUAAGCGAAGGGUGAUUAAAGAUUUCCUUAGGUUAGAGAAGCCGGAUGUUGUGAUGAUUCAGGAAACAAAAAAGGAGAAGUGCGACAGAAGGCUAGUGGGCAGUGUCUGGACGGUCAGAAAUAAGGAUUGGGUUAUUCUCCCGGCGUGUGGGGCUUCAGGUGGGAUUUUGUUCAUUUGGGACUCAAAAAAGUUGUGCAUGGAGGAGGUGGUAUUAGGCUCGUUCUCGAUAUCGGUCAAGUUCACCUUGGAGGGCUGUGGAUAUCUUUGGAUUUCUGCAGUUUAUGGUCCUAAUAGUCCCUCACUUAGGAAGGAUUUUUGGGUGGAACUUUAUGACAUUUAUGGUCUAACUUUUCCGUUGUGGUGUGUGGGCGGGGAUUUUAAUGUCAUAAGGAGAAGUUCAGAAAAAUUGGGGGGCUCUAGGCUAACUUCAAGCAUGAGGGACUUUGAUAGUUUUAUUAGUGAAAGUGAAUUACUUGAUCCACCUCUUCGGAACGCGUCAUUCACUUGGUCAAAUAUGCAAGAGUCUCCCGUGUGUAAGAGAUUAGACCGUUUUCUUUACUCAAAUGAGUGGGGGCAGCUAUUUCCCCAAAGGCAUUCAAGAAACCCUUAUCAGAAGGACCUCGGAUCAUUGGCCAAUUGCUUUGGAUACCAAUUCGUUCAUGUGGGGCCCAACUCCUUUUAGAUUUGAGAACAUGUGGCUGCAACAUCCUAGUUUCAAGGAGAACUUUAGAAAUUGGUGGAGGGGUUUUCAAGGAAAUGGAUGGGAAGGCCACAAGUUCAUGAGGAGAUUACAAUUUGUUAAAGCCAAAGCGAAGGAAUGGAAUAAGCUUUCUUUUGGAGUGCUUAAUGAAAAGAAAAAAAGUAUCCUCAAAGGAUUUAGCUAACUUAGACGCCAUCAAGCAGGAUGGGGGUCUCACCUCUGAAUUGUUAGUUCAAAGAGCCUUAAGAAAAGGGGAGCUAGAGGAAUUAAUUUUGAGGGAGGAAAUCCAUUGGAGACAAAAAGUUAGGGUGAAAUGGGUUAAGGAAGGGGAUUGCAACUCUAAGUUUUUUCAUAAAGUGGCUAAUGGCAGGCGAAAUAGGAAGUAUAUCAAGUCAUUGGAAAAUGAAAGGGGCUUAGUGUUGAAUAAUGCAGUGAGCAUCACAGAGGAGAUCUUACUCUACUUUGAAAAGCUCUACGCGAAUCCUAUAGGAGAGUCUUGGAGUAUUGAAGGUUUAGAUUGGUCCCCUAUUUCGGAAGAAAGUGCAAUAAGUUUGGUUGCCCCUUUUACUGAAGAAGAGAUUUCUAAGGCCAUAUUUCAGAUGGAUAGGGACAAGGCUCCGGGGCCUGAUGGCUUUACUAUUGCAGUAUUCCAAGACUGUUGGGAUGUGAUUAAGGAGGAUUUAGUGAGAGUGUUCGCAGAGUUUCAUAGGAGCGAAGUUAUCAAUCAAAGCACUAAUGCCUCUUUCAUUGUUCUUUUGCCCAAAAAGAGUACGACAAAGAAAAUCUCAGACUUUAGACCCAUUAGUUUGAUCACUAGUCUCUAUAAGAUAAUAGCCAAAGUGCUCUCAGGGCAUCUAAGAGGGGUCUUACAUGAAACCAUCCAUACUACUCAAGGCGCUUUUGUUCAAGGGAGACAAAUAAUGGAUGCAGUCCUCAUAGCAAAUGAGAUAGUGGAUGAGAGAAGACGAUCAGGGGAGGAAGGUGUCGUCUUUAAAAUUGAUUUUGAAAAGGCUUACGAUCACGUAAGGUGGGAUUUUUUAGAUCAAGUGUUAGAGAAGAAGGGGUUCAGUCCUAAAUGGAGGAAAUGGAUGAAUGGAUGUUUGUCCUCGGUAUCUUAUGCAGUAUUGGUGAAUGGUAACGCUAAAGGUUGGGUUAAGGCCUCGAGAGGAUUAAGACAAGGAGACCCUUUAUCCCCCUUUUUGUUUACUUUAGUAGCAGAUGUAUUGAGUAGGAUGCUUUUGAGAGCAGAGGAGAGAAAUAUGUUGGAGGGUUUUAGGGUGGGUAGAAACAGAACUAGGGUAUCUCAUUUGCAAUUUGCCGAUGACACCAUCUUCUUUUCUAACACUAGGGAGGAAGACUUGCAGACUCUAAAGAGUCUUUUGUUAGCAUUUGGGCAUAUUUCUGGACUUAAGGUCAAUUUAGACAAGAGUAAUAUUUAUGGCAUCAAUUUGGAUCAAGCUCAUAUUUCAAGAUUGGCUGAAACACUUGAAUGCAAGGCUUCUGGCUGGCCUAUACUAUAUCUGGGUUUUCCUUUGGGCGGGAACCCCCGGGCAGGAGGUUUUUGGGAUCCUGUGAUUGAGAGAAUUUCAAGAAGAUUAGAUGGUUGGCAAAAGGCAUACCUAUCCUUAGGAGGAAGGAUAACUCUCAUCCAAUCUUGCCUUACCCAUAUGCCCUGUUACUAUUUUUCUUUAUUUAAGUUACCCGCUUCAGUUGCUGCAAAAAUCGAGAGGUUGCAGAGGGAUUUUUUAUGGUCAGGGAUUGGGGAAGGCAAAAAGGAUCAUUUAGUCAGGUGGGAUGUCGUGUGUAAACCGAAGGAAAUAGGGGGUUUGGGUUUUGGGAAUAUUUCUCUGAGAAAUCUCGCUCUUUUAGGGAAAUGGUUGUGGAGGUACCCUAGAGAGGGUUCAGCUCUUUGGCAUCAGGUCAUACUAAGCAUCUAUGGUUCACACUCCAAUGGUUGGGAUGCCAACACAAUAGUUAGAUGGUCACAUCGCUGUCCUUGGAAGGCUAUUUCUCAAGUCUUUCAGGAGUUUUCCUCGUUUACUCGAUUUGUGGUAGGAAAUGGGGAAAAAAUUCGUUUCUGGGAAGAUUUGUGGUGGGGGGACCAACCUUUGGAAUCCCAAUAUCCAAGUCUAUUUAGAGUAGUCUUGGAUAAAAACAUACCUAUUUCUUCAGUUCUCGGUCCUACUCGUCCUUUCUCUUGGAAUUUAAAUUUCCGUCGUAACUUGUCAGAUUCUGAGAUUGAGGACUUAGAAGGCCUCAUGCGAUCUCUUGAUGGAGUGCAUUUAUCACUUUCGGUUCCAGAUGCCAGAUUGUGGCCCUUGUCUUCUUCAGGGCUUUUUUCAGUUAAAUAUUUCUUUCUAGCUUUAUCCCAAUUUUUUGGAUCUCCUUAGGUUUUUCCUUCUAAAUUCGUUUGGAAUUCUCAAAUUCCUUUCAAAGUGCAGUCCUUCAUCUGGUUAGUGGCACACAAGAAGGUGAAUACUAAUGACAUGCUACAAGUGAGAAGACCCUACAAAGCCCUUAGUCCGGAUAUUUGUAUUCUAUGCAUGAAGCAUGGGGAAUCAGCUGAUCAUAUUUUUCUUCAUUGCUCCUUGACAAUUGGGUUAUGGCACAGGUUAUUUCAGUUAGGUAAGAUGGAUUGGGUUCCCCCGAGAAGCAUCCUUGACAUGAUGUACAUCAAAUUCAAUGGAUUUGGUUCGUCUAAGAGGGGGAUAGCCUUGUGGCAAGCUGCAAACAUCGCUCUUAUUCGGAUUGUGUGGAUGGAAAGAAAUGCGAGGAUUUUUGAGGAUAAAGCAAGGAAUUCAGAGUCUCUAUGGGACUCUAUUGUUUUCCUUGCUUCUCUUUGGGCCUAUUGUUCCAAGGUUUUUAAGGGGACUCCCCUUAAUGCGAUACUUCUUGAUUGGAUAGCUGUGUGUACUCCAUAAGGAGUGGUUUUUUUAGAGUGUUUGCUUGUUUUUCAGUGUAUUUUACUAUAGUUUAGCUGUCUUUAGCAGGAGGAUUCCUCAUCCUUCUUUUGUACUUUUUAUCUAUCAAUAAAUCUUUGUGUCGUUUCCAAUAAAAAAAAAAAGUUAUGCAACUUUUUGAGGAAUUCCAUUCACAAAAUUUCGUAGCUCGCAGCCUGAACAUAACUUUUUUUAGCUUUAAUCUCGAAGAAGGAAGGGGUAGGUGACCUAUAGAACUUCAGGCCAAUUAGUCUUAUGGGGGAGUCUUUACAAAAUUCUUAAUAAAGUCGUAGCUAAUAGACUGAAAAUGGUGAUUGGAAAAGAGGUGUCGAAUAAGCCAGAAUGCAUUUUUGGGGGGUAGACAAAUUCUAAAUGUAGCCUUGGUAGUAAAUGCGGUGAUCGACUUAUGGAAAUGAAGUUCCAAUGCGGGGUUGGUUUGCAAGCUGGACAUAGAAAAUGCUUGUGACAAAGUAAAUUGGAAGUUCCUUCUUUCGGUUUUAGAGAAGAUGGGUUUCAGCCCCAAAUGGAGACGGUGGAUCCUCUUCUGUUUUCCUACUAUAAAACUAGUUGUUUUAGUUAGUGGCAAUCCCACAAACUUCUUCUCGACAUAUUGGGGGUUGAGGCAGGGGGACCCAUUUUCACCUUACCUAUUUGUUUUGAUUAUGGAAGCAUUCAACAGAUUAAUUGCUAAGGUUGAGGAGGGAGUUUUUAUUAAGGGUGUUAAGAUAGAAGGUAGAGGAGGAGAAGGGGUUCAAGUUUCUCACUUGUUAUUCGCUGAUGAUACUCUCCUCUUUUAUGAGGAUGAUGAAGAUCAAUUGAAAUAUUGGAAGUGGAUUGUCACUUGCUUCAAGUUGGUUUCAGGAUAAAAAAUAAAUUUGCAAAAAAGUGAAAUCAUUCCAGUAUGGGGCAUGGAGGAUGUGGACAAAGUUGUUGUCCUGUUCGGGUGCACUAUUGCCCUUGGACCCUCUCAUAGAUCAAUUGGUGUUUAGAGAAGCCUCAAUGUGAUUCAAGGGAAUGAUGAGUCAUGGAUAUGAGACUUAUUUUUCAAACUAGUUGCACAAGCGAUGGGAAAGUUUGUAAUGUGAUAAUCGAUAGUGGAAGUUGUACAAAUGUGGUGGCCAAAGAGAUGGUGACUAAGCUAAACUUGACAAUCAAACCUCUCCUUCAACCAUACAAAAUUCAGCUGUUCCAAAGGGGCAACGGUUUAAAAGUUACAAAGAGAUGUUUGGUUUCUUUCUCUAUUGGUAAGAACUACAAAGAUGAAGUUUGGUGUGAUGCUAUGCCAAUGGAUGCAUGCCAUUUGUUACUUAGAAGACCUUGGCAAUAUGAUCAAAAUGUGUCACAUUAUAGGUUUAAAAAUACUCACUCAUUUGUCAAGGAUGGUGGUCGGAUUGUUUUAACUCCCUUAAAGCCUAAAGUGAAAGAUUCCAAGGUGGUAGGAAAUUAUUUUCUAACAGGUUCACAACUAAAGAAAGUUUUGACUAAGCAAGAUGAAAUCUAUGCUCUCUUGGUUAUGGAUGCUUAUGCCACUCAACAAGCACCAUGUCAUGAGCUUUUGUUGCCUUUGUUGGAGGAGUUUAAGGACAUGAUACCUGAUGAGAUUCUUAUUGGUUUACCACCAAUGAGGAACAUUCAACACUGUAUUGAUCUUGUUCCAAGAGCUACCUUACCUAAUAAAGCAGUGUAUCGAAUGAAUUCAUUUCAACAAGCUGAAUUACAAAAGCUAGUGGAUCAUUUAAUAGCUAAGGGGCUGAUUCGAGAGAGUAUGAAUCCUUGUACUAUUCCGACUCUUUUAGUCUUAAAGAAGGGUGGUUCAUGGCGUAUGUGUAUUGACAAUAGAGCUAUCAACAAGAUCACUAUCAAGUACCAGUUUCCUAUUCCAAGAUUGGACGAUUUACUUGAUCAACUCUACAGUGCUAAGGUGUUCUCUAAGAUUGAUCUCUGAAGUGGUUAUCAUCAAUUCAAAACAAGGGAAGGAGAUGAAUGGAAAAUGGCAUUCAAAACUGGAAAUGGACUUUAUGAAUGGCUUAUGAUGCCAUUUGGGCUUUCAAAUGCACCAAGUACCUUCAUGAGGCUCAUAACACAUGUUCUUACACCUUACUUGGAAAGUUUGUGGUUGUAUACUUUGAUGACAUUCUCAUUUAUAACAAAUCUUUGCAGGACCAUAUGGAGCAUGUAAUAAGUGUUUUUCAAACCUUGAGGGAGUAAAGAAUUUUUGCUAACUUGCAAAAAUGUCAUUUCACCACAGAUAGCCUUAUUUUCUUGAGUUAUGUGGUGUCUGGUGCAAGAAUCAAGAUGGAUCCUAGCAAGGUGAAAGCAAUAGAAAGUUGGCUAGUUCCUAAAACUAUUCAUGAUGUACGGAGCUUCCAUGGGAUGGUCUCUUUCUAUAGGAGGUUUAUAAAGCAUUCCAGCACACUUGUAGUUGCUAUCACCGAAUGCCUUAAAGGAGGAGAUUUCAAGUGGACUAAGGAAGCCGAUGAAAGCUUUGAUCUUGUCAAGAGGAAGAUAACCACAGUUCCGGUUUUGAUAAAUUUGGAUUUCCAUAAAGUGUUUGAAGUAGAUUGUGAUGCAUCUAAUGUGGGAAUUGGUGUUGUAAUUAACUAAGAAGGUAAGCCCAUUGCUUUCUUUAGUGAAAAAUUGAACAAAGCCAUGACAAAGAGUUCUAUGUAAUAAUCCGAGCUCUUAGUCAUUGGAGUCACUACUUGCUGCCCAAAGAGUUUGUGCUCUAUUCAGACCAUGAGGCAUCGAAGUAUUUAAGCACCCAACACAAGCUAAGUGCACGACAUGCAAAAUGGGCAGAAUUUCUUCAAGUUUUUCAAUUUGUUCUCAAACAUAAAUUUGGACAAUUGAAUACAGUGGUUGAUGCACUAAGUCGAAGACAUGUUCUAUUAAACACUAUGCAAUCUAUGGUGAUUGGGUUUUGGAUUAUUAAAACUCUGUAUGAAGAUGAUUCUGACUUUGGCAAUCUUUGGAAAGCUUGUCUAAGUGGACCAAAGAACCAAUUCUUUAUUCAUGAUGGUAUUCUUUUUAGGGGUAAACAACCGUGUACCAAAAUGCUCACUUAGGGAAGCCAUAAUUCGUGAGGCUCAUGGUGGAGGACUUGCUGGACAAUUUGACCAAGACAAAACCUUAAUCAUGGUGCAAGAAAACUUCUAUUGGCCUAAGCUUAUGCAAGAUAUUCAGAAGAUUGUGGAGGGAUGUGUUGCUUGUCACAAAGCGAAGAUGCAUGGGAGCAAUGCCAGAUUAUAUACUCCUUCUCCAAUUCCAACAACACCUUAGGAGGAUGUGAGUAUGGAUUUCAUUGUGGGACUGCCUGGAACUCAAAAGAGGUAAAGAUUCAAUUGUGGUGGUAGUAGAAAGAUUUUCUAAAAUGACUCAUUUUGUUCCAUGCAACAAAACUUUGGAUGUCACUCAUGUUGCUGACCUUUAUUUCAAAGAAAUUGUUAAGCUUCAUGGCAUUCUUAAAACCAUCAUUUCUGACUGAGAUUCAAAAUUUUUGAGUCAUUUUUAGAGAACUAUUUGGAAAAAGUUGGGAACUAAGCUUCAAUUUAGUUCCUCUCAUCAUCCACAAACGGAUGGACAAACUUGAAUUGUUAAUACGUCUUUCGAAGUUGUGAUUAAGAGCUUGGUGAAAAUGAAUGUUAAGAGAAUGGGAGAGCUUGUUGCCUCAUGCCGAAUUUGGUUACAAUUGUUCAACAAGUCAAACUGCUAGUUCACCUUUUGAAGCAGUUUAUUGGAUGAAUCCUAUUGCCCCCUUGGAUUUAUCUCCCAAUUCAUAUUGACAACCAUUUUAGUGGGGAAGCUAAUGAAAUAGGUAAGUUCAUUAAGAAAAUUCAUGAGCAGGCGAGAAGCACGAUCUUGAAGCAAACUGAUAAAUACAAAAGGCAAGUUAAUAAGCAUAGCAAGAGAGUUGUGUUUCAAGAGGGAGCUUUGGUAUGGAUUCAUUUAAGAAAAGAAAGAUUUCCUAACAGGAAGUAUGCUAAACUUCAACCAAGAGCUGAUGGUCCAUUUAAAAUUGUUAAAGAAGAUUAAUGACAAUGCUUACAAGGUGGAGCUUCCUAGUGAUUAUGGAGUUUCAGCAACUUUCAAUGUCUCAGAUUUAUCUCCAUAUCAUGAAUAUGAGCCCCUAGACUCGAGGACAAGUUUUUUUCAACCAAUGGAGAAUGAUGUAGGUAAGCAGCCCAACCUGAGUGAUACAGGUAAGCAACCCAACAUGUGCCCACUUGAAGAUGCAAACGAGCCCAAUGUGAAUUCUCUUACAAAAGAGACAACCCAAUUUGGUUUAAUGGUCCAAGAAGUAAUUAAAGCCCAAAAGUUCAUAAUGGCGCCCGCUAUUUGGUUUAAUUAUUCAAUCAGUUGGUUUGUUAAUUAGUUAAUUAAUCUAGUCAUUGAUAGUUUCUUCAUUUCCUAUGCUUGGAGGAUUGUUCCAAGAUUAAAUAAAGUCUUUUCCUAUUCUUGGAUGGUUGUUCCAAGAUUAAAUAUGCUCAGUUUCAAAAUUGAAAGGACUUUUCAGAUUGUUAAGGAAAAAAAAAAACUAGGUGUUUGAUUUUUCUAUCAAAGUUCUUAUCUCUAAGGUGGAUUCCUUUGAGUGGUGAGCUUAAUUGUGAGUUCUUAUCUUUAAGGUGGUGAAUUUCUUAUCCUUAAGAGUGGUGAACUUGUGUUGUUAGCUUAUCAUUUUAUUUGCUUAAAACGGUAUCAUAAGGCAUCCUAAUAUACCUCACCAUGGUAAAACAAACCUCUCUUCACUCCCAGAUGGUCAAGUUGAUGGGAGUAUGAGAGAAAGUGCAAACACCUGAAAAGAUGAGAGCAGGUGUUGUCUCAGAUAUAACCAAUGGUGCUCUUCCUGUUCUAAAAGAUCCUAGUAUUACUUUCAAACCAAAUCACCCAAAGAAUGAAUUGUAUAAACCUCCUUUUACAACAAUCUUCUCCUGAGUUCCGCUCCUAGACUGUAGCAACCAAUAUAUUUGUAAGAUCUCUAGGUAGAGGGCAAGAAAUUCUGACCAAAACAAAAGGAACGCUCCUUACUGUAACCUAAGGCAAUGAGCCAAUGAAGGAAAAUUAGUCAAUAAUAUCUCUGCUCUCUAAUCACCAGUUACAUUUUUUAGGAAUGAUGUCUUUCUAGGACUUCCUAAGUUGUGGUGUGUGUAAAACCCCAACUCUGGUUGAUUGGGACUCUCUUAACUAGGGCGAUGGCCAAGGAUUUGCUCUUGAAGGGAAUGAUUAGAUUCACCCACUUGUUGCCAAAAGAUGGAGUUUUCUUUGUGAUCCUAGGGAGAUGAAGUCUCAAUUACAUAGGGUUGACCUUAUCACUCUUGAGGAUAAGUCCUUGAUUGAUAUCGAGGAAGGUGGUGGAGAUGUAUUAUAGGCCUCCCAAGUUGGUAUAUUUUUCACUAAGGUCAUGAUUCUGGAAGGUAACGAAGUUAUUGAUGGCCUUAGUUGUGGCUUACAGAACUAUCUCUCUUCCUGUGGUUCUCGCGUUGUUGAUUUCUUGAUAUAUGCUACCCUCAAACUUGUCCUUAAGUUGACUAAUUGAGUUGGUGAGUCCAAUUUGUUGUGAUUUGGCUUAUGAAAUGUCAUCAGCAUGAAUGAAUGGCUAGCAGUCAGAUAGAGAAGUGGCAGCAUGGUAGACACUACUCUAAAAUGCGUAACAGCUGGUUGACCAUUUCAAAUUCAAAUUCCUUUAGGCAUCUUGAAAAUAGGUUUUCCUUGCUAGUUGAGGAUGAGUUAGUGGUAAUGGUCUUAAUCCCCUCUUCAAGACAACGAUGUCUAUUUGGGUCGAUGCCCUUUAAGCUAUAAUGAAGUCUUUUAAAAGGCCCAAAGCCCCUGCCUUAACAGAUUAGCUUCAAUAUGCUUGUUGGUUCUUUAGUUUAGCCUAAGGGCCAAGGAUCUGAGGACUCCGUUCAACCCCAAAAUUCUAGUAUUGUGGCUUUUGGGCAAAGAAGAUAAUACACUACUUCUUUCUGCACAAUACAAUUGAGAUGUCAACUGCUACAUUUUGUGGUUACAUUUUCUAAAAGGUUGAUGUUUGUGUCUUUUGUUUUUUUCAUAGGAGUGUGUUGGUGUGUGAGAGUGCAAAGUUUAUUAGGUUUCCCAUUUUUUGAAAUAUUGUCAAAACAUCUACAAGUCAGGUUCCUAAGUGAUUCGAGCCUGCACAGGGUAGGGCUCUCUGGUUUAAGACAGAAUUUGGAAAUAGUUUUAAUAAUGAAGUUUUACAAAAACAAAACUUAAACGAGAUUAAUCGUUGAAACUCUCAGCUUGUGAACCAAAAAUAAAAAGAACUAAUAGUUGUAUAAUGGUUAGGUCGUUUCCAUAGGGAAUCUUUAAAUCAAUCAUACUAAAGGUAAGAGUUUUCAAGGGUGACCAGAAACUCAAAAGACAACAAACUCCAAGAGCAAAAAUUUACUAAAAUUCUCUCUUGCCUAACUCACCAACAACAUUCUGACCCUGUGCUUGUGGCUUUGGGAUCAAGCCAAGGGUUUCUACCAACUGGAGGGCUUUGGUUGACAUGAGCAUCAACCGCCUCAAUGAAAGAUUAACUCAGUUUGAUUGUUCCUUUUAGGUCCUUGCAAUAGGCCUGUGUUUGGUUUAUGGGUCCACCAGUGAUUAUUCCUUACAGUCCUCAUAUACUUUAACCCUAGUCAAUAGAGGCUCUUUGCAGUGCUCAUAACCACUAACCUAAGAAAGGUCCCUUUCAACCAUUCAUAGUUAAAUCAACAGUGAACUGAACUAAGAUAUGGAGAGCUUAACUCCCUUCACCCUUGAAAUGGAAAACACAAAAAAACCAAAACAUACAAUUGAAAAGACGCAAACACAAACAAACGCUCAAACUUAAAACUAAAAAAGAAAGAUUUACUAAAACAAGGAAAAGUUACAGAAAGGAAAAGAAACAGAGAACAACUAAAACAACCUAACUUAUUUCCCUAUUAAUCCCCUCUCCCCUUUGUUUAUUUACAGUUCCUGUAUUUAUAAGCAAUAGCCCACUUUUAAAUGGGGUGCACUUUAUGAUUUCUAUACAUGAUGGGGUGUGUGAUGUGCUUCCGUCUCAACGUGCUUGGGAAGUGCGCAAUUGUUGAAGCACCUAAGGGAAGUGUGCUAUUCAUCUAGGUAUCCUUUAGGAGUGCGCAAUCUAAGCAAAGUCCUUUAAGUGCGCUUCUUUGAAGUGCGCAAUCCAGGCCAUCACUUAAAAGCGUGCAAUCUAAACGCACUUUUUUAAGUGUGUAAUUUGGAUUAAUGCUCUUAGGGUGCACCAUCUACAAGGGGUUCUCCCUAGUGCGCUAUUGGAGGUCUUGCUCAGAUUGAAGUGCACUAUUAGUGAUAGUGUACCCCACUUAGGUACUCUUUCUCCAUGAAGUUUUGGAAAUGCACCAAACCUACCUUAAUUUUGCAAAAUCUCACAAAACAUAUCAAAUGGAUUUCUUUAAGGCAUUAACAUCAAAUUGAAGAACUAGGCUUGUUAUGAGUACCUCAAACACAUGACAUUUUUAAAGCCAUCCAAGUAUUUAAUUUGAGUUCUUGUCACUAACCGCAAGAAUCAUGAUUGAAAUAUAGUUUGGAAGGGAUUUGAGUGUUGUUUUUCAUAGGGAAAGUGAGUUGUUUUUUACAGUUUGGAAUACUACUAUCAACUCUUGAGAAAGAAGAGUGAAAAUGUGGUGUUGUGAAGAAAAUCAAAGGGGAAAAUUCUCUAAAUUUUAGUGAUGAAAAUGAGCAAUUAAUUGCUUGAAAAUUAACCGAAGGGAAAAUUAGGGAAUGAGAGAGUACCGCCUUCAUUACCUUGUCUCCUUGCAAUACAAUUAUUGUGAUCCAUGUCUAGGACCGACCCUACUUGAGGGUUUUUCAUCCCUUUGGUUAAUCCAAACAAUUCUAAGGGAGACUUGGGUAUAGCUACCUAAAGGCUCAUUACAUCGGAUAUCACUCUGCCAUCUACCAUCCACUCAAGACAUUCUCAAGUAGUGGUAGCAUGUGUUGACAAUAAUGAAGCAAUUUUCCUCUCCUUAACUAACCUAAAAUCAUGGCUUUGUAUUUCAGAUUCAGUGAAGAAGAAAAAUCAGUCACCUUGUUUACUCUACUUACAGCAAACUCAAGGGAAGAAGAAUUUUCUACUAGAAGUGUAGUAAACGUGAAGAAGAAAAACAUAUGCAUUUGCCGAAAAUUUUAAAUCCAAAUGCUCCUAGCAUCAAUUGAAAAUGAAAAGGUCUUUGCAUUGAAUAGGAAAAAGAAACUUAAAAUAAGAUAGUUCAAUUUUUUACAUAAAAGAACUAAGUGGUCAUCUUAGUCAAUGAGAUGGUUGUGCCUUAUUGCUCAUGAAAAUAUCCUAACUAAGCUUCCUUGCUUUCUCUUCUCUACUCCCUGUCUAUGUGUGUUGCUGUUGUCAUGCUUGUUAUUUAUAGAAGAAAGGGUUAAAGUGUAAAGACUUUCAACUAUAGUUGAAUUUCUGAAUAAGUUGAAUUUUAACUUUUAUACGCAGACAUUCAAUGAAUUUUUAUCAGAGAGUUGAAACCCAGUGCUAGACCAAUUGCCUGCACGGAACAUGAUGACGUUGCUGUAUGUGCUGCAGAUAGUCGUCUAACAGGAUUUAAAUCUUUUGAAGUUUCUCUAAGAUUUUGGAUUAAGGUAUUACCAUCACCCCGGUUGAGACCUUGUGGUUUUCCAUGAAAUUUCCCACAUUUUUCUUUGGUGUGACAUGCUUUCUUGCUGUACGAGCACCAUAGUUUCUUCUUUGUUAAGUUCUUCAUCAACUAUUGUUUUCCUUGCUCCAUGUUAACAUUAUGAUUCGUACCAUUUGGUUUGGCUCCUCCACUUGGUUUCUUUACAAUCAUGGUUGAUCCAUCCACUAGCGGUGUAUCAAGCAUCACCCCUUUUCAGCUUUCUUCAGCAUGGAUGAUAGAAAACACUUCAUUUGAAUGUUUGAUUAUAGUCUACCUCUUGCCAUAGACUCUUCAUCAUAUUGUAAUACUCGAUAAUCGAUCAGCUACCCUGUUUUGUAAUGGAGAUUUUAAUAUUCAAUUCAGGCAGCAUCCUGUAUUUUUUAGUUCCUUUGCCAAACGGUUUCCCAAAUUGCAUGUUCUAUUGAUUUCAGGUAACAUUGAAUUCCAUAACUAUGACAUAAUCAUAGAAUCUUCUUUGUCCCAAACAAUAAAUUGCAGAUCUUCAGGUUUUGGGCCUGUUCCAGUGAGAUGACUCAGUUUUCCCCUACCCUUUAAAAACGUCCUCACUAGUUGUGACCACUAUAGAUAAUUCCUUCUUGAUAAGCGGUAUACAAUCUGAAUAUUGUGAUAUUCUCUAGUCAUAUGGUUUUGGGAUGCUUCCACGGGUGACUAUGUAAUAUUGGUUAAUGGGGCUGGUAUGAUUUCUGACAUAUCCAAUAUUUGAAAGAUCCAAAAACGGAUUGAUUAGAUUCUGAAAAAAAUAAGAGAGUCGAAAAAAGCAAAAGACAACAAAGUACAUUUAUGGUGAUUAAGGCCGAAGAAUGAAUUUAGACAGGUUAUCAAUGACAAUGGAUCCCAGAGAGCAAAUUGCUUUGAUACCAUGAUGUGAGAAAUUCUAAACUGUCUUACUAAUAGUACAUAUUUAUGUGGUUACAUAAUCCUAUUCAUAAAAUUCAAAAUAUCAUUGGAAAUUAACUCUAACCAUCCCUGUAAAUUAGAAACACUCCUAAUAUAUAGAAAGUUUGACUUAUCAUAGUUGUACCAUAAUUUACCAAAUUUAAGGAUCUGAUGUUCUUCAACAUUUUAGUCUAUCCUUCUUUACCCUUUUAUCAUCCUUUCAAGGAUCAGCACACAUGGCAGAGAAGAGGUGACCUUGUACUGGCUGUCCAAAAGGUGACAUGGAACAAAAAUAAAAGCGGUCGAGGAUAUUUGACAUGAGAGACCCAUUUGAAAUCUGCUAUCAUGAACACCCUACACCCUUUUUUCUUAUUUAAGAAAAAGAAAAAGACUGAAAUAGGAGGAGCACACAUGGUAGAAAAGAUGUGGCCCCUUGACUGUUUCUCCAUUUAACUUAAAGGUUACACUGAACAAAAAUAAGAAGUUUAGGAUAUCAAACACUAGCUACCCAUUUGGAAAAAAAUGACUGUUUCAAGUCUAAAGAAAAAUAAAUAGACACAUUUGGCAGCCAUUGCGGGACUAAAACAAUAAGAUGGUACAUGUUUCAAUUUGGGCCAUAAUUCUCAUUCCUACAACCUAAACAUGGUGAUGGUGUUACAAUGCAAAAUUCACCAAUCCUUCUUCAAACUCUUUUGAGUUUUCCCUUGACAAUGUUCUGGUGAAAAGUCCAAGAAAGCCCAAAGAAAAGGAACAGAAAUGCUCACGCUUCUCUCAAGUCUCAUCUGCUGGUCCCCACCCAAAAUCUGGCCCCAAGCUUCUUUCCAAACAAAGGCUGAAAAUUCUCCCCUGCCUACCUGAAGUCAAUCUCAAAAGAUUGGUUGAUAAAAGAAGUGGACAAAGGAAAAAGUAUGCCCAUACUUUCUAACCAAUAUCCAUCAUUAGACUGGUAGCGAAGAAGACUGGAUUCCAAAAGGAUGCUGUGAGAUAUUCUGAAAGAUCACCCAUGACAUUUUCAACAUACUGUGAAGUUGAAGACCGAAAGAUAAACACAAAGCAUGAAAGCAUGGACAUGAGAAACUUGGAAUAGCAGAAAUGGAAAGCAGCAUAUGCCUUAGCAGUGCAAUUUUGUCUCUGUGUUUGUCAUGUAUGUGGUUGGGAGUGGUGCCUUCCAUUUCUAGUGCACAGACAGACACCAUCAAACCUGGGGAAGAGCUUCAAUUCUCGGAAAAAUUACUGGUUUCUGCAAAAGGGACUUUUACUCUAGGCUUCUUCAGCCUGGAAUUUGGCAGUUAUUUAGGAAUAUGGUACACAACUGAUGAUUUGUAUUGCCACCAUAUAUUUAUUAGAUAUAGAGUCAACUAGGUUUCCCUCAAGGUAAUCUUUUUCAAAGCACAACAGAAGCUGAUUUGGUACCAUUUGAAACAUAGUUUUAACCUAUAGCCUGUGGCCCUAUUUGCCUUCUUUUUUUUUUCUGGGAAAUUUAUCUAACCAUACACCAAAUACCAAAAUUUUGCCUUUUAGAAACUUUGUUUUUUACUUUUGAAAUUUAGUGGAUUUUGGGGGAAAUAAAUGUCUUUCCAUACACUGUAAUAAUAAUGUUGGGAUCCUUCCAAAAAUGCCCUCAUGCACUUUGACAGCUCUCUUAGUUGGAUCACCCACUUGGAAAAUUCACGUAAGCAAGGUCCAAGUUAGCUACCUAUAGCAGUUGAUGACAAGGCUCAUGUACAUGUCAUCAUCCAACUAGACACUUCACAUGGAUUGAUUUUUUAAAACAUAUUUACCCCCAAAUGUCUUCUUCUCUCUUCAACCAACCCUAACACCAAAAACACAUGUUUUUUCUUCUUCAUUCAUAGGCACAACCCAUCACAAGGCGAAACGAUCCAUAAAAAAAUCUGGUGGCUUCUCAAUUUGCCAUAACCCAUUAACCCCAAACAAACCUCCAAACAAGAUCCCUUAUUUUAUUUCUCCUCCAUCACCAUAAGAAAGACAACAUCAUCAUUUUCCCACCAAACAUCAAUUCGAAAACAAAAGUCCAAGUGUGAAACCCCUAACAAAGCCUAGGUAGACAAAGAGCCCCUUUCCUUUUUCUCAUUUCAACAUCGACAAAGUCAUUUCUUCCCUUCUUGUACUUCCUCUUUUGCUUUUGCGUUGAAAAAUGAGAAAGAAAGCAAUUGAGAGAAAAAGGGAACAAAGCAAUUCAAUAUUGUAGUUGCAUUUAACUUUUAAAGUAAGGGUUUUUCCAGAUGAUAUAUGUAUUUUAUUAAAUUUUGUAAUAACUAUUUAUUUUGAUUUGUCAUUUUGAUUCUUUGAGAUUUGAAUACUGUCAUAGUUAUGUGAUUUGUGGAAUUUUGUGAUUUAAACUUAAUUACAUUGCAUAUUUGUACAUGUUGAAUGUUCAUUAAUAUUGUAUUCAAUUUUAUAUUUUAAUUUAUUUAGGGUUUAUUUGAAAUGAAAUAUGGUUUGAAAUUUGAUAAAUGAUAGGAAAAUGAGAUGGUGGUAAGUUAUAUUGAUUUUGUUUUAUUUUCUGAAUUGUUGUGUCUGUGUUGUACAUGGUUGUUGGGAAGAAUAUAGAAAAGAGAAGAAAAAUAUGACUAUUGAAUGAGAAGGGAAUACAAUUUGUAUAUGGGAUUCAAGAUGUUUUGUUGUUUAAUGUUGUUUAUAUGGGAUUCCAAAAUGAGUAGGUUGAGUUUUUUUUUAUAGUUGUUAAUUGAUGAAUUUAAUGCAUAGGAAAAGAAUUCAUGUUUAGUCAUAAGUAAAAUGAGUAUAAAUUUUAAAAAUGAUUGGGAGUACAGUUUGAAUAAAUUUCUUCAUAAAAGUUUUGAAUUUGUAAUGAAUGAGGGUUGAAUUGAAAAAGAAAAUAAAACAAAUGUAGUAAAGCAGACAUGAAUUUAUGUUGGAAUUAGGAAAAAUAGUAGUGGAGCCUUAGAUGGAAAUCUGAUGCUCACUGUCAUAAAUAUGAAAUUUGUUUUGUUUAUAUGUGUGUAAUGGUCAUAGUAGGUGUUUACCCUUGGAUGAAGAGGUUGACUGUAAUUAAGGUAAUGACAUUUGGAUGAAAUAAUUGUUUUUGUAAGAGGUUGCAGUAAGUAAUUAGUGGUUGACCCAUUUGUUUGGAGGUAGGCCCUUAAUUGUAAACAUUGUUGUGGUCUAAUCUAGGCAAUAAGCAAAAUAAAGGAAGACCCAUUGUUUUAGGGGUUGGCCCGAUAAUAGGGCCAUUAGCAUAAUUUAGCUUGAAAAAUUACAAAAACAAUGGUUGGCCUAUGAAUUGAGAGGUUCACUUCCCAACUUAUAUAACAUAACAAAUUACUACCAAAUGAAAUAGAAUAAUUGCAUUAUUUAAUGUUAAGUAUACGCUAUGCAUGUUCAUAUUUACAACAUUAAUUGAAGACCAUGAAAUGUAAAUGAAGCUCACUUGUAAAGUUCCAAAGAUAAACGAUGUAUUAGUAAUUUGGUCAUAAGUGUGAUAAUCAGUUUUGUUAUAAGUAAUUUGGUUUAAGCAGUGUUAUUAAAAAAUUAGUUAAUUGUUUCAGCUUGACUAAAGGUUCAUGUUUCUAAGACAUGAUCGAGUAUCAUUUAAAUGGAUCCAAGUAAUACAAUUUAUUAUUAUCUGCACAUUGAAAGAGAGCUAGUAAGGGGUGAACAUGGCAGUAUGGAAUAUAUGGGUGGGAGACGAGAGAGUAUAAGUUCAGAACGAUCAAUGACAUAUAAUGAUUUUGUUUCAAGGAUUUGUGGGAAAAUGAACAUUGAUAUAGUGGGACCAACAUUUUCAUACACUCUUCCAUUUGAUCUAUAUGCACUUCAACCAUUGAAAAAUGAUGAAGACUUGACAAACAUGUUUCAAUUUAGUGACUAAUUCACACGUGUAUAUAUAUGUUUAGCAUCAACAGUUGAAGGCGAUGAAACGGUUGACAAUGGAGGACAAAUGUAAGUUUAUCAAAAGAAUAUCUAAUCUUAAAUGAUUUCGUGUAUUUAUUUAUUUAUUAAUAUUUAUGUUUAUUCAUUAGAUGAUAAGUUGAUAAAUAAACAUAUUUAUAAUGCAGAUUGAACGAAACAAUGGUAAGGUCAAACUCACUGGUCCCAUAUUCAACAUGGGAUGUUGAUAUUAAUUAUAAUGCAAUCACGAGGAUUUUAUCAAAGAUGUGUUGAAUCACAUGUUGGUCCACUAGAGUCGAGUUAUUUUGAGAGUGCAAUAUUGGGUAGUGGGCAUACCUUUUCAACUGCAAAUGACUUUUGAGAUGCAAUAUAUCUCAUGUCAAUAGGAAACCAUUUUAGAUAUAAGUUUAGGAGGAAUUGCCUUAAGCAUAUGACUGUAAUAUGUGUUAUUGAAGGAUGACCUUGGAAAGUAACUACUUGUGUUGUUGGGAGAACAAAAAUAAUUCAGGUGCAUACAUUUAUAAAUGAACUUAACCACUCUUUAGAAGAUGUGUCAGUUUCUAAACCAAUAGUUCGUUGUAAUCGAGCCACAACUAUGAUUGAUAAUGUUAUUCGUUCAAAUCCAAAUUACUUGUCUCGUCAAAUAUGUAAAGACUUUCAUCGACAAUACAAAAUGCAAUUGAAUUAUUGUCAAGCAUGGAACUUGAAAGAGAAGGCUAAAGAACAAAAUCAUGAUGUGCCCCAAUGUUCAUAUAAGUUGUUGCCUUGGUUGUGUACAAGGCUUAUUGAAACAAAUCCAGGGACGAUUGCUGAAUAUAAAUGUUCGGAUGAUGGUCAUUUCAUGCAAUUGUUUGUUGCCCUUUCAGUGUCAUUACAUGGGUUUAAAAUGGGGUGUCGCCCUAUUAUAUCAACAGAUUCAUCCCACAUGAGUGAGUCAUACAAGGGUGCUUUAUUUUUAGCUUCUUCGUAUGAUGCUAACAAUGUCAUGUUUCCACUUGAUUAUUGCUUAUUUAGCUCCGAGAAUUACGAGGAUUGGCUUUGGUUCUUAGAGAAAUUGAAGAUGGUCAUAGGUGAAACAAAGGUUAUAAUAAUAUCUAAUAGGCACGAUGGAAUUAUCUGUAGUGUUUUAGAUGUAUUCAGCAGUGAAAAUCAUGCACAUUGCUAUCAUCACAUUAAAGAAAACUUUAGUAGCUUACUAACAAAGUUGAACACUAAAUGGAGGAAAAUAAAGGAAAAUGCUUUGCAAAUGCUCGAUUCUAUCACCUAUUCUAGGUUAGAUUGUGAUUAUGAGGUUACAAUGGAUACUUUAAGGACAUUUAAUCAUGAUUUGGCAAAGUGGGUUGAAAAAAAUAACCCUCAACAUUGGGCAAUCUCUAAAUUUAAGACGCGUUGGGAUAAGAUGACAAAUAAUCUAGCUAAGUCUUUCAAUUCUUGGUUAAGACAUGAAUGACACCAUAACAUUUGUGUUUUCUUCAUUGAGCAUAUGGAUAAGUUAGGAUCUCUUUUAUUCGAGCACAAAAAUGGACUUGCAAAAUGGAAUGGGUGCAUUAGUCCUAAAAUAGAAUAAAAUAUUGCAUUGAACAUUGCAAAAGGUGAAAAUUAUAUCACCUAUUUACACUUGGGUAGUUCGAUGAAAGUAUCCAAUGGAAAAGUAUUCUUGGAAAUGGACUUAAUGAAGUGAACUUGCACAUACAAAGCAUGGCAAAUGUCUGGAAUCCCAUGUGAUCACGAUUGUGUAACAAUACGAAGAAUGGGGUUCGAUGUAUCUGAUUAUGUUGAUGACUGGUAUAAGUACAAUUUGCAAGAGAAUAUAUACUCUGGAAGCAUGUGUACUUUGGUAACGCAUGACAUGCCAAUGAUUGAUGAAGAUGGAACCGUUCGUGAUGCCUUGGGUCAUACUUAUCCUUUUCUUAAUCUUUCAACCACAAAGCAAUCUCCUGGAAGACCUAAGAAACAUCAAAUUAAGUCUCAAUUCAUGUAAAAAAAAAAAAAAAAAACGGUUCAUUGUUCUCGUUGUAAUGAGCCUGGGCAUAAUUGUGCUACAUGCAACAACCCAUUGUCGUAACUAUUUAAUUAAACUUCAUAAUGUAACAUCGACUUUAUAUUAGUGUGUAAUAAUUUGGUAAUCUUCAUCGUUGUUUCUCUGAUUAUAAGCAAUGACUAAUUUAUUGGAUUUGUAGUGUUUGGUGUACACAUAUUGUGAUUAUAUCUUGUUCUUCAAUAUUAUGGGAUAUGUUACAUGAUAAUAUAAUUGCAAUAACAAAAUGUGUACCUUGGUGAUGAUUGUUCAAAGAUGUCAUUAAGUCACAUAGAUUCACAUGGAAAAACAAAUUGUUAACUAGUGGGCAUAAUCGUGGAUGACCUUUACAUGUAUGGGUUGUCGUUUUUUGGCUGAUGACCCUUAAUCAUAUUAUUUAGUUUUGUGGGAAGUGGUCAGUAACCAAAAUAAGGGCCAACCUAUUAGGUCAUAAGCAGUCUUAUCGUUUUUCUUAUUUAAAAUUGGUUUUGUGUUAUGUGAGGAGUCGGUAAAAGGGAGGUUGACCCAUUGACACCAUGGGAAGGCAUUCGAACGUUUACACUAUACAGUUAGAAUUAAUGGAAUUUCUUUUAUACAAUAACAUUAGUUUGGUAUGUUAUGUGCAGAAGUUGAUCUAAGGGCGCACCCUCCAUUUCAAAGGCAUGCCUAUGUGUGAAUGACAUUAUAUUACCAUGUUAUAUACAGAAGGCAAAGUAGGGGCACACCCUUCGUUGCAUAGGCAUGGGCAUGGGUAUGAUAACAUUAUUUUGGUAUGUUAUUUGUUAUACACAAACUAGGAGCACACCAUUGAUUUUAGAGGCAUGCCUAUUUGUGAAACCAUUAUAUUGGUAGGCUAUGUGCAGUAGUCAACCUAAGGGCACAACCUUCAUGGAAGACGCAUGAAUGUGGGUGAAAAACUUGAUUUUUUUAAGCUAUGUGCAGUAGGAAAAAUAUAGGCAUGACUCUAUCGGAGGCAUGCCUUCAAGAUGACUAGAUUUAAGGUGUGUGUUGGGCAGUAAGGCAAAUAGAGGCAUGUCGAUAGCUUGAAAGGUUGACCCUUUACGUUCAUAUGAAAUAAGCGACCACCAAAGGAAUAAAUGAACAAAAGUUAUGCAUUAUCAAAUGUUUGGUAAAGACCAUAUGUUCUAAAGUUUAGCAUAGUAAUGUCAUACCAUCUAGUGUUAAUGAAGUUUAGUUGUAUUUUUUAUAAUCUAAGCAAGACAUUAAUCAUAAUGACAAUAGGUGUGAAUGUGACAAUUGUUAUAGUUAAUUAAUUUUGGCAUGGUUAGUUACAAAUACUAUUAUAAGCAAUUAAAUACCUAAUGGGGUCCAAGAAAGGGAUUAAAAUAAUUUAUGCUUAUUUUAUGAAUGAUGUAAUUCUUUUUGUAAGAAAUAUAUGUAUUAUUGCACAUAUUAACGUACACACACGCGCGUGCGCGCGCGCACACACACACACACACACACACACACAUAUAUAUAUAUAUAUAUAUAUAUAUAUAGAUGUAUUAAAGUAAGAAGGCAUGAGGUCUCAGAUUGAUGUUAAAAAAAUGUACAAUACUUUAUUAAAGUUAAUAAAGAACAGAUUGAUCUUAAAGAUAUAUGAAACAUUGUGGAUGAUAUUACGAUGGUUUGAAACUCUGUUAAAUGGUGGUGAACGACUUCCCAUCAGUUCCUAUGGGUUCUCGGUAGCAUGAGGCCUUGAAAUACCAAAAUUUCUUACAAAUGUACCAAAUUUUAUAAAAUAAAAUAAAAAAUGUACCAAAAGUUGUAAAUGAUGUAGCAAAAUUUGUCAAGGAUGUACCAAGGGUUUAAAAGUCUGUUCAAGAGUAGUGAACGACCUUUCAUCAAUUAACAUAGAUCCUUAAAUGAAAUAAUGGAUCAUAGGUGAUAAGAUGGGUGUUUCAAUGGCAAUAGGAUUAAAUGUACCAAAUUUUAUAAGGGGUCUCGACAACAAUAGGAUCGGAUGUACCAAAUUUUAUGAAGAAUGUAUCAAAUUUUGUGAAGGAUGUACCAAGGGUUCCAACGUGCAUUCAGAUAUGAGGAACAACCCCCAAGCACUUCCUUAUAGGUUCUCAAAUGAAAUUAUGGACCUUAAGUGAUAAGAUGGGGGUCCUAGAAGUAAUAGGAUGGGAUAUACCCAUAUUUUAUAAAAGAUGUACCAAAUUUUAUGAAGAAUGUACCAAGGGUUCCAAAGUGCACUCAGAGGUGGGGAUCGACCCCCAAUCACAUCUUUAUGGAUUCCCAAAUGAAAUUAUGAACCAUCUAUGUCCAAAUGGGAGUCUUGAAAGCAAUAGGAUUGGAUGUACCAAAUUUUGUGAACCAUGUACCAAGGGUUCCAAAGUGCAUUUCGAGGUGGGGAUCGACCACCAAUCACUUCCUUAUGGGUUCCGAAAUGAAAUUAUAGACCCUAGGUGAUAAGAUGGGGGUCCUGGAAGAAAUAGGAUGAGAUGUACCAAAUUUUGUGAAAAAUGUAUCAAAUUUUGUGAAUAAUGUAUCAAGGGUUCCAAAGUGCGUUCUGAGGUGGGGAUCGACUCCCAAUCACUUUCUUAUUGGUUCCAAAAUGAAAUUAUGAACCAUGAGUUAUAAAAUGGGAGUCUCGACAACAAUAGGAUCGGAUGUACCAAAUUUUGUGAAGAAUGUACCAAAUUUUCCAAAGCAUGUUUCAAGGUGGGGACCAGCCACGAAUCACUUCCUUAUGGGUUUCCAAAUGAAAUUAUGGACCCUAGGUGAUAAGAUGGGGGUCCCGAAAGCAAUAGGAUGGGAUAUACCAAAUUUUACAAAGGAUGUACCAAAUUUUAUGAAGAAUGUACCAAGGGUUCCAAAGUGCACUCAGAGGUGGGGAUCGACCCCCAAUCACAUCUUUAUGGAUUCCCAAAUGAAAUUAUGAACCAUCUAUGUCCAAAUGGGAGUCUUGAAAGUAAUAGGAUUGGAUGUACCAAAUUUUGUGAAGCAUGUACCAGAUUUUAUGAAAGAUGUACCAAGGGUUCCAAAGUGCAUUUCGAGGUGGGGAUCGACCACCAAUCACUUCCUUAUGGGUUCCGAAAUGAAAUUAUAGACCCUAGGUGAUAAGAUGGGGGUCCUGGAAGAAAUAGGAUGAGAUGUACCAAAUUUUGUGAAAAAUGUAUCAAAUUUUGUGAAUAAUGUAUCAAGGGUUCCAAAGUGCGUUCUGAGGUGGGGAUCGACUCCCAAUCACUUUCUUAUUGGUUCCAAAAUGAAAUUAUGGACCAUGAGUUAUAAAAUGGGAGUCUCGACAACAAUAGGAUCGGAUGUACCAAAUUUUGUGAAGAAUGUACCAAAUUUUCCAAAGCAUGUUUCGAGGUGGGGAUCAGCCACGAAUCACUUCCUUAUGGGUUUCCAAAUGAAAUUAUGGACCCUAGGUGAUAAGAUGGGGGUCCCGAAAGCAAUAGGAUGGGAUAUACCAAAUUUUACAAAGGAUGUACCAAAUUUUUUUUAAGGAUGUACCAAGGGUUCCAAGGUGCUUUCUUAGGUGGGGAUUGACCCCCAAUCACUUUCUUAUGGGUUUCAAAAUGAAAUUAUGGACCAUAAGUGAUAAGAUGGGGGUCCCAACAAUAAUAAGAUCGAAUGUACCUUAGAUUUUUUUAACCGUGUUUCUUAGUAACUUGAUGAAAGUUAUGUACAUUUUUUAAAGUUAAUCCGAGACCUCAUGGCCUCUUACUUUAAUCUAUCUAUUCUUUUGAGAAAUUGACAUACAUCUAUUGUUUUACACACACACACACACACACACAUAUUCCUUACAAAAAGAUGCACUUCAUUCAUAUAAUAAGCAUAAAUUAUUUUAAUCCCUUAUGUCGACCUCAUUAGGUAUUUAAUUGCUUACAUAAAUAUUCGUAAUUAACCCUACCAAAACUAAUUACCUAUAACAAUAGUCUUAUUCACACCUAUAACCAUCAGAUAUUAAUGCCUCAUGUAAAUUAUGAACAAUUCAACUCAACUUCAAUAACACUUCAUGUUAUGACAUUAAUGUGCUAAAUAUUAGAACAUAUGGUCUCUACCAAACAUCAGAUAAUGCAUUACUUUUAUUUAUUUAUUUAUAUGGUGGCCACUUAUUUGAUAUGAUCGUCAAGGGCCAACCUUUCUAGCUUUGGGCAUGUCUCCAUUUGUCUUACUGCCCAACCCACAUAUCAAAUAUAAUCACUUUAAAGGCAUGCCAUAGACAUAAGAGGCAUGCUUAUCUUUUCUACUGCACAUAGCAUAACAAAUUUAAGUUUUCACCCACAUUCAUGCAUCUUGCAUGAGGAGUGCACCCCUAGUUUGACUAUUGCACAUAGCCUACCAAUAUAAUGUCUUCACCAAUAAGCAUGCCUCUUAAAUAAAUGGUGCACCCCUAGUUUGUGUAUUGUAUAUAGCAUACCAAAAUAAUGUUAUCAUACCCAUGGCAUGCCUUUGCAACAAAGGGUGUGCCCCUGGUUUGCCUUUUGCAUAUAGCAUACUAGUAUAAUGCCUUCGCACAUAGGCAUGCCUUUGAAAUGAAGGGUGUGCCCUUAGAUUGACUUCUAAAUAUACCAUAGUAAACUAAUGUUAUUAUUAUUUUUAAAACAAAUUCCAUUGCUUCUAAGGGUACAAUGUCCACAUUCGAAUGCCUUCCUAUUAAACAAUAAGUCAACCUUCCUUUUACCAACUACCCACAUAACACAAAACUAAAGGGUCGACCCUUAUUUUUGCUACUAACCACUUCAAACAAAACUAAUAAUAUGAUCAAGGGUUAUCAACCAUAAAACAGCAACCCCGCAUGUAUAGGUUAGUCACUAUUAUGCCCACUGGUUAACAAUCUUUUGUCUUUUAUUUUUAUUUUUUCCGAAAAGCUCUUGGGUGAAGUUUUUCACUUGAUUCCAACUAUUGUGCUAGUGCAUUUGUUUUCUAAAGAUCCCAAGUGUAGCAACCAGUGCUUCAUUGGUCACUUCUCUUAAGCUCUUCAAUUAGCUUACUCUUUUCCUUUAUAGUAGCCUUAAGUGCUUCAAGGCUAACACCCUCGAUUUCAUGGACAUAGUUUGCCUCCACCUUUGCAGUUCAUUUACUUAAAAACGUCAUAACAAUGAACCUCUUGUUGAAUCCUUCAACAUCAAUGGUUGUGAUAAUGGACACUUGUAUAUAAAUGAAUCCAUUGUUUUGGAAGAAGGCGUGAGUUGCAUGAUUAAGGGCAUUGCGGGUUCGCAUAAUGAAUGCCACCUGCAAGUUUUAAAGUAGAAAUUAAAACAAAAUGACCUAAUUAAUUUGUAGUCAAAGCAUUUAUCAUGGAUUUAGAUAAGAAGCUGGAUGGAACAAAAAGAUUAAUUAUGGUUGUUGCUUAUGGCUAUGUCAUUGACAAUUAAGAAGGUAUGCCCACUACCCAAUAUUGCACUUUCAAAAUGACUCGACUCUAGUAGACCAACAUCUGAUUCAACACAUCUUUGAUAAAAUUCUUGUGAUUGCAAUCUAAUAUCAUCAUCCUUUGUUAAAUAUGAGACUAUUAAGUUAGACCAAACAAUUGUUUUGUUCAAUUUGCAUUAUAAAUAUGUUUAUUUAUCAACUUAUCAUAUAAUGAAUGAACUUUUUUUCCUCAAUGAUUUUCAAUUCUAAAGAGCUUCCAUUUUUGUUAUAAAAAAAUUACUAAUUUAACAUUUCCUAAAAAUGAUCCAUUUCCAUAUUGAAAACAGUUUUUCAAUCAGGUUUCCCAACCCCCUAACCAAAUAUAUUUUCAGUGUCAUUUCCAUUUAUUUUCUUAAACAACCCUUUGCCAAACACCCCUAUAAUUUUGGAUCCUAUAAGCACAAAGCCCUACAAAUCAAAACCCACCAAGGUCACACUCUCUAAUACAAUUCCUCAUUUCAUCAAGUGAAAAAUCAACCCAAUUCAAUACCCACCAUCUAGAUCAACCCAAUUAACACUUCAAAAACAUUAAAAAAAAAUCAAGCCAAACCCAAAAAAUGCUCAUUAAUCACACCACAACCCAAACAAUCAAAUAAAACCCUCAUCAAAUCCUAUACUAACUUUGCACCAAGAAAACAAAACCACACGAAACACAAAACCCUAGUACAAGAUUAACUAAUUCAAUCAAAUUCACAUCCAACAGUUCACAAACAUGGCCAAAAACUAAAAUUCACAAGCCAAAUAAUUGCGAGUCAGACCUGAAAAUCAAGAACUGUACUUGUAACUUGACUUGUCUGAAAAUCCCAACUUUGAAGCCACCCAAAGUGCGCGAGAUAAGCAAAAUGGGUGCACAGGAUUAUAAAAGUAGACUCCCUUUAUGGGUUUUUUGAGUUAAGGUUUAAUUGAAGAGAGAAAAAGGCUAAAUCUCACUAUCUGUUUUGUUAUUUUUUGGCAAAUAUAUUUUUUUUUAAAUCAUUCCACGUGGAUUGUCUAGUUGGAUGGUGGCAUGGACAUGAGCCAUAUCAUUAGCUUAAGUGGGCAACUUACUUUGACUGUGCUCACAUGGCUUUUCCAAGUAGUUGAUCCAAUUGGAAGAGGUGUUAAAGUGUAGGAGGGCAUUUUUUAAAGGAUCUCAACAUCACUAUUACAGUGUAUGGAAAGGUAUUUAUUUUCCCUAAAAUCCACUAACCUUCAAAAGUAAAAAGUAAAAUUCCCAAAAAGCAAAUUUUUGCCCCCUAAUGUAUGGCUACAUAAAUUUCUUUUUUUUUUUCCUCCAUAACAUAUUAUAAUAGAUUGUACAUGUUUAUCUUAGCCAUGGUAUGAUAAAAAAUAUGUUAUAUGCUAUACGUAGAGAAAAACACUCCAAACGACCAAAGUAGAAAGUGGAGAUAGUUUAUGACUGAUCCUCGCUCAAUUUGCACAUAACACCACUAGUUAACCAAACUUCAUCCUCCAUGCUUCAAGUAAUCCAUAGCCAAGUUCUUCUCAAGAGACAUAGGUCAUUUAUGGAGACAUAGGUCUUCAAAUCUGAUGAUGGGAAAUGUCUACCUCCUCCUAAAGUGCAAGAUUUUACCAUGGUUUUAAAAACCAAACCAGACAGGUCGGUCCAACCGCCAACCAGUCAUGGUUCCAAUUCGGUCUGGUCAAUUGGGUCGAAAAGUGGUCGGAUCGAAAUUGGACCGAUUAAACCAGUGGUCCGAUCGGUAAUCGUUCGGUUCAAUUUUAUUUUUCCACUGUCAUCAUUUCCCAUCAACGGGACCCCCACCCUCCUUGCAAAGCCAUCCCCACGCUAGAAAAGCUCUUAUUGCCCAUUGGAACACCCCCCACCCCUAGAAACCACCCCCUUCCUCCUCGUUGGAACCCCUUUUUGUUUAUCGAAAUCCCUCCCACCCGACACUGGAAACUCUAUCCCCCAAAACCCCAUUGGAACCCUUUUUUGCCCACUCAUCUCCUCUCUUUUUCCAGAUUUUUUUAUUAGUAUUAUUUUUUACUUCAUCUCAUUAUUAUUAUUUUUCUUUUGUAUUAAUUAUUUUUUUAUUUCAUGAUGUUUAAAACUUAUGAUUUUAAUUUAAAUUAAUGAAAACAUUACAAUUUUAAAUAAAUUCCUAAUUUUAAAAUAAGUUUUUUAUUUAAAAAUGAAUUUUAAAUUUCUAAUUUGAAACUAAUUUUUUGAUUUUCAAAUAAAAUUUUAAUUUUUAAAUAAUAUAUUGUGGACCCUACAUUUCGGCUUAAUGCGUUUCCCACUCGAUGGUGAGCUCGAUUUUUUAUUUGAAAAUUUGAUUCUUAUUUGAUUAAGAAAACCGACUUGGAGUCGUCACUUAUUUUUUGUUUUAUUUUAAAAGGGUAAACAAAAUAAGAAAGAAAACCCUAAGUGUGACUCCUUGUUUUGGAAAAGGUGGUAUAUGAAAAACCGGAUUGGGCUCGGAGGUCAGAUUGCUUAUUGGGAAGGUACAGUACAGACCGUAGCACCCCUCUAAGUCCCUAUAGUCGGGUCUCUACUAAUAGAAUGAAGCUGACGUGGCAAUCAAUGAGAAAAUCAAGGGAUACUCACCUAAAUCAUGCACAAUAUGAAAAUCAAAACACGCAAUAGAGAUUGACUAGAAUGGGAGUGGAUGCGUACCUCGGCCACGAGCCACAAUGCGCUAUCAAGAAAUGGAAUUAGUGCACAAUUAAUGAAUACAAAAUAUAGCUCAUGCAUAUCGGAGUGCAAACGAAACUCAAGCGAAAUACAUUAAGCACAACAAUUUACAAUCAAAAGGAAUCAAACAUAGGGCCCCCACCAAAGCCCAAUUUUUCAUUCAUGAGCUAGUCUCACAAAUCCCGUGUUUUAGAAUUAUGAAGAAUUCAUUAUUGCUUACGUAAAAUCAAGAAGAUCAUAAGAUUAUUCAGGAACCGAAAUGGGAUUAAAACUAUUCGACUGAAGACUGGAUUCUUGGAGUUUAUUUGAAAAUUGGAGUAUUUGGAAUUAAAUUUAAAAGAUUAGAGCUCCUGUAAUUAAAUUGAAAUUUGUUAAAUAAGAUGAGAAAUGAACUUUAGGAAAUUGAUCUGCGAGAAUAUGGAUUUUGAAAGUUGAAUUUGUAAUAAUAGUAAUAAUAAGAAAUGAACUUUAAGAAAUUGGACUGCGAGAAUAUAGAUUUUGAAAGUUGAAUUAAUAAUAAUAAUAAUGAUAAGAAAUGAACUUUAAGAAAUUAAACUAUGAAAAUAUAUAUUUUGAAAGUUGAAUUAAUAAUAAUAGUAAUAAUAAUAAUAAUGAUAAUAAUACUGAUAAUAAUAAUGAUAAUAAUAGUAAUAAUAAUAAUAAUAAUAAUAAUAAUAAGAUUUUGAAAGUUGAAUUAAUAAUAAUAAUGAUAAUAAGAAUAAUAAUAAUAAUAAUAAUAAGAUUUUAAAAGUUGAAUUAAUAAUAAUAAUAAUAAUAAUAAUAAUAAUAAGAUUUUGAAAGUUAAAUUAAUAAUAAUAAUAAUAAUAAUAAUAAUAAUAAUAAUAAUAAUAAGAUUUGGAAAGUUGAAUUAAUAAUAAUAAUGAUAAUAAUAAGAUUUUGAAAGUGCUUUGGGUUCCAUCCUCAUCAUAAGCCCAAGUCUAUGAGCCCAAGUCCAUUCAUUAAAAGAGCUUUGGGCUCCAUCUCCAUCAAGCCCAUGUCCAUUCAUUAAAAGAAGCCCAUGUCCAUUCAUUAAAAGAGCCUUGGGCUCCAUCUCUAUCAAGCCCAUGUCCAUUCAUUAAAAGAAGCCCAUGUCCAUUCAUUAAAAGAGCCUUGGGCUCCAUCUCCAUCAAGCCCAUGUCCAUUCAUUAAAAGAGCCUUGAGCUCCAUCUCCAUUAAGCCCACGUCCAUUCAUUAAAAGAAGCCCAUGUCCGUUCAUUAAAAGAGCCUUGGGCUCCAUCUCCAUCAAGCCCACGUCCAUUCAUUAAAAGAACCUUGGGCUCCAUCUCCAUCAAGCCCAAGUCAUUAAACUAAAAGGAGCCUAGGUCCAUUCAUUAAAAGAAGCCCAUGUCCAUUCAUUAAAAAAGCCUUAGGCUCCAUCUCCAUCAAGCCCAAGUCAUUAAACUAAAAGGAGCCCAAGUCCAUAAGCUCAUUAAAUUAAAAGAAGCCUAGUCUGCCUCCAUCUCCAUCAUUCAUUAAAUUAAAAAGAGAGCCCAGGUCCAUAAGCCCAAACGACCCAAGCCUGCCUUCAAUCUCCCGCAAAGCUGGUUUUCCACUUGGGUGUCAUCUUCAGCCAAGGAGCCUCCACCACUGGCGACGCGAUGGAGAGGGAUGCGACGGCGACAAUGGCGGAGUAGACAACAUUUUGGGUGAGGGCGCUAGUGGCAGUCAGGAUGAUGGUGCAAAUGGUGGACUCGGUGCUUGGAGAGAAAUAAUGGGAAAUAAAAGUGUAAAGAGAGAAAAUAAAUAUCAUGAAUAAUGGGCUUGGCAGGCAAGGUGGGAUAAUAGAUGUGGUGGUGUGAUCAAACAAAAUGGGUUAAAGGAGUUUAGUGGGUAUGAAGACAAGGAUCAUGAAUGGUGGGAUGAUGAGCAAAAGCUAGUGAGAGAAUAUGGGUAUAGGAGGGGUGGAUUGGUUUGCAUGCAUUUUUCCAGCAACCUUUGGGCUUGGCAGCUGCUUUAGGUUUAGGCUCGGAAGCUUUGGGCUUAAAAUUCUGGCACAAGCAUAACAAGCUCCAAACCAAAGAGUAAACUAACAAUAACUGAUUGGAAAGAUGAACCUAAAUUCACAAUCACACAACAUGCAUCAUUACAAAGCAGAAACCAGAGACUAAUAAAAAAAGUUGUAUCAAUAUUAACCUUCUAAUGGAAUAAUAAACAACUUACAAGCUGUUUGGGAAGCAAGAAUUAUUGGGUCCUCAUGUCCAGGAAACUGCUUUUUUUUUUUUUUUUUUUUUGUUGACUAAAAGCAGCCCCCAUUUGUAGAAAAAGGAGAAACGCAUGACCCCUCGGUGCCCUUUUUUCCUGCCUCAGACAACAACCCCUUUUUCAUCAAAAACCCCCCCUCCACAAGUCAUGGACCUGCUCCUCUCUUCUCUGCCACCCUUGCUGCCACCAACAACCUCACCUCAAUUCUUUCCCAUCUCACCCACUCUCAUAAAAAAAUAAAAAUCCAUACUUUGCCUUGGGGUGCUUAACCAACCGGGGGGGGUCUACAAAUAUGCCCCUCUUCGGUAGAGUUCACGAGUGUAAGGAAUAUGAGCAUUAGAGUGAAAAGAAAGUGUGAAUAGUGAGUGGAAUGAAGUGAACUCUACCGAAGAACAAAGGAGACCCCCAAAAGGACACUAACGAGACAAAAACUCACUCAAACCAACAGAUGAGCAAAAGGGGUUUAACCCUAAGAGAAAAGCAGAUUUCUCAAAAUGCCUCUAAAGCCAAACAGAGGACUCAGGCUCCCUCUAAGACGUCUCCAAAAGUGACUCGAAAGACCAUAUCAAAGAUGAGUAACGGUCGAACCCCUCUGAAGUACAAAAAAGACUACCCCCAAAUGAGACUGCCUUAUGCGAACUUCAUGAGAAUGACUAGUGUAGGGUGUCCAACAACAUGACCGAAGUAAGUGUCGUGAACUCAAAGGUCACCGUGUCAUGAGCAAUGAAAAGGGGAAUCUGGAAGAGUGAUGACAAGUAGGCGAUAAGCACAGGGUAACAUGGUGAGGAAAAUGAGAAUAAAUGCAAACCCAUGAAAGCAAGAUGUGCAAUGCCAAUGAACAUGAAUGCCAGGGACUCUAACUCUGAAUGAUACGAAUGAGGAGAAAUGACUUUGAACGUCAAAACACAAGAAAGAUAAGGACUCAAGGUGCCCGAACGAAUAUGUACAAUGGCUAUGAACGCCAAACUAAAGAGAGAUGGUGGCAUCGAAUGCCUGAACGAGUGCGAAAGAUGGCUCUGAACGCCAACACUAAGAAAGAUUGACUUUGAGCGUCGAACUGAAAGUGUGACUCGAAACGCCAAACUGAGAUCAUGGCUCCGAGCGCUGAACGGAAGAAAUAUAUGAUAGUUCGGAGUGCCGAACUAGAAACAAACAAAAGCUCUGAAUGCUAAACUGAAGAUGUACAAAGGCUUUGAGUGCCUGAAAUGUGGCUCUGAAUGCCGGACUAAAAAUGCUGAUGGCUCAGAAUGCUGGGACUGAAGACGAUGAUGGCUCUGAACGCCGAAACUGAAGAUGAUGAUGGCUCUGAACGAAGAACUGAGAACAAUGAUGGCUCUGAACGCCAAAACUGAAAAUGGUGAUGGCUCUGAAUGCCGAAGCUGAGAAACGGUGAUGGCUCUGAACGCCAAGUCGUGAAUGGUAAUGACUUUGAAUGCCGAAGCUGAGAAACGGUGAUGACUCUAAGCGCCAAAACUGAGAAGAGAUAGUGGCUCUAAACGCCAAACUGUGAAUGUUGAUGGCUCUGAACACCAAUUUGAGAAGAAAUAAUGGCUCUGAAUGCCAAAUAGAAAAUGCUAAUUACUCUAAACACCGAACUGAGAAGAAAUAAUGGCUCUGAACGCUAAAUGAAAAAUGUUGAUAACUCUGAAUGCCGAGACUAAGAAGAAAUAGUGGCUCUGAACGCUGAUUACUACUCACUAAGUGCUAUUUCAUAGCUUGUAAUUAACUCUUUUAAACACUUUUGAGUAGUAGUUAUCACCUUUUAACCCGAUUAACAUAUUAAGGACCCUUGCAAUCAAUUCUAAUCAAAUUGUGUUAAGUUUUGGUGUUUUGAUAGCUUUUUGAAUACCAAAGCAAUCCAAGAUUGAGGAGAGUUCUUUGGAAUCCAUGGCAAAAGAUGUCCGGACAGGGCGUCCGGACACACCAUCGGAGGGCAGCGGAACGUGGGCUGUGGCAGGCUGUCGGAAUGACGUAGCAAGGCUUGUGCCCUUUAGCCAAUGAUCCAGACAACAUAUCUGGAUAGGAUAUGCUAUCGUCUAAGGUGUGAUGAACAUGAGUGCCAUGUGCUUCUCCUUGAGGGAGUCCGGAUAGGGGAGCACGUCGUGUGUCCUCUUGAAGAAUCCGGAUGGAGUUGCUCCGGAUAGCGAUGCGCGCUCCGUGUCAUCAGGGGGAGGGGUCCCUACACCUUGCACACACAGACAGCCCCCUUAUGACGUGUGGCAUCGCACAUUCCACCCGGAUGUCUCACAUCCGGAAUUCUUCAGUGAAGGGGAGGAGGACCAUGGUUCAACAGUGAAUGCAAAUCCGGAAAAAUAGCUUAUUAAGGAAGAAUUGAUGAAGAAACGCACAUCUCCACCUUUUCCUCAAGCUUUGCAUGGGAAAAAGGGGAUUAGAAAUGCAUCUAAAAUUCUUGAAGUAUUGAGACAAGUGAAAGUUAAUAUCCCACUGCUGGAUAUGAUUAAACAAGUUCCAAUGUAUGCAAAAUUCCUAAAGGACUUAUGUACUAUCAAAAGAGGCUUGAAUGUGAAUAAGAAAGCCUUUUUGACUGAGCAAGUGAGUGCCAUCAUACAAUGCAAAUCUCCUUUGAAGUACAAAGAUCCGGGAUGUCCUACCAUUUCAGUUAUGAUUGGAGGAAAGGUAGUGGAAAAAGCUUUGUUAGAUUUGGGAGCAAGUGUGAAUUUGUUGCCAUACUCUGUUUAUAAGCAAUUGGGACUUGGUGAGUUGAAGCCAACAUCAAUCACCCUAUCUCUAGCAGAUAGAUCAGUAAAAAUUCCAAGGGGGGUAAUUGAGGAUGUCUUAGUUCAAGUUGAUAAUUUCUACUAUUCGAUAGAUUUUGUUGUUCUUGAUAUGGAUCCUACUGUAAAGGAAGCUAAUUCAGUUCCUAUCAUCCUUGGAAGGCCAUUCCUUGCUACCUCAAAUGCAAUCAUCAAUUGUAGGAAUGGACUCAUGCAACUCACUUUUGGCAACAUGACACUUGAGCUCAACAUUUUUUAUAUGUCUAAAAAGCAAAUCACUCCGGAAGAAGAAGAAGGUCCAGAAGAGGUAUGCAUUAUCGACACUCUAGUGGAGGAGCACUGUAAUCAGAAUAUGCAAACAAGCUCUGAGGAUGUUUCCUCAGAGAAUGAGUGGCUAGACUUUUUGUUCCUUGGAGUUAAGGUUGUCGGGAAAGGUUCCAAGUGCAAGAAUUAAUAGCUUUGUGGUUUCAGCCAUUAAUGAAGAGAAAGUGCGAUCCUUUAAUGAUUUCUAUGUUUUUAGUUAACUUAAAACACCUUCAAUUCACUUGAGCCAACACUUGGUAAGGCAAGUGAUCUUCGUCCAUGGAGAGGCACUAGUUUACCUCUUGCGAGCUUUUGGGAAGUGACUUGAAGGUAGGAUUUUCUAAAAUUGCCAACACUUGGUAAGCUUUUGGACUCCAAGGAGACAUCCAUUAGUUAUCUCUUGCGAGCUUGAGAAGGGAAGUCCAAAGUUAAAGAUCACCUUGAAUGGCAAAUGCUAGGUGAGAGGCACGAGCCAUUGCAAGUUGCAUCAGUGAGAGGGAAUUAGAUCUGAAAUCCAUUUAAAGGAUACAUCUGUACAACACCGAUCAGAGAAUUGACUAUAUGUUAAUUCUCUAAUGCGAGGAAAUGAACCAAAUGACCAGAGCUCUGCCUUUGCAUGAGGAACCUCCCCUGUGAACCUAAACCUCCAAGGAAUGUUUUUCUUCAUAAGUAACUUCCAUUACUUCCUUUUCCGUUAGUUUAAACCUAAACCUUUUUCAACCAAAGUUUGUGUUUUAUUUCUUAAGCUAACCUUGAAAUGAAAGGGCAUCAAUUCACUUUGAAUUGGUAUCAUUUAUGAAUUGAAAACCCUUCCUAGUGAACGAUCCUAGAGCCACUAUGCUAUAGUAGCUUUGUCUUUGCUACCCUAGUUCAUGGUGUAAUAGGUUAUAAAUUUUGUUGAUUACUCCCUCAAUCAAGGAGCACCAGCUGGACAUGAAUCAGCUGAUACACCAAUUGGGCACGAAUCAAACGCCAAAUGGAAAAUGCUGAUGGCUCUGAACGCCGAACUGUGAAGAGAUAAUGGCUUUGAAUGCCAAAUGGGAAAUGUAUCAGGCUCUAAACACCGAGACUGAGAAGAAAUAGUGGCUCUGAACGCCAAAUGGAAAAUGUUGAUGGCUCUGAACGUCAAGACUGAGAAGAAAUAGUGGCUCUGAAUGCCAAAUGGAACAUGCUGAUGGCCCUGAACGCCGAGACUGAGAAGAAAUAGUGGCUCUGAAUGCUAAGUGAAAAAUGCUGAUGGCUCUGAAUGCCAAGACUGAGAAGAAAUAGUGGAUCUAAAUGCCAAAUGGAAAAUGUUGAUGGCCCUGAACGCCAAGACUGAGAAGAGAUAGUGGCUCUGAACGCCAAAUGGGAAAUGCUGAUGGCUCUGAACACCGAUCUAAGAAGAAAUAAUGGCUCUGAACGCCAAAUGGAAAAUACUGAUGGCUCUGAACGUCGAGACUGAGAAGAAAUAGUGGCUCUGAACGCCAAAUGGAACAUGCUGAUGGCCCUGAACGCUGAGACUGAGAAGAAAUAGUGGCUCUGAACGCCAAAUGGAACAUGUUGAUGGCCCUGAACACCAAGACUGAGAAGAAAUAGUGGCUCUGAAUGCCAAGUGAAAAAUUCUGAUGGCUUUGAAUGCCAAGACUGAGAAGAAAUAAUGGCUCUGAACGCCAAAUGGAAAAUGUUGAUGGCUAUGAAUGCCGAACUGAGAAGAAAUAGUGGCUCUGAAUGCCAAGUGAAAAAUGCUGGAGGGAAAUAUGCCCCAGUGUAGCGUGUCACCAAAACUCUCGAUCCAUCGGAAGGGUCUAGAAGAGACUCCAUAAGUCUCGAAAGAUGCUCGGCUAGUGAAUCGGGACGUUUAAAUCGCAUGAUCCACUAGGGAAUCUCUAGAAAAGUGAUAUGAUAAGGUAACUCCCGUGAUCUCAAUACAACCAUCUACGGAAGAAUCAUGGAUAGUAAGGCAAUCACAACCCGAACGUCCUGCCCCACUGAAAGCUCACCUCGAUGAAAAUCAAAGGAGUAGCGACCAGAUGUGGAGCUUGAAAAGCCCAAAAUUUGAAGAAGGUUGAACUGAACUAGAUCCAAAUGAACACCAUGUUGAAACAGGGAUGUGGGCCUUAAUUCAAAUUCAACCAAGCUAAGCUUGAAAACUAACUUUUUGUAACCGGGGGCUUUCUUUUAUGCUUCUCCAAUGUUUUCAGUCAGGAUUGCUAAAUUGACUGAUUGAAAUGAUAUGGUUAUGAGGCCUGGACCUAGGGCCAGUAUGAAUCCGCAUGAACUUGAUAAUGAGGCCCUAGCACUUAAACCUGUCUUUUGGUUCCAUGCUUGCAAGGAUUUACCACAACCCUCAAAACAAUGAGGCAAAUCAAACAAGAUUGCAGAAAAUUCUACGGUUUUGGGCUUCGAAGGAAGUUUAUGAUCAUGAUACAAUUUAUGGGCUUGAGGGUGAGAUGAUUGGUGGACCCCCAAGCAAUUCUUUCUCAGGCAUUGUUAAGGAGUUAUCUGCUAUUCCUGUGGAUUCUCUCAGCUGUUCCAGGCAGUGCCAUCCUCCCCCUUAUAAAACCAACCUCACAUCUCUCUCAUUCACAUUUCAUUCACAACAUAUAGAAUAGUGGGUUGAGACCUGAUUAUCUGAUUGUUGGGUAUUUCAAAAGACACAUUUCCACAAAUUUUUUUAUCAUACACAAUAAAAAAAUUGAAUUUUUACUCAAGGUGUCUCUUGAAGAGACACUUUCCAUAAUUCUAUAAAAUUAAAUUCAUAUUAAAGGUGUUUCUUUGAAGAGACAACUUCAAAAAAAUAAAAUAAAAUCUAUCUAUUAAUUAGUUUUAUCCUGAAUACAACUAAAUAUUUAAAUUUUAUCACAUGUAUACAUCAUAAUCAAUAUUUUGACCUUUCAAUAUGUGGACUUGUAUUUUUCACGAUGCAUCCAACUCAACUGGCGAGACUUGUUUUCUUUUAAUGAAAAAUUGUAUUUUAUAAAAUAUUGGAGUUGCCACUUACUUUUAUUUAUUUUUAAAGGGGAAAUUAAGUAAAAACAAAACCCCUAAAAUGACUCAUGAUUUUUGGAAAAGCUAUAUGCGAAAAACUCGAGUUUAGGUCUGUGGAUCAGGUUACCUAAUGAGAAGGUACCUCCAAAGAGGUAGCACCCCUCUAAGCCCUAACGAGGUCUCUACUACCUAAGUUGAGGGAAAUAUGACAAUUAGUCAAUUUAUUAUGGAUACCUAGAUGGGCUAAGGUGAUUUCGAAUGUUUGUUAAUUCUAACAUGCCAAACAAGGGUUCUAAACACAUUUAUAAAGAAAGGAUAGUAUGCAUACUUGAAUUGCAACUUAAGCGCUAUCACAAAACAUCAAUGGUUAGUUAAAAAAAACUCAAAACCUAUAUUUCACCCUAGUCUCUUAAUCAUACAUGGCAAGUCAACAAGCAAUAAAAAAGAUAUGAAAUGAAGAUGUGAAGGUAAGAAGCGUACCUAAAUAACGUAGAUAACUUACAAUGCGCUUCCACAAUACAUGGGAGGUUGAAUCAAAGUUAUAAUAACAGACAAUUAAAAAAAAGUAAUCCUAGUGUGUAUGGUGUCUGAAUAGCAUAACAGAAAUAACCAGAGUAUAAGGAAACACCAAUUAUAAAAAAAGUCAUGUAUACAACUCCAAAAAUCAAGGGUUAUGAUUAAAACAUGUAGCAAAAUGGGUAACGCACUAUUAUCAAAAGGAAAAUUAUAAAUUAAUAUUUAGGAACAUCAUUUGAUCAUGAAAAAUUAAGACAACCUUUCUAUUAUCUCUAUAUCACAAUACAAAAACCAACAACAAAUUAUGAGAUGUUAAAUGGUCUUGAAUUAAACAACAAUGCAGGCACGAUGCAAAACUUCUAGUCUAUAAUUAGAAUAAGGCAUCUUUAAGAAUAAAUCCUAAGAAAAAAAAAUAAAAUGGAAUUUGAUCAUACCAAAUCACAAAAGACUCUCGUCAAUGUCUAUAAAAACAUACCAAAGUUCAAGCAUUCAAUUAAAUAACAUAUUCAAUUCAAAAUAUCCAAAAGUUCCAAAAGGUCUAGAAUUUGGCAGAAAAUAGUAACCAAUGUAAACUAAAUUUUAAAAAUACCUAGAAGCCUUUUAAAUUCAUAAAAAAAACUCACACAAGUCAUUUAAGAUGUCUAGAUAGUCCAAAAAUUUAAUCCAAGGUCAGAAAGCAUUCAUAAGAAUUUUUAGAAUACUAUAAUAUAUCAGUUGUCAAGAUUCAGUCAUGUAAAGUGUGACUUUGAAAAAUCAUAUCUCCGUCAAGAAGACAUAUUUUUUUUUAAUAAUUUAUGUGUUAAAAUUCAAUUUCAAGAAUUCAAUAAUCUGGGAAAAAUAUUAAUUUAAAUUGAAAAGAUCAAAAGGUAAUUUAAUUUUUCAAAACAAGAUUGAGUGUCAAAAAUAAGGGGGAAAUUGAACCUUCUGAAAAAUUGAUUUAUAUCUUAUAAUUAGAAAACCAUAUUUGAUCUAAGCAAGAUUAUAUAAUCAAGUUCAAAGAGUCUAGAAUGUCAUGGAAUAGUUAGAAAAAUUGUAAAAGGGUAUUUAAGUUAUCAGAUUCCAAUUUAUGAAUACAGAAGUAAAGUGAACUAUCCACAAUUUCAAUGAAAAACUAUGUUUUGAAAAAAAAAAAAAAAACUUUGUAUGUAGGGAUCUAUUAAAUCCCAUUUUAAUUUCCAUUAAUUUAUCCAUAAAGACUCCAUUUAUUGCACUAUGAAACUUAAUUCAUGUAUACUCAAAACCAAAAUUCAUUUUAAAACUUUUUUUCAAAUAUGCAUACCGAAUAAAAUUGGUUGCAUGAAUUUUGGAAAAUUGAAUUUUCAUAACCUAACAAUGUUUAAGAUGAAUUUGAAAAUUUGAGAAUUAACUUUUUUUAGAAAGCUAGAUUGAAAAGCAUUUUGAAAACACUAACAAAUACAAAUAAUCACAUAAAAUCACACAACUAAAAGAAGAAAAUUCCUAAGGAAACAAAGUGGUGUGUGCUGAAAGUGAGUGAAUCAUGCUGAGUUGUGUGUGAUGAGAGUGGAAGUGUGGUUGAUGUGUGUGUGUUCAUAGUGGCAACUUGGUGGUCUCCUUCUCUAUACAGCUGUGUGUGCCUUCUUCAUCAGUUCGACUAGUGUGUGUUCUUCGAAAUUCAGUUGGUGGUGUUCUUUUUCACAAGCUUAUGCAAAUUCUCAAAAUUUAGCAAUCUGAUGCGUGCUUGUGCUAGCAACCUAGUGGUUUCAAAAUCUGAUGGUGUGAUAAUGUGUUUAUUGUUUUUCUCCUCACCACCAUGCACUAUCAACUCACCUCUCCACCAUUAACAGUCGUACACAAUCAGCUUGCCUCCCCAAAGUUCUAAAGAUUUCCCUCUAAAAAUUCCAAUAAUUCUUUUAUUCCCACCAAAAUUCAAAUUUGUCCACUAACAGCCACUUCUCUAAUACCUUCUCAUCCUCUUCCCUUCAAGCCAAAACCAUGCACUAAAUCCAUGUGACUCUAGAACAUUCUGUCGCCUUCUUUUUUCCAUACAUCGUGCACAAAACAACCUCCAUUCUAGAAAAAUCUAGUGCUCACACCAAUCCCCACCGUGUUCAUAAUCAGCUUAGGUGUUCCCCACACUCUAAUGCUCUCCACUUUAAAAAUUCUGAUUUUCAUAUUUCAUUCCUCCACCAAGCCAAAUCUGGUAUCAUCUCACCAAAUACCCAUACCUUUUCAUCCAAUCAUCAACUUCAUAUCGUUCUUUCAAACCAAUGCACUCAAUUUUAACCAUUUAAAAAAUGAAUUCACGCAUUCAUUCUUCCACCAGAAAAAAUCCCCUCAUUUCCAAUCCAUCAUUCCGGUGAUAUUUCUCAUACCCAUAUGCGUGUGUGCAUGGCUAUUUGUGGGUACAACCCAUGAAAACAAAUUGUGCAUGGAGCCCUUUGGUGUGCACAACUUUAAAAAAAUUUUGGGGGUCUCUCAAGAAAAUGGACUGUGCGUGUGUUGAAACAAUUUUCAAUGGAUGCAGUUGUGUUCCAAAUGACCUUCCAUAACACUCUCAUUCUAAAGGGGGCAUGUUGUGUCUUUCUUUUUUUCAAAACCCCGUCCUCUCCCUCAACAUUAACAAGAAACCAAACAAUAGGCAGAAAAGAACAAAAACACAUAAAUGACGUAGGUUAAAGAAAAAAAACAUAGAACCUAGCUCCAUUUCAUUGAUUCUCAAUGGGCUUUAAAUGGGUGAAACCAUUAGGAAGCUGAAGAAGCUCUCAAGGAACAAUUUUAAAACAAUCCAUGCAUCAAAUAUUUAUAGGAGAGGUUAAUGAAAGAAAAGAAACACAGUAAAACCCAAAACAGAGCAUGUGCGCAUACAUAAUCAUAUUCCACAAGAUAAACUUCAAGUAAUGCCUAACAAAGCAAUGAACAUGUCAAUAGCAAUACGCAUGCAGACACACCAAAUAUUUGCAAAGCUCAAUAUGCAUCCUCUAUUACCCACAAACAAAUAGACAAAUAAUGUCUAAGUAACAAACAGAACAAUAGUAAUGAGGAAUAAUCAAUUAAAAAAAAUGCAAAGAAACCAUACCUGAAGGUGCUCUUCUAAUCCUCCCUCGGAUUGGUCAGUUUUCCUUGUUCCCCUCUCCCCCUUCAGAGAAUCUUUUCUUGUCUCUUUUCUGUUUCUCUCCGCUCUUCCUAAAAAGUCAGAACCUCCACUUUCCUCUCUUUCAUUCCUUCCUCUCAAGGCUUUUCCAUCUCAUUUUCCUUAUCAAAAUCCUUCUUCUUGAAGGUUUCUCUAUGUCCCGUCGAAAAUCACCUCUCUUCCCCAUGUAAAAACCCUUUGGAAAUCCCCUCUUUCCUCCUUCCCCAUCAUCUCUUGCUUCCAUCGUAAGUUUUCUCACCUUCAAAUUUUUAUUUUUUUAUUUUAUUUUUAAAUAAAUAAAUAAAUGAUAACAAUAAUAAUAUCAAUAAUAAAAAUAGAUAAGUAACACAUAUUAAAAUGUGAUAAUAAUAAUAAUAAUAACCGUAGUAAUAAUAGUAAUAAUAAUAGAAACAAUAAUAACAAAAAUAAUUCUUACAAUGAUGAUAACAAAAAUAAACAAUGACUAAAAAAAUGAACAAAUAAUUAAAUAUAAGUAUGUGACACACAUUCACAAAGAAGAUCAUGCAACCUAUGCAAGCUACAUCAACCAUGCAAAUAACUUAUGGGUGUUGGAGUAAGCCUAAGUGGACUAGGUGCACCUAGACGGACCGGGUAUGCCUAAUGGGCUUAGGUAAACCUAAUGGGCCUAAAUAUGUCUAACCAAGCUAUUAUAAAAGUGUACCUAGUAUCCAAAGUGGCUCAAAGAGGUAAGUUAUAUGAGUAUCGAUGGGCCACCAGGAACUACUUCGGAGUGUUGAAAGAACAUUUAAUCAGGGCAUGUGACAAGGGGACAAAAUGGAGGGUUUACACAAUCCAAUAUCAAUCAAAAUGAGUAAACCAAAUGUCAAUUAAGUCGACACUUUCUAAAAUAGUAGCAAUACUAUUUUGUCUAAAAUAAUUCCAAAAUAGGUACAAUACUAUAGAUCUUAUGUUGUUAAUCAACAAUUACUAAAUCUAAAAUAGAGUAAGUAAUAAAUAUACAUUGUUACUAUUUGUCCAAAAUAAUAACAUGCAAAGUAUUAACAAUAUCCAAAAUAGAAAUCAUAUAUAGUAACAUCCUUAAUGUGUACAACACGAAUGAGCUUUCCUUUUUCGUUGUGGACGUCAAUGAUGUGCAUGUUUCACUAUUGGUUGUAGGGGGUUGACAUGUGCUCUCCCAUGUCCUUGAUGACCACGUUCCUCACCAUGUCCUCAACCACGAUAAUCCUCUUGUCCUUGUUGAUCAUCAUUUGUUGUAUGAACUAACUCCUCAUCAACCAAUGUAGUCUUUAAUGGUUAUGGUGAUGAUGCAACAAGUGGUACUACAAGUGAGGUGGAUGACACCUCCACAAGUGUAAUAGGAGUCUCCUCCAUAGGUGGUGGGUCAAUGACAAUCAAUGGUGCAUAUCUAAGAAUAGGUAUAUGCCUAGUCUCCCUCCCAUGAGCCCAUUUUCCUCUAGUUCAUACACCUCUUGAUCGAUGCUAGAGAUGUGUAGCAACAACAACACUAAAUCAAGUCUAAUCUUACAAAGGUGGAGGAGUGGAUGAUAUCAACUAUUGAUGAGGUGGUAGACUGAUGUCAGUUGAUGGUGCACAUAUAACAACUAGUGUAUGCCUAGUCUCCCUUUUAAUAGGCCCUUGUCCUAGUUUGUACGCCUCCUAAUCUAGGUUGGAGUUGUGUAGUAGCAUCAACACUAAAUAGAGCAUCUAAGUGAUCCAUCUCAUGUAUGCCCUCUAAUACAAUAGUACACAAUCUGUGAAUAUGCAUAUCAUUUGGAGGUGCAAUAUCAUAUAUAUGAUGUAUGAUGAAAUUUGUAAGUCAAAUAUGAGAUAAGUUAAAUUCUUAUAAAAAUAAAAUAAAUUUCAAUAAAAAGUGAAGACAUGCAAAUUACCAACAGCUCAUGGAAGGACCUAGUCUGAAUAAGAAAUAAAACAGUAAUGGAGAAGUACCACACCAUCUAUGGAUCAUAAUAUCCCAAUGGACCUAUAGCCAUCUUGCCCCUAGCAAUAUGUUUGCUCCUAGAGCCCCAACAUAGAAUAUUGUCUCGAUGUUGAAUAAUCCAAUCAACAUCAAGUCUACCUCUCAAAUCACAUUUAUGUAAGAUUGACUCAUUAUCACAUGGCUGAGAAAUCCCUUGACAAAAUCCAAACUGUCGUAAUACUCAGUCAAGUCUAUGUCAUUCAACUAUGUGGAAACAUAUUAAAGGUGAGAUAAUGCACCAUAUAUCUUUCUCAACUAUACAAUAGUCAAGAACUUCAACAUUCAUGUCAUCAACAUAAGGUUUUCAUUUAAUUUAUAGUAAAAAAAGGUUAGAUAUAAUCAAUGGUUUGAAAUUUCUUUAGAGAAAAAAGUUUAAGAAAUGAAUCAAACUUCUAUCACCUGAUCUACGGUAAGUCGAUCAAGCUAGUGCCUAUACCGAACUAAGACAUGCAUCGAUGUCGAAGUAGUACAAAACUCAUAUCUCCAACUAUAAAAAUAAAAAACAAAGAAUAAAAAAAAAUAAAUGUUAGAAUUUAAGUUUAUGUAUCCUCAUAAUAGUAAAUUGAUGGUAAUGAUGCAUAUGUACUGUAUGGUUGAUGGAGAUAAAGGCAGUUGGUCAUCAUAUGAAGCUAUAUGUAAACAAUGAGAUGCAAUAAAAGGGAACCUAUCCCAUACCCACAACUGGAGUAAAAACAGUAGACUAGAUAUAUCAUGUAUAUCACUUUAAGAUACUUGACACAAUUGUUGAUAAAGUCAAGCUAAAUAGACGUUACCCUAACUAUAGCUAUCAACAACCUCAAAAUCCUCUGGAAGAGGUUGAAACAUAAGAUACACCUUAUCUCUAGAGUUUUCUAAAAAAGAAAACCUCUAAUGAGUUGUAAGAUAUAUGCCUCAAUAUAAUGCCAAAUAGACUACUCAUCAACAUCUAGUGUCAAAAUAGGGAAGCUUUGACUUAACCAUGUAACAUGAAUAUGAUCGAUUGAUUUUGUCGAUUUAUCGUAUCAAAACACAAUUUAUAACCUAAUUCACUAUUCUAGAGUAGCUUGUACCCGAACAAAAAUGGUUUUAGUACAAACUAUCGUAGUAUAGUGGUUUUUAGGUGUCGUUCACUAGGAUGGAUUAUUCUCGGUAAUUAAGGAUUGAAUGAGAGGAUAAGAAAUGAUUGUGAUAAAGUGAAAUUUAUUUGAAAAUUCAUGGUCAAAAAUCAGUUUAACAAUGGUCUCAAAUUAAGAAAAACAAUGAAAUCUAAAAUAGAAGAAAAUUAAUAGGAACUGAAAUUCUCGGAGUUAGAAUUUUCUAGAAAACAAAUUCCACGGUGAAUAGAUGUUGAGAUCUAAUUUCCAUCAAGUUUUAUUGAAAACCUAAAUUUUCAUCUAAACCAAUUUUUUAUUUAACUUUAGGUCCAGAUCUAAUUUCUCUUCAAAUUAGGUCAUUCAAUCCAAGAGAUCAAUUCAAAUCAUAUAUUCAAUUCAUCUUAAAUUAUCUUCCAAUGAUUCAAAUAAUGCAACUAUUCAAUCUCAUCAAAUCUAGCUUUAAGAAUUUAAUGAGUUUACCUAGUUUGCAUUGUAGUAGUCAUCCAAGACAAUUUGAAGAGAAAAAUCCCCAAAAUUCAAUUAAUCAAUCAAUUGGAUCAAAUUACCUUUGUAAUUCAAGCUCAUUUAUCUAAUUCACCAUGAAUCUUGCUUUUAGAUCCUCAUUUCUCCGAGAAAAAUGAGAUUUAGCCACUCAUGCUUAGAGAUUUGGUCUCACAAGGCAUGUUAGCUAGUGAGAAAAUGAGAGAAAAUAAAGGAAAAUAGACAAUUCUAUUGAGAGAGAAAAUCUAGAAAAUUCUACAAUUAGAAGUGUCCAAAAAGCUUCUCACAUGAGAAAUUCAAGUUUCUAUUUAUAGGCCAAGGUCAAGUGGACACUUGGCAACCUCUCAUUGGUCUUCUAGAACCUUCCAAAUUUAAAGAAAUCUGGAAGUUUAACAUUUCGCAUGAAAUUCGGACAUUUCGCAUAAGAUAUUCACAUUUCGCACGAUCGUGCGAAAUUCUAAGGUGAGUGGUUACCGCAUGUUGAAACACUUUCUAGACCAUUUCGCAUGAUCAUGCGAAAUCAACUUACACAUCUUCCUUAGCUUGAAACCAAUUUUCCUUCUCUAGUUCAUUUCGUACAAUCAUGUGAAAUUUUUACAUGAUCAUGCGAAUCUGCAACAUUUGGUUUUUGAGCUUCUCUUUGUCAUUUAUUCCAUUUCCUUCUUUUGAUUCCACCUUAACUACUUCCAAUUAGCUCAAAUCCCGGUCCAAACCAAUUUCUUUACUUAUUUCAUUAUGCAUUUGGAUCACCAUCAACAUUAUUUGUUCUCUUCAAUUUGAGUCAUCUCUUGUCACCAAUUUAUCAAAAUCAUUCCUUGAAAUGACUCCAAAACUUCAUAAAACUUGUUAGUAACUCUUUCAAGGGAAACAACAUGUUAAUUGAGUGUUUUAGGCAUAAUUACUACUCAAAAUAUGUGAAACUCAUGAGAAUUAUUAUCUAAAAUAUGCUCUUUUUUAUGAUGAUGACAAUGUCCAAAGAAAACAUGAUUUCAAUGAUAAGUCAAUGAUUCACAUGGAGUUUUAAAAAUUUCACACAAGUGUGCAAACUAGACAAGAAGGUGAAGUGUGUUGCAACUACUCUCUUCUUUUAAAAGAAUUUGGCACAAUCAUGCAAAAAUUCGCAUGUACAUGCGAAUAAGUCAAGAGAGCUCUAUCUUAUUGUAGUCUUCAACAUAAUUUUUGCAUGGUCAUGCAAAUUGGUCCAGAGGCUUAAAACUGUUGCAGUCAUCCACAUCAGUUUCGCACAUUCAUACAAAAAUUUCACUUGAUCAUGCGAAAUGAGAUAAAGACUCAUUUUUUAGCAUUUUCAAAACUAUGAAAAUUCUCAUGUUUUUGGCAUGAAUUCCCCUAUUUUUUGCAUGAAUGUGCAAACCGGUGAUGGGCCAUUAAAACUCAUUUUUCCUUACUUCAUGCAUUCCAUCCAUCUAAAAAGUCCUUCAAAACACAAAUCAAAAAGUUGAAGUGGAUUUAUUUAAUGGAAACUAAAAAAAAAAAAAUCAAUCAAUCAAAAUUCAAAGGAAAGUGGAGAAAUGAGAAACCAUUGGGCUACUAGCCAUUGACAUGACUAAGCCCAUUAACCUUUACAUCAAUACUCGAUUUGGAUAUGGCUUGCAAACAAUGAAUUGAAUAACUCCUUGGUACUUAAGCUUUCCCGAAAAAAGAUGUGGCUUGAAAUAACCUUCUUUGAACUUGUUCUUUUGAAUAAGUUGGUCAUGCCAUUCCUUGAACUUCUUUUUCAUGGUCUUUGAAUUAUUGUGCAUACCAUGCUUCAUGGUUUUCACUUUCUUCAAGAUGAAAGACCAUUUCAUUAACUUCAAAGGUUGAAUUUCUUCAUUGAUCUUCCAAACUUCAAUCCGUUCAUUAGAAAUUGUUUCACCAAGUUUUGAAAAAUUAUCUUCAACCUUUUCUUUCACUAGCUCUUCCAUAGGCAAUUCAAUCAAAUAAGCCUCCAUAAGUUCCUCCUCUUUGGUACCAUGCUUCUUACGUGAAUGAAAAAUGUUCAUUUCAAUUGUCAUGUUACCAAAGGUAAGUUGCAUCAUCCCACUUCGACAAUUAAUCAAUGCAUUUUUUGUGGCAAGGAAAGGUCGACCAAGUAUAAUAGGAACAUGGUUGAGUCCACUAGUUUCUUGUUCUGUAUCAAGCACCACAAAAUCAACAAAAUAAUAGAAGUUAUUGAUUUGAAUCAACACAUCUUGAAUAAUUCAUUUUGGAAAUUUAAUCGAUCUAUCUACCAAUGAAAGUGUGAUGGAAGUAGACUUUAGUUGGACAUCCUGAAUCCUUAUACUUGAUUGGGGUCUUACAUUGAAUGAUUACACUAAUUUGUUCAAUCAAGAAAGCUUUUUUUUCAAAUGCAUUCCUCUCUUUAUGGUACACAAAUCCUUAAGAAACUUGGCAUAGGCUGGAACUUGUCUAAUCAUGUCAAGGAGUGGUAUAUUAACUUUUACUUGCUUUAAAACUUCAAAAAUUUCUAGAGCAUUAUUUACCACUUUCUUAGAUUGAAGAGCCAUGGGAAAAGGUGGAGCUAAGAGCAUAUCCUUGUUCAUUUUAGCUUCACUCUUCUUCUCUUUCAAAACUUUCAGCUUUUGUUCUUUUACUCUUCUCAUCAUCUUCAUUCUUCUCGUUCUUCUCUUUUGGUUUUGGCAUAGGUUGAUCAACUUGCUUACCACCUCUUAAGGUAAUGGUUGCUUUGAUUUCAUCCUCUUUAGUAGAACUUUCACUUGUCUCUCCAAUUUCAUGUACUCCACUUGGAUUUUGUUGGGGUUGUGAAUAAAAUUUUCCUUUUUCUUGCACCGUAUGCAUGCUUGUGAGUUUAGAAAUAGAAAAUUGCAUAUUAUCAAUCUUUUGUGUGAGAUUGGUUUACAAGCUAUCAAAUUUAUGAUUGAAAGAUGUCUUGACAUGAUCUAUCCUUUGAUUUACUUGAGUAUUGAUAUUCUUUUUAUCACUAAUAAAAUCUCCCAAAAUUUUACUCAAGUUUACAAUAGCUUGCUCAACCAAAGAAACUUGUUGUGGAGAGUCUUCCAUGAAUUAUUGGCUUUGUGAGUAUUAGCUUGAAGAAAAUUGCUCUUGUCCACAAUUCCAUGACAUGUUCAAAUGAUUCUCAACGAGUCUUUCCCCCAUAGCUGGUAUUGUAAGACAAUCACUCACUUCAUGUUCUAUAGAUUGACAACUAGAACAUUGCCCCAUGUAAAUUUGAUUGUCAUAUAUUGCAUUCACCUCAUGAAAUCCCUUACCUUCAAGUUCCUCUAGCCUUCUUGUCAAAGCUAUCAUUUUAGCUUGUAGAUCAACAUUUUCAUUCAACAUAUACAUUCCUCCAUUUCAAUUGCUUUGAGACUUGGACUUGUGUAAAUCCCUUUCAUGUGGCUCAUCCCAUGACCCUGAUAUUUCAACCACAUAAUUCAAAAAUUUAAAGGCAUCAUCAAGACUUUUGCUCAUAAAGUCACCUCCACAAAUGGUUUCUAGCAAUUGCUUCACAGUUGGCAACAUGCCCUCAUAGAAGUAACUCACCAACAUCCAUGUGUUAAAACCAUGAUGAGGACAAACAUUGACUACUUCCAUAUAUCUUUCCCAACAAGCAUAAAAAAUUUUAUUGUUCAAUGCCACAAAGUUGAUAAUUUGCCUUUUCAAGCCACUAGUGCGAUGUGUGGGAAAAAUUUUCUUCAAGAAGAUUGUUUAUAGUUCCAAACAUAACCUUAUGCUUUGGGGCCUGAAUGAGUUGAACCACAACUUAGCCUUAUCCUUCAAUGUGAAUAGAAAAAUCUUCAAUCUCAUAAGCUCUAUGGAUGCAGUCCCUUCUUGAAAAGUAUGACAUACUUCUUCAAAAUCCUUUAUAUGAGUUUAAGGAUUCUCAUUCCCCAUUCCAUGAAAUUGAGGGAGAAGUAGUACCAAGUGAGUUUUUAUCACAAUAGGCUCAUUAGGAAGAAUUAUACAAGAUACCACGCCUAUCCUUUGAGGAUGCAUAUAUUCUCUCAUUGAUCUAGACAUGUGAGAAUUAUCAUUGUUUGGUCUAUGAUGACUUUGUUGGUCUUUCCCUUGAUUUUCCAUUUCUUCAACAAUUGAAUCACAAACCAAAGAUGGUUAGCAAUGCAAGUCCUUUGCAAUCUCUCCCUCAAAAUUUAUUCUCAAUGUAGCAUGCAAUGGAGAGCCUACAAAACAAGCCAAAAACAAAAAAAAAACAAACCAAGAAGAACAAAAAGAGAAAUAAACGAUAAAAAUUGAAUAAAAAAUAAUAAGAAAAAUGAAGAAUUGGUAAAGAGAACUUCACCAAUCUUGUGAUGUGGAUCACAAGGGUUAAUCCUCACCAAAAAAAAAAAAUUGUCUCAAUCACCUUGGCACCAUCCCAAGCAACGACGUCAUUUUUUAUCAAUUGAUUUUUUCGAUUUAUUGCAUCAAAACACAAUUUAUAACCUAAUUCCCUAUUCUAGAGUAGCUUGUACCUGAACAAAAAUGGUUUUAGUACAAACUACCGUAGUAUAGUGGUUUUUAGGUGUCGUCCACUAGGAUGGAUUAUUCUUAGUAAUUAAGGAUUGAAUGAGAGGAUAAGAAAUGAUUGUGAUCGAGUGAAAUUUAUUUGAAAAUAUAUGGUGAAAAAUCAAUUUAACAAUAGUAUCAAAUUAAGAAGAAUAGUAAAAUGUAAAAUAGAAUAAAAUUAAUAGGAAAUGAAAUUCUCGGAGUUAGAAUAUUCUAGAAAACAAAUUCCAUGGUGAAUAGAUGUUGAGAUCUAAUUUUCAUCAAUUUAGAUUGAAAACCUAAAUUUUCAUCUAAACCGAUUUUUGAUUUAGUUUUAGGUCUAGAUCUAAUUUAUCUUCAAAUUAGGUCAUUUAAUCCAAGAGAUCAAUUCAAAUCAUAUAUUCAAUUUAUCUUAAAUUAUCUUCCAAUGAUUCACACAAUGUAACUAUUCAAUCUCAUUAAAUCUAGCUUUAAGAAUUUAAUGAAUCUACCUAGUUUGCAUUGUAGUAGUCCUCCAAGACAAUUUGAAGAGAAAAAUCCCCAAAAUUCAAUUAUUCAAUCAAUUGGAUCAAAUUACCUUUGUAAUUCAAGCUCACUUCUUUAAUUCACCAUGGAUCUUGCUUCUAAAUCAUCAUUUCUUCGAGAAAAAGGAGAUUUAGCCACUCAUGCUUGGAGAUUUGGUCUCACAAGGCAUGUUUGGCUAGUGAGAAAAUGAGAGAAAAUAAAGGAAAAUAUAGAAUUCUAUUGAGAGAGAAAAUCUGGAAAAUUCUACAAUUAAAAGUGUCCAAAAAGCUUCUCACGUGAGAAAUUCAAGUUUCUAUUUAUAGGCCAAGGUCAAGUAGACACUUAGUAACCUCUCAUUGGUCUUCUAGAACCUUCCAAAUUUAAAUAAAUCUGGAAGUUUAACAUUUCGCAUGAAAUCCGGACAUUUCGCAUAAGAUAUUCACAUUUCGCAUGAGUGUGCAAAAUUUUCACAUGAUCAUGCGAAAUUUUCGCAUGAUUAUGCGAAAUGAACUUACACAUCUUCCUUAGCUUGCAACCAAUUUUCCUCCUUUGGUUCUUUUCACAUGAUCAUGCGAAUAUGCAACAUUUGGUUUUUGAGCUUCCUUUUGUCAUUUCUUCCAUUCCUUCUUUUGAUUCCACUACCUCCAAUUAGCUCAAAUCCCAGUCCUAACCAAUUGCAUUACUUCUUUCAUUAUGCAUUUGGAUCAUCAUUAACAUUAUUUGUUCUCUUCAAUUUGAUUCAUCUCUUUUGUCACUAAUUUAUCAAAAUCAUACCUUGAAAUGACUCCAAAAUUUCAUAAAACUUGUUGUAACUCUUGCAAGGGAAACAACAUGUUAAUUGAGUGUUUUAGGCAUAAUUACUACUAAAAAAUGUGAAACUCAUGAGAAUUAUUAUAUAAAAUAUGCUCUUUUUUAGUAGUAAUCAGAAGGCAUUGCCCCUCUAUGUAUGUGUCCUCAGUAAUAAGACUUAAUAAAGAUGACACAUGUCUAUUAUUUGGACAUGUGCUACCAAUAACUACUACUCCAUCUACUGGUAGUUCAAGAAGAAUGGUAAUGUCUUGUAGUGUAAUUGUGCACUCCCCCUGAGGUAAGUGGAAAUUAUGAGUCUCUAGUUGCCAUAUUUCAAUAAAUACAGUAAUAAGGUGUCAAUCUAAGGAAAUGAAUCCUAAGCGUGCAACACCAUAGAAGCAUGUUUGCUAUAGUAAUGGAAUAAUACGUCCAUAUGGUGCACUGGUGUAAUGGAAAAUUACCUUACAAUGUCGACAAUAGAGUUCCUUUAAGUCAACACUUGUCCAUGCUAGAGAAGACCAGUGUGUGUCCUGUCCAUGUAGAAUUGUAAGAUCAAUGGUCCUAAAUCCAUUAUGCGAUACUGUUGGGAACCCUGGAUUGCUCCGUUCCCAUGCCCUGAAUCGCAUAAGGUGCAUGCAAACCUAUCAUAGGCUCUCUAAAUCUAUCGCAACGGAUAAACAUGUAUUAAAAAUGAUAAGAAUACAAUAGAAAACAUAGAUCUAAAGAGUAAAGUCACAUACCUUUGAUUUGAAUGUUCUUAGAUAGAUUCCAAUUGAUGUAGAUAACUCCAAAGUCGUAGUAGAUCUUGUGAACACCAUGAUCUUCCACCCGAUGACUCUUCUUUAUGUCUAAGCACUGAGAUGGUGGAGAUCUCAAGGGUAGAGGCUAGGGUUCUCUCUCUAGACUGGAGGGGAGAAUGGUAAGAGAUUGAAACCCUAACCUUUAAAGGGGUAUUUAUAGGCUUCUUAUUAGGCUUAAGUUACUUAAAACCACCAUGGGCUUGGGUCACUUAAUCUAGUCCAAAAAGGUUGCUAAUUGAUUGAUUAACCAUAUAGGGCCCUAAUUAAUCAAUUAGCCUAGUCCAAAGAUGCCACUCACUUAUCCCUGUGCAACCUUGUGUAAUUACCAAAAUGCCUUUGUACACAAAAGUGAACUAAAAACCCAUCCAACCCUCAUAAACCGUGUUAUCAAGGAAUAUGAGCUCAGAGCGGGGACCACUAUGACCCAUAGGAGUAUUGGCUCCCUCAUAAUCAAAUUCUGAAAUUGACUCAACAUCCCACUAUAGAGAGUCAACUACACUCUAGUACCUUAUGUAAAUUACAACGAGACACUAAGUGCUCAGGUUAGUGACCUACUAUCCACUAUAUGCAAACUCCCCAUGAAUUGGUGUCCAUAAUCUAUUGAAGUAGUGUUAUCACCUCUCAAAUCCUUGAGUUAUAGAUCCCACUUAUUAUGUGAUCAACUUACUCUAACUCUAAGGAGCAUAUGUCAAAUUCCACUAAAGGAAUUACUAUGGCCACAUAUUUCAUGAUCAUAUGUUCUUUAGAUCACCAAGGGGACACACUGUCUCAAUCCCAUGAGAUAUCAUGGUGUUUCUUUUGAGAAUACCUAUUGCCACCAGCCUCCAUCAAUAGUGACCCAAUCCAUAGGAAUAUAUAACCACUUUAAGGUCUCACCCAUUGUAGACCCUCAAUUUUGUUCCUUUAGCACAUGCCUUUAAGUUCAUUUCCAGUGUUCCACAAUAGUUCCUUGGUGGCCCGUAGCUACUCACACUACUUACCUUUCUUGAGCCACCUCGGAGACUCUAGUUAAGGGAUUGUCUAACCCCUUAUUGUGACCCUUGGCAGUUUUUAUUAGACUUAAGCUUUUCAUUCCUUUUUAGGAUAGUGCAUAGGCAUGUUUAGGUCACUUAGACAAUAUCCCGAUCACUUUAGGACACUUAGUUCAUUAGGCACCCACUUAGGCCCGUUUAAACACUUCAUCGGGCUUAACUUUUAUAUAUAUAUAUAACUUUUAUUAUUAUUAUUAUUAUUAUUGCAUGCAUUCGAUGAUUAUAUUUAUUUUGUUUAUUCAUUUUUAUUUUUACUCUUUAUUUGUUUAUUAUUAUUAUUGUCAUUAUUAUUAUUAUUACUAUUUUUAUUUUUAUUUUUAUUUUAUUUAUUUCACUUAUUGUCAUUAUUAUAACUUUUAUUAUUAUUAUUAUUAUUGUAAUAACUUUAAUACUCUAUAAUACCCUCAUUAACAAGGGCAUUCCCCCCUCAAGAUGGAACAUAUAAAUUUUCAUUGGUUAGCUUGGAAUUUUUAUCAGAGAGUUGAAACCCGGUGCUAGACCAAUUGCCUGCACGGAACAUGAUGACGUUGUUGUAUGUGCUGCAGAUGAUCGUCUAACAGCAUUUAAAUCUUUUGAAGUUUCUCUAAGAUUUUGGAUUACUGAAUUAUCUAUCGCUUUGAAUAUUUGUGAUCUAAGAGCUACACAUCUUUUAGAGGUUGUUUUGGUCUCAGCUUUUGCUAUUUUGAUUAGGUAAAAUGAAACUAAUGGUCAGAAGUACUUUCUGUUGAAGAGUAAAAAGUAGUUAUGAUGCAAGAAGUGUGAGCUCCUCGUACCAUCACCCCGGUUGAGACCUUGUGGUUUUCCAUGAAAUUUCCCACAUUUUUCUUUGGUGUGACAUGCUUUCUUGCUGUACGAGCACCAUAGUUUCUUCUUUGUUUAGUUCUUCAUCAACUCCUAUCUUCCUUGCUUCAUGUUAACAUUAUGAUUCGUACCAUUUGGUUUGGCUCCUCCACUUGGUUUCUUUACAAUCAUGGUUGAUCCAUCCACUAGUGGUGUAUCAAGCAUCACUUGUAGACCUCAAAAUUUGUCCUAAUUUUAUUUUUUACAUUAAUUUUUUAGCCCAAUUUUAAAUCUCGAUUACAUGUGUUAUUUUAGGCCUACUCGCCUUUUAAUUUUUAGUUUUCAUUAUUUUGUAAAUUAUUAUUAUUAUUAUUUUUAUUUUUAUUUUUAUUUUUACUUAUUAAUUUUAUUUGUUGUUAUUAUUAUUAUUAUUAUUAUUAUUAUAUUAUAUUAUAUUAUAUUAUAUUUUUAUUUUAUUUAUUUAUUAUUAUUAUUAUUUUUUUCUUUUUCCUCUCUCUUCCUUUUUCUCCUCCACCUACCCUCACCCACCCACUUCUUCUAUCUCCUCCCAUACUCCUCACCACCGGCCACUUUUCAUUUUUUCCCCCCUUUUCUUCCCUAACUUNNNNNNNNNNNNNNNNNNNNNNNNNNNNNNNNNNNNNNNNNNNNNNNNNNNNNNNNNNNNNNNNNNNNNNNNNNNNNNNNNNNNNNNNNNNNNNNNNNNNCCCUUUUUUUUCCAAAAUUUUCUAACACUUUUCCCUUUUCCCCCUUUCGGGACAAACCCAAACCCCCCCCCCCCCCCCCCCCUCCCCUCCCCUCCCCUCCCCUCCCUCAUCUCCCAUUAGAGGGUUUUUUUUUUUUUUCUUUCUUUCUUUCUUUGGCUACUACUCUUUCUGAAGACAGAGGGAACAGACCAAUUUUUAUUUUUAUUUUCAUUUUCUUUUCUUCCUUCAUUCCUCUUCUUCUUCCCCCCAUUUUUUCUUCUCUUCCUCCUCCAUUUUUUUUUUCCUUUUUUAUUUUUUCUCUUCCCGUUUUCCCAAGAGGGCCAACCCCCAUAUUUAUUUUUUAUCGACAAGAUCAUCGGUCGGGCGCCUUCAGCGAGCCCCAGUCAGCCGGCAACCUCCUCCAUUUUCUCCCAUUCUCUCACUUCCCGUAUCACUCAUUUUCCAUUAUUAUUAUUAUUAUCAUCAUCAUUGUUAUUGUUAUUAUUAUUAUUGUUAUUGUUAUUGUUAUUAUUAUUAUUGUUAUUGUUACUGAUGUUAUUUUAUUUUAUUUUAAUAGUAAUUGUUGUUUGUGAAAUUUGGAUUGUUGAAUUAAUUUGAAAUUUGUUAAUUUGGGUUUGUGGGUAUAUUGUAUUUGGUGAUUAAUUUGAGGAUAUUUGGAUUAUAUCUAUUGCAUAUUGUUUAUUUGAACUUGGGCUUAUUGUUAAGUUGUUAUUUGUUUAAGCUUAUUGGAUUGGGCUUGAAAUAUUAUUUCUCUUGACCAUAUUUUUUUUUUAUGUGGGCUUAUUAAUUGAUGUGAAUUUUGGGACCCAUAAUGUGGGUGGGAUUUGUUGAAUUAUUUGAAUAUUUGAUAUGGGCUUGGCCAAUUUGAAUUGUUUAAUUUGGACAUGGGACAAUUAUGGUGUAUAUUAAACUAGACUUAGAUUAUGAAAUAUUAAAUUUAGGUCUAGUAGAAUUUAUUUUAAUUUAUCCAAUUUUAGGUUUGGUUGACUGUGUUUGUAUUUUUUGUUAUUAAUUUGGAUGUUCUGGGUUAAGACCUAUAGUAAUUUGGACUCAUUUUAAUUGAAAAAAUUUAUGGGACUAAUUUGAAAUUGGAAUUUGGGUUUGAAUAUUUGUUUGGGAUUUUAUAUAUCUCUGGAUAUUUACAUUUGUGCUAUUUUUGUUUUUGCAUUGACCCAUUCUGUAAUCUUGUUGGCUGAGUACGAAUUGAUGACGUGUGGAGCUUGUUGUAAGUUUAUUUGGGUACAUAUUUUAUUUCCCACUUUUAUUUGGUUUUAUUUUAAUUAGUUCUUGUAAAUAUUUGUUCAUAUAUAUUUAUUGAAUGUGUACAGAAUUGAACAUCGAACAAAUUAUAAAUUUUGUUUAAAUGAGAGGAAGAAUUCAGUAAAUAUGUUCUAAUAAAAUACUAAUUUUAAAAUAUUCUUUUUAAUAAAAAAAAGUUUUUUUUUUCAUUAUUUAUAAAAAUUCAGAAAAAUACAUUUAGAAAAAUCCAAAAAAAUUUGUUUUUAAUAGAAUUCGAAAAAUUGUUUUUAAUGACAUUGUUAAAAAUUUCUUUGUUUAAUAAAAAUUGUCCAAAAAUUGUUUUGUAAAUAAAGUUGUUCCAAAAAUUAAUUUUUAAUAAAAUUGUCUAAAAAUAUUUUUUCAAAUGAAUUUUUUUUCCUUAAUUAAAAUGGGAUUAAAAGUGUUUCAAAAAUAGAGAAUUUAAAUCUUUGUUUUUCUUUCUAAUUAAAAUUUCUUUUGCAAAUAAAGUUAUGUCAUAUUAAAUAAUUUAUAAAAAUCACUCUUUUAAAUGAAAAUGAAUCUAAAUACUUUUGUAAAUAAAAUUGUAAAAAUUCAUUAUUUUCUAGUAAAAGCAAGUAAAAAUAAUUUUUGUACCCAAAUUGAAAUUUUGUAAUAAAUUCUUUUGAUACAAUAAGUGUAAAUAGCUUUUUUAAAAAUUGAAUACAACUGAAAUUGAGAAAAUAAAUUGAUUAUUUUUUAUAAGUAAAAAAAUUGAAAUCAUUAAUUCAAAAUCAUUUUUAAUAAAAUCCUUUGAAAUUUAUUUAAAACUUUUUUUAAUAUCUUUUAUUUAUUUAAUUCAAUAAAUCAUUUUGCAUAAUUCUCUUAUUAUUUAUUUUGUGUAUUUUGUAAUUAGAUUCCAUCAUUGUUUUUGUGCAUAUUAAUUUUCACCAUGACUUGUAUAUUGAUUAUUUUUCUUGAUAUCCAUAAUUAAUUAAUCAAUUGCCACAAUUUCCUCAAUUCAUUUAGUAGAGGUCGUAUGUAUACGGGCUUAGAGGGGUGCUAUGGCUCACCAUCGUACCUUCCCAAUGAGUAACCUGACCCCCAAACCUAGACUCGGUUUUUAAUAGACCCGGUUUUUCCUUUAGGAGUCACACUUAGGGUUUUUCUUUCUUAUUUUGUUUUUCCCUUUAAAAAUAAAACAAAAAUAAGCGGCGACUCCAAGUCUUUUUCUAAAAAUCAAAUUUUCACCCAACAAAAUAAAAAAAACGAGUUUUCGCCAUCAAGUGGGAACGCAUUGAGCAAAAUGUGGGGUCCAUAAAAUGGCGACUCCACUGGGGAAUCAUUUUAGAGGGUCAAACUUGAACUCGAGUUGAGGGAAAUGUGACAUUUGAUUGGUCGAUCAAUGGAUACCCCUAUUUAUGUGUUUUUGUAUGAUUGAGUGUUGAUUACACGUUGAGAACUUUGAUAUGUUUAUUCGUGAGGCAUGUUUAGUUAUUAUUGUUCAUUGGAGAUGUUCACAUAUUGAUUACAUCGAUUGAUUCUCUUACCUACUUUAGCAUAGUUACUCUUCUUGUUGUAUGAUUGUCUUAUUUUCCUUGACAUGCUAUUCUCAUUUUUGUAUAUCUUAUUCAUAUUGGCAUGAUUGAUUCUCUUUAUUGUAUAUUAUUUUGUUUAUCUCGACAUAUUGUUUAUUCUUGUUAUAUACUUAUCUUGCUUAUCAUAUUCUUGCCUAACUUGUGUGUAGAUAUGAGUGAUAUACCUGUUAUUUGCAUGACUGCUUGGUGCAUAACUGCUAUUCUUCUAUGUGAUGCAUGUAUUGCUUGUCUAUGCGAGACACACAUCUAUUCCCUUACCUCCAACUCCCUAGUCUCGGUUGACCUUGUUUCACUUGAUCUUGUAUUUGAUAUGAGACUUGUCACUUUGUUUGCUCUUCGAUCGAGCUAGCGGUUAGGAGUAGGGUUUAGUAACGGGCUAUAUCAAUGUUUGGAAGCAUUUUGGAGGAGGCCAACACGUUGAUGCUGAUGGGAGUCCAAUCUUUGAAGACUUGUAUAGCCCAGAGCUAGGUUUCAUGGAUAUUUGUGUGAUCAGUGUGUUUCUUUUUUCUACUUUAGCUUCAUAGGAUUUUCGAAUGCACCCACACCGUCAUUGCGCACUCUAGCGGACCAUUGAGAGUUGAGAGUUUUGAGAGGUUUCACCAUAAAAAAAACCCCUGGGAUGUCGAGGUAGUGCAUGUGUGGAGGUGAUGACCACCUUGCAUGGAAGUGUCCUGUCUCUUCGGAGGCGUGCAAAGGGUUGCGUACCAUCGGAGGGUAUGAUCGCUUCUGCUAGGGAUCUUUUAAAGUCCACCCAUAUCCAUUUAGAGCCACCUUGACCUCGUAGGUUGAACCGUAGAUCCUCCGAUUAGGACUCCCUUCAUACACGUGGGUGCAUCUGAGGGCCUUCAGAGCCUCUUUGAUCAUAGGUAGGAUUCAAUAUUCCUUCUUUUAGUCUCCAGUUAAGAGUGUACAAAGAUCAGUAUGGGUUUGAGUUACAGUCGGACAACCCUUCUACACUUUGAUGCCUUGCUCAUUCUAGUUCAGACUAGCAUUUCUUCCAUGUUUUCCAUGUGCAUAUCAUAUCUCGUGCUUCAUGCUCUUCAAGAUUGGUUCUUCAUUCUCGGUGUGGAUUUACCAUCUUGGGUUAGAGUAGAGGGGAGCUUAGUUCGAUUUUUCAAGAGAUCAGGCAUAGAUCAGCAGACUAUCAUAGUUGAUUAGUUCACGAAUGCCAUGGAUUCUAUUUAGGUAUCUUGUGUUUCAUGCUCUUCAGGAUUGGUUCUUCAUUCUUAGUGUGGAUUUGUCAUCUUGGGUCAGAGUAGAAGGAAGAUUAGUUUGCUUUUCCGAGAGAUCAAACAUGGAUCAGCGGGUUGUCACAAUUGAUCAGUUCAUGACUGCCAUGGCUUCUAUUUAGGAGGUCUUGGCUAGUCUCAGGCGGGAGAUAGACAGUCAACAGAUUAGAUAGCCCAUAGUUCAGAAUGAGAUGCCUUAUGACAACCACCUUCACUACUACCACCUGUUUCGACAAUAUCAUAGGCUCCACCCUAUAUAUUACAUGGUCAUUCUGAGGUUGCCCCGGUUGUAGUAGUCCAGACCACAGUCCUUGAGGAUACUUAUGCAUGUAUGGAUCAUAUUGAAUAGUGUAUCAGGCAGUUGAGAGUAUUUGACAGUUCAUCGACUUGGGAUGAUCUUGAUAGUAUACCAGUGGCCAGUCUACCGGCCAAGUUCAAGAUGCUUGACAUUAAGAGGUACAUGGGCAUUGGUUGUCCAUGUAUUCAUCUUCGACUCUAUAGUACUGUGAAGAGGGCCCAUGGGUUAGACGAGUCAUAGAUGAUCACCAUGUUUCCUUUAUCUCUGAGUAGCGCAGCCCAGCAUUAGUUCGCAUCUUUGGAGUCCUCACGACGCAAGUCAUGGGAUGACCUAGCUUAGGAGUUUCUUUGACAGUUUUCAUUUAGUACUGUCGUAGAUGUGUCGAGGAGAGAGCUUGAGGGUUUCAGACAAAGAUUAGAUGAGUUCAUUUCUUCCUUCAUCUCCCGCUGGUGGGGGAAGAUAGUAGAGAUUGUUGAUUGACCAUUAUAGAGAGGUGACUUUAGUCUUGAGGGUCAUAAGAGGAUUGAUUAAAGAUCCUAUAGGGAAGUUCAGACCCAACUGGAGCGGACCUUAUUUCAUCAGGAACUUGACCCUAGAGGGCACUACAUGGUUGAUGGAUUUAGAUGGAAACCAAUUCUUGGAGCCGACCAAUGUGGAUCAGCUAAAGAGGUACUAUGUUUGAGACCAUGGUCGUAGGAUGGGUGAUCAUCAUUUCGGUAAGCCAUAUACCUUGUUAUUCCCUUUUGAUAUAUAGUCCGUUGCUAGCCCAUUGAGUCUCGCAUGCAUAUUACAGUCUUUCUUUCUUAUCGCCUUGCUCACAUUUUUCACACUAGGAUAAGGGCCCUUUAGUGUAUGCAUUCAUUGUUUGGGAGUUCCAUGAGCCUUAGACCUAGGGGCGCAUACUUCUCAUUAUCUUUCCUUAUCACUGCAUCACUGCAUUCCAUUGUAUCUCAUUGGUUGUGUUCUUCAUCUAUUCUUUUUUUAUUCUAUCUACUACUUGUUUUGAUUCAUAUUCUUUCCACCCUGAGUGGUGAUCCUCCUCAGUUCAUUACACGGAGGGUAGUCACAUCAUUACCACUGUCUAUCCCACGGACACUAGUUCAGAGAUUCUUAGUUUGAGAAGGUCAUCUUGUCAGAGAGAGUUUUUGUUACCUUAGCGCUCGAGAGUGUGUCUAUCCAUUAUUGAUAUCAUCUUUGGGGCUUAUUUUGUUCAUAUUCAAGGUGUGUACAUUUGUAUAUAUGUAAAAAAAAAUGAAAAGAAAAAAAAUGAUGAAAAAAAAUGAAAUGAAAAAAAAUGAUGAAAAAAUUGAAAAAAAAAAUGAAUGAAAAAAAUGAAAAAAAAAAACUGCAUGUGUGUAUUAUUUUCUAUCAUUGAGUGUGUAUAUUGAUGUUCGAGGGUCACUUAAUUGAGUAUGUUUGUUGAUGGGAGUUCGUGUGUGAGCUUUCCGAGACCCUCCAUGCUUUGUAUUCAUUUUUAUUGUAUAUUUUGAGAAGGAGAUGAGUGACCUUCUCUUAGAAGCUCUAGGUCAUUGUCAUUGCAUCAUUACGUUCAUUGUUGAUGUGAGUUCACUCCAUGUCUGAUUUGAGUUGAUCACUACUCCUCUUUGUGUUAUUUGUUUCAUCAUCAUCCUCGUUUUUGCUUCUCAUUCAUCAUUUUCACUUCACGUCUUAUUCUUUUCUUACAACAACCCAUCUCGGGUUUGACACUCUCUUCGCAUCAUCAUUACACAUAUCAAUAUCAGUUCCUUUUGCUUCUUUUGUCUCCUCAUCAACAUCAUAUUCACAUUAGGCAUUCUCAGGUCUAUGGCUCAUAGGAUUCACUAUACAUGUUGCAUUUCAUAUAUGAGGGCAUGGGUUUUUUAUCAUUGGGUAUUUGAGCCUAGUUUUCCUUCAUUUCUAUCACCCUAUCACCUUGGCCUACAUUACGUUCCGUGUCUUAAGACCGCCCUGAGGCCAUGGGAUCAAAUGUCAUCUUCAACAGCCUCUACUUGGACAAGUGUUUGAGAUCUGGUUGAUAUUUGGAUGUCGUCAUGCUUCUUCUUCUGGGAGUCGCAUCUUUGAUGUUUAGAUCUGAUUCAGUUGUGUUUAGAUUACCGGGAUCAUGCAUUUGAUGAUGGAUGAUUUGAUGUCACCUAAUUUUCUAACUAUCACAUAUUCGAUGUCAUACAGGGGCAUAUUCCGUCUCGGGCGAGAUUUACAGAUCUUCACAGAGUUGCAUGCUCAUCUCCACUUGCAAGAUGUACGCUGAGAUGAUGGUCUAUUUGCUAUUUUUAUGAUGAUCCCUUAGUGGAGCCUAUGUGGAGCCAUUCAUCCAGACCCACAUUUCUCGAUAUUUGGUUGUUGUCAUGCUUUUUAUUCCAAGAAACGUUCCCUAGAUGUUUGGAUUUGAUUUGGAUCAUGGAGAUCGCAUGUUCGAUGAUGGAUGAUUCCAUGUCACCUGAUUUCUGACCUAUCGUACAUUCGAUGCCAUACUAUGGCAUAUUUUCGUCAUGGAUGAGAGUUAUAUAUCUUCAUGGAGCUGUGUGAUCACUCCCACUUACGGGAUAAUCAUCGAGACGAUGACCUGUUCACUAUUUUUAAGAUGAUUCCUCAGUGAAGCCUCCUUAGAGACAUCCAGCUAGGCCUGCACUUCUCGGCACUUAGAUGCCAUCAUGCUUCUCCAUCUGAGAAGUACAUCUUAGAUCUGUGGCUAUGAUUCAGUUAUGGGGUUUGGAUGACCAGGAUUGCAUAGUUGAUGAUUGAUGAUUUCAUGUCAUUUGAUUUUUCUGACCUGUCACACAUUCGAUGCCAUACUGGGGCAUAUUCGCCCUGUCGGUCGAGAUUUGUAGAUCCCCACUUAUUCGUAUGAUCAUCCCUAGUUAUGAUAUAUGCGCCAGGUUGAUGAUUCCAUUUCAUUUUAUCGUGAUUCUCUAUUGGAGCCUUUAUUGAGUCUUUCAGUCAGGCUCAUAUUUUCCGAUAUUGUCGUGAUUCUUGGGUGAAGUUACUCCAGGCGCAUAGGUUCCCACAACACCAUUUCAGUGGAGUACAUGUCAGAUCUUUUAUGCAUCCCCAUGGAGUUAUUCUUGAGUUAUCAGGACAGAUCAGGUACAUCUAAUGCCAUGCUGGGGCAUAUUCCUUCCUUUAGCUAUGGAGAUGAUCCUUCUCUCACGGAUCUAUUAUAGUUUUCAUCACUCGGCCGAGAGAUACUGUAUUUGCUUUACUGGUCACUAUUCUUGUGAUUUUCAUCGAAAUGAGCUUUCGAUGGAGCAUGACAUUCAGGUUGUGAUUGUCCCGCUAUCCAUGACUCCGCAGUAGAUUGUUUUGAUGAGAUCAUGGUAGUUACCCUAGCGGAUUAUUCUCUUAAGACUCCCUAGUGGAUUACCCAUUUGAGAUGACGAUGGAUUCCUCCAGCAGAGCAUUUCAAGAUAGAGACGUCUGACUCAUUGUGACAUCUCGUUAAGCCUCGUGAUCCAGACGGAUGGGUUGCACGACUAUGUUUAUAGUCGAUUUGAUCAUUCCAACUCGCUAGCAAAGCAUCUCUUGAGGCUCAUGGAGUCUCUUUUAUACCUUGUCAGAGGAUGGAGAGUUGUGGCGGCAUGCUACACUAGGGCAUAUUCCCUCCCCCCCCCCCCUCCUCAUCGUUUCCUUGUCGUUUGGAGUUCAGAGUUGCCAUCCAUUCUCGGAUACGAUGUACAGAGUCGUCCAUUUUCAACUUGGCGUUCAGAGCCACCAUGUCUUCUCAGUCACGACGUUUAAAGUCGUCUUUCUCAGCCUGACAUUCCUAGUUAUUAGUCUAGUUGGGCAUUCAAAUCCGUUGUUUCUGCUUGGCAUUCAUAGCUAUUAUUUUUAGUUUGGUGUUCAAAGCCACCACCUCUUUUCAAUUUGGCCUUCAGAGUCGUAUUUUCAUUUUGGCAUUUAAUGACACCAUCUUUCUUUAUUUUGGCAUUCAGAGUCGCAUAUUUAGUUUGGCGUUCAAAGCCGCAUUUUCAUUUCGGCAUUCAGAGCCACAUAUUUAUUUUGGCGUUCAGAUUCGUAUCUUCAGUUUGGUGUUCAGAGUCGUAUUUUCAUUUCGACGUCAAAGCUACCACCUUUUUCGUUUGGUGUUUAGAGUUGUUGUUCAUUUUCCAUUUGGCGUUGAGAGCCACAUUUUCAUUUUGACAUUCAGAUGCUUGUUGUUUUGUUCGACGUUCAGAGCCACAUCUUUAUUUCGGCGUUCAGGAGCCGCAUCUUAGUAUCGGCGUUCAGAGUCGCAUUCUCAAUAUCGGCGUUCAAAGUUGCAUUCUCAGUUUUGGCAUUUAGAGCCAUCAUCGAUUUUCAGUUUGAUGUUCAGAGUCGUAUUUUUAGUUUCGGCGUUCAGAGACAUCACUUCUUGGUAUCGGCGUUCAGAGCCAUCUUCAUCGCAUUUUCAGUUUCAGCGUUCAGAGCCAUCAUUGUCGUUUCUCAGUUUCGGCAUUUAGAGCCCUCAUUGUCGCUUCUCAGUUUCGGCAUUCAAAACCAUCAUCACUUCUUAUUUUAACGUUUAGAGUCACAUUCUCAAUUUCGACGUUCAGAGCCAUCAUCACUUCCCAGUUUGACGUUUAGAGUCACAUUCUCAGUUUUGGCGUUCAGAGCCAUCAUCGGUUUUUAGUUUGAUGUUCAGAGUUGUAUUUUCAAUUUCAGCGUUCAAAGCCAUCACCGUUUCUUAGUUUCGGCACUCAAAUCCAUCCUCGUCGCAUUUUCAGUUUCGGCGUUCAGAGCCAUCAUUGUCGCUUCUCAGUUUUGGCGUUCAAAGCCAUCAUUGCUUCUCAGUUUGACAUUCAGAGUCGUAUUCUCAGUUCCGGCGUUCAGAGCCAUCAUCACUUCCCAGUUUGACGUUCAAAGUCGCAUUCUCAGUUUUGGCAUUCAGAGCCAUCAUCAGUUUUCAGCUUGAUGUUCAGAGUCGUAUUUUCAGUUUCGGGGUUCAGAGUCAUCAUCAUUCCUUCUCAAUUUCACAUUCAGGGAUGUCAGUUCUCAAUUUAGUGUUCAAAGCCAUGCUUUCAGUUUGGUGUUUAGAGCCUCAUCUCUGGUUUGGCGUUUAGAGCCAUCAUCCUAUCAUGAUCGGGCAUUCAUUGCCACAUUUUCCACGUUUAGAGCUACGUUCCUAGCAUUCAGGACUGUCAGUUAAGUUUGGACAUUUAGAGCUUCGUCUUUAGUAUUUAGUGUUAUUAGUUUUUUUAGUUUGGCAUUCAGAGCCAUGUCUUCAGUUUGGUAUUCAGAGUUAUCAUGUCUUUCUUCAGUUAGGCGUUCAAAUCCACCAUAUCUCUUUCAAUUCGGUGUUUAGAGUUGCAUUUUCAUUUUGGCAUUCAGAGUCGUUGUUUGUUUCAGUUUCACAUUUAAAGUUGUGCUUGUAGUUUGACAUUCAGAGCCAUUAUUUAGCUUGGAAUUCAGAGCUGUCAUAAGAGCCAUCGUAUGUUUAGUUUGGCGUUCAGAGCUAUCAUUCACAAUUUUGCAUUCAGAGCCAUUGUUCACACUCAGCGUUCAGAGCCACCACAUCUCCACAGUUUGGAGUCUAAAAGUCAUCAUUCAUAGUCAGGCAUUCUGAGCCGUUGGUCAGCUUGGCAUUCAGAACCAUUAUAUCUUCAGCUCGACAUUUAGAGCCAUUAGUUAGCUUGGCAUUCAGAGCCAUCAUAUUUUUAGUUCAGCAUUUAGAGCCAUUGGUCAGCUUGGCAUUUAUAUGCCACCAUAUUUCUUCAGUUUGGCAUUUAGAGCCACCAUUUUCCUUUAGUUCAGCGUUCGGAGCCGCAUUCCUAGCAUUUAAAGUUGUCAUUCUCUUUUAGUUUGGUGCUCAAAGCCACAUUGCUAGCAUUUAGGGUUGUCAUUUUCUUUUAGUUUAGCAUUCACAGUCAUUUUCUUCACUUUAGAUGUUUAAAGCCCUGAGCUUGCAACCUAGAGUCGUUCUUUCAAUUUAGAGCCCUGAGCUCACGACCUAAAGUCGUUCAUUUCAUCUAUGACCCAGAGUGAUUCUUAGCAUUUAAAGCCCUGAGCUCACGACCCAGAGUCGUUCUUCUUAUUCAUGACCCAGAGUCAUUCUUUCCAUUUGGAGCCCUGAGCUCAUGACCUAGAGUCGUUCUUCUUAUUCAUGACCCAGAGUCAUUCUUUCCAUUUGGAGCCCUGAGCUCAUGACCUAGAGUCAUUUUUCUCAUUUAAGACCUAGAGUCUUUCCAAUCUUGAGCUGAGCCUUCAUCAUUUGGUCACCCAUGAGUGGCAUGACUUGGAGUUUGUGUAUCGCAUUCUCUUUCUAGUUGAUCAGUCAUAGAGCCUGGAGCUCAUAGCCCUAAGCUAUUCACCUAGCCCUGAGCCAUUCAUUGUAACCCUGAGCUACUCAUUACGUCAUGACCCAGAGUCAUUCAUGGCAUUUUGAGCCAUGACCUCACGACCCAGAGUCAUUCCUAUUCUUCACAUCCCUGAGAUGUUUCAUUUUCAUCAUUCUAGCCACCUAUGAGUGGCCUCGACCCGGCACCACGAGCAAGAAAGCAUCUUGAUUGGCCAUCCAUUUAAAGCCUUGAGCUCACGACCCAAAGUCGUUCUUCUCAUUUAUGACCCAGAGUCAUUCUUAGCAUUCAGAGCCCUUAGCUCAUGACCUAAAGUCAUUCUUCUUAUUUAUGAUCCAGAGUCAUUCUUAGCAUUUAGGGUCUGUUCACAAUUCAGAUCCAUUUUCACCAUUUAGGCAUUCAAAAUCACCAUUUUUCUUCAUAGGCGUUCAAAGUUGUCUUUUCCAGUUUUAGGCGUUCAAAGUUGUAUUUAUUAGCUUAAGGCAUUUAGAGCCGUAUUUUCCAGUUUUAGGAGUUCAAAGCCAUCUCUUUUGGUUUUAGGCGUUCAGAGCCAUGUCUUCAGUAUAGGCGUUCAAGGUCAUUUCUCCUAGUUUUAGGCAUUUGGAGCCACUUUCAUCAGUUUUAGGCAUUCUGAGCCAUCUCUAUCAGUUUUAGGCGUUUAGAGCCAUGUCUUCAAUUUGACAUUUAGAGUCAUUAUCUUCUUCAUUUUGACAUUUUAGAUCCAUCAUCUUCUUUAGUUUAGCAUUCAGAGUCAUGUCUUCAUUUUGGCAUUCAGAGCCAUUGUCCAUUUAAGCGUUCAAAGCCAUCAUGUUCCUUUAGUUUUGGCGUUCGGAGCCGUUAGGCAUACUCAUUUAGACAUUUAGAGACUCUUUGUUCUUGUUUUGGUUUAAGAGAGCCCAUGUCAUACUGGAACAAAUUUGGAGGUCUUUCUUAUUCUUCAGCAAAGUUCACUUCGUUUCGUUCGUGUAUAUACUCACUUUAUUCAUGAACUCUACCAAAGAGGGGCAUAUUUGUAGACCCCAAAAUUUGUCUCAAUUUUGUUUUUACAUUAAUUUUGAGCUCAAUUUUAAAUCCCGAUUACAUUUGUUAUUUUAGGCCCACUCACCCUUUAAUUUUUUGUUUUCAUUAUUUUGUAAAAAAAAUUUUAUCUUAUUUUAUUUUUAUUUUAUUUUUUUUACUUAUUAUUUUUAUUUGUUAUUAUUAUUAUUAUUAUAUUACAUUAUAUUAUAUUAUUUUUUUAUUUUUUUUAUUUUUUAUUUUAUUUUUUUCUCUCUCCUCUCUCUUCGUUUUUCUCCUCCACCUACCCUUACCCACCCACUUCUUCUCUCUCCUCCCAUACUCCUCACCACCAACCACUUUUCAUUUUUCCCUCAAUUUUUUUCCCUCUCACUUUUCUCUCUCUUCCCUGAAACUCCCUUUCCCCCCCCCCCAUCCCACCAUUUUUCUUUUCCCUCAAAUUUUUCCCUCCUUUUCUUCCCCAACUUCUCUACUACUCUUCCUCUCUUCCCCAUUUUUUCUUCUCUUCCUCCUCCAUUCUCUUUUUUUUUUCUUUUUUAGUUUUUCUCCUCCCGUUUUCUCAAGAGGGUCGGACCCCCAUUUUUAUUUUUUAUCGAGAAGAUCAUCGGUCGGGCACUGUCGGCGAGCCCCAGUCGGCUGACGACCUCCUCCCUUUUCUCUCAUUCUCUCACUUCCCGUAUCACUCAUUUUCCAUUAUUAUUAUUAUUAUUAUUAUUAUUAUUAUUAUUAUUAUUAUUAUUAUCAUCAUUAUUAUUGUUAUUAUUAUUGUUAUUAUUAUUAUUUUUAUUGUUAUUGUUGUUAUUUUAUUUUAUUUUAAUAGUAAUUGUUGUUUGUGAAAUUUGGAUUGUUGAAUUAAUAUGAAAUUUGGGGUUAAUUUGUUGUGGGUAGAUUAAUACGUAAUUUGAUUUUAUUUAUUGUUAGUGAAUUAAUUUGAAAUUUGUUAAUUUGGGUUUGUGGGUAUAUUGUAAUUGGUGAUUAAUUUGGGGAUAUUUGGAUUAUAUCGAUUGCAUAUUGUUUAUUUGAACUUGGGUCUAUUGUUAAGUUGUUAUUUGUUUAGGCUUAUUGGAUUGGGCUUGAAAUAUUGUUUCUCUUGACCAUGUAUUUUGUUUUAUGUGGGCUUGUUAAUUGAUGUGAAUUUUAGGACCCAUAAUGUUGGUGGGAUUUAUUGGAUUAUUUGAAUAUUUGAUAUGGGCUUGGCCAAUUUGAAUUGUUUAAUUUGGACAUGGGACAAUUGUGAUGUAUAUUAAACUAAGCUUAAAUUAUGAAAUAUUAUAUUUAGGUCUAGUAGAAUUUAUUUUAAUUUAUCUCAUUUUAGGUUUGGUUGAUUGUGUUUGUAUUUUUUGUUAUUAAUUUAGAUGUUCUGGGUUAAGACCUAUGGUAAUUUGGACUCAUUUUAAUUGACGAAAUUUAUGGGACUAAUUUGAAAUUAGAAUUUGGGUUUGAAUAUUUGUUUAGGAUUUUAUACAUCUCUGGAUAUUUACAUUUGUGUUAUUUUUUGUUUUUGCAUAGACCCAUUCUACAAUCUUGUUGGCUGAGUACAAAUUGAUGACACGUGGAGCUUGUCGUAAGUUUAUUUGGGUACAUAUUUUAUUUCCCACUUUUAUUUGGUUUUAUUUUAAUUAAUUCUUGUAAAUAUUUGUUCGUAUAUAUUUAUUGAGUGUGUACAAAAUUGAACAGCGAACAAAUUAGAAAUUUUGUUUAAAUGAGAGAAAGAAUUCAGUAAAUAUGUUCUAAUAAAAUACUAAUUUUAAAAUGUUCUUUUUAAUAAAAGAAAGUUUUUUUUUCAUUAUUUAUAAAAAUUCAGAAAAAUGCAUUUAGAAAAAUCCAAAAAAUUGUUUUUAAUAGAAUUCGAAAAAUUGUUUUUAAUGACAUUGUUCAAAAAUUUCUUUGUUUAAUAAAAAUUGUCCAAAAAUUGUUUUGUAAAUAAAGUUGUUCCAAAAAUUAAUUUUUAAUAAAAUUGUCUAAAAAUAUUUUUUCAAAUGAAUUUUUUUUCCUUAAUUAAAAUGGGAUUAAAAGCGUUUCAGAAAUAGAGAAUUUAAAUCUUUGUUUUUCUUUUUAAUUAAAAUUUCUUUUGCAAUUAAAGUUAUGUUAUUUUAAAUAAUUUAUAAAAAUCAAUCUUUUAAAUGAAAAUGAAUCUAAAUACUUUUGUAAAUAAAAUUGUAAAAAUUCAUUAUUUUCUAGUAAAAGCAAGUAAAAAUAAUUUUUGUACGCAAAUUGAAAUUUUGUAAUAAAUUCUUUUGAUACAAUAAGUGUAAAUAGCUUUUUUUAAAAUUGAAUACAAUUGAAAUUGAGAAAAUAAAUUGAUUCUUUUUUAUAAGUAAAUAAAUGGAAAUCAUUAAUUUAAAAUCAUUUUUAAUAAAAUCCUUUGAAAUUUCUUUACAACUUUUUUUAAUAUCUUUUAUUUAUUUAAUUCAAUAAAUCAUUUUGCAUAAUUCUCUUAUUAUUUAUUUUGUGUAUUUUUGUAAUUAGAUUCCAUCAUUGUUUUUGUGCAUAUUAAUUUUCACCAUGACUUGUAUAUUGAUUAUUUUUUUGGUAUCCAUAAUUAAUUAAUUAAUUGUCACAAUUUCCUCAAUUCGUUUAGUAGAGGUCGUACGUAUAUGGGCUUAAAGGGGUGCUAUGACUCACCACCGUACCUUCCCAAUGAGUAACUUGACCCCCAGACCCAGACUCGGUUUUUCUAUGAUAUGUUUUUUCCUUCAGGAGUCACACUUAGGGUUUUUCUUUCUUAUUUUGUUUUUCUCUUUAAAAAUAAAAGAAAAAUAAGUGGCGACUCCAAGUCUUUUUCUAAAAAUCAAAUUUUUACCAAACAAAAUAAAAAAGCGAGUUUUCGCCAUCGAGUGGGAACGCAUCGAGCAAAAUGUGGGGUCCACACACCCCUUUUCAACUUUUUUCAGCAUGGAUGAUGGAAAACACUUCAUUUGAAUGUUUGAUUAUAGUCUACCUCUUGCCAUAGACUCGUCAUCAUAUUGUAACACUCGAUAAUCGAUCAGCUACCCUGUUUUGUAAUGGAGAUUUUAAUAUUCAAUUCACAAAUUCAGGCAGCAUCCCGUAUUUUUUAGUUCCUUUGCCAAACGGUUUCCCAAAUUGCAUGUUCUAUUGAUUUCAGGUAACAUUGAAUUCCAUAACUAUGACAUAAUCAUAGAAUCUUCUUUGUCCCAAACAAUAAAUUGUAGAUCUUCAGGUUUUGGGCCUGUUCCAGUGAGAUGACUCAGUUUUCCCCUACCCUUUAAAAACAUCCUCACUAGUUGUGACCACUGUAGAUAAUUCCUUCUUGUUUAGCGGUAUGCAAUCUGAAUAUUAUGAAGUUCUCUAGUCAUAUGGUUUUGGGAUGCUUCCAUGGGUGACUCUGUAAUAUUGAUUAAUGGGGCUGGUAUGAUUUCUGACAUAUCCAAUAUUGAAAAAUCCAAAAACAGAUUGAUUAGAUUCUGAAAAAAUAAGAGAGCCGAAAAAGCAAAAGACAAUAGAGUACAUUUAUGGUGAUUAAGGCCCAAGAAUGAAUUUAGACAGGUUAUCAAUGACAAUGAAUCCCAGAGAGCAAAUUGCUUUGAUACCAUGAUGUGAGAAAUUCUAAUUCAAGAAUAAAACAAAUAGUACAUAUUUAUGUGGUAACAUAAUCCUAUUCAUAAAAUUCAAAAUAUGAUUGGAAACUGACUAGGUGUUUGUUUUUUGGCUGAAUAGAAAAAGCCAAAUAUUUUGGCUUUUUCUAUUAAGCCAAAUAUUUUGGCUUUUUCUAUUAAGCCAAAAAACAAACACAACCUAAUUCUUAUCAUUGGAAACUAACUCUAACCAUCCCUGUAAAUUAGAAGCACUCCUAAUAUAUAGAAAGUUUGACUUAUGAUAGUUGUACCAUAAUUUCCUAAAUUUAAGGACCUGAUGUUCUUCAACACUUUAUCAUCCUUUCAAGGAUCAGCACACAUGGCAGAGAAGAGGUGACCUUGUACUGGCUGUCCAAAAGGUGGCAUGGAACAAAAAUAAAAGCGGUCAAGAUGACAUGAGAGACCCAUUUGAAAUCUGCUAUCAUGAACACCCUACACCCUCUUUUUUCUUAUUUAAGAAAAAGAAAAACACUGAAAUAGAAGUAGGAGCGUGCGUGUGAGUGUCAGCUCACAUGGUAGAAAAGAUGUGGCCCUUUUACUGUUUCUCCAUUUAACUUAAAGGUUACACUGAACAAAAAUAAGAAGUUUAGGAUAUCAAACACUAGCUACCCAUUUGGAAAAAAAUGACUGUUUCAAGUCCAUUUGGCAGCCAUUGCGGGACUAAAACAAAAAAAUUAUCUUACCCAAUAAAAUGGUACAUGUUUAAUAAUUUAUUUCAAUUUGCACUACAAGGAAAAAGAUAUAUGGUGACAUUUAUAAUAAGUCACUAUAAACAUAGGGUGUCACUACAACAUAGCGUCACCUUAUCCACUGACACCAUAGAGGGUAUCAAUUGGUGACGUAUUUGGAAGUGACACCAAAGCAGAUAAAUGGUGACACAUUCAAAAGAGACACCAUAUAUUUUUAGUGAUGCUUAAUUUGAUAUAGAGUUGUAUGAGAUAUAUAAGAUGUCAUAUUAAAUGCAUCAUCUUUGAGUUAUGGUGUCACAUUAAAUGUAUCACCUUUAAUUUAUGGUGUCACAUCAUUGUAAAUGAUUAUGGAAGAUAUGGUUGUUUUUUGUUGAUUAGUUUGUAGAUUUUUGUAAUGCUUAUUAAUAAAUAAGACUAACCUAUGUAAAUUGUCCAUAAAUAUAAUAAUCAUAUUACAUUUAACUUAUAUUUUCAUAAUGCUUAUGAAUUAAUUUGUAACAUAUUACAUCAUCCAAUAAUAUUUGUAUAUCAAAUGUUCACAAAAUGAUAGUACAUCAAACACAUCAAACCCACCAAAACUAAAAAAGAAAAGUGAAUACACAUUAAAACAUGAUUUAGAAAUGUUAAGCUUCCCAACAUUCAUGUAUACUUGCAUUUCAUAUGCAUAAAACCGGCUAACCAUAAAAUGACACAAGAGUUGCAUCCAAAAACCCAAAAUUCUCAAUUCCAAAUAAAGUAACAUUUAUGUCCUAUAAUGUAUGACAUAAGAGUCAUAUCUAAAAACCUAAAUCUUGUUGCCUCUUUCUCCUUUCUUUUUAUUCUUCAUAUUGUCCUCCCAAGAGUGUAUACCUGCAUUUCAUUGUUUAAUGAGUUUUAGAGUACUUAUUGAAAAUAAAAAUGUGAUGUUAUAAACAAUAAACAAAUCUAAGUACUAAUGUUUUCUUUUUCUUUUUUCUUUUUCUCAUUUUGGUAUAAAAAUAAUUCGUAAAGAAUAAGUAAUGUUAUACAAUAUCAAUGGAAAAUUCAAUCAUAUAACAACUAAGGGACUUACCAUGAAUGAUCACGAUACAUCAAUAUGAUUCAUGAUUAGUUAUAACACAAAAGUAAUCUAUUUUUCUCUAAUUUCAUCAAAUUCUACUUGAGAAUAUGUUUUAUUUGUCAUCAAACUGAAAUCAAAUGAGAAUAACAUUAAUAUCACUAUAAUUGAAAGUAUGAAAUUAUGUACAAUUCAUUAAACGAGUAAAAUCUUUGAUGCAAUAACUAUAAAAUCAACAAUUAUUUCUUUAAUGAAUCUCAUAACAAAGUAGUCAUAUUUGAACUCAGUAUUAUUUUUUUACUAUUAAAUUAUUUUUAAACAAAAUAACAAUUAUUAAUAUAUUGGUUCAUUUUUAAAUACUUUCAUAAGAAUAUAUUUUAACUACAAGUUAUUUUAAUUUAUCAAAAGAUUUUUAGGAAAUGAGCUAUUAUCCAUUUAUUAUUUUCUUAUUUUUCAAAAAAUAUUUUCAGUCAUUUUAUACACGUUUUCAACUACUAAAAUUAUUGUUUUUAUAGAAUAAACAAAGAAGCAUACACUUCUUCUCCACUCACUAAGUCAACUAUUACAAUCACCAUAAUAUUUUAUUCACCUACCAAUAUCUCAUUCCAUUUAGAUAACUCUCUCAACAAAAUCAUUUCUACAAUACUUUUUACUCUCCUAUGAUAUUGAAUAUUUUAUUCCAUUUAGGUGACUCUCAACACAAAGAAAAGUAGGAAUGUCUUCUUAGGUUAACUAAACAAAGACUUUUUUUUUUACUUUACAAUAUGUAUAAAAAAAAACAAUUAUUUAUUACAAGAAAUGUGGUAGAAAGGUCAUUUCAUUUUUAAAGAAUUUUUUAGAAUUUCUUAAACAUUUACAAAAAAUAGAAUCUAACAGUUUUAUUUCUAAAAAAAUUGAUCAAUUCAAAAAAGAAAGAAGAAUGUUAUUUUUUAAGAAAAGUUAAUAAACCACUUUAUUCUUGAAUUAUCUAAACAAAACUUACUAAAAAAUAUUUUAUCCCAAAUUUAUUUUCAAAACUUUCUUAUUGAAAACUAUCUCAUAUAUAAAUUAUUUUAUUAUAUAGAGAAAUUCUUAUUUUAUUCUUUUUUUUAGAGAAAAAUUCACUUGUUUAUUAAAUAUCAAAGAAGUCUAUUUUUAUGUCUAUUAUAUAUAUAUAUAAAUUCUCUUAUUUUCAUACAAGAAAUUUCCAUUUAUGCCUAAAAUACUUUUAGAAAAAUCAUUGCCAACAAAAUUUUAUUUUUAAAAUUAUUUUCAACAUUCUUAUUUAAAAAAAUUAUCAUUGGAUUAUUUUCAAAAAGGACAGUCCUAAAAAAAUUAACCAUUUAUAACCCAAUUUAAACUCAAAAAUUAUCCCCAAUAUUAUUUUAUAUUCCUAAAUUAUUUUCAAACAAAAUAACAAUUAUUUAUAUUUUGAUUCAUUUUUAAAUACUUUCACAAAAAUAUAUUUUAACCACAUAUUAUUUUAAUUUAUCAAAAUAUUUUUAGGAAAUGAGUUAUUUUCCAUUUAUUACUAUCCUAUUUUUCAAAACAUAUUUUCAGGCAUUUCAUUCACAUUUUAAAAUUUCAAAUACUAAAAUUAUUGUUUUUAUAAAACAACAAAGCAUGUAAAUUUCAACUACUAAAAUUAUUGUUUUUAUAGAAUAAACAAAGCAACAUACACUUAUCUUCCAUUUACUAAUUCAACUAUUACAAUCACCCCAAUAUUUUGUUCACCUACCAAUAAUUCAUCCCAUGUAGUGACUCUAAAAAAAAGUCAUAUUUAUAUACCUUUUACGANNNNNNNNNNNNNNNNNNNNNNNNNNNNNNNNNNNNNNNNNNNNNNNNNNNNNNNNNNNNNNNNNNNNNNNNNNNNNNNNNNNNNNNNNNNNNNNNNNNNUUUUUCAAAACAUAUUUUCAGGCAUUUCAUUCACAUUUUAAAAUUUCAAAUACUAAAAUUAUUGUUUUUUAUAAAACAACAAAGCAUGUAAAUUUCAACUACUAAAAUUAUUGUUUUUAUAGAAUAAACAAAGCAACAUACACUUAUCUUCCAUUUACUAAUUCAACUAUUACAAUCACCCCAAUAUUUUGUUCACCUACCAAUAAUUCAUUCCAUGUAGGUGACUCUAAAAAAAAAAAGUCAUAUUUAUAAUACCCUUUACGACUCUGAUACCCAAUAUUCUAUUCUAUUUAGGUGACUCAAUACAAAGAAAGUGGGAAUGUUUUCUUAGGUUAACCGAAGAAAACCCUAAAUAACUUAAGUGCUUUUGGAUUAAUUGAGUAUCAUCUUGUAGUAGAUGUCAAUCUCUAUUGUUAGACUUCACCAAAAAGCUCCUAGCACGGUGGAAAAAAGUAUCAAAUAUAGUCAAGUCUUCAAUAAAAUACUAUUUUAUGCGAAAAAUUACUACAAACUAGUGUAUCUCUCAUUCUCAAUUAGACAAAAUUUUUAAAAAUAAUUCAUUUUUCUUGUUUUCAUUUGUUUUGGGGCUUAUUAGCAAUGAAACAAAAAAUAUGUUAGAAAGUUAAACCUAGUUUUUACUUCCCUGGAACUCGAUAAAAAACACCAUUUACAAAACCCACAUCAUAGAUAUACUAAAUCAAGAGAUAUAAAACAAUUAUACUAACAAAGGUUUUUGCAUUAAUAAAAAAAAUGAAGAUGGUAGAUAAGAGAUUUUGACUUACCCGAGAUUUUACGAAGCAAAGAAUAUCAAUUAUGGGUGUGCCGACCAUGGGUGUGAGAAGAAGGAGAAGAAAACGAUGGUUAGGGUUAAGCAAUAAGAUCUUUUAUAUUAGUUAAUGUAUAUAUGGAAACAAUGGACUUUUCAUAAAUUGUUCCUACUCACUAUUUUUAAAAAGGGCCCAUUAAGUAAUAAAAUUUAAAACUUUUUAUUUCAUAUGGUGUCACUUCCAAAAAAUGACACCAUAAAUAUGAAAUUAGCAUCAUCUAACUAUCCUAAUUGAAGAUUUUUUAUAUGAUGUGUCACCUUUAUAAAUUUUAAGUUCAAUGGUGUCAUUAUUUUAAAUGCGACACCAUAAAUAGUGACAUCAUAUAUUAUUUUUGUAGUAGUGUUGGACCAUAAUUCUCAUUCCUACUAUAUAUUUAUUUAUAUUUGGAAUCAUCAGUUGUAGCNNNNNNNNNNNNNNNNNNNNNNNNNNNNNNNNNNNNNNNNNNNNNNNNNNNNNNNNNNNNNNNNNNNNNNNNNNNNNNNNNNNNNNNNNNNNNNNNNNNNCCGAGAUUUUACGAAGCAAAGAAUAUCAAUUAUGGGUGUGCCGACCAUGGGUGUGAGAAGAAGGAGAAGAAAACGAUGGUUAGGGUUAAGCAAUAAGAUCUUUUAUAUUAGUUAAUGUAUAUAUGGAAACAAUGGACUUUUCAUAAAUUGUUCCUACUCACUAUUUUUAAAAAGGGCCCAUUAAGUAAUAAAAUUUAAAACUUUUUAUUUCAUAUGGUGUCACUUCCAAAAAAUGACACCAUAAAUAUGAAAUUAGCAUCAUCUAACUAUCCUAAUUGAAGAUUUUUUAUAUGAUGUGUCACCUUUAUAAAUUUUAAGUUCAAUGGUGUCAUUAUUUUAAAUGCGACACCAUAAAUAGUGACAUCAUAUAUUAUUUUUGUAGUAGUGUUGGACCAUAAUUCUCAUUCCUACUAUAUAUUUAUUUAUAUUUGGAAUCAUCAGUUGUAGCAGCCUUGCUUCAUCUACAACCUAAACAUGGUGAUGGUGUUACAAUGCAAAAUUCACCAAUCCUUCUUCAAACUUUUUUGAGUUUUCCCUUGACAAUGCUGUGAUGAAAAGUCCAAGAAAGCCCAAUGAAAAGGAACAGAAAUGCUCACCCUUCUCUCAACUCUCAACUGCUGGUCCCCACCCAAAAUCUAUGCCCAUACUUUCCAAGCAAUAUCCUUAAUUAGUCUGGUAGGCGAAGAAGACUGGGCUCCAAAAGGAUGCUGUGAGAUAUCUGGAAGAUCACCCAUGACAUUUUCAACGUACUGUGCGGUUGAAGGCCGAAAGAUAAACACAAAGCAAGAAAGCAUGGACAUGAGAAACUUGGAAUAGGAGAAAUGGAAAGCAGCAUGUGCCUUAGCAGUGCAAUUUUGUCUCUGUGUUUGUCAUGUAUGUGGUUGGGAGUAGUGCCUUCCAUUUCUGGUGCACAGACAGACACCAUCAAACCUGGGGAAGAGCUUCAAUUCUCGAAAAAAUUACUGGUUUCUGCAAAAGGGACUUUUACUCUAGGCUUCUUCAGCCUGGAAUCUGGCAGUUAUUUAGGAAUAUGGUACACAACUGAUGAUUAUCACAAGAAAGUUUGGGUUGCUAACAGAGACAAGGCUAUAUCCGGCACCGAUGCAAAUCUCACGCUGGAUGCUGAUGGCAAAUUGAUGAUCACGCAUAGUGGGGGUGAUCCAAUUGUCCUGAAUUCCAAUCAAGCAGCCAGAAACUCAACAGCUACUCUGCUUGAUUCUGGAAAUUUUGUUUUGGAAGAGUUCAAUUCGGAUGGAUCUCUGAAGGAGAAACUAUGGGCGAGUUUCGAUAAUCCUACAGACACCCUCCUGCCUGGGAUGAAACUAGGCAUCAACUUGAAAACCAGGCGAAACUGGUCACUUGCUUCAUGGAUAAGCGAACAAGUGCCUGCUCCUGGGACUUUUACCCUGGAAUGGAAUGGCACACAAUUGGUGAUGAAACGCCGAGGGGGCACCUAUGAACCUUGAAAGAUAGGAGCUUUGAGUUCAUUCCUUGGUUGAUGAGCUCUGAUACUUUCAAUAACAUCUACAGUUUUAACAGUGUUUCGAAUGCAAACGAGAUUUACUUUAGCUAUUCAGUUCCAGAAGGAGUUGUUUCAGACUGGGUAUUGACCUCGGAAGGGGGACUUUUUUACACUAGUAGACCUGUAUUUGUGCUGGACGAUCAGUGCGCUAGGUAUGAAGAAUAUCCAGGGUGUGCAGUGCAAAACCCACCCACUUGCAGGACUAGAAAAGACGGAUUCAUGAAGCAAUCGGUUCUCAUAUCAGGAUCACCAUCAUCAAUAAAAGAAAAAUCGAGCUUGGGCCUUAGGGAUUGUAAGGCUUUAUGCUGGAAUGAUUGUUCUUGUACUGCUUAUAAUAGUUUAUACACUAACGGAACUGGAUGUCGGUUUUGGAGUACAAAAUUUGCACUAGUCCUCAAGGAUGACGCAAAUCAGGAGGAGCUCUAUGUUUUAUCCUCAUCACGAGUUACGGGUAAGAGUCUCUCUGUAUUUUUGCAUUCCUGAAAGUAACCAAAGCAAAGUAGUUGAUGAAUCCAACAUUUUUAUUGAAUUUACAACCCUAAUAGGUGAUCAAAAAUUCAAAAUACCAUUAGAGGAGCUAUAUCAAGACCAUAAAAGACCCUCUUUCACUCAGUUCUGCUCUAACCAUAAAAUUUAUCAACUUCUAUCUAUGCAGGGAGCAGUUGGUGGAUAUGGGUCAUUAUUGCAGGAGUGGUACUUGUGGUCUUGUUGGUACUUGUGGUCUUGUUACUUACGGGCUCCUUAUACUAUUCAAGGAGAAAAUUCAGAGGUAGUAUUUUAUUUGAACUUUUGUUGAUGAUAGUAAUGCCAUUUGUUAAUGGGUUGGAUUGAACUUGUGACUUGUGGUAUAACAGGGGAGAGAGAAAUGGAGGAAGCUGCGCUGCUUGAAUUGACAACUUCAAACAGCUUUAGUGAUUCAAAAGAUGUUGAACAUGAUGGAAAGAGGGGGGCUCAUGAUCUUAAACUGUUCAGUUUUGAUUCUAUUGUGGCUGCCACGAAUAACUUUUCAUCUGAAAAUAAACUUGGAGAGGGUGGUUUUGGCCCGGUUUAUAAGGUAAAUAUUAUUAUUUCAUUAAUCCAUGGCAUGUAAUAGGAAUAGGACAUUCUUUGUUUUAAGUACCCCAAUUAAAGCUUCCUUUUGGAUUGUGGAUUGUGGAUUGUGGAUUAUUUUUGCAGGGGAAAUUACCUGAGGGGCAAGAAAUAGCAGUGAAGAGACUUUCAAGGGGCUCCAACCAAGGAUUGGUGGAGUUUAAAACUGAGAUUAGACUGAUCGUCAAACUCCAACACAUGAAUCUUGUUAGACUUUUGGGUUGCUACAUCAAGGGAGAAGAAAAGAUGUUAAUCUAUGAGUUCAUGCCCAACAAAAGCUUGGACUUAUUCCUCUUUGGUUUGAAUACUUCCCUUUUUUCUUCCUUUUAUCUGCAUGACUUUUCCUUAUGUUCUUACAUGUCAUCAUCCAACUAGACACUUCACAUGAAUUAAUUUUUUAAAACAUAUUUACCCCUAAAUGUCUUCUUCUCUCUUCAACCAAACCCUAACACCAAAAACUUAUGUUCUUUCUUAUUCGUUCACAACCACAACCCAUCACAAGGCGGGACGAUCCAUAAAAAAUCUGGUAACUCACUAUAAGAAAAAAGGGUAAUAAUGACGCUUUUUAGGCGUCAAUAAAUGUAUACGAUGACGCUUCUCGAAAGCGUCCUUUCCGCCUCUGUCAAGGAAUGGGUGCAGGCAACCAUGUCGCUUCUAGACAGCGUCAUUGUUGAUUGGUUUAUAUUAACACGUUAAAAACGUCAUUAUUGAUCUACCUAUGUUAACACUUACCAUGUCGCUUCUAGACAGCGUCAUUGUUGAUUGGUUUAUAUUAACACGUUAAAAACGUCAUUAUUGAUCUACCUAUGUUAACACUUACACUAGCGCCAAGGAAUGGCCAAAAUAUCAUUUGUCUAUUUCGACACUAAAAAAAGUGUCAUCUUAUGUGGAUAAUAAUAUUGAAAAUCCCCCUGUUGAAAUGAUAUAUUUUUGUAUGGCCUGUUAUAUGUAAUUUUGGUUGCAUGAUUAUUUAUAAAGUACCAAACAAUAACUUCAAUAUUACAUCUUCCAAAAGAAAUUGAAUAAAUUUGGGAAUAAUAUAAUGAUAAAGAACUAAUGUCUACAUAGUUAAUUAAUACGCAAAUUUGUAAAUGUAUCAAAAUAUUUACAAGCAUAUUUUCCAACUUCAACAUAUAUAAAACAAGUACACAUGUACCAAAAAACAAGGUCUCCAAAUUCCUUAUCAAAAAUAAUAUUACAAGAAGAAGCCAAAAGUAUUUAUAGCCAAAAGUAUUUUUGUUGGUUGCAUAUCCACUCCUGAACUUGAAAUCUUUUACCUGUAUACAUUUAAAAAAAAUUAAUAGAAGAAACAAAUUAUGUUUAGUUAAUAUACAUGCAAUGAAAGUUAAAUCUAAAUCUAUAAAUGGUCCAUGAAAGAAGUGCAAAUGAGAAUAACUUGGUAUUUAAUGAGAUGUUAUGCUUCAAUGAAGAUGAAAAAUUGUUUAAUUUGAUACUUGUUUAUAAAAUAUUAAAAUACUUUUUUAGUUCAUUAUUAAGUUAGAGGAAACAAGUUAGGCUUUCAAUGGUAUAAAUUCUACAAUAUGGAAUGUAAUAUAAUAUUUUCUUAUCUAUGUCUAACAUAUCAAACUCAUUUCUCAUAAAUAAAUAUAUGAAUAUACCAAUAGGUAUGGUUUAUAAUUAGUUUCAAUCAUAAAUCAUCAUAUCUAGUAAUAUAAGACAUUUAAUAUUAACCAUUUGCAAAUGACUUAAUUUCUUCUUACAACUUUCCUAUAUUACCAAAUUUAGUUAACUAAUAACAUUCCAUAAGGAAAAAAAGAGUAUUAAACUAAAAAUUAAAAGAGCAUAACCAAGGCAAUAGAAACCUACAAAUCAUUGGUUAAAUGUCAUAAUAACAACCAUUCUAAAACUUGCCUUUAUUUUCAAUUCCAAAAUUAUAACCCAAAUAUAAUAAUUAACCCUACACAAAAAAAGCUCUCUACCAUCCCUCCAUCCAACAACAACAACCUGUUGAUGCAACAACAACCUUUCCAACAACAAUAACUUCUCCAUACAACAAUAACAAUUUCUCCAUACAACAAUAACAAUUUCUCCAUGUAAUAACAACAACAACAAUAACAAUAACAAUAACAUUGAUGAUCGAUGGUGAUAAUUAUAUUAGUAAUAAUUUGAUUUGUUUAGUCCAAACAUAUAACAAUAACAACUUCUCUAUGCAACAACAACAAUAAUAAUGACAACAUUGAUGAUCAUGAUAUAAUAAUUUGAUUUAUUGAGUUCACAAAUUAUAUGCUUCUUCUCCAUACAACAAUAACAAAAAUAACUUCUCCAUGUAACAACAUUGGUGAUGAUGUAAUAAUUUGAUUUGUUAUAUUGAAAUAGUUUAUGUAUAAAACUAUUAUAUUCUAUCACUAUGGAGGAAAAAAUUACUUAUCAUGAGAUGAGAACUUCUGAGAAUCGUCAAAAUGUGAUCUACAACUCUUACUGGACUGAAAUGAGGGCAUCUGCAUACAUAAGAUGGUAAAUUUAAAAAAUUAGUCCAUUCAAGACUUCAUUAAUAAUGAAAAUCAAGCAUUAUAGAUGUUAAUUUAUACCUUCAAGCAUGGGUAAGAAUCAAUUGAGUUGCCAACAUAACCCACUCAGAUCGUACUUCAUUAAGCUCAACUUCACUAUACGAUUUUUUUCCUUUAAACUAAUAAUUAAUUGUACAUACAUGAUGAUUAGUUAAGUUAACAAAAAAUUACUAAAGUAUAGAAACUAAUAAAAUUUAUUAAUGAGUACAUACCUUUGUGGAUAGGAGGCUUGGAUCAACAAUUAUAUCUUUCAUGUAUCUCAUCACAUAAUAACCACACUCCACACUUCCUAGUUGUCUUGGGCACUAUAGGCACACAUAUGAAUUAUGGUACCAUAAAAACAUUAAUAUCAUGAUGUUUUAUGUCAUUAUUAUCUAAGUGACAAAACAUAAAACCAUAUUCAAAUUUUAGGGUUGAUAUAAGUGGUCAUAUGAUAUAUCUUACUCUAACCAAGUAACUUACCACUACUUUUACCCAUGUCGGCUCCCUCUUUGAUGAUCUUUGUUUCUCUGGUGGAUGAAUUCGUAGUGCCCUACAUGGAAAAGAAAAUUAACAUUUUAGAUACUAUGCACUAUAUUCAAGUAUGGAAAUGAAGACACUUACAUGUUAACAAUUUCCUUAAGAUCAUCACAUGGUUGCUUUUGAAUCGGAUCAAGGUAGUACGCAGUCAUUGUCCUCAUAUCCAAUGCCACCAAGACCCAGUGGAAACUACAAUAGUACAUUAGAUAUUAUUUACUAAUUAGCAUUGAUUAAGCUAUUUAACAUUUAAAAAAAACUUAAUAUUUUUCAUAACUUACUUAGGGUUAUAUGGAAUAAAAAUGUAGUCAGCACACUUUGCAUGCAUUAAACGAUUUGCAAUCAACCUUGACCUAUUUUCCUUUGUUGUCUCACCCAUUCCAGCUUUAGAGACUAAAGCUGGAUUGAUAAAAGCAAAUCGUUCGGUGAGCCUUGCAUCACUUAGCUUUUUCUGUAGGUGCCUGUUUAAAUUCCACAUACCUUGAUAAGAAAUUAUAUAUAUAUAUAUAUAUAUAUAUAUAAAUUAACACACAUUAGCAAGUUAUAAAAUUAUUUACCAUAUAUAAUAUAUGACACAAUUAGCCGACACUUCCUUAAAUGAAAUUAUCAUAUCCAUGUCUUCUUUCAUAAGGAAGGUCUUAAAACUCUCGCCAAAUACAUCAUUUGGGACCUCCACACCUUGUGCUUUCCCCUCAUUUAGCAUGAGACCUACUAAUGCAUCAAAAUUGUUGAUAUCUUGAGGGUUUUCACCAAUUUUCAAGUCAUUUUCUGUUGUUUUUUGUCUUUUCCCUUUUUGAGAUCCCUAUAAAAGAAAGCACCAUGUUUUCAAAUGAUAUACAUAUCUUUAUAAAGUAUUGCAAAUGAAAAUAACACACCUUAAUGAAUUUAGUACUCAAAUUGACUAAAUGGGUUGGCCAUAAAACUUGGUAGCCCACUGCCGCUCCAACUGUUGUAGCUUGUCCAGGAAUGGGAAUAGGAAGCGGUGUAUUUGACUCAUAGGGAGCAUCCCAAACAACUAGGUAGUUGGGACCACAAUCCAUUACAAUUGUUCCACCAGCCACUGUAUUUUCUCUGGUCCCUACUGCCAACUCACAUUUUCUUGCCUUCAAAAGUAAAUUAAAUUGUUAAUUUCAAUAUCAAAAAAUAAUCAAUAAAUGAAGUUUAAAGUGCAUUGACUAUGUUNNNNNNNNNNNNNNNNNNNNNNNNNNNNNNNNNNNNNNNNNNNNNNNNNNNNNNNNNNNNNNNNNNNNNNNNNNNNNNNNNNNNNNNNNNNNNNNNNNNNNNNNNNNNNNNNNNNNNNNNNNNNNNNNNNNNNNNNNNNNNNNNNNNNNNNNNNNNNNNNNNNNNNNNNNNNNNNNNNNNNNNNNNNNNNNNNNNNNNNNNNNNNNNNNNNNNNNNNNNNNNNNNNNNNNNNNNNNNNNNNNNNNNNNNNNNNNNNNNNNNNNNNNNNNNNNNNNNNNNNNNNNNNNNNNNNNNNNNNNNNNNNNNNNNNNNNNNNNNNNNNNNNNNNNNNNNNNNNNNNNNNNNNNNNNNNNNNNNNNNNNNNNNNNNNNNNNNNNNNNNNNNNNNNNNNNNNNNNNNNNNNNNNNNNNNNNNNNNNNNNNNNNNNNNNNNNNNNNNNNNNNNNNNNNNNNNNNNNNNNNNNNNNNNNNNNNNNNNNNNNNNNNNNNNNNNNNNNNNNNNNNNNNNNNNNNNNNNNNNNNNNNNNNNNNNNNNNNNNNNNNNNNNNNNNNNNNNNNNNNNNNNNNNNNNNNNNNNNNNNNNNNNNNNNNNNNNNNNNNNNNNNNNNNNNNNNNNNNNNNNNNNNNNNNNNNNNNNNNNNNNNNNNNNNNNNNNNNNNNNNNNNNNNNNNNNNNNNNNNNNNNNNNNNNNNNNNNNNNNNNNNNNNNNNNNNNNNNNNNNNNNNNNNNNNNNNNNNNNNNNNNNNNNNNNNNNNNNNNNNNNNNNNNNNNNNNNNNNNNNNNNNNNNNNNNNNAAAAAAAAAAGUUACCUCCAAUAGAGUCCCACAACUAUCCUUCAAUUGUCAGGGACAUCUCGCCAUGUGUAUAUCUGAUUGGUACCAUCGUACGUGCCAAUACACUAAGUAGCUUGUUAGGUGCACAGAAGAUUCUCUACAUAGAUACCAUCAGCAUUGUACUUUAUGACCAACUUUAUCCCUCUAUUCCUAUUCCUUAUAAUCAUGGAUUUCCUUGUUGUCCCUCUAUAUUUUUUUUGUGAAAGGGUUUUCUCUUCCUUUGAAUCCAUGCCUAUAACACAUCAAUGAGAAAUGAUAAGUAUACCCAUUAAUUGCAAGUAAAAUUGAAUUUUUUAUAACAUGAACUCACAUUAGUAACAUGAACAUACUAGGAACAUUUUACAUGCUAGAUAACAAUAUUCACAUGUUGUCAUGAAAUAUUUAAAAAUAAUAAUAAUAAAAACUUACUAGAAGAUCCUCACCAAACUUUUUUUUUAUGGAACUAGAAAUCAUAAGCUUUGAGCUGAGACAAAUUGAUAUCCUUGUAUUACCCUUUAGAUCACUCUGAGAUAUGUGUAUAAUAAUAAUCAUGAAAUAGGGAAUCAAUAAAUUUAGAGACAUGAUGAAUUUAAUCCACUUAGAAAAUAAAUAAACUAUUUACUGAAAUGCAGAAUUUCAAUAUUAACAAGUUAAUGGGAUAGUUACAACCUUCACAACAAAACAACAAGGUCAUAAAUUUAGUUACAUAGAAGAUUUGUUAUCAAUCCAGAAUCCCUCACAGUCUCCUCGAAUGCAAAUGACAUCAGAGUCAUCCAUUGUAUCAAAUGAUUCAACUUGUGCCAAGGUGGUAAUGAGAGGAUGGUGUUCAAUAGAAUUAUCCAUGAAGUCAUCAAAAUCCUUUGCUGAAAAUGAGAAGUCCCUUUCAGGAGUUGACAAAACAACUGACCAUCUUGGAUCAAGUUGGUCUUGUACAUAGAAUACUUGCUUGGCUUGGGAGGCUAAAAUGAAUGGAUCUGAUUUAUGAGCCAUCUUAGUGAAGUCAACUAAUGUCAGCCCAAACUCAUCAACUUUGACGCCGCUCUUAUUAUCAACCCAAUUGCAUUUGAAAACUGGAAUCCUAAACAUGGUAUAAUCAAGAUCCCAUAUCUCAGUAAUAAUACCAUAGAAACAUAGCUCACCAAAUACUGGAUUCUUAUCCUUGGCACUAGAAAUUUGCAUUGUUGUUGCUACAAUGCUAACUCCACUAUUCUGGGUAACUCGUAACUCAUCACGGUCUUUUGUAUUGUACUGACACCCAUUUAUAACAUAGCCAUGAUACUUGGCCACGUAGUGGGUAGGACCAUGUGCCAUCCAUCUUAAGGUUUUAGAUAUAGGUUCUUUGUCAGCAAUGGCAACUUCUACCUGUUUGAAUGGACCAUAGUUAUUAAUAUUUUUUAUGAUUAGUGCUAAGAAUGGUGCAAUUUUUAGAAUAAAUUCAAUACCUUUUUUCGCAACCAAUGAGUGAAUGUUUGCAUGUGUUCUUCUUGUAGCCACUUUUGUCUCUUAGAUUGACGAGGAUUGUUCAAUUUCAACCAUUUCAUGUGUUCUCUAUAAGAUAUGUAUAAGAAAGUAACAAUAAGUUUCCAAAAUUAGUUUAAGUAAUCUACACAAAAUCAAAAUAGUUGACCCUUACUCGAUAUAAGGUUGGAUGAUAGUUGUAUUUUCCAACACAUAAUGAUGUGCUUGCAACAACAAAGUACAAUCAACUUCGGUGAUAUGACCUCCAGGAAUAGGCGCCCCAACUUUAUGGUCAACAUUAGUGCUACUAGGAACUCCAAUUGCAUCCACAUUUGAUAAGUACUCUGUACAAAAUUCAAUAGCUUCCUCUGCAAUGUAGCAUUCAACAAUGCAACCUUCAGGGUGGUUACGGUUUCGCACAUAACCCUUUAAUACUUUCAUGAACCUUUCAAAUGGGUACAUCCAUCUAAAAUAAACCGGUCCACAAAGUCUCACCUAUCUAACAAGAUGAACCGUUAAAUGAAUCAUGAUAUCAAAGAAGGAUGGCGGAAAGUACUUUUCAAGCAAGCACAAUGUCACAACAAGUUCAUUUUGUAACUUAUCCAAUGUAGACACAUCAACCACCUUCUUACAUAAAGCAUUGAAAAAAAGGCUCAAUCUAGCAAUAGCAUGUCGUACAUGCUUUGGCAAAAGUGAUUGCAAUGCCACUGGUAACAAUUGUUGCAUCAGUGUAUGAUAAUCAUGGGACUUCAGGCCAUAAAGCUUCAAAUCUUCCAUUGACACAAGAUUUCUAAAGUUUGAGCAAUACCCUUCGGGAACCUUUAACUCAGCUAAAGUUUGACAAAAUACUUUCUUCUCCUUUCUAGACAAUGUAUAACAUGCAGGCGGAAGGUAAGUUCGAUUCGAUUCAAACCUUGGUGCCAGUUCACACCUUAAGCCCAUGUCCAUAAGGUCUAGGCGAGAGUUGAGUCCAUCUUUUGUCUUUCCUGGGAUGUUAAGUAAUGUACCAAUGAUGCUUUCACAAACAUUUUUCUCAAUGUGCAUUACAUCCAAAUUAUGACGAACAUGCAAAUAUCUCCAAUACUCAAGUUCGAAGAAUAUGGACUUUUUCUUCCAACAAUUGGCAUAAGUCACAUUGGAUUUAUCAUGUCUUCCCCUUUUUUUCCCCCAUGAAUUACAAAUGGCAUUCAUUUUCAAUAGUAUUUCCUCUCCACUUAAUGGUUGUGGAGGUGAUCGAAACUCCUGCUCACCAUUGAAUGCCUUUUUAUGUUUUCUAAAAGGAUGAUUGCAUGGAAGAAAACGUUUAUGGCCUGUAAAUGAGUUCUUUCUCCCAUGCUUCAACCUAUGUGAAUAGGUUUCCGAUCCACAUAUUGGACAAGCAAAAUAUCCUUUGACUGUGCAACCAGAUAAGUUUCCAUAUGCAGGAAAGUCAUUUAUUGUCCAUAAUAGAACAGCCCUCAAUGUAAAGACCUCUCUUUGAUAUGCAUCAUAAGCUUCAACCCCUGUCUCCCACAAGGUUUUAAGGUCCUCAAUCAAUGGUGCUAAAUAGAUAUCUAUGUCAUUGCCAGGUUGUUGUGGACCCGAUAUUAACAAAGAUAACAUCAUAAAUUUUCUCUUCAUGCACAACCACGAUGGAAGAUUAUAAGUGAUCAUGACAACUGGCCAACAACUAUACCUGCUGCUCAAGGAACUAUGGGGAUUUAUGCCAUCUGCUGAAAUGGCAAGUCUAAGGUUUCUAGGUUCUGCAGAAAAAUCAGGCCAUCUAUGGUCAAUUACCUUCCAUGAUGGCGAGUCGGAUGGAUGACGCAUUUUUCCAUCAAAUUCUCCACCUUGUGCAUGCCAUAUGAGGUCUUUUGCGAUUUUUGAGGACUGAAACAUUCUUUUAAAUCGUGGGAUAGGUGGAAAAUACCACAUCACUUUAGCAAGAACUCCUUUACUCUUUUUGGUUCCUCUUCUAUUCACCUUCCACCUUGAAGCUCCACAUGUAGGACAUGAAGAUGCAUCUUUUAACUCAUUCCUAAAAAGUAUGCAAUCAUUGGGACAUGCAUGUAUUUUUUCAUAUUCCAUUCCCAAUGCAUUCAAUGUUUUUUUUGCUUCAUACAUAGACAAUGGCAACUCAUUGUUGAUAGGCAACAUAUCACCAAGUAAGCUUAAUAGCUCAGAGAAGCUUUUAUCAGACCACCCAUAUCUUCUUUUCAGAUUGUAUAAUUUAACUAAAGCAGAUAAUUUGGUGAAGUUUUUGCAAUUGGGAUACAAAGGUUUUUCAGCAUCUUCCAGCAACCUUUCAAAUAAUUUUGGAUUAGCCUUACAAUCAUCUUGUGCAGCUUCAACCAUUUCUACUGUAUGAUCCACAUUACCAAUAUGAAUUCUAUCAAACAUUCAGCCCUUGUAGUUGGGGGUCNNNNNNNNNNNNNNNNNNNNNNNNNNNNNNNNNNNNNNNNNNNNNNNNNNNNNNNNNNNNNNNNNNNNNNNNNNNNNNNNNNNNNNNNNNNNNNNNNNNNAAAUUUUUAAAUUAGGCUAAUAUUCUUUUUUUUUUCACUUCUCAUACUGCCAAAUACGUAUUAAAUACGAUUUUACAUGUUCAAGCCUUUUAAAACCUAUAAUUUAUUCAAGUCUACAAUUGUGUGUACAAAUAAAAUUAAAAAGUAUUUGAUGUGUAUUAAUGAAGGAUGCCAGAUUCAAUUCUAAAGUCCUAAGAGGGUAAGAUUAGUGAUAUAUAAUUGCCAACAAAACAUAGAAUAAAAGAAAUAUUAAAGCUCUCCAAGUAACAGUUUAAUCUCUCGGUCUUCAAACAUUCUUCACUAACACAGUGCAUAUCGGUAAUAGAUAAUUCUUCAAGAUAUUAUCAUUACAUAAUCAACUAUGGAAGACUAAAUAUUUCACUAAAUAUGUCAUGAUGUGUUUUCUCUAUCACAUUUCUUUUGAAUAUGCAUGCAAUGUUUAGCUCCUGAAGUGUUUACAAAUGCCCACCUUUGGAUGAUCAAAAUCAUUUUUUUUUUUUAAAGUUUUGAAUGAGGAUGUUCUUUUAAUCAAUUUUCAACCUAAAUGCCCUACUGUGUAGUGUUGGGGACCUAAUUUGGUGAUUAACUAUGGUUCUGUGAUGUGGAUUCAGUGCACUGUGGAAUUUUGAAACUUCGACAAGUAUCAUCAGUAUGGAUUUGGAACAAUAUUUGAUCCUGUGAAGUGUAAAACAUAUAUAACAUGAAUUUUUCUGCUUUAGUUCUGUGCUUCUGACCAUCUUAGCUUGUUACAUCUCAAUAACAUACUUCCAUGACCAUGUCAGUUGCUUCUUGAAUGCAUUAAUGACAUUGCUUUAUUGGUUGAUAAAAAUUUAAAGCAACCCAUUAAAAAUCCUCAGUGGAUAAUAAGAAAAGAGUUCAGUAGGGAUUCAUCACCAUAAGAAAAGUAAAGUCACUUCAGAAAAUAAAUGAAAAAGGAUUCAUUUUAAAACAAGUUAUGAUUCUGGUUAUAUUCAAUGCGAAUUCUGAGUCAACAGAAUUUUCAUCUGUUCUUGUUUAAAUUUUACAGAUAAAGGUUUGGGAUGCACAGGAAAAGAAAUGUACUGGAAUGUUGAUGGGGCACACAGGAAGUGUGAAAUCUAUGUGCCCUCAUCCAAGUAAUCCUAGUAUAUUUAUGUUUUCACCUACAUCUCUUUUUUUUCUAUUUAUACUUGAAAGAUGCUUAUAAUUUCACUUUUCAUUCAUCAAUAGAUCUUGUUGUCUCUGGUUCAAGAGAUGGGUCCUUUGCUAUUUGGGACCUGAGAGGCGGUUCCAGAACUAGACGUGGGGAUAUCUGGAUACCGUAAGUUACAAUUACUUGCUUAUUGGAUGUGAUUGGGUUGAUUAGUUUGUUUUGACAAAAAGGAAAAUUUUUUGUUCACUUCCUAUUAUGUACACAGAAUUUAAUGCAUAUUCACUGCAACAUCAAAAGAUACAUUUUACAACUGAGGCAAGAAAUCGGAGAAUUUGGCAUGCAGCUAGGAUAAAUAAAGCUUGAUUAGACAAUUUUGGUGAGCGUGAUCUCAGUUUGCACCCACUUAGCUGCCCUUGAUCAAGGCAAGGGCCCGCAAAGCAUCGGGCAACAAUACUGAUGACAAUGAAGCCAAGGAGAGGGAACCAGAAAACAUCAUGGCAGUGCGGAAGAGAGCAACACAAGUAGGAGAGAGAUGAGAAGAAUGAAAGGUUAACUCAGUUCCGAAUGUCAAAAAAAAUGCCAGUAAGCUAGAAAAGAACAUCAUGGUGCUUAUAACAGGUUGACCAAUGAUAAUAGGAGGAACCAAACUCUUGAAAUGGAAAGCAAAGAAUUGAUGAUAGGUGAUAGAGAACCUAAGAAAGCGCAGUCAGCCAAGCAAAUACUACAUGCAUAGCCCAUGCAACAGGGGGUGAGAGAAUAAUUAGAUGACAUCAACAAAAACAAAUCAGGAGGCGCAAAAAAAUAUCACAUAAUUGAUGACAAAGGGAGCUAUCCAGAGAGGAGGAGAGGUCUGAGGUUCAGUUCCCAGUAUUAACCAGGAGACCACAGUGGAAGGGCCCCAUCAAGCAUUAAGUAUAAAUUUGAGAAAUUGACAGACUCAAAACAAAUUUGUUGGAGCUUGAGGCCCACUAUUCUAGCAUGCUGCAACAAGGUUUUUCAUAUCAAUUUUACAAUUAUGAUAAGUAUAGGACAAAGACCGGAAUAUCUUACUUGGAACAAUAGAUGUGCAGUGGAAACCAAUAUUAACAACAAUUCCUGAAGUUUGCUUUGCUGCAUACAAAGCUAAGGUUGCCUGCACUUAUAUCAUAAGAAGAAUGCAUUAGGUGAUUGGCAUGUAACAAAAACAAGAGAAGAUGGGCACCCCAAACCAACCCACAAACAACUAAAGAAAGAAUUAAAAAAAUUAGAAAAAAGGGCAAAGAAAGAAAGAUGAAACCAUAUCCAUGUGAAAGCACCCAAACCUUGAUAUGCUGUUCAGAUGAACUUUAUGAAACCUCUAGUGUAUUAUGUAACAAUUGAAUAUGAUCAUACUAGGUUCAACAAUAAAAAUCACCUACAUCAGAAUCAUAUUCAUGCCCUAAUGGAGGUAAAUAUCAGCUUUUAGAAUAAAUCAAAAGAUCAAUUUACAAAAGGACCCCCUAUCUUGGCAAAAUGACCCAUAAUAUUACAUCCCAACUUAAGACAGAUAACAUGAGAAAGCAAUUGUACUCUUCCAUUUAUCAGGUCUGAUAUCCAGAAAAUCCCCAAUGUGAGCUCCUGUUGUUAUUAGAAAGCACAGUUUUAUGUCAUUGGUGACUGGUGUUCUAAACAAGCCCAAGUAAACUAGGAGAGCAAAAUCCUCCAAGUAAUAAACAAGAUAUUUAGUGUCCAUUCAGAUACGCUUCUGGUUUUCUUCUUUUAAAAUCAGAAAAUAAUAGUAAUUUUUAUAAAAAAUACAAGAACUCUAAGAGGCUUACACUGAAAAAGAAAUGACUUUAAAAAUUGUUUAAAACAAUUGAGGUUCAAAAAAUUUUUACAAUAUCAAAUUUUAAAAUUUUUGAAAGUGACUUUUAAAGACAUAAGGUAAAUCUAUACUUUUUGGACAAGAUGUUCUAGUUUUGUAUAAUAAGUUUCUGAUUUUAAAAACAAAAAACAGAAAGUACAUCCUAAUGGACACUUGGAUUAUUGUUGUAGUCAUAUAGAAAGCUGAUGGAUGGGAAGAGCCACCAAAUACUUGUACUAGUUCUAUACUAACCUUCCAGGAAAAAGGUGCCAGGGCAGAGAAGUCAUUAACAGUGUAAAUGAGUAUGCACAUUAAUUUAAGAGUAGGCAUGUUGAAGGUUAGAUUCAUGGACUGAUGCUCUUGGGUUUAGUAGUGGAUAUGCUUUGCUUGGGCUAGGUUUAGUUUAUGAUAGGAGGAGGUUUCUUACCUCCCCUUUGCCAUCAGUUGAGAAUCCUUUUUGGUUUGGCUAAGGGUAUAAUCUUUUUGGUUAGGCCACAGCUAUGAUUUUGCUUUGGCUGGUUUAAUUUAGGUUAUGUUUGAGUUCCUUCCUUUCCUUGCCUUCCCUGUAAAGUGAUAACUUCAUAUGGUCAUAUGAGAUACUUCUUAAUGGAUUUAUUUUCCAUAGUUCAACAGCUUGAUAUGGAUGAAGGUAUUGAUACGUCCAGAUUGUACAAGCUAGUCUUGCCUCUCCACUCAUCAGUCAUCGUUCAUGAUUCUGUAGGAGAGACGAGGUAGACCAAACUGGGCCAGAUCGCAGGCUUGCAUUGAGCCAUAGUUACCUUCAGCUGAAUGGGCCCAAAUCUAGCCACAUCCAAAAGAAAUACCAAACCCAGUCCAAAUUCCUACAUCUUAAAGUAAAAUUUAAAUUGUGGAAAGUCUACAGCCUGCAGUUUCCAACCGAGCCAAGCCCAUAUAUUUUGGACCUGGUGCCUCAACCCUUGACUGCCCAACAAACUAAGAAUCAAACCCAAGCCCACCAGAGAAAUUUUUAAAACAUGUCUCUUCCAAACACGUCAUUUUUGCCAGUUGUUCCCCUCUCAAUACCAUUUAAAAAAUCCCCCAGCAGCUUUCUCAACUGCUGCAGCCUCACUUGUCUUUUCCUUGGUGUACGAACACGGCACGUCCAUACCUACCUACAGACGGUAGAGGCUGCACCUCCCCUAACCUCCAUCCCGAUCACCAUGCUCGCUGCUGCAUCUCUUCAUCACUACACAAGGCAAGAUCACCAUGCUCACUGCUGCAUCUCUUCAUCACUACACAAGGCAAGAUCACCAUGCUCACUGCUGCAUCUCUUCAUCACUACACAAGGCAAGAUCACCAUGCUCGCUGCUGCAUCUCUUCAUCACUACACAAGGCAAGAUCACCAUGCUCGUUGCUGCAUCUCUUCAUCACUACACAAGGCAAAAACUGGGUGGCACUUCCCACCACAACUGAAAGGAGAAGCUGCAACAACCUACCACAACUUGCAACGCACCAGGCAUACUACUUCUAUAGAUGUUAUUUACACCAACCAUUUAGUUAUUUACACUAUUAUACAACAACAAGAACAAAAUGCUCUGUAUUUUUUCGGGAUACCAUUUCCCUGAUUUUGUCCUCCCAAAUUAAUUUCCCCAUCUAUGAAACAAUAAUACCAUAUAUUUGGAACAAUGAAAACCCUUCCAUUUGUCUUUAUUUGAACUAAUCUAUUCAAGUAUGAGGAAAAUAACAUUAGUUGAGAAAGAGAUUUACCUUAACUAUGAUGCUCUGUAGUUGAUUUUCACAAUGGUAACCUCCCAUGCAUGAAAGUUAGACAUGGCCAUUCCAAAGGAUUAGGGCAUUUUAGUGGUGGACUUUGCAAGGGGAAUGGAUUUUGGCAACUGAUGUGGAGUGAAAUGACUUUGCAAGGGGAACGGAUUAGGGCAUUUUAGUGGUGGACUUAGUGAGAGCUAUAGGUUUCGGGGUUUCUUCAGUUCUGAAAUGGUGGAGGGAAUGUUUGGCGGGCACUCGUACUUAGAAAGGGAAAAACUUUUAAUUAAUAUAUAUUCAGAACAUAUAUAUAUAUAUAUUAUUUAAUGUCACUCCAUGAAAUAUCACAACUAUGACACUUCUAUAAAGUGUCAUGACAUAACUAGUUAUUCUUAUAAUUAAAGAACUUAUCAGACAAUGAUACUUUAAAUAAGUGCCAUGAAAUAAAAAAACUACUAUAAAAAAUGACCCCUUUAAAAAAACGUCAUUGUAUAUCCCAAUAUAAUGAUACUUUAUGAAAGCGCCAAGGAUUAAAGCUAUGACACUGCUAUAAAGUGUCAUGACAUAACUAAUUAUUCUUAUAUAAAGGCCACAUCAGACAAUGAUACUUUAAAUAAGCGCCAUGAAAUAAAAAAACUACAAUAAAAAAUGACCCUUUUGGAAAACGCCAUUGUAUAUCCCAAUAUAAUGAUACCUUAUGAAAGCGCCAAGGAUUAAAGCGUCAUAAUUUUCUAUUUUUGUAGUAGUGACUUCUCAAUUUGCCAUAACCCAUCAACCCCAAACGAACCUCCAAACAUGAUCCCUUAUUUUAUUUCUCCUCCAUCACCAUAAGAAAGACGACAUCAUCAUUUUCCCACCAAACAUCAAUUUGAAGACAAAAGUCCAAGUGUGAAACCCCUAACAAAGCCUAGGUAGACAAAUAACCCCUUUCCUUCUUCUCAUUUCAACAUCGACAAAGUCAUUUCUUCCCUUCCUAUACUUCCUCUUUUGCUUUUACGUUGAAAAAGAGAAAGAAAGCAAUUGAGAGAAAGAGAGAACAAAGCAAUGAAAUAUUGUAGUUGCAUUUAACUUUUAAAGGGUUUUUCCAGAUGAUAUAUGUAUUUUAUUAAAUUUUAUAAUAACUAUUUAUUUUGAUUUGUCAUUUUGAUUCUCUGAGAUUUGAAUAUUGUCAUAGUUAUGUGAUUUUUGGAAUUUUGUGAUUUAAACUUGAUUACAUUGCAUAUUUGUACAUGUUGAAUGUUCAUUAAUAUUAUUCAAUUUUAUAUUUUAAUUUAUUUAGGGUUUAUUUGAAAUGAAAUAUGGUUUAAAACUUGAUAAAUGAUAGGAAAAUGAGAUGGUGGUAAGAGAUAUUGAUUUUGUUUUAUUUUUUGAAUUGUUGUGUUUGUGUUGUAUAUGGUUGUUGGGAAGAAUAUAGAAAAGAGAAAAAAAUAUGACUAUUGAAUGAGAAGGGAAUACAAUUUUUAUAUGGGAUUCAAGAUGUUUUGUUGUUUAAUGUUGUUAAUAUGGGAUUCCAAAAUGAGUAGGUUGAGUUUUUUUAUAUAGUUGUUAAUUGGUGAAUUUAAUGCAGAGGAAAAGAAUUCAUGUUUAGUCAUGAGUAGAUGAGUACAAAUUUUAAAAAUGAUUGGGAGUAAAGUUUGAAUAAAUUUCUUCAUAAAAGUUUUGAAUGUGUAAUGAAUGAGGGUUGAAUUGAAAAAGAAAAUAAAACAAAUGUAGUAAAGCAGACAUGAAUAUAUGUUGGAAUUAGGGAAAAUAGUAGUGGAGCCUUAGGUGGAAAUCUAAUGCUCACAGCUACAAAUAUGAAAUUUGUUUUGUUUAUAUGUGUGUAAUGGUCAUAAUAGGGGUCUACCCUUGGAUGAAGGUGUUGACCGUAAUUCAAGUAAUGACAUUUGGAUGAAAUAAUUGUUUUUGUAAGAGGUUGCAGUCCUAAAGUCGCGUAUGUGGGUUCCUAAAAUAGCCGCCUCAAUCCACUCUGAAACAUGGACUAAUUCCUCCCAAAACAACAACCCUAAAUGCCCUUUCAAAACACGAACUGAUUCCUCCUUAAACAACAACCUCAAAUGUCAUUUCAAAACAUGGACUAAUCCCCUCAAACAACAACCCCAAAUGCCCUUUCAAAACACGGACUCAUUCCUCCUCAAAUAGCAACCCCAAAUGCCCUUUCAAAACAUGGACUGAUCUCUUCAAAUAGCAGCCCCAAAUUUCCUUUCAAAACAAGAACUAAUCCCCCCAAACAGCAACCCCCAAAUGUCAUUUCAAAACACAGACUGAUUUCUUCCAAACAGUAGCCUCAAAUGCCCCUUCAAAACACGGACUAAUUCCUCAAAACAACAACCUCAAAAUCCCCUCUAAAACAUCGACUAAUUUUCUCCAAACAACAGCAUCAAAAUGCUCUUUCAAAACAUGGGUUGAUCUCUUAAAUAACAGCCCCAAAAUGCUCUUUCAAAACAUCGACUGAUUCCUCAAAACAGCAACCUCAAAAUCCCCUCUGAAACAUGGACUGGUUUUCUCCAAACAGUAGCCUCAAAUGCCCCUUCAAAACACAGACUGAUUCCUCAAAACAACAGCCUCAAAAUGUUCUUUCAAAACAUGGACCGAUAUCUCAAACAGCAACCUAAAAAUGCUUUUUCAAAACACCGACUGAUCUUCCAAACAGUAGCCCCAAAAUGCUCUUUCAAAACACCGACUAAUCUCUCAAACAAAAACCCCAAAAUACUCUUUCAAAACACGAACUGAUCUCUUUCCCCAAACAACAACCUCAAUCCCUUCUGAAACAUGGACUUUUUUUCUCUAAACAGCAGCCUCAAAAUGCCCCUUUAAAACACGGACUGAUUCCUCCCUCUUAAAAAUGACAGCCUAACCUCUCCAAAAUAAACCUUCUGACCUCCUUCAAUCAUGCGUCUUCCUUCCUUUUCUUUUCUUUUCUUUCUUAAUCUUUUCUCCAUCCCCUUGUCAGCUUCUCUGCAGCCACGGUGAUGGAAAAAAAAUGGCAGAAAAAGGUUUCCUUCUAUUCUUUCAAUCACCCUCCAUCCCCUCAAAUUUUCCUCUUCUUUUUUUCCCUUUGUCUUUCCUUUUCUCUCUUCCUCUCUCUCCAAUCCACCGGCUACCUCCAUCUUUCCUCUUACUAGCGUUUUUCUUUUUCUUUUAUGGAGCACAUGGGAUCCAUGCAAAACAAAUAAUAAAAACAAAGAAAAAUGAAAAUAAAAAUACCAAUAAAAAAAAACUAAGGGUUAAAAAUCCAAAAUAUGCAAUUUUAAAUGAAAUUAAAAAUAUAGAUCACAUGCAAAACUAAAAUGAAUUAUCAACUCAAGCAACUUUUUAUCAAAAUAAUUUAAUAAAUAGAUAAAUAAAAACAAAAUGAAUAUGAUUAUUAAGCUCAUGCAAUUUCCUAAAAAUGAAUAAAUAAAUGAAUAAAACUAAUAAAUAGAGAAAGAUAAAAAAUAAAAAAAUAAAAAAAAAAAAAAAAAAACAAAAUCAAGCACAUGCAAGCCAUACGAGCUAUGCAACCAUGUAAACCAUGCAUCCAUCCAAAAAAUGAUCUAAAUGGGCCUAGGGUGCCUAAGUGAGCAUAGGGUGCCUAAGUGGGCCUAAGGUGGUGCCUAACAGGGCAAAUGUGCCUAAAUGAGCUUAGGGUGCCUAAGUGGGCUUAGGGUGGUACCUAAUGGGCCAAGCGUGCCUAAUGGGCCUAUUGAACCUAGGUGGUGCCUAAUGAGCCAAGUGUGUCUAAAUGGGCAUAGACUGCCUAAGUGGGCCUAAGGUGUAAUGAGCCAAGUGUGUCUAAAUGGGCCUAGAGUGCCUAAGUGGGCCUAGGGUGGUGCCUAAUGGGCCAGGUAUGUCUAAAUGGGUAUAGGGUGCCUAAGUGGGCCUAAGGUGGUGCUUAAUGGGCCAAGUGUGUUUAAAUGGGCCUAGUGUGCCUAAGUGGGCCUAGGGUGGUACCUAAUAGGCCAUGUGCGUCUAAAUGGGCUUAGGAUGCCUAAGUUAGCCUAGGGUGGUGCCUAAUGGGCCAGGUGCGUCUAAAUGGGCCUAGGGUGCCUAAGUGGGCUUAGGAUGGUGCCAAAUGGGUCAGGUGUGUCUAAAUGAGCCUAGGGUGCCUAAGUGAGCCUAAGGUGGUGCUUAAUGGGCCAGGUGUGUCAAAAUGGGCUUAGGGUGCCUAAGUGGGCCUAGGGUGGUGCCUAAUGGGCUAGGUGUGUUUAAAUGGGCCUAAAGUGGUGCCUAAUGGGCCUAAGGUUCCUAAGUGGGUCUAAGGUGCCUAAGUGGGCCUAGGGUGGUGCCUAAUGGGCCAAGUAUGCCUAAUGGGCCUAAGGUGUACUUAAAUGAACCUACGGUGCCUAAGUGAGCUUCAUGUCAUGGACUUAAUUUUUUCUUAAGCUCGUGCGGCACUUAGACAAGCCAAGACCCUUGAUCUUGCUAAGUCAACCUUACUCUCAAUGCUUAGCUUGCUAGGCUAAGACGCUCACAACUCAAAAGCUUUAGAAGACGUAGUAGGCAACUCUUAAAGAAUGAAAGUUGUUAUUACUCAAGGAAGCCUUACAAGUGCUUUUGGGAAUUCACUUGCUUGGUUAGGAAGUGAUUUGGGUGGUGCCUUGGCCAAAUGAGGCCCUCGCCUAUUUAUAGGCACCAAUAGAACUCUUUGGAACCUUGGAGGGUUCCUUACAAAUUAGGAAGAUUCUAGAAUACCCUACACAAUUCUAUGUACAACCUUAUGUACAAGAGAUCUCUAGAAUUCUCUAGAAAGCCUUGGACUCCUCUCAUGCCUUCCACCAUAGUGUAGAGAUGUAUGGACAUCUCUAGGCAUCUCUAGAACCUUCCACACUCUUUCCUCCAAUGGCUUAGUGUAGAUGGCUCCAAGAGCUUCCAGAAGCUUCCUGGGCUCUAUAUAAACCCAUGAGGAGGCUCAUUUGAAGCAUCAUGUGACACUAAGAUGCCUAAGUGGGCCUAGGGUGGUGCCUAAUGGGCCAAGUGUAUCUAAAUGGGCUUAAAGUGGUGCAUAAUGGGCUUAAGGUGCCUAAGUGGGCCUAGGGUGGUGCCUAAUGGGCCAAGUGUAUCUAAAUGGGCCUAAAGUGGUGCCUAAUGGGCUUAAGGUGUACUUAAAUGAACCUAGGGUGCCUAAGUGAGCAUAAGUCUAAAUUAGGGCUACCAAGAGUCACAAUGGGGUUAGAUAAAUCCCUCAACCAAAGUCCCCAAGGUGGCUUAGAAAAGAUAGGUUACAAGAGUAGUAAUGAGCCACAAGGGAAUUGCUAUAAAGUACCGAACAAAUACCUAGUAUGACAUGUGCUAAGAGGAUAAAAUGGAGGGUCUACAGGUGUAUUUUAAAGAGACACCUUCUAGAAUUUCAAAAAAUUCGAUUUAUAUUGAAAGUAUCUCUUGAAAAGACACUUUCCACAAUUCCACAAAAUCUAAUAUAUACUAAAGGUGCCCCUUCAAGAGACAUCUUCCACAAUUUCACAAAUUUUAAUUUAUACUACAAAUGUCUCUUGAAUUUGAUUUUAUAUUAAAAAAAUUGGAUUUAUACUAAAGAUGUCUCUUCAAGAGACACUUUCCACAAUUCCAUAAAAUUCAAUAUAUAUUAAAAGUGUCUCUUCAAGAAACACGUUUCACAAUUUCACAAGUUUUAAUUUAUACUACAAGUGUCUCUUGGAUUUGAUUUUAUAUUGAAAGAGACACCUUUUACAAUUCCAAAAAAUUUGGAUUUUUACUAAAGGUGUCUCUUAAAUAAACAUUUGCCACAAUUUCACGAAUUCCAAUACAUACUAAAGGUGUCUUUAAUUUUAAUUUUCAUCUUCAACAAUUUCAAAAAUUUUAAUUUAUACUACAAGUGUUUCUUAAAUUUGAUUUUAUAUAUAAGGUGUCCUUUGAAAAAAAUACCUUUAGUAUAUAUUGGAUUUUGUGGAAUUGUAUAAGGUGCCUUUUUAAGAGACACCUUUAGUUUAAAUUAAAUUUUUUUUAGAAUUGUAGAAAGGGUUUACCUUCAAUAUAAAAUCAAAAUCAAGAGACACUUGUAGUAUAAAUUAAAAUUUGUAAAAUUAUGGAAGGCGUAGAGUUUAGUAUAUAUUGGAAUUUUUUUUUUUUGAAUGGUGGAAAUUGUCUUUUCAAGAGAAACCUUUUACUAUAAAUCCAAUUUUCUGGAAUUGUAGAAAGUGUCUCUUGAAAAGACACCUUUAGUUUAAAUUCAAUUCUUUUAAGUAUAUAUCGUAGAUUUAAAAAUUGUAGAAGAUGUCUCUUGAAGAGACACCUUCAAUAUAACAUUGAAUUCAAGAGAUAUAGAAAUAGGUUGCAUCAAAAAAGUUAAAAUAGGAUAUAGUUUUUUUUCCACCCCUCUCCCAUAUGUCCAAAAAUGCCACAAAAUUGGAAUUAUUUUCCAAUCUUGAUAUUUUAGAAAAUAAUUUUUAAAGGAAAAGUUGUGCUUUGGGCUUCCCAUCCCAACAUAAUAGCAUUUUAGAAACCUAACAAUGGGAAAUAUGAGAAUCAACUUUUAAUAUGAAAAGUAUUAUCAUUUUUGUGCACUCUAGGCCGACUCCACCUUUUAUGCCCAAAUUACCCCUUCAUUUCUCUAGCUCAGCAUCAUCCUAACAACCCAAAAAUUCUCUAAUUUUAGUUCAGAAACCCAACUCCAAAACUCCAAGGCAGUGUUAAAACGCGUGUUUCGGCUCAUCUAGGAGCCAUGGGAGUAAAACAGAAUAUGGGAAAAACGAAAAUGAAGCUUGGGUGGAGAGAGUAGGUACCCAAAAAUCAAAACCCUAACCUCCAAAUGCAUCCUAGACUCACAAAUUUGUGUCCAAGAUAGCUCUAUCAUCAAGAAAUAGCACCAAACAUCUCUCCUAGACUACUAAAUCGGCAAAACCCUUGAAGAACCAGAGAAAAUAGUGCAUAAAAUGAAACGUGGGAGACUCUUAAAGUAUUGGGUCCCGACGAACCGGUCAACCGGUCCUCGAACCAAUCACCAUUGGUAUUUUAGUGACUGUACCUUAGGUACUACCUUGAUAGCCUUUAGAUACUAGCUUAAUCUACUUUAGGUACUACCUUAACCGACCUUAGGUACUACCUUAGUUAAACCUGCGUUCUACUUGUGUGAAGGCUUAAAACUUCAUUUGUGGAUAUUAAUUAAUUCAUUUGUGACCCUUAGAGCAUGCCAUUAUGUGAUUAAUCAAUGUGGUCAAUUGGUUCACCUUUGGUAUUUUGGUGAUUGUACCUUAGGUACUACCUUAAUAGCUCUUAGGUACUAUCUUAAUCAACCUUAGCUACGACCUUAGUAAAACUUGGGUACUACCUAUUUGAAGACUCGAAACUUCAUUUGUAGAUAUUGUUUAUUUCAUUUGUGACCCUUAAAGCAUGUCAUUAUGUGAUUAAUUAGCAUACCAUCAUAACAUGCUUUAAGGGUCACAAAUGAAUUAAGUAAUAUCCACAAAUGAAGUUCCAAGGCUUGAAAUAGGUAGUACCCAAGUUUUACUAAGAUAGUACCUAAGGUCGGUUAAAGUAGUACCUAAGGUAGAUUAAGGUAGUACCUAAGGACUAUUAAGGUAGUACCUAAGGUAUAGUUAUCAAAAUAUCAAUGGUGAACCAAUUGACCACACUAAUUAAUCACAUAAUGGCAUGCUUUAAGGGUCACAAAUGAAGUAAGUAAUAUCCACAAAUGAAGUUUUGAGGGUUUAGAUAGGUAGUACCCAAGUUUUACUAAGGUAGUACCUAAAGUCGGUUAAGAUAGUACCUAAGGUAGAUCAAGCUUGCACCUAAGGGCUAUUAAGGUAGUACCUAAGGUACAAUCACCAAAAUAUCAUAGGUAAUCGAUCAAGGACCGGUCGACCAAUUCGUCGAGACCCAAUACUUUAAGAGUCUCUCGCACUUCAUUUUCUGCAUUGUUUUCUUUGGUUUUUCAAGGGAUUCAUCGAUUCAAUGGUCUAGGAGAGAUGCUUGGUGUUAUUUAUUACUAAUGGAGCUAUCUUGGACAUGAAUUUGUGAGUAUAGGACCGAUUCAAUGGUCUAGGUUAGGUGUAGACCCCUUUUGGACCAAGGGGUAUUGCUGGCCACUCGGUGAGCUGAGGAUUUUAUUUGAGGAGUGGGAGAUGACUUCAAUGAAGAAGCUGCUGAGAUGUGUGGCAAAAGAUGUGACCACCUUGCCAUGGUGGUGGUUGAAGCAGGUAAGAAAAGAAAACAGAGGAGUACCACAGAGCUGGGUGAUGGGAGACUUUUUGGGGAGUGGUAGUUGGAGGAAAGGAGAAGUAGAGGUUUUGAGAGAAUGUGAGGAAAGAAGGGUUGGAAGAGAAAAACGGAGGAAUUUUUUCAGAUAGAGUGAUAAAACAAAGGCUAUGAAUAAUUAAGGAAAAUACCCAAAAGGGGGGGUGAAUUGGGUUUUUCAAAAUCUUUUUCCACGCAACAAUAUAUGCACAAAAUAAAUAAAGGAAAGAGAUAAAGGUAGAGAAUUCAAACUCAAAUUUAUAGUGGUUCGGCACUCCCUUGCCUACGUCCACUCUCCUCAAUCUCCUAACCGAGUGAGGGUUCCACUAGCUUGAAGCUACAAUCAAGCUUUCAAUCGUAUUACACUUGGAUUCCGGCUCCAAUGGGCUCUUACACAAUCUCUUCAAGAUUUGAACCACUUGAAGGCUUUCACACUCAGUUUACACAAGGAUGAAACUCUCAACCUAGCUUAAGGAAGGCUCAAGUACAAGAGAAAGCUAGGAUGAAUUGCAAGAGUGCACUAAGAAUAUGCAAUUGAUGGUUUAAUGCACUAAGAAAGAGGAUGAGAGCUUUUUGAUCAAGAACAGGUAGGUAGGCUUUGAAUGCAAUUGUUCUCUUGGUCAUAAAUGAAGAGGAGCUCUCAAUUUAUAGGUUUCUAAGCUCGGGAGACAAAAACAGCAGAAAGUAGCCUCGACCGGACGAGCAAAGGCUCGACCGGAUCACUAGCCGUUGGAGCAUUUAAUGCAUAGCAGGUUACCGUUGCCUCGACCGGACUUCGACUGGACCUCGACCGGACAAAGGGUGAGGCUCGACCGGGAAGAGGAAGCUAUUGGGAGAGAGAGAAAGUUUUUGUGUCUCCCUCGACCGGACCUCGACCGGACAAGGGAAACCGGUCGACCGGUUCCCCAACCGGUUGAGCCGGUUGGCCAUAGCCUCGAUCGGAUGAGCCUUUUGGCCCUGAAAACCUAUCCUUUUUUAUUUCUUUCUUUUCCAAUACUUAGGCAAGGUCUUUAGGAGAGUUUAAUAUGUCAAUUUUGAGUCAAUUUGCCUAAGGUAUAUUUGAUAAAACUCGGGUUUUAAAGAAAAUCAAGUUUUAAAGAAUAAACCGAGUUUUCUAAGAUGCAUGAAAAUGUAUGAACAUCCUAAGUGCACUCAUGCUAUCAUCUUACAUUCAUUUCCUAUGAUCACAAGUCUUCCAAAUGGUCUUUAUCCCGUAUUCGUUUGGUCCUUGAGAUUAUACCUGAGAUUCUUAACAAUUUAAAGCAAUUAGUCACUUAACCACGGUUUGUUAUCAUCAAAACCUGAUUAGGAGAACCCUUGGGCUAACAAUCUCCCCCUUUUUGAUGAUGACAAACCUUGGUUAUCUAGGAGACAGAGAAAUCUCCCCCUCAAACCAACCAUGGGAUAAUCAACACAAAAUGUAGGAAAUUUAAAGCGAGAAGACAAUGUAAAUCAAUAACAGUGUCAUAUCAUAUAUAAGCAAGAGCAAGAGUACAUGAAAGCGUAUGAUAUGUAUGGAAAUGAAAAAGUCUCCUAAGGUCCCUAUCCUAACAUAUCUCCCCCUUUGGCAACAUAAAAAAGAAACGAAGGGGGAUCCCAAACAAAAUCAAGGCUGAGGAGGUGGUGGUGGAAACACAGAACGGAGGUAAGCCAUCAUCUCCUCGUGCUGACUCUCCUGGCGGCUCUCAAAACGCUCCUGGCGGCUCUCAAGACGCUCAAUCCUUUGUGCAAGCUGCUCAAACUGAGAGGUGAAGCCGGCCUGAUACUGAUCAAUGCGAUCCUCCACGGAAUAAAAGCGAGUAUCAUGAACAACAGCUAACUCCUCCAUACGAGUCCCGAGAGAGCUAAUCUGUGCCGACAAAUCCAUCCAAGGUGGAUGCUCAGGAGCAUGAGGAGCCUGAGAUGGUAGCUUAGUAAAUGAUGGCUCAGUCAUCAUAGGCUCUGAGAAGGUAGCCUCAACAUGAAUGCCUCCCGACUGAUGUGGAGCCGGAAUGUCAAGCUCUGGCCCUCUCUGCUCAAGGUCCCUCUGAGGGUCCAACCCAUCCUGCAUCUCUCUAAUCUUGUCCUCCUCCUCUACUCCGGGGUGUAGCUGAUCAUGUCCCCGGGCCUGUCGCUCGGCUUUCCUAACCCAGGAGCCGUUGGGGGCCUUCUCAAGCUUCAUGCGCCCCAGAGAAUGCUCGUCAUAAGUGUCAUAGAUGCUAGGUGCCUCAAACUCUGUCUCUCUACUCAAGUCUACCCCAGCAUCCUUGAAGACACGAGUGAGGAAGCGACCAUAGGGAAGCACUCGUGUGGUGCUCUCACAACAGGACAUCAUAUGCCGCAUCAUCACAUAUCCUACAUGUAUCCGCCUCCCGGUGAGAAGUGAGUCGACAAGAAAGGCCUCAUAGUAGGUGACCUCGUCCCGAUGUCCACCCUGUGGUAAUAGGAUGGAGCAGAUCAUAUGAUGAAGGACUCUGCUAGGCACGGUCAGGCUAUGUGCUGAAGGUUUGCCCAUCCCAUGGGCAUCUGCAAGUCCUCACAGCCUCUGAAUGGCCUCUCUAGGCUCGAACCCGGGGAUAGUAGGCCAUGCCUUGGCCUCAUAUACUCGAAGACCAAUGGGGGGAACGUCAAGGAUGCGACAAAUGCUCUCCGGACUCAGCUCAAUCUCAACUCCUCGGACAGUAGUCCUAAUCGGCCCUCCAAGUCCAUAGGUCAUCCUGGAGUAGAAUGCACGCACUAAGGUCGGAAAGAUAGGCUCAUAGACCGUCACAACUGGCAGCCAUCCCAUCCUGGUGAAGAGUCCCUCAAACCCGAGACUCUGAAGUUGGAAGAAAUUGAUGUUUCUCCCUGGAACCACCUUUCUCUUGGCGAAAUGCGUCUUGUACCUCUGAUAAUCCUCAACUGAGCCGAAGAGGGCGGUGUCGUACCUCGCCUUUCGGCGAGCCUUGGUCUGCUCGGGCUGCUGAGAGGGCUCAGCAGGGCGCUUGCCCUGACCUCUAGAAGUACCCGUCUCCUUUCGAGGAGCCAUCCAAAAUCCGAAAAUGGAGAUAUGUACUGAAGCGAGUAGGCAAAGAGAGAAGACUAACCCCAAGAAGCCCUAGGCGCGUGGGAAAGGAGCAAAACCAGAAGAUGGCACGCAAACAGAGAGGAACCCGUCAAGAUCCGAAGUCCAAAUCCGUCCAGAGAUGAAACCCUAGCCUCAAAUCUCGUCAAAGAACACUCCAAAACCUGAAAUCGGUCCAAGGAAUAGCCCAAACUGAUCUCUGAAGGCGGGAAGAUGAAGGGUCUUCGAGGAAUGCCAGAGAACAGUGGAAAAAACUGACGCGCGGGGGCCUUUUAAACUCCCAGCCCCGACGAACCGGUCGACCGGUUCCUCAACCGGUCGACCGCCUGGUCAACGGUCAACGGUUUCAUUUUCCAAUUUUUUUUUUUUGCGUAUUCUUGUCUCGUGAUCCUCCUCCUGAUCUUUUCAGCUGAAAUCCCCAAUUUUUGAUGUCCAAUGCCACGGGAAUUUUGAUUUUUGGUCAAAAAUUGACCUAUUUUCUAAGGGAUUGCUAUAUGAUGCGUAUGAGAUGAAAUUUAUGCAAUCAUAAUGCAUUUCCAACAAGAAUUCAUUAUACAAACAUCAGAUCAAAGAGAAAUAACCCCUAGUUGUCUUCUAAUAUCGGAAAAUUGUUCUUCACUUAGAGGUUUUGUAAAAAUAUCGGCAAGUUGAUCUUUUGUGCUUACAAAUUCAAGUGUAAUGUCACCCUUUUGUGCAUGAUCUCUAAGAAAAUGAUGUCUAAUUUCUAUAUGCUUGGUCCUAGAGUGUUGCACGGGAUUUUUUGAAAUAUUUAUGGCACUAGUGUUAUCACAUUUGAUAGGAACAUGCUCAAAAGAUAAGUUAAAAUCACUAAGUGUUUGUUUCAUCCAAAGGAUUUGAGCACAACACAAACCGGCUGCUAUGUAUUCGGCUUCCGCCGUUGACAAAGCUACCGAAUUUUGCUUCUUACUAUGCCAUGAGACAAGUGAGUGUCCUAAGAAAUGACAAGUGCCACUAGUGCUCUUUCUUUCAACUCUACAACCGGUAAAAUCGGCAUCCGAGAACCCAAUCAAUUCAAAAUUAUCACCCUUAGGAUACCACAAACCAAUAUUCAUUGUCCCUUUCAAAUAUCUAAGAAUUCUUUUAACGGCACUUAAGUGAGAUUCUUUAGGACAAGAUUGAAAUCUAGCACACAAGCAUACACUAUACAUGAUAUCGGGUCUACUAGCGGUCAAAUAAAGCAAGGAUCCUAUCAUGCCUCUAUACAUAGUUGAGUCAAUAGAUUUACCUUUUUCAUCCAUGUCAAGCUUGAUGGAUGAGCUCAUUGGAGUUUUCAUCACCUUGGCUUCUUCCAUGUUGAACCUCUUGAGAAGAUCCUUUAUAUACUUUGCUUGAUUGAUGAAGGUUCCUUCCUUCAGUUGCUUGAUUUGAAGUCCAAGGAAGUAAUUGAGUUCCCCCAUCAUGCUCAUUUCAAACUCACUAUGCAUACACUUAGAGAAAUCUUCACAAAGAGAGUCAUUAGUAGCCCCAAAAAUAAUAUCAUCAACAUAUAUUUGAACUAGAAGCAUAUCCUUUUCUUUGGUUUUAAUGAAAAGAGUUGUGUCGAUUUUUCCCAUUUUAAAACCCUUUUUCAAAAGAAAUUUACUUAGUCUUUCAUACCAAGCUCUAGGUGCUUGUUUCAAACCAUAAAGUGCCUUUUUAAGUUUAAAAACAUGGUUUGGAAAGUUGAAGCUUUGAAAACCGGGUGGUUGUUCAACAUAUACUUCCUCAUUUAUGAAGCCAUUUAGAAAAGCACUUUUCACAUCCAUUUGAUAUAGAAUAAAGUCUUUGAAACAUGCAAAAGCAAGCAACAUUCUAAUUGCUUCCAAUCUAGCUACGGGGGCAAAAGUCUCUUCAUAGUCUAUUCCUUCUUCUUGAUUAUACCCUUGGGCCACCAAUCUUGCCUUAUUUCUUACUAUGAUGCCAUUUUCAUCCAUUUUGUUUCUAAAGACCCAUUUAGUUCCAAUAACACUUUGAUUUGAAGGUCUUGGUACUAGUUCCCAUACUUCACUUCUUUCAAAUUGAUUUAAUUCUUCUUGCAUAGCAAUCAUCCAAUUUUCAUCAACUAUAGCAUCUUUUAUGUUUUUAGGUUCAAUUUGAGAGAUGAAUGCAAGAUUAUUACAAAUAUUUCUAAGGGAUGAUCUAGUUCUUACCCCACUUGAUGGAUUACCAAUGAUUUGAUCUUGUGGAUGGUUGAUGACAAACUUCCAAUCUUUUGGGAGGUCUUGACUUGAUUCUCCUUGCACUUGUUGAGGAGGAGGUAGUGCCAAAGGUGAAUCUUCUUUCUUGGGAUUCUCUCCACUUUCUUCUUGUUGUCUUUUGUCCUCAAUUUGCAAUUUUCCCAUGGAGGUCUCCAAUCCUAAAUCAUCAUCAACACUUUCUCUUUCUUGAAGAGAAUUGUUAGAUUCAUCAAAAAUGACAUGGAUGGACUCUUCUACAACCAUGGUUCUUUUGUUGAAAACUCUAAAAGCUUUACUUGAAGUUGAGUAGCCAAGAAAAAUUCCAACAUCAGAUUUUGCAUCAAAUUUUCCAAGAUUAUCUUUGGUGUUUAAUAUAAAACAUUUGCACCCAAAGACUUUGAAAUAGCUAAUGUUGGGUUUCUUGUUUUUCCAAAGCUCAUAGGGAGUUUUCUUAAGAAUGGGCCUCAACAAUAUUCUAUUUAAAACAUAGCAAGAAGUGUUUACCGCUUCGGCCCAAAAAUACUUUGGCAAAUUGUUUUCAUUUAGCAUGGUUCUAGCCAUUUCUUGAAGAGUUCUAUUUUUCCUUUCAACUACCCCAUUUUGUUGAGGAGUUCUAGGAGCCGAAAAAUUGUGAUUGAUACCAUGCUUAUUGCAAUAUUCCUCAAAGUCAAAAUUCUCAAAUUCUCUCCCAUGAUCACUUCUAAUGCAAGUGAUUGAAAAGCCUUUUUNNNNNNNNNNNNNNNNNNNNNNNNNNNNNNNNNNNNNNNNNNNNNNNNNNNNNNNNNNNNNNNNNNNNNNNNNNNNNNNNNNNNNNNNNNNNNNNNNNNNNNNNNNNNNNNNNNNNNNNNNNNNNNNNNNNNNNNNNNNNNNNNNNNNNNNNNNNNNNNNNNNNNNNNNNNNNNNNNNNNNNNNNNNNNNNNNNNNNNNNNNNNNNNNNNNNNNNNNNNNNNNNNNNNNNNNNNNNNNNNNNNNNNNNNNNNNNNNNNNNNNNNNNNNNNNNNNNNNNNNNNNNNNNNNNNNNNNNNNNNNNNNNNNNNNNNNNNNNNNNNNNNNNNNNNNNNNNNNNNNNNNNNNNNNNNNNNNNNNNNNNNNNNNNNNNNNNNNNNNNNNNNNNNNNNNNNNNNNNNNNNNNNNNNNNNNNNNNNNNNNNUCAUCUUUGUUGAGUUGGGAAAUGAGGUCCAUGUUAGCAUGUCCCAACCUCCUAUGCCACAACCAACUUUGAUCAUGCAUGCUUGAAAAACAUCUAUCAUGGCCAUCAUAUUUUGAAAUAUUUAUAGCAUAUACAUUUUCACAUCUAUGGCCCAUGAAGAUGGUUUUGUCAUUUUGAAUAUCCUUGAUGAUACAAUGAGAUGCUUCAAAAAUUACUUUAAAACCUUUGUCACAAAGUUGACUAAUGCUCAAAAGAUUGUGUUUUAAACCAUCUACUAAUAAAACACUUUCAAUAAGGGAGGAUGUACCAUUACCUAUGUUACCUUGACCAAUGAUUCUUCCUUUUGCAUUGUCUCCAAAGGUGACAUAUCCUUCUUUUCUCUUUGUAAGGAAGGCAAACUUGGAUUCAUCUCCGGUCAUGUGUCUUGAGCACCCACUAUCCAAGAACCACUUAUCUUCCUUUGAGCCCUACAAAAUGGAAUUCAAGUUGAUUUAGGUACCCAUGUCUUCUUGGGUCCUUGAGGGUUAGUGACUUUGGAUUUUUCAAUCCAAACCUUUUUAACCUUAGCUUUUGAAUUCUUUUGAGCACCAUUUCUUAAGGGACAUGUACUACUAAUGUGCCCUCCUCUUCCACAAAAGUUACAAAUAGUGGAAGGACAUUCACUUGAGGAUUCUUUUACAAAAUAGUUUUUAAAAUACUUUUGGUUCUUUGAAGAUUUGAAUCCUAGUCCUUGUUUGUCAAAAACACAUUUUUGGCUUGCUAAGAUCAUUUCAAAGGACUUUUGUCCACAAGAGAAAAUUGAAAGAGAGGAGGUCAACCAUUCAUUUUUCUUUUUCAAAAUUUCAUUUUCAUUUCUUAAAAUCUCAUUCUCUUUUUCAAGAUGAGUUUUAGAGAUUUCAUCAAUUGAAAACUUUUCUUUCACUUCCUCAAGUUCUUUUUCAAGUUCUUGAAUUCUCUUUUUAAGAGAAUUAUUUUUCAAACUAAGUUUUUCAAAAUCCUCAUAUAGUUCUUCAAAAAUAACAUGCAUAUCUUCAUCACUAGAGUUAGAGUUUACCUCAUCAAGAUCAUCUAUUGCCAUGAAGCACAUGUUUGCCACUUCUUUUUCCUUUUCUUCCUCGGAAGAUUCUUCACUCUCACUCCAAGUGGCCAUCAUUGCCUUCUUCAUUCUUCUUUUGGCUUCAAUUUUGUAGAGAGGACAAUCAUAUUUAAUGUGUCCCGGCUUUUUGCAUUUGAAGCAUAUCAAAUCUCCUUUCUCUUCCCAUUUUUCUUUGUCUCCAUGUGAUGAGGAUUCCCUUCUUGAGGGAUUUCUUCUAGAGGUAAACUUUUUCCCUCUAAACCUUUCACCUCUCAUGUACUUGUUUAGCUUUCUUGUGAUGAGAGCUAAAUCAUCAUCUUCCUCACUUGGUUUUUCUUCUUCAACAUCUUCUUCUUCCUUGGUUGUAGCCUUGAGAGCUAUGCUUUUCUUCUUCUUGUCUUCACUCUCUUGUAGUUGCUUUGUCAAACUGAUUUCAUAAGUCAUCAAUGACCCUAAGAGUUCUUCCAUAGGUAGCUUGGUCAAGUCUUUAGCUUCUUGAAUAGCGGUGACCUUUGUAUGCCACUUUGAGGGUAGAGACCUCAAUAUCUUCAUCACCUUUUCGGAUUCAUUUAUGACCCUUCCCAAUGCUUCAAGGCCAUUGACAAUUUCAGUGAACCUAGUGAUCAUCUCAACAAUAGUUUCAGUUUCUUUCAUUGAAAACAAUUCAUAGUUAUGGACAAGUAUAUUAAUUUUUGACUCUUUCACUUGAUUUGUUCCUUCAUGAGUUAUUUCAAGCAAUCUCCAAAUUUCCUUAGCAGAUUUACAUUGGCAUAUUCUAUUGUAUUCAUUCCUAUCCAUAACACAUUGCAAAGUAAAGACGGCUUUAGCAUUUAAUUGAAAAUUUCUUCUAUCAAGCUUAUUCCAUUCUUUCUUGGGUUUUGGAACCAAAACUCCAUCAACUAAUUUAGUGGGAAAAGUUGGGCCAUCUUCAAUGACAUCCCAUACAUCUAAAUCGGUUGAUUGUAAGAACCAAGUCAUUCUAGCUUUCCAAUAGGGAUAGUCGGUUCCCGUAAAGAAUGGAGCUCUAUGUUUUGAAAAAAUUUCAGUUUGAGAUGAGCUUGAUGGAAUAGCCAUUUUCCUCUUAGACGAUUAAGUCUUAAGCAAGAGGUCUAGCUCUGAUACCAAUUGAUAAAACAAAGGCUAUGAAUAAUUAAGGAAAAUACCCAAAAGGGGGGGUGAAUUGGGUUUUUCAAAAUCUUUUUCCACACAACAAUAUAUGCACAAAAUAAAUAAAGGAAAGAGAUAAAGGUAGAGAAUUCAAACUCAGAUUUAUAGUGGUUCGGCACUCCCUUGCCUACGUCCACUCUCCUCAAUCUCCUAACCGAGUGAGGGUUCCACUAGCUUGAAGCUACAAUCAAGCUUUCAAUCGUCUUACACUUGGAUUCCGGCUCCAAUGGGCUCUUACACAAUCUCUUCAAGAUUUGAACCACUUGAAGGCUUUCACACUCAGUUUACACAAGGAUGAAACUCUCAACCUAGCUUAAGGAAGGCUCAAGUACAAGAGAAAGCUAGGAUGAAUUGCAAGAGUGCACUAAGAAUAUGCAAUUGAUGGUUUAAUGCACUAAGAAAGAGGAUGAGAGCUUUUUGAUCAAGAACAGGUAGGUAGGCUUUGAAUGCAAUUGUUCUCUUGGUCAUAAAUGAAGAGGAGCUCUCAAUUUAUAGGUUUCUAAGCUCGGGAGACAAAAACAGCAGAAAGUAGCCUCUACCGGACGAGCAAAGGCUCGACCGGAUCACUAGCCGUUGGAGCAUUUAAUGCAUAGCAGGUUACCGUUGCCUCGACCGGACUUCGACCGGACCUCGACCGGACAAAGGGUGAGGCUCGACCGGGAAGAGGAAGCUACUGGGAGAGAGAGAAAGUUUUUGUGUCUCCCUCGACCGGACCUCUACCGGACAAGGGAAACCGGUCGACCGGUUCCCCAACCGGUUGAGCCGGUUGGCCAUAGCCUCGACCGGAUGAGCCUUUUGGCCCUGAAAACCUAUCCUUUUUUAUUUCUUUCUUUUCCAAUACUUAGGCAAGGUCUUUAGGAGAGUUUAAUAUGUCAAUUUUGAGUCAAUUUGCCUAAGGUAUAUUUGAUAAAACUCGGGUUUUAAAAAAAAUCAAGUUUUAAAGAAUAAACCGAGUUUUCUAAGAUGCAUGAAAAUGUAUGAACAUCCUAAGUGCACUCAUGCUAUCAUCUUACAUUCAUUUCCUAUGAUCACAAGUCUUCCAAAUGGUCUUUAUCCCGUAUUCGUUUGGUCCUUGAGAUUAUACCUGAGAUUCUUAACAAUUUAAAGCAAUUAGUCACUUAACCACGGUUUGUUAUCAUCAAAACCUGAUUAGGAGAACCCUUGGGCUAACAUAGAGGUUUGGAAGGGGGUAUGAGAAAGGAAAACAGAGCAAGAGAGGUGGAGAGCAAAAACAGAGAGUAGGACUGAGACAAGGGGAUGAGCCGAGAAAGGAGCGGUCCAUGGGUGUUUCGUUUUAGAGAGACUGAGAGAGAGUGAGCUAGGUAGAAAAACAGGGUUGCAAAAACGCGGGGUGAUCGAUUGGUUUUGAAGGAAAAGGAAUAGUUAGAAGCCAACAUUCCACACGUCCGGAGAGAAGUCAUCCAGGUAUGGAUUUUUUUGUUUCUAUUGUUCAGUUUGUUGGCCAUACUGCCUUUCUUUCUCUCUUUUUGUCUUCCUCUCUUUCUUCCAUUGCUUGCAUGCCCUCUGAUUGCUGGAGACCCAAAGUUAGCUUGAUGGUGCUCCAACAGAUCCGCAUUUGACUAUGAUAAAAAUACCUUAGUUGUGCCAUUGUUUUUCUAUGUUGAGGUCCAGACUUACCAUGGUUUGAUGUGUGAGAAUUUAUGAAAUUGUCUUGGGAACACUAGAGGAUCAUGUUGUCAUCUUUCUUGUCCACAAUGGACCCACGUGUUUAGGUUUUAAUAUGAAUGACAUCUGUGGAGUGGAUUGGGUGUAUGGAGGUGGUGAUCAUGGUGAUCCAGAUUUAGCACAAGCCAUUUCCCACUUGAAAUAGACCACCAAAUUCUCCACCUCCCUGGUUAUAUUUGGCCACAUGUAUAAAGAGCUAGCACAUGGAAAUGCCCACAGAAAAAUGAUUGUUGUUGGGGAAGACGACACCACAUACCUUUGGCGGGCCAUCCUUGAAACACAUGCCUUUAUCUUUUUGUUUUUUUAUUAUUUAUCCUCACUCAUCAAAGUUUGAUUUUCACAAAAUCUCUUUUAAAUGAUUUUCAAAAUUCCAGUUUUUCAAAUAAUCUUAUUUCCAUUCCAAUUUGAAAUUUUAAUUUAAAGAAAAAAAAUUCAUUCUCAAAUAAUUUUUUAAAAUUCCAAUUUCCAAAUUUAAUUUUCAAAACUUCCAUUCUCAAAUAAUUUUUCAAAAUUCCAGUUUUCAAAUUCAAUUUUCAAAACUUUAAUCUUCGAAUAAUUUUCCAAAAUUCCAAUUUCCAAAUUUAAUUUUUAAAACUUUCAUUUUCAAAUAAUUUUUCAAAAUUACAUUUUCAAAACUCCAAUUUUCAAAACUUCAAUUUUUAAAUUUAAUUAUCAAAACUUCACUUUCCAAAUUUCCAAUUUUCAAAACUCCAAUUUUCAAUUAAUUUUUUUAAAAAACUCCAAUUUUCAAAACUUCAAUUUUCAAAUAAUUUUCAAAAUGACUAUUUUCAAAACUCUAGUUUUCUUUCAAAUAAUUUUAAUUCCACUCCAAUUUUCAAAUAUUUUUAAUUCUACAACUUUUCAUCAUUUAUUAGGGUUUUGGGUAAAAAAAAUCUCAUUUUUAAUAAACUUGCUACCUUUCCCUUCAGUUAAGCACUUUCACAAAUUUUCUUUGAUUUUCAAAUAAUCUUUUGUUUCUUUUGAUUUUAAAUAAGCAUGAAUAUGAUUUUCAUAAUUCCAAAACAAUGGAAUUUGUGGGAUUAAUUCAUGCAAAAUCAAUUGGGUUUUGGUGGGGGCCCUACAUAUGAGUUUUCUCUUCUGAUUGUCAACUGUUAUGCUUAAUGAAUAUUGUUUGAUCUUUGUCUUGCUUUUUGAUAUGCAUGUGAUAAUUUUAUACUUGAGCUAACCUUGUUUCCAUGAUAACACACUAUUACUUGUUGUUAAGGUACACUCUCACUCUCACUUUGUUUAUUUAUUCGUUAUCAUGAUUUACUUUUGAUCUAUGAUCAUUUUGGCAUCCAUUGAUUUCCUCAUUAAGUUCCACACUUGCUUCGCCUUAUUUAGUAGAGACCCUUUUUUAGGGACUUAGAGGGGUGCUAUGGUCUUUUACCGUACGUUCCCUAUAGGUAACCUGAUCCUUGGACCCCACUUUGAUUUUUCACAGACUUGUUUUUCCUUCAGGAAUCACACUUGGGGUUUUUCUUUCUCAUUUUGUUUUUCCCUUUAAAAAAUAAAAACAUAAAUAAGUGAUGACUCCAAAUCUUUUCUAAAAAUCAUAAUUUUUCAUAAAUAAAUGAAAAGCGAGUGUCGCUAUCGAGUGGGAAUGCAUCAUGUGAAAUGCGGGGUCCACAUUAGGGUUUUGAUUUUUUUGGUACCUACUCUCUCUACCCAAGCUCCAUUUCAUUUUUCUCAUAUUCUCUUGGACUCCCAUGGCUCCUAGACGAGCCAAAAGGCGUGUUUUGACACCUCCUUGGAGUUUUGGAUUUGGAUUUGGAUUUCUGAACUAAAAUUAGAGAAAUUUUGGGUGGGUGAAUGUGCCUACAAUGUCAUGGAUUAGGAUAAAUUUGGGUAGGCUAUGCUUGAUUCCCGGAAAGUUUAAGGAAAAAUACAAGGGAAAGAAAAUCAAAAGCAAAAGUAGAAGGAAAGAAAAAGUGAAAUAAAAUCAAUAAAUUAUUUUUAUAUCCUACCUCAAAUUCAAUCCACUUAUUUAUCUUUUUCAUAUAAAGAUUAAAUAAUUUAAAAAUAUAAAAAUUUCUUACUUAUUUUAAUUAUAUUUGACUUUCUUUAUUAUUUUUCAUACUAAAACCAAACAUAGAAAAAUUAUUUUUUUCUUUGCAUUUAUUUUCUUUUCUUAGUACUUCCCAGGAACCAAACAUAGCCUUAGUAUUAUGCAUAUAUUCUUACACAAACAACCAGCUGUUUGAGAUAACUUAUAUUAAAAAUUUUCUAAGAGAUGAAGUCAAAUCAAAAUUUUAAAGGGAUAAUCUUAUUAUUAUAAAAUUUUUAUUAAAUAUAAAGCUACUUCCAUGAAUAAAAAGAAAAAAAAUUAUGAGAAGUAGCUUCAAUUUCUUUCUUUUAUUUUUGUUUUGUUAAGCUUUUUAAAUUUUAAAGUUACCAAUAAAUACAAUGUGUGAUGUAGUGUGAAAAUAAUAACUUAAUGUAUUAAGGCCACUUUUAAUAUGUGAAAUUCUACAAUAGGAAUAGGAAUGUAAGUGUGAUUUGCUAGUGGUCCUAAUCGUGUGUGUGCAGGGGCGGAGCCACCUUGUGCCCAGAAAGGGCUUUGGAAAAAAAGAACUUUACGAGUGCCUUAAAAUUUGAAUUUUCUUACUAUAAUUGCUCUCUCUCUAGAGUCUAGAGCGAGUGAAGCACCGUCAUUUGCAUUGGGGAAUGAAGCAUGGCGACUGGGCACGUUUUAAUAUAGGGGCGAUGCUUUUAUUGUUUGGACAAUUCUGCCCUUGACGUGGUUAUCACCUGGGGAGGGGAUAAGCUUGGCAAUAAAUGCGGCGACGGUCUCACCAGCGCUGCCACGUGGCUAAUUUUUGGUCCAGGUUCGAGGUAUGGAGCUGCCCUUCCACUUUACAUGAAAAAUUAUUGUUUCUGCAUGACAGCAAAUUAAUAAGAAAACAAUAAAUAAAAUCAUUAUCGAAGAAAUGAUAGCACAUGGAGAAGUAAGUCAUCUCAAGCCCCUGUUUUGUUGGAUAAUGGGCCAAAAUUAUGGAGAAAUUUUGAUAUGCCAGUCAUUUUCCUUGUAUUAAUACGUGAUAUUUUUUGUAAGUAUAGAUACCAUGGAGUAAAAGAAAAAAAAAAAAAAAAAAUCUCAGAUGUGGAAACCUAGAAGGUCACUAGGUGGGGUGGCGGGGUAAUAAAAUUACAAGAUAGUGGUAAAAUUUACCUACAAAUAGAAGAAGGUGUGGUUGUGGGGGAAAUUAAUUGCUGGUAGUACAAACAUGUCUUUAGGAUUGCAAAAUUAAUGUCCUUCGAGUAUAUUCAUUAUUCCAACCUUGAAUGCAGUUAGUAUUGCUUGGUUUACAUAUGACUUUGGCUCUCUACAUUCAAUAAAUUCAUAGACUUAGGUGUGUUCUUCCAUUCCCUUUUUUUAUUUUUUUUAUUUAUUGUGAGUGUCAUUUUACAUAUUUUAAGCAUCAUAAUUGAAAUAUUUAUUCAUACUUUAAGUAUAAUUGAAUAAAUAUUUCAUUAAUUACCAUAAUUAUUACAAAGCAUAAGUAAAUACCUCAAUUUGGCAUAUCUUAUUAUAGUUUUAACUUAGAACCAAUAAUUUUAACAUGAUAUGCUUAUUACCAAAUAAUAUUUUUUCCCAAGACAUUUUAAAUGUCUUACUAAUCAUGACAUCAUUGUUAUCUCAUGAAUUGGAUUUGAACUAACAUCUCUGAGUGAUUUUCUGUUUUUGCACUUUGAUCUUAUUUGUUUAUAAUUUGAUUUCAUAUGUUUUUAUCUUUAUUCAACGAUGAUAUAUAUUUAAAUUUUUCAUUUUCUUAUCUACUCUUUUUUAUCCUUUAUUCCUUUUGUAUUGUUUAUCUACUUUGAGCUUGGAUGGAAUAGUUUAGGAAACUUGCCAAAUUAUUUUUAUCAAAGAAAAAGUAUAAUUGAUUAAAUUUGUUUAUAAAAGUUAGAAAAAAAAUGGAGGAGAGUAAAGGUAUGAAAAUGGAGGGCCAAUAGUAGUAAGAAAAACCAAUAAUUCAGACAAUAAAAGCAGGAAAAAGAUGAGUUGGGAUAUAGGAUAGAGGUCCAUCUCUCUGAGAUAUGGGUCCACAGAUUAUCACUAUAGUACUCCAAAAUGUUCAGACGUGUGCCCGAAUCUCUGCUUCCCACACACAGUUGGGUGAUUCAGGAAGUGGUCUAUUUCCUAUUGAAUGCAAAUGGAGCCAUUUUGUCCAUUCAUUGAGAAAGUAGUGAUCUGGAUUCUCAUCUUUCCCUGGAAAUUGGUCCACAUAAAUGGAGUCAGGACAAGCCAUCAUUUGUCAUUGUUCUCAGGAUUUCAAACAUAGUGAAUUGCAAAAUCUUCAGGCCCAUGCAUCCUUUCCUUGAUCUCUUUGGCUGUGCUGGAUCUUUGGCUGCCACCCAUUUUUAUGUAAAUUCCAUUGGAAUACGUACAGUAACAACUUAUAAAAAACCUUCCUAAAAUCUUUUAAAAGACAUAAAAUCCCUUGUAUCUUAGUGAAAUAUGAAAAUUGCAUUUUUAAAAGACGAGUAAUGCUCCUGCCUACACGAAAAGUCCAACCUGGUAAUGCUCAAUUUUUAGGAAACUCAGGUAAGUAAAUCCUAAAUCAUGUACUCAUCCUUUGGUGAUUUCUCCUCUUACUUGCGAAUGGGUCAGGGAUUGGGUUUUUUCUUCUUGAUCUUGUCAUGUGUCUGUUUGGGAGGGCCUUGCUUUUGUAGUGCACACACAGACAGCAUCAAACCUGGGGAAGGGCUUCAAUUCUCGAAGCUACUGGUUUCGUCACAAGGGACUUUCACACUGGGGUUCUUUAUCUUGGACACCCGCAGUUAUUUAGGAAUCUGGUACACAAGUGAUGUUAACAACAAGAAAGUUUGGGUUGCUA